Molecule: long non-coding RNA, 375461 nt
Filed under: Vitis vinifera (wine grape)
Lineage: Eukaryota; Viridiplantae; Streptophyta; Magnoliopsida; Vitales; Vitaceae
Description: long non-coding RNA (VVIN_LNC001007)
Source: RNAcentral
CCAACCGUUACAGACAUAAAAGAGCUACAAGCGAAACGGGAGUAUGUAGGUUACCAACAAGACUCUUUCGUUCUCGAAUUCCUGAAAAGGAUGAAGUUUGACGAAUCCAAGUUAAGGAUCUAUAGUUCUCCAGAAAAAUUAGCUGAACUAUUCUCGAAAGGAAGUGCAAAUGGAGGUAUUGCUGCUGCCUUUGACGAGAUACCUUACAUGAAGCUCUUCAUUGCACAGCAUUGCUCGAAAUAUACCAUGGUUCAACCAAUAUACAAAUUUGAUGGGUUCGGAUUUGUAAGUGCUCUCUCCUCUCACAAACAAACACUCAUUCCCAAUAUUUAUGUGCAUUUCAUGUGUAAGCUUUUCUUUUUCUUUUUUGUUUGUUUGUUUGUUUAUUGUUGUUUUUUUUUUUUUUUUUGGAAUUUCAGGCCUUCCCAAUAGGUUCUCCUCUGGUACCCGAUGUUUCAAGGGCAGUCUUAAUUGUGACUGAGGGAAAUGAAAUGGUAAGGAUUGAGAAAAAGUGGUUUAGCGAAAAAACUAGUUGUUCAGAUGAUAAUGGAAGCUUACUUUCUUCUAACAAUAUCAGCCUUGAUAGCUUUUGGGGCCUUUUCCUCAUUGCUGGAGUCACUUCAUCUUUAGCUCUGAUCAUAGGUAUUGCCAUGUUCCUGCAUAAACAUAGAGUUGUAGUAAUGGGCAAAGAUUCGGCAUCGACAAAGAUUAAGACCUUGAUGACACUUUUUGAUCAAAAAGACCUCAGCUCUCAUACUUUUAGAAUAGCUGACCAGCCAUACAGCGGUAGCAAUGAGCCUAUAGCUGCAGUUGGAGCCUCUCCCUCAGUGACUAACAGCUCGCCAAGGCCAUCAACCUUUUCCAACCAAACCAAUAAUGAUAUUCCCCUCUCCGGAGAACAAGGAACCUCUUCUUAAUUCAGAGCACAGUGGUUGGAGCUCAAUCACAACUGGUGGGCAAUCAUCGCCAGAGAUAGUAGCUACUAAUUUAAAUCAAGAGAGAACAAAUAUACCUGUAACAUCACAUUAGAAUAAUCGAACUUCAUUGCAGUAGCAUUAUCAUUAUAUUUCACAGCAUGAUAGGAUUGUAAUCUUGCUGAUUGUUGACAGGUUGAAUUUAACUCCUGUACUCCACAUUUUCUAACUGUCAAAUUGGUUGUUAUCUGCUUGUUUAAAUAGUUUAUGAUCAAGGAGGAAACAUUACAUAAAUUAAUAUACUUAUUUUGGAAGUUCAUUUGGUUAUACUGUCAAUAGUACUGUUAAACAGAUCACUCUUUUUAUUGUCUAUAAUUUUCCUUUUCAAUGAAGAUGAGAAUAUGUAAAUAGAAUAGUUAUUUUGGGCUUCAACGGAUUUUAAGUACAAGGGUUUUUUUUUUUUAAUUGAAAUAUAUGUUUUGUAAAGUUUAGACUCAAAACGGUUUUUUAAUAAUUUAUUUUAAAAACAAGUUGUUUUGUCAUAAUGAAUUUAAAUAUAAUUUUAUGUUUUUUAUAGAACAUUGUAAAAGACCAAAGUCCAAAUUAUUGAAAACAUAUUAAGUAAUAAGUAGCUAAAAUAAAUAAAGAAAUAAUAUAUAUAUAAAUUAAAACUCACAAAUAAGAUUGAUAAAAGCUAAAGUUUGCCUUGCUCAUGUGCUUAAAAUUUAGUGACAUUCAUCUCUCAAGAUGCAACAAUAUAAGAAAUGAUAAAUAAUGUUUAUAUUUUCUAUAAAAGCCUGGAUGCUUUCAAAAUAUACACUUAUCACUCAUACAUGACUUGGAAUGGAUUAGCCCACUUAGGAAUGACCUGGAAUGGACCACCCACUUGGAGAUGACUUGAAAAAGAAUGAGAAAUUGAUGUUGUUGGAAUAAAUGAAAUGUCGUGGAAGGGGUCUCUUUUUGUAGGUGGAGAUUUGCCCCUAGAAGAGAUGCUUCCACCAAAGGGUCACAAGGGUCACACCUAUCUAAAAAAGAUGUCUCAUAUCUGUUUUAGACAAUCUGUAUCUUAAAUGGAAAAAUUUUUGUACAAAGAAAAAAAAAACACUUUAUGCCAUUGGGCUUUUCUGGUUAUGUCCAAAAGCAUAUGAGCCAAGGUGAGGCCUGAUUACUACCAAAAAGUGCUAUUUUGUAGACCUAAUUAUAAUGGUUUUAAGCACCUUUGAGUAGUAAUCAUAUUCAUUUAACUCAAUUAAUUCAUUAAGGUCCUUAGUAAUUGGUUUUAACCAUUUUGUGGCAAGUUUACAUGUUUUUAUCAGCUUAUGAAUCAAUUCAAGCAUGCCAAAUGAUGGAGGAGCUACUUGGACAAGUUAUGGCAAAGCUUUUGGAAGCUCAAAUUCAUGAAGAACCAAGCUUUGGAGCCUCAUAUUCCUUUGCCUUAGUCGUUCAAAGUAUGCAAGGAGAGAAGCAAGGAGAGAGGAAAAACAGAGUGAAGAAAACAGAGGAAAGCCAGCUGCAGUCUUCUUUUGCACUUUUGGAGCACUUCCCGAAGUCCAUUUUCUACAUUCUAUAUACCAUUUCAAAGCUCAGGAAGUCAAGAAUCCAAUGCUUCAAACGGUGCGCGAUUCGGAGUUGAAACAAAGAAGUUACAGCCACUGCAAGUCAAUCACUCUAAAGUGUUGCGGAAUCAGCCUUUUGUUGCGAGAAUUUCGCAGCCUUUUUGUACAGUGUUGUGGAUUUCCUCCUGAAGUUGCCCGAUAUAUGCCGCAAGCUGGGAGCUGAGAACCUCAAGGUGGAAGCCAACUUCGCAGCCCUGUGAAGAUAGCUUGAUGUUGCGAAGUGAUUUCGCAGCCCUCUUGGGUGUCUGCGAAAUCUCGUAGACACCAUUUUUCACCUGCGAAAUGGUCCUUAGAGCAUCCCGAUAUUUGUGCACCGACUCUUUUAGAUCUUUUCUUCAGAUAUUUUUGUAUAAAUUUCCAUUUUCUCCUUGUAUUCAGCCACUCAUGUAAUUCCUUAGCUAGGAAGUAUCCAAGGAAGGGUAAAUUACCUUCCUAUAUAAACUCUCUUGUAAACACUCUCAGGAGACGCUCGGAAAUCAUAUAAUGUAAUAUAGAAAUAGAUAUAUCAUAUAUAGAAUCAACGAACAGAGCACUUGCUCUGUUUUUCUUAUAUAUUCUUGUUUUCUCGUUAGUUUUCUUGCUAGCCAAACAUUCUCUAAGGAUUUUUCCUCAGAAGAUGAGAGGCUAGGCUUUUUGUCUCUUGGAGUAAGGAAAGCCGGGUAAGUUUCCACAUGCAUAAAUUGGAAGUUUUGUUGUUUUAGUUUUUAAUGAAGAGAAAGUGUGACCCGUUAAUGGUUUUUAUCUUUUUAGUUAACUUAAAACGCCUUUAAAUCACCUAGGCCAACACUUGGUAAGGCAAGUGAUAUCCGUCCAUGGAGAUUCACUAGUUUACCCCUUGCGAGCCUUUGGGAGGUGGUUUGAAGGUAGGAUUUUCUAGAAUAGCCAACACUUGGUAAGCUUUUGGACUCCAAGGAGACAUCCAUUAGUUAUCUCUUGCGAGCUUUUGACGGGUAAUCCAAGGUUAAAGAUCACCUUGAAUGGCAAGUGCUAGGUGAGAGGUAUGAGUCAUUGCAAGUUGCAUCAGUGAGAGGGAUUUAGUGUUUGAACCCAUUAAUGGGAAGCAUUUGUACAACACCGGUUGGAGAAGGAACUAUAUGUUAAUUCUCUAAUGCGAGGAAAAGAAACAAGUGACCGGAACUCCCUUUUUGUAUGAGGAAUCUGAGCCUAGUGAUCUGAAACUCCAAGAAACAUUUUUCUUUGUAAGUAAAAUCAGUUAUUAUUUGUGGUUAGUUUAAAACCAAACAUUUUCCAACUCAAGUUUAUGUUUUCUUUUAAAGCUAACCUUGAAAUGAAAAGGCACCAAUUCAGCUUUGGAUUAAUAUCAUUUGCAAAGUGAAAACCCAUCCCAGUGAACGAUCCUAGAGCCACUGUGCUAUAGUAGCUUUGUCUUUGCUACCCUAGUAUAUGGUGUAAUAGGUUAUAAAUUUUGUUGAUUACUCCCUCAAUCAAAGAGCACCAACUGGACACGAAUCAGCCGAGACACCAAUUGGGCAUGAAUCAAGGCCCAAGUCCACUCCCAUCUAGUUAAACCCAAGCAUAUAUGAGUCUAGGUUCAAGCCUACACUACAAGGAAAAAGAUAUAUGGUGACAUUUAUAACGAGUCACCAUAAACAUAGGAUGUCACUACAACAUAACGUCACCUUUUCCACUGACACCAUAGAGGGUACCAAUUGGUGACGUAUUUGGAAGUAAUACCAAAGUAGAUAAAUGGUGACCCAUUCGGAAGUGACACCAUAUAUUUCUAGUGAUGAUUGGGUGUCACAUUAAAUGCAUCAUCUUUGAGUUGUGAUGUCACAUUAAAUGCAUCACCUUUGAGUUAUGGUGUCACAUCAUUGUAAAUUACUGUGGAAGAUAUGAUUGCUUUUAGUUGUAGAUUUUUGUAAUGCUUAUGAAUUAAUAAGUAAGAUUAACUUGUUUAUCUUUUGUCCAUAAAUAUAACAAUCAUAUUACAUUUAACUCAUUUUUCUAUAAUAUUUUUAGAAUAACUCAUAAUACAUUGAUCAUCUAAUAAUAUUUGUAUAUCAAAUGUUCACAAAAAGAUAGUACAUCCAAUAUAUCAAACCCAUCAAAACUUAAAAAGAAGAGUGAAUACAUACCAAAACAUGAUUUAGAAAUGUUAAAGAUUCCAAGAUUCAUGUAUACCUCCAUUUCAUAAUCAUAAAAUUGGCUAACUAUAAAAUGACAUAAAAGUCGCAUCUAAAAAUCUAAAAUUCUCAGUACCAAUUAAAGUAACGUUUAUGUCCUACAACGUAUGACAUAAUAGUUGAAUUUAAAAAUCCAAAAUCUUGUUGCCUUCUUCUUUCUUUUUGUUCUCCAUUCCACCAUCCCAAGAGUGUAUACCUGUAUUUCAUAAUUUAAUGAGUUUUAUAGAUUUUUAUUGAAGAAAAUAAACAUGGAUUCAUGUUAUCAUAAAUGAACAAAUCUAAGAACUAUUUUUUUUUUCUUUUUUCAAAUAGAAACAUUAUUCAAAGAAUAAGUAAUACUAUACAAUACCUAUGGAAAAAUUCAUGUAGUAGCUAAGGGACCCACCAUGCAUGGUGAUCAAGAUGCAUCAUGUGUUAUGUGGUUCAUUUUUUGGAUUUAUGGAAUUGUGAUUGAAUUAUGUGAUUAAUUAUUCAAAUUAAUUAAUUAAUUUUUAGAACUUCAAUUUGGAAAAAAAAACAUAAAUUCUAACUUUUAUUUUUCAAAAUUAUUUGAAACCAUGGUUUAUUGGAUAUUUUGUUGACUAUGAAUUAUGUUUUAAAAUCAUAAUUUAAGAAAUUUCAUUGGGAUUUAUCAAAGUUAAUUUAUUUUUGUUUUAUUAGUUGAAUUUUAAAAAAUUAUGGUAAAUUUAUUUCUAAUUCAAAUUUUAUUAUUUUAAUAUGUACUUGUUCAUUCUAAAUCAAAGAUGUAUAAAAAUAUAUAAAGUUUAAUUAUAUUGAGAAUUAGAUUAGUUAUAAGGAAAAAAUAUUGACAAUUAUACCUCCUUUAAGAGGGUUUUUCAUGGUAUAUAUGGUGUUAGAUAUAUCUCUGGUUUAUAAUUGCUUUAGUAAGGUUGUUGUGAUUGUGAUGGAGAAGAUUAGAUCGGUCCAACAAAAAACUAGCUAUUCUGCCUGUGCAGUCAAGGGUCUCCAAAAAGCCAGCGGCCCGCUUUAGGCCCAGCCCGGCCCAAGCCCGCCAGGCCCGAGCCUGGCCCGAGCCUGGCCCGAGCCCGUUUCUGGGCAGGCCGGGCCGCGGGCCUAAUUUUAGGCCCGGCAGGCCAGCCCGGCCCGUAGGCCCGUAGGCCUACCCUUUAAAAAAAAACUACAAAAAUAAAAAGUAUUAAAAAAAAUAUUCAUUUCAAAAUUUUAUUCAUUGAAUGUAUAAUUACAUUUGAAAAUGUGGGAAAAGUUUACAUCACUACAAAAUAAAUACAUCCCAACUAGGUUGGCACCUAUUUAUUUGUCAAUCAUCUGUAUUUUUCAACCACAAAAAAUAAAAAUAAAAAUAUAAUAUACAUUUAGUCAUUAUUUUCUGGCAAUGAUGGCCAACUAUCAUGCAUCCAUGAAGAUCUUGAUAAUUUUAAAGAUUUCAUAUCGACAAGCAUCUCUGUUUCUCAAAUGGAAUCAUACAUCCUUUUAUUUGCUAUUUCCCAAUCUUUCACACAUAUCCCUGCUUCAAUAACAUCUGGCGCUAAGUUGCAUCAUUUUUUACUAACUACUCUUCCACCUGCACUAAAAGCAGCUUCUGAUGCAACUGUACUCACAGGAACUGUUAGUACAUCACAAGCAAUUAUAGAAAGCACAAGAUAUUUGUGUUGAUGUGAUUUCCACCAUAUUAAAAUAUCAAAAUCUUCUUGAUCUUCAAAUGAAAUUAUAUCAGUAUUAAGAUAUUUAUCUAAAUCAGAUGUAUUAUUUGGAGAACUAUUUGUUGUCUUUUUUCGACUUUUCAACAUUUCUAGAGCUCUUUUAUAAAAAGAUGAGGAGUUUGCAGAUGUAGGUGGUAAUUUAAUAGUAUUAAUAUCAUUACCAUAUUUUUCUUUAUAAUAGUUAUAUAAAUUAUAUAAUAAUGAAUUUAUUUCAUUUUUAAUUUCUUCAAUUUUUAUUUGGUCAUUAAAAUAAAUAAUUGUUAACCAUUCAUCCAAAGCUUCAAAUUUCAAUCUAGGGUCCACAAUUAAAGCAAUAUAAAAAAUUAAAGGUAUUUCUCCCCAAUAUUUUCUAAAUUUUUCUAUCAUUGCAAAUAUUGUAUCAUUAAAUAUUUCAAAACUUAAAUAUUUUUUAAGUACAAUAAAAAUAUUAGUUAUUUGCAUAAUAACUCGAUUUGAAGUUGGAUAAUAUACACCACAAAAAAUGUUUGUUGAAGUAUCAAAAAUUUCAAAAAGAUCUCUUAAAAGAUCCGCAAUAUGCCAAUCAUAAUCAUUUAAUGCAUAAAUAUCUACUUCACAAUCAUUGUUAAUUAAUUGUAUUUCAUAUAAUUCGACUACUUUUCUAUAUUUUGUAAUAUUUUGUAAAAGUUUAUAUGUGGAAUUCCAUCUAAUGGCCAUAUCCAAAUUUAUAUUUUUUCUUUUCAUAUUUAACAUUUUGCAAUAAUAAAAAAAUAAUUCAUGUUUUGCUUGAGAACUAUUAAUACUAUAUGCAAUGCCUCUAAUUUUUUCCAAUGUACUAUCAACAUUUUUUAAUCCAUCCUUUACAAUUAAAUUUAAAAUAUGUGCACAACAACGCACAUGAAAUAUUUUAGCAUGAUCUUCUUUUACUUGCCAAUAUUGUUUUAGCCUAUGUAUUGUUGCAUCAUUAUUAGCAGCAUUAUCUAAUGUUAUUGUCAAUAUUUUAUCACGAAUGCCUAAAUCUAUAAUUUCAUCAUUUAUUAAAGAUGCUAUAUUUUUACCACUAUGUGGAGCAUUUAUUAAUUUAAAUGAAAUUAUUCUUUUAUUUAAUUUCCAUUCAUUAUCAAUGUAGUGAGCAGUUAUACAUAAAAAAACCAGUGUGAGUUAAAGAUGUCCAAAUAUCAGAUGUUAAACAAAUAUUUCCUUUAAAAUUUGCAAAAAAAAAAUUUUUAAAUUUCUUUUUGUGUAUAAAUUUUUUUCAUAAUAUCUCUUUUAACUAUAUUUCCAAACCAACCUUUAAAUUGAGGAUUAAUACCUCAUUGAAUUGUUCCUGCAAAAUCAUGAGUUUCCAUCAUGUUGAAAGGUUGUUCUGUUCUUAUUAUAUAAUCAAUCAUUUCUUCACGACAGUUGAAUUCAUCAUAAGAAAAUGUUUUUAAAUUUCCACUUUCAUUUUUACCUAAUUGCAUAUAAUUUCUAAUAUCUACAUUAUUUUUAGUUUUACAAUUUUCAUGAUGUAUUUUUAAAUGACUUGUGCCUGCAUUUGAGCCACCAGUAAGAAAUUUAUUACAAAUUUUACAUUUUGCUUUUAUUUCUUUUUUAUUAUUUUCUAAAAUUAUUUCUAUUCUAUCAAAAAAAUUCCAUAUAUUUGAAGUAAAUUUUUUGUUUGAUGAUAUUUCAUCACAUGGACUAGAUGAAGAAGCACUUGCCAUAUUAUAAUUAUUGAUAAAAUAUUAUGUCAAAAAUAAUAAAUUAAUAAAUAUAAAAAAAAAUGUAACAAAAAAAUAAAGUAGUAGGAGUGAAGUAUGUUACUCAAUUAGAGAACCGAUGCAGAAAUUCCUAGCAAAUUUGAACUCUUGGAGCCACCAAUGCUUGUUUUGCACCACCAACAAUAUUGUAUAAUUUGAGGGAAAAAUAAAAGAAUUCAAAAUAUUGUAGAAUGUGAGAGAAAUAGAGAGAAUUUGAUGAAAAAAUGAAAAGGAAGAAAAUGUAUUUAUAGGAAGGUUAAAAAAAAAUUCAAAUUUCAAAAUAAUUGGCCAUGUGACCGUUGGAGGCUUAGCUCCAACAAUCACAUGGGCUGGAGCUAGGCUCCAACGGUCACAUGACUGAUGGAGCCUUUAAUUUUUUUUAAAAAAAUAAUAUACUUUAUUUAUAUAUAUAUAUAACUAACUCAAUUAAUAAACAUAAAAAGAAUGUAGUUUAGUUGGUUAGAAGCUUAAAGUUUAAACAUGAGGGGAGGGGUUCGAAUCCUCCCCUCUCUCUUUCCUUGGCUUUUUUGAAAGCCAUUUUGGCUUAAUUCAAAAAGCCCGCGUGGCCCGGCCCGCCUGCCAGCUCGCGGGCUCAUAGGCCGAGCCGCAGGCCUAGCAUUUUAGCAUGGCCCGGCCCGACCCAAGCUAGGUCGCGGACCUCCUAUUUACGGCUCGGCUCGGCCCAGCCCGCCCGUUGGAGACCCCUGUGUGCAGUUAACUAUCCUUCACAUCUUUUCUCUAUCCUCUACUAACAUUAGUUAUACUCCUUAUUCAAUCCCCAACUUAGUUUGUAUCUCUCUUUACUAUUAUUGUAUACAGGUUUGGGUGUCAUAACUCUUUUAUAGGAGUCUAGGUUGGAAAAUGGUACAUAUAUAUUUUUCUUAAAAUUUUCUCCUCUCCUCGCAUUAACAAACACAGAAAAAAAUAAAAAUAAAAAUAAAACACCCAUAUUCCUUUUCACAUUCUCUCUCUCUCUACUAUUAUCGUACGCAGGAUUGGAUGUCACAGCUCUUUUAUAGGAGUUUAGGCUGGAAAAUGAUACAUAUAUAUUUUUCUUAAAAUUUCCUCCACUCUCCUCGCAUUAACAAACAAAGAAAAAGAAAAAGAGGAAAAAAGAAGGUACUCGUAUUCCUUUUCUCAUUCUAUUUCUCAUAAGUAUAAUUAAUUAAUCUAACAUACCAUAUAAAAUCAAUGCCCCACCAAGACUAAACCAAGCGAAUAUAAUUUCCAGUUUCUUUACUCUAAAUGGUACUCUAAAUGAAACUCAAGAUCAACUCUUGGAUCUCAGACCAUGAUAUUUUAUCUCAAAUUCACAAGUUCCAUGGAUUAUGUGCUUCCUCAUCUGGACUAUCCAAUACAAUACUACGAAUGCAAAGAUAUUGAACCCUAAAUUCCAUGUUUAUACAUAGAAGUCAACUUGUGUUAUGUAGAAAAAUUAACAGUCCGACUUGAUGUGUUUACAGUUUGCUCUAGGCCGGCUUUUGAGUUUUGAGUUUUGACUGGCUCUACUUGAAAUGCGGGAAAUGCAAGGACAUAUUUGAUCUCAUGGUUGUACAUUUGGUACAAAAAUAACCUCAACCUCCUGCCAUCAAGAGCUAGAAAUGUUGAAAUUUCCUACCAACUAAUACAUCAUUGUCAUGCCAGAAGCAGGAGAUAGAGAUCCAACCCUAUAUUAUACUACAGCUAAGCACCUCUACUAGUUAUGAAGACUAAAGAAAUAGUCAACUUUUGACCCCACAAGGUAGCUAUGACAUGAGUUUCCAUAAAGGAUACCUAUGAUUUUCCGUUAUAAGGUACCCUUUGUUUCUUAAUUAUCAAAGAAACAAUAGCUAGUACCCUAUAUCAUAUCACAUCAUAUUUUUUGAAGUCAAUGGUACAAGGAAACAAAAAAUGCAAAACUUAGAUUUUUAGUAUCUACAAUAAAAAAAAUUUAAAAAAAGAAAAAAAUUUGCCAUUAUUUACUCAUAAUUUGCUUGGCAAGUGGGCUAAAUACUUUCUUGCAAAGGCUUGACUAAAAUGACUAGACUAUUGUUUAAUCGCUUCUUAGGUUUGGUUUGAUAGGAUUGACUGCGACUUUAGAAUUUUGUUUUGAAAGGAGCAUCAUCUUCUAUAUGGUUUGUAGCACGAUGCGAGUCCUGUUGAUGUCGCGACCCACUAGGAUUACUGUGUCUCCUUGACACUAGCACUUGAUCAACUAAGAGUGAUGUUUCCUUCCUCUCUCCUACAAAAGAUGUCCGGACAAGUUGUCCAGACAUACCUUCUGAAGCUCUAGUUAAAUUGAAAGUUCUAUAUGUUUUCUCCUUUUGGGAGUGAUUCCGAAGUCUGUCUUACCUCCUUUUGUUGGGUUCCUUGAAGGAUUUUAUAGUAUCUGGGGUUUUUUGUUGUCACAUCCAGGCUAGUGGGGUCCUUUACUUCCACAACCAUCAUGGCUACUCAUAGGGUAGCAAUGCAAUCAUAACUUUUUAGGCAGUGAAUAGAGAUUGCUAGUGAGGCGAUCAGGCGGCACAUCCAUCACUUCAUUUUGCAGGCAGUAGAGUGCAGAAUAUGGCAUAUGGCCUGAAAAGACAUGAAGAUGUCCCAACUAGCACGCCUUUAAUGGAAGGCGAAUGAUGGAUUGUGGAGUAUGGUCAGAGACAUUGCUUGGAGCAUGUCCUGCAGUCUCGUAAGAGCAUGGGCACCUAGCCAUUGACUGUUAGAUCUGGAUAGGAUGGAUCCGGAGUAUAUGUUCCUAGCUAAUGGAGCAUGUUCGGAUAGAGGCGAAGGGCUACCACGUGUUUAUAAAAGGUUUGCCUAUGAGGUUAAGGCAGGUCGCCACAUGUUAGCUCAAGAGUAGGGUCCUACAAUGCCCCCUUUUAACUUGUUUGGUUUGUCCAGUCAUAAAAGGCAGGUUAAAAUGAUUUCUUCAUAUUUUUCGGGGAUUAUGCGACACAUGGCACUUGAGCGGGAUAUUUAUGACAAGACGUCGUUCUUGAAAUUGUUACUAGGCGGCGUGUCGUUUCGAAAGCAAUGCGGUUGGGUGCUUUGUCGUUUGGGGUUCCUAAGGAUUUUAUCCUAUAAAUAUGAAGCCAAUCCCCCCUGACAGUACUUUUCUCUCAUUUCGCCUUUUGCUUCUCCCUGGACCAUUCCAACUAUCCAGAAGUAGUGGUUUUGGUAUUCACUUAGCAACACCUUCUCUAGAGAUUCCUUAAUUAGUUAACUCAAGUGGUUGUAGUUUGGUUCAUCUUCAUCUUGUAAGCAUUCGCCAGGUUUGCUUCUUCUUUCUCUUCUGCAUCUUCUACUCUUUAUUUUUCAUUGAUUGGAAUGCUUGUUUGUGGUUAGGGGUUUGUGGCGACACUUGAGAGAUUCGGUGAGUCAAGGGAUGACAUUACUAGAUUUUCCUGAGAAGGGCAUAGGGCGAUUCUGGGGUAAUAUACCUCGUCGGGGUCAUCUCCUGGUGGGCCUUGUUAAGGUUUAUGUUAGUUGUUUCUGCGUUUUAAGGCCCUACCGAGUCUGCUAGAUGUGUGCCUUCCUUUGGUGUGCUUGUAAGUCGCAAGGGGUCAAUCCCUAGCUAGGGUUAGGAAUUAGUCAGUGGAACUAGAGUUCCUAAUUUGGGACACAGCUGAAUGGGGCGUAUUACCCAAUAAGAUUUCUUGAGGGCGUUGCUCUUGGGGCAAUAAGGUCGGGUGAUUGCUUUCUAACUAUCGGAAUUGUGCCAUGUAGGUUUGACUCGGCCCAACGUUCCAAGAUGCCUGCAAAAAGGGACACUACCUCAUCCAGUGCAGUUGGGCAAGGUGGGAAGAGCGGUUGAACCUAUGAAUCCCAUAAGGCCCUAUUUGGGGAAGCCUACUAAGCUUCUCAACAAGCGGGAGUUUCACGACCAUUUCUAUUUUCCGAACGGUAUCUCCAUUCAGCUAGUAGAGAGAGAUCCAAUGCUUACAGAAAAGGCAGGACACAACGCUAUUUAUUUCACCAAUGAGCAGUUCAACGCGGGGCUCCGUUUUCCCCUUCCAUCCCUUUUCAAGCAAUUCCUUUACUACACCCAAAUCUCUCCAACCUUCAUUCAUCCUAAUAUCGUUCAGGUACUGAUGGGGUGCUGCAUUCUGAAUAUGCUAUUCCACCUAGACCUUUUCUUACUAGAGGUCAUUUUCAUCUAUACCAUCAAAAAGGGCAAGAAGGAUAUCUUCAGCAUGUUCGCCCAUAUCCCGUCCCUUCAGCUAGUGACGGGCUUCCCUGAUUCGAACAAAGGGGGAGCCAAGGGGCACGAGUUGGUCAGGGGGCUAUGGGUAGGCUUGAUGAAACACCCAGAAAUGGACUUUUGCCCUAACCAUUCUGAUUCACGCCCAAUUAGUGUUCCAAUUGAUUCAACUCAAUUGAUGUGCUUUGUUCUCAAUCCUCAGACGGGAGUAAUCAACAAAAUUUAUAAACCUAUUUCACCAUAUACCGGGGUAGCAUUUAGCUAGCAUAGUAUAGUGGCUCUAGGAUCAUCCACAGAGAUGGGUUUUCACUUCGCAAUUGAUAUUAGUUCAAAAACUGAAUUGGUGCUUUUUCUUUUCUUUGUUAGCUUUAAAAGAAGACAUAAGUUUGAAUGAAAACGAAUGGUAUUAAGCUAACCUAACAUAAAGUAACUAAAAUUAACUAGAAAGAAAGGUGUUUCUUGGGAUUUCAGGUUACUAGGAUCAGGUGCCAACUACAAAGAGGGAGAUUCCGGUCACUUGAAUCUUUUCCUCGCAUUCGGAAUUUGACCUAUAGUUAUUUCCCGAACUGGUGUGAUACAAAUGCUUGCCAUUAAUGGUUUCAAUGCUAAAUCGCUCUCACUAAUACACCUUGCAAUGGCUCUUACCUCUCACCUAGUAUUUGCCAUUCAAGGUGAUCCUUACCAUCGGAUCAUCCUUCACAAGCGAACAAGAGAUAACAAUUAGACCUCCAUAGAGCAAGAUUGCAAGCAAUAAGAAUCCAUGGAAUCCGAAAGCUUACCAAGUAUUGGCUAUUCAUGGUAAUCCUAGUUAACUAAAAAUAUAAAAACCAAAAACGGAUCACACUUUCUCUUCAUUAAAAACGGAAACAACAAAAUCUCACACUUAUGUAGCCGGAACCUUAGCUUCCUUCACCUAAGAAACAAAAAGCCUAGCCACUCAUCCUCUGAGAAAACAUCUUAAAGAAUGUUUGGCUAGCAAGAAAAUGAAAAUGAAAGAGAAGGAAAAACAGAGCAAGGCUCUGUAUAUUUUAUAUAUUGAUCGAUUCUACAUACUUAUCUAUCUCUCUCUUUUACAAUGGAUGCAAGGGAAUAUAUAUAGAGAAGUUUUUCCAACCUUCCUAGCUAAGAAAUCUUAUGGUUGGUGGAUUACAAGGAGAAGAAUGGAAAUUUAUACAAAAAUAUCUGAAGAAAAGAUCUAAAAGAGUCGGUGCACAAAUAUCCCAGUUCGCAUGUAGAUUUCGCACGUUGCAUGGUGACUUGCGAAAAUCUCGCAAGGUGAUUUCGCAACUUGGAAUCCAUUUUCGCAUGUUGAGCUCCAAGUUCACAAGUUGUAAAAUCACUUUCGCAAGUUGGGCUUCUUUGUGACUGUGCGGCUAUAUUCCAUUUCCAUUUCGCAAGGUAGGCUUUAAUUUCGCACGUUGGAGUUCCAAAUUCGCAAGAUGCGAAUUUGUCCUUCAACUGGAUGCAGUUGUCUUGAGAAGGCCAUAUCUUCCUCAUUUCAGCUCCAAUUCGUACACCAUUUGAAGUGUUGGAUUUUUGAUUUCCUGAGCUUUGAAAUGGUAUAUAGCAUGUAGAAAAUGGACUUCGGGAAGUGCUCCAAAAGUGUGAAAGAAGACUACAGCUGCUGUCCUCUGUUUUCUUCACUCUGUUUUUCCUCUCUUCGUUGUUCUUUCCUUGCAUACUUUGAACGACUUUGGAAAAGGGCUAUGGAGCUCCAAAGCUUGGUUCUUCAUGAAUUUGAGCUUCUAAAAGCUUUGCCAUGAACUAUAUACAGCUCUUUCUCAUUCUUGGAUUGCUUUGGUGUAUCUAAAAGCUAUCAAAAACACCAAAACUUAACACAAUUUGAUUAGAAACGAUUGCAAGGGUCCUUAACAUGUCAAUUGAGUUAAAAGGUAAUAAUUACUACUCAAGAGUGUUUAAAAGAGUUAAUUACAAGCUACAAAAUAGCACUUUUUGAAUAGUAAUCAUAUUCAUUGAAGAUUCCGGGUAGGGGUGGCUCCGAACGCCCCCUCCCUAUUAAUAUUUAGUAUUGGGUUAGUACCACUAGGUUUCUAACAUUCUCUGUUUUGGUUGCUGCAGGCUCAAAUUAUAGGGGUCGUUUGGUCGAGUGGGUAGAGAAAGCUUCGUUCGUCCGCCUGAACAAGCUGUUCGAAAUCACUGCCAACGAAAGAAAUUAUCAGAUGCUUCUCUCUACCCGGAAUCUUCUAAUAGUUGUUCAAGAACCUCAACCAUACGUCCUCAAUAUCCUCCCUAGAUGGUUACCUAAGGUUUUGGUACCCGGGGAGCAUUUUUUCUUGCAAGACCUUCCCUUUUACGAAGAGGCACGCGAGGCGGAUAUGAAGGCUCGCCAAAAGUGUCUUGAGCAGCCAGAGGAGAGAAUGUAGGAGAGGACACUACGGAGGGUGCCCGAUGAGAAGGGUCGCGUGCAAUCAUUUGUGGCUCAUUCUCUAGCAGAGAAGAAAAAAAAGAAGACCCUUGUAAAAGUGACCAAGGCCCCAACUCCGGCUCCUGCAUCUCCGUCUACCUCUUCUCUCUCUGCCUUGGAUAGUUCCGCCCACAUUUCCGAGAGUGUUUCUAGCUCCACGAGGCUUGAUCCUAGCGAUCUAGGGACUUGCCCUUCCGAGCCCGAGCUGGAGCCUAUAGCUUUUAGAGUUAUACAUGAGUCAAAAGAAGAAGAAGAAGACAAGUCAAACGACUUGAGAGUCGGCUUCAAAGAAAGGCACUACAAACGCCUCUAUGAAGCCAUUGACAUGGUUCCUCCCCCAACUAAGAAGGUUUGCCCGGAGAAGGCUCGAGAGGAACCCGGGAGGGAGGUUCCUUCAAUGCCAGUGGCUCGUCAGAUGUUAUGGGGCCUAGCAGUGUGCCUGCUGCUGAGAAAGAGGCUGGCUGGGCCCUAAGGGGGGCCUCUGGUGGCGCCACUCCUACUGAGGAAGUCUCAGACCAAAAAGACACUCCUGCACCCACUUUUCCUCCUAGCUGGGAUGAAAUGAUAGAGAUGCUGAAACACGUCCCAUGCUUUACCGAUGUUGAACCGUCCUCUACUAAGAUGUCCGACUUCUUCCUUCUCACCAAGCGGAUAUCAGUGAACCUUGGUGGCGAUCCCCCCUCCUUUGUUUCAACCAAGCUUCCCUUUGGCAUGCCUAAGUUCGCAGUCACCUGUAUUCAACAACUUCAGGACUAUACUGUGUUGAAAAUUGCAAAAGUGGUACUUUUUCAUACUUUGCCUCCUUUCCAGAUUGAUGCACACCCCACUUAACUGAUGCUAAUUUUGUUUUUGUUGUAGUUGGUGGUCAGCAUUCCCAACAUAGUGCGGCAACGCACUCUGUUUUUCAAGCGGCUAAAGAUUGUUGAAUCUAUGCGGUCUUUUAUUCCUCAUUGCCUGGGUGGUAGAGAGGAUUUGCACUCAAGGCUAGAGUGAUCAAAGGCUGAUCUCGCCGCUACCCGGAAAGCUGCUGCAGAUGAAGUUGAGGCUCUAAAAAAGACUGAGAGGGAGAGGGAAGCGUUCUGGAUUGAGGUGGAUAAGUUAAGGAAGGAGGGAAAUUCGUGAAGGCCAACCUUAAGGAGGCUGAGCGAGAGAAUUCUCAAUCGAAGAAGGAGAUAGAAGAGCUUUGGAUAGGGCUCGUGGCUUAGAAAAAAGAAAUAAAGAAGUUACAAGUGGGUUUUGCCUCUCAAAAGAAGAAACUAGAGGCUGAGUUCGUUGCUCAAAAGAAGGAGCUGGAAACGGAGUACCAAAAGCAGGUGGACAAGAUGUAUUUCUUCGGCUACCGUUGUUGUAUGAAGAAAAAUGGUAUCAUGCAUGAUAUUCCCUCUCUUCCGUCUGAUGACGAGAAUGAGAUACCCGGUGGCCCCCCUCAAUGAGACGGUGCCCUCUUUAUGUAAUUUCCUUUUAUAACUUGCCGCGAAGUGGUCUGACUGAAUAUUUGUAAAGAUAAUUUUUAAUAUACUUAAGCUAUGAAUAUAAUAUUGCUCUACUUUCCUUUUUUCCUUUACUGAUAAUAUUGCUUUAAGUUAGCUAUAUUCCAUGGGUAAGGGGUUAUGUCUAGUUUCUACAAGUGAUAGGCUCCAUUCUCACUUACCUUUGACACAAAGUAGGGACCUUCCUAAUUUUCUUGGAGUUUUUCAAAUCCUUUUUCAGCCGUAUUUUCAAAGACCUUCCUAAGGACAAGUGUUCCAACUUUGAAGGCGCGGGGCCGCACCUUACCAUUGUAGUAUGCAGUUGCCCUUUGCUGAUAGGUAGCCAUCCGAAUGGAUGCGUUUCCUCUUAUUUCGUCCACCCAGUCCAAGUGCUUUGCAAGUUCCAGAUCUUCGUUUCUCUUAUCCUGCACGGCGGUCCGAGCCAUGGGCAUGCCUAUUUCUAUGGGGAUAACUAUGUCCAUUCAGUAUGCAAUAGCGAAAAGAGUGUUUCCUGUUGGUCAUCUAGGCGUCAUCCGAUAGGCCCAUAAGACGCCAGACAACUCUUUUGCCCAUUUUCCCUUGGCUUGCUCCAACAUUUUCCUUAAUGCGGAUAACAUGGUUUUGUUGGUUGCCUCUACUUGUCUGUUGCUUUGGGGGUAUCGAGGUGUGGAGUAUAAGUUCUUGAUCUUGAGCUCCAAACAGAAAGCUCUGAAGGUAACACUGUCAAGCUGCAGGUCGUUGUCAACUAUGAUUGUUUAGAGGAUUCCAAAUCGACAUAUGAUGUUCUUCCAAAUGAACUUCGUGACAUCUUUGUCCUUGAUGCUAGCAUAAGCUUUUGCCUCUACCCAUUUGCUGAAAUAAUCAGUGGCAAUGAGCAAGAAUUUCUUUUGUGCGGUUGUGGUAGGCAAGGGUCCCAUUACAUCCAUUCCCCAUUAUGCGAAUGGUCAAGGGCUUGUUACCGAAUUGAGUGUUUCGAAAGGCAUAUGCGGGAUAGGCGUAUACCUUUGGCACUUGUCACACCUCUUGACAUAUGGUUCUGCAUCUCGCUUCAUAGUGGGCCAGUAAUAACCUUGCGAGUGUGCACGAUGCGCUAAAAAUCGGCCUCCUGAGUGGUUGCCACAAACACCUUCAUGUAGCUCUACCAACACAUAUAGAGCUUCCGAUUAGUCUAAGCACCUAAGGUAUGGGCCUCUGAAAUACCUCUUAUGAAGGUUAUCUCUAAUCAAGGUGAAGCGAGCAACUUGUACCCGGGUCCUAUGUGCAUGCUUGGGAUCUUCAGGCAGGGUCCCUAUCCGGAGAUAUGUCAUUAUGGCGCUCGUCUACUCCUGACUUUCCUUGAUAGUGCUGCAGACGGGCGGCUUUGCUAUGGAGGGAGUGGUUUGGACGUAUAUGGGUAGCAAUAUAGAUUCUUUUAAGGGAAGUGAGGUAGUUAUUCCUGCCAAGGCGUCGGCCUACACAUUAGUUGCCCAAAAAAUCUUCUCGAUAGCCCACUCGUCCAAUUGUUGCAAGGAGUCUCACACUUUCAUCAGGUAUUGGGACAUGUGUUCUUCCUUAGCUUCGUAUUCUUUUGGUAAAUGCCCCACGAUGAGCUGAGAAUCACUGUAGAUAUCGAGUUUGGAAGCGGAGAGUGCGGACGCUAGGUUUAAUCCGGACAGAAUGGCCUCAUACUCAGCUUCAUUAUUAGAUGCAAGGAAACCUAGUCGGAUAGUCUGCUUCAAUUGUUCACCAGUUAGAGAUUUUAGGAGGAGGCCCACUCCUGAUCCCGACGACCAGGAGGCCCCAUUGAUCUACAAAAUCCACCAUCCUGCCCUGUCAAACUUUGUGCUUUGGGUAGGCUAUUGGGGAAUCUUGGCUAUGAAGUCAGCCAUGACUUGCCCCUGUAUGGACAGCCUAAGCCGAUACACUCACUCAACUCUAUGGCCCAUUGGAGCAUUCAACUUGAUAUGUCUGGUUUAUGCAAGAUACUCCGAAGGGGUUGGUCGGUGAGCACGACUAUUGGAUGAGGUUGGAAAUAUGGUUGGAGUCUCUAAGCAGCAUUUUACAAAGCUAAAGUCAUCUACUCCAUUUUUGAGUACCUGGUCUCUACAUCAGCCAUCGCUCUACUGAUGUAAUAAAUGGGUCUUUGUUCCUUGUGCAAUAGGAAAUGAAAUAGUACAACGCUGACCGCCUAGUUGGAUACUGCUAAGUACAUGUACAACUACUCGCCAAGUUGGGGGUUGCUCAAAAUGGGGGGUUGUGUAAGGUAAUGCUUGAGUUUCUUGAAUGCAUUCUGGCAGUUGUCCGUCCACCUUGUCGCAUUGGCUUCUCUGAGCACUAGGAAGAAAGGUCGCAGCUUGUCCGUGAAUCGGGCUAUGAAGUGUUUGAGUGCAACGAGCUUGCCGGUGAGGCAUUGUAGCUUUUUUUUGCUCCUAGGCGUGAGUGUAUUGAUGACUGCCUUGAUUUGGUCUGGAUUAACCUCUAUUUCCCUCUAGGUGAGCAUGAAUCCUAGGAAUUUUCCAGCGCUUACACCAAAUGCGCAUUUAGACGGGUUGAGCUUCAUGUCGUAUCUUCUGAGUAGGUGGAAGACUUCCUGCAAGUGUUGGGCGUGCUCUUCCUGGAUUUUGCUUUUGACCACUAUAUCGUCAAUGUAUACCUCUACCAUGUGAUCGAUCAGAGGUAUAAAGAUUUUAGUCAUCAACCUUUGGUAAGUGGCUCUAGUGUUUUUGAGCCCAAAUGGCAUGACCUUGUAACAGUAGAGCCCAUGCGGCGUUAUGAAGGUGGUCUUUUCUUCAUCCGCUGAAGCCAUAGGGAUCUAAUGGUAUCCAAAGAAGGCAUCUAAGAAAGAAAGCAUCCCAUGUCCGGCGGUGAAGUCUGCUAUUUGGUCUAUCCGUGGUAGCGGAAAGCUAUCUUUGGGGCAUGUGUCGUUAAGGUUAGUGUAAUCUAUGCACACUCACCAUUUUCAUUCUUUCUUGGAAACUACCACUACAUUCGCCAACCACUCUGGAUAAUCAACUUCUCUAAUGAAUCCAGCUGCCAGUUCUUUUCUAUCUCAUUUGGAAUGAUCUUCUGUCUAUCCGGAUGAAAUCGCUGAACCUUUUGUCGAGUAGGUCUUGAUGAGGUUAGGACGUUGAGUCGAUGGGAGGCAAUCGACAGGUGGAUUCCAGGCAUGUUGGAAUGCGUCCAUGUGAAAACAUCUUUGUUUUGCUGAAGUGUGCCUUGGAGACGUUGUGCCUCGCCUGGCUCCAAGAGGGAACUGACAUACGUAAAGUGAGUUUCUCCCUCCAAAAUCUGAAUGGUUUGUAAGGGAUCUGCUAUUGGGGGAUCCUUAUUCGUCGAUACUGUAAUUGCUAUUGGUCAACCUUGUCUGACUGCUCAAAGGGAGAUUCGCGAUCAUUGUUGGAUCUAGUUUCCCGUGCAGCUUGGUAGCAUUGAUAGGCAACUAGCUGGCUACCGUAGAGGUCGAUUUGUCCAUCUUUGGUGAUGAAACUCACCAUCUGAUGAUAUGUGGAAGGGAUGACUUUCAUGUUGUGCAACCAAGUACGCCCCGGGAUAGCAUUAGAGGGGGAUAAAUCUCCUACCACAAAUAAUUGCACAUUGAGGGUGACUGGACCUGUUUGGAAAUGUAGUACAAUAUCCCUAAGAAAUGUUGUUGAGGCCCCAUUGAAUCCUGACAGUAUCUGACCCGGGUUCUCGAGGUUGGAGAGCAUAAAUCCCAUUUGUUUAACUACCGAUACUUGUAAGAGAUAUGUCAAGCUACCCAGGUUUACCAAAAUCCUUCUUACGUCAAAGUCACCAAUUCCUAGCGUCAGGAUGAGGGUGUCUCGGUGUGGCUGCAACACCCGGGUAGGGUCCAUUGGAGGAAAGAGGAUUACUCCAUCUAUUAGGUGAACGCUUCUGCUGAUUAGUCUAGGCCGGAUAGAGUUAACACGUUAUCAGACCGUGGUGGCUCGUAGUAGUCUUUGCCUCUUUCUCUUGGAUUUGUAUUCUUCAUCCAAGAUCCACCAUGGAUGUAGUUGAUUAUGGCUCUAGGAGUGACAAGAACUAAGGGGGCUCUAGGGGCCUAAUUGCGGGAAGUUUCUCCACCUCUGGCUCCUGAGCAAACGUACUAUUUUAGAUGUCUUGUUUUUAUGAGUUUUUCCACCAGGUGAUGGAGACUUCUACAUUGCUCCAUGGUAUGUCCAUGCUCUUUAUGAUAAGCGCACUUUUUGUUGUGAUAUCUUUUGGUUGGAUCCGUUUUCAGUGCCUCUAGCCACCUGAAAUCGGAUAGCUCGCGGAUCAAGAGGAAUAGCUUUUCAUAUGUAAUAAUGAGGGAUGUAAGCUAGGGUUGGUUAGGCUGGCGUUACUUGCUUUGUCCCCUGUUGUGAUGCCUACGUUGACUUGAAGGCUUGAGGUUCCUUGUCACGUCGUUUCUGGCCAACUGGCUAGUGACUAAGAUUUGUUGGGUGGUCGUACGGACAUCAUCUUCCAGCAUAGAAUAUUUGUUCGCGCACCAAAACAAAUCAUCUAUAGUUAUGGGGGGUUUUUUGGCAAGGGAUUCAAAGAACAUCGUACCCGAACAUAUGUUACGCUUAAAAAUUUGGAGGACAACAUCCAUGUUGUAUGAUUCUACUUGUAAUACAGCUUGUCCAAAACGCUUCAUGAACUCCCUCAGGGACUCAUGCUCCUGUAUUUUUAUGUUUUGCAGGGUGUUGAUAUUCUGCUUAUGUCGAACUGAGCACAGGUAUUGCCCCACAAAGGCUUCUGACAGAUCCUUCAAAUUGUCAACCGAAUUCAUGGGGAGCCAAUGAAACCAUGAGAGAGCUUGGCCUUGGAGGCUGACGGGGAAGACUUUGCAUAAUAACAUGUCAUUUCCUAUAUCCAGAGUCAUGAGUUGUCGGUAGUGCAUGAUAUGAUCAAACAGAUCACUGGAUCCAUCAUACGCAGAAAAUUUCGGCACGAGGAACCCUCUUAGGGGUUCGUAGUUGAUAAAACGAGAAUUGAAAGGUGUGGAGAGCAUGUCAUCCAAUUGCUUGCUAAUGGAGCCUGGGGGGCUUCAUUUGUUGAAUCUCCUCCAACUCGUUGUAAUGGUUGGUGUGAGAGAUAGCCCUGUGUGAUGGAUACGACUGAGGAACUAGGGUAUGUUCCCUAUGUUAUGGCCAUGUGCGGCCUAUCUUUGCCAGGUGCUUGAGGUCCUAACCUUGGGCGCAUCGUGUCAGAUAACCGGGGCCUUUUAUCACGUUGCCUCUUUGACGAGACACGAGUAGAGUCAGAGCUUUCGUCCUGCGGUGCACGAUACGAAGGUAAAGAUCAUUCGUUAGGCCACACCCCACAUGCAUCAAGGGGAGUGUGGCCCUCAAUUUUGUCCUUUGAAACUUGCAUUUAUCCUAUGAGUGUCACAUGCACCCCUGUUUCCAUGUGGCACCACUAAGGCCUCCUUUUGGGCUUAGUCGAUAUUUGAGUCUUGUUUAGGUUCAUAUGUGGUUCAUUGUGGUGCAAGUAUGGUUCAUUUUGGAGUGCCAUCAUGGCCAUUUUCCUAGUUGUUGGCAUUGUGCCAUAGAAAGGAAGUGGGGUCGUCCCGAAAUUUUAGCUCAGCUGGAGCUCAUUGGAGUGUGUUGAAUUCGGAGCACUCAGGCUUGUUUUGAUCAUAUCUCCCUCAUCCGAACUCAGAAUCACACACCAUUUUUUUUCAUGGACUCCUUGUUCUUUAAAGAAUAUUUUAUCAAAAUUUCAAAAUUUUUCUCAACCAGCUCGACCAGUUCCUAAAGUUUCAGUUUGGGCAGAAUUCAUUGAAGCAUGUUUGAAUUCAGAGCACAUGGGUUUGUUUCGAUCAUAUCUCCCUCAUCCGACCUCGGAAUUGUGUACCAUUUUUUUCAUGGACUCCUUAUUAUUCAAGGAACAUUAUUUCAAAAUUUCAAAAUUUUUCUCAACCAGCUCAACCAGUUCCUAAAGUUUCAGUUUGGGCAGAAUUCAUUGAAGCAUGUUUGAAUUCAGAGCACAUGGGCUUGUUUCGAUCAUAUCUCCCUCAUCCGACCUCGGAAUUGUGUACCAUUUUUUUCAUGGACUCCUUAUUAUUCAAGGAACAUUCUUUCAAAAUUUCAAAAUUUUUCUCAACCAGCUCAAUCGGUUGGCACCUAGUUCAGCCGGUUUAUCGAGUCAGCUUGUAUGGAGCACUGAUUUUGGUGAUUUUGGAGCCCAAUUCCUACAUGGCUUGGGUCCAUAAACUCCAUAUCAGUUUUGGGCUGUAUUUUGGGUCCAUUUUGGGCCUUAGUUAGGAUUCCUUGCAGCCCACCAUGAAUCCAUAUGGAUCCUUGGUGGGGAAGCAAAUUGGAAGCUAAAGAUAGUCAGCUUGCAUGGAAAAUGAGGAGGGGAGUUAAUAGGGGAGCUGAUUUCGAGACUGAUUGGACCUCUUUCCAAAGCUUGAAAGAGAGAAAAACGAAGAGGCUUUGAGGGCUGGAGGUUUGAGACUAUAAAAGAGGAAAAAAUCAGGAUAGGAAGGGACUUCUUCUUCUUUUUUUAGUGAGAGAAAAUUUUGUGGAUUUUUGAGGGAUUUGAGAAGAGGCUUUUGGGAGGGUUUUUGUUUGUGAGUGGUCUGAGGGUGUGGGGGAAGCUGAAGAUAUCCCUGCCAUGCCUUGCAUACAACUAGAGAUGAUAGCAGUCUUGGAAGCCAAGCAGAUCUCUACUUGAGGGGAGUAUAAUUUGGUAAGCGUAAAUUGUGGUUUCAUGCAUGUUAUUCCCUUUCCCAUUGCUCUAUUCUCUCUUUAAUGUGAUGGCCAAAAAUUCCAUGGUUGUUUUGAAUGCUUGGGGAAUGGGGUAUGGUUUUCCUUUGCUUACUCUUGGUUUAUAUUUUAGUCUAAUGUUUUGGUUGAUGUGUCUCACUUUUCAUCGAUUUAGAGUGGCAUGACUCUGUCAUUUAUAAGGAACACUUGGCUUUGUUUUAGUUGGUUUUCACUCGUCCAGACUUGGAAUUGAGCACCGUUGCUUUUUUUAGAUUCUUUAUUCAUUUAGAAAUUUUCUAACAAAAAUUGGGAAUUUUUCUCAAUCGGAUGAACCGGUUCAGCACUACAGCUCACUAAUUUUGUCAGCUAUGAGGAACACCAGACCUUGUUUAAGUUGGUUCUCAGUCGUCCAAGCUCGGAAUUGAGCACCGUUACUUUUUUUAGAUUCCUUAUUCAUUUAGAAAAUUUUUGAAAAAAAUUGGGAAUUUUUCUCAAUUGAAUAUACCAGUUGGGAACCGGUUCAACCGGUUCAGCACUACAACUCACUGACUCUGUCAGCUAUGAGGAACACUUGGCCUUGUUUUAGUUGGUUCUCACUCGUCCGGGCUCGGAAUUGAGCACCGUUGCUUUUUUUUUUUAAUUAUUCCUUAUUCAUUUAGAAAUUUCUAACAAAAUUUGGGAAUUUUUAUCAACCGUAUGAACCCUUUGGGAACCAGUUCAGCAUUACAGCUCACUGACUCUAUCAGCUAUGAGGAACACUUGGCCUUGCUUUGGUUGGUUCUCACUCGUCCAGGCUCAGAAUUGAGCACCGUUGCUUUUUUUUAUUAUUCCUUAUUCAUUUAGAAAUUUUAUGACAAAAUUUGGGAACUUUUUUCAAUGGGUUGAACCAAUUGGGAACCGGUUCAACCUGUUCUGCAAGAGAACUAUUGGCAGCCCUUAGUUUUGGCAUUUUUCGAGCUCGUAUCCAUUGGGGCUCAAACCCAUUCGCUAUGGGGCACUUGUAGGCCAUCUUGAAGGUUGGAGUCUGUGUUUGGUUUUAGUUAGUGUGGGCCCAUUUUGAAGUUAUGGGCGGUGUGGUCUAGGUAAGGCUAGUUUGAUUUGUAUGACAUUUAAGGAGUCACUUACCUCAUUUCAACCAGUUUUCCUUCCCUUUGGCACAAACUUUAAUGCUUGAUUUUGAAUACAUAUUGUAUGGUUGACUCACCAUUUGUUGUAGUGCAUGGCUAGGGACCACAGAUACGUGCUUUGAUUUAAGAUUGAUGAAUUCAUAUGCAUGCAUGGUGCUUAAUCUUGAAUGCUUGUUAUGUGUUUAUGUGUGCUUGACUAAUCUCUUCUGUAGCGCAUGGCUAGGGACCUCAGGUACGCAUCAUUGGUUUUGGUUGAUGAAUUCAUAUGCAUGCUGAUUACUACCAAAAAGUGCUAUUUUGUAGACCUAAUUAUAAUGGUUUUAAGCACCUUUGAGUAGUAAUCAUAUUCAUUUAACCCAAUUAAUUCAUUAAGGUCCUUAGUAAUUGGUUUUAACCAUUUUGUGGCAAGUUUACAUGUUUUUAUCAGCUUAUGAAUCAAUUCAAGCAUGCCAAAUGAUGGAGGAGCUACUUGGACAAGUUAUGGAAAAGCUUUUGGAAGCUCAAAUUCAUGAAGAACCAAGCUUUGGAGCUUCAUAGCCCUUUGCCAAAGUCGUUCAAAGUAUGCUAGGAAAGAACAAUGGAGAAGAGGAAAACAGAGGACAGCAGCUGCAGUAUUCUUUCGCACUUUUGGAGCACUUCCCGAACUCCAUUUUUUACAUACUAUAUACCAUUUCAAAGCUAUGGAAGUCAAGAAUCCAACGCUUCAAACCGUGCACGAUUUGGAGUUGAAAUGAGGAAGAUAUGGCCUUCGGAAGCCAACUGCUCCAGGUUAUGCGAAAAUUUCGCAUAACACAAGGUGUUAUGCGAAAUUCGCAUAACAUUCGCAUAACACCUUCAAAAUUCGCAUAACCCAUGCGUGUUGCGAAUUUUGGUCUGUUUUUUCCGACUCCACUUUAGAUAUUUUCCUUUGUAUUUUGUGAUGUAAUUUCCUUUCUUAUCCUUGUAACUAACCAAUCACAAGCUUUUGCUUUUGUAAAGACUAUAUAAGGGGUGGAAAUCACCUCUUGAUAGAAUAUAGAACAUGCGUGUUACGUUUUACACGGAGCUCUCUCAUUUCUCUUUUCUCUUCCCCAUUUCUAUUUUCUUGGAAGCCAAACAGCCUCUGAGGGGUUUUCCUCAGAGGAUGAUUGGCUAAAACUUUUAGUUUCUCAAAGUAUGGAUGUUAUGUGAUGGCUUGGAUGCAAUCCCAUGGAAAUUUCUCGCACCCGGAAGGUAAGGUAGUCGUUUUUCAUUAAUGGUUCAUUAAUGCAAAGUUUGGUUUUUAUUUCCUUUGGACAGCUUCCAACGACCAAUACUUGAUAAGCUUUUGGAUUUCUAUCCAUUAGUUAUCUCCUACGAGCUAUUGGAAGGUGAGGUUUUCAAUUACAAGUUUUGUAUUAAUCCAUUAGAACCAAUUUCAAUGGCCAUUGAAAGGUGAGUUUAUCACUUGGAAUGACUUUGAGUUGCCAAUAUUUGGUAAGCUUUUGGCUUUAGACCAUUAGUUAUCUCUUACGAGCCAUUCAAAGGAAGUCUAAGGUGAAUAACCAUUGAUGAAAUUCACUACCAUCUGUUUUGCCAUUUUAAAGGAUUAAAACUUGAUUUGCUAAAUCCAUACCGGUUCGGGAAGCAAGCAUCACCAUAGUUGCAACCCCAACGCGAGGAGCCUAUCCUGAGAUUUCCAAUUUGCAUAAGAGCCAGAGCAUAGCUAUCCUAUCUUUGAGAAACUUGUUUUUACACCCUUUCAUUUUAGUCUUUAAUGUUAGCUUAGAUUAGUUUAAAUCUUUCUAAAAGAUUUACAUCUUCUUUUAAAGCUAACAUCCAUAAGAAAAUCACCUAUUUUCCUAAUUUGAAUAUCACUACUGUUUGCGAAAACCCUUUCCAGUGAACGAUCCUAGAACCACUAUGCUAUAGUAGCUUGGCUACUUUAGUAAUAGUAUUUAAGGUAUAAAUUUUUUUGAUACGCCUUUAAAGCUAAGCUACCAUGAGUCGCAUCAAAUGGCGCCGCUGCCGGGGAUCGACCAUGAGUUGAAUCAAAUGGCGCUGUUGCCGGGGAAGGUGCCACAAGCACAGUGAAACAACCAUUAAGGGUAACUUGUGAUCUUCAUCACAAGUUUGGUGAGUUUUCUUAUAAUUUUUUUAGUUUAGUUUUUAUUUAGUUAAUUUUUUUUUUAUUCUCUUUUUUUUUUUUUUUUUUUUUAAUUUCAAUUUGUGCAUUCCUUGUUGGAUUCGAGACCAAGAGGGAACCCUGGUACAAGUUGAAAAAAAGAGCCUUAGUUGAAUAUCAUUUUUUUUAGAAAUGGAAAUUCCACAUGAAGAUCAAAGCUCUCAUUAUGAUCAUGAGAAGGACAAAUUUGCAUACCUAUCCAUGAGGGAUCGGAUUGAAUUAGGGAAAAGGCAAGUUCAACAAAGCCAAUGGGGUAGUAAGUAUGCUUUGAAUGGAGAUGAUUCAUAUGAGCAUACGGUAGGGGAGUGCCCUACCAUUCCAACUAUGAGAGACAUGUACGGUUACCAAAGCUCCUACACCUCAAGUUGGAAUAACCAUCCCAACCUUACAACCCAACCUCAACCUCAACCAUCAAUGAGUACAUCUUCAUUGGAGCAAGCCAUUUUCAAGAUAAGCAAAGUCAUGGAGGACUUUGUAGGUGAGCAACAAAAGAUCAACUCUCAUCUUAAUGAAAAGAUUGAUAAUAUGGAGAGUUCAAUAAAUGUAAGAAUGGAGGGGGUUUAUAAUGAUCUAUCACUAAGGAUAGAAAAAGUUCAAGACUCCAUUGAGAAGCUCACCAAUCUCGACAUAGCAAGGGGGAAAAGGAAGCUUCCUCCUCAACCCCACCAUAACCUUCAAGGAACCAAUGCAAAAAGAUCAAGGAAAGUGUUGAAGAUCAACACUUUGGUGGGGGAUUGCUAUGACAACUCUAUGGACCAACCUUCCAUUGAAAAUCAUAAGGUUCAAGAUGACAAAGGGUUACCUGAACCCUUUAAAGCAUCCACUUCUCCAGGGAAGAGAAUAGAAACGAAUUCCCUUGGACCAAAUGGGAAGGAUGCCAAUUUUGUUUGGGAUCCAGGGGGAAUUCAGCAUGAAGUGGGUGUGUGAGUGAGGAUGAGCUAAAUAGUUCAUCUUCUUUUUGGGGUACAUGCUAUCAGCUUCAUUUAAAUUCUAUGCUUUCUUUAAAUUUAUGCAUGUUUUAAUUUGAAUUUUUAGCUUUAAUUUAGUUUUAAUAUGUUUUUAAGAUGAGUUUUGAAGUGUUCAUGCAGGUAGGAAAGCUUGAAGAAUGAAAUUAUGGUGAAAACAAGGGAAAAUGGUGAAAGCAAGGCAAAACAGGGGAGAAAAAAACCAAGUCUCAGCCAUUUUCGCACAACACUUCCUGUUAUGCGAAAUUUUCGCAUAACACACCCCUUAUGCGAAAAUGCUUUUGUGGCAAUUAAAAAAAAAAAAAAAAAAACAUGCUCUCGGUCCCUUCCCAAAAUCCCUUAUGCGAAUUUCACAGGAAUGCGAACCUUAUGCGAAUUCGUUUUUGGGACAAAUUUUCAAAACCAUGCUCUCUGUCUGGGUACUCAUAGGAAUGUGAAAUUUUCGCAUAACACAAGGUGUAAUGCGAACUUUGCAUUUCCUCUUUAAAGACCGUGUUCUCCUCUUCCCAUGCUCACUUUCUUCUUCAUUUCUCUCAACAUCUCUCUUCCGAUCACCCAAUCCAAGCCUUGCAUUUACCAAACCAAAGCCUCAAGCUAAGGAUUCAAGCCACGUUUUCUUCAAAGGAAACCCAUUUCCGCCGAGUAGAGGAGCUCCAAAUUUCAAAUUCUCUUCAUGAAAAAGCUCCAAUUUCCAAGCCUAACCACCAUGAAAAAUCCUUUUCCUACCUUAGCCAGCAUUUCCCACCCUCAAAAGCCAAAAAUUUUCACCAUUUGAACGAGCUUCAAAAUUGAAAAAAGGCGGGUGAAUAGUGCUUGUGCGAAAAUUUCGCAUAACACCCCCCCUUGUGCGAAAUUUUCGCAUAACACCCCCCCUUGUGCGAAAUUUUCGCAUAACCCUUCCCUUGUGAAAAUUUUUCAAUUUCUUCAUCCAUACCCUUCCCAAUCCCAACCCUUUGAGCCUUGUCCUCAACUGCUUAAAGUGGGACCCACUCAUCAUUUUUGUAAAUAUUUAGUAUAAAUUCCUCUCUCAUUCAAUUUUUGAAUUUUGAAAUAGGUGGUUCAACCUUCUCAACUCCAAGUCCACAUCACAUGAGGUACCACUUCCUUCCUCCUUAUUUUUCGAUUCAAACAUUGAGGACAAUGUUCAUCUCGGUUGGGGGGAGAGAUGAGGAAGUAAGUAUUAGUUUAAAUUUUUAUCAUACUUAGUUAAAUUAGCUACUUUUUGUUUAAAUUUUAAAAUUUUUGCUUUAAACUCCAUGGAUAUUAAGGAUUAACUCUCAAAAUUAAAUGAGAGAAAUCGAGUUUCAACUUGAUUACAUGAGUCUUAGAGUUUGUAUUAUGCUCUUCUAAAAGUUGAUGAAUUGUUGAAACUCCCAUAGCAUGCAAACUUAUCUCUUCCACCUUAAGCUAUUCGCACACACAUACAUUAGAUUUCGGUUAUAAGAUGUGAAACUAUCUCACCCUCUAAGCUUGAGAAAUCAUAAUUUGACACCUUUAACCUCUCUUUAAUAGUGUUGGGACACCUCAUAAAGACCAAUGAGUCUUUAAAAAAAUAAAAUAAAAUAAAAAAAGAAAAAAAAAAGAAAAAAAAAUAGAAUAAACUUCUUUGCUUGCCUUGAAACUUGAGCAUGGUCCGAAGGGGUGGCGAAAGCCUUUAAAGCCUGGUGCCCUAAGCCUUUAUUGGUUGGGAGUCACCGAUCCUCUGCUUGUUACAUGGGUGAAUUGGUUAAGUUUAGUAAGUGAAAAGAAUUGUGAAUAAAAGGUGCGUUCCUAGCCUAUCAAGAGAUGGUUAAUUUUGCUAAGCUUAAAGAAAGACUUAGGUUGGGGGGAGAUGAUGGUUAUCCAUACUAUACUCGGAAGCUAAUCACAUUAACACUUAGCUUUUAGUGGAAGAAUUUGAUUUGGAUCUUUUGAAAGUGGAAAUUCUUUUGAUGCUUAAACUUGCAUAAUAUCCAUUCUUUGUACUCUAUGAUCAAGUGAAUGCUUUGACAACUCUUAUUAUAGGUUGAGUUUCACAUCUUUAUUGAUCCAUGGAUGUCCAUCAUGCCACUCAUAUCAUUUUUUGGAGUGAUUUUCAUGAUCCCUUUUAUGUAUAUUAUUAUAGUUUACUUAGUUUUUAUCUCCUCCAUUGCUAAGGGACUAGCAAUGAGUCGGUUGGGGGGUGUGUCCUGCCAAAUACCAAUUAGGAUUGUGUGAUUCAUGUCAUCUAUUUAGCCUAGGGUUUUGUUGGAUCUUUGACCCAUAUGCUCCUAUGUGCCAAUUCACUAGUAGAGACCGAGUUCCGAGUUUAGAGGGGUGCUACCUCGCAUGAGGUACCUUCCCGAUAGGUAACCUGAUCCCCGAACCUAGACUCAUGUUUCGCAGACAAUUUUUUUCCUAAUUGGAGUCAUUUAGGGGUUUUUGGUUCUUACUUAAUUUUUCCCAUUGUAAAAACAAAAAUAAAAAGUAAGUGGCGACUCCAAAUAACACCGUUCCUCAUCGGGGACGAAUUUUUCAAAACUUGAAAACACAACUUUUCUUUUUUUUUUUCUUUUAAAAGUGAGUAGCACCGGUCUGCGUGGAUGGGGUGAGGGUCCACAAAUUAGCGACUCCUCUGGGGAUCGAACCCAGAAUCUCUGGUUUCAUAAGAGGAUCAAGCUUGAACUUGAGUUAGGUAUAUUGGAGCACAUGGUUCAUUGAUCAGUAGACUCUUAGUCUACAUAGAUGACUAAUGAUUACGUACUUGGUUGGUAUUUGACUUUAACAUGCUUGCUCAUUGUUGAUUGGUAUUUAGCUAUGACAUUUGGGAUUAGGCUUAGAUGAUCAAAUUAUGUGUAGAUGUGUGGUAAGCUAUCUCUUUGUGCAUGACUGCUCAUUCCCUUGCAUGACUGUUUGCUGCUUGUGUUUGUGGGGCACAUGUGUAUCCCCUUACUUCCGAAUCACUAGUCUUGGUCGACUAUUCCUCAUGGAUUGCUUAUGUUGCUUGGGAGUCAUUCCCAAUUGUUCGCCUUCGACCAAGCUAGGGGUUUGGAAUAGGGUCUAGCAUAAGGGCUAUAUCGAUGUUUGGGAGCACUAUGGAGAAGGUGGAUAUCCGAGUAAUGAAGACUUGUAUAGUCCUAAGCUGGAUUUCAUGGAUACAUGCAUGGCCAAUGUGUCACUUUGAUUGUUGGUUAGGAUCUCAGGUUAUGUAUCCUUGUGGGUACAGUCAUCUAGUCUUUUAGGACUUGCAUUUUUUCCUUGUUGGCUUCUGAGCCACCUUACCCUUGAGGUAUUACCAUGUCAGAAUCCCGCUCCUGCCUAUGAAGCCAUAUAUCAGAUUCGCUGUUGACAUCACACAUCAGCUCAUUCCUUUAGAGGAUUUCGUGGAUUGUUGAUUGAGACCGACCUGGGUACCCGAGCUUGGAUUCGGAUCAAAGGUAGACUUGUUAGAGGUUCAGAUCCACAUAGUCAGUUAGAGCAGACGUUAGAUCAUAGAGAUAUGGACCCUCAGUACGCUAGUAUCGACCAGUUGGGUGAGAUUACCGAUACCAUGGCAUCACUCUGGGAUGCUAUAUCAGGACUGGGAUAGAGGAUAGAUGGGCAUCAGGUCCCACCAUUUUCGAUUCUGAGGAGCAUCCCUCAUGACUCUACUGCACCCCCACUUCCACCACCGCCAUCUGGGUCUAUUGUACAACAGGAUUAUACAGUUUUACCUCUACCACCACCCCCAGUUCAGUCAGCCUCACAGGCUAGAGCUUUUGUUCUGCAUGGUCAGAUUGAGACCAUGCCACAUUCUAUUGUGGCUCCUACACCAAUUAUUGAUGACACUCAGGCCAAUAUCGAUAGGAUUGAGAAGAGGAUCAGGUCUCUGCAUGUUUUUGAUGGAGUUAUAGGUUGGGACGGGUACGAAGACCUUCCAGUGGCAGCUUUGCCAGUUGAGUUCUACAUGUCGAACAUUGAGAGGUACACGGGGAUAGGGUGUCCCCGUAUUCACUUAUAGUUGUAUAGCGCUGUUAUGCGCGGGCAUAGAUUGGAUGAGGCAUAGAUGAUCAUGUUAUUCCCUCUGUCAUUGAGUGGUGCCGCUCAGUGUUGGUUUGCCUCAUUGGACCCUUCGAGGUGUAGGACAUGGGCUAAUUUGGGACAGGAGUUUAUUAGACAAUAUUCUUUUAAUAUUGUAGUGGAUGUAUCCCGGAGGGAGCUAGAGGCCCUCAGGCAAAGGCCAGAUGAGUCAGUUACUUCAUUUAUCUCUCGCUAGAGGGAGAAUAUAGCAUAGAUUAUAGAUAGACCCUCAGAGCAUGAUCAGAUCAGCAUGAUUAUGCGAAGUUUGCAACCUCGCUUUGCCAGGCAUCUCAUGGGUUUCCCACAGACAGACUUUGGAUCAUUGGUUCAAGCCUCUAUGGCAUUGAGGAGGGCAUAUCUAGAGGAAUAUAGGUAGACUCUUCCCCUUCAGACUCAAAGGAGAAGAAGUUGGGGCUAGAACCCGGAUCAUCAUAUAUUGGUGCCAUUGGCGCGAUUGAGCACAGGUCCCCUCGUGGCCUUCCGUUUCAGAUACCGUUUUCAGACACUCCUUACCAGAUGAUACAAUAGGAUCAGUACAGACCAACUGCUCCUUUCAGGCCUAUAGGGCCUACUUAUCUACGUCCGCCACCACAACCAGUAUAUGCUACACAAGCGACUCAAAGGCCACUUGUACAGUACCAUCAGCAGCAUAGAGCACCGCCUCCACCGAGAUCGGCUAGGCAGUUCACACAGCUCGGGAUAUCUUUGAGCCGAGCAUUCCAGAGAUUGGUUAAGGGAGGAUUGAUUGCCCCGAUACCACCCAAACCACCACUACAACCUACCCCACCCAGAUUCAAGACAGAUCUUCACUAUGCCUACCAUUAGAGAGUGGGUUAUGAUAUAGACAGUUGUGCAGCACUGAGGCAUGCUAUUCAAGACUUGUUUGAUCAGGGUUUGGUUGAUUUAGGAUGUCUUGCAGUGACUACAGACCCACUACCUGCUCAUGACACUAGAGUUGUACCUCCACCCCCGGGGAGUGUACAUUUGAUUGUGGACCCGCAUUUUUCACAUGCGUCCCCACUCGAUCGGUGAGACUCGCUUUUUAUUUGUGAAAAAUUAAUUUUUGGAAAAAGUUAGAGUCGCCACUUAUUUUAUUUUAUUUUUAAAGGGAAAAUAAAACAAGAAAUAAAACCCUAAAAAAAUGACUCCAUAAUUCUUGGAAAAAGCAUGUCUGUGAAAAACCCAAGUCUAAGUCCGGGGAUUAGGUUACUUAUUGGGAAGGUACCUCUAAGAGGUAGCACCCCUCUAAGCCCUAAAGAGGUCUCUACUGACUAAGUUGAGGGAAAUAUAGCAAUUAACCGAUUAAUCAUGGAUACCUAAGUAGGCUAGGUGAUUUCGAAAAAUAGCAUGCUUAUCACAAUCAAAUCGCAAUAAAGGAGAGUUAGGGUGCGUACCUGAACCGCUUCUCAAGCGCUAUCAUAAAACAUAAAAGUCAGUGUAGAAAUCUAUCACACAACAUGUGUCUUAUCCAAGCAAAUCAAGCAUAUAUUUAAACACCUAAGAAUCACAUCAUGCAUGGAUAUAGUCAUCAAUGGCAUACAUGUCCAUAGAGUUAAAAAAAUUGGGUGAGAAGGAGCGUACUUGGAUAGUAAGCUAAAGCGCGUUUAUAGGAAACAAGUUUGCAUAAUAAUAAGUGCGAAAUAAUCUCAUAUGCCACAAAGAGGAAGCACAAUCAAUCAAAUAUCAAGCAAACAAUAUUGAUGAAAAUAUCAUGGAUGUCGGGCCCCCACCAAAGCCCUAAUUAAUUUUGCAUGAGUUGAUUCUAUGAAUUCCAUUGUUUGGAAUCAUGAAAUUUGUUCAUGCUUGAGAAAAUCGAGAAAAAUUAAGAAAAUCAGUUGAAAAUCAAAUAAAAUAGCAAAAACGCGUGCCGGAAGGAAGAUGGCAGCAAGAGUGUGUUAGAAUAUGGAUUUUAUAUUUAGAAAGGACCUAAGAUGAAUUUUUCAAAGCCAUGAAUGUUUAGUUGAACAAUGGUUCAAAAAUUCAAUUUAAAAUAGUAAGUUCCCAAUCAAAUAAGCAAAUAGAGGAGAAGGUGUGUAUAGCAAGGUUGCCAUGAAGUGAAGCCGGGAGAUUCUGGAUAGAGGGGACCAAUUCACUGCAAAAGUGUUCAAUUGUCAAAUGCUUCAACUUAAAAGACAUCUUGAUUUGUAAGCUCAACUAGAUUCUCCUCAACAUGAGUGAGAUACUGAAUAGAAGGUUUAGAAUUUCCAAUUUUCUACAUUGAGAGGUUUCCUGUAUUCUGCUAGCUUUCAAUUGAUUAAGCCUUUCAACUUUUACCUCAAUCUGCCAUAAUAGAGUUUGAUUCAUGCGGUCUGUGGUCAAAUAAACCAUUUUCUGCAUACUUAAGCUUCCUGUGUGAAGACUUCGUUACUUGGAGAGACAUCCUAACUACUUCGAAUACAUGAUUCAAAUUCUGCUGUUUGCUGAGGGAUUCCAAUGGAGAGCAAGAAUGCUUGGAUAUUGUACUUAACUUCUGACACACACGGAGACCAUCUUAAACAAUCUGCACUGAACUUGGUUUUCAUCUUUAAUGAUGGCGUUUGAUCUGUAUUUUUAUUAAAAGCUCUACUAAUUCCAUAACAGUUCCAGAAUUCUGCAUCAAUUGGUCUCUUAGAUGGACAAACAAACAAAGUCGAUAUGUGCUUCCUAUUUAUUCAUCAAGAGCAAACUAAGGAUACCCUUGAUGUGAUAGGCAGCUAGAUCAGUUUCAAUUUCCACAGGUAUAGAGUCCUUUUGCUGUCCUGAACCCCAUUGCUUUGAGAUCAAUAUGCUUGAUAGCAUUUGAUUUGGCUGUAACUCGAUUUUCAAGUUCAUAGUUUUCUUUUGCUGAAGCCAAGAUUCAUCCGCUUCUCAAGUAUCUCUAGAAAUUAAUCAUGCAACCUCGAAGCUCUAGUUUGUCGUGUGUCUUGCUCUUUCCCCUCCCCCUUCUUCUUACUCUGUUUCUGCCAUGAAUCAAUCGUAAGUGAAGUAUGUCCAGUUCUUCACAAUACUAAUGACUGGUGGGGCAGGCUGAUGUUGAGUGAAGCCUUCUGUAGACAAAGGUAUUAUGUAGAACAAAUAGACAUUACUUCAGAAGACUGGGUGAGAUUAAAUCAUGGCAGUAGCCUGAGUGGAACUUCAAUCCCUGAUUUUUCCACAAUUAAUCAGCAAGCUUCAGAAUUCUCCUUGUUCUAUGAACCGGGAUCAUCACAUAAAAGGCUCAAAGUUGGACGGUCAGAUGGACUUGGAGACAUCAAGUGCUGCAAAAGGGAUGCUUGUUCAGGAAAUUCAGCAACCCAAGAAGAAGGAAGUUCUCCCUCCUACUUCAGAUUAUUAAGAACGAUGCUUCUCUCCAUUGCUAUUCCAAACGAGUGCCAUAGUUCAAAGAAUACAACUCCUAAAGCUGUACAUGUCAGCCUUCUCAUCAAUCUUUGACCACCGGACAGUAUUCCAUCUAUAUAUAUAAAUAUGUUGAUUCAAGCUUAGUCUCAUGCACAUUUAUAUCUGCCGAGUUUGCACCUUUGUUGCAAAUUGACAUAUCUUGCAGAAACAAUUGGCUGUUGUCAUCUGUAUUUGAGCAUGGAACAGCAGCGUGUGAUUGACCAAUUGGAACAAUUUCAGAUAGGAACUCUCGAGAGGGAGCUUGCUUCUAUCCAGACCAUUCCCCUUUUGUUUAUUAUGUGAAACAUCAUUAGCCGAAUCUUGACCAGCACUGUCGUGUGUUAUUGGUGAGCUUGUUGGGAUCUUGUUUUGGGCAAGAUAAUGAGAUCCCUCAGUUAAUUCGAGAUCCAUAUCAAUUAAAACGCCAGAAUUACGGAUUUCCCAUGCUUUCUACUAGGCAGCGGUUGUCAGUUCUUUCUCUUGCUCACUUCUACUGGCAGUGGCCUGACUCCCCAACAAAACCCCUGAUGCACCCUGUAGCUUCUCAUUUAAUUCUGGAUUCUUAUCAGCAUCACUUUCUGUCAUUGAUGAGCUUCUAGGAUGUUUAUUUUUGACAGGAUUCUCUGACUGCUCAUAAUGAGUUACAAAUUCCCCAUAAUAGAAUAUUAUGAUCGUCGGCCUUACAGUAUUGUUCUUUUAAAAUUUUCUGCUCACUGGAUAGUCAUAGUUCAAACCAUCUAUAUCAAAAGGCUUUCCCAGGCACUCAUCUUCAAAACCAUAGAUCCGGCAAGUCUACAACCGUCUGAGCAUACUCUUCAAAAAUCCAGUCUCCCAGCAUGGCAUAUGACACUGAUAAGAUUGAAUUUUCAAAUUUCCGACUUAAAAGUCUUGGGCAUUAGCUGGAAGUUAUGAGGUGGCAUACGUAAACGGGUAAUGGACGAAAUAACGCUUGAAUUCCUUUGAACAUUCCAUUUCAAUAGUUGAAGAGAAAUGUGUCUUCGAAUAACUCUUUUGCACUAUAGAUCAAAUCGACCAAUAUUCUGUAAAGCUGAACAUUUAUCAAUAACUGCAUCGGACGCCUCACAACACUCCACUGCAUUAUGGAACAAACUGGUUACCCCGGUUCUCGUCAUUGACCAUAUCCAAUCAUUGAGACUCCCCGAAUCACUAUGCAUAGGAGAGCCAGCAUGCGCUGAGGACAGCUUCACAUACUCAAUAAUAAAAUUCCUUGCAUUCAGAUUCAUACAUCUUUCUAUAGGACUUGUAAAACUAUUAUUGAAAGUGAAAGGCCCAGGUUGCUUUCAGAUGACGUUAAGGGAACCUCUUCUCAUAGAUCCGGUGGAAAUAUAGUAAUCACUGAGACAAUAUCCAUUUCAGUUGGUUGACUUUCCAGUUCCUGUGAUUGAUGCAGCCUUUGUGCUUGAAAGUAAAGUACCACAAUAUCGCUCAAGUUGAACAUUAGAUAAUAGAAUAGGAAGCCAAUACUCAACAAAUCUAGAAGAAUCUGACUUGCAAUCAUAUGCAGUAAACUGUGACAACCUCUCUUUUAAUUUACUAUCAUGGUCAUCGUAGUCAAUUUUCGUAACAUUGCCACUAUUUACAUUAUCGCCAGAGUCAAGACAUGACAGGAGAUUCACAAACUCCAACGUAUUCUCCUUUAUCUAACCACUGAAAAGAAGAAGCCUUAAAUCAGCCACAAGCAUCUUAUAUUCUGCGAAGUGUGAUAAAAAUUGGGGUGUUUACCUUCAUCAAUUAUGACAGCUUCCCACUUUGAUUCAUAUCUCCAUUCACUCUAUCAUUGACAUUGAAAAUUGGGUGUGAAAUCUUUACAAGGGUAGUAGAUGGCACAUUGGCAAAAUGAUCAAAGUCAAGAAGGUAAGCUGCCACUUUUCUGUUCCGCCUUAAAAAUUUCAACUAUGUGAUGGUGUGAUGUAUUUGAUUCUCUACUAGAGAAAAAGAACAAGAUCUGCUUUAUUAACUGUUGGUCUCUGUCUUGCUAGUACUUUUUCAAAAUUAGUCCUUGAGAUGGGCGGAGGGAGGACCUUUGAAGCAAGGCUUUGCACUUCAAUCUCCUGCAAAGUAACCUGAACAGCUCCGCGUUGAAUAGGGUCACAAGGGACCCAGAUGUUAUUGGAAGUUUUUACAAAGUAAGAAGCAUCCUUAAUUUUUAGAAUAGGUUCAAAUAGUACAUUAUUGACACAAACAUAAAUAUCUGAACCAGAGAAUCCAUCAGUUCUAUAAGCCAGGUGUUCAAAAUCACGUUCAGUCAAGUUAUGAGGAGUGUCUCCCAGAUGAACCUUAAACAUGUGCUGCCUUGCUUUCAAAUCUGGAAGAGGAAUGUAGAUUCGCUUGUCAAAUCGCCGUCAGAUGGCCUGAUCCAGGGAAUAGAGAGUGUUUGUGGCUGUAAGAACAAGAACUUUCUGAUCAUUGUGCCCUACACCCUGCAUCUGAACAAGAAGCUCGGUUUUAAUACAUCGAGAGGCUUCGCUCUCAUUGCCUUCACCUCGUUGGCCAACAUAAGGAAUCAAUUUCAUCAAUGAAAAUGAUGGAAGGAGCACUUUCACGAGCCAUUUGAAACAGAUUUGAGACUAGCUUUUCAUUUUCACCCGUCCAUUUUGAAACUAGAUCAGAUGAGGGCAUAUUGAAAAAUGUUGAGUCUGCUUCUGUUGCAAUAGCUUUGGCUAAGUAUGACUUCCUGUUCCAGGUGAACUAUAUAAUAGAAAAGCCCUCUAGGGCCGUCUCUUCCCAGUAAAGAACUGUGGGAACUUAACAGGCAAUAUGAUAGCCUCUUGCAGUGCCUGCUUGGCGUUCUCAAGCCCAGCCACAUCACUCCACUGCACAUUUGGCUUCUCAGUGAUUAUAGCAGAAUUAAGCCCUACCCUAAGCUUGGCUUGCUCCACAUCAUCCCCAUCUCCAUUCUUGGGCUGUCGUAUUCAUCAUUGUAAAGAUUGCUUCCAGCAUCUCAUUUUGUUCAGCCAAACCAUAAAAUUUACCUUGAAGCUCCUCAUAUUUUCUUUUCAAAUCAUCACUUGGAUUUGAGCUUGCCUGCACAUCAUCUUUCCAGGCAUCCAUAACCACAAAACCAGCAUCAAAGUAUGACCCUCCCACUGAACUUUUCUGAUCUCAAUCAGUCAUAGGCAAAGAGUUCCCAGUAAUUGACCUUGCCAACCAAUCAAUGCAGUCUGGAAUAAGAGUGCUCUGGCAACUCUAGGUCUUCUAAGAUCUCUUCUAUUCUCUGAAGCACAGAAUCUUUCAGAAGGAAUGACUCUCUCAAUGUAGUUGCUGUGUUGCGAAUAUAUAUGAAAGCUCAGAUUCUAGGGCUUCCACAGUUUCUUACGAUCAACUCUUCCUCUCCAUACACACUGUGUGGUGACUGCCGCUUUCUUUAAUCUCGUAUAAUGCAAGUGAGCUAAGUAUUUGCGGCAUUGACUUUGGAUAGCAAUUGCUGCUCUUGUCUACCUCCUGGAGCGAAACUCAUUACGAGCAGCCAAGCCACGCAUACCUCUCUGAAUGCAAAGAGCAGAGGAGCACAAUUCUCUAUAAGCUUUCAUACGCAAAUCUUUCUGGAUCCUUAGAACAGAAACUUCUCUCCGCAUACUCUCGUAAACUUUGCGAGUUAUCAUCUGUAUUGCAGAAUGACGCAUUGAGAUGAAACUUCUGUGAGACAAAUAGGAACAAACUUUCUUCUGGAUAAUGCUGGCAAGUCUUCUUAAAACCCCACUCAUUCAGAACUGCCAUCCAAAACUUCAGGUAUGGUACUAUAACAGUUUGCUGGCAAUCUUAAGAAAUUCUAAAUCACAUCUGCGCAAGGCUCAUUAACCCAGUGAUCAUUUGUGAUCCUUUCAUCAAUAAACUAUAUCCUUUAAUGAAGGCUUCGUUUCUAUAAUCUCCUCAACGUUGUCCUUGUCUUCUAUAACCCCUUGAGCUAAAGACGUCUCCUUCCUUCUAGCCAGAGCCUUUUCCACCUCUGUAAUUCUAUGGCCCUAAGCAAUCCCAGCAAUAGAACACUUGAUAAUUUCUAUUGAGUUGCAGGUCGAGGUUUCUGUUUUUAUCAGGAAAUAUGGUAUCUACUUGGCUAAGCUCCUCAUUCAAUUUGUUUGCGAGAAAAUUGGUAAUCUCAGUCUUUAAGGCCUGAAGUGAUCCAUCAGUAUCCAUCACAUAGUCCAUACAACUGAGAGCAAUCUUCAGAAGGUCAGACACACAAAUUUGGACAUGGGGGAUAAAUUUUGAAACACAUCAGGAAUGGUGUCUGACGCUUGUAGAUGGAGUGGAAGAAAUUGCUUCAACUGCUUUAAAACACAAACUGAAUUAGACUAGCAGCUCGGCUCUCACCAUACAAUCUACCAUGGGCCAAAGUACAAACUGCUUCGAAGAGACACUUAUUAAUUGUAUCCGAUGCUAUUGAAAAUGCUCCGAUUCUCUUCUAAAUUUCUAUAGACCGGUCAUACAGCCUAGCAUCCUGACACUAGUGAGGAGCUCCAAGCAGAAAUUGUUAUCUCGCUUUUACAUCAGUCAGAAAACGAGCCAGUCCACCUUCUUCUCCAGUUCCUCUCAGACCAAGUAAAAGAUAAAUCCCACCAUCCCUUAAUAACAAUUCUGUGAGGAGUGGCUUCAGCAUCAAAUUUCUCUGCCAUUGCUGGUCUAUGUUGCCCCUUCCAGUUCAUGACAACUAUCCACCUCCUUCUGCUACAGCAGCUUAUGUAUAAUAUUCUAAUGCUGUAAAAUAAAAAUAAAACUUCACCAGCAUGUAAAUGCACUGAUCCAUAUUGUCGGAUUAUACUAGAUGCCUCUGCAAAAACAUCCAUCACUCCUAAUUUCUAUCUUUCCAGCUCAGUAAAUCGAACAUAUUGUUUAGACUUUCUAGCGAAACCCUAACAAACCUCCUCAAGAAGUGCGAAGGGAAUCAAAGAUAUCAGAGAUGCCCUUCAGUGCAUUGAAUAUGAAAUCAUAGUGAAAUAGCAGAGCCUUUCCCCGAUUAUAGGUCUGAAACGAUGCUGAAUCUCAACUCAGAGUUUUCAUGAUUCGUUUUUCAGAGUGACCGCUGCUUCAUACCACUGCUUCCUACCGUUGCUGGUGAUGAUAUUGAUGAUAGCAAAUUGAGAAGAAGGAUUAGAGGGCAUAGUAGGCGAUGAAAUUACGGAGAGGCAGAAAGGGACUGAUGGGGGAGGAAUCUUGGCCUCCUCUCUCUCUGUUCUGCUUCUUCCCGAUAAUAUAUAUAUAUAUAUUUUAACACCAGCCCUAGAGUACAAGCCUCUCUUUAAAUUCGAGGCAGAGAUCUCUAUAGCUUACUCUGUUCCUUUAUAAUUUAAACGAUGAGCAUUAUCGAACAUCAUCAAAGUACACAUCUGAUGUAUGUAAACACUCAGUUUAUGCUUCUGACCCCUAACAAAAGUUGCUCUCAAAUCAGCCAUACCCAUAUCCGUUUGCCAAGACAAUCUCCUCCCAACGUGGGUCCUGAGGAGAUAACCUCUAAAUUCGUCACAUCUUUCCCAGAUUUCUACUGGGGGAGCUGCGCAUAUCAAUUGACUGAAUUGACCAAGACCUUCGCGGUAAGAAUCUGGGCAACAAGUGAGGAUUGUCCCCUGUUUCAGCAGAUGAACUCGCAUAGAAACCCUACAUCUUCUUUCUAUCUCAUCCUUCCAAAUUCGAACCCCCACUCCAGCAAUUCUUAGAAGAAUCUCAUAAGCAAGCAUCGGAAAGAGAGAAUGGUAACCGAAAACAGAGUACCAAAUGAGAAGAAGAAAGGAAAGAAAAAUAAAAUAAAAUAAAAUAAGAACAGAACUAGGAAGAGCCACGUUUCAUAUUUCGAAUCAACGGGCUUUGAAAAGGUGAGGCAAGCAUAAAAAAGAGAUAUUUGAUCAACAAACACCAGACUCAAGAAUGAAUCCGACUGCUCAAAAGGAGAAGAAAAAUCCAAAUUCAGCAAACAAGCAGGUUAGUCAUCGUGGCAUUCAUACUGAUACAAACGAUGUUUUGGAAUCAGCAAGAGAAUCAAAGAGAACAAAAUGCGAAUGAGAGUAUAGUAAAUAUCAGGAACCGACCUCAACACAACAAUUUGUGGCCCUUUCCGUCCACACCAAUCAACAAUAUAAGAGUAUUCAGAAACGAACACACGAAAAAAAAUGGCUAAGAAUUCCAAGAGUAAUCAGAAGCAUACCUGGAUGAACUCGAUUAGACUUGCUCCUUUCCCGCUCCUUUGUGCUUUCUCCUCAAAAAUCCUCAGAAUUUCUCUCAAUCCUCCAAUGCGUGCUUCCGCCCCCCUGUUCUUUUCCUUUUCUCCACCUAUAUAUAUCACCCCUCAAGACCUAAAUUUCUUUCCAAAAAGGAAAAUUCUCCUAUCUCCUUUCUUCUUCUCUUCUUUCUUUUAAAUCUUCCAAUCAAAAGCCAUCUUCUCAAUUUCAAAUUCCCCUCCAAAACCUUCCAAUGAGAGUCCCACCUUCCUUAAACUCCAAUGGUAAGUUUCCUUGCAAAAGCAUGAAAUUUUUGAAAGUAAAUAAUUGAAUGAGUAACUAAAUAAGUAAACAAACUAGAGGACAAUAAAAAAAAAAUAUAAUGAAUAAUCAAGUUAAGAAAAAUAAUAUAAAGAGGAAGAAAACAAAUAAAAAUAAGAGUGAUUGAUAAUCAUAAAACUAAAACUAAGAAAUAAAAAUAAACAAAUUAACAAAAACUAGGCCCCAUGAGUCAUGCAACCGUGUAAGUCAUACAAAAAGUGAGUCUAGAAGUGCCUAAUGGGCCAAGUGUGCCUAAGUGGGCCUAGAGCGGUGCCUAAAGGCUAAGUGUAUCUAAAAGCUAUCCUAAAAAAAGACAAGAAAAGCCUAAGUCUAAGUUAGGGCUGCCAGGGGUCACAAUAAGGGAUCAAAUAAUCCCUCAACCAAAGUCUCCGAAGUGACUCAGAAAAAGGUAAGUCGUACGAGUAGUAAUGGGCCACCAAGGAACUACCGUGGAGCACUGGAAGUGAAUUUAAAGACAUGUGCUUAAGGAACAAAAUUGAGGGUCUACAUUGAUUGAGUUUUCAGGAGAUGAGAUAUUUAUGAUGCGAUGGGAUGGGAUGGAGAGGCUCCUCAGCCAAUUAGUCUAUACGAGGACUUAGAUUUUAGUGGAUAUAUCCAUGGACAGUAGGUCCUCAGGCUUUUUAUAUUGAUUCCAGAUGAGGUUCCCCGACAGAUAGCAGUUUCACUAGUAUACUUGCAGCAUGUUCCACCCAUGACACCCUUCAUUUUGUUCCCGAAGGAGUAUGGGCCAGUACAUAGAGAUGUUCAGAUUGUUACGAGAAAUGAGAGGGUAGCUCAGUUCCCACCUGUUGAUAGACCUUUUGUUGGCAUUGAUGCUAAAGAUGAGAUUCAGAUGGAAGAUGAUGAGAUUUUGUGCCAGCUGCGCACCACUCAGGCCCACAUUUCCAUUUGGAGUUUAUUGGCCUCAUCCAGCACACAUAGAGACGCAUUGAUCAGAGCUCUUAGUCAUAUUAGAAUUGAUACUACUACCACCCUAGAGGGACUGAUCCACUUUCUGACAAUGAAUAGGGCUACAUGCAUAGUGUUUUCUGACGAUGAUUUACCACCUGAGGGAUCAAACCAUGUUCGUCAUUUGUUCAUCAAUGUUGCUUGUUUAGGUCGUAGGGUGUCGUCUGUCCUGCUGAACAACGGCUCCGCCCUGAAUGUUUGUCCAUUGGUUACUGUCAUUGCUUUAGGAUUGUCACCAUCCGAUUUUGGGCCCUCCACACAAACCGUUAAAGCUUAUGACGGGACUCAAUGGACAGUUAUGGGUACUCUCGCUACACAUGUCAUGAUAGGGCCGGUCAGAUACUCUGUGUUUUUCCAAGUUCUGAGGAUUUAGUCAUCCUAUAACCUGCUUUUGGGUCGCCCUUGGAUUCAUGGGGCGGGUGUUAUACCAUCUUUCCUUCAUAAGAAGGUGAAGUUCAUACACAAGGGGCGCAUUAUCACGAUACAGUCUGACAGAGACGUUGUUACCUCUUCCGAGCUAGUGUUACAGAUCAGUCACAAUGAGAAUGACCUACAUUUGACCGGGUUCACUUUUGAUGAGGUUCAGGUUGUCAGUUUAGAGGAUGACAGCAGAGACAUGGUACCUAUGUCUUUUGAUUAGUACAACAGCACUUUGGUACUCAUUAUGAUGAGAGACAUGUCCUAUAUGCCUGGCAUAGGAUUAGGUCACCGCCAGUAGGGGUCGUGUGAGUUUGCUUUCACAGUUGAUCAUGACAUACCAUAUGGAUUGGGUUACACUCCUAUGGAGGACGAUGCAUGACACAUGGCGCGGUUAUGCCGGGAUAGGGUAAGAGCUCGCUUGUCCGGGGUUCCAUUUGAUUACCCUCUUCGCUGAUUACUAUUCAAAAAGUGCAUUUUUAUAAGCUUAAACUUAAUUGUACUAAGCACUUUUGAGUAGUAAUUAGACCUUUUUAUCCCAAUUGACAUGUUAAGGACCUAGCGAAUGUUACUAACCAAUUUCUGGUAAGUUUUAGUGUUUUUGGUAGCUUUUUUAUCACCGAAACAGGCCAAGAUUGAGGGAGAGUUUUGUGCAAGCUAUGGCAAGGCAAGUUGAAGAUCAAUCACAUGAAGAAUCCGAGCCUUGGAACACUUCAAAACCCCUUGCCAAACUUGGAAAGGGGUUGGAAAAGCUAUCAGUAGUAAGAUGGAGGAAAACAGAGCAUUUCGCAAGACAAAAUCAUCAAUUUCUCAAGGUAUGCCAAAAUUUUGGCAAGGUGUGCCAAAAUUUUGGCAAAGUGUGCCAAACUUUCGCAAGGUGUGCCAAAAUUUCGCAGGGUGUGCGAAAAUUACUUUGUGCCCACCGACCUUCUGGAUUUUUCUCUAGAAUUGUAAUUUUUCCUUUUUACUCAUUUUGUAAUAGAUAAAAAACAUUAGGGUUUGUUUAGGAACUAUAAAUAGGGGUUGGAAAACCUCUCAUAUGAUGUUAGAUAUUAUGUUUUAGAUCUUUUAUAAAGUCUGGUUUUUCUCGGUCUUUCCUUCUCAUUUUCUCUUCACUUCUCUUUAGCCAAACACCCUCUAAUGAUGAUUUCUCAAAGGAUGAGUGGCUAAGUUUCACGUUUCUUGGAGUGAUGGAAGCUAGGUAAAGGACCCGAAUGCAAAGGUGGGAGUUUUCCUUAUUUUAAAUGAAGGUAGUUAUGUAUCAUUAAUGGUUGUAUUUCAAGUUUCAGCUUUAGUCCCUUAGAAUCACCUUGAAUGUCCAAUACUUGGUAAGCUUUUAGGAUUCUAUGGAUGCUUAUUGCUAGAUCCAUGGAUAUCCAUUAGUUAUCAAGUACGAGCCAUUAGAAGGUGGUUCAAGGUGAGGGUCUUUAGUGUUUAGAGCCAUUAAUGGGAAGCAACUAUCAUUUUUCAAGAAUCCUUUGGAUCAAAACUUAUUUGCUAAAUACAAAUCCGGUUCGGGAGAUAACCAUCCUUUAUGUUAUUAUCCCCAAUGCGAGGAGAAGAUCCGAAAACUUCUCUUUAUAGUAAUUUCAGUUGUUUAUGUUUGCUUAACUUAAAAUCACACCUUCCAAUCAAUCUUAUUUUCAUUAAAAACUAACUUUCAAAAAGGAAAUCACCAUUUCUCCUUUCAUUAAAGUCAUGUGUACAAUGAAAACCCAUCCAUGUGGACGAUCCUAGAGCCACUAUACUAUAGUAGCUUUGUCUUUGCUACCCUAGUAUAAGGUGUUGUAGGUUUUAUAAAUGUUUUGAUAAACACCCAAUUGGGCAUGAAUCAAAUGGCGUCGUUGCUGGGGAUGGUGCCUAAGUACAUAAAUGUUACCCUUUAUGAGUACUUGUGAUCUUCAUCACAAGUUGGUGAUUUUUCUUUCACUAACUCGUUUUCUUUAUUUUUAUUUGAUCUUAUCUUUCAUUUAAUUUUUAGCUAACCUUAAAUAUUUUCCUAGAAUUGUAGUCCUUUUUGUUUUCGUUGUUUUUGUUUCAGUAAUCUCGAGUUGUGUAUGCCCUAUUGGAUAAGACAUGUUGAGGGAAGACUUGUGAAAAUUGAAACUCCUCAAGAAACUGAGUUGGAAGUGUGCUUGAACAUCAUGGAUUGUCCACUUGAAGAUCAGCAUAGCCAACAUGGGCAAGAGGAGAAUCUCAAUGCAUAUCGAUCCAUGAAGGACCGCAUGCAUCCACCUCAAAUGAGUGCACCUUCAUGCAUAGUGCCUCCCACUGAGCAGCUAGUGAUCCGACCUCAUAUAGUGCUGCUUCUACCUACUUUCCAUGGGAUGGAAAGUGAGAACCCCUAUUCCCACAUCAAGGAGUUUGAAGAAGUGUGCAAUACAUUCCAAGAAGGAGGAGCUGCAAUUGACUUGAUGAGACUCAAGCUAUUCCCUUUCACCUUAAAGGAUAAGGCCAAGGUUUGGCUUAAUUCUCUAAGGCUAAGGAGUAUCAGAACGUGGAUUGAUUUACAAGCUGAGUUUCUUAAGAAGUUUUUCCCUACUCAUAGGACCAAUGGCUUGAAAAGGCAAAUUUCGAACUUCUCAGCAAAGAAGAAUGAGAAAUUCUAUGAGUGUUGGGAGAGGUACAUGGAAGCUAUCAAUGCUUGUCCUUAUCAUGGCUUUGAUAUAUGGCUCUUAGUGAGUUAUUUCUAUGAUGGUAUGUCUUCCUCUAUGAAGCAACUCUUAGAUACCAUGUGUGGAGGAGACUUCAUGAGUAAGAAUCCGGAGGAAGCUAUGGACUUCUUAAGCUCUGUUUCUAAAGUUUCAAGAGGAUGGGAUGAACCGAAUACUAGAGAUGUGGGGAGGAUGAAGUCUCAGCCCAAUGCUAAGGGUGGAAUGUAUGUGUUGAGUGAAGACAUGGACAUGAAAGCAAAAUUUGCAACUAUGACAAGGAGAUUGGAAGAGCUAGAACUGAAGAAAGUACAAAAAGUACAGGCCAUUUCCGAGACAUGAGUGCAAGCUAUGCCUUGUUCCAUAUGUCAGUCUUAUGAGCACUUAGUAGAGGAGUGUCCAACCAUUCCGGCAGUGAGAGAAAUGUUUGGUGAUCAAGCAAAUGUGGUUGACUAAUUCAAGCCUAACAACUAUGCUCCUAAUGGAAGCACCUACAAUUCUAAUUAGAGGAACCAUCCAAAUUUCUCAUGGAAGCCAAGGCCACCUCAAUACACACCACUAGCUCAAGCACCUUAACAAGCUUCAAGCCUUGAACAAGCCAUUGUGAAUCUUAGCAAGGUUGUGGGAGACUUUGUGGGAAAGCAAAAGUCAAUCAACUCUCAAUUGAAUCAGAAAAUUGAUAAAGUGAAGAGUACAUUGAAUAAGAGGAUGGGUGUAAUGCAAAAUGAUCUAUCUUAGAAGAUAGAUAAUGUUCAAUACUCCAUCUCAAGGCUAACCAACCUCAAUACUGUACAAGAGAAAUGAAAGUUUCCUUCUCAACCUCAUCAAAAUCCCAAGGGUAUUCAUGAAGUAGAAGCUCAAGAAGGAGAAUCUUUAAAGGUGGGGGAAGUGAAGGAAGGUGAAGGAAGUGAAUCAGAAAGAAGUGAAUCAUGAUGAAGGAAGUGAAUUAGAAAGAAGUGAAUCAUGAUGAAGGAAGUGAAUCAUGAUGAAGGAAGUGAAUCAUGAUGAAGGAAGUGAAUCAGAAAGACAUGGGUGAGAAGAAUUCAAAGGAAGGUGACCAUGAUUCAAGUGUGAAUGAAGAACCAAGGAUAGUCAUCAAGGAAUAUAUGAUGAAAAAACACAUGCCUCCACCUUUCACUCAAGCUUUGCAUGGUAAGAAGGGAACCAAGAAUACAUCAAAAAAAUUUGAAGUGUUGAGGCAAGUGAAGGUCAACAUUCCUUUACUUGACAUGAUCAAGCAAGUUCCAACUUAUACCAAAUUCUUGAAGGACUUGUUCACUGUAAAGAGAGGGUUAAAUGUGACCAAGAAAGCCUUCUUGACUGAACAAGUAAGUGCUAUCAUCCAGUGCAAAUCUCCAAUGAAGUAUAAAGAUCUAGGAUGCCCCACCAUUUCAGUAAAUAUUAGAGGGACAUGUGUGGAGAAAGCUCUUCUAGACUUGAGAGCAAGUGUGAAUUUGCUACCCUAUUCAGUUUACAAACAAUUGGGACUUGGGGGGUUGAAGCCCAUGUCCAUUACUCUCUCCCUAGUUGAUAGAUCAAUGAAAAUCCCAAGGGGGAUAAUUGAGGAUGUCUUGGUACAAGUUGACAAAUUCUACUAUCUAGUAGGUUUUGUUGUUCUUGAUACUGAUCCAAUUGUCACAAGGACAAACUAUGUGCCAAUCAUACUUAGAAGACCAUUCAUCGCUACUUCUAAUGCAAUCAUCAAUUGUAGGAAUGGAGUUAUGUAACUCACGUUUGGCAACAUGACCUUAGAGCUAAACAUCUUCCAUUUAUGAAAGAAGCAUCUCCAUCCGGAAUAAAAGGAAGGGCCAGAGGAAGUGUGCAUGAUUGACACUUUGGUGGAGGAGCACUGUGAACAGAGCAUGGAGGAAGAUUUGAUUGAGAAUCUUGGGGAUCUUGAUGAAAGGUUACCUAAACCCUCAGAUUCGCUAACUACCAUGUCUCAUUAGAGGAAGAUGGAAGAGAUUCUACCUUUGUUCAAUGAGGAGGAGUCACGCAGAGUUGGUAAGGAAGAGCCCCCAAAGCUUACUCUUAAGCUUCUUCCUACUGGGUUGAAAUACGCAUACUUGGAGGAAGACAAGCAGUGCCCUAUGGUGAUCUCUUCAGCUCUCACCAUUCAUAAAGAGGAUUGUCUAAUCGGAGUCCUUAGAAGAUGUAAGAAGGCCAUUGGGUGGAAAAUUUCGGACUUGAAAGGGAUCAGCCCUUUGGUGUGCACCUAUCAUAUCUAUAUGGAGGAGGAAGCAAAGCCAGUUCGCCAACCGUAGAGAAGGUUGAACCCUUACGUGCAAGAGGUGGUGCGAGCUAAAGUUUUGAAGCUACUUCAAGCCAGUAUUAUUUACCUCAUAUAAGAUAACUUAUGGGUGAGUCUAAUCCAGGUUGUCCCAAAGAAGUCUAGGAUCACGGUGGUGCAGAAUGAUAAGGGAGAAGAUGUCUCCACACGCCUUACUACUGGUUGGAGAGUGUGUAUCGAUUAUAGGAAAUUGAAUGAGGUGACAAGGAAUGACCAUUUCUCGUUGCCUUUUAUUGACCAAGUGCUUGAAAGGGUUCCUAGGCAUCCUUUCUAUUGUUUUUUGGAUGGCUACUCUGGCUACUUUCAAAUAUAGAUUGAUUUGGAAGAUCAAGAGAAAACCACUUUCACAUGCCCCUUUGGUACAUUUGCAUAUAGGAGAAUGUCUUUCCGUUUAUGCAAUGCACCCGUAACUUUCCAAAGAUGCAUGCUAAGCAUCUUUAGUGAUAUGGUGGAGUGAAUUUUGGAAGUCUUUAUGGACGAUAUCACCGUUUAUGGAAGUGCAUUUGAGGAUUGCUUAGUAAACUUAGAAGCUGUUCUAAACCGGCGCAUUGAAAAAUACUUGGUGCUUAACUGAGAAAAGUACCAUUUCAUGGUACAACAAGGGAUUGUUCUCGGGCAUAUCAUCUCUAAGGAGAGAAUUGAAGUUGAUAAAGCAAAAGUUGAACUCAUUGUCAAGUUGCCAUCCCCCACCAAUGUCAAGGGAGUAAGGCAAUUCCUUGGACAUGUCGGGUUCUAUAGGAAGUUUAUCAAGGACUUUUCAAAGCUUGCAAGGCCUCUUUAUGAACUAUUGGUCAAGGAUGCCAAAUUCAUAUGGGAUGAAAGAUGUCAAAGAAGUUUUGAGCAAUUAAAGUCAUUUUUGACAACAACACCCAUUGUACGAGCUUCUAACUGGCAAUUACCCUUUGAGGUAAUAUGCGAUGCUAGUGAUUUUGUUAUUGGAGCUGUGUUGGGCCAAAGGGAAGAUGGAAAACCCUAUGUGAUCUAUUAUGCCAGUAAGACACUCAAUGAGGAGUAAAGAAACUACACAACCACCGAGAAGGAAUUGUUAGUGGUAGUUUUUGCCUUGGACAAAUUUUGUGCUUACUUGGUGAGGUCUUUCAUAGUGGUAUUCACCGAUCACUCUGCUUUGAAGUACUUGUUGACUAAGCAAGAUGCCAAGGCAAGAUUGAUUAGGUGGAUCCUCUUACUUCAAGAGUUCAAUCAUCAAAUCAAUGAUAAGAAGGAAGUAGAAAAUGUGGUAGCUGACCACCUUUCAAGGCUUGCAAUUGCACAUAAUUCCCAUGGUUCGCCCAUUAAUGAUGACUUCCCAGAUGAAUCUCUCAUGUUGGUGGAAGUAACUCUGUGGUAUGCUCAUAUUGCGAACUACCUAGUUACAAAAGAAGUUCCAAGUGAGUGGAAAGCAUAAGAUAGGAAGCAUUUCUUUGCAAAGAUCCAUGCCUACUAUUGGGAAGAACUGUUUCUAUUCAAGUAUUGUGCGGAUCAAAUAAUAAGGAAGUGUGCUCCUGAACAAGAGCAACAGGGGAUUCUCUCUCACUGCCAUGAGAAUGCUUGUGGAGGCCACUUUGCUUCUCAGAAGACAACUAUGAGGGUCUUUCAAUCGGUUUUCUAUUGGCCCUCACAUUUCAAGGAUGUCCAUGCCAUGUGCAAGGGUUAUGAUCGAUGUCAGGGGCUUGGGAAGUUGACCCGAAGGAAUAUGAUGCCUUUGAACCCCAUUUUGAUAGUUGAUCUUUUUUAUGUUUGGGGCAUUGACUUCAUGGGACCUUUUCCUAUGUCAUUUGGCUACUCUUACAUCUUGGUAGGAGUUGAUUAUGUUACUAAGUGGUUUGAAGCAAUUCCAUGCAAACACAAUGACCAUAGGGUGGUUAUCAAGUUCUUGAAGGAGAACAUUUUCUCAAGAUUUGGAGUGCCUAAAUCCAUAAUCAAUGAUAGGGGUACUCAUUUUUGUAACAAGCCUUUUGAAACUCUUCUAGCCAAGUACGGGAUGAAGCAUAAGGUAGCUACACCUUACCACCCUCAAACUAGCGGGCAAGUUGAGUUGGCAAACUGGGAGAUCAAGAAUAUAUUGAUGAAGGUGGUGAAUGUGAACAGAAAAGAUUGGUCUAUCAAACUCCUUGAUUCACUAUGGGCUUAUAGAACAGCUUACAAGACCAUUCUUGGGAUGUCCCCUUAUCACUUAGUCUAUGGCAAAGCAUGUCAUCUCCCUGUGGAAUUGGAAUACAAGGCUUGGUGGGCAAUCAAGAAACUCAACAUGGAUUUGAGCAAAGUCGGGUUGAAGAGAUUCUUAAACCUCAAUGAGUUGGAGGAACUACGAAAUGAUGCUUACCUCAAUUCGAAAAUUGCAAAAGAGAGGUUGAAGAGAUGACAUGAUCAGUUGGUGACCCAAAAGGACUUUUCAAAUGGACAAAGAGUCUUGCUCUAUGACUCUAAGCUCCAUAUCUUUUCGGGCAAGUUGAAAUCAAAGUGGUUAGGUGCUUUCACAAUCCACUAAGUGUAUUCGAAUGGAGUAGUGGAGUUACUCAACGCCAACAGCAACCGAACUUUCAAAGUGAAUGGCCAUCAUUUCAAGCCCUUUGUGGAGCAUUUUUCUCGAGACAAAGAGGAAUUCAUCAUCCUUGAUCCUCCUCAGGCUUGAAAAAUCAGAUCGUGGAUGGACUUAGUCUUUCUAAAAACUAUUAAGUCCAUCCAUUUUUUGGUUUUGUUUUUUAUUUCAUGUUUUUCUUGCAUUUGUAUUUGUUUUGAUUUCGAUUUCUUGCUUGAAUUCCAUUUUAGUUUGAUUUAAUUUAGGUUUUUGAUGAUCACUUGUAGGGGAGGGCACUUAAGGAUUCGUUGGCAGAGGAAAAGCUAAGGAAAAAUUAAAGCAGAGCAUUUUGCAUUCCUCCCUAUGAAUUUUUCGCAUGGUGCGUGAAAAGUGCUCUUUGCAUUAGGUGAGCUACUGCCAUUUCGCAGAGCAUGCGAAAAUUUCGCACCCUCUACGAAAUCCUCCUUAUGGUUUUUGAAAAAUUCAAGCUCUUAGUCUUUAACUUCGCACCUUAUGCGAAAAAACACAGGGUAUGCGAAUCCUCCUUGUGAUCAUUUUUGAAAACGAUAUUCACACCAUUUGCAAAUUUCCAGAAGGUUUGCGAACUCAAAGUUGACCCUGCGAAUCAAGUUCGCAGACCACUUUUUCGCACACCCACUUUGUGAAAUUCCAAUUUGCGAAAUUUCGUCACUUUGCGAAAUCCCACUUUGCGAAAUUUCACUUUGCGAAAUUCCACUUUGCGAAAGUGCCUUUGCAAAAUUCCCACUUUGCGAACCAUCUCCACCCCUCCAUCUUUCCUUUUCACAAAAAAAAAAUGUAAUUUUUUUUUAUAGCAUACAUCCUAACUUCAUUUCUCACUUCUCUAGUCUAUUUUGCCUCUUUUGUCAAACUUUUGCAUGACUGUGAAAAUUUUGUUUUUUAAACCAUGUGGUUUCUCCUCUACACUUCUAAGUGCAUUUUCCUCAGGAGGUAUCACUUCCUCCCUUUAUUUUCACUUGUGAUUGAAACAUUGAGGACAAUGUUCAUCUUGGUUGGGAGGAGAGUUGAGAAAGUAAGUAUUGUAAAUAUUGCUAGGAUAUUUUGUUAAUGUAGUUACCUUUUGUUUAAUUUUUUUAAAAUUUUUUUUAGUCUACUCUCCAUGGUUGUCAAGAAAAAAUUCUCAAAAGAAAUGAGAGAAGUUGAGUUCUUGCCCUUUUGCUUAAGUCUUAGAGUUUGUAUUAUGUUUAUUGAGGUUGAUGAAUUAUUGAAGUUCCUAUUGAAUUCAACCUUGUCUCUUCCACUUUAAUCUUACCACACAUUGUGCACAUUAGGUUCCAAUUAUAAGAUGAAAAACUAUCUCACCCCUUGAACUUAGGAAAAUUUUGACUUGGUACCUUUGACCUCAUUUUAAUAGUGUUGAGACACCUUAUAGAAGGCCAAUGAGCCUUCAGAAAAAAAAAAAAAAAAAAAAAAAAAAAAAAAAAAAAAAACCAAAAAAAAAAAAAAAAAAAACAAGUGCUACACUUGCCUUGAAACUCGAGCAAGGUCCUAGAGGUAUAUGGCGAAAGUCUUUGAAGCCUGGUGCCCUAAACCUUAAUUGGUUGGGAGUCACAGACCUUAAUGCUCGUUACAAGGGUGAAUGGGUGAAAUUGAGCAAAUAAAAGAAUUGUGAAAUAAAAGAGGUGCGUUCUUAGCCUAUUAGGUGUUGGUCAGGUUGCUAGGUUUGAGAAAGAACUAGGUUGGGGGGAGAGCAUAGUUUAGCAUACUAUAAUUGGAAACUAAUCACCUUAACACUUAGAUUCUUGUGGAAGAUUAAGAGUUGGAUCUUUGGGAGUGGAAAUUCUUUUGAUGCUUAAAUUUGCAUAAUGCCCACUCUUUGUAUUUUGUGAUUAGGUAAGUGAUUUAAUGACUCUUGUUGAAGGUUGGGUUUUAUAUCUUUGAUUUUCAAUGAGAGAUGCGUUUCUUUUUCUCUCCUUCAUUGCUAAGGGACUAGCAAUGUGUCGGUUGGGGGGGAGUGAUUACUAUUCAAAAAGUGCAUUUUUAUAAGCUUAAACUUAAUUGUACUAAGCACUUUUGAGUAGUAGUUAGACCUUUUUAUCCCAAUUGGCAUGUUAAGGACUUAGCGAAUGUUACUAACCAAUUUCUGGUAAGUUUUAGUGUUUUUGGUAGCUUUUUUAUCAACGAAACAGGCCAAGAUUGAGGGAGAGUUUUGUGCAAGCUAUGGCAAGGCAAGUGGAAGAUCAAUCACAUGAAGAAUCCGAGCCUUAGAGCACUUCAAAACCCCUUGCCAAACUUGGAAAGGGGUUGGAAAAGCUAUCAGUAGUAAGAUGGAGGAAAACAGAGCAUUUCGCAAGGCAAAAUCAUCAAUUUUGCAAGGUAUGCCAAAAUUUUGGCAAGGUGUGCCAAAAUUUCGUAAGGUGUGCCAAACUUUCACAAGGUGUGCCAAAAUUUCGCAGGGUGUGCGAAAAUUACUUUGUACGCACCAACCUUCUGGAUUUUUCUCUAGAAUUGUAAUUUUUCCUUUUUACUCCUUUUGUAAUAGAUAAAAGACAUUAGGGUUUGUUUAGGAACUAUAAAUAGGGGUUGGAAAACCUCUCAUAUGAUGUUAGAUAUUAUGUUUUAGAUAUUUUAUAAAGUCUGGUUUUUCUUUGUCUUUCCUUCUCAUUUUCUCUUCACUUUCUCUUUAGCCAAACACCCUCUGAGGAUGAUUUCUCAGAGGAUGAGUGGCUAAGUUUCACGUUUCUUGAAGUGAUGGAAGCUAGGUAAAGGACCCAGAUGCAAAGGUGGGAUUUUUCCUUAUUUUAAAUGAAGGUAGUUGUGUAUCAUUAAUGGUUUGUAUUUCAAGUUUCAGCUUUAAUCCCUUAGAAUCACCUUGAAUGUCCAAUACUUGGCAAGCUUUUAGGAUUCUAUGGAUGCUUAUUGCUAGAUCCAUGGAUAUCCAUUAGUUAUCAAGUACGAGCCAUUAGAAGGUGGUUCAAGGUGAAGGUCUUUAGUGUUUGAAGCCAUUAAUGGGAAGCAACUAUCAUUUUUCAAGAAUCCUUUGGAUCAAAACUUAUUUGCUAAAUACAAAUCCAGUUUGGGAGAUAACCAUUCUUUAUGUUAUUAUCCCCAAUGCGAGGAGAAGAUCCGAAAACUUCUCUUUAUAGUAAUUUCAGUUGUUUAUGUUUGCUUAACUUAAAAUCACCCCUUCCAAUCAAUCUUAUUUUCAUUAAAAACUAACUUUCAAAAAGGAAAUCACUAUUUCUCCUUUCAUUAAUGUCAUGUGUAUAAAGAAAACCCAUCCACGUGGACGAUCCUAGAGCCACUAUACUAUAGUAGCUUUGUCUUUGCUACCCUAGUAUAAGGUGUUGUAGGUUUUAUAAAUGUUUUGAUAAACACCCAUACACUUUUCAGUUGGCUGACUAUUUUACCAGAGGAUCAGAGCAUGCACCCCGCACAGAGGGAGUUGACCAUGUUUCGGGGAUGGUUGAGAUUUAGGGCAUUCAGCAGGCCCUAGGACAGAUGUGUUUGAGUUUUGAGACCACCGAGCCACCUGAGGCCAUGAUAGUUGCACCCCCAUCACCGGAUCGAACCAGUGUGUUUUCCAUGUGCUUUCCUGAAGAGGUCCCCGACUAUGAUCUACCUAUGGAUUUAGGAGAUGGUUCUGAUGGAAUGACUCUUCCUAAUACUUACCUGGACGAGAUGGACAUGAUCGGCACUGGCCGUAUCCUCGACACAACCCCGUGCAAGCUCCAUUCUUCUUUUGACAUGUUUGGAGUUCCUAUGAUUGAUUCUGAUGAUGUGACCCUUUACAAUGCUUGCAUUGAUGAGAUGGACAUGAUUGGCACUGGUUGUAUUCUGGAUGGUUCCCCACCUGAGCCCCAAUCCACUUUUGAUGUGUUUGGGAUUUCUAUGACUGAGUUUGAUGAUGAUGGACUUGUUGCUACUAAUAUUACUCAUGAUACUAUUUCUGUUGAGGGAGCGUCCGACUCUGUGGACCCACCUUUUUCUUUUGACACUAUGUUCGGGUUUGUCACCCGCUUUGAUGACAUUUCUAAUGGUAAUAAUGACAUGAUUAUUUUUUAGUAUUUACCUGUGUCACAACACUUUCUUUUGAUUGCACCACUAGCACCCACAACACAUGUAUGCGAUGUUGAUGAUGUGGGAGACACAAAUGACCCACUAGGUGGUCAGUUAGAGUGUGAUUCUGAUACAGAGGACAAGAAAGUUACACCCAUUUCUAGUAGCACAGAGUUGAUAGAUUUUAGGGUACUAGAUCAGCCCAAGGAAAUUAGGAUUGACUCUUCCUUAUCUCUUAAUGAGAGGAGUAGAUUGAUUGACCUACUUAGAUCGUACUUGGAUGCAUUUAUAUGGUCAUAUGAGGAGAUGCCGGGCCUUGACCCCUCUAUUGUUUAGCAUCACCUGCCCAUUUUGCCACAUGCUAGGCCAAUUAAGCAGAAAUUGAGGAGACUACACCCUCAAUGGAGUUUGCAGGUUAAGGAAGAAAUUCAGACGCAACUCAAUGUUGGCUUCUUGUCAGUGGUUGAGUAUCCUGAGUGGCUGGCUAAUGUCAUCCCUGUUCCCCAAAAGGAUGGCAAGGUUAGAGUUUGUGUUGAUUUCCAAGAUUUGAACAAAGUCAGUCCCAAUGAUGAUUUUCUCCUUCCACAUAUUGAUAUGCUUGUCAACAGCACUGCAAGACAUUCGAUGUUGUCCUUCAUGGAUGGGUUUUCCGGAUAUAAUCAAAUUCAGAUGGCUCCAAAGGAUAUGGAGAAGACUUCUUUCAUCACUGAGUGAGGUACUUACUGCUACUAGGUCAUGCCAUUUGGGUUGAAGAAUGCAAAAGCAACUUGUCAGAGAGCUGCUACUACUUUAUUCCACGAUAUGAUGCACAGAGAUGUUGAGGUAUAUGUGAAUGACAUGAUAGUGAAGUCUUGAGACAGGGCAGAUCACUUAGCAACAUUACAGAGAUUCUUUGAGAGGAUUCGGCAAUUUAGGUUGAGAUUGAAACCCAAGAAGUGCACCUUUGGGGUGACUUCUGGGAAAUUACUAGGCCACAUCAUCAGUGAGCGGGGUAUAGAGGUCGACCCCAAAAAGAUCAAAGCCAUACUUGACAUGCUUGCUCCAAGGACUGAGAGAGAGGUCAGAGGCUUUCUAGACAGAUUAUAGUAUAUCAGUCGUUUCAUUGCUAGACUAACAGACAUAUGCAAGCCUAUCUUCCGUCUUCUAAGAAAGAAUCAGCCUAUAGUUUGGAAUGAUGAUUGUCAUCAAGCUUUCGAAAAGAUUAAGAAGUGUCUCAUUUAUCCUCCAGUUUUAGUGCCCCCCACACCAGGGCACCAUCUGCUUUUGUACUUAUCAGUUUCAGACAUGGCUUUAGGAUGCAUGUUAGCUCAGCUCAAUGAUUCAGGGAAAGAGCAAGCUAUUUAUUAUCUGAGUAAGAGGAUGCUGGAGUAUGAGUGCAAAUAUAUUCUAAUUGAGCACCUCUGUUUGCCAUUGGUUUGGGCCACCAGGAGAUUGAGACAUUAUGUGACAGAGUAUUCUAUACUAUUGGUCUCAUGAUUAGAUCCUUUGAGAUAUCUGUUUGAUAGGCCUGUUCUGACCGGUAGGCUCAUGAGAUGGUUAGUAUUGCUAACAGAGUUUGAUAUUCAAUAUGUUACUCGAAAAUCGGUAAAGGGAAGCAUUAUUGCAGACCAUCUGGCCUCUUUGCCAGUAUUUGAUGAUAGACCGAUUGAUGAUGAUUUCUCUGAUGAGCAGUUUGUAUCAGUGACUAGUAUGGAUGGAUGGAGGCCGUACUUUGAUGGUGCUGCCAAUCAGUUAUGAUUUGGUAUCAGGGUCUUAUUGAUAUCACCUCAAGGGGAUCAUAUUCCCAGAUCAGUCUAAUUAUCAUUCUCUAAUCAUCACCGGCUGACGAAUAAUAUUGUUGAGUAUGAGGCGUGCAUUAUAGGCCUGAAGACAACACUCUAUCUUAGAGUUAGACAGUUGGAGAUCCACGGUGACUCCAACUUAGUCAUUCAUCAGACUCAGGGUAUUUGGAGGACUCGAGAUGAGAAGCUAAAGCCCUACCACGCAUAUUUAGAUUUAUUGGUUGAUAGGUUUUAUGAGCUGAGAUAUAUACAUCAGCCCAGGGUAGAGAAUCAGUUUGCUGACGCUUUAGCCACCUUGGCUUCUAUGAUUGAGAUCCCUACGGGGGUGACUAUGCGACCAUUGCUGAUUGAGACUAGCUCUACACCAACUUACUGUUGUUUGAUUGGAGAUAUUGAUGACCAGGAUGAGUUACCCUAGUAUUAUGAUAUAUAUAUCAGUUUCUGGCAUAUGACGCUUACCUAGAGUCAGCCUCAGCCAAAGAUAGGAAAGCGUUGAGACAGUUGGCCACCAGAUUUGUUAUUUGCGGGAAUGCACUUUAUAGAAGAUCGCCCGGUGGCCUGUUAUUAUUGUGUCUAGAUCGUUCCUCUACAGAUAGAGUGAUGAGAGAGGUCCAUGUUGGAGUCUGUGGCCCACACAUAGGAGGACACAUGCUAGCCCGUAAGAUCAUGAGGACUGGCUACUUUUGGUUGACUAUGGAGACAGAUUGUUGUCGAUUUGUACAGAAGUGUCCAGAGUGUUAGAUGCAUGGAGACUUGAUACACGUGCCACCUUCUGAGUUGCAUGCACUCACAUUUCCUUGGCCAUUUUCAGUAUGGGGUAUUGAUAUUAUUGGGAAGAUCUCGCCCAAGUCCUCUAGUGGUCAUGAGUACAUCUUAGUAGCCAUUGACUAUUUCACCAAGGGGGUGGAAGCUGCUUCUUAUGCUAGGUUGACAGCGGCCAGAGUGGCUAAGUUCAUCAGAUUGCAUAUUAUCUGCCAAUACGGGGUCCCUCAUGAGUUGAUCUCAGACAGAGAGGUGCAUUUCAAAGGCGGGGUGGAUACAUUGGUUCGGGAGUAUGGCAUUCAACAUCAUAGAUCGUCUACAUAUAGGCCAUAGACUAAUGGGGCAGUUGAGGUUGUGAACAAGAAUAUCAAAAGGAUUUUGAGAAAGAUGGUCGAGACUUCUCAAGAUUGGUCAAAGAAGCUUCUUUUUGCAUUAUGGGCUUACCAUACAUCUUUUCGUACUUCUAUUGGGGCUACCCCGUAUUCUUUGGUGUAUGGUAAGGAGGCAGUGCUACCUGUUAAGAUUGAGAUGAGAUCUUUGAGAGUAGUACUAAAGCAGUAGCUAUCCAAGGCCGAGUGGGCCCAACCUCGUUAUGAUCAGCUUAGCCUUUUGGAUGAGAAGAGAUUGAGGGUAGCAAAUCAUGUUCAAGCCUAUCAGAGGAAGAUGACCCGUGCAUUCAGAAAAAUAGUCAAGCCCAGGAAAUUUCAAAAGAGUGACUUAGUCUUGAAAGUCCUCAGGGGAUUGAUCAAUGACCCUAGAGGCAAGUUUAGACCUACCUGGAGUGGGCCAUAUGUUAUUCGAGAUUUGACCUAAGAGGGAGCCGUCUGGUUGACAGACCUGGAUGGAAAUCAGUUCACGGAGCCAGUCAAUGUGGAUCAGCUGAAGAAGUUUUACACAUGAGAUCAUGGUCAGAGGAUGGAUGGCCAUUGUUUGAGUAGUCAUAUUCCCUAUUGCAUACCCUUACAUUGAUAUAUCAUAUUGAUAGCCUGUUGAGCCUCACGCGAUUCAUUGUGGAUUGUUCAUUCACUUAGCCUUGCAUACCUUUUCUCACCUAGGUUGGGGGCCUCCUCUUUUGCGCUUCGCAUUUAUUGCCUGGAUUGGUGAGUAUUGUGAGUCCAUUGUGUCAUUGCUCGUUUGUGCCAUUUUUGGGUCAUUCAUGAUUUCUUUUUUCCUACAUUGUACAUCUUCACUUUAUCUAUUUGAGUUUUGUUUCUAUCCUUUCAUUUCUUUUCAUUUAUGUUUUCCCUUAUGUGAUGAUGAUACGCUCUCGUCCUAGAGCUACCAGUCAAUUUUGUCACACAUUUCGUUUCGCUUGUAGGCUUUGAUCCAAGAUUCUUAGGUUGAGGGGACCAGUUGGGAUUGGAGGUUUGAGGUUCUUUUGGUUGGACUAUGCUAGUGUGGCAUUCGGCCUACUUUGGUUGUUCAACGCAAAAAAUAAUAAUAAUAAUAAUAAUAAAUAAAUAAAUAAAUAAAUUGUGUUUGUUUGGUAUUCGUUGAUAUACUUGGGAUCAUCAAAGGUGGUUUUGGGUUUGAAAGAUUUCUCUUUUCAUUUGAGAGUCGGGUGAGAGCAUUGUAUGAUCCUUCUCACCAUGGAUCUAGGCAACACAUUGGAAGUGAGGUUUGGGUUUCCUUGGAACUAAGUCCACUGGAUCAUUAUCUAUAUCACCAUUCCCACCAUAUAGUGACUUGCUUCGAUUUGGCAUUCUUGGGAUGAGUUGUUCGUCAGCGUCACAUAUUGUUAUAUUUGUAUCCCAGUUGGUUUCUCCAUUUUCUUUUACACCCAUUCAUCAUUCGUCUUAUCCCUUUUUGUCUGCUUCUAUCCUCGUCGAUCGUCGUCUCGCUUCAUGAACGAUGAGUUCUUUGGUGUACAUCACCUAUGGUUUGAUGUUAUUCAUUUGGAUACAGGGUUGAGUCACCUUGCACAUGUGGUUCUACAAUAUUUGACAUUGCGCACACAAGGGUUUGGCAUUAUCUAUUGGGAAAUUUGGGCCUUUGUUUCCCAUCGUUUCAUUCACCUUUUACUCCUAGCCUACAUUACGGUCCAAGUCGUAAGACCACCCUGAGGCCAUGAGAUCUCGUGUCUGCUUCAACGCGAUUCAUUCGAACAGGCUCCGUCUACUGAUUAAGUAUGGGAUGUCGACAGGUCUCCAUUGUUUCGGGGGAUAUCGAGGGUCACAUAUUGCCUUUCCAUUCAGUUUGCUUGCCUCAGGUCCAUGAUUAGAGACAGAUGAUACAGAGAGUUGGAACCGUUGAGGGCACCUUUGCUCGAUGUUUUGACACGUUCAUACUGGGGCAUGCCCCCAUCCUUGCAUGCUGGCUUUGGUUUUUACACCUGUACGCAGCCAUUCCGUUUCACCUAGCAAUGUUAUGGGCAUCAGAGUUUGAGUAAGCCCCACAUUUAGCUCAGUUUCUUUAUACAACAGAGUGAUUUUGGGAGCUGACCCAAGAUCAAAUUCAUGGUAUUCAUUGACCCAGCAGGGAUGUCCACAACGGGGCAUACCCAUUCAUUGUCCUGUUCAUUAGUUCAGAUAAUUAGGUCUUCAGUGAUGUAUUUAAGAAUUUUCAUUGAGAUAUUUGAGUUUCAGAUGUACACACUAGGGCAUACUCCCUAUCAGUUUUUUGAGGAUAUUGUAUGUUAUGGAUUAGAGUAGAGGGUUUUUCCUCAAGGAUGGAUGUUUGUGAUAUUUUCAGCUCUCUGACUUUAAUCAUAUGUUCGGUUAUGGGAUUCUGACAUGAUAUUGAUAUCUUAGAUUAGGGCAUAACUCAUUCCUUUAACAUUUGGUCACAUUUGUGAGUUUGUCCUAUAGGGGCAUACCCCCUUCUUUCCAUCUAUUAGUGGUGAUUGUGAUUGUGAUUUCUCGCUUGUCAUUUGUUGGCAUUUUCUGGUGUUACACCGGGACAUACCCAUUUCUUUUGUCAUAAUGGAGGUGUUUGAUUUAUGGCUUCUUCGAGUCAUUUGUUGGCAGUCCCUGGAUGCCAUACUAGGGCAUACCCUUUUGUCAUCAAGGUUAAUAUCUCAGCGGUGGCAUCCUGAGUCUCGCCAUUUUGUUCUAAGUUUUGUUUUAAGGCAUCCCCCCUCAGUUUAGGCAUCUAAAGCCUUAGUGUUGGCUUCUUUAUCCUCUUUUAGUUCGAUAGUUCUCCAGUACUCGCCUGGAUUCUACCAUUUCUCAGUACUCGCCCGGACCCUUCUCCAGUACUCACCUAGAUUCUACCAUUUCCCAAUACUCGCCCAGACCCUUCUCCGGUACUUGCCUGGAUUCCACCAUUUUCUGGUACUCGCCUAGAUUCCACCCUUUUCUGGUACUCGCCUAGAUUCCACCAUUUUUCCGACAUCUUGCCCGGAUUCUACCAUUUCCCAAUACUCACCCGGACCCUUCUUCGGUACUAGCCCGAAUUCCAUCCUUUCCCGGUACUCGCCCAGACUCUUCUCUAGUACUUGCCCGGAUUCCACUAUUUUUCGGUACUCGCCCGAAUUUUACCCUUUCCUAGUACUUGCCCGAACCCUUCUCUAGUACUCGCCCGGAUUCUACCAUUUCUCGAUACUCGCCCAAACCCUUCUCCGAUACUCGCCUGAAUUCUACCAUUUCCCGGUACUCGCCCGAACCCUUCUUCAGUACUUGCCCGGAUUCUACCAUUUCCCGAUACUCGCUCGGACCCUUCUCUGGUACUCGCCUAGAUUCCACCAUAUUUUGGUACUCGCCCAGACCUUUCUCUAGUACUUGCUCGGAUUCUACCCUUUCCCAGUACUCACCCGAAUUCCACCAUUUUUCGACAUCUCGUCGGAUUCUUCUAUUUCUCGGUACUUGCCCAGACCCUUCUCUGGUACUCGCCUGGAUUCCACCCUUCUCCGGUACUUGCCUGAAUCAGAUCCCUUAUCUCUCGUAUUCUCCGGUAUUCACCCGGAUUGGAUCCCCUAUCUUUUCCGGCAUCGUGAUCAGGUCUCUUUUAGUUUCCUCUAACUUCGUGUCUGAUUUUCUCCUUUUUUUUCUUGGUAUCGUGUCUAGAUAUUUGAUCUUUCUUGACAUCGUGAUCAAGUCUCCUUUUAUCUUCCCUGGCAUCGUGCCCGGAUCCCCUAGUCAUUCGGCGGCUCUCUGGCAUCAUGCCUAAAUCCCCUAUUUUCCAGCAUCAUGUUCAGUUUCCUUUGUUUUCUCCAGCAUCGUGUCUUGAUCUCCUGAUCUUUUCCGGCAUCACAUCCGGUUUCCUUUAGUCUUCCCUAGCAUCGUGUCUAAAUUCCUUCAGCUUUCUCCGGCAUUGUGCCUGGAUCCCAUAGUCCAUUCGGUCAGUAUGACUUAUUUCCCUUAGCCUUCUUCAUUGUUGGGUGGGGACAAAAUUGUUGGUCAUCCGAAUUCUUCACUAAAGUUCAUUUCACUCAUUCAUCGUUUGCACUUCACACUCACGAUUCACUCGUUCAUUCACUCUACUAAAGAGGGGCAUAUUUGUGGACCCUCAAUUUUGUCCUUUGACACUUGCAUUUAUCCUAUGGGUGUCACAUGCACACAUGUUUUCAUGUGGCACCACUAGGGCCUCCUUUUGGGCUUAGUCGGUUUUUGAGCCUUGUUUAGGUUCAUAUGCGAUUCAUUGUGGUGCAAGUAUGGUUCAUUUUAGAGUGCCAUCACGUCCAUUUUCCUAGUUGUUGGCAUCGUGCCAUAGAAAGGAAGUGGGGUCGUCCCAAAAUUUUAGCUGAGUUAGACCUCAUUGGAGUGUGUUGAAUUCAGAGCACUCAGGCUUAUUUUGAUCAUAUCUCCCGCAUCCGAACUCGGAAUCACGCACCGUUUUUUUCAUGGACUCCUUGUUCUUCAAAGAAUAUUUUGUCAAAAUUUCAAAAUUUUUCUCAACCGGCUCGACCAGUUCCUAAAGUUUCAGUUUGGGCAGAAUUCAUUGAAGCAUGUAUGAAUUCAAAGCACGUGGGAUUAUUUCGAUCAUAUCUCCCUCAUCCAACCUCAGAAUUGUGUACCAUUUUUUUCAUGGACUCCUUAUUCUUCAAGGAAAAUUCUAUCAAAAUUUCAAAAAUUUUCUCAACCGGCUUGACCGGUUGGCAUCUGGUUCAUCGAGUCAGCUUGUAUAGAGCACUGAUUUUGGUGAUUUUGGUGAUUUUGGAGCCCAAUUCCUACAUGGAUUUGGCCCAUGAGCUCCAGAUCAGUUUUGGGUUAUAUUUUGGGUCCAUUGUGGGCCUUAUUUUGGAUUCCUUGUAGCCCACCAUGAAUCCAUAUGGAUCAUUGGUGGGGAAGUAAGUUGGAAGCUAAAGAUAGUCAGCUUGCAUGGAAAAUGAGGAGGGGAGUUAAUGGGAGAGUUGAUUCCGAGACUGAUUAGAGCUCUUUCUAGAGCUUGAAUGAGAGAAAAAUGAAGAGGCUUUGAGGGCUAGAGGUCUAGGACUAUAAAAGAGUAAACAAUCAGGAUAGGAAGGGACUUUUUUUUUUUUUUUUUUUUUUAGGGAGAGAAAAUUCUGUAGAUUUUUUUUGGGGGAUUUGAGAAGAGGCUUUUGGGAGGGUUUUUGUUCAUGAGUGGUCUGAGGAUGUGGGGGAAUCUGAAGAUACCCUUGCCAUGCCUUGCAUACAACUAAAGAGGAGAGCAAUCUUGGAAGCCAAGCAGAUCUCUACUUGAGGGGAGUAUAAUCUGGUAAGCGUAAAUUGUGGUUUCAUGCAUGUUAUUCCCUUUCCCAUUGCUUUGUUCUCUCUUUAAUGUGAUGGCCGAAAAUUCCAUGGUUGUUUUGAAUGCUUGGGGAACGGGGUAUGGCUUUCCUUUUCUUAUUCUUGGUUUAUAUUUUAGUCUCGUGUUUUGGUUGAUGUGCCUCACCUUUCAUCGAUUUAGAGUGGCAUGACUCUGUCAUCUAUGAGGAACACUUGGCCUUGUUUUAGUUGGUUCUCACUCAUCCGGGCUUGGAAUUGAGCACUAUUUCUUUUGUUAGAUUUCUUAUUUAUUUAGAAAUUUUUUGACAAAAUUUGGGAAUUUUUCUCAACCGGAUGAACUAGUUGGGAGCCGGUUCAACCGGUUCAGCACUAUAGCUCACUGAUUUUGUUAGCUAUGAGGAACAUUGAACCUUGUUUAAGUUGGUUCUCACUCAUCUGGGCUUGGAAUUGAGCACCGUUGCUUUUGUUAGAUCCCUUAUUCAUUUAGAAUUUUUUUGACAAAAUUUGGGAAUUUUUCUCAAUCGGAUGUACUGGUUGGGAACCAGUUCAACCGGUUCAACACUACAGCUUAUUGACUCUAUUAGCUAUGAGGAACACUUGGCCUUGUUUUAGUUGGUUCUCACUCGUCUAUGCUUGGAAUUGAGCACUAUUGCUUUUUUUUUUUUUUAUUCCUUAUUCAUUUAGAAAAUUUAUGAUAAAAUUUGGGAACUUUUCUCAACCGAAUGAACUAGUUCAACACUACAGCUCACUGACUCUGUCAGCUAUGAGGAACACUUGGCCUUGUUUUAGUGAGUUCUCACUCAUCCGGGCUCGAAAUUGAGCACCGUUGCUUUUGUUUGAUUGCUUAUUCAUUUAGAAAUUUUUCGAAAAAAUUUGGGAAUUUUUAUCAAUGGGUUGGACUAGUUGGGAACCGGUUCAACCUGUUCUGCAAGAAGACUAUGGGCAACCCUCAGUUUUGGCAUUUUUCGAGCCCGUAUCCAUUGGGGAUCAAACCCAUUUGCUAUGGGGAACUUGUGGGCCAUCUUGAAGGUUUGAAUCUGUGUUUGGUUUCAGUUAGUGUGGGCCCAUUUUGAAGUUAUGGGCGGUGUGGUCUAGGUAAGGCUAGUUUGAUUUGUAUGACAUUUGGGGAGUCACUUACCUCACUUCAACCAGCUUUCCUCCUCUUUGGCGAAAACUUUAAUGCUUGAUUCUGAAUACAUGUUUUGUGGUUGACUCACCCUUUAUUGUAGCGCAUGGCUAGGGACCACAGGUACGCGCUUUGAUUUAGGAUUGUUGAAUUCAAAUGCAUGCAUGGUGCUUAAUCUUGAAUGUUAUGUGUUUAUGUGUGCUUGACUAAUCUCUUCUGUAGCACAUGGCUAGGGACCUCAGGUAUGCAUUAUUGGUUUUGGUUGAUGAAUUCAUAUGUAUAUCAAAUACCAAUUAGGAUUGUGUGAUUCAUGUCAUCUAUUUAGCCUAGGGUUUUGUUGGAUCUUUGACCCAUAUGCUCCCAUGUGCCUAUAGACCCUCAAUUUUGUUCCUUUAGCACAUGUCUUUAAAUUAACUUCCGGUGCUCCACAGUAGUUUCUUAGUGGCCCAUUACUACUCGUACAACUUACCUUUUUUUUUAGUCACUUUGGAGAUUUUUGUUGAGAGAUUAUCUGACCCCUUAUUGCGACCCUUGACAGCCCUAGAUUAGAUUUAGGCUUUUCAUUCUUUUUUAGGAUAGCUUUUAAAUACAUUUGGCCCAUUAGGCACCACCCUAGGCCCACUUAGGUCCACCUUGCCCCACUUAGAUUCACUUGAGCCCAUUAAGGUAUACUUGGCCCUUUAAGACAUUUUUAGCAUGACUUGUAUGACUUGCAUGGCCCGCAUAGAAUUGACCAUUUUAUUUCAUUUUAUCUAAUUAUUUUGUUUUACUUUAUUUAUUUAUUUUUUAUUUUACUUUACCCUUGAUAGGUUAUAAGGUUGCUAACUCUUUUGGUUUUAUUCUCUCUAUUUUCGUUUUUAUUGUUUGACAAUAGAAUGGGGGCUACUAUUCGACUCUCACUAAGGCAUGUACGCUCAAAGAAGGUAAGAAAAAUAUUUUUAGAGGGAAAAGGGAAUUAACGUGGCUGCAUACAUAUUGGAAAGAGAAGAUCUUGCAUGAGAAGAGAUGAGCAUUCUGAUUUUCGAAAAAAAAAAGGGAAAUAGAAGAAAGGAAAGUGGAUUUUCUUUAGCAGAUUUGGUUUGAGAGGCUGAUACAAAUAUAAGGAGAAAAGGAAAAGAAGGGGGUAGCACGCAUUGGAGAAAAGGAAAAGGAGGUGGUGGUCUUGAGAGAAAAGAAGAUUGGGGAUUAUCUUUGUGGAAAAGCACACAAGAGUGGGAAAAUGGUGAUUACAGUCAAGAUUGUCCAGGUACGCUUCUGGUUACUCUCGGUGUUCUUAUCUAUGUUCAAUUUCUUUACUUGGUCGUUUCUGAAUAUUCAAUGCAUUGUUGAUUGGUGUGGACAAAAAGGGCCACAAGUUGUUUCGUUGAGAUUGGUUGCUUGCUUGUUUGCCUUGUUUUGUUUUUGAUCCCUUUACAUGUUGUUGAAGCCUGCCGAAAUGUGUGACUUUGUGCCUAUGUGUAAAUCCUAUUCCCCAUUAUCCCCUUCUUCAGUCCAUGGUUUAACAUGUGAAAUGGAGUUGUCAAUGUUGAUUAAUACCUUCUACUCAUCCUUUCUUUACAUUUAUGUUUUCAUCUAUGUUACAUCUUUCCUUUCUCGUUCCAAUGUCCGAGUCUUGGUGCACUUUGGGGCGUGUUUCAAGAGGACGACAAAAGUGCUGGCAUGAGGGAAGAGGAGUGCGACAAUCUGUCACAAUUCUCAAAAUCCAACCUCCUUCGCAUUCAACGCUUUGAUAAGAGCCCGUUCCAAAAGUGCAGCCCUUCAUCGAAGUUUUCUCUUCUAUAACAGAAUUCUUCUUUCUACUGGCUAUUUGACCUCUAAGAAUUACACUUUCACGUUCUUGGUUUGUAUCUCUGCUCAUCUACUGGCGCAUGGGACUGGUUCGUCUAUACAUGGCGUCGUUGUGAAACAUGGGUUUGAGCAUAAGCCAUGUGUUCAAAAGGGCUUGAUUUACAUGUGCGCGGGAUUGGAUGGCUUGGUCGCUUGCCAUUGGGUGUCUUCAUCAAUUUGUGAGCCAGAUUUGGUGUAUUAGAUUGUAAUGGUCAGUGCAUGUGCCAAGAUGGGAGAUUUUUACCUUUGCUCGGAAGUUGUUUGAUAAAAUGCCCCACAAGAACCUUAUUGCAUGGAAUGCAGUGAUUUUGGGAUAUGUGCAAUGUGGGCAACCAUAUAGCGGGAAUCACCAUUGGAAAGAAGAGUAUCGACCACUUAAAAGAGAGAAGCACCAGAAUUUCAGAGAGAUGAUGAAUGAACACGCAUUCAUGGGAGAAUGACGGCUGCCAAUGCGUACAUUACUAUGGGGACCGGUGAAUCAUUAGUUUUCUGGAAGACCUUUGGAGGGGGGAACACAACUAACCGGGACGACCAAGCAAUAUUCAUGGAGACGAGGUCCUGCCUGUGGUGGUAAGAAGUUAAAUUCUGCAUGUUUAGAGCACUGCAAAAAUACUUGACCUCAAGUAUCAGUGAGCUUUGAGUGUUCAGUUCUUUUACCAUCUAGAGCUUUCACUACCAGUUCGGUCAAACAGAACCUCCAAUGGGUUUGCAGAUUCAUGUGGGUCUGAUGAGAAGAGUGUGAUCCAGACUUGGACUUCUCGGACUUUUCAAGGUGAACCCACGGUUGUGGUUACUAGUGGAAACUCUGUUCUCUGACAACAAGGGCAAACUGAGAUCUUCAAAUUUUGAAAAUGGAUAUACACACUUCAGAAUCUAUUUGUCUUCUUUGCUGAGUCUGAAGCAAAGCAUGUUUUUAAAGAUUAUCUUCAUUCCCUUGUUACAAAAAAUCAUGAUCUAUCCUAUUUGUAACCUAUCCAAGUUCUUUACUGAAGAAGAUUUCUGUUGCGGUUCAGGUUGAGGCACUUCAUUAUUUUUUUGUUCUUUUGUUCACGGUCAGAACAAUGCUUACAUUUUCAACUCCUAAACAAAUUUCCCUCUAUUUUUGUUCCACUGUCCAGUGAUAACCAGGAUGCGCAGCUACCUGCUAUGGAAUGCAUUGAACGGCUAUAUACACUGUUCUCGUGUUGUUUUUCUUUCUAGCAGAAAAAGUGUGAAAUGGCAAGGAACAGAGAAGUUUAGAGUCAUUUUCUUGAAGAGCCUUUCAGCUUAGUCCUUCAACAAAAGAGGCUGAUAUUGUCAAACAGAAAUGUUUUCCCACCUCUUUUUACAUCUUUGCUCGGCUCCUCCUGUCAUAGCCUUUUAGUGCCACAGAAUAUUGGACAGAGGUCUGACCAAUCUACAAGGAAAGACAUAUUACAUUUCAUCUCGGACUUUGCUUUAAAGCUCUCUUCAUAUGCAAAGCUGAAGAUUUUAUCUCUGCUUAAAGGAGUUGGUGGUGAAGUUAUGUAUAUUAAAGAUGUGAAGUUAUUUAUGUCAUAACUUUUAAGAAGACAGUCAAUAUCAUUUUGGGCUGAAUGAACCAUAUCAAAAGUUAUCAAGGAUUGAAGUAGAAAUCCUAUGCCUUCUACUGGAGGGCUGUGCUGUUCAUGCUUCAUCAGUUGGUGGAUAUGGUUUUGAAGAUCAUUUAUUGAAGGCUUUGCAAUUGCCGCUGGAUGAUAUGUCUCUAGAAGACCCUGCUCUUGUACAUCCUUGUAUCACUGUUUUGAGGAAGCUCAACUCUCCUCUGUAUAGUGGUUUGAAGAUUGAGAAAAAGGAGCUGUUGUGUCGAGAUCUUGUAUUUCUGUUCCGGAAUGCUAAUUGCUAUAUACAAAAUGGCAUUGGGAAGGCAUUGUUGUUCAUCUAGAUUACAUGUUCCACUCUAGUCCAGUUGCUUGAUUCUAUUUUUGGACAAGAGGGUUUUAUGAUUGGUUCAGUAUGUGAAAAAAAAAAAAAAAAAAGGUGGUGGCCAUCAAUAAAUUCAGAUGCAGUUGAUAUCAGUAAUGAGUCAUUUGUCCAACCUUCAUCUUUUAUGUAUCUGUUCUGACUUAGAGAAUAUUGAAAAGAGAUCAGAGACUAAAACUGUACUCAAGCUACUGCCAUGGCCUAAUUUUGCCUUGGAAUGCCUAUUGAUUUACACAAUACUAUGGCCUUCAAGGGGCUUUACUCAACGUUUACUUUGUACACCCUCUGCUCCUCCCUUAGCGAUUGCUAGAAAAAAGCUUUAAUUGAAUUUAGCAUUGAUUCGGGCUGCUUUCCUCUGACUCCUAGAGUUUAGAAGUUGUAGCAAGAAUGUCGAUGAUGAAUCUGAUGCAUAUAUAAUUGUUUCAAUUGCAAAUGCUACUCUUGCUCUUUCAAUUGGUGACACAGCUGUUAAACUACUCUUGUGCUUUCAAUUGGUGACACAGCUAGUAAGGAUAACAUAUCGGUUUAUCAACGCGUAGAAGAGAAUCUGAAUUUUGGCAUCACAAAUAGAGUAGCUCAUUUGGAUAAAUCUGGCUCCAAGAGUGGCUAUGUGUAGAAAUUUAGGCUUAUGAGACUUGCUUGAACUUCUGUAUGGUAGGAAGAGACAAGAACAGAACUUGCUGGAGAGUGUAAAUCUGGCUCCAAGAGUGGCUAUGUGCAGAAAUUUAGGCUUAUGAGACUUGCUUGAACUUCUGUAUGGUAGGAAGAGACAAGAACAGAACCUGCUGGAGAGUGUCUAGGUUAAUAGACUAGAGCCCUUUGAUUUGAACAUACUUGAAAACUAUACAAUAUUCUUCAAAAUCAAAUGUUGUGACCUGUUAAAGCGAAUGAAUGAAAGAAACAAGUCAACGGGUGGAUUCAAAUUUAAGGCCUUGUGUAUUUUAUAAUGGUGACAGAGUUGCACAGAUUUAAGUUAAAGGAUUGGGAUUAAAGGAACCUCCCCCUCAUAACUUCAACCAGUUUUCAAUGCUCUGCAAUUUGGGGUUUCAGAGGAACUAUUUCAAUGGCAAAUUGCCUUCUUCUCGCAGAUUGUCUGAAUUGUAAUUCACCUUCUUGGAUUAUAACAAAGUCGACACCAUCUCCGCUGAUUUCUCUGAAGGCCUUGCAACUAUUCGGAUCCUCACUCUAAAUGACAAUCCGUUCAAUUCAACUACUAGUUUAUAUUAUUUGAAGAGAUAAUUAGAAAGCUAUCAGUCACCAAAACAAAAACGUCACAAUGGGAUCUCACUGGCUAGAACCUUGUUGACGGUUAGCUCAGUUUCUCUUGCGAUGGCUCCAGCAGGGACAGCACAGACUGUUGCUAAAGAACUUCUUGAUUCAAUUUUGGACAUUGUUGUUCAGACAUUUGAAAAACCAUGUUUUGUUAGAGCCUUUUAGAAUCAAAAGCCACCCAAGUUAAUAUGAACACACCCAAGUCAAUGACUAUAGAUGCAAACUGGAACCAUGAUCCUGAAGCAUCUCGAGUAAGGAAAAAGCUCCUAAUGGUGGACUUAAGUUACUGAAACAAACAACUGGCCCAAGCUCUGCAAAGGGCGAACCUUUCAAGGGCCUGGCUUCAGGAAAGCCACCUAUGCGUAUGCAUCAUGAUGCAUUAGGUUUUAAAGGAAGUUCACAGGUUUCUGCAUCUGCUUGAAGCCAUUCUCCUUCUAGUGCAAGUAUUACAAAAGAUAAUGAGAAGCCAGUCAAGUUGGAAAGCAUGACUAACUCCAAACCAGAUGGUAAUCAAUCAAGGUCACCAGGAUUGGUAGGCAGAAUGGAUGUUGAGGGGGAGGAGGGCAAUAAUUUAAUGUCUGAAGAGGCAAAGGUUGCCUUUGCCGCGGCUGAAGCAGCCCGUGCUGCUGCUCUUGCAGCUGCUGAGGCUUGUGCAUCUGAAGCCAAGAGCAACACACCACUGCAGCUUCCUAAGAUACCCUCAUUUCACAAAUUUGCUAGAAGAUAGCAAUAUGCACAAAUGGAUGAGAUAGUUGAAUCCAAGAAAAAAAGUUGGUGUUCCUAAAAGAACACACCAUUAGAGGGCCUUUACGAGCCAUUCGGGAAUUUCUGUACGUAAUGCGAAGUAGGAGGUUACUAAAAGGAUCUAACUCAAGAAUAAGAAGAGAGAUGAGGAGAAAUGGUGGCUAAAGAGGCAGUCCAAAUCAGUAAUAGACCAAAAAGUGGGAUACUCCUGAUGGCGUUUACCUUAGAGGUGCCGAACUGAGUUCUGCAACAUUUUAUUCUGUCACAGUCAAUAAGGGACAGCCCAUAAUUCAUGAAGUUGUUCUCAAUAGAUCAGUCUUAAAACAUUCCUCUCAUUUAAUUUCUAACUCUUCCAAUAACUGUCAUAAAGACAAAAUUCUCAAGACCAUUAGAAGAUCAGAUUGCUAAUGGAGUUGUACCGAGUUUUUCAGAAUAAGGAACUUAGUUAGAAGUUCAUGACACUUGUCAGGGAUUGAAGUUCUAUUCAAACUACUAUCGCGACUUAAUUUUUUCCCGAUUUUCCGAAAUAAUGCCUAUUGCUCUACAUAAUAUCUCGGUUUACAAAAGGCUUUACUCAACAUCAUCCAUCAUUAGUACUCCAUAAAACCGGUCAACAAUUCUACAAGUCUCCAAGGCUUCCUUGUUCUCAAUACUAAUGGUGGUGUUGCUAGCUCUGGUUUUUGGUCUUUUUUUUUAGCAUCUCUCUACUAAGUAUUCUAAGAAAGGUGGAAAUUUCAUAUAGGCCAUGUCCCCACAGGUUUCCCUGGGAUUAAAAAUUCAUGAACAAGGACUUUCUGGAACAUCUAAAUUUUCCUAGUCAUAUUCCUAAAGAUUCUAAUGAAAUGGAAAAUGGGAUUUUUCCCAGAUCAGUUGGUAUCUAUAUCCGAAACGAGACUGCUCGAUCAAGUCAGAACAUGCUUGAACUUCUUUGUAAAGCGGAUCAACUAAGGGAUCAAAGUGCAGCAUGCUCAAUUCAGUUCUCAAAGAGGAGUCCAUUAUCUAAAAUAUCAGAAUCAGAAAUUUUCAUGGUUCUAUAGGUCACCUUCAGCGAAAUCAGUCCUUUGCUUCUUAAAUCAGUUAAUUCGCUCAACUCACAUACCUCUCCUGAGAUAGAAGAUAAGAGUCAUGCAUGGCUGACAUCCGCUCUUCCUGUUCGGUCUUUACCUCAUUCCCAUGAAGCGUUCAAAGAGAGUCGAGGUAUAAUGAAUUCUUGGGGAAAAGAGCAUUCGAGACUGUAUGCAAAGCAUUUGAUGAAGUAGAUGGAAUAGAACUCGCAUGGGGUCAAAUGGAAAUUAAGGAUUUAUUACAGUCCCUUCAAUAGCUGCAAAGAUUAUAUUCAGAAGUUCAUCUACUGAUGUCAUUGAAACAUGAUAACAUCAUCAAGUUCUAUAACCCUUGGGUUGAUGAUAUGAAUAGGACUAUUAACUUGAUUACACAGUUAUUCACUUCCGGGAGUUUGAGACAAUAUCGGAUGAAGUAUCAGAAUGUCGACUUCAAAGUUCCCAACUAGUUUCGAGUCCCACGGAUGCCCAAGCUGUCUUUGAAACUCUGACAAGGAGUAGCUAUUCAAACCAUCUCCAACAGUACACCCAGUGCUGAUAGUUUAUGGUGGAUAACAGAGGUCAUUACAAAAAAAAUGAGGAGGGAAGGCUGCUGUUACUUUUUGAAGGUACUGACAAUGUCAUAUUUGAGAGGCUUGCUCAAGAUGGAAGGAGGCUGUUUUGGGGAAGGAAAAUCAGGUCCAUGUGACUGCUCACUUCUAGAUACAAUUUCAUAUUGAAGAUUUGUAACUAAUGACUUCUAAGCCCGAAAAGAGAAGUAAAAUCUGCAGCCAAAGAAUGAGUUUGAAACUAAAGAUAGUAUGAUUAGGAAUGAACGCAUUAAAGACUUCCACUCUGGUUUUCUCGCCACUGAGAUUUACCACUCAUCAGGAAAAUCCGACUAAAGUCUGUCCAACAGAAGUUGACUUAAAAAAAACUUGAAUCACCAUAUUUAUCUCCUCUGUUAUGGCCCCGAGAGGUCUUUAUCUGACACCGAAACGACCUUCUGAAUUUGUAUUUAAGUCCUUUUGUUGAGAGAGAAGUGAUUUCUUUUGGAUCGAUCGCAUACUUAAAAAGUUACUGUUUCAGCUAAAAAUGCUAAUUCCUGAACUGCCAAGCGUGAAGCUUGAAACCUACUGGUUUACAAGAAGCUGGAAGCGCUUAUCUAACAAUUUUUGGGAAGAGGAAGCACUUAUAAGAAUCUGAACUCCUCUUGGAGGCGCUUCUCAAGACAAGAAGUUGCCCCAUUUCUAGCUAUAUUCAUUAGAAGAAAUCAUUUUGAUGAAUGUGGAAUUAUUUAUUGUCUUUCAAGACUGGACUGUGAAGAUGUUACUGAAAGGUUACAGGAAUGUGGACACAAAGCAACAUUUUUAUCACGGUUCCAUGGAUCCCGCUCAGCGUGCCUUCAUUCAGAAGCAAUUAAGUAAAAAAGAGAUUAAUAAAAUUUGUGCAACUGUGGCUUUCGGAAUGGGUAUCAACAAACCAGAUGUCCACUUUUGUGUGCUGUAUUAACUAAAAUACAGCACACAAGAUGAACACAAGAUGUUACAAUGAUUAUAUCCAAGUGAGGCACAUGAUCAAUCAAGGAGCAGUAGAGAAAAGUCUAUUGGCAUAUGGACAAAAAUCAUUCAAAUAUGGUGAGUUCAGGAAAAAUAUUGGAAACCAAUACUAAAAAUCUUUUGCACAAGGAAAGUUAUUGUGAAAAUGAUGUUGAUUGUUUGAGUCCUCUACAACUCAUACAUUUUGGAGAAAAUUUUGAUUCAGCCCAUUGCAAAAAGACAUGUGACAAUUGUUUGAAGAUUAAAAGCCUUGUUGAGAAUAAUGUUACCGAGAUCGCAAAAUAGCUGGUCAAGUUUGUGAAGUUAACACAAGAGCAAUUCUCCUCAUCUCAUAUCCUAGAGGUGUAUAGGGGUUCCUUAAGCCAAUAUGUUAAAGAAACACAAACAUGAAACUUUGAGUUUGCAUGUAGCUGGGAAGCAUUUAGCCAAGGGUAAAGUGUUGAUGGCAAAAUUCCCCUUCUACAGUAUCAAUUGCCAGCAACGGAAUCUCGAUCAACGCAUUCCAGUGAUUCUCCCUUCCUCCUGCAAAAAGAUGUCCGAACGGGUGGUCCGGACACACCCUCCGAUGAUUAAGUCAGCGUUAUGGAAGUUAUAAGGAAACAACUUUUGGCCUGUUUUUGGGAGUGAUGCUCCGUGAUCGUCUUCAAGGAUACUUACCCCCUUUUUGGAGUUUCUUUAGAGCUUAUAUACGAGUCAGAGAGUAUGGCCUUACUGAGCUAAUGGGUCCCAUAGUCAUGAUUGCGACUCAAAGGGGGGCGAGGCAAUCAUGACUCUUCUGGUCCGAGGUGAUGGCUGUCAGAAGAGUCUUCAGACGGCAGUUGUCACCUCAAAUUAUGAUGAUUGGUACCGGGAAUGCGUCAGGCAAUCUGAGAAGAUUUGGAAGUGUCUAGUCAAGCGUAUCUUGUAUUGAAGAGGAAUGAUAGUUCAAGAGACUUGGUCAGCAGUGUUGACGGAGUUGCCUUCCUGAUUAUGGGCUGAAAUGGAAUAGGGAAAUCAUGAGGGUCAUACGAGUUGAUGCGUCCGGGGAAUUCGAAUCGUCGGCUCCGGAUGUGCUCCGGGUAAGCGCUGCCAACGGAUCCGGGCGUGACUGACCGGGGAAGUUGAAUCGCGCUGCUUUUCAUCCGGCGACAAACCACCGGUUGUGAAAUAUCCAAAGAAGGUGGAUCGUCAGCCGUGCAGAAUCCGCCCGGGUGGAAUAGCGAUGCUAAGUGUCGCAAGGGGGGUUGUCUGCGUGGCCAAGGGAGAGGGGGCCACGUGGCACAUUUUAGGGAGGAUCCCACAAUGCCCCCUUUUAUACCGCAUGUCUGGCCCGGUCAAAAAAGGUGGGAUAAAAAUGUCAUCUUUACAAAAAUUUUCUUUCAUAUGGAAACCAAUGGCACGUGGCACUUGCUUGUUGUGGGAGCUAAUGGGGCGUGCCGACUUCGAAAACUCUGCCAGAUGGUGUGUCGUUUCGGAACUUGGAGCGAUUAGGUUUCCUAUCGUUUGGGGAAUUUUGGGGGUUUUGUUCCUAUAAAUAGGGGCCCAGGGCCCUCUGUUGACACUUUUCAGUUUGCUCCCAGCCUCCCAAGUGUUUCCAAAAAGCAUUUCAGAAAAAGAGCGAAAACGCGGCAACUGGUCUUCGACUUUUCCCAGAAACUUUCGAAAGGUUUGUUGUUUCGCUCUUUCUUCCUCUUUCAUCUUGUUGUUUGUGAUGUUGUUUGUUUACCAUUGAGGGGGUGGAUUGGGUUGGUAGAAGUGAGCGCUAUAGGGUGUUUUUGUCAGAGUCAAAGCCUCGAAGAGGCUGUUUUACAUGGGUUGGGUCGCGUUGCGGACUAGCAAGGUGCUCCUGGUGUAUUUUAGGGGUUUUCAAAGGUUUCUUUGAAUGUGAGGUUGCUGAGUGGGUGGUUUGCUCUUGGGUGAAAACGCGCUUUGACUGGUGCCUUUUUGUAACGCAGGUUUUGUGUAAUCGAAGAUGUCUUCAAAGAAGGGAAAUGUGGCGACUGGUGCGUCGGGGCAAGGUGGUUCAGGUGGGUAAGCCAAACAUACUGAGCUUUUAACUGAGCAGGAGUUCCAGGAUUGCUUUGGUAUUCUAAAUGGAGUGUCCGUUCAGCUGCUGGAGGGUAAUGAUGUGUCUACUGUAAAGUCGGGAGACAACUCCAUUUGCUUCACCAAAGAACAAUUCAACGCGGGACUUCGUCUUCCGCUCCCUUCACUUUUUAAGCAAUUCCUCCACUAUACCAAGAUUCCUCCAGCUUUGAUCCAUCCCAACGUUGUCCGGGUACCGAUGGGCUGCAGCAUUCUGGACAUGCUGUUUAUCUUGGGCCUGUCUUUGCUGGAGGUCCUAUUCGUCUACUCCAUCAAGAAGGCCAAAAACGAUAGCUUCAGCCUGGCCGCCAGUAUUCCAUCGCUUUAGUUGGUGACCGGCCUUCCUGACUCGACUAAGGAGGUUGCCAAAGGACAUGUGCUGGUCAAGGGCCCAUGGGCAGGCUUGAUGGUGCAUCUGGAUAAGCAGUUUGUCCCCAACCAGUCAUUGAAGGACCCAGGUAUGAAUAGAUUGUUCCUUAUCCUCCUGCGGUUGCGAGUUAGGUUAGCAUCGUCAGGUGGCUGACAUGCUUGGUUCUCUUGGGUGCAGGCACGGAUAAAAGGGGAAAGUUAGUAGAAUGGGUGGAAAAAGCUUCGUUCGACCGGUUGAACAAGCUUUUUGAGAUAGGGACAGGUGAGAGGAGCUGUCAGACACUUCUCUUCAUGCAGAAUCUCCUCUUGGUUAGCCAAGUGUCCCAGCUGUACGUACCCAAACAUAAUCCCGAGGCGGCUACCCAAGAAGGUGGUGGCCGAAGAACACUUUGUUCUCAAGGAUCUUCUGUUCUAUUUGGAGGCGUGCGAGGCAGACGUCCAGGCACGCCAAGAGCGCCUCAACCAACGGGAGGAAAAGAGGUAAGAGGGAACUUUGCGGAGGGCACCUGGUGAUAAACGCCCGACGCCAUUUCCUCCGGCCCGCACCCCAGUAGACAAGAAGAAGAAGGUUCCCAUAAAGGCAAUAGUAAUAAGAUCCCCAGUUCCCUCCUCCUCUUCCGCUUCUUCAAGCGAGUUAGGCCUUCCUGAACGUAUUCCCGGACAAUACGGAUCGGGGCCUUCCAUGCCUGUGUUUGAACGGUUAGCUCUUCCGGCUGAGGAAGAAGCUUCAGUGGAUCAGCCCGACUCCCCACACCCGGACGCGGAUGGAAUGGGAUUGGUGGUGGCAGUGAACGAGCCGGUGGGUGAAGUAGUUGGGGCUUCUUGUCCUAACCCGAAGCCCCUUUCGGCCACUCCAAUGGAGGAAGCAAGGGUUGAGAGGCAAGAUUUGCCCCCUUAUGAGCCGAGUGCCCUUGCACUUGUACCGGUGAAGGGGCCGACCACGGGGAGGUCACGUCUGCCCCGUGAUUUAACGACCGGCAUCAGCGGGAGGCUUCAGGAUCGCCUCUACGAGACCAUUGAAGUCAACUGUUCAUCCGCCCGGGAAGAUCAUCCGAAGGGGUACCAGACGGAGAUAGCUGGGGAGGAUCCAUCUGAUCUAGUGUUCAUCCCGGAUGAGGACUCGCCAGGAGAUGUUCCGUCGAUUGUGAAUGAAGAGGGUCCGGCUCCGGGGGAGGAGCCACACAAUGAUGACCCGACUAAGGGGGAUCCAUCCGAUGAUGUGGCCUGUGUCUCUGUUAGCCCUUUCAGUUAUGCAGAGUUAGGGGAAAUGCUGAAUCAUAUUUUUUCCGGCUCAGAUGUCGAUUUGCUUUCAGUGAAGAUGUUUGAAACGGCGGAAAUGGUAUAGCUUAGUCUCCUUGAUUUUUCUCGUCAUAUUGGUAUAUUUUUCGCGUGGUAGAUGCUUUGAAUUUGUUGUUGUGGGUUUUUCUACAGCUGGUGAGUGGCAUUCGCGGCAUGGUUCAACAACGUGAGCUUUUUUCAAACUUGUUGCGAAUGGCUAAUCAUGUGAAGGCCUUUGUUUCCCAGCGCAUGGGUGGUGAGGAGUUGCACUUGAGAUUGGAGCAGGCCAAAAUAAACUCAACCGCCGCCCGGAGAGCUUUUGAAGAGAAUGCUGAAGCUUUAAAGAGGUCCCAAGAGGACAAUGAGGCUCUCCGGAUCAAGUUAGAAGAGGCUAAGAGCUGGGAGGAAGCUAUAGAAACACGACUGAAUGAGGCUGAGGAUGGGCUGGCCUAGCUGAGGGGGGAAGUGAGACAGCUCCGGACUGAGGCGUCAAUCGAGAGGAAGCAAAAGGAGAGCUUGCAGUUGCACCUAAUAGCAUAAAAAGAAGAGUUGGAGGCUGAGUUUGCCAUGCAAAGGGAGGAACUCGAAACGGAAUACCAGAAGCAGGUGGACGAGAUGUAUUUUUUCGGCUACCGUUGUUGUAUGAAGAAGAACGGCAUCAAACGAGAUGUUCCUUCGAUUCCUCCGGGUGAAGAGGAAAAGUUACACCGCAAGCCUUCCCAAUGAAAGCUCUCAUUUUGUAAUUCUCACUGCUAUUUCUCUCUGUAUAGAUAGUCCGAAGAACAUCUUUUGUUUAUAAUUCACAGUUAUUAAUAAAACACACUUCUUUUCAUGGUUCUUCCAUCUUUGCUUUCAUUGUUAGUAUUGCUUUAGAUUGGCUACAUUCCAAGGACGGAGUAGGGGGGUUCCAUUUAAAGUUUGUAAAUGGUAUGAUCCAUUUUUGUUGACUUUAAACACUACAUAAGGUCCUUCCCAAUUGGCCUGAAGUUUUCCAGCUCUUUUCUCAGCCGUGUUUUCAAAGACUUUUCUAAGCACCAAUGACCCUUCCUUGAAAACCCGAGGUCGCACCUUCCUGUUGUAAUAUGCAACCACCUUCUGUUGAUAUGUGGCCAUCCGGACGAAUGUUGCUUCUCUAGUCUCAUCCGCCCAAUCCAAGUGCCUUGCAAGCUCGUCGUCCUCAUUUCUUUGUCCUUGGAUGGCGGUCCGGGCUGUGGGCAUACCAACUUCGGUGGGGAUUACGGCAUCUGUUCCGUGUGUAAGAGCAAAUGGAGUAUUCUCUGUCGGCCUUCCGGGUGUGGUCUGAUAGGCCCAUAAGACGUCGAGUAGCUUUUCUACCCACUUUCCUUUGGCUUUUUCCAAUCGCUUCUUUAACACACUUAGUAAGGUCUUAUUGGUAGCUUCCGCUUGACCGUUGCCUUGAGGGUACCGCGGUGUGGAAUACAGGUUCUUGAUGUGAAGCUCCGUGCAAAAAGCUUUAAAGGCCAAGCUAUCAAAUUGAGGCUCAUUGACAACUAUGAUUGCCUAAGGGAUUCUAAAUCGGCACACUAUAUUUUUCGAAACGAACCUCUUGAUGUCCUUAUCCUUGAUGCUCGCGUAGGCCUCAGCUUCGACCCACUUGCUGAAGUAAUUAGUGGCAAUGAGUAAGAACUUCUUUUGAGCGGCUGCGAUGGGUAAGAGCCCCACGAUAUCUAUCCCCCAUUGUGCGAAAGGCCAGGGGCUUGUCACUGAGUUUAAUGUCUCAGCGGGCAUAUGUGGAAUUGGUGCAUGCUUUUGGCAUUUAUCGCAUUUCCUGGCAUAAAUCUCUGCGUCCUGCCUCAUGGUAGGCUAGUAAUAUCCUUGCAAAUGUGCCCGAUGCACCAGGGUUCGGCCCCCCGAGUGGUUGCUGUAAACACCUUCAUGAAGUUCAAAUAGAACAUAUUGGAUUUCCGGCUGGGUCAAGCAUUUGAGAUACAGACCCCCAAAGGAUCGCCUAUAGAGAUCAUCCCCGAUUAGGGUAAAGCGGGAUGCUUGCACUCGAACUUUGUGGGCGCGCUUGAGAUCUUCAGGCAGUGCCCUCGUUUGUAAAUAGACUCUGAUGUCAACCAUCCAAUCGUAUCCCUUUGGGUCUACCUUGCAAACGUUUGAUUCAGCGAUGGUAGGAGUGGUUUGAACGUAUAUGGGCAGCAUUGUUGACUCUUUCACGGGAAAUGAUGCAGUUAUUCCUGCCAAUGCGUCGACUUGCACAUUUUCUCUUCUAGGGACUUUUUCAAUGACCCAUUCUCCCAGCCGACUGAGUGAUUCCUACACUUUCAGUAAGUAUUUGUCCAUGCGUUCGUCCUUGGCUUUGUACUAUUUUCGUAUUUGCCCCACGAUGAGCUGGGAGUUGCUAUGGAUUUUGACUCUCGGGCGUUGAGGGUGAUUGCAAGGUCUAAUCUGGAUAGGAUGGCUUCAUAUUCAGCUUCAUUGUUUGAUGCAGGAAAUCCCAAACGGAUGGAUUACUCUAACUUCUCUCCGGUUGGUGUUUUGAGGAGGAGUCAGACGCCUGAUCCGGACGAGCGAGAGGCUUAAUCAACAUGCAGAAACCACCAGUCGUCCUGAGUUGAUUCUUUGUCCGGGGCAUGCGAUUCAGGUAACUCUGCUAUAAAAUCUGCCAUGACCUGUCCAUUUAGGGAGAGUCUGGGUUGAUAAUCUAUCCCAUAUUCACUUAGCUCUAUCGCCCAUUGCAACAUUCUUCCCGUUAUGUCUGGUUUAUGCAGAAUGUUUCUAAGGGGUUGAUUGGUGAGUACUGUUAUGGGGUGAGCUUGGAAAUAGAGACGCAGUUUCUGAGUGGCCGUUCGCAAUGCUAGGGCAAUUAGUUCCAUCUUCGAAUACCUUGUCUCUGCAUCAACAAGCGCUUUGCUAAUGAAAUACAUGGGUCUCUGCUCUUGGGGCGAUAAGGAAAGGAUCAAGACAGCACUAACAACCCAAUCGGUAACCGCCAGAUACAAAUAUAACCUUUCUCUAGGUUGCAGACUGCUUAGAAUGGGAGGUUGAGAAAGAUAUCGCUUGAUUUCUUCAAAAGCGCUCUGGCAACUUGGUUGUUAUCCGGACUUAUUGACACCUCUGAGUGCCAAGAAGAAAGGCUUCAUUUUGUCUGUGAAUCGAGCUAUGAACCGUCCGAGGGCGACGAGUUUGCCAGUGAGGCACUACAACUCCUUCUUGUUUGUUGGUGGAAGCGUGUUUGCGACCGCUUUCACCUGGUCUGGAUUGAUUUCGAUUCCUCUUUGUGUAACCAUGAACCCCAGGAACUUCCCAGUGCUUACACCAAAUGCGCAUUUGGUUGGGUUAAGUUUCAUGCCAUAAUUUUUCAAUAAAUGAAAAACUUCCUGCAAAUGUUGGGUGUGUUCGCUUCGGGUUUUGCUUUUGACCACCACGUCAUCAAUGUACACCUCCACAACAUCUCCAAUCAGCGGCUUGAAAAUCUUGGUCAUUAACCUUUGAUAUGUGGCCCUAUCGUUCUUGAGUCCGAAUGGCAUGACUUUGUAACAAUAGAGUCCAUGAGGGGUUAUGAAGGCGAUUUUUUCUUCGUUCCCUGGUGCCAUGGGAAUUUGGUGGUACCCGGAGAAAGCGUCCAAAAAGGAUAGCAUUUCAUGUCCGGAGGUAGCAUUUCAUGUCCGGAGGUAGCAUCUAUUAUCUGGUCUAUCCUUGGUAGUGGAAAACUGUCUUUGGGGCACGCGUCAUUGAGAUUGGUAUAAUCUACACACACCCGCCAUUUUCCUCCCUUCUUGGGGACCACCACUACAUUUGCUAACCACUCCGGGUACUCCACCUCUCUUAUAAACCCGACUGCCAAUAAUUUUUCCAUUUCUUCUUGAAUGACCUUCUGCCUGUUCGGAUGGAAUCGUCGAAUUCUUUGUCGAACGGGCUUCGAGGUGGCUAAUACAUUGAGCCGGUGAGAGGCGACGCUCGGAGGUAUCCUGGACAUGUUCGAGUGGGUCCAAGCAAAGACAUCAUGAUUUUGUUGGAACACCUUUUGAAGUUCGAAUUUUUCGGCUGGCGGUAGGAAGGUACUGACGUACAUGAAGCCUUCAUCCCCUUCUGAUGUCUGAAUGGCUUCCGACGGGUCUGCUGUCGGGGGAUCUUUGUCUGCCGGGUGCUGUAAUUGCUAUUGGUCAGCAGAGUUUGCUUUUUUGGGGAAGUGUUCGCGGUCAGUGCUGGGUCCGACUUCGUGAGUGAUUUGAUAACAUUGCCGGGUAGCGAGCUGGCUUCCAUAAAGAUUAAUCUGCCCAUCUUGGGUGAUGAAGCUAACCAUCUAGUGGUAUGUGGAUGGAAUGACCUUCAUCUCGUGCAACCAUGUGCGUCCCAAAAUGGCAUUAAAAGGGGAUAAAUUCUCAACCACAGAAAAUAGAACAUUUAAAAUGACAGGUCCGGCUUGAACCAGCAAUGUUACGUCCUCAAGCGAGUUUGUGGAAGAACCAUUGAAUCCGGAUAGGAUUCUUCCGAGAUUCUCCAGGCUGGCGGGUAUGAAACCCAUUUGUUUGAUGACCGACACUUGCAAAAGAUCCGCGGAGCUACCUGGAUCGACUAGGAUUCUUUUCACGUCGAAGUCCUCAACCCCUAAUAUUAGGAUGAGUGCAUCUUGAUGUGGCUGCAGUACUCAAGCGGGAUCCAUGGCGGGAAAGACAAUGGUUCCAUCUAUGGGGUGGAUGCUUUUGUUGGCUAAUCCCGGCCGAAUGGAACUUAUGUAUUCUCGAACAGUCGCUGCCUGCAGCAGUCUUUGUCUUUUUCUUUUAGAACUGUACUCAUCGUCCAAGGGCCUCUCGUGUAUGUAGUUGAUCACGACCCUAAUGGGAGCUGCUGGGGCGCGUGAGCCCUGACCAUGGGAAGAUUCUUCACCUUUAGGGGUUGUGCGGAUGUAUUGCUUCAAGUGUCCCGCCUUUAGAAGAUCCUCCACCAUAUAAUGGAGACUUCGACACGUUUCUGUGGUGUGCCCAUGAUCUUUGUGGUAUGCACAUUUUUUACUGCAAUCCCUUUCUGAGGGGUUUGAUCUUACUGGUCUCUGCCAUCUAAAGCUGGGCAAAUCUCGGAUGAUAGGAAGCAAUUUUUCAUACGAUGUGGUGAGAGGCAUGCGAAUGAGUGGGGGACGUCGCUCAUCUUGCCCCCUAUUGGAUGACCCGGGAUGGUUUGGUGCUUUGAAGCUUCUGGUGGCUUCACUUCUCAUGGCUUGGCCAGUGAUCAGGACUUGCUGCGUAGCGGCUCGGACGUCGUCCUCUAACAUGGAAUAUUUCCCUGCACGUCGAAAUAAAUUGUCAAUGGAUAUGGGAGGUUUUUUGGCGACGGACUCGAAGAAGGGGGUCCCUAGGCAUAUGCUCCGUUUGAAAAUUUGGACUUAUGUAUUCUUGAACGGUCGCUGCCCGCAGCAGUCUUUGUCUUUUUCUUUUAUAACUAUACUCAUCGUCCAAGGGCCCCCCGUGUAUGUAGUUGAUCACGACCCUAAUGGGAGUCGCUGGGGCACGUGAGCCCUGACCAUGGGAAGAUUCUUUACCUUUAGGGGCUGUGCGGAUGUAUUGCUUCAAGUGUCCCACCUUUAGGAGAUCCUCCACCAUAUAAUGGAGACUUCGACACGUUUUAGUGGUGUGCCCAUGAUCUUUGUGGUAUGCACAUUUUUUACUACGAUCCCUUUCUGAGGGGUUUGAUCUUACUGGUCCCGGCCAUCUAAAGCUGGGCAAAUCUCGGAUGAUAGGAAGCAAUUUUUCAUACGAUGUGGUGAGAGGCGUGCGAAUGAGUGGGGGACGUCGCUCAUCUUGCCCCCUAUUGGAUGACCCGGGAUGGUUUGGUGCUUUGAAGCUUCUGGUGGCUUCACUUCUCACGGCUUGGCCAGUGAUCAGGACUUGCUGCAUAGCGGCUCGGACGUCGUCCACUAGCAUGGAAUAUUUCCCUGCACGUCGAAAUAAAUCGUCCAUGGAUAUGGGAGGUUUUUUGGUGAGAGACUCGAAGAAGGGGAUCCCUGGGCAUAUGCUCCGUUUGAAAAUUUGGAGGACUGCGUCCAUGUUGUAUGACUCCACUUGUAAGACAGCUUGUCCGAAACGCUUUACGAACUCUCUCAGGGUUUCAUUUUCUUGCAUUUUGAUGUUCUGCAAAGUGCUGAUAUUUUGCUUAUGCUUGGCUGAGCACAGGUACUGCCCCAUAAAGACUUUGGACAGCUCCCGAAAAUUGUCAAUCGAGUUCGUAGGUAAUCGAUGAAACCAUGAGAGGGCUUGGCCUUGUAGGCUUGCUGGGAAAACUUUGCAUAAUAGCAUAUCAUUCCCUAUGUCGAGGGUCAUGAGCUGCCGAUAAUGCAUUAUGUGAUCAAAAGGAUCGCUAGACCCAUCAUAUGUGGAGAACUUUGGGACGAUGAAUCCUCUAGGAGGUUCAUAUUUAAUAAUGCGAGAACUGAAAGGCGUGGAGAGCAUGUCGUCCAGGCGCCUGCUGAUAGAGCCUAGAGGGGCUGUAUACGAGGGAUCUUUGCCAACUCGUGACACGAGUGGGCGGGCGAUGUGUCUCUGCGGAAUAGGGGAGUCUGAGGGCCUGGAGUGUGCCUCCAACGAUAUGGUGGUAUGAGGCCUGUUUUUGUUGGGUGUUUGUGGUCCCAGACGCGCGCGCAUUGCGUCAGAUAUUUGAGGCCUUUUCUCACGUUGUCGUUUGGAUGAGACUCGAGUAGAGUUUGAACUUUCCUCCCGUCGGACGUGACGAGUGUGCAUCGGGGCUUCAUUAGGCCCUUCAUGCACCUCGAGGGGUGGGCUAACCUCUCGGGGGUAUGGAGCUUAUUGGUUGUGAUGACGAUCCUGCAUCCGCUGAUAGUGCUGGGGUUCGGAAGAGACUUGGAUCCUCAAGACAUCGUUUUCUUCCCUAAGCCUUCUUGUUUCUUGGAGCAAAACUUGCAUUUUCCGUUCGUUGUCUCGCUGUCGUCUUUCCAUGUUGCUUUGCCAUUCAAAGUAACCUUCGUCACCCCUGGCGAAAGAACGACUCCUCGAGGGUGGAGCCAUCUUUGCAGUUGGAAGGUACAUGAUUUAUUGAGAAGAGGAGUUUCCCACAGACAGCGCCAAUGUUGAUGGCAAAAUUCCCCCGCUACAGUAUUAAUUAUCGACAAUGAAAUCUCGAUCAACUCAUUCCAGUGAUUCUCUCUUCCUCUUGCAAAAAGAUGUCCGGACGGGUGGUCCGGACACACCCUUUGAUGAUUAAGUCAGCGUUAUGGAAGUUAUAAGGAAACAACUUUUGGCCUGUUUUUGGGAGUGAUGCUUCGUGAUCGUCUUCAAGGAUACUUACCCCCUUUUUGGAGUUUCUUUAAAGCUUAUAUAUGAGUUAGAGAGUAUGGCCUUACUGAGCUAAUGGGUCCCAUAGUCAUGAUUGCGACUCAUAGGGGGGCAAGGCAAUCAUGACUCUUCUGGUGCGAGGUGAUGGCUGUCAGAAGAGUCUUCAGACAACGGUUGUCACCUCAAAUUAUGAUGAUUGGUACCGGGAAUGCGUCAGGCAAUCUAAGAAGAUUUGGAAGUGUCUAGUCAAGCUUAUCUUGUAUUGAAGAGGAAUGAUAGUUCAAGAGACUUGGUCAGCAGUGUUGACGGAGUUGUCUUCCUGAUUAUGGGCUGAAAUGGAACAGGCAAAUCAUGAGCGUCUUACGAGUUGAUGCGUCCAGGGAAUUCGAAUCGUUGGCUCCGGAUGUGCUCCAGGUAAGUGUUGCCAGAGGAUCCGGGCGUGACUGACCGGGGAAGUUGAAUCGCACUGCUUUCCAUCGUGCGACAUACCGCUGGUUGUGAAAUAUCAGGAGAAGGUGGAUCGUCGGCCGUGCAGAAUCCGCCCGGAUGGAAUAGCGAUGCUACGUGUCGCAAGGGGGGUUGUCCGCAUGGCCAAGGGAGAGGGGGCCACGUGGCACAUUUUAGGGAGGAUCCCACAUAAAGCAUCUCAAAUUUUUGUGCCAUCUUAUUACAGGGAUUUCCUUAUGGAUACUGAUGAUUGGAAUUCAAAUCAAAACAAAAAGAGGAGUUUUGGGGACGUUUUCUGGCUAUCAGUCUAUCGAAAAUCUUGACGUAUUUGCUAUAUUGAAGGAUAAAACAUAAGUGAAAUUCUUGUGGUAAAUAAGCAAACAAACCUGGUUUUACGCAGUUCGUUAAUGAUUCACAUGAAAGCACUUGAAUCAAAACACCAUCUUGCAGAACUGAAAACGAUGUUAAUGAGAGAAUUGAAGGUUUGGUCUUCUGGUUUGUACUUGGAGGGAAACAUAAUUAAGCACAUAAGAAGAUGUCACAGGAGAUUUCUAAGGAUCUACAAUUAUUCACAUUCUCAUUUAAUCAAGGGAGAUUCGAAGUUGAAGAAAUCUUAUAGCUUUAGUCGAGAUGAUCUGCUGACCCAAGAUAUCUUGGCACUUGAUACAAGUGUUGAAGCUUUUGUUGGUCAAAUUAUUGACCUAAAAAAAAAAAAACUACAAAAUGCUCUUGAAAUCAGUUAGGAAUACAUCGAAAUCGCUGUAUCAUUGAAGGAUUAUGUUGCCAUGAACCUAGUUAAGCAUGUCACCCAUAUUUCCUACACAAUUGACAACUCUAAUGGAUAGAUCCUGACUGCAGAUCCUUAAGAGCUCAAUGGGAUGAAACUUUAUCAAUCUUGGAGCCAUAAAUGAAAACCCCUAUACCGUUCACCAAAUCCUUUUAAAAUGUGACAGUCCUCUUUGAUCCAAUAUUCAGUUCUAAGCAUCCCUAUUUUGAAGAAAGAGAUAGAGAAGUGAUGAAACCUUGGCCCUGAGAAGUCAGAUAUGGAGAUUUCAGAAGUGAGGGGAGUUCAUAAAGAUGCCGCAGGCUGAAAAUACCGAAGAGGUAGAAAAAAAUAUCAAUCAUUUUCCAAAAAGGCAAUGCAAUUUUACUUCAGCAAGAGGAAUUCAAGAGCUGAGAAAUCAUACUGUAGACCCUCAAUUUUGUCCCUUUAGCACAUGUCUUUAAGUUCGUUUUCAGUGCUUCAAAAUAGUUCCUUGGUGGCCCAUGGCUACUCAUACCACUUACCUUUUUCUGAGUCACCUCGGAGAUUUUGGUUGAGGGAUUAUUUGAUCCUUUAUUGUGACCCUUGGCAGCCCUAACUUAGACUUAGGUUUUUCUUGCUUUUUUUUUAGGAUAGCUUUUAGAUACACUUGGCCCAUUAGGCACCACCCUAGGCCCACUUAGUCUCAUCAUAGGCCAUUUAGGCACACUUGGCUCAUUUGGACAUUUUUAGCGUGACUUAUAUAACUUGCGUGUUUGCAUGGCUCGUAGGGCCCUGAUUCGUCCCUAGCAGUGGCAGUGGCAAUGGCACCAUUUGAUUCGAGGUUCGAUCCCCGGCAACGGCGCCAUUUGAUUCGUGCCCAAUUGGUGUCUCAGCUGAUUCGUGUCCAGCUGGUGCUCCUUGAUUGAGGGAGUAAUCAACAAAAUUUAUAACCUAUUACACCAUAUACUAGGGUAGCAAAGACAAAGCUACUAUAGCAUAGUGGCUCUAGGAUCGUUCACUGGGAUGGGUUUUCACUUUGCAAAUGAUAUUAAUUCAAAGCUGAAUUGGUGUCUUUUCAUUUCAAGGUUAGCUUUAAAAGAAAACAUAAAGAUGUUUAAAUGAAAAAAGGUUUGGUUUUAAACUAACCACAAAUAGUAACUGAUUUUACUUAUAAAGAAAAAUGUUUCUUGGAGUUCAGAUCACUAGGCUCGUUCCUCAUACAAAAAGGAGAGUUCCGGUCACUUGUUUCUUUUCCUCGCAUUAGAGAAUUAACAUAUAGUUAAUUCUCUAACCGGUGUUAUACAGAUGCUUCCCAUUAACGGGUUCAAACACUAAAUCCCUCUCACUAAUGCACCUUGCAAUGACUCAUACCUCUCACCUAGCACUUGCCAUUCAAGGUGAUCUUUAACCUUGGAUUACCCGUCAAAAGCUCGCAAGAGAUAACUAAUGGAUGUCUCCUUGGAGUCCAAAAGCUUACCAAGUGUUGGCUAUUCUAGAAAAUCCUACCUUCAAGUCACCUCCCAAAGGCUCGCAAGGGGUAAACUAGUGCAUUUCCAUGGUUGGAAAUCACUUGCCUUACCAAGUGUUGGCCCAGGUGACUCUAAGGUGUUUUAAGUUAACUAAAAACAUAGAAAUCACUAACGGGUUACACUUUCUCUUCAUUAAAAACUAAAACAACAAAACUUCCAAAUUAUGCAUGUGGAAACUUACCUGGCUUUCCUCACUCCAAGAGACAAAAAGCUUAGCCUCUCAUCCUCUGUGGAAAAAUCCUCAGAGUUUGGUUGGCUAGAAAAUGAAAAUGAAAGAGAAGACAAGAAUAUAUAUCAAAAACAGAGCAAGUGCUCUGUUCGUUGAUUCUAUAUAUUGGAUUACAUGAUAUGGUGGUCCGAGAGUCCUCUGAGAGUGUUUACAAGAGAGUUUAUAUAGGAAGGUAAUUUACCCUUCCUUGGAUACUUCCUAUCUAAGGAAUUACAUGAGUGGUUGAAUACAAGGAGAAAAUGGAAAUUUAGACACAAAAAUCUGAAGAAAAAUAUCUAAAAGAGUCGGUGCAAAAAUAUCGGGAAGCUCUAGGAACAUUUCGCAGGUGAAAAAUGGUGUCUGCGAGAUUUCGCAGACACUCAAGAGGGCUGCGAAAUAUUUUCGCAACAACAAGUUAAACUCGCAGGGCUGCGAAAUUGGCUUCCACCUUGAGGUUCUCAGCGUUUCAGCUUGCGGCAUGUAUCGGGUAGCUUCAGGAGGAAUUCCAUAGCACUGUACAAAAAGGCUGCGAAAUUCUCGCAACAAAAGGCUGAUUUCGCAACACUUUGUAGUGAUCUGCUUGCAAUGGCUGUAACUCCUUCGUUUUAACUCCAAAUCGCGCACCGUUUGAAGCAUUGGAUUCUUGACUUCCUGAGCUUUGAAAUGGUAUAUAGAAUGUAGAAAAUGGACUUCGGGAAGUGCUCCAAAAGUGCACAAGAAGACUGCAGCUGGCUUUCCUCUGUUUUCUUCACUCUGUUUUUCCUCUCUCCUUGCUUCUCUCCUUGCAUACUUUGAACGACUUUGGCAAAGGGAUAUGGAGCUCCAAAGCUUGGUUCUUCAUGAAUUUGAGCUCUUCAUUGCUUUGCCAUGGAUUCCAAAUAACUCUCCUCAAUCUUGGAUUGUUUUAGUGAUCAAAUUACUAACAAAAACACCAAAAACUUACACAAUUUGAUUAGAAAUGAUUGCAAGGGUCCUUAACAUGUUAAUUGGGUUAAAAGACAAUAAAUACUACUCAAAAGUGUUUAAAAGAGUUAAUUACAAGCUAUCAAAUAGCACUUUUUGAGUAGUAAUGAGGCCCAUUUUUUUGUUAAUUUGUUUAUUUUUAUUUUAUUUUAUUUUAUUUUCCUCUUUAUAUUAUUUUCCUUAACUUAUUUAUUUAUUUAUUAUUUUUACCAUUUUCUAAUUUAUUUAUUUAUUUAUCUAUUAAUGCAAUUAUUUAACUUCUAAAAUUUCAUGUUUUUGCAAGGAAACUUACCAUUGGAGUUUAAGGAAGGUGGGACUCUCCUUGGAAGGUUUUGAAAAGGAAUUUGAAAUUGAGAAGAUUGCUUUUGAAUUUGAGGAUUUAAAAAAAAAAGGAUAGGGAGGAAAGAGAAAGAAGGGGGCUUUUUUUAGGGAUUGAGGGAGGAGAUUCUUUUUUUGGAGCAGCAUGCAUUGCGGGAUUGUUUAGAGGAAAAGCACAGAAGAGCAGAAAAGGGGCGAUUGCAAGCGAGGUUCUUCCAGGUACGUUCCUAGCUAUUCUCAGAAUUCUUACCCAUGUUCAAUCCUCCAUUAUUCUCUGAUCAUUUUGGAAUAUUAAAUCUUUGCUGAUUGGUGUGGACGCUAAGGGCCACAACUGGUUCUAUUGAGAAUGGUUGGUUGUUUUGUUUAUUUUCUCAGAUUUCUUAUUUUUUUGGACUUCCGUUCUUUUCAAUAUCAUUGAUCUCACAUGCAUUUGGGUAUGUUCUUGAACCUGAUGAUAGAAAUCCUACCUUGUUCGUGAUAAAAAUCUCAUUUUGAAUCACUCCCCUAUUCUAAGCCAAUGGAUUGAAACAUGAAACGUGGCUCCCUUUUUAUUGUCUCGUUCUUUUUUUUAUUUUUUUAUGCUCUGUUUUCGAAUGCCAUUCUCUCUUCCCGAUAUUUGCUUGUGAGGAAUCUUUUGAAAACUGCUGGAGCGUGGAAUUCAAAUUUGGAAAGAUGAGGUGGAAAGAAAAUGCAGGGUUUCUGUGUAAGCACAUUCGCUAAAAACAAAGGACGACCCCACACUUGCUGUCUCGGUUCUCACAGUAGGGCCUUGGCCAAUUCAAUCAAAUGAUAUGUAUAACCCUCCAGUAGAGAUUCUGGAAGUUUGUGAGAAAAUCAUAGGUUAUUAUCUCGGGACCUGCACUGGGAUGAGAUUGUCUUGGCAAACGAAUAUGGGCACGACUGAUUUGAGGGCAACGUUUGUUAGGGAUCAACAGGAAGAUUUAAUAGGACUGCCGUAGUUGAAAUGGAUGAUUUUGGCUUUGGUGGCGGUCCUUGUUCUAUUGCCGUUACUGCAGUGUUAGAUUUUUUUUUGGCAGAAGUGAUUUCUGACUUUAUUACUGAGCAGGUGAAAGAUGCGCAGGUCGUGGAGACAAUUCUGGAAACUACUCCUUCAUACAUGCUAAGUCUAUUUUUAGUUUCCAAGGUCCGUGCCUUAGCAGGCUGAUGAAUUCCCUUGAAAAGCGUCUCUUGCGUGAUGACGAGGAAGAUGAGGAAAAGUUAGAUGAGAGCCGCUGGUCAUCCAAUUCGGAUGCAUUGUGUAUAAUGAUUGCAGAUCAUGCAUAUAUGGGUGCUUUUCUUAGCCUGUCACUGUACUGAAAAUUCUGGAAUUCUUGUUGUUUAUGCUACAGCUUACAAAUCAAGAUGGACGAAUUGAAGGAGUAGUGUCUAGAAAAGGCCUUUAUCCAUCUCCAGAGGGAACAAACAGCUUGAUGCUUAUGUACAAUUGAUAAUUAAGUAUACAAACCGUAUGGUAUUGUUUUGUUUCUUGCCAUCAUUCUUGAUUAGUUUAAAGAAGAUGAUCUUCUUUCACUCUUGGGUUUGCAAAUUGGACCUAAGGAAGAGGAAUCCCUAAACUCUUCAGAGGAAGAUACAGGAAUUAAUAUCUGCACAGAUCUACAGUUAUUAAUUGCUCACAGUCGAAUAAUAUUCUGACCCAGCAAUUCUGAUACUGAAUUAAGUGGUAACCUAAAUUACUGUCUCUGAGUAAAUUUAAUUCCUUUUCUCCAUGAUCAAAGACGAAAUGCUGUGAAUAUGGCAGUUGGUGUUGUCAAGAAUCCAUUGAUGCAUUGCAAGGCUGCACUAGAGGACUUGCUAGUCUCUAAACCAAACCAAGUGAACAGGUUGUUAAAAAAAAAGUAUUGGAGCAGUGUGCUGUUAUUAUGUGGGUGCAGCAUAUUGCUGGAUCAUCAAAGUUAUAUGGAGUGAGGAUGAAAAGAAAUGGUGCUGAAGCUUCCAGAGCAUUUCAUCAAGACCCAACAGCCAUUUAUGCCACAACCUCGUCUGAGACAGCCAUCUGGGUUUAAUGAUAUUCAGUCGGUACAGCAGCACAUCACGUUCAAGCAGCUGCAAGAACUUCAGAGGCAGCAGCAACUUCAGCAGCUGAGUGGUACCAAGCAAAACUCCAUAGUGAAGUGAAGGCAUUAGAAGUUGAAAUAGAUUCUGUGGCAUAUACUAUUUAAUAGGCAAGGAAUGCCGAAAGAAAUGAAAAUCAUGUCUCAGAUGGUAAUGAUAACUGAGCACAAGUCACUUGAAGCGUAAUCAUAUUGCUCAGCCCGGAUCUACUGUUCCAAAAAGUGCUGGAUUAAAAGGCUCCUCAAGUAAAUUCAUAAGUGCCCAAAAUAAUGCAAAACUUCGUCCUGAUUAUGCAUCUUUUUCUGUUAAAUCUUCUGUUCUGCACGCUAGGAGAAAUGUGGUGUCAACUCCACAGGCUAACCCACCUUUGGAAAUAAAUUCAUCAGGCAAUUUGCAGCCUCAGUCAGUUACCAAAGUCAGUAGUAGUUUAAAGGUGAUUCCAGAUAUAAAACUUCCAGCUGUUCCAGCCAACAGAGAGCAUCCAUCAAUUGCAGGCUAUAGUGGAUCCAACAAAACUGCAGUUUCUCUCCCUCAAAAUGCUCGACACAUUGGUAGGAAUCUGCAAUAUGCUCAACCCCAGACAACAAAACCUUCAGGUUUGCGGAUGCCAUCACCAUCACUGGGAUUAUUUAGUCAGCCAAAAGCUUCUGCAUCACAGAGAAAUCAAAUAUGCAACCUUCUGAAGUCCAGUGUUCCUAACUAUCAGAAAUUUCAUGCCUCAAAUUCCAUUCGUGCACCAAGGCCCCUUCAUGAAUCAGGGAAAAUUUCCAGGGUGGUCAAUGACAUUCAAACUGGAAAUAUUACAGCCUUAACCUUGAGUGCAAGAUGCUCCAUUUCAUCCGCUGCUAAACCUGUUUUGCCAGAAACUGUGAAAUUGAAUGUUGAAGUAGAUAAUUUCAACAAGUCAGAACUGAAGUUCCCGUGUGUUCCUAAGAGCUCUGAAGUGGUAAAGAACAACAUUCUUGAUUGUGUCGACAAAAAAUAUCAUGAACAUGCAAAACCACAGAACUUUGAGAUCCCACACGAGGAGGAUUCCGAAUUGCAGAUUAAUGACCAUAAAUUGCUUUUACAAAGUGCAUCCUCCAAAAUGGAAAAUUCCCAUACUUCAUCCCAACAGAACCUUGCAGUACAAGUUAAAGGUGUUUGUGGAACAGAUGGUAUUACCGAGCACCAAUUUGUAGAAGAAAAGCAAGACAAUAUGUCAGUUACAAAUCAGCAUGACACUUCUGAAUCAGAGUCCAAAGAUACCAUUAAUUGUAGUAAACCUGGUACUUCAGUAGUGAGUGAUGGUCAGUUAGUCAAUAUGUUCGAUGCUAGAGAACAAUCUGGGGAACAAGUCAAUCUUGCAAAGUGUUGCACCCAUGAGCCUGAUCUAAUUUCUCUUGUAGAGAAUAAAAAAAGAAAGGGCUAAUGAUGACAUUUUAUUCAAGAAGAGUUUUUUUUUAAGAGUCACGGAAUUAUGUUAAUGGGAAUAUCGUGGAUCCAAAGGUCCAAGACUCUAGUACAAGCACAUUGGAAAGUUGUCAACAUCCAUCUCAAUACGCAAAGAAAUCAGGCAAAGAUGCUAUUGGGGAGGAUGAGAUAAUCAACAGAUCACGUGAACAAGAUGCAUUGAUCCGUGCUCAAAUGGGAAUCUAUUAGUUGAAAGCUGCAGAAAGAACCUGAGUACUUGUAGUCGAUAUUUGAUGAUUGCUGAUGAUGUACAUGAACAAUCUGGAGAACAAGAGCCUCAAAAUCCCAUAGUUGAGCUGUCCCAUGCAGAGGAUGCACCAGCAGUUUCUGUAGAGGUCAACCCAUCAUUCGAAAAUUACAAGUGUGUUAUUGAUACACCAUUAAUGCAUGAAGUUAAGCUCAAUGGUGAAGUCACUUCUAUGGAAUUUGGUUCAUCUUUGAGGGUAAGCAAUGAUCAAACUACAUUUGAAGUAACUACCCUCAAUUCUAUCAUCACCAAUUUUCAUCCAGAAAGUAGAGACUCAAGUGGGAGUGAAUUAGAAGAUCCUCGUUCUACAUCCCUAUUUAGCCCUGCAGUGCAUGUUGAAAGUGUUUGUGGGACAGAAAAGAUGGUUGAGUACCAACAUAUGGAGGAAACAGAAUAUAAAUCACCAGUUAAGAAUCAAGCUGUCAUUACAAAGGCACAAUGUGGAGAUACCAUUGAUGGUAGUAACCAAGUUGCUUCAGUGUUGCAGAAUAAUUGGUUGAGCUGCAUGCAUGUCGUCAAUGAACCUUCUGAAGAACAGGCCCAGCUGAUAAAGUGUUGCACCUCUGAAGCUGAUCAGAUUUCUAACAAUGAAAAUCAGAAGCUACAGACAGAAGAUAGCAUUUCAUCUGAGUCAUCUCAGAAAUAUGAUAGGUGUGUCACAGAUGUUGGUCCAAAAAUCUGUGGUUACAAUGGAAGUGAACUUGAAAGUUCUGAUGGUCCUUCUCAACUUAAAUACAUAGUUCAAGGGGAAGAAGAGGGUUCUAGAAUAGAUAGCACAACUAAGAAAUUAAAUGAGGGGGAUGCAGGAGGGCAUUCCAUAGAUAGUGAUCUAUUAGUUGAAAGGUGCAGAAGUAACAUCAGUUCAGCAGUGCAAAAUCUAUACGUUGUGGGUUCUGAUCUUACAAAUGAACAAUCUGGAGAGCAAGUAAAACUUCAAAUUCCCUGCCUUGUAGUCGAACAAAGUUCCCAAGAUAAACAUGGAUUACGUCCGAAUAAUUACUCAUUACUUUCGAAGGGCAUCUCUUCCAAUGAGUCUUGGGAAGAAAAUGUCUCUGAAAGUUCUGAUUAUGUUGUUCCAGAACAAAGUCAUUUGCAGGAAAGUGUAUCAGAGAUUCCCACUACUGUUGUUCAGCUACCACUUGGAAUACCUGAUGGCUUUGAUGUUGGCAAGAUGGCCAAAAAUUUAAAUGCAGGGGAAAUACUGCCAGAUUCUGGAGAUUUCAAGUUCUUACUUGAAGGCCAUGAAUAUCCUACUGAUACACAAUUCAGGCCUGGCAUAGAGCUCAACAGUCAGGCCACUUCUUUGGAAUCUGAUUCACCAGUGAAGACAAGAGCAUUAACAACAAUGAGUAACGAGGAGCUUAUAUGUUCAAGAAAAUGGCCCUGAGAAGUCAGAUAUGGAGAUUCCGGAAAUAAGGAGAAUUCAUAAGGAUGCAGCAAGCUAAAAAUAUUGAAAAGGCAGAAAAAGGCAACAGCAAGGGUAUGUAUUCUAGAGAAGCUGAUGAAUCAAGCCUUGAGAAUGAGAAAAUAGCACAGAAUGCAGGAAAUAUAGCAAUACAGAAAAGUAAGAAUUUUGAGCUUUAUGUUCAAUGUUUGACCAGCGUUGGGGAGAAUCCAUAUGAGCUUAUGAACCAAGUUAUCUUAUAAAUGGAAAUGUUUCUGAUCACUGAAUACUUUGGCAACGAAUUGGGUCUUUCUAUCCCGAACUCCACUCCAUCAGGCAACCUAAGUAACUCAGUCUCAAAAGCAGCCUAGACGCUAAUCCAGCUUAGCCGCCCUGCCUCACAUCGUACUCCUAUUGUUUCUUUUUUUUUAUUUUUUUUUUAUGAUCUUAUAUGUCUUAAAGCCGGAUUUCAAAACCUUUUUCUAUCAAAAAUGAAUUUGGUUUUCUCUAAGGUUCCUAAGAAGCAUUUAGGUACAAAAUCCAGAUUUUAACAUGCAAUUUGCUGCCACUUUAUUGCGGGUAUGCACUUUCACUGUUUUAUUUGAUUUUUAACUAUUUUUGUGUUUUUCUUGAUUUUCAACAAGCAUGAAUAAAACUUCAUAAUUCCAAAUCAUGGAAUCUAUGGAAUCAACUCAUGCGAAAUUAAUUAGGGUUUUGGUGGGGGCCCGACAUUCAUGAUAUUUCCUCAAAUAUUUUUUGUUUGAUAUUUGAUUAAUUGUGCUUUCUCUUUGAGAUACGUGAGAUUAUUAUGCACCUAUCAUUAAGCAAUCUUGUUUCCCAUAGAGGCAUUUUAGCUUGCUAUCCAGGUACGCUCCUUCACACCUAUUUUUGAGAAUUCUAUUGACACAUAUGUUACUGACGACUAUACCCAUACAUGAUGUGAUUUUUGGGUGUUUUGAUAUAUGCUUGAUUUGCUUAGAUAAAACAAAUGUUAUGUCAUAUUUCCAAACUAAUCUCUUAUGUUUCGUGAUAGCGCUUGAAAAGUCGUUCAGGUAUGCACUUCGAUUCCCUCUCAUGAUUUGUUUUCUUAUUAGGCAUGCAAUAUUUGAAAUCACCUAGUCUACUUAGGUAUCCAUGAUCAACCAUUUAAUUUCCACGCUUCCCUUAACUUAGUCAGUAGAGACCUUUUUAGGGCUCAGAGGGGUGCUACCUCCUAGAGGUACCUUCCCAAUAAGUAACCUGAUCCCCGGACUUAGACUCGGGUUUCUCAAAGACAUGCUUUUUCCAAAACUAUGGAGUCACUUUUUAGGGUUUUUCUUUCUUGUUUUAUUUUCCCUUCAAAAUAAAAAUAAAAUAGGUGGCGACUCCAACUUUUUUUUAAAAAUCAAUUUUUCACAAAUAAAAAGCGAGUCUCGCCGAUCGAGUGGGGACGCACGUGAAAAAUGCGGGUCCACACAUACUAUAGCUAAAUUAAAUAUUGUUAAAUCUUAUUGGUCCAUGGCAACAGCAAGGGUAUGCAUUCUAGCGGAACCGCUGAAUCAAGUCUUGGUGAUGAGAAAUAACACAAAAUGCAAGAAAUACAACAAUGCAGAAAAAUAGGAAUUUUGAGCUUUAUAUUCAGUGUUUGACAAAUGUUGGAGAGAAUCCAUUUGAGCUUAUAGGUCAAGUCACUUUAUAAAUGGAAACGGUUCUGGUCGUUAAAUACUUUGACAAUGAAUUGGGUUCUUCUAUCAUGAACUCCUAGGCCCCAUUCCUUCAUGGCUACCUUGCUACACACACCUUCUCCUCUAUUUGCUUAUUUGAUUGGGAAUUUACUAUUUUAAAUUGAAUUUUAGAACCAUUGUCCAACUAAACAUUCCCAGCUUUGAAAAAUCUAUCUUUAGAUCAUUUAUAGGCAUAAAAUCCAUAUUCUAACACACUCUUUGCUGCCAUUUUCCUUCUGGCACAAAUUUUCAUUAUUUUCUUUGACUUUCAACCAUUUUCUUGAUUUUCCUUAUUUCACGUAAACAUGAAUAAAUUUUAUGAUUCCAAACAAUGGAAUUCAUAGAACAAACUCAUGCGAAAUUAAUUAGGGCUUUGGUGCGGGCCUGGCAUUCAUGAUACUCUCUUCAAUAUUGUUUGCUUGAUAUGUUGAUUUUUUAUUCUUCUUGAUGAAAUACUUGAAUUCACUUUAUAUUUAUUGUUGAGAUAUCCUUGCUUCCCAUAGACGUGCGGAUGCUCGCUAAUCAGGUACACUUUUCCCAUCCUACAACUCUGAAAUUCUAUGAAUAUGUAUGUUAUCAUGAGUCAUGACCAUGUUUGAUGUCAUACUUGAUUGUCUUGAUGCUUGUUUGAUCAUCUUUGAUAAAAUACAUAUAAUGUGUCAUAUUUCCAAACUAAUCUCUUAUGUUUUAUGAUAGCGCUUGAGAAGCCAUUCGGGUACGCAUCCUAACCUUCCUUUAUUAUGAUUUGAUCUUGUUUGGCAUGCUAUUUUUUGGAACCACCUAGCCUACUUAGGUAUUCAUAAUUAACCGAUUAAUUGUCACAUUCCCCUUAACUUAGUUAGUAGAAACCUUUAUAGGGCUUAGAGGGGUGCUAUCUUUUAAAGGUAUCUUCCCAAUAGAUAACCUGAUCCCCGGACUUAGACUCGGGUUUUUCAAAGACACGCUUUUCCAAAAAAUUAUGGAGUCAUUUUUUUAGGGUUUUAUUUCUUGUUUUAUUUUCCCUUUAAAAUAAAAAUAAAAUAAGUGGCGACUCCAACUUUUUUUUCAAAAAUCAAUUUUUCACAAAUAAAAAGCGAGUCUCGCCGAUCAAGUGGGAACGCACGUGAAAAAUGUGGGUCCACAAAUUAGUGCCCAAUUCACUAGUAGAGACCGAGUUCUGAGCUUAGAGGGGUGCUACCUCGCAUGAGGUACCUUCUCGAUAGGUAACCUGAUUCCCAGACCCAAACUCAUGUUUCGCAGACCGUUUUUUUUCCUAAUUUGAGUCAUUUAGAGGUUUUUGGUUCUUACUUAAUUUUCCCUAUUAUAAAAACAAAACUAAAAAGUAAGUGACGACUCCAAAUAACACCGUUCCUCACCAGGGGUGGAUUUUUCAAAACUAGAAAACACAACUUUUCUUUUUUUCUUUUAAAAGUGAGUCGCGUCGGCUUGGGUGGAUCAGGUUAGGGUCCAUAGGGAGGUUCCGCUCUUCCAGGAUAUGUGGCCUCCUGGUUAUGCUGAGAGUUUGUUCCUUGGCCUCUCGGUUGCUGGUCACGAGGAGGUCCUGAGGAUGAAACUUGGAUUCUUAACACCUCGCUCUCUUCCUUAAGUUUCUUCGUUUCUUAGAGUAGGGCUUGUACCUGCUACUCGCUUUCUUGCUGUCGUCUUUCCAUGCUUUUACGCCAGUCAAAAUAACCUCCGUCACCCAUAGGUGAUGAACGACUCCUUGAGGGUGUGGACAUCUUCGUAAACGAACUUCCCACAAACGGCGCCAAUGUUGAUGUUGUGACCCCUUGGGAUUAUUGUGUCUCCCUGACGCUGACGCUUGAUCAACUGAGAGUGAUGUUUCCUUCCUCUCUCUUACAAAACAUGUCCGGACAGGUUGUCCGGACACACCCUCCAAAGCUCUAGUUAGAUUAAUAGUUCUAUAUGUUUUCUCCUUUUAGGAGUGAUUACGAAGUCUGUCUUACCUCAUUUCGUUGGGUUCCUCAAAUGAUUUUCUAGUAUUUGGGGUUUUUUGUUGUCACAUCCAAGCUAGUGGGGUCCUUUACUUCCACAACCAUCAUGGCUGCUCAUGGGGUGGCAGCGCGAUCAUUACUCUUUAGGUAGUGGAUAGAGAUUGCUAGUGGGGCGAUCAGGCGACGCAUCUGUCACUUCAUUCUGCAGGCGGUAGAGUGCAGAAUGUGGCAGGUGGCUUGAAAAGACUUGAAAAUGUCCUAGCUAGCACGCCUUUAAUAGAAGACAAAUGAUGAACUAUGGAGUAUGGUCAGAGACAUUGCUUGGAGCAUGUCCUGCAGUCUCGCAAGAGCAUGGGCACCUAGCCAUUGACUGCUGGAUCCGGAUAGGAUGGAUCCGGAGUAUAUGUUCCUUGCUAAUGGAGUAUGUCCGGAUAAAGGCAAAGGGUUGCCACGUGUCUACAGAAGGUUUGCCUGUGAGGUUAAGGCAGGUCACCACGUGUUAGCUCAAGAGGAAGGUCCUACAAGUCCCACGAAACAUACUUUGAUUUGGUCAAGGUAGUUAAAUUCAACAUGAGAAAUCUUGUCUAGUUAUGUAAUUCCCACUCCCAUGGACUAGGCUAAAUAUGAUAUUAUGUGGCUACUUUUGCUUCUAGGAUAAGCAAGUUAUAUGGAUAUUUGGUGCAAUCGUUAUGGACUCGGAACAUCUCCAAUAAGAAGUUUUCAAAGUUACAACUUUACAUGGUUAAUCUAAAUUUAUAAAUCAUGAAGUAGUUGAAAUAUUUAGAGUUUUAGAAUCGUUUUGGGAAAAAAAAAGAAAAAAAAGAAAAUGAUUACCCUUUAAUCUUCGACAAUAAUUAGACUUUCUUUUUUAUGUCAAAUAUAUUGGAAUAAAUAUGAAUUCCAAUUAGAUUUGAAUGAAGAUGAAUGUUAUUAAAUAUUUCGCAUAUUUGUUUUUUUUUUUUUUUUUUGAAUUUGAUUUAUGCCAAAAUAAAGCUUAGCAUUAUUAGGUGUUUAGACAAUUUAUUUUUGUAUUAAUGUGCAAAUACUAUUAAAUGUUGAGUUGAAUAUUUUUAUUAAUGUUUGCAUAUUGUUAAGUGUUAAUUAAUUCUAUUUAUUUUUUAUACGUUAAAAAUAUUUAUAGCAAUAAUUAUUAUGUUUCAUUUUAUUUUACAUAAUUAUGAUAAAAUAUUUAAAAAUUAACUAAGAAAUUGGUCAUUGAAUAAUAAUUAAGAUUUUGAAUAUUAUAAAAUAAAUUAAAAAUCAGUAAUUGAAUAAUAAUUAGGAUUUUUUUAAUUGUGUUUGAUUGCUAAGAAAAUAUUAAAAAAAUUUUAGGUUAAGUUUCAUUAAUAACUAAUUAAUUUAUAUGUGGUGUCCCUCGAAUUAAUGAAUUUGUGAUUGAAAGAUGAGUUCUUCACUUGGUAACACCGAUAUUAAGAAUAAUGAUUAUACAUUUAACUUGGAUGUGAAGUGGUUGAAUCAACCACCAUGGUCCUACUCACCAGUAAUAAAUUGGUUAAGUCUAACUAUGUGGAUUAGAAAAUAAAUCUAGACAUAGUCCUCACAUAAGAAGAGUUAAAAUGGUUAACUUAAGAAUUUGCUCCAAAUACCCCUAAUGAACAAUCCUCACCGGAAUAGAAGGAUGCUUAUCAUAGUUGACAUAAUUAAGGUGGAUCAAAAGGCUAAAUGUAUCACAAUUGAGUGUUUAGAUAACAUGUUGGAACAACAAUAUGUGUCUCAUGCCACAACUUAUGAUGAUAUCUCUUCAUUUUACAAGAGAUCUUUGAUGAUGACAAGGGUAAGUUAACUAGAUAAGUUGCUUUAAGGACUAUCAUGAACACGAUGACAAAAGAAACUCUCUUUAAAUAUCAUAUGGUAUAUAUAAUCAAACUCUUUAAUGAGAUAAAGAUCCUUGGAGCUAGAAUUGAUAGGAAAACAAAAGUUGAUUUGAUCUUAGAGACCUUGUGAGAUUCCUUUAAGAAAUUUGAGCUCAACUAUUCUAUUCAUGAGUGAUGUGAAACUUGCCAAAGCUUAUGAGGGAUCAAAUUUGUGAAAGUUAGUUUUAAAGACAUAAAUUAAAUUUAUAUUUUUUGUAUAAAAUAUUCUACUCUAUAUAAGAAGUUUUUGUUUUAAAUAAUUGAUUAAAAUAGAUGAAAUACUCCUUAUAUUUGUGAAUUUAUCUCAUAUUUUUGUUUGAAAGUUAACAUAUUUUUUAUAUAAAUAUGUGGUCUUGACUAUUUCAAGUAUUUACAAUAUAUUUUAAAAGAAAUAAUUAUUUUUACAAAAAAAAAAAAAAAAAAAAAAAAAAACAAUAAGUAUAUUUUUGUCAAAGUGAGGUCAAAAAAUAAUGAAGAGUUAGAUUUUCAAAAUUGGGUUUCCAAUGACCCUUUUAAUCAAAUAACCCUUUUUAUUUUUAAAAAUAAAAAUAGAAAAUAUAUCCGAAUAAACAAUCAAUUUUUUCAUCUUUGUUCCACCAACUAUAUUAUGUUCUCUCGCCUUUGUUACAUCAUAAAUGUUGCCAUUUGACCUACACUCAAAAUUGGUUCUCACAUGUGUUUAUUUUAAAGAGCAUCCUCACUCUUAUUUGUUAUUUAUGAUUUAAUUCAAAUUUUAAACUUUGUUAAAUAAGUUUGGUCCACUAAGUAGAAUAUAUCGAGAGAUUCAUUAAAAAUGUGACUUGCUCUAUACUUAUUGUAGUGUUAUUAUUUUGAUUUAGAUGCUAUAUAUUUAUAAUUAUUUUUUAUGAUUCCAUUUAUUUUAUUUUUUUAAAUAUAAAUGAUAAAAACAAAUUGGAGUCGGAAAAUGGGAGCGACUUUCUUCCAUCUCAAGGAGCAUAGAAGUUCCACGCAUCCACGGUGUACUCAAGAAGUAUUCCUUUCUAUUCACCAGACCAGGUGGAUCCUCUUUCCCUACGUUGUACAGUCGUAGUGUGGUCUUUCUUGGAUGCUGCUGAUUCCUACUUUUCAAAUUCUAAAUACCAAAAAUGAUAUCUUUAUUCUCCCAAACAUUAGGAAUCCCAAAGCCUCCCAUAAAACUUCAGAAUGAGAAACAACCUUGCCCAACUCCCUUUAUAUCGCUUCGGCUGUCUAUCUUUAUGGAUUUUCUUCACGGAGAUGGCCAUGUCACGGAACACAACAAUACCGGUUAAAGUGGGAGUGGUUCUUGACAUGGAUACAUGGCUGGGGAAGAUGGGCUUGAGCUGCAUCUCCAUGGCCCUCUCAGACUUCUAUGCCUCUCAUGGGCACUACAAGACUAGGCUGGUUCUGGAAAUCAGAGAUUCCAAAAGAGAUGUUGUGGGUGCAGCUGCAGCAGGUACUCUCGUGUCAUAAAACUUAGAAUACAUUUAGAAAACAAUUGCAUUAUAGAGACAUUUGAAGCAAAACUUGUCUUUGAUUAACUUAAUUCACUGUAAUUUCAUCAUUUUCUUUUACAACCUCACCUCAACAUUAGUUUUGUAUCUUCAAUAUUUAACAGCACCUUCACAAUGAAAAAGAGGAGAAGAAAUCAACAACAUUUUUUGCUUAACAUCUCUAAAAACAAUUAGAUAUUUGCAAAUAUAUGUGCAGACACAGGUGGGAGAUGUUGGGUUUUUUAUCAGUUCAGAGAUUCCAAAAAUAAGAUCUAUAAAAUACUAGUUGUACUAUUACUUUUAUUGCCCUUUUAGAUGAGCGAUUGAUUAUUAACAGAACUUUUAGAAACUUUUAUCAUAUUUUGAUUAGAAAAAUUGAUAAGUGGUGUAAAUGUUCGGCAUUUGAUUAAGGGAUCAAGAUUGGAUAAAAGAAAAUUAUAGUGAAGACAUUAAUUAAGACAAGUUGUUGAGAAAAAAGAGUCAUGAAGUUGAACCAUGCAAGAUUAGCAUGCCCAUCAAAGAUAGCAAAAAGUCUCGUUAAAUUGUAGCACGUGUUUUUAACUAAACAACGUUUCUUGACUAGGAAGACGUUUCUUUGUUAUCCACACGAUGGUUCAAAGAUGAAAAAAGUCUUCAUAAAUUUGAUUUCCUCCAUGUUUUAAAAGUCAACUCUAAUAUUGUGGUCAUGUUCCAAGAGAAUAUACCAUUUUAAAGAAGCAUGGGAAGUUACCAAAACCGAUGCCUAUGAUCUAUGGUAUUAAGAAAUAAUGUGAUGCAGAAGUAUAUAAAAAAAUAAGGUCUCCAUGAAAGGCUCUACUGUAUAUGAUCGAACUCUAUGUUAUGUUUAUAAUAAGAAGAUUGAUAAUUUGUUAAUGAAUUCUACUAUUUAUGGGACCAAGUGGAUGCAUUUUCCUUUUCUGCACCUUGUUUGAUUACUGAUAAUGUAGUAGAAAUUGAAUGAAACUUCAGACUCAUUAUAUUCUAAUUAUUGUGAAAUUCAACUCUAGAUUUAUUACGAAAUGAGGAAGUUCAAGCCAUCAUAGGACUAGCAUCCUCCAUGCAGGCCAACUUUGUGAUUGAUUUGGGACACAAAGCUCAUGUGCCCAUUAUUUCAUUUUCUGCAACAAGCCCUUCUCUUUCAUCGCUCCAGAGUCAAUAUUUUGUCCGGGCUAUCCUCAAAUAUGACUCAGUUCAAGUACCAACUAUAAGGGCAAUUGUCCAAGCCUUUGGGUGGAGACAAGUUGUGCUCAUUUACUUGGACAACGAGUACGGAAAUGGAGUUAUACCAUAUCUUACUGAUGCCUUGCAAGAGAUUGACACCCGGCUACAGGAGCGUCAUUCAUCCAUCAGCCAUUGAUGAUCAAAUCCACGAAGAGCUUUACAAGUUGAUGACAAUGCCAACAAGAGUUUUCAUUGUACACAUGUUUACACCUCUAAGCCCACGACUUUUCACUAGAGCGAAUGAGAUUGGAAUGAUGGAAGAAGGUUAUGUUUGGAUACUAAAGGAUGGAUUAACUGAUAUCUUGAGUACUUUGGAUGACUCAGUCAUUGAUUCGAUGCAAGGAGUGUUAAGUGUAAAGCCUCAUGUUCCAAGAUCGAAACAGCUUGAAAGUUUUAAAAUCAGAUGGAAAAGGAAAAUCCAACAAGAAUAUCCAACCAAUGAAAUCUCUGAGUUGAACAUUUUUGAACACGAGAUCCUAGCACUAACAUGACGGAGGUCACUGGAUUUUCCAUAUCAGUCUUCGAUGAAGUGAUGGCAGCAUUAACAUAUCCUGUUCCUUAUGAGUACAUUCCCUUCAAGAUGCCUGAUGGCAAUCUAGCCGGUGAUUACAACAAUUUGAUUUAUCAAGUAUAUCUCCAGGUUAGUUGAACUUUUUAUCUUUCCUAGCACAUAGAGGUAACUCUAGGUUUUGCUUCAAUUAUGAUGAAUUUUAUUUAAAUAAAACCCAAAACUGCAGCAAAUUUUCCUGUAAUGCAUAACAGAAUGGCCCUAUUGUUUAUUGUGAACAGAAGUAUGAUGCUGUGGUGGGAGAUACUUCUAUCCUAGCGAACAGGUCGUUGUAUGUAAACUUUACACUACCUUAUUGUUAGGGUGAAUUCACAAUAUUCCAACAAACACCAGGAUUUUUCUAUCCUUUCUUUGUGCAAAAUUACAUAGAUAAUAGCAACUAGCAGCAAUAAAUAAAUAAACCCAUGCCACGGAAAAAUAAAUCAAAUGCCCUAAUUUUUACGUGGAAAACCUCCUAAUGCGAAGAGAAAAACCACAGGACCUAGUCCAAUUCAAACUUCCACUAUCAACAAUAAUGGGUUACACUUGUCUUCUUUAGAAUAAUCUAUAGAGGCUACCAAAAUACAUCAAGAGCACAUAUAGCCUUAGAUUAUAUAAUCUCUAUUGGCAAAAAAAAUUAAGGAUAAUUGGAGAAAGAAUACCUAAAAACACGUUGUUACUGUUCAUAGGCAGUAACACCAGUUCUCGAGCUCAAAAUCUAAUCUCCACCGUUCAAAUUGUAGCUACUCGAGUUUUGAAUCUUUCCUCCAAAUUUCAACUCGAUUGGACCAUAAAUAAAGUGGGAUUGACUCUUUGAUGAAAUCUGGGUAAUGAGAUGUGUUUUGCCUUUCUCUCUUCUCUUCUCUCUAUUUUUCCUUUCCCAAUUACUUUCUAUUUUUGUUUAUUUAUUUAUUUAUUUUAUUGUAACUUACUUGGGCCCCAAGCAUAUGGGGCCUACUCCCUCACAUACGAGGGAGCCCAACAAAUCUCCCCCUCCCGACUAUGUGAGGGGCUUUACCAAGCCCGCUUGCUUUCUAUAGAAUUGUAGCUUCUCUGUAGGUAUUGGUUUUGUCAUCAUAUUUGAUCCAUUCUCAUCAAUAUAGAUUUUCUCAAGGCAAAACAAUUUGAUCUCUAGUGCAUCAUGAAUCCAAUGAUAUCUCACAUCAAUAUGCUUGGAUCUAGAGUGAAAAGUUGGAUUCUUACUAAGAUGAAUAGCACUCUAACUAUCACAGUAGAGUAGAUACCUUUCUUGCUAUAAACCCAAUUUUUGUAGGAACUUUUUUCAUCCACAGUAACUCCUUGCUAGCUUCAGUGAUAGCAAUAUACUUAGCCUCUUUGGUCGACAAAGCAACACAUUUUUGCAACCUUGAUUGCCAUGACACUGCUCCCCUGAAAAAGUAAUCAAAUAACCAGAAGUAGACUUUCUGGAAUCAACAUCCCCAGCCAUAUAUGCAUCCGUGCAUCCUACAUAUACAAUUUUGUUAGUCCCAAAACAUAAACAUGUCUUAGAAGUACCCCUCAUAUACCUAAGAAUCCAUUUCACUGCGACCAUGUGUUAUUUGGCAGGAUUAGAAAGGAACCUACUGACAACUCCAAUAGCAUGAGCAAUAUCAGGCCUCAUGCAUACCAUGGCAUACAUCAAGCUAUCCAUGACUAAUGCAUAGGGCACCUUUCGCAUUUCUUUUUUUUCUUUCUCAGUUGAAGGACUUUGUUUGGAACUUAGCUUUAGAUGACUUCCAAGUGGAGAACUCACUGGUUUGGCCUUGCCCAUGUUGAAAUUUCUAAAACCUUUUCAAUAUAGCUUUCUGAAGAUAGCCACAAUUUUUCAUUUGUCCUAUCUUAAGUACACCUGUCUUUUCUAGAAUAAUCUCUAGAGGCUACCAAAAUACAUCAAGAGCACAUAUAGCCUUGGAUUAUAUAAUCUCUCUUGGCAAAAAAAAAACAAGGAAAAUUGGAGAAAGAAUACCCAAAAACACGUUGUCACUGUUCACAGGCAGUAACACCAGUUCCCAAGCUCAAAAUCUGGUCUUCACUAUUAAAUUGUAACUACUCAAGUUUCGAACCUCUCCUCCAAAUUUCAACUCGAUCGGACCAUAGAUGAAGUGGGAUCAACUCCUUGAUGAAAUUUGGGCAAUGAGAUGUGUUUUCCUUUCUCUCUUCUCUUCUCUCUAUUUUUCCUUUCGUCCUUGUAUGUAGACUUUACACUACCUUACAUAGAAUCCGGGUUGUUAAUGAUCAUGCCCAUUAUAGAUAGAAGAAGAAAAAAUGCUUAGGUUUUCUUGAAGCCACUUACUUGUGACCUUUGGGUGACAAGCUUUUGUUUCUUUAUAUUCAUUGGCUUUAUGAUUUGGAUUCUUGAACAUUGAGUAAAUAAGGAUUUUAGGGGGCCUCGUUCACAUCAAGUUGGCACUAUCUUCUGGUUUUCGUUCUCAACAUUGGUGUUUCCUCAGAGUAAUUUUUCUUCCACCUCCUUGAAUUUUAUCUAGCAAUUUAUCUACUCAUGUAAUAUUCAAAUAUCAAGCAUAUCAAGCACAUCUCAAACACAAUAGAAACUAAUUUCUAGUAUGGUCUGCUUGCUUGUUUCCCAUGAUUGCAACCUCUAUUAAUAUAUGGACAUUCCAUACAAUAUGCAAGUAAUUUCAGGAUAAUUUUAAUGUUUCAUAAAUUAUUUGUAUUUGACUUUAUAUUGAUUUUUUGGAGUUGAUUUUCUCUCAUUCUUAAAUUAUGUCAACAAAUGGGAGAAUUGUGAGUAACUUGGCUCGGUUCAUGGCGAUAAUAUGGUUUUUUGUGGUGCUGAUUCUUACUAAAAGUUACACAACCAGCUUGACUUCAAUGUUAAUAGUUCAACAGCUCAACCCAACUAUCAUCGAUAUAAAAAAAGCUGAUAAAGAAAUGGAAGCAUGUUGGUUACCAAAAGGGCUCUUUUGUUCGUGGAUUCUUGAUAGAAUGGAUGAAAUUUAAUGAGUCCAAGCUUGUGAUCUAUGCAUCUUCAGAAGAACUGGAUGAAUUAUUUUCAAACAAAAGUUUAAAAGGUGGAAUUGUUGCCGCAUUUGAUGAAAUCCCUUAUAUAAAAAUUUUCCUUGCAAAAUAUUAUUCCAAAUAUAUUGCAGUUGGACCAAUGUACAAGUUUGAUGGGUUUGGAUUUGUAACUACUCUCUCAUAACACACGUACUUGUAUAAAUUGUAUACCUAGGUUUCUUAUUUUUGAUCAUUUUUCAAGUGUUUCCAAAUGGUUCACCCCUUGUAGCUGAUGUUUCAAGGGAAGUCUUAAACAUGACAGAGGGAACUAAAAUGCUACAACUUGAGAAGACAAGGUUUGGGAAAACACCCAAUUGUCCAGAGCUCAUCAACUUAGUUUCUUCAAACAACAUCGACCUUAAUAGCUUAUAGGGCCUAUUCCUCAUUGUUGGAGUCGUUUCAUUCGUAGCUCUCAUUACAUGCAUCACCACAUUCCUUUAUGAAAAUAAAGACGCUUUAAUAAACUUGAAUCCCUCAUCUUCCAUAUGGAGAAAAAUUAAAGCCAUGGCAACACGCUUUGAUGAUAAAGAUCUCAGGUCCCAUACCUUUAUAAAAAAUGAUAAACUUCCAGACAAAGGGCAUCAAGGCCAUGGAUGUAGUUACAACCUCGCCAGCUACACCAACUUCCCUUCAAGUCCACCAAGCCUUUUGAUCCCAACACACAACAAUUUUGCUUUCUUCGGAGAACAAGGAACACCUUUGUCUAGACAUUGUGAUCCAGUCAAUCCAAAUCGACUAUUGUCUCCACACAUAUUAUUUGAAUAUGAACUUGAUAAUAUAAAUCAUGAGCAAACAAUACCGCUUAAAAUUGAAUAACUGAUCAAUUCGUUUUUCCUGUUUACUUUAUGUUGAUAGCUUCUAUAAUGACCGGGUAUUUUAUGUCAUAUUAGAAUUUCUAAUUUGAGAAGUCUUCUAUUGAAUGGUGGUUGAAAAGUAUAAUAAUAAUAAUAAUUGGAGAACACGUGUCAAUUUUGGAUUGGAAGAAUUUGAAAUAUUUUAUCAGUUAAUUAAGCGAGUUGAAUUUUCAUGCCAUGUCAACUUUAUGGUAGAAAAUUUCUUAGAAUUGUAGAAAUUGAAAAUUUCUGAAAACAAAAAGCGAAAACGAAAAAUGAAAAAUGAAAUAAUUAAAAUUAACUAGAACUAAUUAAGAAAAAAAUUAAAUUAAAUUGCUUAAUAAUAAAUUUAAGAAAAUUAAAAUUUUUGGGAUGGUGUUUAAUAAUUUAUUUUGUGUGUUGUUUUAAAAAAAUGAAAAUGAAAUGGAAUGAAAAAUUAAUUAAGAAAAAAAGUAAAAUGAAUUGAAAAAGAAAAACAAAAGAAAUCAAAUAGUAUUAAGGCUUUUUGAAUGGUGUUGGGUUGUGGGCCACUUAGUGGUUGUGGGGUCAAAAUGCAAAAUGAAUAAGAAAUGAAAAAGGAAAAGGAGAAUAAAAAGAGAAGUGGAGUGGUAGAGGCUCUCAGAUGCAGGGGAGAACAACAACGCCAUCUACUUUUGGCUGACCGUUUUGACCACCAAACGAGCUUAUUUUCGUGUGAAAUUUUGAGGGAAAGUUCUACUCGAUGCAAGAAACAUUUCUACCAUGGUUGAUUUCGUUUUCAAAACUUAGAUUGUUAGAUCUAUGGUAGGAAAUCUUAAUCCUAAAACUUUAAUUUAAUGCACUUUUCUUUUAAAAAAAAAUUAUAAAUCUCAUUAUUGGAAGGUAAAUAAGUAAUAUUUAUGAUUGUGAGAAAGUUUGUUGGGUGAUUUAGGAAUUUUCCUCGGGAUUUUUGUGUGAUAAUGGAAGUGUCUAAUUAUAGAAAAUAACUAUAUUUGAUUAUUGGAAUUAUUGGUGUUGUGGAAAAAUUAUGAAAUUUUGGUAUAGAUUAUGUUUAAUUUUGGUUUGAAUUAUUGGAAAUUAUUUGGUUGUUCUUGGUAAUUUUAUUGUGGAGAAAAUAAUUAUAUUUGAUUAUUGGAAUUAUUGGGGUUAUUGGAAAAUUUUGGAAUUUUGGUAUAAUUGUAAUUUCAAUGAGAUUUGGACUAGUUGGAAUUUUGUUUGAUAUUUGUGAAUGAGGAUAAUUAACCUCAUUGCAUUUCAUUUUCAUCAUGGUUGUGUGAAUGAAAAAUAAAAACUGUGAAAAGUGCAUGAAAUUGAAAAUGAAAGAAAAUAAAAUAGUAAUGAAAAAUAAAGGCCCGUGUGAGGAGAAUUAAGAAGGGAAUAAGAUCCCUAGGGUGAAAAACCCAAAAAUCUACCCCGGGAAGACUCCGAAUUAGGAGUGUAUUUGGAUACGGACGCAUAUCCUUCAAUGAAAGCCCGAAAAUGACAGUGCAUUAUAUGACUAUGUGUCACAUAUACACAUGCAUUUUUAUUUAAGUGUUGAAAAUUGUUGAAUUGUUAUCAUUAUAGAAAUUAAAAUAUGUGGGUUGAUCAAUGAUGAUGGAAUGUUUCUUUUGUGUUCACUUGAAACUUAGUAAUCUCAAUUAACCUCUUGGGUGUAAGGCAUCCUACUAAUCAAUGUGGAAUGCUCACCCCUUCUUAUAUUUUUUUUGAUGCAAAUGUAACUCAUAAGGAUCCACAGAUGGGGCAGGAAGGGCUUUAGGAUGCCUCAGGAGAUUUUGGAGCAGCCUAAUGGAUUGUAGUGUAUUUGUUAUGUUGGUUUAUUUUGGAACUUGUAUUAGCAAACUUUGAAGCUAUAUAUUUGUAAUGAGACUUUAUUCUGAUUAAUUUGCUCAAUUAUGAACUCUUAUUUCUAGACUUUAAUGAUAAUUAUUAUAUCUUGUUGCUCUUGAGUAGUGGUUGGUAUAUUGAUAAAUUGGAUUGUUAGUUGGAGAGAGCUCUAGUGUGAUUUAUGUGUAAAAAAAAAUUUCAGAGAGUUUUGGUUAAUUGCCAACAUAAAUUAAGAGAAACCCUUAGGGUCAAACCUUUGACCUAGGGUCAUGGACCAAAUUCUGGGUCGCUCAGAAUUUUGGGUCAUGACAACACCAUUACCCACAACCAUGGAUUUCAAAAUAAAAAAACGUAUUUGUACUAUAGCUAUAGGCAUUUCAGUUAACACAAUGAUGUACAUUCAAUUUAGGACAGUAUAAAUAUAAGAAGAUCAAGGAAGAAUGGUUGAGCAAAGAUGAUGAGUAUUCAUGUUGAGGCAAGGGAAGAUAAGUUGCUUCAUAGAUAAUCAUUUGGUCAAGUAUGUGAUGUAGGAUUCCAAGAAAGAUUUGUUACCUUUUAGGCAUGAAAUUCUUCUUUCUCAGGAUUAGUAUCCUAAGACAUCUAAGAAGAAAGAGCACAUGUAAGCAGUACCUAAUACCUCCAUAGUGGGUAGCCUUAUGCAUGCAAUGCUAUAUACUGGGUUGGAUAUUUGCUUUGUAGUGGGUAUGUAAGUAGAUAUCAGUCUAAUCUAGGUCCAAAACAGUGAACAAUUGUCAAUCAUAUACUUAAGUAUCUUAGGAGAACGGGAGAUUAUAUGCUUAUAUUCCAAAGUGACGAGUUAGUACCCAAAGGAUAUACAAAUUCAAACUUUCAGUUUGAUAAGGAUUCUCAUCGGUCUACAUCCAGUUUUGUUUUUACUUUUGGUAGUGCAAUUGUUAGUUGGAAGAGUGUGAAACAAUCUUGCAUUAUUGACUCCACUAUAGAAGUUGAGUACGUUGCAACUUCUAAAACAACAAAGGAAGUCGUUUAGCUUAGGAAGUUCCUUAUGGAACUAGGGGGUCAUUCCCUUGGUUAUAUAACUCAUGAUACUUUUUUAUGACAAUAGUGGGGCUAUAACACAGUCUAAAGAACUAAGAAACCACUAGAAAACACAUAAAGAGGAAGUACGAGUUGAUUCAUGAGAUAGUUCAAAAGGGUGAUAUAUUGGUUGAGAAGAUACCUUCUAUAAAUUAAUUACUUGGUAGAUCCCUUCACCUUGCAAUUCGACAAGACACAAGUUUGUGCAUAGUAUCUUGCUAGAAAGUUGGAAACUUUGGAGAAAAACAACCUCCAAAAGUGUAAAGAACAACUCUUGGAUUCUAGGAAUCUAUGGGAAUGCUUGAGCGAUUGGAUUAGUGAUUGAGCAUCUUGACCAAUUGAGCAAUACUGGACUUAAGCAUUGGAAACUGCAUCCAAUAGCUCAACUAGUAGAAUGGUGCAUCCAACACCCUUGGAAAAAUUUUGGUGCUCGAGCGUUCAUGACGAUUGAUGUUGUAAGGAACCCCAUAGCUCUCCAUUCCCUAUCCAAGAUUAAGUUAUGUACAUGAAAAUUUUUGGUGCAUGAAAAUCUUCCUAAGGCUUUCUAAAUCCUAUUCACAACGGAAAAAUAACAUUUUUUAAAAACUAAAUAGGAUUUAGAAUGUGCAACAGAAAACGAUAACUUAGAUUUGGAUAUUUCCAAAUUUGUCAAAAAUAAACUUGAAUCCAAAGGUUUCUAAAUAUUAAAAUUUAAUUUAGAUUUUAAAAUUUUAAUUAAAAUAUUUUUUUUUUAAGUGAUUGAUUUAAUUUUUAUAUUUAAAUAGCUAAAUGUAAAAUGUUUCUACAUUUUUGCUAUCAAAAACUUUAUUUUGUUAGGUGUGGCUAUAUGGGAAAAAUUAGUCACCAAAUUUAGAUUUGUCUUAGAUAAAUAUAAUGCAGAAAAUGCUACUUAUAUUUACUUGUUCCAUAAUUUAUUUUUUUCCAUACUGUUAUUCCAUAGUUUAUUUUUUUUCCCAUAUUGUUACGGAACAAAUUAGUGAAUGCCAUUAACUUUUUUGUAUUAAUAAUGUAAGUUAUUAAAUUGCAAAAUAUUAUAAAAACAUACUUGCCCCAAGAAAUAUAAUGAUUAAAUUUUAUUUUUUUCAAUAAUAUAAACUUUGGGCCCAAAAAUUUUAAAUAACCAGUUUACUAGAAAUAUAUAUAUAUAUAUAUAUAUAUCCUACUUAAAAGUGAUUUUGAUUUAAAAAAAAAUAUAUAUUUACUACAAAUGUAUGUGACUGUUAAAUGCCAUCUAUUUGCUAUGAACAACAAUUCAUCACUGAAAAAUUGUUUUCCUAUGAAAUAAAAUGUUAUUGCAAAAAGCCAUUUCCUCCUAUAAAAAUAUCUUCUUGGCUUAAAGCGUUACGGAAAAUGGAGAAAAUUGUUUUAAUGAAUUAUCGAAAAGCUUGCCGGAUCAGUUUGAUCCAAGAUCGGAUUGAAAAGGAUGAUCGAUUUUUUUUACAGGACAUAGGUGACUACCUUAAAUUCCGUCAAAUUCACGAAUUUAUUGCUGCCUAACACAACAGGUCAACUUCCUGUGUCUUAUCUGUAUAUUUAACAUGAUAAAUAUACCUUAUCAUGUUAAAACAAACACACACCUUAAAUUGUUAUUAUCAUUAUUCUUCCGUAUAUUAAUAAUACUCUUAAGAGUCUAACUCUUAUUUGAAGUUGAAUCAUGGUGUUGAUUGCAUCCCUGAAAAUGUUGAAGAGUUCACCAUGGACUAUGAGGUACUGUAUCGUGGAUGUGAAGAUGAUGUGGGUGUUGAUUAUUGCAAGACCUUUGGGAGAAGCAUCUAGCCCAGGUAAAUCUCUGUACUUAUUCUUUUAGAAUUAAUAAAUUUAUUCUAUGAUCAAUUAAAUGCAAGAAUUUUACAUUCAUAGAGUUUCUAGUAUAUUCUAUAUGCGGUUUUCCAUGUACAUCACAUGGGCAUGUAUGAUUGAAUUUUAUUUUGAUAUUUGAUUAUCGCAUAUUCAUUACAAAAAUUUAUAAAUAGGAAAAGAAAAAUAAAAAUUUUGGGUUUAAAUCUUAAGACUUCUUAUUUACCACUCUAUAAGUAGUUUCAAGAUUCAAGAUAUAUAAGAAGUUUCAAAUUACAUUGAUUAAUCCAUUGAUUAAAAGUAAACUUCCAUACAACUUUCAAAUGGUAGAAUUCACUUGAUAUGGACUAAGGAGGUCAUUGUCUACAAACGCAAGUAGCACUGGUCACUGUUCAUAUGCUCUCUCUUUUAAUACUUUUUUCUUUUGAAAGAGAAAUACUUCUAAUUAUUGCUAUUAUUUUAACUUCAAUUUGGUAUUUGAGUGAUACAAGCAGCUAGCUUUUUAGGUACUAGAGGUAACAAUUCCAUCUCAGCAAUUACAAUUGAUUAAUGAAAUUCAUGUAAAAAAAAGCAUUCAAAGAAACUUAUCAAGCAUUCUUUACUAGAAAAUGUUCAACACAAAAAGGCCCUUUUCCCCCUCAUUUUUCUUAAUUUUGCUAUGUUUCUCAUUUUAUAGAUUUUGUCUUAAACCUAUAUUUUUACUUUUCUAUCUAUAUAUACACAAUACUCAAAAUAAAAAAUUAAUAUGGGAAUUUGAGGAAACAAACAAACUUCCUCUUUGGGGUGGUAAAUUGCUCACUUGUUUUGGACACAGGCUUAUCUGUAUCUAUCAUAAAAAAACUUCUGUUUGAAAAAAGAAUCAUUUCCACUAGGUUUGAAAGAAGAUAACGGAAAAGGGCAAAAACCGAAUCUUUUUUCUUCCUUACUUGUACUUAAGAGAGUUCUUCAUAUGUGAGGGAGGAUUUUUGAUAGGGUUGUUUCUAUCAUUUGAAAAUUUAUAAAAUUUUUGAAGCUAUCUUGGUAAUAAACUUUAAUUGGAUUAUGGGGGCGAUCUUUUUGGGCUUAAUAAAUAAAUCUUCGGCCAUAACUUUUGGGCCGGGUCAAAAGAGGAGUGCGCUCUCUUCAAUAGUUUUUUUUUUUUUUUUUUUUAAAUAUAAAUGUAAGAUAUUUUAAAUUGUCUGUGCCAGUGUCAUAGCUUGGGAUUAUACCAUGGGGGCACUAAAAAACCAAAAUUCUGGGAAAAUAAUAAUAAUAAUUGGGCUACGAAUAUAUGAAUAUGAUGUAUUGGUAUCAGCACAUCAGUACCGGCCAUCAUCCUUAAGUAAUUUUUUCCCUUGAUCAUCUACGUUAAGUCAUACAGGCACAGAUCCUUUAUAAGAUGCACAUGGAGUUGACGUCAAUUCAACACGUCAACUGAAUUGGGCCAGAGUCAUGGUGCUACUUUUCUAUGAAAUACAGAGUUGGGUAUAAUCAGUUAUUCACAUCAACUACUUCAGGUGCUCCUUUCGGCUCUUGAUUUCAAUUGGCAAGCUCGAUACCAAAUGCUGUCUCAGGAGAUGUCUGCCCAUUUGGACUCAUUGGAUCACCAUAUUCGGUAACAGGUCUGGAGAAAGCAAAAUUACUCUGUGUUUGGACUGAAAGGCUUGAUGGACUCGGCGGGUAGUUUGUGGCUGGAGAGGCAGUCACCACAAAAAACCAUAUGAUCAUCACGAACCGAGCCAAGUUGCUGACAAUUCUCUCCCCUAUAAAUAUGAUUUAAUUAAUUUAGAAUGCAAAAGAAAAUCAACAAGAAAACAUCAAUUUUAAGAUUGGCAUACGUAUGGAGUGUUUUCCAAAAUUGAAGGAAUUGGUUCAGUUAUGUUUUCCAAUCUUAUUAUAAAAUUCCAAAAUCUAAUUGGCAUUUCUCAACAUGCUACAUAUAUAUAUUGUGCAUUUAAAUUCAAGGAGGUGGAAGAGAAAUUACUCUGAGCAAACACCAAUGUUGAGAAGGAGAACCAGAAGAUUGUGCCAACUUGAUGUGAACGAGGCCCUCUGAAAUCUUCAUUUAUUCGAUGUUCAAGAGUCCAAAUCACAAAGCCAAUGAAGACAAAGAAACAAGCGCUUGUCACCCAAAGGUCCCAAGUUAAUGGCUUCAGAAAGACCCAUGCAUUUUUACUUCUGUUAUUGAUGAUGGGCACGAUCAUUGAUACGCCAGACUCGGUGUAAGGUAGUGUAAAGUCUACAUAGAAGGACCUGUUCGCUAGAAUAGUAAUAUCUCCCACCACAGCGUCAUACUUCUGUUCAUGAUAAAAGUAGAGCUAAAAUUGGUGAGAUAUUUCAUUGCAAAAGGAUGGCAGUUUCCCUCUAUUUGACAGUUGAUGACCAUAGUUGAAUGAAAAUCGUUGUGUAUUAAGGAAUCUAAAAGUCAUGGCUAACCUGAAAAUAUACUUGAGAUAUCAAUUCAUCAUAGCUACCAGCAGCCUUUCCAUCAGGUGUCUCGAAGGGAACGUAUUCGUAAGGAACAGCAUAUGGUAAUGUUUCCAUUACGUUUUCGAAGAUAGCGAUAGAGUAACCAGUGAUCUUUGUUGUAUUAGUGAUAGGAUCUCGCGUCACCUUCACAAAUUCACUAAAACCCUCCUUCACUGGAACUCCUAUCUUCAACUUCUUUCCGUUGGUAGGAAGCACCCAACCUUUAGGAACAGAAGGAGAUUCUCCUGGCCAUGUAAUGGCUCUUAGAUUGGCCUUAGAAGUAGAAUUCGAUCUUCUUACAAUUCCAUUCUCUGGUGUCCAAAAUCCAACCCCUCUUUCCCCUUCACCAAUCACAUUAACUAUAUGGAAAGCUGAUGUGCGUAGUUGCCCAUCUCCAAUUUGAAAAUCUCCGCUAAGGCCUCUAAAUCGAGUACUUAAUAGUGAAUGGAGAAUAUUUGGACCAACCGGGGAAACUCUAAUACUCUCAAAACCGGUUGAAUCUCUGGAAAUGUUAGUCUUUUGGAGGCUGAAGUUUCCCGCGCCAAGUUUUUCAACUGCCAUGGCUAGUGCACAAGCAGCAUCGUAGGCCCAGAGUCCAAAAAUAUUCAGCUCAGAGAUUUCAUUGGUUGGAUAUUCUUCUUGUAUUUUCUUUUUCCAUCUGAUUUUAAAACUUUCAAGCUCUUUGGUUCUUGGAACAUGGGGCUUGACGCCCAACACCCCUUGCAUCGAAUCAAUGGCUGAAGCGUUCAAAGUACUCAAGAAGUCGGUUAUCCCAUCAGUUAGUAUCCAAACAUAGCCUUCUUCCAUCAUUCCAGCCUCAUUUGCUUUGGUAAAAAGCCGGUAGCCAAGAGGCGUAAGCAUAUGCACAAUGAAAACUCUAGUUGGUAUCCUCAUCAACUUGUGAAGUUCUUCAACAAGUUGAUCGUCAGUUACUGAUGGAUGAAUGGGGCUCCAGUAGGUCACAUGGGCGUCCACCUCCAGGAAGGCACUAGUCAGAGACGGUAUGACUCCAUUGCCAUACUCGUUGUCAACGUAAAUAAGCACAACUUCUCUCCAUCCAAAGGUCUGGACUAUUGCCCUAAUUGCCGGUACUUGAGCUGAGUCAUUUAGGGUAGCUCGGAUAAAAUAUUGACUCUGAAGCGAAGAAAGAGAGGGACUUGUUGCAGAAAAUGAAAUGAUGGGCACCCGAGCUUUACUUCCAAGACCGAUCAUGAAGUUGGCCUGCAUCGAUGAUCCCGGCCCUAUUAUGGCUUCCACUUCCUCAUUUUGCAAGAGGUCAACAGCUGAGUUCAGGAGCAUGCAUGUUCAAACGAUAAACAAGCAUUAAAAUGAAUUAAUAAAUUUUUACACUAAAGUGAGCAAUCAAACUUUAACCAACUGCAAUCAACUGUAUAGAUAUUGUCCAUUAUAGACCAAAAAGGGUGUUUGUCCGUUUGGUCUCGUAAUCUCAUGAGAAAAGGCUGUUUGUGAUAUCUCAUAUUGAAUAAAGGAGAAAGUUUUUGACAUUGUAUAUGUAUAAGUUCUUUAAUCAUAUAGACGUAUUUUAAAGUCAUGAGAGUUUUUUGGGCUUAAAAUUGAUAAUAUUUACACGGUUGGAUAUGAAUAAUUACACAAAUAGGGUACAAAAACCUUGUUUAUCAUAUUUUUUGUCCUAAUAUAAUAGUAAAAUAUGAUAUGAUAUUAUAAUUUAAGAUGAAAAUGACCCAUUUAUUGUAUGCUCAACAAGAUAUAUACAACUUUCAAUCAUUUAAUAAAAUAGGAUCAUUUGGGUUAGAAGUCAUCAAUAAUCCAUUUAAUCCCUGUUAUCACCUACUUUAACACAAUUAAGGUUUAUUUAAAUUAUUUUAAAUUUUAAAUUUAUCUUAAUUAUAUGUUAGCUUAUUUUUGAAAAUAAUUUGCCAAAAGUAUAAUACAGUUAUUAUAAUUUAUUAAUAAAAGUCCCAUUAAAAAAAUUAAAAUCUAUAAAUCAGCAUGAAUAUGAAAACAAGCACUCACCGUUAACCUAAUUCCACUAAUUUCAUAUCGUUUUCGACUUAUGUUCACAAAUAAUGUCAAAAUUGACGCCAUUAUAGUUUUUUAACACUGUUUACUACCCCUUAAAUAUCAUGUGGUGAAUAUGAAAACCUCUUGGUCAUUUCCCCAAGAUAUGUUAUCUAGUUGAAACAAUAAAACAAAUAAACAUGGCACAAUUAAUUGAGACUCUUUUGCAAUAAUUCUUGGUCAUAUCUGUUCUCGUUGAGAUAUUUUCUUAAUUAAUAAAUCACGAGUGUAGUACUAUAAUCACAAGUGUAAUACCAUAUAUCUUGUGGGUUCUAAAUUUUCAAUUUUUUUUCUUUUUUUUUUAAUUUUUUUUGGAUCACUCUAAGUUGAUAUAAACAAUGUUUUGAAAAUCAGAUAUCAAACUAUUGAUGGAAGCUUGGUCCAACCUUUAGAUUGGAGAACCCGUUGAGCCGACCUUGAAACGGACAGACCAUUGAGCUGGUGAAAUAUGCUAUCAGUUCUAGGUUGGCCAAACUUUUUUUUUUUCUCUCAACAAAAGCCUAGCCCACAGUGGAGGGGUGGAAGCCCAACUCAAAGUCAAGGAGUGGCUCUGUUGUGGGCCUUGUGGCAAUUAUGAUUGACGAGGAUGAAAGAAAUUGAGUUAUUGAAAAAUCCAAAAUUCUUAGAAUUUGGGGAUUUGAGCCAUGGACCAUCAGCUCGUGGAUGGGCUAUAACCACUCAUUUAAUAAAAUUUAAAAUAUUAAAAUAUUUAUAUUUAUUUUUAUAAUAUUAAAUAUGAAAAAUAAAUAUUAUUAUUUUUAAUUUUACUUUUAAUUUUAUAUAUAUAUUAAAAUUUUAUAAUUACUUUUAAUUGUAAUAAUAUAUUCAUUAUAUAUUUAUAAUAUUAUCAGUAAAUUAAUAACUUUUCUGAUUUAUGUACCGGUUACGAAAAUAUUGAGGAAACAUAAAAAAUAAACUCUAAUAUUUUAGAGUAUUCUUGCGCUUUCCUGAGAGAAUACUGAAAGCAAAUAUCUUUUACUGUGCUAGUUAAACUGCUCUCAAUUAAGUUUAUUAGUUCUAAGAGAGAUAAGACCAGCGAACUUCCUCGAAACCCAAAUGGCUUGACUUCUAAAAUUAUUUAGACUGAUGAGUUUAACACUUAAAGAAGAAGAUCUAAGGGAUAGUACCUGCUGCAGCUGCACCAACAACAUCUCUUUUGGAAUCUCUGACUUUUGUAACCACCCUGGUUUUGUAGUGGCCAUGAGAGGCAUAGAAGUCUGAGAGGGCCAUGGAGAUGCAGCUCAACCCCAUCUUCCCAACCCAUGUAUCCAAGUCCAGAACCACUCCCACUUUAACUGGUAUUGUUGUGUUCUGUGCCAUGCCCUUUUCUAUGAAGAAAAUCGUGGGAAAGAGAAAGAACAAGAGAGAGGCAAGGAGUUGGGUAGGGUGCCUUCUCAUCUUUGAACUCGUUGGAAGCUAUGGUAGUCAUAAUAUUGGAGAGAAACUAAGAGAUUAUUUAUAGGACUUAGAAUUUUGAAUUUUGAAACCAGAAGCCAGCUGGAAUCAGGACUACUCUGCAGUCAACUUGAGAAGGACGCCCAACUGGACUCUCGUCUCUUUAUCGACAGCAUGCAAGGAAACUGCUGUCGAUAUAUUCUAUGUUUUGAGAGAUAUUUAGUUUUUAAUUAACUUCUUACUUUGUAAUAUAAUUUAUAUUUUAUGGUAUUAAAAUAAUCAUUUCAUUUACUCUUUUUAUUUUUUAACCCAUAAAAACUCUUCUAUGUGGAUUUGACAUGACUUGGAAAUUCCUUUCCUGAACUUGAUCAUAUUGUAUUUAAGACCAGAUAUAUUAAUAGAUGGAUUUAAUAUGAAUUGCUUUACAUCUCAUCCAAGUGUAUUGUUACUUAAAAAUAUGAACCUCAAUGUGUAUAAAACCCACAUAGUGGUGAAAAAAAAACAUUUAGGAAACAAAAUGAUGAUUUUAAUAAAUCUUUUAAUAACUAUUUUUUCACACUAUUAUUAUUAAGAGUGUAUUUGAAAGUGAUUUUAAAAAACGUUUUUAACAUUUUUAAGACUUAUUACUUGCAAAUCUCAUUAUAAUGUUGAAUAAACAUACAUUGGAAAGCGAGAUUAAUUAAAUAGAUCAUAUCACACACAUAGACACCAUCAUAUAUAUAUUUGUAGACCCGCAUUUUUCUUAUGCAUCCCCACUCGAUGACGAAACUCGUUUUUUAUUUAUUUGUGAAAUUUUGAUUUUUAGAAAAAGACUUGGAGUCACCAUUAUUUUUGUUUUAUUUUUUAAAUAUAUUUGUAGACCCGCAUUUUUCUUAUGCAUCCCCACUCGAUGACGAAACUCGUUUUUUAUUUAUUUGUGAAAUUUUGAUUUUUAGAAAAAAACUUGGAGUCACCAUUUAUUUUUGUUUUAUUUUUUAAAGUGAAAAUAAAAUAAGAAAAAAAAACUCUGUGUGACUUCUUAUUUGAAAAAAAACAUGUCUGCAAAAAUCAAGUCUGAAUUUGGAGUCAGGUUACCUAUUGAGAAAAUAUAAUGGUGAGCUGUAGCACCCCUCUAAACUUGUAUACCUACUAUCUCUACUAAACGAAUCAAGAGAAUUGUGACAAUUAAUUAAUUAAUAAUGUAUAUUAAGAUUAAAAGAACAAAUUAAUACACAAAAAUUGGGAUAAAAUCUAAUUACAAGAAUUCACAAAAUAAAUGACAAGAGAAUGAUGCAAAAUGAUUUAUUGAACUAAAUAAAAUAAAAUAAAAAAUUCAAAAGAAUUAGUUCUCGAGAAAUUUUAAAGGAUUUUAUUAAAAACAAUUUUGAAUUAAUGAUUUCAAUUUAUUUAUUUACCAAAAAGAGUCAAUUUAUUUUCUCAAUUUUAUUUGUAUUCAAUUUUCAAAAAAGUUAUUUACACUUAUUGUAUGAAAAGAAUUUAUUACAAAAUUUCAAUUUGGGCAUAAAAAUUAUUUUUACUUACUUUUACUAAAAAUGAAUAAAUUUUUACAAUUUUAUUUAAAAGGUAUUUUGAUUUAUUUUCAUUUAAGAAAAGUGACUUAUACAAAUUAAAAAAAAACUUUAUUUGCAAAAUAAUAAUAAUACUAAUAAUAAUAAUAAUUAAAAAGAAAAAAUUAAAUCCCCUAUUUUUAAAAAUUACUUUUAAUCCCAUUUUAAUUAAGAAAAAAUAAUUUAUUUUAAAAAAAAACAUUUUUUUUGACAAUUUUAUUAAAAAUUAAUUUUUGGGACAACUUUAUUUACAAAACGAUUUUUGGACAAUUUUUAUUAAACAAAGAAAAUUUUGGACAAUUAUUAUUAAAAAAUAAAAUUUCAAAUUCUAUUAAAAACAAUUUUUUUCGAUUUUUCUAAAAGAAUUUUUCUAAAUUUUUAUUAAUAAAAAACUUUAUUUUAUUAAGAAUAAUAUUUUCUAAACUAUUAUUUUGUUAAAACAUGUUUACUGAAUUGUUCCUCUUAUUCAAAUAAAAUUUCUUAUUUGUUCGAUAUUCAAUUAUGUACACAACAAGUAAGUAUAUAUAAACAAAUAUUUAUAGAAACCAAUAAAAAUAAAACAAAAUAGUAGUAGGAAAUAAAAUGUAUACCCAAUAAGCUUACAACAAUCUUAAUAUCUUCCUACAAUUUUUCGAGUCUUACUUUCUUUCAUGAAAUUUCAUACUCCACAUGUCAUACUUCACAUGUCAUGAAUCCAUACUCAGCCAAUAAAAUUAUAGAAUGGGUCCAUACAAAAACAAAAAUAGUCCAAAUGUAAAUAUCCAGAAUUACACAAAGUUCAAAACAAAUAUUCAAGUCCAAAUUCAAACUUCAAAUUAAUCUAAUAAAUUUCAUUAAUCAAAAUGAGUCCAAAUUAUCAAUAUAUACUCCAACAAAAAUAUCUCAUAUGUCAUAGCCCUAUUCAAAAUUUUCAAAUUAAUAACCAAAGUAUAAGUUCAAUUAAUCAAACCCAAAAUAUGAUAAAUUAAAAUCAAUUUCAUUAGGCCUAAACUUAAUAUCCCAUAAUUCCAACCUAAUUUAAUAUGCAAAUUUAAAUCCACAAUCAAAAUAAAACCUGAUUUAUACUAAUCCCAAUUUACAAUUAAAAUCAAAUACAAUUUAAUAAAUAAAUAACUAAAUAAAUUAAGCAAACUUAAAACAUCCAAACCACUAAAUCAAACAAUAAUAAAAAUAAAAAUUUUAACUCGCGUUUUAGAGCCGAUUUGAGUGUUGUAGGAAAAAAAGAAAAUGGGAGAAAAGUGGGAGAUGAGGGAGAUGGUCACCGGCUAGUAGUGGCUGGACGAAGAUGAUUGGUCGGUGGUCCUGUCAGUGGCAAUAAGGAGUGAUAGAUUUUUGGAAAACAAAAAUUAAAUAAAUAAAUAAAAAAGAAAAAGAAAAGGAAGAGUAGAAAUGUGCGCAAAAAUAAUGGGAGAAGAUAAGAGGGAGAGAAGGUUGUGGGGCAAUGUGGAGGAAAAAGAGGAAGAGCGGUUGGGAGAAGAAAAUGGAGAAAAAAAAAAGGGUCGGUUGGUGUGUGCUCUCUGAGGUGUGGUGAGUGGGAAAGAAAAAAAAUGGAGCUAAAAAAAAUGGGACCGACCACCAAAAUGGGAAGAAAAACUAAAAGAAAAAGGGAAAUGAGAAGAAAGAGAAGAGACCUGCAAAAACAUAUUUUUCUCAAAAUUUCCUCCACUUUCCUGCAAAAACAUGAAAAGAAAAAAAAUAGAAAGAAAAUUGCCCAUCAUCCUCUUCCUUCAUUUUCCUAUACUUUUUUAGGUUAAAAUUAACUAAGCUAAGUAUUGAUUUAUACUCUAACAAUGAGUCAAUGCCCCUGCAUCUCAUAAUAUGAGACCUGCAACUUCCUUCCAACACUAAAUUAAGCUUCUGUUCAAUUUCUUCUUGAGAAAGGAAUUCAAAUUCAAUUCCAGACGUCAUGCCGUGGCUUUGCCUCCAGUUAUCUCAAAUUCGUAUGUUUGGAAGACCAUAUGCUCCAUCAUCUGGACUUCUUAUUCAAAUAUUCUUGCUGCACCACAAUACUAGAAUUCAAAGGCAUUGACUUCUCAAUUCCAUGUUUAUUAUUUAGAGGUCAAUUUGUGUUGUACAAAAGAAAAAUAAAAAGAAAUCAAUUUUCCUAUUGUUGACUCAGUCUGCCCUAAGCGCCUACUCUUCAUCAAAGCCAAAAUUAAGGAAAUGCAGGGAAACACCUCUGAAUAUUUGCUGCCAACUAACAUACAGAUGUCAUGGCGGAAGCUGGGGACUGGGUUUGACUGUAUGGUAUAGAGGUAAGCACCUCCACCGGGUAUGAAGAUCGAAGACACAGUCAAUCCUUGAAGCAACAAGGAAGCUAGGACAUAUUUUACCAUGAAGGACUGAUGCUCUUGAUGUAUCCUUGUAAGUUAUCCUGUGAUUCUUAAUAAUUGGAAAAACAAUAGCCAAUAUUUUAUCCUAUAAUAUCUUUUAAUGACUAAGAUAAGAUGGCUUUGGAACUUAGCUAGGUUUUCGCAAAAUUAAAAAGAUUUGAUUGGCUAAGAUGGAAGAUUUGAUUGGCUAAGAUGGCUUAAUUUGAGUUUCAUUGAUAAAUAAGCCCGCUUGAAAAAUGAAGUGCUGACUGAGAUAUAUUUCUUAUUUUUUGUUUUUAAAAAAUAUAAAAUUAGUUUUUAAAUAAAAUAUAAUGAUGUAUAUUAUAUCUUUAAAAAUUAUUUUUAAAAUUUGAAUAUCUUGUCUUUUUUUAAAAAAAAAAAUUUAAAUAGUUAUUUUUUGAAGGUAAGUUUCAAAAAAAAUUUUAUAUUUUAAACAAAAGAGUUUUGGAGUAUUUUGAAUUCAUACAAAUAAUUUUUUGAACUUUUUAUGUAAAGAUAAGCAAAUCUUUUAAAAAGGAAAAAUACUUUAAUAAUUUUUUUUAAAAAAGAAAUGUUAUCACACGAAUGAAUUGCUCUUAUAAAAUUGUUGAAUUAUUAUUAUUAUUAUUAUUAUUUUAAAAAAGUCAACUGAUGUUGCUGCAUACUCUCUCGUUAAAAAUGUAAAUUAUUUGGAGAAUCAACUCAAAAGAAGAAUUUUGCCAUUAUUUAGUGGUAAUACGUGUACUUGGCAAGUGGUGGAAUAGUUUAUUGUCAAAUCCUUUAUUAAAGGUUACAAGAUCCAUUAUUUAAUUACAAGUUCGUUUGACAGGAUCCAUUGUGAGUUUCUUGAGGAGUUUGAUGUUGCAAGAAGCAUAAUCUUUAAUAGAGUGACACAACGUGAAACCCAGUGGUUGGGUCAGGAUGAUAGUCUCUCAACCUCAAUCAAAGAAUCACAUCUAUCAUUAUCACCCUAGUUGAACUUCAUUUAUAUAAUUCAAGUUGUCAAUUUAUGCUUGAACUAAUAUUUUUUUAACAAGCUCGAAUUGAAAUUUAGUUAAGUUUAGGUUGGUUAAGUUAUAUAUAUAAAAAAAAAUGAACAGAUUAAGCUUGACUUGAACAGGUUUAGUGAUCAUAUCAAAGUUUGGUUAACUCAAAUUAGAAAAAAAUAAAAAGUGUUAAAACUCGGGUUGAAUUAGAUUAGGUUAAAUUAGAGGAAAAAUAACAUAUUAGCACAUCAAAAUGAGUUUUGUUCGUGAAAGUUUUCAUCUUACCAUAUGCACGAAUAAACCAUAUUUAUUACUUUCAUCAACAUUAAAUCCAUUAACUUAAUACAACAAUUUGGUAUAAGAUAAACAAUAUAGUUUUAAUAGAUAAGAAGUUGAUCUAUCUAAUUCUACAUAAGAAUUUAAUUAAUAUUUAAAUAUCAAUAAUUAAAGAAUAUAGCAUAAAAUUUAAUUAUUUAUUAUAUGCAAUAUAAUUUCUAAUUAAAAUUAUUAAAUACUCGGUUCAAGUCAUAUUGUUUGGCAAUUUGAAUUAGGUACUCAACCCAAAUUAAAUUAGAAAAGGGGCUGUCCAAACCAGCACAAAUUCGGGUUAGCUUCCUUGGGAUUGGGUUGGAAUGUGUUUAAUCCGUACAAGUUGCAGUCCUAAGAGUGGGUCUGGCUCCACCAAACUAUUUUGAUUUGGUCAAGGUAAACAAAUUAAAUAAGAAAAAUGCUGUCACAAAGAGUGAUGCAACCCUAUAAACAAGACUAAAUAUUAUAUAGCUGCGUUGCUUUCUCAAAAGUCCAGUUGGGUCCUUUUUGCUUACCCUGCAGAGGAGUCUUUCUUCAAGGCUGCUGAUUCCUACCUCACAGUCUAAAUCCUAUAAAUAAUCUCUCUCUCGCCACGUUAUGAAUCUUAAAGCGUCCCCAGAAAAGGUUGAAAGAUGAGAAAGAACCUUACCCAACUCGCUUUAUAUCUCUUCUGCUGUCUCUCUCUCUGGAUUUUCUUCAUAGAAACGGCCAUGCCACAGAACACAAAGAUUCCAGUUAAAGUGGGAGUGGUUCUCGACAUGGAUACCUGGCUAGGGAAGAUGGGAUUGAGCUGCAUCUCCAUGGCACUCUCAGACUUCUAUGCCUCUCAUGGGCACUACAAGACUAGGCUGGUUCCGGAAAUUAGAAACUCCAAACGAGAUGUCGUUGGUGCAGCUGCAGCUGGUACUCUCUCCCUCUCUCUCUCUCUCUCUCAAUACUCUCACACAUAAUGAUUAGAUUAUUAAUCUAUUUAGAAAAUUGAAUUGUAUUACCGAGAAAACUGUAAGCACAUAUUGAAUCUAUGGUUAACUUAACUUAACAUGCCGUACUAAUUUUAAAAUAAGAGAUGCUAUUUUAUCAUUUUCUAUUUUUUUUAUGCUUAUUUUGAGUGUAUCUCUCAAACAACAGAUCAAUGUAUGAUAUUUGGGUUCUUUUUCUUUUAGAGAUCCCAUAAUUGAGACCUAUAACUGGACUAAUUACCAAUAAAAAUACGAUUGUCUUUAGCUAAUUUGGAUUUUUUUUUAAUUAUCACCUUAUUGGCAGAUGGUGAUUAAAAGAGACAAAAUAUGUAUCUAUGUUUUUUAUUUACAUUUCUUCUUCUGUCUGUUGACAUUUACAGCCUUUCUAACAUGGUAAAAGAAGUAGUAAAGCUAUUAAUUAAGCAAAGUUGUUGAUGGAAAAGAGUCCUCAUGUUUAACCACACUGUCAUAUCCAUUAAAGAUGGCAAAUUAAGAGUCUCUAUAAAUUGGAAUCAAAGAUUAUGCAAAAGGUCUUCAUAAGUUUUCCUGUUUUUUUUAUAAAAGUCAACUCCGGUAUUGUGGCCAAGAGCCAUGAGAAUAUUCGAGUUGGAGUUAAUAAAUAUGUGUCUAUUUUUAGGGGAGAAUGGGAAGUAGUUACCGAAAUGAGAUGCCAGUUGCUUGGGAUUAUGAUUAUCAGCGGCUGUUUGGUAGAAAAGCUAGUUCGUCAUGAAAAUAUGUACUAUUAUGUCUCAAUUAAUACAAUAUCAACUAAGUUCUUUUAUUCAUGCAACCAAGGAUGAUUUUUAUUUCUAUUUCUACCUUGUUUAAUUGCUAAUAAUAUACUCCAAAGAUAUAAUGAAAUUUUGGAAUCUUUAAAUCUGAUAAAGUAUUUGAUUAUGUUUCGAACCUCCUGUGAAAUUCAGCUCUAGACUUGUUGCAAAAUGAGGACGUUCAAGCCAUCAUAGGACCAGCAUCUUCCAUGCAGGCCAACUUCCUGAUUGGUCUCGGAGACAAAACUCAUGUGCCCAUCAUUUCAUUUUCUGCAACAAGCCCUUCUCUUUCUUCACUUCAGAGUCAAUAUUUUAUCCGAGCCACCCUAAAUGACUCAGCUCAAGUACCAGCAAUAAGGGCAAUUGUCCAAGCCUUUGGAUGGAGAGAAGUUGUGCUUAUUUACGUGGGCAAUGAGUAUGGGAAUGGCGUUAUACCAUAUCUUACCGAUGCCUUGCAAGAGAUUGACACCCGUAUCGCCUACAGGUACGUCAUUCCUCCAUUAGCCACUGAUGAUCAAAUUGUCAAAGAACUUUACAAGCUGAUGACAAUGUCAACCAGAGUUUUCAUUGUACACAUGUCUACACCUCUUGGGCCUCGGCUUUUCACCAAAGCAAAUAAGGUGGGAAUGAUGGAUGAAGGCUAUGUUUGGAUACUGACUGAUGGGAUGGCUGAUAUGUUGAGUACUUUGGAUGAGUCGGUCAUUGAUUCGAUGCAAGGAGUGUUGGGUGUAAAGCCUCAUGUUCCUAGAUCUAAAGAGCUUAAAAGUUUUGAAAUCAGAUGGAAAAGAAAAAUCCAGCAAGAAUAUCCAACCAAUGAAAGCUAUGAGUUGAACAUAUUUGGCCUCUGGGCUUAUGAUGCUGCUUCUGGGUUAGCCAUGGCAGUUGAACAACUUGGGACAACAAACUUCAGCUUCCAAAAUUCUAAUAUUUCCAGAAAUUCAACCGGUCUUGGGACUAUACAAGUCUCCAAAACUGGUCCAUAUCUUCUCCAAUCACUUCUAAGUACUAAAUUCAGAGGCCUCAGUGGAGAUUUUCAAAUUGUUGAUGGGCAACUACGUUCAUCAGCCUUUCAGAUAGUCAAUGUGAUCGGUAAAGGGGAAAGAGGGGUGGCACUUUGGACACCGGAGAAUGGGAUUGUAAGAAAUUCAAAUCCUACUUAUAAGGCUGAUCUAAGAACCAUCAUAUGGCCGGGAGACUCUCCUUCGGUUCCUAAAGGUUGGGUGCUUCCCACAAACGGCAUGAAGUCCUUGAGAAUAGGAGUACCAGUGAAAGAGGGGUUUAGUGAAUUUGUAAAGGUGACACGAGAUCCUAUCACUAACAUUACAAAGGUCACUGGAUACUGCAUAGCUAUCUUCGAUGCUGUGAUGGCAGCAUUGCCAUAUUCUGUUCCUUACGAGUACAUUCCGUUCGAGACCUCUGAUGGCAAGCCUGCUGGCAAUUACAAUGAUUUGAUAUAUCAAGUAUAUCUUCAGGUUAGUUCAUGAACUCCUUGACUUUCCAAGCAGAUAGAACUAACUCUAGCUUAACUCCAGUUAUAAAACCAACUGCAAUCCUUUCAUGUUAUUCUUUGUGUGCAUAGAAGACGAGCAAACCAGAAAUUCCAACCAAAUGUAUUAACAGAUUGGUCCAAAAUUCUAUUGUGAACAGAAGUAUGAUGCUGUUGUGGGAGAUACUACUAUCGUAGCGAACAGGUCCUUAUAUGUAGACUUUACGCUGCCUUACACGGAAUCUGGGGUGUCAAUGAUUGUGCCCGUCAUAGAUAAAAGAAGUAAAAAUGCAUGGGUUUUCUUGAAGCCACUGACUUGGGACCUUUGGGUGACAAGCGCUUGUUUCUUUGUCUUCAUUGGUUUUGUGAUUUGGGUUCUGGAACAUCGUAUAAAUGAAGAUUUUAGAGGACCUCGUUCAAAUCAAGUUGGCACGAUCCUCUGGUUUUCAUUCUCGACCAUGGUGUUUGCCCAGAGUAAUUGCUCUUCCACCUCCUCGAAUAUACGUGGCAAUGAAAAAACUACAUGAUAGUAAUUUAGAACACUGCAUAUUUCCAUGCUGUCAGAACCUUAAUAUGAUAACACUCAAAACACAACUGAAACCAACUAUUAAUAUAUGGACAUUCCAUACAAUAUGCAAGUAAAGUUCAGGAUAUAUUUUUAUGUUUCAAAAUUUAUAUUUGACUUGAUAUUGAUGUUCUGAAGCUGAUCUUCCUUUCCAUUCUUAAAUUAUGUUUAUAGAGGAGAGAGUUGUGAGUAACUUGGCUCGGUUCGUGGUGAUCAUAUGGUUUUUCGUGGUGCUGAUUCUUACUCAAAGUUAUACUGCCAGCUUGACUUCAAUGUUAACAGUUCAACAGCUGAAGCCGACUAUCACAGACAUAAAUGAGCUCAUAAAGAAUGGGGAGCGUGUGGGUUACCAGACGGGCUCUUUUGUUCAUGAAUUCUUGAAGUGGAUGAAAUUUGAUGAAACCAAGCUUGUAAUCUAUGAGUCUCCAGAAGGGCUGGAUGAAUUAUUUUCAAACAGGAGUUCAGAUGGUGGAAUUGCUGCUGCUUUUGAGGAAAUCCCUUACAUGAAGCUUUUCCUUGCAAAAUAUUGCUCCAAAUACACUGCAGUUCAACCAACUUACAAGUUUGAUGGGUUUGGAUUUGUGAGUCUCUCUCACGUACUUGUGCAUAAAUUUCAAACUGUAUUUGGUUUCUUAUUUUGUAAUUUUCAGGUCUUCCCAAAGCGAUCACCUCUCAUACCUGAUGUUUCAAUGCAAGUCUUAAAUGUGACUGAGGGAGCUAAAAUGGUUCAAUUUGAGAAAGCAUGGUUUGGGCAGACACCCAGUUGUCCAGAGCUCACCAGCUCAGUUUCUUCAAACAGCAUCGGCCUUAAUAGCUUUUGGGGCCUAUUCCUCAUUGCUGGAGUCGCUUCAUUUGUAGCUCUCAUCAUAUGCAUCACCACUUUCUUGUAUGAAAAUAGAGAUACUUUAGUACACUUGGAUCCCCCAGCUUCAGUAUGGAGAAAAAUUAAAGCCAUGGCGACACGCUUUGAUCACAAAGACCUCAGCUCGCAUACUUUCAGGAAAAGUGAAAUGGUAGAUAGAAGUGGCAUCAAUGGUAUGGAUGCAGUUACAGCCUCGCCAGCUACCAACUGCCCCCCAAGUCCAUCAAGCCUUUCCAUCCAAACAGAGAGUAAUUUUGCUUUCUUCAGAGACCAAGAAACGCCUUCUUCUGAAUAUGGCGAUCCAUUCAGUCCAAAUAGGCAGACAUCUCCACAGUAGUAUUUGAUAUUAAUUAAUCUUACUAAUACAAAUCAAGUGCAAAUGAUUCCGCCUCAAGUAGCAGCUGCGAAUGACUGAUUCAUUUUCCUUUUGUAAUUUAAGCCAGUGGAACCAUUAUCCACAAAUGUGGAAUAUUUCAUGAAAAAGUAGCACUGUAGCUAUAGCAAAUUUGGUUAAAAUAUUUGAGGAUAUAUCUCAAUGAUGAACUACACCGAGAGGAGGAGAGGGGCUGAAUAGGUGUUUUUAAAUAAAUUCGAAAAGUUCUCCCAACAUAUAUAUAUUGCUUUCUUCCAACGUCUAUUCAACAAAGAAUAAAAUACGCAAGCAAACAACCUCCUAUAAGGCCACUAAACAAAUUUACUGACUUCAUAGUGGAUAGAGCAAUGCAGGAUUACUUCUUAGUCCACCAAGUAAUAGUGACACCAUUGAGUAAAAAACAUAUCUCAUAGUGGAUUUGCACUCAUCUCAAUCACUAACCCAAUCUGUAUUAUAAUAUCCUCUUAAUCUCAAGUCUCCACCUCGAUAGCAAAGGACAAAAUCUCUACAUCCUUGGAGGUGGCGAAAAAUCCUCUUAAUUGCUCGCCAAUGAAUGGGGUAUGGGUUACUUUGGUAACGAUUGACCAAUUGAACUACGAAGCAUAUGUAGGGUCAAGUACACAACAUAACAUAUAUCAUACUUCCAAUUGCACUCACAUAAGGAACUCUUACCAUAUGUUUCCUUUCUUCAUCAUUCUUAGGGCAUUGAUCAAGGCUUAGGCUGUAACCCUUCUCAAUAGGGGUGUUAAUAGGUUUGCAAUUUUGCAUUCAAAACUACUCUAGAAUAUUCUUAAUAUAAGUCUCUCUUGAGACAAACCAAGAAGUCUUCUUGAGUGAUCCCUUAGGAUCUUAACUCCGAGCAAAAAAUUUGCUUCCCCAUGUCCUUCAUAUCAAACGUGGAGGACAACCAUCCUUUGGUAGCAACAAUUAUGUCCAUGUCACUUCUAGUUAAUAGAAUGUUAUUGACAUACAAAGAUAAAAUGAGGAAGUCUUUCCCUAAUCAUUUGACAUAUACACAAUGGUUCUCUAAAUAAUAUUUCAAAACCAUUAGACAUAAUUGUCUCAUGAAAUCUAAAGUACUACUAUCUAAAUGACUAUUUUAGGCCAUAAAUGGAAUGCUUGAGAUGACAUACUUUGCACUCUUGUCCCUCAACCUCAAAAUGAAUAAGUUGAUCCAUAUAGAUCUCCUCAUUUAGUUUUCCAUUGAGAAAUAUAGUCUUCACAUCUAUUUGGAAGAUCUCUAAGUUCAAAUGUUCAACUAUAGCUGGAAUAAGGCAAAUAGAUGCAAAUCUCACCACUAAGGAGAAUGUCUCUUCAUAAUAUAUAUCCUUUCUUUGGGUAUAUCCUUUCACCAUUAAAUGAGCCUUAGAUUUGUUGAUUGAACCAUUUGUCUUGUGUUUAAUUUCAAACCCAUUUAUUUCCAAUGCUCUUAUGCUCGGGUGUAAGAUCAACUAACUCCCAAAGAUAAUUCAUUGCCAUGGAAUUCAUUUCUUUCCUCAUAGUAGCCAUCCAUUAUACUGAUUUAGAUAAAGUCAAAGCUUCUUCCCAAGAAGCAGAUUUAUCAAGAUCUAACUAUGUACACAUGUAGGUUUCCCUUUUAACCUCAAAAUGAUGUUGGGGAAUUUGACCACGUUUGCUUCUUUGUAACUCAAGACCUUGUGAAGAUCGUCUAGUGACACAUUCCCACCAGGAGAUAAGCACUCCCACUAUCUUUGGUGAUUUCAAGAUGGGCUUGUAAUUCCCUAGCCUCACUCAAAUAUUAUGUUGCUUCCUCUUGCAACUCAUAGAGUUCAAGACUCUUCUUUACUUCACCAACAGUAGGAAAAUCAUUUUCUAUAAAAUCAACAUUGUGUGACUUUGUUUCAGUCAACAUUGUGUGACUCUAUUUCAGUCAAUCCUCUAACCCUUUAAGUAGUCAAAGUAUCUUAUAAAGACAUUUUUAUUUGCUCUAGGGUCUAACUUCUUACAUCUAUGAGAAGUGUUAUGAACAUAACCUAUACAACCCCAAGGUCAUAAAUUCUCCAAAUUUGGUUUUGCAUCAUCCCAUAGCACAUAUGGAGUUGGAGGGACUGAUUUAGAAGACACUCGGUUAAGGAUUAAGGUAGUAAUCAAAAGAGCAUCCCCCUAAAAAGAUAUUGGGAGGUUAGCUUGCACCAACUGUGGACCCACAUUUCUCAUGUGCGCCUCCACUCAAUCGGCGAGACUUACUUUUAUUUGGUGAAAAGUUAGUUUUAAAAAAGUUGAAGUUGUGACUUAUUUUAUUUUUAUUUUAAAGGGAAAAUAAAACAAGAAAGAAAACCCUAAAAAGUGACUCCACAAUUUUUGAAAAACCCGAAUCUAGGUCUGGGGAUCAGGUUACUUAUUGGAAAGGUAGCUCUAGGAGGUAGCACCCCUCUAAGCCCUAUAAAGGUCUCUACUGACUAAGUUGAGGGAAUUGAGGCAAUUAAUUGGUUAAUUAUAGAUACCUAAGUAGGUUAGGUGAUUUAAAAAAUAAGCAUGUCUAACAAGAAGGUUUGAUCAUAAGAGAGAGUCAUAGUGCGUACCUAAACGACUUCUUAAGCGCUAUCAUGAAACAUAAAAGUUAGUAUAGAAAUAUAUCACACAACAUGUGUUUUAUCCACGCAAAUCAAGUAUACACCUAAGCACACAAGAAUCACAUCAAGUAUGGAUAUAGUUAUCAGUAGCAUAUGUGUCCAUAGAAUUCUCAAGGGUAGGUGUGGAGGAGCGUACCUGGAUAGCAAGCUAGUACUCCUCUAUGGGAAACAGAGUUAGUCCAAUAACAAAUUCAAAGUAGUCUCAAAACCAAUUCUCAAACCUGAUCCAUGUAUUAGUGGAUACUCAUCCGUAAAACUGACUGCAUAACUAAAACCGACAAACCUCUAUCAAACAAUUGGGAACAAAUUGGGGACCUUCAUCAUAUAUAAAACUCCAAAUGCUUCCUCAAAAUUGGUAAUGGAGAAAUAUGGGCAGAAUCAGGUGGAGAAUCGGAGGGAUUACAUCUCAAAGUAUUCACACAACUUUAAUUUCCAGUCUUCAGGGACUUACAAGAGAUAGUAUACUAAAUAACCAGAAAAUGGCAUAAAAAAUUUGGAUAGUUAGAUAUGGGAAUUCCAUCCAAACUCAUCGUUCGAAUGUAAGCAAUUCUGCUGGGAUCAUCCCUAGCAAAACCAUGUCACAAGGAAUUGUCUCAUUUGCACAGAUCUUCACCACUUCGCCAACUUGUAUCUUUUUUCAUUUUUUUUUUCUGAAAGUGACCAGCAUAAAGCACUAUAGCCUCAUGACAACCCGACUCUUGGUAGCUUGGCAUGUAAGGGUAUCAACAAAAUUUAUACCUAACGUCCUUACACUAAAGUAGCAAAGCUACUAUAGCAUAGUGGCUCUAGGAUCGAACACUGGGAAGGGUUUUUACUUUAACUGAUGAAGUUCGGAGGAUGGAGUGAACUUUUCUUAAUAAAGAUUAGGUUAAGAUGAAAACAUAAAAAGAUGAAGGUGUUGUAAACUAAACUAACAUGAAAAUAGGUUAAAAGAUGGAAAAAGAAGUUUCUCAAAGCUUUGGAUAGCCAUGCUUAACUCACUGUGUAAAAAUGGAGAUUUUGGAACUUUUCACCUCGAGUUGGGGAAGCAACUAAGGUGAUGCUUACUUCCCGAACCGGUAUGAGUUUAACAACUGAGUUUUAGUCCUUGAAAACUUACAAAAGGGUAGCUGAACCUCAUAAAUGCCCUUUUAAUGAUAUAGGUCAUCUCCUCGACUUGCAAUACAAUGGCUCGUAGGAGAUAACUAAUGAACGUCAGUGGAUCUAACAAUAAGAAUCCACUGAGACCAAAAGAUUAUCAAGUAUUGGCCAUUCAAAGCAAGUCAGAGGGAUUAAAAGCUUUACUUUGAAUGAAAACAUUUAUGACGCUCAGCUACUUACAUUCAUGGCUUGGAAAUCUCCAUCUUGACACGGGAGCUUCACAUGGCAUCCAUUACUUCAAGAAACUAAAAGGUUUUAGCCUCUCAUCCUUGGGGAUUUCAUCCUCCAAGGAUGUUUGGCUACUAAGAAAAUAGAAAAUAGAAGAGAGAAAAAGAAAGCAAAAGAUACUCUGUAUUUAGCUAAGUGUAAAAUUUACAUAAGUUCGUCUCCUGGGGAAAGUUCCCCGACGUCAUAAAAUGAAAAUUACAAAACAAUAUAUAACAGGUUGUUUACCCCUGUAUUCUUGCUUAACAACUAAGGAAUCAUCUAAUUGGUGGAUUACAAGGAGAGAAUUGGGAUUUAGACAACAAAUAUCUGAAGAAAAAUAUCAAAAAACGUUGGUCGCAAAUAUCUGGAAGCACUCAGGAGAAUUUCGCAGGCGCACAAAAUGGCUGCGAAAUUUCGCAGCCAAAGGCUGAUUUCGCAGCCCUGCGAAAUUGGCCUUCAGCUUGGAGUGAUCUGCUUCCAUUGGCUCUAACUUCUUCAUUUCAACUCUGAUUUGCGAACCGUUUGAAGCAUUGGAUUGUUGACUUCCCGAUCUUCGAAACGACAUAAAGCAUGCAUAAAUUGGACUUUAGGAAGUACUCCAAAAGUGGCUGAAAUUACUGUCAUCAAGGAUGCUUCAAGGUAGAUUCUCUCUUUACUUCUCCUCCUUGCAUUCCGGAUUGGUUAUGGCAAAGGACUUUAAGGCUUCAAAGCUCUGAUUCUUCAUGUUUCUGAGCUUUCCAUUGCUUUGCCAUGGAUUCCAAAUAACUCUCCUCCAUCUUGGAUUGCCUUGGUGAUCAAAUUACUAACAAAAACACCAAAACUUACACAAAGUGAUUAGAAGUGAUUGCAAAGGUCCUUAAUAUGUUAAUUGGGUUAAAAGGCAAUAAUUACUACUCAAAAGUGUUUAAAAGAGUUAAUUACAAGCUAUCAAAUAGCCCUUUUUGAGUAGUAAUCACUCCCCCCAACCGACAUAUUGCUAGUCCCUUAGCAAUGAAGGAGAGAAAAAUAAAAAUAAACAUUACUAUAAUUUACAACAUCAUGCUGAUCAAAAAACAAUUCUCAAGUGGCAUGAUGAUCUAACUCUCACAUGGAACAUUAAAGAAAUAAAACUCAAACUUCAACAAGAGUUAUCAAAUAACUUGUCUAAUCACAAUUCAUAAAGAGAAGGCAUUAUGCAAAUUUAAGCUUUUGAAAGAGUUUCCACUCCCAAAGGGUCAAACCUUACUCUUCCACAAAAAUCUAAGUGUUACUUAUUAGUUUCCGAAUAUAGUAUGUUGAACUAAUCUCUCCCCCCAACCUAGUUAUUUUUCAAAGCUUAGCAAACUGAUCAACCUCCAAUAGGUUAAGAACGCACCUCUUUUUUCACAAUUUUUUCAUUGUAGGAGUACAAGGCUUAAAGGUAUUAUUUUUUAAAUUGUCCAUGUAACGGGGGUCCAUCGAUGACUCCCAACCAAUUAAGGUUUAGGGCAUCAAGCUUUAAGGAUCUUUCAACCACUAACUCCUCGGAUUUUACCCCGGACUUUUGAGAAUAUAUUUUUAAUACCCAAGCACCUACAGUAUGUUAAACUCCACCUAUUCACCCUUGUAACGAGCAUUGAGGUCGGUGACUCCCAACCAAUUAAGGCUUAGGGCACCAGGUUUUAAAGAUUUGCACCAUAUACCCCUUAGACCUUGCUCGGGUUUCAAGGCAAGCAAACAUUUUUUUUUUUUUUUUUUUUUUUUUUUUUCUUUUUUCCAAAGACUCAUUAGCCUUUUACAAGGUGUCUCAACACUAUUAAAUAAGGUCAAAGGUACCAAGUCUAAAAUUUUCCUAAGUCAAGAGGGAAAUAGUUUUUCAUCUUAUAAUCGGAACCUAUUGUGCACAGUGUGUGAAUAGCUUAAAGUGGAAGACAUAAGCUUGAAUUCAAUAGAAACUUCAACAAUUCAUCAACUUUAAUAAACAUAAUACAAACUCUAAGUCAAGUAAAAAGACAAAAAUUCAAUUUCUCCCUUUUCAUUUAUUGAGAAUUUUUCCUUAAUAACCAUGGAGAGUAGAGAAAAAAAAACUAAAAAAAUUUAAAAAUUAAGCGAAAAGCAACUAAAUUACCAAAAUAACUUAUCAUUAUUAACAAUACUUACUUCCUCAACUCUCCCCCCAACCAAGCUGAACAUUGUCCUCAAUGUGACAAAAGCGAUUGAAAAAUAGGGGGGAAGUGAUACCUCCUGAGUGACAUGGAGUUUGAGUCGUAUAGGAGAAACCACAUGUUUCAAAGAAAACAUAAGAGUUAGUGAGUAGAGGAAAUAGAAAAAUGCUAAGUUUAAACAAAAAUGAUGUCUAUAUAUGAUGUAUCAUCAGUAAUACAUCCAAUCCCAGAAUAUAAGACAUCAAAAUAUGAAAUUAUUUACACUAAUAUAAUAUGUAAAUACAAAAAAUAAAAAGAUGAUCAAGUAGUGGUAGGGUCAUGUGGAGCUGAUGCGUCAGUGGUGGCCUCUUGAAUGGGUUGGAUCAGGACUUUGGCCUCUAUUCUGGUAGUCUCCUUGGGUAGCAUAGUCUCCUCAGCUGAAGCUAUGGGCUCUGAUGGUUUAAGGAGGUCAGAAAUAGAGUGAGAGGCUUUGUGUGUGAUCUCAGUGAAAGGGCUCUCCUCUUUAGAUGCAUGGUUGCGGGGCUCUCUUUGCAUUUUCACAACUUCCCUUGGCUUUGCAAAGUGUUUUCGCAAACCUCUCUUCAUUUUGCAAGUCAUUUUUAUAGCCUGGAGGUCAUUUUGUAUCUUGGAGAUCAUCUUGCAGCCAAAGGGAAAAAAAGAAAAACAUUUUCGCAGCCCAUGGAAAAAAUAGAAACAUUUUCGCAGCCCAUUUUGAAGCUUGAAAAUCAUUUCAUAGCCAUUUGGAAGCUUGGAGAUUAUUUCAUAGCCAUUUGGAAGUUUGAAAAUCAUUUGGUAGCAAAAGGCCAUUUUCGCAGCACAUGGAGGAUUUGGCAGGGGGUAGCUAUGGGGCUGCGAAAACAUUUCGCAGCCAAAUGGGAUUUUCGCAGCCGGGUGCCAUUUUCGCAGCCCAUUUCGCAGCUGCGAAAUGGGGUUGGGCGGCUGCGAAAUGGCACUCGUGUGCCAAAGGGGUGUUUCGCAGCUGCGAAACACCCUGCGAAAUGAGGCUAUGGCUGCGAAAUUUCCGUUGGUGCUUUGCGCGUUCGUCUUCAAACGGCCAUAACUUCUUCGUUUCAAAUCCAAAUCGCAUACCGUUUGAAGCACUGGACUCCUGACUUCCUAAGCUUUAAAACAAGAUAUAGUAUGAAAAAUUUGAGCUCCAGGAAGUGCUUCAAAAAUGUGUCCAAUGGGGUGCGGAUGCGACAUUUCAGCUCAUUGUUUGCACAGUCUUCAAACGACCAUAACUUCUUUGUUUCAACUCCAAAUUGAGCACCGUUUGAAGUUAUGGAAUCCUGACUUCCCAAGCUUUGAAACGAGAUAUGGUAUGAAUGAAAUGGACUUCAGGAAGUACUUCGAAAUGUGUCCAACAGGGGUGCGGCUUCAGGGUGUGUGCGCUGAAGGAAUAGGGUAUCAACAAAAUUUAUACCUAACGUCCUUACACUAAAGUAGCAAAGCUACUAUAGCAUAGUGGCUCUAGGAUCGAACACUGGGAAGGGUUUUUACUUUAACUGAUGAAGUUCGGAGGAUGGAGUGAACUUUUCUUAAUAAAGAUUAGGUUAAGAUGAAAACAUAAAAAGAUGAAGGUGUUGUAAACUAAACUAACAUGAAAAUAGGUUAAAAGAUGGAAAAAGAAGUUUCUCAAAGCUUUGGAUAGCCAUGCUUAACUCACUGUGUAAAAAUGGAGAUUUUGGAACUUUUCACCUCGAGUUGGGGAAGCAACUAAGGUGAUGCUUACUUCCCGAACCGGUAUGAGUUUAACAACUGAGUUUUAGUCCUUGAAAACUUACAAAAGGGUAGCUGAACCUCAUAAAUGCCCUUUUAAUGAUAUAGGUCAUCUCCUCGACUUGCAAUACAAUGGCUCGUAGGAGAUAACUAAUGAACGUCAGUGGAUCUAACAAUAAGAAUCCACUGAGACCAAAAGAUUAUCAAGUAUUGGCCAUUCAAAGCAAGUCAGAGGGAUUAAAAGCUUUACUUUGAAUGAAAACAUUUAUGACGCUCAGCUACUUACAUUCAUGGCUUGGAAAUCUCCAUCUUGACACGGGAGCUUCACAUGGCAUCCAUUACUUCAAGAAACUAAAAGGUUUUAGCCUCUCAUCCUUGGGGAUUUCAUCCUCCAAGGAUGUUUGGCUACUAAGAAAAUAGAAAAUAGAAGAGAGAAAAAGAAAGCAAAAGAUACUCUGUAUUUAGCUAAGUGUAAAAUUUACAUAAGUUCGUCUCCUGGGGAAAGUUCCCCGACGUCAUAAAAUGAAAAUUACAAAACAAUAUAUAACAGGUUGUUUACCCCUGUAUUCUUGCUUAACAACUAAGGAAUCAUCUAAUUGGUGGAUUACAAGGAGAGAAUUGGGAUUUAGACAACAAAUAUCUGAAGAAAAAUAUCAAAAAACGUUGGUCGCAAAUAUCUGGAAGCACUCAGGAGAAUUUCGCAGGCGCACAAAAUGGCUGCGAAAUUUCGCAGCCAAAGGCUGAUUUCGCAGCCCUGCGAAAUUGGCCUUCAGCUUGGAGUGAUCUGCUUCCAUUGGCUCUAACUUCUUCAUUUCAACUCUGAUUUGCGAACCGUUUGAAGCAUUGGAUUGUUGACUUCCCGAUCUUCGAAACGACAUAAAGCAUGCAUAAAUUGGACUUUAGGAAGUACUCCAAAAGUGGCUGAAAUUACUGUCAUCAAGGAUGCUUCAAGGUAGAUUCUCUCUUUACUUCUCCUCCUUGCAUUCCGGAUUGGUUAUGGCAAAGGACUUUAAGGCUUCAAAGCUCUGAUUCUUCAUGUUUCUGAGCUUUCCAUUGCUUUGCCAUGGAUUCCAAAUAACUCUCCUCCAUCUUGGAUUGCCUUGGUGAUCAAAUUACUAACAAAAACACCAAAACUUACACAAAGUGAUUAGAAGUGAUUGCAAAGGUCCUUAAUAUGUUAAUUGGGUUAAAAGGCAAUAAUUACUACUCAAAAGUGUUUAAAAGAGUUAAUUACAAGCUAUCAAAUAGCCCUUUUUGAGUAGUAAUCACCUCACGAUUGUUCUCCACUUCAUUAUUCUAAAUUAGUCUAAGAUGCCUCCCAAUCUACAGAAAAUCACGAUGGUAUUCAACUUCCCAUUCCUUCUCUCAGCGAUCUCAAUUUCCUUCGAAGUCUGGUAUGUGCCUUUCAGCUAUUACAUGAACACCAUUUAAAUAAUUCAACGACCAAAAAGCUCAAUAAUCCAAGAGGAUUACAUCAGCAACAUCACCCUUACAUGAAACCCAGAUCACACAGCGGAGCACACUGACUUAGGAGAAUACCCAGUAGAUAUGCAAAUUGUCGUGUAGUAAGGAAGGGGUGCCAGAGAAAUAGGAAAAUAUGCAAAUAGAAAGAAAGAAACGAAAAAACAGAGAAAAGAUAGGCAUAGUGUAAAUCAUCAAACAAAGCCACAUUCCAUAACUUCGUCAAUGGGCUUAAAAAUAGGCUUCAAUAGCUGAGAGCAAUGGCUUGAUUUUAAAAUCAUCCAAUUCAAGAACGAGCCACUCAUCAAUUGAAGGGAGUAGUCAUAAAAUCAAAACAAAAUAUGCAAAGAAAAAGAACUCUGAUUCAUCAUAACAACCAAGUGACCACAAGCGUCCACAUCAAGUAACAAAAAUAAAUCUUUAGAGACAGCCAAGGAAUGAGGUGAAAUCGAAAUUAAAUGACAAUAUAGUAAAUAUUUGGAAGCAUACCUGCACGAUCUCCCCUCCAAUUGCUUGGCUUUGGGCUACUGCCCCUUUCUUAGACUAGGAAAUCUUCUCUAAGACUGGAAUCUGCCCACCUAUCUCCUGUUCUUCCUCUCUCCCCACCGUUCUCAAUGUGUGCUGCCAAUUCCCUCUUUUCUCUAUGCAUGCUAUCUGUACUCCUUUUCAAAAACCUUCCCCCUUUUCUUCCCUCCAAUCUUUUCUUUUAUUCUAUCUCCAUUUUUCCAAAAGGAAACUUUCCUUUCUCCUACCAAAAAAAAUUUGCCACUUUCAUUUCUCCAAAAUUCUGGUGAUCUUCCUUCCAAGUAGAUGGCAGCAUGUUUUCUCAUGCCUAAUAAGCCAAGAAAUAUGAUUUAGAAAACUCAUAAUAAAAUAAAAUAAAAUCAAAAUCAAAUCAAAUCAAAUCAAAUCAAAAUAAUAAAGAAAGUCAUGCAAGCCACAUAAGUCAUGUAGGUCAUGCAAUAAUGUAAGUCAUAUAAGAAGUGAGUCUAAAAGUUCCUAAGUGGGCCUAAGUGUCCUAGAUGGGCCUAAAGUGGUGCCUAAUGGGCCAAGUGUGCCUAAGUGUCUAAGUGGGCCUAAGGUGGUGUCUAAGUCUAAAUUAGGGUUACCAAAGGUACAAUGAGGGGUCAGAUAAAUCCUUCAACUAAAGUCUCUGAGGUGGCUCAAAAAAAGGUAAGUAGUAUGAGUAGCAAUAGGCCACCAAAGACCUACUAUGGAGCACUGGAAGUGAACUUAAAGACAUGUGCUAAAUGGAUAAAAUUGAAGGUCUACACCAACAUUGACUUAACCAUAUCUAGUAAAGAAUGAUUUCUUCUUUCCGCUAUACUAUUUUGUUGUGAAGUGUUAAGAAUUGUUAACAAUCUACAUAUCCCUUUGUCUUCACAUAGUUUCUGAAACUGAUAUGACACGUAUUACUGACCUUUGUCAGUUUGAAGAAUAUUUAAAUUAUGAUUCUCAACCUCUACCAAAAAACACUUGAAACAAUUCAAUGCUUCAAAGUGAUGAAGCAUUAAUGAAUGUGAGAAAAUAAGAGGAGUCAUGGUGUACCUUUACAUUCAUAGGUCCAUAGAUAUCUUAAUAGACUAACUCUAAAGGGUAAGAGGCCCUAGGUGCCUUUCCAAAAGGCUUCUUAUAGGCUAUUCUUGCUUGACAAGACUCUACCUAGUCUAAUCAUUCUUUUUUUACUUAUGUGUUCUAAUAUAGAAUGUCAAUUCAAAGAAUCAACUGUAUUACCACAAGCUGCAUAAGAAGAUGAAGAAUCUAAAUUCAACAUGAAUAUACCAUUAGAUAAAAAAAUCUUGUUCAUAUAGGGCCUUAUUUAAAUAGAAAUCAACUUUUAUCCUAAUAAAAUGAAAUUUAAAACCUAAUUCAAGUAGUGUUAUUACUGAAAGUAUAUUAUAAUGGACACUAAGUGUAUAUAACACAUCAUGAAGAAGUAAUGUAUGCCUCGUUUGAGUUGGUAUGUUCCAACCCCUAAAACAUCUACCCUUGAUUCGUUACCUAGAGUAACAUAGUGUCUUCCAAUAGGUAUCCUUUUUUAAUCUUUGAAUCCCACUUGAUCCCUUGUAGUGUUAUUAUUUAAAUAGAAUUCAACUUUUAUCCUAAUAAAAUGAAAUUUAAAACCUAAUUCAAGUAGUGUUAUUACUGAAAGUAUAUUAUAAUGGACACUAAGUGUAUAUAACACAUCAUGAAGAAGUAAUGUAUGCCUCGUUUGAGUUGGUAUGUUCCAACCCCUAAAACAUCUACCCUUGAUUCGUUACCUAGAGUAACAUAGUGUCUUCCAAUAAGUAUCCUUUUGUAAUCUUUGAAUCCCAUUUGAUCCCCUGUUAUAUGAUUUAUUCUUUGAAUCCCAAGAAGAGAAUGAAAAAUUAAUUCAUGUGUACAAGCAUAUGAAAAGAGACUAUUAAGAUUUGGGUAUACCUUCUUUGGCUUAGUGCACUCAUGAGCAAAGUAGCCUAACUUUCCAUAGUUGUAGCAUUUCAUUUUGGCCAUAUCCUUGUCUGCAGCUCACUUACUUCUCUAGUUUUUUUUUUUUUUUUUUUCCUUUUGUUGGCCCUAGAUUUCCUACUGUACCACCAUGUGUUCCUUAUCCCUUAUGCUUAAACUUAUUAGCCUAUUGUUGCCCCACAUGAGUGGCAAUUGUGGUGUGUUGCACCCCUAAAUGCUCCAUUUUCAAUUCAAUGUGGUGAGAAAUAUCAGUAAAAGUUUUAAUAUUCUCUUUGUCUGUGAGCACUAGUUUUCCUUAUGAUUCAAGCAAAGAGCAUAUAACAACUAUGACUUGCUACUUGUUAGUCAGGUUAUUAUCGACUACAUUUAAGUCACAAAUUAUAGCUAAAAUUUCCCUCAAAUGUUCAGCCAUGGUGUGUUUAGGGUCCAUAAUAUAUUGCUCAGAUUUCAAAGUGAGCACUCACAACCUAGUUAUAAAUGUUAAAUAAUAACCAAUCUUCAGCUUAUUCUACAUGUCUUAGGGAAUGGGGCAAUUCUCAAACUCCCAUUUUAAGUCAUUAUGCAUGCUACGAAACACAGUGAAACAUGCACAAAGGUCUCUUUUAACCUAAUAAUAAUAAGCUUCCAUAUCAUAGUAGCAGUGGGCUAGAUUCCUUUCUUCAAGUUGAACCAUGAUAUUAAGGUCUCUAAGACCUCUUGUUCAUUUAACAGGUAUUGGAUUUUUCUAUGCCACAUAUCAUAAUUAUUAUCAUCUAAUUUUUUUCCUUUUAUCAAAUUAACAACGUUUUUAGUAACCUUUUCACUAUAUUUAUUAUGUAGGACACAUUAGCAUACAUUUAUCAAUUUCAACUUAGUCUAUGAUAUUCUUGUUAACAUAAUGAGAUCGAAAAUUUUGUAAUGCUCAUAACUCUCAUUAAAUGUGAACUAGAUCAUUAUAACUAAUUUAAAAUUUUAAUUUUUUAAAAAGAUACCAAUAUUCCUUAAAAAACACUAUUAGCCUAAUGGUUUUUCUAAUCUCAUUUUAAUAAUAACAAAUCAUAGUUAGUUUGCUAAUGAGUUAAAAUUAAGAUAAGUUUUAGGUAAUAAUUAUGAAAAAAAAAAUCAAAUAGAAAAUCAAUAUAAUCAUCAAGGGAUCAAUGAAGAGCAAGACUGAGUGUGCAUGAAGGUCAUUCAAGCUUAGAAAUCCUAUGUAAGAUGUUCACUUGGGUGCAGUUAGGGGUUUAAAUUUAUCCAUGCAUUGUUUUCAUAUUGGGUUUUAAGCUUUAAAAGUAAAAUUUUUAUAAACUUGAGUUUUAAUUCAAAACCAUAGGCAAAAACCUCUCAACUAGUUUUUAUAAAAGUGUUUAAAGUUGUUGUCUAAGUGUUAGAAAGAAUUGAAAUUGAAAAAGAUAGGUUUUCGAGAAAAAAAAAAUGGUCAAUCAAUCAAGAGCUAUCUCAACGACUCAAUUGAUUAGGAAACCGAUUGACCAAUUACCCUUUUAUGGUCAAGGCUUAGUCAACAAGCACAACAAAUCUUCUCUCUCUUCUAGAAGGGUUUCUUUGUUGAUCAAGAAAAACAUUUUCCCAACCGAGGUCUAGUCAAGCCCCUAAUGGUCACCUGCCAAACAUUUAAUAUCCAACGACUAGUUAAUCGAUCAAUCGAAGCUCGAUCGGGAAAGGCUUGUUGGAGCACUUUUUGGUGUCCAAGGUUGAAAACUUAUAAAUUGAGAGCUCUCAUUCUUUUAUUGCAUAGAGAACACUUGCAUUAAACUUCUUACCUACUAGUUUCUCACAUUCAAUGCUUUCUUUCUUUCUUUCUUGAUGCAUUAAAUCUCUCACUUGCAAACCCAUCUAGUGCACCCUUGUUGUUCAUCCUAAUUGCCUUUUAUUUCCUCAUUAAUUGUGCUAGGAUUGAGUGAUCUUAAACUCUCAUUUAUUGAAGUAAGGUUGAGUUUUAAGCUUCAAGUUUGAGGAUAAGACUUGAAUGAUUGCUUAUAGUGCCCAUUGGAGCCAAAGAAUCCAAUUGUAAAAACUUGGGAGCUAAGUUGAAGCUUCAAAUUAGUGGAAUCCUCAUUUAGGAAGAACUUGAGGAGAGUGAUGAUUACUACUCAAAAAGUGCUAUUUGAUAGUUUGUAAUUAAUCCUUUUAAACACUUUUGAGUAGUAGUUAUUUCCUUUUAACUCAAUUAACAUGUUAAGGACCCUUGCAAUCAUUUCUAAUCAAAUUGUGUAAGUUUUGGUGUUUUUGUUAGUAAUUUGAUCACCAAAACAAUCUAAGAUUGAGGAGAGUUAUUUGGAAUCCAUGGAAAAGCAAUGAAGAGCUCAAAUUCAUGAAGAACCAAGCUUUGGAGCUCCCUAGCCCUUUGCCAAAGUCGUUCAAAGUAUGCAAGGAGAGAAGCAAGGAGAGAGGAAAAACAGAGUGAAGAAAACAGAGGACAGCAGCUGUAGUCUUCUUUCGCACUUUUGGAGCACUUCCCGAAGUCCAUUUUCUACAUGCUAUAUACCAUUUCAAAGCUCAGGAAGUCAAGAAUCCAACGCUUCAAACCGUGUACGAUUUGGAGCUGAAAUGAGGAAGUUACAGCCUUUGGAAGAUGACUGCUCCAAGCUGAAGGAAGGAUUCAGCAAAGUGUUGCGAAAUCACCCUUUUGUUGCGGAAUGAUUUCGCAGCCUUUUUGCACAGUGCUUUGGAUUUCCCUUGAAGUUUCACGCCGCGAUGGAAGCCAAACACCACAAGAUGAAAGCCAACUUCGCAGCGGUGCGGAAUCAGCCUUUUGCUGCGAAGUAAUUUCGCAGCCCUUUGUGGAUGUCUGCGAAAUCUCGCAUACCUCAUUUUCACCUGCGAAAUGGUCCUUAGUCUGCGAAAUGGUCCUUAGUGCUUCCCGAUAUUUGUGACCGACACUUUAAGAUAUUUUUCUUCAGAUUGUUGUGUCUAAAUUUCCAUUUUCUCCUUGUAUUCAACCACUCAUGUAAUUCCUUAGCUAAGAAGUAUCCAAGGAAGGGUAAAUUACCUUCCUAUAUAAACUCCCUUGCAUCCACUGUAAUCAGGGGAUGUAAUAUGAUGUAAUCCAAAUCGAUCAAUAUAUAGAAUAUACAGAGCCUUGCUCUGUUUUUUCCUUCUCUUUCAUUUUUCAUUUCUUUUUAUUUCUAGCCAACCAAACUUUGAGGAUUUUUCCUCAGAGGAUGAAAGGCUAAGCUUUUUGUCUCUUGGAGUGAGGAAAGCCGAGUAAGUUUCCACAUGCAUAAUUUGGAAGUUUUGUUGUUUUAGUUUUUAAUGAAGAGAAAGUGUAACCCAUUAAUGGUUUUUAUCUUUUUAGUUAACUUAAAACGCCUUUAAAUCACCUGGGCCAACACUUGGUAAGGCAAGUGAUCUCCGUCCAUGGAGAUGCACUAGUUUACCCCUUGCGAGCCUUUAGUAGGUGGUUUGAAGGUAGGAUUUUCUAGAAUUGCCAACACUUGGUAAGCUUUUGGACUCUAAGGAGACAUCCAUUAGUUAUCUCUUGCGAGCUUUUGACGGGUAAUCCAAGGUUAAAGAUCACCUUGAAUGGCAAGUGCUAGGUGAGAGGUAUGAGCCAUUGCAAGGUGCAUCAGUGAGAGGGAUUUAGUGUUUGAACCCAUUAAUGGGAAGCAUUUGUACAACACCGGUUAGAGAAUUAACUAUAUGUUAAUUCUCUAAUGCGAGGAAAAGAAACAAGUGACCGGAACUCUCUUUUUUGUAUGAGGAAUCUGAGCCUAGUGAUCUGAAACUCCAAGAAACAUUUUUCUUUGUAAGUAAAAUCAAUUACUAUUUUUGGUUAGUUUAAAUCUAAACCUUUUUCAUUCAAACAUCUUUAUGUUUUCUUUUAAAGUUAACCUUGAAAUGAAAAGAAUCCAAUUCAGCUUUGAAUUAAUAUCAUUUGCAAAGUGAAAACCCAUCCCAGUGAACGAUCUUAGAGCCGCUAUGCUAUAGUAGCUUUGUCUUUGCUACCCUAGUAUAUGGUGUAAUAGGUUAUAAAUUUUGUUGAUUACUCCCUCAAUCAAGGAGCACCAGUUGGACACGAAUCAGCUGAGACACCAAUUGGGCAUGAAUCAAAUGGCGCCGUUGCCGGGGAUCGAACCUCGAAUCAAAUGGUGUCGUUGCCACUACCGCUGCUAGGGACGAAUCAAGUGACAUAGGCAAAAUUGACCGAGCCACUAUAAAAUCAGUGUUUGCAACCUCUCUAUGUCUUAUCUCUUUAUUUUUAUUAUUUUUUUUUGUUAUUGCUUGAGAAUAAUUGUCCAAAAAGUUUUUAAAACCCAAUUCUCCCCCCUCUUGGGUGUUUUUAUUAAGUUAAUUAGCCUAUAUAUAAGUUCAAUUUAAAUGGUAUUGGACAAAAAAAAAAAACUUACAUAAACAAUUCAUAUGCAAAUAAACAUUGUAUACAUUAAAAAAAAAAAAAAAAGUAAUCCAUAAAUUCAAUAACCUUAUUACCAAAAUUCUUUUAAUGAAUAGUGUAGCAACUUGAGCUGAAGUGCACUUUGUAGUAGCAUGUUUAGGCCUAUAUUUUUGGAUUAAACUUGUGCUUUUGGGCAAUCCAUUUUUUUGUGUUUGCAUGUUUGAGCACGCACUUUUGGAUUGGACAUGCACUCUUGGAUAACCCAUUUUUGUAUUUGCAUGCUUAAGCCUACACUUUUGGAUUGAACAUGUGCUUCUAGGCAGUCUAUUUUUGUGUUUGCCUACUUAGGCCUAUACUUUUAGAUUGAACCUACGCUUUUGGAUAACCUUUUUAUUAUUAUUAUAAACAAAAAUAAAAACUCUUCAAUUAAUGGACACAAAUAUUUAUUUAUUUCAAACAAAUAAAUACAAAUAGAGACAAAAACAAGCUUGAUCUAGCUAUGAUACCAAUAUAAGAUAAAAAAUUAAAACUAUAAUCCAAAAAACAUACUUAUGGAAGAUCUUUGUAGCUUGAAUUGUACUCUCUAAUAUUGAUAAUUGCUUUAGUGAGGUUGUUGUGAUUGUGAUGGAGAAGAUUAGAUCGGUCCAACGAAAAACUAGCUAUUCUGCCUAUGCAGUUAACUAUGCUUCACAUCUUUUCUCUAUCCUCUACUAACACUAGUUAUGUCGCACUUAUUCGAUCCCCAGCUCAGUUUGUAUCCCUUACUACUAUUAUUGUAUGCCCAGUCCAAACAGUACCUUGGAUAUGUAGGUUUGGAUGUCACAGCUCUUUUAUAGGAGUCCAGGAUAUAUACCUCCAGUCAGUCUCCUUGCAUUAACAAACAAAGAAAAAGAAAAUACCCAUAUUCCUUUUCUCAUACUCUCUCUCUCUCUCUCUCUCUUUCUCUUAAGUAUAAUUAAUUAAUCUAACAUACGAUAUACGAUCAAUGCCCUACCAAGACCAAGCCAAGUGAAUAUUAUUUCCAGUUUCUUUUCUCUGAAUGAAACUCAAGUUCAACACUUGGAUCUCAACCACGAUAUUUUAUCGAAAGUUCAUGAGUUUCAUAGAACGUAUGCUUCAUCAUCUGGACUAUCCAAUACAAUAUUACAUGAAUUCAAAGAUAAUGAACCCCCAAUUCCAUGCUUAUAUAUAGACGUCAACUUGUGUUAUGUAGAAAUAUUAAUAUUCCAAGUUGAUAUGUUUACACUGGGCUUUUGAGUUUUGAGUUUUGACUGGCUCUGCCUGAAAUGCAGGAAAUGCAGGGAAAUAUUUGCUUUCAUGGUUGUACAUUUGGUACAAAAAUGUUGAAAUUUCCUACCAGCUAAUACGUGGUUCUCAUGCCAGAAGCUGGAGAUAGAGAUUCAUAGAGAUUCAACCCUAUAUUAUACAACAGCUAAGCACCUCCACUAGUUAUGGAGAUUGAAGAAAAAGUCAAUUUUUGACGCGACAAGGAAGCUAUGACAUGAGUUUCCAUGAAGGAUACCUAUGAUUUUUCGUUGUAAGCUACUCUUUGUCUCUUAAUUAUCAAGGAAACAAUAGCUAAUACUUCAUCAUAUCAUACUGUAUUCUUUUGAAGUCAAUGGUACAAGGGAAAAAAAAUGCAAAACUUAGAGUCUCAGCGUCUACAAUAAAGUUUCAACUCUCUUUUAAGUGCUGACUUUUCACUGCAAUUAAAUAAAAUGAAAGAGAAAAGAAAAUUGAUAAACUAAAAUUAUAAACUAUAGUGUUAUAUAUAUAUUUGUGAAUAAUCAGACACACUUAAAAUAUAAUGUUAAAAGAAAAUUUACAAUUUAAAAAUUAUUGUUACUUUUUAAAAAAAAGUCUACUAAUUUUAAUGUAUUAUUUAUUGCUAAAAAGUUAAUUGAUCUACUUCAAAUAUGUUUACAAGAAAAAAAAUCGGCAUUAUUUACUUAUAAUUUGCUUGGCAAGUGGGUGGAAUAUAUACUUUCUUGCAAAGGCUUAAUUAAAAUGACAAGACUAUUGUUUAAUCGCCUGUUAGGUUUGGUUUGAUGGGAUUGACUACGACUUUCUUCAGAAAUUUGUUGUGAAAGGAGCAUCAUCUUCUAUAUGGUUUGUAGCAUGAUGUGAGUCCCACAAAACAUACUUUGAUUUUGUCAAGGUAACUAAAUUCAACAUGAGAAAUCAUGACCAGUUAUACACUUUCCACUCCUACGGACCACGCUAAAUAUGAUAUUAUAUGGCUGCUUUUGCUUCUAGGACAUGCAAGUUAUAUGGAUAUUUGGUGCAAUCGUUAUGGACUCGGAACAUCCCCAAUAAGAACUUUUCAAAGUUGCAACUUUACAUGGUUAAUCUAAAUUUAUAAAUCAUGAAGUAGUUGAAAUAUUUAGAGUUUUAGAAUCGUUUUGGGAAAAAUGAAAAGAAGAAAAUGAUUUCCCUUUAAUAUUUGACAAGAAUUAGAGUUUCUUUUUUAUGUGAAAUAUAUCGGAAUAAAUUUGAACUCCAAUUAAAUUUGAAUGAAGAUGAAAGUUGCAAUUUUCAAAGUUUCUUUUAUAUAUAUAUAUAUAUAUUUGUUUGAAUUUGAUUUAUGUCAAAAUAAAGCUUAACAUUAUCGAGCAUUUAGACAAUUUAUUUUUUAUUAAUGUGUAAAUACUAUUAAAUGUUGAGUUGCAUGUUCUUAUUAAUGUUUGCAUACUAUUAAGCAUUAAUUAAUUCUAUUUCUUUUUACACAUUAAAAAUAUUUAUAAAAAUAAUUAUUAUGUUUCGUUUUAUUUUACAUAAUUAAGAUAAAAUAUUUAAAAAUUAACUAAGAAAUUAGUCAUUGAAUAAUAAUUAAGAUUUUGGAUAUUUUAAAAUCAAUUAAAAAUUGCUAAUUGAAUAAUAAGUAGGAUUUUUAAUAGUGUUUGAUUGCUAAGAAAAUAUUAAAAUGUUUUUAGGUUAAGUUUCAUUAAUAACUCUUUAAUUUAUAUAUGGUAUUCCUCAAAUUAAUGAAUUUGUAAUUAAAAAGAUGAGGUUCUUCACUUGGUAACAUUGAUAUUAAGAAUAAUGAUUAUACACUUAACUUGGAUAUAAAGUGGUUGAAUCAACUACCAUGAUCCUACUUGCAUAGUCUAAGGGCUAAAUAUAAAAGGUAUGCUAACAUUGCCAUAGGGUUAAAUAAGACAAGACCAAUUUGAGAGGGUUUUUGCCCGGUAAUAAUAUCAUAACCAAUCCAAUAUAAGCUUGAUUCUUAUAAUACUAGGAUAUCUUACCAAAGACAUAUAGUCCUAAGAGUUCUACAUUUUGCUAAAUUCAUAUGGUUUAUUUUAUUGUGAAUGCUCAAUUAUUAAUACAUGUUUAACUUCUUUAUAACAAUCAUGUAAUAUAAUCCAAUCACUCUCAUGCUUACCAGUAAUAAAUUGGUUAAGCUUAACUACAUGGAUUGAAAAAUAAAUCUAAACAUUUUCUCACAUAAGAGGAGUUAAAAUGGGUGGUAACUUAAAAUUUUGCUCCAAAUACCUCUAAUAAACUAUCCUCACUAGAAGAGAGAGAUGCUUAUCAUAGAUGACAUAAGGUGGAUCAAAAGGCUAGGUGUAUCAUACUCGGGUCUUUAGAUAACAUGUUGGAACAGCAAUAUGUGUCUCAUGCCAUGACUUAUGAUAUUCUCUUCAUUUUACAAUAGAUCUUUGAUGACAAGGGUAAGUCAACUAGAAAAGUUGCUUUAAAGACUAUCAUGAACAUUAGGAUGAUAAAAGGAACUCUCAUUAAAAAUCAUAUGGUAUAUAUGAUUAGGCUCUUUAAUGAGAUAAAGAUCCUUGUAGCUAAGAUUGAUAGAAAAACCAAGGUUAAUUUGAUCUUAGAGACCUUGUCAAAUUCCUUUGAAAAUUUUGAGUUAAACUAUUCUAUUUAUGAGUGAUUGUGAAACUUGUCAGAGCUUAUGAGGGAGCUUGAGAUGGAUGGCCGAGAGGAUUCUAAAAGAUAAAAGGUAAUUACUUUAAAAAUUGUUCAAAAUUUUGAGGUAUAAAAAGUUUUACUAUCUCAAAUUUUAAAAUUUUACAUCCUCACUCUUGUUUGUUAUUUUUUAUUUAAUUCAAAAUUUUAUUCUUGGUCCACUAAGUAAAAUAUAUUGAAAGAUCCAUUAAAAAUUACUUAUUGUAGCAUUAUUAUUUUGAUUUAGAUAUGAUUCCAUUUAUUUUUUUUAAAAUAUAAACCAUAAAAAGAAAUUGUACGAUAGUCGGCAGAUAGGAGUGACUUUCUUCCAUCUAAAGGAGCAUAAAAGUUCCAAGCAUUGACGGUGUACUCAAGAAGUAUUCCUUUGUAUUCAACAGUUAGUCGGGUCCUUUCUGCUAACGUUGUGUGGUGUGGUCUUUCUUGGAUGCUGCCGAUUCCUACUUUUCAAGUUCUAAAUACUAUAAAUAAUAUCAUUAUUCUCCCAAACAUUAUGAAUCCCAAAGCCUCCCAUAAAACUUCAGAAUGAGAAACAACCUUACCCAACUCCCUUUAUUUCUCCUCUGCUGUCUGUCUUUAUGGAUUUUCUUCAUAGAGAUGGCCAUGUCACAGAACACAACAAUACCAGUUAAAGUGGGAGUGGUUCUUGACAUGGAUACAUGGCUGGGUAAGAUGGGUUUGAGCUGCAUCACCAUGGCCCUCUCAGACUUCUAUGCCUCUCAUGGGCACUACAAGACUAGGCUGGUUCUGGAAAUCAGAGAUUCCAAAAGAGAUGUUGUGGGUGCAGCUGCAGCAGGUACUCUCGUUUCAUAAAACUUAGAAUACAUUUAGAAAACAAUUGCAUUAUAGAGACAUAUAGAAGCAAAAGUUUAAACUUGCCCUCUUAUUUUCAAACAAUUAGAUAUUUUUAUUGCCCUUUUAGAUGAGCAAUUGAUUAUUAACAGAACUUUUAUCAUUUUUAAUCACAACUUGCCACAGAAAUACGAGAUUAGAAAAAUUGAUAAAUGGUGUAAAUGUUAAGCGUUUAACUAAUAGAUCGAAUUGGAUGAAACAAAAUUAUAUUCCUUCUUCUGCCAUAUCACCAUUUCCAACCUCAUAUCAAAGUUCAAGUUCUUCCUAAUUAACAUGGUAAAAUUGUAGUGAAGACAUUAAAUAAGAAAAGUUUUUGAGGAAAAAGAGUCAUGAAGUUGAACCAAGAUUAGCAUGCCCAUCAAAGAUGGCAAAAAGUCUCGUUAAAUUGUAGCACGUGUUUUCAACUAAGCAACAUUUCUUGCCUCGGAAGAUGUUUCUUUGUUAACCACACGAUGCUUCAAAGAUGAAAAAAGUCUUCAUAAAUUUGAUUUCCUCCUUGUUUUAAAAGUCACUCUAAUAUUGUGGUCAUGUUCCAAAACCGAUGCCUAUGAUCUAUGUUAUUGAGAAAUAAUGUGAUGCAGAAGUAUAUAAAAAAGAUUGAUAAUUUGUUAUAAUAAGAAGAUUGAUAGGUUGUUAACAAAUUCCAGUAUCCAUCGGACCAAGGGGAUGUAUUUUCCAUUUUUGUACCUUGUUUGAUUGUUGAUAAUAUAGUAGAAAUUGAAUGAAACUUCCGAAUUAUUAUAUUUUAAUCAUUGUGAAAUUCAGCUCUAGAUUUAUUACAAAAUGAGGAAGUUCAAGCCAUCAUAGGACCAGCAUCCUCCAUGCAGGCCAACUUUGUGAUUGGCCUCGGAGACAAGGCUCAUGUGCCCAUCAUUUCAUUUUCUGCAACUAGUCCUUCUCUUUCUUCAAUCCGGAGUCCAUAUUUUGUCCGAGCCACACUGAAUGACUCAGCACAAGUACCAGCUAUAAGGGCAAUUGUCCAAGCCUUUGGGUGGAGACAAGUUGUGCUCAUUUACUUGGACAACGAGUACGGAAAUGGAGUUAUACCGUAUCUUACUGAUGCCUUGCAAGAGAUUGACACCCGUAUCUCCUACAGGAGCGUCAUUCAUCCAUUAGCCACAGAUGAUCAAAUCCUCGAAGAGCUUUACAAGUUGAUGACAAUGCCAACCAGAGUUUUCAUUGUACACAUGUUUACACCUCUAGGCCCACGACUUUUUGGCAGAGCGAACGAGAUUGGAAUGAUGGAAGAAGGUUUUGUAUGGAUUCUAACUGAUGGGUUAACUGAUAUCUUGAGUACUUUGGAUCCAUCUGUCAUUGAUUCAAUGCAAGGAGUGUUGGGGGUGAAGCCUCAUGUUCCAAGAUCGAAAGAGCUUGAAAGUUUUAAAAUCAGAUGGAAAAGGGAAAUCCAACAAGAAUAUCCGACCAAUGAAAGCUUUGAGCUGAACAUUUUUGGACUCUGGGCUUAUGAUGCCGCUUCUGGGUUAGCCAUGGCAGUUGAAAAACUUGGGGCAACAAACUUCAGCUUCCAAAAGUCUCAUAUUUCCAGAAAUUCAACCGAUCUUGAUACUGUAGGAGUCUCCCUAAUUGGUCCAAAACUCCUCCAGUCACUAUUAAAUACUAGAUUUAGAGGCCUCAGUGGGGAUUUUCAAAUUGUUAACAGACAACUACACUCAUCAGCUUUUCAGGUAGUCAAUGUGAUACGCAAGGGGGAAAGAGGGGUAGGAUUUUGGACACCAGAGAAUGGAACUGUAAGAAAGUUGGAUUCUACUUCCAAGCCCAAUCUAGGAACAAUCGUAUGGCCAGGAGAAUCUCCCUCCGUCCCUAAAGGUUGGGUCCUUCCAACCAAUGAGAAGAAAUUGAGAAUAGGAGUACCAGUCGGCCAAGGUUAUAGUGAAUUUGUAAAGGUGACGCGAGAUCCUAGCAGUAACACAACGGAGGUCACUGGAUUUUCCAUAGCAGUCUUCGAUGCAGCGAUGGUAGCAUUACCAUAUGUUGUUCCUUAUGAGUACAUUCCCUUCGAGGGGCCUGAUGGCAAACAAGCCGGUGAUUACAACGAUUUGAUAUAUCAAGUAUAUCUCCAGGUCAGUUGAACUCUUUACCCUUCCUAGCACAUAGAGACAACUCUUGGUUGGCUUCAAUUAUAAUGAAUUUUGUCAAACUAAAAAGCUAUUGCAGUUCCCCGUUGUUGGCUUUUGAGUACAUAGGAAACAACCAAACUUGCAGCAAAUUUUCCUGCAGUGCAUAACAGAAUGGCCCCAUUGUUUAUUGUUAACAGAAGUAUGAUGCUGUGGUGGGAGAUACUACUAUUCUAGCGAACAGGUCCUUGUAUGUAGACUUUACACUACCUUACACAGAUUCUGGGUUGUCAAUGGUCGUGCCCACUAUAGAUAAAAGAAAAAAAAAUGCAUGGGUUUUCUUGAAGCCACUUACUUGGGACCUUUGGGUGACAAGCUUUUGUUUCUUCGUAUUCACUGGCUUUGUGAUUUGGGUUCUUGAACAUCGAGUAAAUAAAGACUUCAGAGGGCCUCGUUCACAUCAAGUUGGCACUAUCUUCUGGUUUUCAUUCUCAACAUUGGUGUUUACUCAGAGUAAUUUCUCUUCCACCUCCUUGAAUUUUAUCUAGCAAUUUAUCUACUUAUGUAAUAUUCAAAUACAAAGCAUAGUGAGCACAUCUCAAACACAAUCGAAACUAACUUCUAGUAUAUAUGGCCUGCUUGCUUGUUUCCCAUGACUGUAACCUCUAUUAAUAUAUGGACAUUCCAUACAAUAUGCAAGUAAAUUUCAAAAUAAUUUUUAUGUUUCAGAAAUUAUAUAUAUUUGACUUUAUAUUGAUUUUCUGGAUUGGAUUUUCUUUUUCUUUCUUAAAUUAUGUUAACAGAGGAGAGAAUUGUCAGCAACUUGGCUCGGAUCGUGAUGAUCAUAUGGUUUUUUGUGGUGCUGAUUCUUACUCAAAGUUACACAGCCAGCUUGGCUUCAAUGUUAACAGUUCAACAACUCAACCCGACUAUCACUGAUAUAAAUGAGCUCAUAAAGAAGGGGGAGCCUGUAGGUUGCCAAAAUGACUCUUUCGUUUGUGAAUUCUUGAUCGAGUCGAUGAAAUUUGAUGAGUCCAAGCUUGUAAAAUAUGAGUCCCCAGAAGAACUGGAUGAAUUAUUUUCAAACAAGAGUUCAAAAGGUGGAAUUGCUGCUGCAUUUGAUGAAAUCCCUUACAUGAAGAUUUUCCUUGCAAAAUAUUGCUCCAAAUACACAGCAGUCGGACCAACAUACAAGUUUGAUGGGUUUGGAUUUGUAAGCGUUCUCUCUUAAAGUGUAUAGAUUUUCAUGCAGUGGUUUCUGAUUUUUGAUCAUUUUUCAGGUGUUUCCAAAGGGUUCACCCCUUGUAGCUGAUGUUUCAAGGGAAGUCUUAAACGUGACAGAGGGAGCUAAAAUGCUACAAUUCGAGAAGGCAUGGUUUGGGCAAACACCCAGUUGUCCAGAGCUCACCAGCUCAGUUUCUUCGAACAGCAUCGGCCUUAAUAGCUUUUGGGGCCUAUUCCUCAUUGCUGGAGUCGCUUCAUGCGUAGCUCUCACCACAUGCAUCACCAUGUUCCUUUAUGAAAAUAGAGAUAUCUUAAUAAACUUGAAUCCCUCAUCUUCCAUAUGGGGAAAAAUUAAAGCCAUGGCAACACGCUUUGAAGACAAAGAUCUCAGGUCCCAUACCUUUAGAAAUAGUGAUCUCAGUUCAAAUCGGCCGAUGCAUCCACAUAUAUUGUUUGAAUAUGAGCUUGCUAAUAUAAAUCAUGAGCAAACAAGAUGUCAUGCCCCGUGACCCGCUCCAAGGGCAUGACAAUCAUUUCACAUGUCAAGCCCGAAAGCUCAAAGUGUAAAUUAAACAUUAUCUAGAAUAAUUCUAGAAGCUUCUCUUAGCCUCACAUGUAAAGCACCAGCUCACCAACUCCACACCAAAUGCAGUUGUAACAGAGAAUUGGGUUGUACACUCUCAUAUAUAAAUAUUUGUAAAAAAAGAUAAGAGGUUUAUUCUAGGCAAUAUUUUUUUCAUUAUGUUCUUCUCUGCCCCUCUAUUUUCUCUCUCAAAAACUCCUCUGAUUCAAUCCUUUUUUUUUUUUUUUUAAUUCAAUCAUGGUAUCAGAGCUCCAUGAGACUUACGUCACCACUCCUACCAUGUCCACCACUACAACUGCAACCAUAACUACGAAUCCAGCAAUGGCGUCUUCCUUUUUUAUUAAUCUCAACUUCACUCUGUCGAUCAAGUUGGAAAGAGGUAAUUACCUUAUUUGGAAGUCACAAAUUCUUCCUAUUCUUAGAGGUCAUGGUCCUGAUGGUUUUGUUACAGGAAUGAAACCUUGCCCGAAUGAGUUUAUCAACGUUGCAGGUGAUUCAUUUGGCCUUAAUCAAAUGGUAAAUCAAAUGGCAAAGACAAGAUCAGUUGAUCCUUGGGUGGAUGAUUGCUUCAAUGUCAGAAGGUGUUGUUGGUCAGAUUGUAGGUUGUACCACUUCUUAGCAAGUCUGAGCAGCUCUGGAGCAUCUUUUUGCCUCACCUUUGAAGGCAAGAUUACUUCAGUUGUGAAUAGAAAUGCAGACAACCAAGAAAGGCUCUCUCUCAAUGAUUGAUUACAUUAGCAAAAUGAAGUCUAUUGUAGAUAAUCUAAUAGCAUCUAGAGCACCUCUUACUGAUGAAAAUCUUAUAAUGAAUUUGUAGACUGGUGUUAGAGUAGAAUAUGAUCCAGUAUUUGUCAUUAUUGCAACACGACCAGAACUCUUCACUCUAUCAGAAGUGUGUGCACUGUUGCAGAAUCAUGAAACCCGUAUUAAGCAACUGAAUUCUUGCACACAAAUUGUCUCCAAAAUGUCUCUGCUAAUUUUACAGUAGGUGGUUCUUCCAAGGAUGGUCGUGGUUGUAGAAAUACUCAUGGGAAUGACAGGGCACAUACUAGAGGUCAUAACAGUUUUCAUUGCAGUCAGUAUUUUGGUCUAGGGCGUGGUAGUUGUGGUAGAGGUAAUGGAUUGCGCCCAACUUGCCAAGUUUGUGGUCGACAAGGACACAUUGCUAUAAACUGUUACCAUAGAUUUGAUCGGGCUUUUCAAUCUCCCCCAAGUAAUUCAUUAACUGUUAUGGUUGCCCUUCCUAAUACAAUAGCGGAUCCUUCUUGGUACUUUGAUAGUGGUGCAUCAACCCAUGUGACCAAUAAUCCAGACAACUUGAGCUUCAAAUCUUACUAUAAUGGUCAUGAUAAGGUUACUGUGGGCAAUGGUCAAGGUUUGUGCAUUCAAAAUGUUGGUUAUUCUUCCCUACCUUUUUUUCUCAAAACCUUGCAUCUCAUAAAUAUUUUGCAGCCCAAAAAUUACUAAAAAUCUCUUGAGGAUUUCUAGGUUCACUAUAGAUAAUAAUGUUUAUGUUGAGUUUCACUAAAAUCAUUGCUUUGUGAAAGACAAGAGCUCAGGGAAUGUUUUGUUCCAAUGAUCAAUUAAAGAUGGCCUUUAUUGUCUGAUACCACCUCAGAAUCCUCUAUUCCAUUGUUUCCAGUUCUACCACAGUCACUCCAAGGGAUACUUCAUUUUUUUGCCCAUGUUUCCUCUGCUGAUAAUCACACUUUUAGUCCAGUUUUGUAGUCUCUUAAAUAUAAUAAACUUGAGGUUUGGCACCAAAGGUUGGGCAAAAUGAAAACUUAUCCCCAAGUUUGUACUCAAGUCUGUUUUGAAGUCUUGUAUCUUUUCUUUACACAAUGAAAACUUAUCUCCAAGUUUUUGUAAUUCUUGUUAGUUUAGCAAAAACCAUGCUCUUCUUUUUACUACAACCAUGGCACCUCUUCAAUUGGUUCACACUGAUUUGUGGGGGCCUUCUCCUGUCAAGUCCAGUGUUGGUUUUCUCUAUUAUAUUUAUUUUAUCGAUGACUAUACUUGGUUUACCUGAAUUUAUCCAUUGAAAGCUAAAUCUAAUGCUCUAAAUGUAUUUUUUUCUUUUCAAAGUGUUUUGUGGAAAAUCAAUUCGGCUUGUGUAUUAAAGCCUUACAAUCCAACUGGGGUAGCGAGUACAGACCUUUUCUUCCUAUUCUUCUUAAACAUGGAAUUCAUUUUCGCCAUCCUUGCCCACAUGUCACUACAAGAAAAAAGGUCAUUGUUGACAUAUAUUAUCUUGAUUUAAGGUGAUAUGUGUCAAUAUUGCCUAUUUAAAUGAACAACUAUGACAUAUACAACUUGUUUAAACCAAUAAUGACAUAUAUAAAAUUUGUUGAAUUCUUUCAUGACUUAUAUAAUAGAAUCUUGACAUAUAAUUUAUAAGUCAAUGUAUUCAAGGUACUUAAAUAAAAGUAAUAAUGAUAAUAAUUUGUUUGAUAUUUGUAUAUCUAAUUUACUUACUAAGUAUUAUAAAUUGAAGUGACAACAAUCAAUUUUGAUUAAGGAAGUCAAUGUUUAUUUAAUAAAUUUUUUCAGUAAUGUUAAGAUCAAUUUUCAUUUUUUUUAUCAAAUUGAUUAAAUGAUUUUUUAGUCUAUAUCAAUAGCACUAAAAUAAAUUUUUAUAAAUAAUUUUUUAUUCACUAAUUUUAGUGAAAUAAAAUUUGCUACAUUAUGGUUUUUUUAAUAAUUGGAUGUAAAUAAAAUCAAUACUAAUAAACUAUUUUUUUAUUCAUUGAUGUUAAUGAUUUUUUUUUUUUUUUUGAGUUUGCAUUAAUAUAAUCUUUUUUUUCAUGAACUAUUUUAACUAUUUUUCAUUAUUUUUAAAUUAGUAAUUAAAUUGUAUUUGAUUUAAAAUAAUUAAUAAAUUUGAGUAAGCUUGAAAAUUAAGAUAUUUAUAAUUUUGAUCUGUCAAUUGUUCGACAUAAUAUCAGGUUUCAAAAUUUUAUUUUUUAAGUUAACUCGUACAAAUUUAGACAUUAGGAAAGAAGAAAAUUAAUUAUGGUAAAUUGAAAUUAUAAAAGUUAUAAAUAUAUUCCAUAAAUUGAUUCUCAUAAAGUUGACUCAUAGAAAAAGAAUUUAAAUUUUGGUGUGAUAAGAUUAAUGUUGGUGUUUAUUUUCUAAUCUCAUUUCUACCAUUCAUUUCAAAGAACCCUAAGAGAUCACAUUUUUCUCUCCCACUUCUCUGCCACCGCCACUCUCCAUUUUCUUUUUUUUUUUCUUCUUUCCUCCCUCAUGUUUCUUUCCCCGUUCGCUCUCCAUACCCAUGCGCCUCAUCCAUCUCAACAAUAUCGCGACUAUCAAUCGUCACCGGCAGUGAUGCUACCGAUCGACGUUGUUUCUCUCUCUCUCCCUUAUUUUUUUGUUCCUCUUUUUCAUUCUUUCUUUCUCUCUCUCUCUCACCAUGCCAUCCCUCGUCGUCGGCUAUGCCAUGGUGUGUUAUGGUAUGCCAUGGUGAGUUCGUCGAACCAGAACUGAAGCAUGGAGGCUCACUCCCUCCUCAAGAAGCAAGGAUUCAACGUGUCAUCCUAUGGGACGGGGGUGCACGUCAAGCUCCCUAAACCUUCCCUCAGAGAACCAAACAUCUACGAGUUCGGAACCCUCUAUAAGCACAUGUUCAAUGAUCUCAGCUACAAAGAUCCUGACCUGUAUCUUCUUUCUUCCAUUUCUAGGUUUUUCCUAUUUGCUUCCGGAGAAAAAAAACAUUAGCGAGGGAAAGAGAAGGAAUUAUUUAUUUAUUUAACCAAAUGGGUCAUGUGGUGGUUCUUUAGAGGAGGUUGAAAGAUAUUUGGAUCAUGACUAUGAUAUUUUUUUUUUUUAAAAAUAUUUGCCUACAUUUUCUCACUAUCCAAACAAGGAAUUUUAUAGAUGUUUGAUGCAUUGCUCUAUGUGUAUUUUUGUUUGGUUAAUUUUUGCAUUUUUGUGAAAGACUACCUAAUGUGGACCAUGUUAAAGGCUAUGGACAAUGUAAAUUUGCCUUGUCCUCUAUUUGAUAGUCGAGAAGAUGAGGGAAAAAUUGUUUUAAAUGGUUUCUUUUGGUUUUCUUUUUUGGUCUCCACCAAAGGGGGAAAUUGAAAACUUGCAAUUAGACUAGAUAAUUGUGUUAAGCUUAAUUGAAAGUGAUGCAAAACCUAAAACAAAUCAUUCAGUUAGGUUAUGAAUCUAAAACUCAAAAUUUAGCAUGUUUUCUUGCUAACUGAACAAAGCAUUUGAGUAUUUGUUUUAUAUUGAAAUUUGUGUAAAGUUCCUGAGUAGAACCUUAAACCCUUUUGAUUGACAAAAUAUGGUUAUAUUGGGGUUUGUUGUUAAUGUUCAUAUUGGAGACUAGGGCAAACCAGAAACUAAAGGAAACUCUUAAUUGUUGUAUAGAAAUCAAUACUAUUUAUUAUUAUUAUUAUUAUUAUUUAAAUUCUUGCUGAUGAUUAUUUGAUUUGCCUAGAACCUUAAAACAAAAUGCAACCUUAAUGACAACACAACUACAAGCGUAAUGGCAUCCUACCAAUGCUUAAAAGGAAUUCAUUAGUCAAAACCACACCUCAACGCUAGCAAGAUAAUGCUACUGAUGGGCCAUUCGAUGUGGUAUUCACAUUUGAAAAAAAGGUUUUCGAUAUGGUUGUUGAAGGUUAAUGUUUGCAUUUUUGUUUUGUUUCUGACGCAUCAUACAUUAUAGAUAGGUUAUUGAGCAAUCUUAAAAAUAUUUGAUUGUAGUUAGAUAUCUAAUUUCUCAAUUUGAGCUUUUUGUUUUGUUAACGUCGUUUGUUUUUUCUAUCAUAGGUUUGAGAUAGAGGUAUUGGCAAUUUCAGGGUCUUUCUAGAGGGCGGUGUUUGAAGAUUAAUGCUAGAGAUAUGGUAUCUAUAAAUUGCAUAUAUGUUUGAUGUAUUCUUGCAAUUGAAAAUACCUUAUAAUUUGAAAUUUUCUAUUUUGAUACUUGUUACUUACUUUUCUAUUAACGUGUGUCUAUCAUACUAGGUAUUCAAGAAAUAUAACAAAAAAGAAGAAGAUGAUGAAGAAUUAGUGACCACCUGUUACGAAGAUAGUAUUGUACUUUUCAAUUUAAGUUUGUAUAUUAUCUUAAUUGAAUGUUUGUAGUUAGUUUUUUUUUUUUUUUUUUGUAUAUAGAAAAUAGAGAGUAAGUAGAAAAAGAUUUAUUCCAUUGUGUUUUUAAUAUUCAAAUGUAUCUAUAAUAAUUUUUUCCCUUGAGUAAUAGUUUAUUUACAUUGUUUUAGGACUUAGUUAUUAUUAUCAUAAGUAAAUAUGUAUCAAAUUUAAUUUGGAAACAAGUUUCAUAUGGCAACAAGUUUCUUUUCCAUUAAAACUAAGAAUUAUAGUAAAAUAAUAUUAAAUUUGUCAUAGGCAACCUUGACAGAUGGCCAAUGCCCAACAUUGACAUUGCAAUAGCUAGAAACCUUGACAUAUUAUACUUAUCCUUGACAUUUGUUGUAGUAACCUUAAUAGAAGAUCAAGUUAACAUUGACAUAAGAUCAAAAAAUCUUGACAUAUGUUGAAUCCAACCUUGACAAAAGUGAAAGAAACAUUGACAUAUGUCAUACUAACAAAGAUUCGAUCAUUGGUAGAAAUAGAAAAAACCUUGACAUAUGUAAAUGUCAAGGUAGUUUUGAACUUUUCUUGACACUGGCAUAGAUGACAUAUAUAAAUAGUAACAUACCUUGAUAGAUAUACCCUACCUUGAUGGUGAAAAACUGUCAACGAAAGGCUUUUUUCUUGUAGUGUGUUCACCAACAACAUGGUCAUGCUGAGCAUAAACAUCGACAUGUAGUUGAGUGUGGUCUCACUUUAUUAGCACAGACACAGUUACCUCUCUAUUUCUAGUGGGAAGCUAUUCAUAUUGCUACCUUUCUUAUCAACAAGUUGCCCACUCCUGUCCUCCAUAUCUCCAUAUAAAAAACUCUUUGGCACCCGUCUUGAUUAUGCUAUCCUCAAAACUUUUGAUUGCACUUGUUUUCCUAACAUUCAUGCUUAUAACACCCAUAAGUUUGCUUUUCACACUAAUUGUGUAUUCAUUGGGUAUAUUGAUGUUCAUAAUGGGUACAAAUGUCUUGAUUCUUUUGGUUGUGUUUAUAUUACUUGACAUGUUGUGUUUAAUGAAAUGGACACUACAAGAAAACAUGUUUUUCCCAAUGAAAAUUUAGGGACAUAUUAAAAUUCAUCUCUAAAACUAAUUUUUCCAGACGAAAUUCUAAAUAUUGUCACUAACACCAAUUUCUUAACAACUUUUCAUGAUGAAAUUGAAAUUUUCGUCACCAAAAUUUCUAUAGAAAUAAUAACCUAAUAACAUGUUAUUACAAUUUCCCUUGAUUAAAAUUAAGCUUAGAAAUUUCCUUGGUAGCUUCCAUGCACAUUUAAUUUUCAUAUUAACAUGUUGAAAUUGUAAUGUUGUUAAAUUAAUUAAUUACAAGUCAAAUUUAGGAAAUGUCUUAAAAUAAGGGAGAUUAUGUCAAAAGUUUUAUAGAAUUUUUAACUUAGCCAUUUGUUAUUAUAACUUUCUUUACUUAAAAUUAAGUUAAUUUGAGAUUAUUGAUACUUGUAAAGUAUUAUUAUGUAUAUAUAUGCUAGAUUUUUAUUUCAACUUUUAUGUUUAUUGUGUGAUGUCAAGUUUGGACUCUUCCUAGGUAUUAUCCUUGAAAUAAAUUUUAGUUUGGUUAUUGAUAAUUUUAAAUUUCUUUGUUAUUAAAUUGAUUAUAUAGUAUAUAAAAUUUUAGAAAAGGUUAAGAAAUAAAUAAGGUUUUCUACAUUCUUAAAUUAAAAACAUUGUAGGUAAAAUUUUGGAAAUGACUAAAAAAUAGAAGGGUUUAUACAAAAACUUAAAUAAUAUAUAACUUUUUUUUAUAACUUUCCUUGCAUAAGAUUAAAUUGGGAUUCUUUGCUUUUGAAGUGUUAUCUUUUAGUAUGUAUACUAGAUUCUCAUUUAAAUUUUAAUAUUAUUAACUAUGUGAUGAAAAGCUUAUAUAUAUAUAUAUCCUUCGGUACUUGAACUAAAAUUUAGUGUUGGUAUUGACCAAUUUGAAAUUUUAAUUUUAUCACAUUGAGUGUAUAACUAAUAAAAUUUUGGAAAUGACUAAGAAAUAAAAGGGACUAUGCUGAAAUUUUAUAGGAAUUUUAAUUUUCUAAUUUGCUAUAGUUAUGACUACUUUUCUUGCUUAAAAUUAAUUUUGGGAUUAUGACUCCUUCCAAAGUGUUACAAUGUUAGCAUAUAAAUAUUGUAUUCUUGUUUGAAACUUUAUACUAUUUUUGGUGUAAUGAAAAUUUUAGGCCUUAGAAAUUUCCUUGCACACUAAAAUUUAAUUAGUCAUUGACUAAUUUGAGAUUUCAAUGGUAAAUUGAUUAUGUAGUUGAUAAAAACUAUAAAAAAAAAUGUCUAAGAAAUAUGAGAGAUCAUACCAAAAUUUUGAUAGAAAUUUUAAUUUAUUAAGCUAUCAUAUUUGGUUCUUUUUUAUUUUUGUUUUGUUUUAUUUUUCAUUUUUUAUUUUUAUUUUUUGCAUUUAUAGGAGAAAAUGUUGGAGCUCCAAUGCCAACCAAUAGUAGAUGGAGCUAUGGCCAUGACUAAGGUAGAAAUUUGUGAGAAUGUUUUAGGGCAAUGAUUAGGAUAUGUUAAUGGCCUUGGUUUUGGCCCCAAACCAACUUCUGCUUAUCAUCUUCUCAAUGCGAGGUAGAGUUGGAGUAUAGACUUUCUGAGACUCAAGCACUUGUGGAAGCUCAACAACAACAGCUUGAUACCCAACAAGAGCAGAUUGACCACUUGAAGGCCUUAUUGCAGCAACGAGAUCAACAACAAUUUGGAGAAAUCUUGUGUCAUCUACGAUCGAGCCAAGGGUCCUUAUGAUGUCUCCUUUAGGUUACACAUUUGAUGGAUCCUCAUCCUUCUUUACUCAUGUUGACUAGUUUUGUAACUAAGAUUUUAUUAAACUAAUACUUUGUUUUAUUAUGUAGUUAUAACAUAUAUAUUUUGAUGUUAUGAUCACUAAGUAUGGCUUGUUUUAUAUUAUCAAUGAAAUUGUGUAGUAUAUAUUUUUAUUUUUGAAAGCAUGUUUUAAAAUGAAAAUUUUCAUUAUAUUAUUUUCAUCAGGUUCAGAUGGCAACAAAAAAUAUAUAAUUAUAAUAUGAAAAAUAAAAAUUGUAAAUAUCUUUCCUGAUGAAAGAAUUUAAUCCCUAAAGAUAUUUCUCAACGAAAUUUUUUUGUUACAACAAAUUUUCAUAUCAUCUACAUGAAAUUUAUAAUUCAUUAAUAAUAUGUUUUAGGGACAAAAUUAUUUUGUUAGUAAAAAGAUUUGGUAACAAAAUAAAUUUGUUAGCAAAGACUUAUGGGUAAAAUUUUGUCUUGUUCAUUGCUAAAAAAACGUAAUUUUGUCUUGUUCACUAAUAAAGAAACGUAAUUUUUCCAACAAAAUAUUUCGUUAGGAAAAACCUUUAAUAACAAAUUUUUAUUUUAUCUAGGAAAAUUUUUUGUUACGAAAUGAGACUUUUUUUGGGAGUAAUAAUGAGCAUAGGGAGACGAAAUUAUUUUGUUAGAAAAAAUAUUUAUCAAUGAAAAUAAUUUCAUCAUUAUUAAUUAUUGACGACUUUUGAGACAAAAUUUGUAUUUUUAGAGAUAAAAAAUAUUACUUUUACUGAUGAAAUAUUUUGCUGGGAAAAACCUUCAAUGACGAAAUUUUAUUUUAUCAAGAAAAACUUUGGGCGACGAAGUGGGGAAUUUCAUCAAGACACUUUUAGCAAUGGGUCUAGGGCGACGAACAUGACACAAAAUAGUUUUUGUUGGGAAAUGUUUUUACAAACAAAAUUAAAACUUUUAGUGACAAAAUAUUUUAUUGCUAAAAGCCUAUUUUCUUGUAGUGAGAGUUACUUUUUUUCCUCUAAUUCUUAGUUUUAGCAUUGUCAUAUCAAUGUGUCUACUAUUUUCCCUUCUUCUCUUUACCUGUACUUUCCCCACCCACUUCCCAUACUACUCUUCAGUCUCCUUCUCUAGGCUCUUCCUUGAUUGAUCGUGGUGCAGGCCAGGUUUCCCCAAUUUCCACUACUUCUUCACCUUGUCUUCCUACUUCCUAUGUAUCUUCUAACCUAGCUUUCCCCUCUCACACCCCACAUUCUCUUACAAAUUCUCUCUCCCUUCCUCCAUUCCUUGUGUCAUCAUUUUUUUCAUCUAAUUCCCAUCCUAUGCAAACUCAUUCCAAGUCAGGCAUAUUUAAACCCAAACUUUCCUAUCUCACUACUCCUUCAUGUUUUUUCCUUUUCACCUAAACCUUCUUAUUUUGCCAAGGUCUUAUCUCAUCCUCUAUGGAAGCAAGCAAUGUAGUCAGAAUUUUAUGCCUUAACUUAGAACCAAACUUGGUCUCUUGUUCCUUACGCUCCUCAAAAGAAAGUCAUUGGGAGUAAGUGGGUUUUUAAGUUGAAGCUUAAUCCAGAUGGUUCUAUCAAGUGCCACAAGGCAAGGCUUGUGGCAAAGGGGUUUCAUCAAACACCUAGGGUUGACUUCUCUACCACUUUUGGCCCUAUCAUCAAGCCUUCUACCAUUCGCAUUAUCUUAAGCCUUGUUAUUACUUGUGGUUGGGACAUUUAACAAUUAGAUGUCAAUAAUGUUUUCCUUCAUGGGUGUCUCUAUAAAUAUGUUUUUAUGCAAUCUGAAGGGUUUGUUGAUGUCCCCAAGCCCACCCAUGUUUGUCAACUUCAAAAAGCCUUAUAUGGCCUUAAACAAGCCCUAAUGCUUGGUGUGAACGAUUGUAGAAUUGUCUUCUUCUAUUUGGUUUUCGAAACUCCCAAGCUAGCACAUCUUUGUUCAUUCUUCACAAGGGCUCCUUAUUGAUUCUUCCUUUUGUUUAUGUUAAUAACAUUCUUAUCAUUAGCAAUCAUCCCUCUGUCAUCAACACCUUCAUUGAUCAUCUACGUCAACAGUUCUCUUUGAAAUGGUCUGGCUCCCUCCAUUAUUUUCUUAGUAUCCAAGCUCUUUAAACAUCUUCUGACCUUCAGUUAUGUCAAUCCUGAUACAUCCAUGAUCUGUAGCAAUGCACUAAAAUGUUUGGUGCCAAGCCUACUUCCACUCCAACCAGCCCCAAAUAGAAAUUGAGUUGUAAUAAUAGGGCUACUUUUGAUAAUCCUACUAUUUAUCAUAGUACAAUCGGUGCUCUCUAAUAUGUCACCAUCACCAAGCCUAAACUUUCCUAUAUUGUCAAUAAACUUAAACAAUAUCUCCAACAACCUACUUUGUUCCACAGGCAAGCUUUCAAGCGUGUAUUGCAUUAUCUGAAAGGCACUUCCACUUUUGGUCUUUUCUUUCACCCAGCUCCUUCUCUUGAUCUCAUUACCUAUUCAGAUGAUGAUUAGGGGAGUGAUACUGAUUAUCAACGUUCCAUUGGUGGCUACUCCAUAUUUUUUUGUGCUAAUUUGAUUUCAUGGGCUUCCAAAAACCAAAGAGUUGUGGCUUGUUCAAGUAUUGCUUCUGAAUAUAGAGCUUUAGCUCAAGUAAUAGUAAAAGUCACUUAGUUGCGAGCCUUGUUACUUUGGGCAUAUCACUACCAUAAAGUGCAGUUGUCUGGUGUGACAAUCUUGGAGCAACAACUCUAGUUGAGAAUCUCAUGUAUCAUUAUCAGACAAAACAUAUAGAGAUUGAUGUACACUUCAAUAGGAAAAUGUGGCUCAUAAAGAACUUGAGGUGAUAUUUGUACUCAUUAUUGAUUAGAUUGUUGAUGUGCUCACAAAACCAAUUUCACAAACUUGAUUUGAAAUACUAAGGUCAAAGCAUAUUGUAUGUGAUUGACAGUUGAGCUUACGGGGAAACGUUAAGAAUAAUUCUAGAAGCUUCUUUUAGCCUCACAUGUAAAGCACCAACUCACCAGUUCCAUGCCAAAUGCAAUUACAAUAGAAAAAAUUGGGUUGCACACUCUCAUAUACAAAUAUAUGUAAAAGAAAUAAAAGGUUUAUUCUGGGCAUUAUUUUUUUCAUUUUGUCCUUCUCUACACACUACUUUAUGUUUUCUCUCUCAAAAACUCUUCUUUAUUUCUAUCUUUUUUUUUUUUUUUAAUUCAAUCAAACAUUCAUCUUGUAAUUGGAAGUUACCAAUUACCAAAUUCCUAUUCAAAGUAGUGGAACAAAAUUGUAUGAUCUUUAAAUCUCAACUUUAAAGCUAACACAUCAAUUAAAGUGUUAUUAUCCAAACAACUUCAAACUUAAACAAUUCAAAAAGUCAUUAAAUUCUAACUUUUAAACAAUGCCCAAAAAAUAAGGUUUAAACCAAAAGUCUUAAUAAUGUCAAAAUCUCAUCCUAACCAUCAUUCUUCGCCUGAACUAAAAGUGUCCAAAAAAUUGUUAGCGAAAGGGAAUGAGCUCAAAGCCUAAUAAGGAAUGUUAAUAUAGUUUCAUGGAUAAAAUAUUUUCAAUUAUGAUUGUAAAUAGGAGAUAUAAUAUAUAAUCAUUUUCAUAAAAAAAAAAUUUAGUUCAAACAUGCUAAUACAUUCAAAACUUCUCAACCAAACAUUUUCAUAUUUAUUUCAAAACAAUUUCAUAUCAAUUCCAAAAUAAAUGCAUUCAAAAUAUUUUUACUUUGGUUAUAAUCAAAUAUCAAAUGGUGCCCAGUUAGGUAGGACUUUACAAAUGGGUGACUAGCCUCAAAUUUUUUCCUUUUAAUGGGUGGCUAGUAACCUCUAACCAAACCCAUAGAGGCUAAGGUCCAAAUCAAUUACAUUCUCCACCACAAAAUGUAAAGGUUAACUAUAAUAUCUCGUUGACAAUGGUUAAAAAGUCAAAUAUUCUAUCUUAUUAACUAGGACAAAAAGGUCAACUAUUACACCCAUUUGAUUAUGGUGAAACAAACUAGAGUCAAAUACUUUAUUUUAUUUAUUCAAACUUACAAAAACAUAUAAUUUUUUUUUAUUUACAAAAUUUGCAUUAAUUUCCCUUAUCUCAAAGAAGCACUCAAAGACCUUAAAGAAAUUAAUCUUAAAGAAUUUCGUCCUAAAGAACCUAUUUCACACCUAACAAAAAUAAAUAAAUAAACAAUUAUAUAUUAAUAUUGAUUAUUUAUCUAAAUUUAUAGGUUUGAGAAUCCUAAUAAUUUCUUAUGUUAUAUCACCUAUAUUAUUUUUAACUUCCUAAUCAAUAACAAUUUAAUAAGUGAGUUUCCAUAUUUUUUUUAAAAGUUGUGUUCUUUACAAAAGUUUGUUUCUAAAAAUCUUCCAUGUUUUCUUUUUUGCUUAAACUAAAUUUCCCCAAAACUUAUUCCUUUUAGUGAAACAAAUAUCUUUUCCUAUUAUUAUUGUUAUCAUAUUUUAUUGUCUUUCUAAACAUUUUAGAAUCAUAAACAUCUUAAGCAUUUUGGAUGUAAAACUCAACUAAUUCUAAAUUUCUUUCCAUUAUAUAUAUAUAUAUAAAACAUGGAAUUUUCCUUCUUUUUAUUUUUUGUCUUUGGCACACAGUACCAUUCUAACUUACCCUUUCUACAAUCACAAGCAAUGUCAUUUUUUUUCCUCCACAAAGUCAAUAUCAAAGCAUUUUUCUUUCUUUUUUUUCUUUUUUUUUUGUCACACUCUAUUGCAAGCAACCUUGUGAUUUUUUUUCCCACCAUGAAGGCAUGUACUACCACAAAACCUUUUUUUCUUUUUUCUUUUUUCUUAUUUUCAACUCUCAAAACCCUCAACCUCCAUACUCAUGGGUAUUAUUUAUUUAUUUAUUUAUUAUUUUUCACAUCUGAAACUAUAAUUUUUUUUCUAUUUAUUUAUUUAUUUAACUAGAACUAUUCAUUUGAAUAAUACAAAAUUUUCAAUCUCCAUUAAUAAAUCAAACUAUGUUAAUAAAUUUCCAAUCUUUCUAAAACUUAAUUUAACAAACCCUAAUUUAGAUUGAGAUCUUCUAAAGAAUAUCUAAAAUAUCCAAAACUAAUUAACAAAUAUAAAAUACUAAUCUAAAGGUUAAAAUCUUACCUAGAAAAUUAAUCUUCAAAUCCUAAACCCCAAAAUCUUCAACCCUACAUUGCCCUGCAUUCUCCAAUCUCUCUAAUCUCCAUGUAAAAGGGUUUUUUUUUUUUUUUAAUAAAGAGGACAAGAGAAAUAUAAUUUAUACCUAGGGCUUUUAAGCACCGAAUGACCUUUCUACCCCUAUUAAAUUAAUUUAAUUUAUUUAUUUAUUUUUAAAUUACGUUUUUUACCCUUAAAUUGGGUUUGGUGUCACACAAGACCACUUGUAAUUGAAUAAUUGAUUGAUCAAUUCAUUUUCCUAUGUACUUUAUGUUGAUGGCAUCAUUACCCACAACCAUGAAUUUCAAAAAAUUAAAAGAACAAAAUAUGUAGUUGUACUAUAGCCAUAUGCAUUUCAGUUAACACAAUAAUGUACAUUCAAUUUGUGUCUGUAUAAAUAGGGAGAAUUGUGCUUUCAGGUGAAAUGGGCCUAAAAAUUGACCCAAUAUCCUCAUAUUGCUCAUAAUUAAUGAUAAGGAUAAGAAAUGGUGAUAGACAAAAAUACUGAUUUGACUUAUCACAUGCUCAUGCUGGUGUUUGUGGGAUCCAUCAUUUAUAUGGAUGGUAAUGAGGUGGGUUUUUUUGGAUACCCGCCUUGCCCCGCCCCUAAUAGAAUGGGUUUCCAUUUUAAUUAAAUGGGUUUGGGAAAUUUUUUUUAAACUUGGGGCGGGUUUGAGUAUUGCCUUGUCCCAUCCCAUCCCGUCCCACCCCACCUCGCCCCAAUUAUAUAUAAAUUAAUUUUGUGUUAUUUGGUUAAAGAGGUCAAAAUAACCCCCAUAUUUGCAAAUAUACCCCGCCGGUUAAAAAGCAAAACAAAAUUAUUGAUUGAGACAAGAAUGCCCUUCUUCUUUUUUUCUCUCUAACACUUACAACUUCUCAUCUUUUACUUCAUUUACAGAACGACUCCUCAUAUUUUCCAAAAAAAUUCUCUCAUCAUUUUCUUCUACUUCAUUAUCUUCCUUUGGUGCACAAAACGGAAAGCUCAUCUCCUCUUCCGCUUCAUUUACAAAACGAGUCCUCGUCUUCAUUAUCUUAUUUUAUUUCAUUAUCUUCCUUUGAUGCAAAACGAAAAUCUCAUCUCUCCUUCAAAAACCCUAGAAAAUUUCUCGUAUAUCCUCUCAUCCUCUCAUCCUCUAUUUCAUUCUGAAUCCUUGGAAAAAUUUCUUAUUCUACUUUUUUCAAGUUAUCUCAUAUUGUAUCUUCAAGCACGAAGGAAACAAUGAGUUCAUUGAAGAGUGAUAAAAGAAAAAGAUUUUAAAAAAAAGUGGCAAAAAAAAAAAUGUCAAUUGCAAACAGAAAAAAAAAAGGUGAAGCAAAGGAAAGCGAAACUACUAAACAAAAAUCCCAAUUACCAAUAGAAGAGGCAAGUGAUUCUACUAAACCAGUGAGUGUAGUCUUCACAUUUGAUAAAUUAUUGAAAUUUUUAGAGAUGUUAUACAAUUAUAUUUGAGUAUGGUUAAGUUUAUUAGUUAAAUGUUUUUAAAAAUUUAGGAUUUAUUAAAUUGUCUUCAAAGUAUAAAAUUGUUAUAUUUAUAAUUCUUUUUUUAGUUAUCCAUUGUUACCAGUUAUGUAUUUGAGUGAAUAAAUUUAGGUUUAUUAGUUGAUGUUUGAAAAUAUUUGGGAACUAUUACAAUGUGUUGAAAAAUAAUAAAUUGCAUAUUAAUAUUGUUUUAGUUUUCUGUAUUAUUAUCAAUCAUGUGUUUAGAGUGAAUUAGAUAUAUUCAAUGUAAUAGCAUCUAAUUAGGGAUAAUUUUGCAGAGAAUUUAUAAAAUUUUAGGGAUUUUUGAAAAUUUUAGGGGUAUUAUACAAUGGUGUUUGAGUAGGUCUAUGUUCUUUACUUGAUACUUUUAAAAUUUUGGGAACUAUUGAAUUGAUUUCAAAAUAACAUAUGGUAUAUUUAUAAUUUUUGUAGUUAUAUAUUGUUGUCAAUUAUGUAUGUAGAGUGAAUAAAAAAUAUAUAAUGAUUUCAUGCAAUGACAUGUGAUUAAGGAUAAGUUUUUAAAGAAUUUAUGAAAUUUUAGGAUUUUUGAACUUUUUAGGGAUGUUAUGUAAUGACAUUUGAGUAGUGUUAAAUUUGUUAGUUAAUAAUGUUUUUAAAAUUUUGGGAACUACUGGAGUGUGUUAAUCAGUUAUUGUAUAAUAUUAUAAUUUUGUAUUAAAUCUUUACUAACUUAAUUUUGUUUAAUUUAUAGACUACUACUCCCUCGACAUGUUUUAAAGUUAAAAUACCUAUAAAAGAGCACUUCCCAUCAAAGGCUGCAUGUCUAUCACACCUGAGUAUAAUAGAAAAUAUUAAAAAGAAGCUCAAUAAGGAACAAUUGGAGAGGUUCAAGGAUUCUUGCUUUAGAUAUUUUUUGCUUAUGCCAAAACUUAAAUUUUCAGCUCAAAUUGUGCACCCCCUAUUAUUACGUCAAUGUCUUAUAAAGAAGAAUGAUGAAAUGUGGUUUUUAGUAAAUUCAAAGGGAUUAAGAUUUGGUGAAGAUGAGUUUGGAUUAAUCACUAGUUUAAGUUCUGGUCCCAUUCCUCGGCAUAAUGAAACGUCAAUGAGAAUAAGGGAUGUUUACUUUAAUAGUGAAAACAAAGUGCGUAAUGAUCAUUAAGAGAAAGUUUUUCUUUCUUUUGGUGAAGUGAAAACAAAAAAAAAUGCAAAAGAAAAAUAUUGAUAAUCUUAAAGAUGAAGACAUGGUGAAAUUAGCCUUAUUGUACUUUCUUGAGCAUGUUUUACUUGGGAAAGAAGGGAAAAUUUUAAUAGACAUGCAAUGGGUUGGUCUUGUUGAUUGUUUGGAAGUUUUUAAUAAGUAUCCAUGGGGGUGGGAUUUGUUAUGAAAGAACAAUUUAUAGGUUGCAACAAGUCUUGGAGAACAGGGUGUCAAAAUACCAAGGUAAAAAACAACAAAAGGGUAAUAUAGCACAUGAGGCAUAUAGUCUAGUUGGAUUUCCAUAUGACUUCCAAGUUUGGGUGUAUGAGACUAUUCUGAUUAUCGGAAUGAAAUAUGCUAAUCAUUUUGCUAAGAGUUGCCCACGAAUUUUAAAUUGGAGUGUUACUUCCACACCGAGGUUCAUUAAGCUCCAACAAAUCUUUUUGGACUCCAAUGUGAGUAAUUUUUUUACCAUAUAUUUUGAUAGUGUUGUCACUUACAUAUUUGUAUAUGUCUAUGUUUGUUAAUUAAAUUACUUAACUUGAAUUCAAUAGUUAUCUUUGUGUUCGCUGCUUAAACCUACUCUGGAGGAAUGUCAACAAGAUUAUUACAAGUAUUUGAAUAAGUUAGGGUUAGUGAAUGGUGUUCCUCCAAAAAUUUUAAGCCAACCAACAACCCCAGAACAUGAUACUAUGGGUGACCUAAAAGAUGAAGAUCACCAGGUUGAAGCUAAUGCAUAUGUUGUUGCUACUGCUACAAUGGAAAACAAGAAGAAAAAUGAUUAUUCUAUCCCACCUUCAAUUGAAGUAACUCCACUAUCACACAUUUAUCUAUAAAUGUCAUUUUUAAUGUUUCAAUUGUAAUACAAAGUUCAAACAAAAAUUCAAAUUGAAAACUUAACCUUGGUUAAGUUAAUUAUCAAUUAAACUUACCCAUGGUCAAGUGAAGGUUACUUUGAAAAACAUAACAUAACUAUCAUAAGUACACAUCAAUUUUUUAAAAUUAUGACUAUAAUUUUGGUGUACUAUGAUGUAUGAGGAAUUAAAGUUUCAUUUGUUUAUAACAUGUGCAGAAUCUAUGGAUAGAGUUCAUGAAGCAUAUAGAAAAGUCUGAAUCAAAUUUCAAUUAUUUGAAUAAAGAACUUAAGGAAGUGAACAGAAAGAUUGACAACUUAAGACAACUUUUAUUGGAUGUUAGUGAUAUAUUUAUUGAAUUUUAUAUUUUAUUCAAUGAAAUUAUGUAUUUUAUUUCUAUAUUUCUACUAUCUUAUUGUAUGGUGCAUAUCUUAUUUUAGGUGAAGGGGCAAAAUGAGUCAUGUGCUACAGAUAAUACAAAAUUUUCAAAAUUUGGUACAAAAGGAAAAGAUAUUGGCAUGGAUUUUAAUUCAUGGGAUGACAAGUUUGAGAGUGUGAUGCAAGAUAAGGAGUAUGAGAACCAUGGCCAUAUAGAUGUGAAGACAAAUACAAAAGAAAUAACAGAUAUUGUAGUUGCAGAAAAACACAUAAUAGGGAUGGAGAAAGAUGAUGAUGUGAUUUUUAAUCCAAUUAUUGAUAUUGCCAAAUUAUUUGAUACCCCUACCGUAUCAGGCAACUUUUCGGUUUAUGUAUUUCCAAAGCAACUGGCCUCCACUAUAUUUAAGCGAAUAUGUGAGUUGAAAAAAUCCUAUUUUUUGCAACCUCCUUUCAUAGACAAAGAGAAGGAAAAUUAGAAAGGAAGGGGAAACAACAUCUGACUUUAAUCCUUUGCAAUCUAUUUCUAAGGAAGCAAGAGAAGUCUUUCAUAAGUGGUUGAGUCUUCAACAAGGGUAAUUAUCUUUGCUUUAAACUUGUAAUAGUUUCUUUUUGGCAACUUCUUUGCUUGACCAUGGUUUUUUGAUAUAUUAUGAUAAUAAGGUUUAAGGUUGAUAUUGAUUACUUGCAUGCGGACAAAGAAUGGUUUGAGUCACUAGUUCAGCAUGGUUCAUGGCUCAAAGACAUGGUUUGUAAAUGUUCUUAUUGUGUUUGCUUUUACUUAUUAGUAUAUUGUUAUUAUGAUGAAAUAGUAUAACUAAUGUUUGUUUUUUCGUAUAUGUUGUCUAGCAUAUUGAUGUUGCUUUCUACUUUUUCCAUAAGCGGAUAAUAGAAAAGCCCCAUGCAUUUUCUUAAAAUUUUACCACUACAGAUACAAUGUUUUGGGUAUGUAUAGUUUCUUUUUACUAUUGACCCUCAUAAUACUAAUUAAAUUAUGGUAGUUUAACUAUUCUUUUUUACCUUUUCUUAUAUAGAAAAAUGUGAAAGCAAGGUGGGAGAAGCAUGCUAAAAAGUGGAAUCAAUUCCAAAUGCAAGCAGAUGAUAUUCUUGUUGACUAUAUUAAUGGGCUUCACCUAAUUCCUUCUAUGAAAUGGUUUGAGGUGGACUUUAUUUAUGUCUCUAUUAAUUUUCAAAGUAUGCAUUGGGGAUUGGGAGUAGUUCACCUUGUCAGAGGAGAAUAUUUGUGUAUGACUCAUUGAUAGGCAUUAAUAGUGAUAAUCGACUAAAAGGUGUCAUAAUACCUUUAGCUAAGGUGUUACCAGGUAUUUGAUUCGUGUCCAAUUGGUGUCUUAGUUGAUUCAUGUCUAGCCGGUGCUCCUUGUUUGAGGGAGUAAUCAACAAAAUUUAUAACCUAUUACACCAUAUACUAGGGUAGCAAAGAAAAAGCUACUAUAGUAUAGUGACUCUAGGAUCGUUCACUGGGAAGGGUUUCCAAAUUACAAAUGAUACCAAUUCAAAGUGAAUUGGUACUUUUUCAUUUCAAGGUUAGCUCACGAAAUAAAACAAAAACUUUGAUUGGUAAAGAUUUAGAUUUAAAAUGACUACAAAGCAAGUGAUGGAAAUUACUUAGGAAGAAAAACAUUCCUUGGAGAGUCAGGUUCACUGGGGUGGUUCCUCAUGCAAAAGACAUAGCUCAGGUCAAUUGGUUCAUUUUCUCGCGUGAGAGAAUCAACAUAUAGUCAAUUCUCUAACCGGUGUUGUACAGAUACAUCCUUUAAUUAGAUUUCAGCUUUAAUUCCCUCUCACUGAUGCAACUUGCUAUGGUUCAUGCCUCUCACUAAGCCUUAACCAUUCAAGGUGAUCUUUAACCUUAGACUUCCCUUCUCAAGCUCACAAGAGAUAACUAAUGGAUGUCUCCUUGGAGUCCAAAAGCUUACCAAGUGUUGGCAAUUCCAGAAAAUCCUACCUUCAAGUCACCUCCCAGAGGCUCGCAAGGGGUAAACUAGUGCAUCUCCAUGGUUGGAGAUCACUUGCCUUACCAAGUGUUGGCCCAGGUGACUCUAAGGUGUUUUAAGUUAACUAAAAACAUAGAAAUCACUAAAGGAUUUCACUUCCUCUUCAUUCAUGGCUGAAACCAUAAAGCUUUGCAUUCUUGCAAUUGGAACCUUCCCCGGCAACCUUAGCUCCAAGGAACUAAAGGUUUAGUUACUCAUUCUCUGGGAAAAAUUCCUCAGAGAGUGCAUAACUUCGUAAGAAAUAAAAAAAUACAAAGUGAGAAGGUAAGGCAAAACAAAGGACCUGAACUUUACUUGCUUUUCCAAAACUUUACAAAAGGUCUCCUCUCUCUGAGAACAGGCUCCCGAGAGGUAUUUAUAUGAACAUAAUAUAAAACUAAUUAUUACAUGGAUAUUUUCUCUUUUUACUAACUUAAAAGCUAAGGAAUCUUGUAAUUGGUGGCUUACAAGGAGUAUUUUGGGAUUUAGACAACAAAAAUCUGAUGGAAAAUAUCUCCCAAUGUCAGUAGCAAACAUCGGGAAGCACUACGGACCAUUUCGCAAGAGAAAAUGAUGUCUGCGAGAUUUCGCAGACACUCAAAAAGGGCUGCGAAAUCACUUUGCAACAAAAGGAUAUUCUCACAGGGCUGCGAAGUUGGCUUCCAUCUUGAGGUUCUCAGCUUCCAACUUGUCGCAUUUAUUGGGAAACUUCAGGAGGAAAUCCACCACACUGUACAAAAAGGCUGCGAAAUCACUUCGCAACAAAAGGGUGAUUUCGCAACACUUUGCAAAAUGCUUCCUUCAGCUUAGAGUGAUUGACUUGAAAUGGCUGUAACUUCUUCGUUUCAACUCCGAAUUGCACACCGUUUGAAGCAUUGGAUUGUUAACUUCCUGAGCUUUGAAAUGGUAUAUAUCAUGCAUCAAUUGGACUUCAGAAAGUGCUCCAAAAGUGGCUGCCACGACUGUCAUCAAGAAUAUGCUUCAUGGCAGAUUCUCUUUACUUUUUCUCCUUGCAUUCCGGAUCAACUCUUGGAAAAGGGCUUCAAAGCUUUAGUUCUUCAUGUUUCUGAGCUUCCAAUUGCUUUGCCCCAGAUUCCAAAGAACUCUCCUCAAUCUUGGAUUGCUUUGGUGAUCAAAUUACUAACAAAAACACCAAAACUUAACACAAUUUAAUUAGAAACAAUUGCAAGGGUCCUUAUCAUGCCAAUUGAGUUAAAAGGCCAAAACUACUACUCAAAAGUGUUUAAAAGGAUUAAUUACAAGCUAUCAAAUAGCACUUUUUGAGUAGUAAUCACUCCCCCCAACCGACAUAUUGCUAGUUGUGGACCCGCAUUUUACACGUGCGUCCCCACUCGAUCGGCAAGACUCGCUUUUUAUUGUGAAAAAUUAAUUUUAAAAAAAAAGUUGGAGUCGCCACUUAUUUUAUUUUUAUUUUUGAAGGGAAAAUAAAACAAGAAAUAAAACCCUAAAAAAAUGACUCCAUAAUUUUUGGAAAAGCGUGUCUUUGAAAACCCAAGUCUUGGUUCGGGGAUCAGGUUACUUAUUGGGAAGGUACCUCUAGGAGGUAGCACCCCUCUAAGCCCUAAAGAGGUCUCUACUGACUAAGUUAAGGGAAGCGUGGCAAUUAAAUGGUUGAUCUCGGAUACCUAAGUAGGCUAGGUGAUUCCAAAAAAAAAAAAAAAAAAAAAAAAAAAAACAUAACAUAUCAAACAAAAUCGAAUCACAAUUAAGGAGAGUUAAAAAUGCGUACCUGGACGGCUUCCCAAGCGCUAUCAUAAAACAUAAGAGAUUAGUUUGGAGAUACAUCACACAACAUUUGUUUUAUCAAAGAUAAUCAAACAAUCAUCAAAUGUAUAUCAAGGCAAUUAAAGAGGAUAGCAAGCAUGGGGCAUACAUAUUCAUAGGGUUUAGAAAGUGGGAUAUUAGGGAACGUACCUUGGAUAGCAUAUUUAACUCUUAAUGCACCUCCCACAAAACAUGAGAGGUUAGAUACCAACAAUAAAUNNNNNNNNNNNNNNNNNNNNNNNNNNNNNNNNNNNNNNNNNNNNNNNNNNNNNNNNNNNNNNNNNNNNNNNNNNNNNNNNNNNNNNNNNNNNNNNNNNNNNNNNNNNNNNNNNNNNNNNNNNNNNNNNNNNNNNNNNNNNNNNNNNNNNNNNNNNNNNNNNNNNNNNNNNNNNNNNNNNNNNNNNNNNNNNNNNNNNNNNNNNNNNNNNNNNNNNNNNNNNNNNNNNNNNNNNNNNNNNNNNNNNNNNNNNNNNNNNNNNNNNNNNNNNNNNNNNNNNNNNNNNNNNNNNNNNNNNNNNNNNNNNNNNNNNNNNNNNNNNNNNNNNNNNNNNNNNNNNNNNNNNNNNNNNNNNNNNNNNNNNNNNNNNNNNNNNNNNNNNNNNNNNNNNNNNNNNNNNNNNNNNNNNNNNNNNNNNNNNNNNNNNNNNNNNNNNNNNNNNNNNNNNNNNNNNNNNNNNNNNNNNNNNNNNNNNNNNNNNNNNNNNNNNNNNNNNNNNNNNNNNNNNNNNNNNNNNNNNNNNNNNNNNNNNNNNNNNNNNNNNNNNNNNNNNNNNNNNNNNNNNNNNNNNNNNNNNNNNNNNNNNNNNNNNNNNNNNNNNNNNNNNNNNNNNNNNNNNNNNNNNNNNNNNNNNNNNNNNNNNNNNNNNNNNNNNNNNNNNNNNNNNNNNNNNNNNNNNNNNNNNNNNNNNNNNNNNNNNNNNNNNNNNNNNNNNNNNNNNNNNNNNNNNNNNNNNNNNNNNNNNNNNNNNNNNNNNNNNNNNNNNNNNNNNNNNNNNNNNNNNNNNNNNNNNNNNNNNNNNNNNNNNNNNNNNNNNNNNNNNNNNNNNNNNNNNNNNNNNNNNNNNNNNNNNNNNNNNNNNNNNNNNNNNNNNNNNNNNNNNNNNNNNNNNNNNNNNNNNNNNNNNNNNNNNNNNNNNNNNNNNNNNNNNNNNNNNNNNNNNNNNNNNNNNNNNNNNNNNNNNNNNNNNNNNNNNNNNNNNNNNNNNNNNNNNNNNNNNNNNNNNNNNNNNNNNNNNNNNNNNNNNNNNNNNNNNNNNNNNNNNNNNNNNNNNNNNNNNNNNNNNNNNNNNNNNNNNNNNNNNNNNNNNNNNNNNNNNNNNNNNNNNNNNNNNNNNNNNNNNNNNNNNNNNNNNNNNNNNNNNNNNNNNNNNNNNNNNNNNNNNNNNNNNNNNNNNNNNNNNNNNNNNNNNNNNNNNNNNNNNNNNNNNNNNNNNNNNNNNNNNNNNNNNNNNNNNNNNNNNNNNNNNNNNNNNNNNNNNNNNNNNNNNNNNNNNNNNNNNNNNNNNNNNNNNNNNNNNNNNNNNNNNNNNNNNNNNNNNNNNNNNNNNNNNNNNNNNNNNNNNNNNNNNNNNNNNNNNNNNNNNNNNNNNNNNNNNNNNNNNNNNNNNNNNNNNNNNNNNNNNNNNNNNNNNNNNNNNNNNNNNNNNNNNNNNNNNNNNNNNNNNNNNNNNNNNNNNNNNNNNNNNNNNNNNNNNNNNNNNNNNNNNNNNNNNNNNNNNNNNNNNNNNNNNNNNNNNNNNNNNNNNNNNNNNNNNNNNNNNNNNNNNNNNNNNNNNNNNNNNNNNNNNNNNNNNNNNNNNNNNNNNNNNNNNNNNNNNNNNNNNNNNNNNNNNNNNNNNNNNNNNNNNNNNNNNNNNNNNNNNNNNNNNNNNNNNNNNNNNNNNNNNNNNNNNNNNNNNNNNNNNNNNNNNNNNNNNNNNNNNNNNNNNNNNNNNNNNNNNNNNNNNNNNNNNNNNNNNNNNNNNNNNNNNNNNNNNNNNNNNNNNNNNNNNNNNNNNNNNNNNNNNNNNNNNNNNNNNNNNNNNNNNNNNNNNNNNNNNNNNNNNNNNNNNNNNNNNNNNNNNNNNNNNNNNNNNNNNNNNNNNNNNNNNNNNNNNNNNNNNNNNNNNNNNNNNNNNNNNNNNNNNNNNNNNNNNNNNNNNNNNNNNNNNNNNNNNNNNNNNNAAAGUCAUGAAAUUGAAAAUUAAAACCAACUAAAAUUAUGCAAUUAAAAACAUUAUGUCUAUCAUAGGUAUACAAAAAAUAAUUAAGACAUUAGUCUACAAAAUUAAUCAUCAAUUUCAUGCAAUAUUCUAUAAAAUAAAUAAAUAAAAGCAAAUAACUAACCAAAUAAUUAUAAAUAAAUAAGUAAAUGAAUAAAUAAAAUAAAUAGAAAUAAGACAUCAAGUACAUGCCAACGUUAAAAAUGCAGAUCAUGCAAAUUAUACAAGUCACGUAGGAAUUACCUAAAAGGUAACAUAGGUGGGCUAGGAUGCCUACGUGGACUUAAAGUGAGUGUGUGUAAACUGUAAGGUGCCUCAGUACGAGUCAAGGUGAAUCUAGGUGGGCCUAGGGUGCCUAAAUGGGUCAACUGUGUCUAAAAAAAAAAGUUAUCCUAAAAAGAAUAACAAAAGCCUAAGUCUAAAUUAGGGUUGCCAAGGGUCACAAUAAAGGAUCAAAUAAUCCCUCAACCAAAAUCUCUGAGGUGACUCAGAAAAAGGUAAGUGGUAUGAGUAGCCAUGGGCCACCAAGGAACUGUCGUGGAGCACUGGAAUUGAAUUUAAAGACAUGUGCUAAAGAGACAAAAUUGAGGGUCUACAAAUAUGCCCCUCUUCGGUAUAGAUCACGAGUGUAGAGAAUGUGAGUAAAAAUACGAGUAAUGAGCAGAAUGAAGUGAACUAUACCGAAGAAUUAAAGAAGGACCAGAGAUUUUGUCCUAGCACAUGAAGAGGUAAGAUCUAAACACGGGGACGCAAUCACAAAAAGGGAAUAACUUCAGGUCGUGAGCUCAAAGCUUUGCACAGAAAGAAUGACUCUGGGUCAUAAGUGAAAAAUCGACACUGGGUCAAGAGCUCUAGGCUCUAAAUGGAACAGAAAUGACUCUAGGUCAUAAAUGAAAAACGACUCUGGGUCGAGAACUCUAGGCUCUAAAUGGAAAAUCGACUCUGGGUCGAGAGCUUUGGGCUCUAAAUGGAAAAGAAAUGACUUUAGGUCAAGAGCUUUGGGCUCGAAAUGGAAAAUCGACUCCGGGUCGAGAGCUCUGGGCUCUAAAUGGAAAAGAAAUGACUCUGGGUCAAGAGCUCUGGGCUCGAAAUGGAAAAUCGACUCUGGGUCGAGAGCUCUGGGCUCUAAAUGGAAAACCGACUCUGAGUCGAGAGCUCUGGGCUCUAAAUGGAAAAUCGACUCUGGGUCGAGAGCUCUAGGCUCUAAGAUAGGAAAUAAUGACUCUGGGUCGAAAUGGAAAGUGACUCAGGGUCGAGAGCUCCGGGCUCUAAAAUAGGAAAUAAUGACUCUGGGUCGAAAUGGAAAGUGACUCUGGGUCGAGAGCUCCGGGCUCUAAAAUAGGAAACAAUGACUCUGGGUCGAAAUGGAAAGUGACUCUGGGUCGAGAGCUCCGGGCUCUAAAAUAGGAAAUAAUGACUCUGGGUCGAAAUGGAAAGUGACUCUGGGUCAAGAGCUCCGGGCUCUAAAUAGAUAGCCGAUCAGGAUACUUUCCGACUCAAGAUGUCGGGUCGAGGCCACUCACUAGUGGCUAGAAUGAUGAAAACGAAACAUCUCAGGGAUGUGAAUAAUGCAAAUGACUCCGGGUCGUGAGCUCAGGGCUCGGGGUGCUAUAAAUGACUCUGGGUCAAGAUGGAAAAUGACUCUGGGUCGAGAGCUCUGGGCUCUAACUAGGAAAGAAUGACUCUGGGUCAAGAUGGAAAAUGACUCUGGGUCGAUGAAUAGCUCUGGGCUAUGAGCUCCGGGCUCUAUGACUGAUCGGCUAGAAGGAGAAUGCGAUACGCAAACUCCAGGUCAAACCACUCAUGGGCGACCAAGUGAUGAAAGCUCAGCUAAGAGCUGGAAAGACUCUGGGUCUAUAGGAAAUGAUAGCUCAGGGCUAGCGGGCUCAGGGCCUAAGAGAAAAAAGAUAGCUCAGGGCUAUAAGACUCAGGGUCUAGAAGGAAUGGAUAACUCAUGGCUACGAGGCUCAGGGCCUAAAAAAAGGAUAGCUCAGGGCUAGCGGGCUCAGGGCCUAAGGGAAAAAGGAUGCUCAAGGCUAUAAGACUCGGGGUCUAGAAGGAAUGAAUAACUCAAAGCUAUGAGGCUCAGGGCCUAGAAGGGAAUAAUAGAGAAGACCAACUCGAAAGUGGACACGAAAUAAAUUGGCUCAAAGCCACAUACUCAAGAUGUCAAGGGUCGGACUACUGAAACCAAGAAGGGAAAUAUGCCCCAGUAUCCAGGGUGCUCACACUGCCGAAACAACCAGUAAAUCAAUCAUCCGCUGAAAUCAAUAGGUCAGAAACUGAUGCAUCGCGACAAACCUCUGAAAAGUCUAAACUGAAGGAACCCUCUAUGUCUGAAAAGCUGCUCUGUCGAUGAAUCUCAAAAGGUAAAUCUCAAAGAGUGUAUAUCAUGGCUCAUCUAAAAGUAAACCUCAAAGUGUGUAAAAUACUGCUCAUCUGGAUAAUCCAAUCUACAAGGUAACAAUGACGAAAACAAAUCUGUCUCAUGAACAUCUGGCUAAAGGAUCCACCCACACUCCUCGGGUGAAACCUGAUGCGAUCCGUCUCUAUCUCAACAAAUCCAUGUAGGGAGGCCCUGAUACAGUCGAUCGUCGGAAGCUCUGGGCUAGUGCUCAAUCUAAAACCAAGCUGGCCACUGUCUCAAUCUCAAGGAUACUCAAAGAAAAUGGGGGAAAUAUGCCCCAGUAUAAGAUCUAACGUCAAAGUCAUAAGCUAAACAACCGACAGCAGUCAUCCAUCCUCAUAUCACUGCCCAAAUAAAUCUCGUAAUGGAGAGGGGAAUAUGCCCCAGUAUGGAUAUCGGAUGUCGAAGUCGUGAGGCAAACAAACUAACAAUGAUCAUCCAUCCUCGUAUCGCUGUCCAAACACAAUCUCAUCAAGGAGAGUGGAAUAUGCCUCAGUGUGGAUAAUCUAAUGUUGAAGUCGUGAGGUAAACAAACUAACAAUGAUCAUCCAUCCUCGUNNNNNNNNNNNNNNNNNNNNNNNNNNNNNNNNNNNNNNNNNNNNNNNNNNNNNNNNNNNNNNNNNNNNNNNNNNNNNNNNNNNNNNNNNNNNNNNNNNNNAUGAACUGUCUCCAAACCCAAAAAUCCAUCAAACAUCAAUAUGCAGCAAGAGAGAGACCAAAUUCUUCCAAAAGUAUCUUCCAUAAAAGAGAACAUAGUAACGACCAUACUUCAACCAAUCUACAAAAGUCUGUCCAAGUGAAGACUGUCAAAGAUAAUGUCUGAUCUCAUGGCCUCAGGGUGGUCUUAAGACACGGGACGUAACGUAGGCCAAGGUGAUACGGUGAAAGAAAUGAAGGGAAACUAGGCUCAAAUACCCAAUGAUCAAACCCGUACCCUCGUGCACAAGAUGUAAUGCAUAGAAAAAUCUCAUGAGUCAUGGACUUAGAAGUAACCAAAGGGAAUGUCGAUAACGAAAUGAGAGAAAGGAUGAAUGGUCAAGCCAUCAAUGAAAUAUGUGAAUGAUGUCAAGAAGGUAUCAAAUCAGUAAUGGGUAUCAAUAUGUAAGGAAUGAAUAAAAGGUGGAACAAAGAUCUGGAAAGAGGUAAUGGGAUACAAAAGAAAACAAUGGGAAAGUGGAAUGAGUGAUGAUCAACCCAUGUUAGUACAAUAAAGGAAAGUCAUAUCACCAAUGAUGGAAUGGUGGGUAUAAGACAAUGAUCCGAAGACCCUAGUAAAAGGUCACUCAUCUCUCAUACAUAAUACGUAUCAACCAUGGUCCAAGAAGCAUAGGAUACCAUAGAACUCUCACAUGAACCCUCAACACUCCAAAUGCAUAACAAGAGUGGCUUAAGGAGUGAAAACUCAUAUAAAAAUCUCACAAGAACCCACAAUGACAAAUAUACCCAGUAAACAGACCUCAAAAGGUGAUAUAAGUGCCCAAUGGAGCAAGAUACCAUACAUAAACAUGUCAUUGCGUUUUUUUUUUUUUUUCUUUUUCUUUUUCUUUUUUUUCUUCUCUUUUUUUUUUUUUUUUUUUUUUUUUUUUUUUUCUUUUUUUCUGUUUUUUUUUUUUUUUUUUUGGCGCAUGCUCUGAUCAUCAAUAAGUCAAACUCCAAUGGGAAAGAUACAAGAAAUGAAUAAACUCUCUCAAAUCACUGAUGAAUACAUGAACCCCAACCCAUGAGACAACCUCUCAAACUAAAAUCUCCGAAUCAAUGCCAAAUGAUGAGAUGAAUGGAGUGAUAUGACUGCCCUCUUUGCACUAAGAUGUGAAGAAUCAUCAGCCCAAGAAAGAGAAGAGAUAAAAUGAAGCAAAUAAUGAUAAAAGCAAGAAAGAGAAUGGAAAUGUGAUGAUAACAAAAUAGAACAAACGGGGUGAUAAGGAGAUGAUGACAAGAAUGAGAAGAUAGGCCUAUAAGUCUAAAGCUCAUGAGACUUUCAUAGCAAAGCAUGCAUAUACACCAAAGGGUCCCAACCCGGGUGUAGAAAUGGUAAUCAAGGCUAUAAGAAAGAAAUAAGGCUAUAACAUACCACGUGAGGCUCAAUGGGCUAGCAAUGGUUUAAUAUAUCAAUAAAGGUGAUAAGGUGUAAGGCUAACCGAAAUGAUGGCCACCCAUCCUGCGACCACGGUCUCAAACAUAAUACUUCUUCAGCUGAUCCACAUUGGUAGGCUCUGAAAAUUGGUUUCCAUCUAAGUCUGUCAACCAUGCAGCCCCUUCUGGAGUCAACUCUCGGAUGACAAGUGGUGUACUCCAAGUAAGUCCCUAGGGUCUCCUGGAAUAGACGAAUCUCCAUAAUCAUAACUGGGCUAACAUCGUCCUCAAACACAUCAUCAACAUAAGCGGAAUUCCCCAACAUAAAUAAAUCGAAUCUCUCCUGAACUCUCAACAAUGAAUAUCUCAAGCAUAUCAAGAGAGUGAACCAUCUCUGGCUAAUCUGUGCUAGUCAUCCAACUAUCAUCCAACACAUAUAUCUCAGGCUCAUCAUGAAGAAAACCAUGUCAAUCAAAGCUCCCAUCUGAGAAAAACUAACGUCCUCUAUAAGAACUCUCAUCUGAUAAACUUUGACUCAUAAUCCACUAAACUCAUCAUAUGUACGAAGUCACCCUCAACAAUGUCACUGGCUAACUGGGUGGUGGGGGUGGGUGGUAAUGAAUCAUACGACAUCUCAUCCUGAACUGGAUACUAUCUACCUCACUGUCCAUCAAUCAUCUGGCUCAAACCUGCUAAUGCAUCUUGAAUAGAGUCAUAGUGACUGUAAGUCGAUCAACUGUAUCAUGCUGAGGAUCCAUACCUGACUGCUUUGAAACCUUGACCAAUCUAUCUCCAACUCUAAUAUAAAGAGUCGAAUCCAAACUGAAGCGAAUAACAUUCCCAUAAGGUACAAAGGCACGAAAAGAUAAAUGACAUGAAGGAAACUCAGAAAAUGUGGAAACACACUAAUCACAAUGCAGAAAGGUGGCCCAACUGAGACUCAAACAUGUACCAAUCUCUGAGCACACCAAAAGGAGACCAUGAAGAGGAUAACUGAACCCAAUUGUGACCAAGGCAGCUCUGAAGGUCCACAGAUGCACCCACGUGUAGGAAUGAAAUCUUAAUUGGGUCUAGGCUAACCUACAAGGUUGAGGUGGCUCUAUAAGAUAAGAUGGGUGGGUUAAAGGAUCCCUAGCAGAAGCGAUCGUACCCUCCGAUGGUACGCAACCCUCUGCACGCCUCCAAGGAGACGAGGUGCUUCCAUGCAAGGUGGUCAUCACCUCCACACAUGCACUUCCUCGCGUUCCCAGGGGGUUUCUUAAUGGUGAAGGCUCUCCCAUCUCUCAACACUCAGGGAUAAUCUAAGGUGCACAAUGAAGGAUGUGGGUGCAUCCGAAAAACCUAAGAUCUAAAGUGAGAUAGUGAAUGAAGACAAGCAAUCAUACAAACAUGCAAGAGAAAGGGUUGUCAUGCAACAAGCAGCCAUGCGAAGCAGAUAAAUAUCAAACAAUCAAAGUCCUAUCUAGCAUAUGUGAGAGUGAAUCAUGUUGAAGUGAGCAAGCAAUUAAGUGAUCACAUCAAACAGUCAUGCGAAUCAAAUAAAUAUCAAACAAACAAAGUCCUAUCUAACAUAUGUGAAAGUGAAUCAUGCUGAAGUGAGCAAGCAAUCAAGUGAUCAUCCAAGGCAAUCAAACAUGUCAAGAUAGCAAAACAAUCAAGCAAGCAAAUCGAAUCACCUUGCCUAGAAAAAAUGGGGUACCCUCUAAUCGACCAAUUAAAUGCCACAUUUUCCUCAACUAGUGUUCAAGCUUGAUCCUCAAGAUCCCCAGCGGAGUCGCCAAUUUGUGGGCCCGCAUUUUUCACGUGCGUCCCCACUCGAUCGGCAAGACUCGCUUUUUAUUGUGAAAAAUUAAUUUUAAAAAAAAAGUUGGAGUCGCCACUUAUUUUAUUUUUAUUUUUGAAGGGAAAAUAAAACAAGAAAUAAAACCCUAAAAAAAUGACUCCAUAAUUUUUGGAAAAGCGUGUCUUUGAAAACCCAAGUCUUGGUUCGGGGAUCAGGUUACUUAUUGGGAAGGUACCUCUAGGAGGUAGCACCCCUCUAAGCCCUAAAGAGGUCUCUACUGACUAAGUUAAGGGAAGCGUGGCAAUUAAAUGGUUGAUCUCGGAUACCUAAGUAGGCUAGGUGAUUCCAAAAAAAAAAAAAAAAAAAAAAAAAAAAACAUAACAUAUCAAACAAAAUCGAAUCACAAUUAAGGAGAGUUAAAAAUGCGUACCUGGACGGCUUCCCAAGCGCUAUCAUAAAACAUAAGAGAUUAGUUUGGAGAUACAUCACACAACAUUUGUUUUAUCAAAGAUAAUCAAACAAUCAUCAAAUGUAUAUCAAGGCAAUUAAAGAGGAUAGCAAGCAUGGGCAUACAUAUUCAUAGGGUUUAGAAAGUGGAUAUUAGGGAACGUACCUGGAUAGCAUAUUUAACUCUUAAUGCACUCCCACAAAACAUGAGAGGUUAGAUAACAAACAAUAAAAUAAGAAGUCCUAGCAUGCUUGUUAUCUAAUUAGCAUAACAAAAAUUGUCAAAGUAUAUGAAAACAAUAAUUAUCACACUCAUCCUGAGUAUAAUUCCUAAAAAAAGAUAGACAUAAUUUCAACAAGUGACAAAAAUGGCAACAAAAAUAAUUUUUGAAAAGAUUUUCUUAUGUAGGGGUUUCACCAAUCCCCAAAUUAAUAUACACAAAUUUAGCCCAGAAUUAUCCCAUUAUUUGGGACCACAAGCUUUGAUUCGUGUUUUUGUUCGAAACUAAACUUUUUGUUAGAAACCGAGAAGGAUGCAAACCGAACUAAAUAUGGUUGCAUAUUAUUUUUUUAAAAUUAAAAUAAAAAUAAAAUAAAUAAAUAAAAAAGAUUUUGAUCCUGAGGACUCUAAAUGAGUUUUUGAAAUAGAUUUUUAAAAUGAUUUUUUUGAGGAAAGUAUUUUAUUUUAAAAGGAAUUAAUUUGGAAAAAAUAAAAUACCAAACAAAACAAAAAUGAAACCUCAAAGUAAAAUUUUUUAGUAAUUAACAAAAAUGAUAAUGGUGAUGGUAGAGGCCAAUCUUCAUGAUUUUCCAAUGGCCUCUAAAAGCCAAAUUUAAUAAAUAUUCACCAAAGCAACAAACCAAACGACUUUUAGAUCAAAUAAAACUAACGAAAUAUUAAUCGGGAAUUUAUAAGGAUCAAUCAAACACAUAAAUUGAGAUAAACAAUCAAGAACUAAUUUAAAAUCAACCAAACACAUAAACAUGUAAUUAUAAUAAUGUGAAUAUAGUAACAUAAGCACAUAGAAUUCUAAGACAUAUUAACUAAUCAACAACUAGACAUUAAUAACUUCCAAAACAAAAACAAAACUAAGUAACAAGGGAUUAAGCAAAAUGAUAACCAAAAUUUAAAAAAAGGACACAUCAACUAAGUAGAAAAGCUAAAUUUAACUACUUUUAAUACAUAAGUAUAAUAACAUGGGAUGAAACUAAUUAACUAAAAUUUUGAAAAAAAAACUAUAAACUAGGACAAGAUCAGUCAAAAAUCAAAAUUAACAAACUUUUUUUUAAAACAUGAGCAUCGAUUAAACUAAUUAACUAAAACUAAAAAAAAACACACGUACUAAAAUUAGGUCAAUCAAGAAUUAAAAUUAACAAACUUACAACAUGAGAAAAGUAACUUCUAAAUUAAAUAUCUAAAACUCUAAAAAAAACACAUAAAAUAAAAUUGGAUCAAUCGAGAAUUAAAACGAACAAGCUCAAAACGUGGAUAUAAUGACAUGAGAAAGUAAUAGACUCAUCAACUAAAAAUCUAAAACACAUAAACUAAAUAGGGUCAAUCAAAGACUAAAGUUAACAAUUUUAAACAUGGAAUUAAUCACAUGGGCUCAAUAGGAAUAAUAAACUAAAAUUCUAAAAACACAUAAGCUAGAUAAGAUCAAUCAAAACUAAAGUUAAAAAAUUAAAACAUGGAUUUAAUCAAGUGGUUCAAUAGGAAUAAUAAACUAUAAUUCUAAAAACAUAACAACCUAGAAAAAUCAAAACUUGGAAUCAAGACAAUGAAUCAAAAUCAAACUAACUACAUUCUAACCUUUUCAUCCGAUUAAAAAAUCAAAAUUAAUACAUAAAAAAUCUAACUUUCAAUCCAAUAAAAAAAUUAAAACUAAAAUCCUUAGAAAUUCUAACUUACCUUUUCCAGAAUGCCUCUAUGGUGGUGCGGCUGCUGCUCUCUUCCUUCACCGUCCUUCAGACCUCUCUUUGUUCCCAGAAAAAAUCCUGUCCCUUCUCUGCUCGUUUCUUUCUUAUAUGGCAGCCGCACAUUGUAUGGAAUAUUUUGUUUCUUUUUUUCAGUGCAUUUAGACAUAUGGAAAGUGAUUACGUGUGGUUCAUAUUGGAGACUUUUUCAAAGAUUCUGCCCUGUACCCUGUUUGGUAAGUGAUUAGAUGAGUGGACUUUUCUUUCUAAAAAAAAAAACCAAAAGGAAUCUCCCUUUGCAGCCCACCAUAUGCGUGUUGUGCACAAAGUGGCCAUCUUCUUUCCUAUUUUCAUGCUAUUUUCCACGUGAUGCAUGCUCAAGAUGCAGCCAUGCCUUCCAAAAAAAUUGAGUGGUGCGUGGAGGAGAUCCCCUCGGGAUGGUGCGGCCUGUGGGAAUCAAAAUCUGGAUGUCUUGUGGGCCCCUCAAUUGUGGCUGAUUUCCUUAAGAAUCAUGGUUGGUGUGGACUGAUCAUGGUUCCAUAUCUCCUAUAUAGGCUUCCUUCCUUGGAUGCGUGCUGUUGGAGAUCUUUCAUUGCGGGCUGUGCGUGGAAUCUUCCAUUGUGGGCUGUGCGUGGGAUCUUUCACUAACAUGGUAAAAAUCUGGGAGAUAAUCCUCACUGCAACUGUCCAACAUUUCUCCAGAAAAUUAAAAAAAGAAUGGAUCUUUGAAAAUCCAUUUUGGAAAACAUGCAAGAGGAAUUAAGGGCUGAGACAUGUUGGCUUUAAAAUAAUGUACAAAAGGGGUGGCCAUGCAAGCCAUGUGAGAGUGGGCUUGGGGUCCAAUCCGAAGUGCGCCAUCUUUAAGUGGCAAGGAUCCCAUCUAUCUUCUGAUUCCAAGGGCUCCAAAACGUGCACUCCACUGUCGGUCAAUCUCAGGGUGCAAUUGUGCGGAAGGAUGACCUUUAAUAAAACGAAAUGCACCGAGACUUGCAGAAACAGUGAAUCUCGAACGCGUUUGGAAUUGAGAGAGGGUUUUGGGUUCGAGGAAUACACCAUAUGACAGUAAUAUAUUGUUGGAAGUGUGAUUAUCCAUUCUUCUCCUCAUUCUCUGGACAUCACCUUUCCUUCCUGUGCAUCUUGCCACGGAAGUCUGUUCCGUCUUCCAGAUAUGCAACUAUGUGAUCUCCAAAACUACAGCCCAUGGAAGAUUGUAGCCGUGCCUAUGGAUCCUCUCCAAUGUGUGCGUUCAAAUCUCAUGCCAAAAUAAAAUACCAAUUAAAAUCAGUAAAAGUCAUGAAAUUGAAAAUUAAAACCAACUAAAAUUAUGCAAUUAAAAACAUUAUGUCUAUCAUAGGUAUACAAAAAAUAAUUAAGACAUUAGUCUACAAAAUUAAUCAUCAAUUUCAUGCAAUAUUCUAUAAAAUAAAUAAAUAAAAGCAAAUAACUAACCAAAUAAUUAUAAAUAAAUAAGUAAAUGAAUAAAUAAAAUAAAUAGAAAUAAGACAUCAAGUACAUGCCAACGUUAAAAAUGCAGAUCAUGCAAAUUAUACAAGUCACGUAGGAAUUACCUAAAAGGUAACAUAGGUGGGCUAGGAUGCCUACGUGGACUUAAAGUGAGUGUGUGUAAACUGUAAGGUGCCUCAGUACGAGUCAAGGUGAAUCUAGGUGGGCCUAGGGUGCCUAAAUGGGUCAACUGUGUCUAAAAAAAAAAGUUAUCCUAAAAAGAAUAACAAAAGCCUAAGUCUAAAUUAGGGUUGCCAAGGGUCACAAUAAAGGAUCAAAUAAUCCCUCAACCAAAAUCUCUGAGGUGACUCAGAAAAAGGUAAGUGGUAUGAGUAGCCAUGGGCCACCAAGGAACUGUCGUGGAGCACUGGAAUUGAAUUUAAAGACAUGUGCUAAAGAGACAAAAUUGAGGGUCUACACUAGUCUCUUAGCAAUAAAGGAGAGAAAAAUAAAAAUAAAAAGUACUAUAAUUUACAACAUCAUGGUGAUCAAAAAACAAUUUUCAAGUGGCAUGAUGAUCUAACUCUCACAUGGAACAUUAAAGAAAUACAAACCCAAAUUUCAACAAGAGUUAUAACAAACUAUGCUAAACACUGUCAAUCAAGGGAAUGCAUUAUGCAAACUAAAGUUUUAAAAUCAUUUCCACUUUCAAAGAACCAAACUUUAUUCUUCCUCAAAAAUCUAUGUGUAUUGGUUCCUUAGCUUCCGAAAAUAAUAUGCUAAACUAAUCUCUCCCCCUAACCUAUCUCUUUUCAACACUUAGCAAACUGACCAAAAUCAAUAAGAAAAGAACGCAUUUUUUUUUUUUUUUUUAAGGAGGCUUAAUGGGGUACUCUUUCUGAAUUGUCCAUGUAAUGGGGGUCCAUCGAUGACUCCCAACCAAUUAAGGUUUAGGGCAUCAAGCUUUAAGGAUCUUUCAACCACUAACUCCUCGGAUUUUUCCUCGGACUUUUGAGAAUGAAUUUCUAAUACCCAAGCACCUACCAUAUGCUAACUCUACCUAUUCACCCUUGUAACGAGCAUUGAGGUCGGUGACUCCCAACCAAUUAAGGCUUAGGGCACCAGGCUUUAAAGAUUUUCACCAUAUACCCCUCAGACCUUGCUUGGGUUUCAAGGCAAGCAAACAACUUUCUUUCUUUAUUUCAAAGGCUCGUUGGCCUUUCAUAAGGUGUCUCAACUUUAUCAAAUGAGGUCAAAUGUACCAAGUCCCAAAAUUAUCCUAAGUCAAGAGGGAAAUAGCUUUUCAUCUUAUAAUCGGAAUCUAUUGUGCACAGUGUGUGAAUAGCUUAAAGUGGAAGAACUAAAUUCAAUUUCAAUAGAAGCUUCAACAAUUGAACCACUUUAGUAAGCAUAAUCCAUACUCUAAGUCAAGUGAAAAGCAACAGUUCAAUUUCUCCUAUUUUAAUUUGAAAAUUUUUCCUCAAAAUCCAUGGAGAAUAGAAUAAAAAAAGUAAAAAGCAAAAACUACAACUGAUUUACCAAUAUAAUUGUAUUACCAAAAUGACUUAGCAUACUUCCUUUAACUUAGCAUACUUCCUUCCUCAUUUUAUCCCUCCCCAACCGAACUGAGCAUUGUCCUCAAUGUGAUAUGAGUGAUUGUAAUUAAAGGGAGGAAGUGGUACCUCCUGAGUGAUAUCAAUUUCGAAUACUGAUUGGAGAAACCACAUGUUUCAAAAAGAAUAAAAGAUGUGAGAAAAGGAAAUAAGAAUAAAUUAAUUCUAAAGGUUAACAAAAAAAAUAUUAAACUUGUAUUGCUUUGAAUCCAUUUGAGUACAAUGAAAAAGAAAGGCAAUAAAAGCAAUCCCAAAUAUGGUACCAAAAUAAUGGGAUUUCUUACAAACUAAAAAACGAAAUACAUAAAAAAAACAUAGGCAGUAUAUAUAUAUAUUGAUCUGAUGAGUGGGUGGUGCUGGGGCUAGGCAGAUGGGUCUGCCUCUUCAGUAGCUGCUCUAGAUAGGGCCUGAGACUCUGUGAGAUGAAAGUGUGGCACUGUUGUGGUAGAGGUGGAGGGCUCAGCAGCUGGUGGCAGAUCAAAAUGAUGCUGGAGCUACCUUAAGAUGGCAGUGUGCUGAGCCUGGGUGGCCAACAUCUGCUCUUGGCAUGCUCGAAUGGCUGCCAUCUCAUGAGCAAGGCUGCUCUGAGAUGCUGUGAGGGUCUCCAAUGAACGACAUAACUCUCAGUAUUCAGAAAUGGGAAUGGCCAUCCUUGGUUCAGCUGAAGUGGAUGGCUGAGAUGAAGCUGGAGUAACUGGUGGAGCUCUGGGAAUGGCAGGAGCAGCAAUAGUUAUACCCUCUAUAGGUAUAUGUCGUGGGGAUGCUCUCCUAGUAGCUGGCCGUGGGCGCUCUGGCUGGUCAACUCUAUAGGUUGUCAUAUUGUUCCAUUUGUCGAGAGUAAAUACCUCUCGGCAAAUGCGCUUGCGCUCCAACUAAGGCUUUGUAGGAUACCCCAGGUGCUCCAGAAUUUGGCACAACAGCCUUGGAAAGAGAAGAGGAAUGGCAUCAGCUCUCUGCAACUUCUUUUUAUGUACCUUCUCUUCGAAAUAGAGAAGGGUUUCCAUAAUUAGAUGGUGAAGGCCGAAGAAAUAUCCCUCAGACAUCUUGAACAGGGCUUCUAACAGGACUCCUCUCCUUUGAGUCCAAUGUUGCAGUGGGUAGAGGUUAUGAUGCAAAAAUGCAUCAAUAAUAAACAUGAUUGGAGGAAGCUCCCCCCUCAACAGAUGUGAUCGUGUAGAAGCUCCUCUGGAUAGGAUAUGCACCAUUUCCAGCUCAGUAGCACUGGUCCACUCUCUAAAAUCAUCAAAAUGGCUCGCCUCAUAGGGUAUUUGCAAGGCCUCAGCUAUAUGGCGAGCUCCCAAUAUGCCAUGCCUCCCAUCAAUGGUAAAAUGAAUUAGAGUUGGAUCCCUGACCUAUUUGGUAGUCAUGGAGUGAUAAAAAUCCAUGGCUACUCUGGGGUAGAAAAAGUCUCUUGGAGUCAGCAGGUGCUCCAUAUGGUAUAUUCGCAGCAGGUGGAAUGACUGUGCAAGCUCUGGCCGCAAUUUGAAUGUAGCUAUGUCAAAGCACAGCUCAGAGUGGAAUGGCCGAGCUCUACAGUCCAAAUUCCCCUCAAUUGGAGGCUGAGUCAACAUUGGCCGCCUGAUUAUUUCUUUCGGAGCUAUUUCAGCUGGAAUUUGGGGCUCGAGAAGUGGCGGUUUAGGCUCUGCUGGCGGCGUCGGAGAUGGCACAGGAGAUGGAACUGGCGAGGGUUCCGUCAAGUCAAUGGGCUCUGAGCUUUCAACCCUGGCUCUCUUUUGUAGUGGCCGACCCCCUGACCUGGUGAGAUAACGCCUCGCCAGAGGCUUUGGCGGCGCGGGCUUCAUCGGAGGAGAAACUGCUUUUGGCCGCGGAGGCUCAGAAAUGGGACCUGGAAUGGGCUCCUCUCACGGGACUUUCUUGCGGCUUGAAGAAGAGGAAGACUUGGCCUCUCUGGUUCGCGCCAUUUCGGGUUGCUGAAAUUUGGCCGGAAUUGAUGACCGGAGAGGAUGAACGGAGGUUUGUGCGGUGUCGGACUCGAGGAAGAAGAUGAAUAGUCUGCGAGAAUGGCACACUCUCUUUUUUAAACCUUUUCGUAACUCAAAUGACUGGUAUAUAUAAAAAUAACGGAAGAUUAAGGGUCAUUUUGAGUUUCGCAUAAAAAAGCCAAUUUCGCAACAAAAAGUCAUUUUCGCAGCCACUUCGCAAUCCGUUUCGCAGCUGCGAAUUGAGUGUCACUGUGCUACGAAGUGGCACACGUGUGCCAAAAUCGCUUUCACAAUUGCGAAAUACCCUACGGGAUGGAACUUUGGUUGUGAAAUCAGGGAUUUUCACGCUUUAUUGCUUCGCAGCUGCGAAUUGGGGGCUCCUGUGUUGCGAAGUGGCACUCGUGUGCCAAACUUGGCUUUGCAGCUUCGAAAAUUUUCGCAGAGGAGAAAAUGGAGCUGCGAAAUGAUUUCACAAAGGAUGGCCGCUUUCGCAGAGAAACGUCGAUUCCGCAGCGGCUUCUUUUAGGUUGCAAAAUGGCUUCGCAGCGAAGUGCUAAUUUCGCAGAGGUUGCGAAAUCUCGCAAACCCCUGUUUUUGCUUUGUUUGCACUCUGUUUUUGGUCUGAUUUCGCUCCGAUUUCUUCCUUUGAAUUUCUUUGCAUUUUCUUCCACCUGGGAUCAUUCAAAAAGAUUAAAACACACAUAAAAACAUGAUUUAAGAUCAAAAACUAAGAUCAAAAGUAUGGAAAAAACUUGGAAAAUUACAAAAUUUACACAAUUUUUUUUUUUUUUUUUUGGACUGUGGUAAAACCAUGUCCACCAAACCCUUCUUUGCUUAGGCUUUUUGUGGCUCAAGGAGGUUGAUUUCCUCCUUUUCUGGUUUGAAUGGCUCCAUGAACGGCUUGAGACGAUAUCCAUUGACUCUAAAGGUGUCUUUGCCAUUGGAAUUCAAUAAUUCCACCACUCCAUUGGCAUAUACUUGGUGAAUAAUAAACGGGCCUAUCCACCUUGACUUGAGCUUCCCAAGAAAGAUAUGGAGUCUUGUGUCAUACAGUAAAACUCUUUGCCCUUUCUGAAAUUCCUUGUUGGAGAUUAGUUGAUCAUGCCACUUCUUCAUCCUUUGUUUUGCAACUUUGGAAUUGAUAUAAGCAUCAUUUCUUAAUUCCUCCAUCUCAUUAAGGUCUAGAUAUCUCUUUUCUCCGGCUCUGAUCAAGUCCAUGUUUAGCUUCUUUAUUGUCCACCAAGCUUUGUAUUCAACUUCCACAGGGAGAUGGCAUGCUUUGCCAUAGACAAGACGAUAGGGAGACAUGCUAAGAAUAGUCUUAUAAGCUGUUCUAUAUGCCCACAAUGAAUCAUGAAGUCUAAUAGACCAAUAUUUUCUGCUGGAAUUCACCACUUUCAUCAAUAUGUUCUUUAUUUCCCUGUUAGCUAGCUCAACUUGCCCGGAAGUCUGAGGAUGAUAAGGUGUAGCUACCUUAUGCUUUACUCCAUACCUGGAUAACAGAGCUUCAAAAGGUUUGUUGCAAAAAUGAGCACCUCCAUCACUGAUUAUGGCUUUGGGCACCCCAAAUCUCGAGAAAAUGUUCUCUAUAAGAAACUUGAGAACCACCCUGUGAUCAUUUUGUUUACAGGGGAUUGCCUCAACCCAUUUAGAAACAUAAUCCACCCCCACCAAGAUAUAAGAAUUACCAAAAGACAUUGGGAAAGGUCCUAUGAAGUCAAUGCCCCAUACAUCAAAUAACUCAACUAUUAGAAUGGGGUUCAUAGGCAUUUGAUUUCUUUUUGUUAGCUUUCCAAGCCUUUGGCAUCUAUCACAACUCCUACACAUGAUGUGGGCAUCUUUGAAAAUAGAUGGCCAAGUAAACCCUGAUUGCAACACCUUCAUGGCUGUUUUCUGAGAGGCAAAGUGGCCUCCACAUGCAUUCUCAUGACAAUGGUUUAGAAUCCCUUGUUGCUCAUCUUCGGGGACACACUUCCUUAUGAUCUGAUCUGCACAAUACUUAAAAAGAAAGGGUUCUUCCCAAUAAUAAGCAUGAAUUUUUGCAAAGAAGUGCUUCCUGUUCUGUGCAUUCCACUCACUUGGAAUUUCACCAGUAACUAAAUAAUUAGCAAUAUGAGCAUACCAAGGAGUUUUCACUAGGAACAUGAGUGAUUCUUCAGGAAAAUCAUCAUUAAUAGGCAAGGGAUGGGAAUUAUGUGUUAUAACUAACCUUGAAAGGUGGUCAGCUACCACAUUUUCCACUCCUUUCUUCUCUUUGAUUUGGAGAUCGAAUUCUUGUAACAAAAGAAUCCAUCUAAUCAACCUUGCUUUUGCAUCUUGCUUUGUCAAUAAAUACUUCAAGGCUGAAUGGUCAGUGAAGACAAUGAUGAAAGACCCCACUAAAUAAGCACGAAAUUUGUCCAAAGCAAAUACCACAACUAACAAUUCUUUCUCUGUAGUUGUGUAGUUCCUUUGAGCUUCAUUCAAUGUUUUGCUUGCAUAGUAGAUCACAUAGGGCUUCCCAUCUUCUCUUUGGCCAAGCACAGCUCCUAUAGCAAAGUCACUGGCAUCACACAUCAGUUCAAAGGGUAAUUGCCAGUUAAGGGCUCUCACUAUUGGAGUUGUUGUUAAAAAUUUCUUCAGUUGAUCAAAGCUAUUUUGACAUCUUUCAUCCCAUAUAAACUUAGCAUCCUUAGCUAACAGCUCACAAAGAGGUUUUGAAAGACUUGAAAAACCUUUUAUAAACCUCCUAUAGAACCCUGUAUGGCCAAGGAACUGCCUUACUCCUUUCACAGUUGUUGGUGAUGGCAAUUUAACAAUAAGCUCCACCUUUGCUUUAUCAACUUCAAUGUCUUUUUCAGAGAUGAUAUGGCCAAGGACAAUUCCUUGAUGUACCAUAAAACGGUAUUUCUCCCAGUUGAGCACCAGGUCUUUUUCAAUGCAUUUGUGAAGAACCGCUUCCAAAUUGAUUAAGCAUUCCUCAAAUGUACCUCCAUAUACGGUGAUGUCAUCCAUGAAAACCUCCAUAAUUCGCUCCACCAUAUCACUGAAAAUACUCAACAUACAUCUUUGAAAUGUUGCAGGUGCAUUGCAUAAACCAAAAGGCAUUCUUCUAUAAGCAUAUGUUCCAAAUGGACAUGUAAAAGUGGUCUUUUCCUGAUCCGCCACAUCAAUUUCAAUAUGAAAAUACCCUGAAUACCCGUCCAAGAAGCAAUAGAACGGAUGUCCAGAGACUCUUUCCAACACUUGAUCGAUAAAUGGCAAUGGAAAAUGAUCUUUCCUGGUUACAGCAUUCAACUUUCUAUAAUCAAUACACACCCUCCAACCUGAAGUGAGGCGUGUAGUAAUCUCUUCCCCUUUUUCAUUCUGAACCACGGUAAUCCCUGACUUCUUUGGUACCACUUGAGUAGGACUCACCCAAGGGCUAUCAGAUAUAGGGUAAAUAAUACCUGCUUGAAGUAGUUUCAGCACCUCAGCUUGCACCACCUCUUGUAAAUGAGGAUUCAAUCUUCUUUGAAGUUAACGAAUUGGCUUUGCUUCCUCCUCCAUAUAUAUAUGAUGAGUACAAACUAAAGGACUAAUGCCUUUCAAGUCAGAUAUUUGCCAUCCUAUUGCCUUCUUACACCUCUUGAGAACUUCCAUUAAACAAUUCUCUUGAUGACUGGUCAGAGAUGAAGAUAUCAUAACAGGACAUUGAUUAUUUUCUUCAAGAUAUGUAUAUUUCAGCUCCACAGGUAGAGGCUUCAGAUUGAGUUUUGGAGUUUCUUUUUCAACAGCUGCCUCUUCUUCUUUAUUGAACACAGGUAGAAUCUCUUCUAUCUUUCUCCAACUUUGUAGAGUAGCAAGCACAGUAGGGGAUUCAAACAAACCUUCCUCAAAAUCCACAAGACUUUCAUUCAACUUGUCUUGAAUAUUUUGAUUACAGUGCUCCUCCACCAGAGUGUCAAUAAUGCACAACUCUUCUGGACCCUCUUCUUCUUCCGGAGUGGUUUGCUUUUUAGACAUAUAGAAAAUAUUGAGAUCAAGUGUCAUGUUGCCAAAAGUGAGUUGCAUCAGCCCAUUCCUGCAGUUGAUGAUAGCAUUUGAGGUAGCAAGGAAUGGCUUUCCAAGGAUGAUAGGAACUAAAUUAGCUUAUUUUACAGUAGGGUCUGUAUCAAGAACAAUAAAAUCUACCGGAUAGUAGAAAUUAUCAACUUGAACCAAGACAUCCUCAAUUACCCCCCUUGGAAUUUUCACUGAUCUAUCUGCUAGAGAUAGAGUGAUUGUUGUUGGCUUCAAUUCUCCAAGUCCCAAUUGCUUGUAGAUAGAGUAUGGAAGCAAAUUCACACUUUCUCCCAAGUCUAACAAAGCUUUCUCCACUACCUUUCCUCCAAUCAUGAUUGAAAUGGUAGGACGUCCUGGAUCUUUGUACUUCAAUGGAGAUUUACAUUGUAAGAUUGCACUUACUUGCUCAGUCAAGAAGACUUUCUUGUUUACAGUCAACCCUCUUUUAAUAGUACAUAAGUCCUUUAGGAACUUUGCAUAUGUUGGAACUUGUUUAAUCAUAUCCUGCAAUGGGAUAUUGACUUUCACUUGUCUCAAUACCUCAAGGAUUUCAGAUGCAUUUCUAAUCCCCUUUUUCCCAUGCAAUGCUUGAGGAAAAGGUGGAGAAGUUGAUUUCUUCAGCAUUUCUUCCUUCAGAAGUUCCUUCUUUGGAAUUGCAUUCAUUGUUGAAUCAGAGUCCUUCUUCUUUUCACUGAUCUCUUUCUCUUUAUCUUCCAUUUCAUCCCCUUUCUUUAUCUCUUCUUCUUCUUUCUCAACAUGUGGCUUGGGUGUUGGCUUCUCAAUUUUUUUUACCACUCCUUAGAGUGAUCAAGGCUUUGACAUCUUUCAUCUGUGAUGAUUCCCCCUCAAGGCUUUCCACUUCAUGGAUACCCUUGGGGUUUUGGUGGGGUUGAGAAGGAAUCUUCCCUUUUCUUGCAGUGUGUUCAAAUUUGUAAGCCUUGAAAUUGAAUAUUGGAUGUUAUCAAACUUUUGGGCUAUAUCGUUUUGCAUUCCAUCCAUCCUUUUAUUCAAAGUACUCUCCACUCUAUCAAUUCUUUGAUUGAUUUGAGCAUUAGUGGCUUCUUGGUUUCCAACAAAAUCUCCCACUACCUUGCUGAGAUUAGCCAUUGCUUGUUCAAGACUUGAAGAUUGUUGAGAUGGUGGAUCUGGCUGUUGGUACUGAGUUGCUCUGGCCUUCCAUGAGAAAUUUGGAUGAUUCCUCCAACUUGAGUUGUAAGUAUUUCCAUAAGGCGCAUUGUUAUUGGGCUUAAAUUGUCCAACAACAUUUGCUUGAUCUCUAAACAUUUCCCUUUCAGCUAAAAUUGCAGGGCAUUCCUCCACCAAAUGUUCAUAUGAUUGACAAUUGGGACACAACUUCACUUGCACUGGUGCUUCAGCAACAACUUGCACUUCAUGUAUUCUUUUCAACUCCAACUCCUCCAAUCUUCUUGUCACAGUUGCCAAUUUUGCUUUCAUAUCAUCAUCUUCUUUCAAGGUAUACAUCCCAGCCUUAGCAUUAAAAGCACUCAGUUGAGAUUUCAUCUUACCCACUUCUCCUUUGGUUGGUUCAUCCCAUCCCCUUGAAACAUCAGCUACAUAGCUCAAGAAAUCCAUAGCUUCCUCUGGAUUUUUGCUCAUGAAAUAUCCUCUACACAUUGUCUCGAGGAGUUGCUUCAUUGAGGAGGACAUCCCAUCAUAAAAAUAGCUCACCAAUAGCCAAGUAUCAAAGCCAUGGUGAGGGCAAGCAUUUAUAGCUUCCAUAUAUCUUUCCCAACACUCAUAGAAUUUCUCAUUCUCUUUAGCUGAGAAGUUUGAAAUUUGCCUUUUCAAGCCAUUUGUUCUAUGAGUGGGAAAAAAUUUCUUGAGGAAUUCAGCUUGUAAGUCAGUCCAAGAACGGAUACUCCUUGGCCUUAAAGAAUUAAGCCAAAUUUUGGCCUUAUCCUUUAAAGUAAAAGGAAAUAACUUAAGCCUCAUCAAAUCAAUUGAAGCUCCUCCCUCUUGGAAUGUAUUACAAACAUCUUCAAAUUCCUUGAUGUGUGCAUAGGGAUUCUCACUUUCCAUCUCAUGGAAAGUUGGUAGAAGUGGAACAAGAUACGGUCUGAUCACUAGCUGCUCUGUAGGGGGCACUAUACAUGAUGGUGCACUCAUACGAGGUGGAUGCAUGCGGUCCCUCAUUGAUCUGAAUUCAUUGAGAUUGUCUUGACGACCUUGGUGACUAUGCUGAUCUUCAGGUGUAGCUUCCAUGAUAUUCAAGCUCAAUUCGAAUUCUUUGUUAUGAGGUGUAUCACAUUUAACAAGCCUUCCUCCACUGUCUCGCAUCCACUUUAGCAUACACAACUAGUAUCUAUCUGCAACUUAAAUGAAAAUAAAGGACAACAAAAGGAAACAGGCCUACAACAACAAAAUUUAAAAGAUGAACUUGGAUUAUGAAUAAAUAAAGAAAGAAUGAGAAUUAGUAAAGUGAAAGAAACGUUACCAACUGGUGAUGAAAAUCACAAGUGCUCUAAAAUGGUAUCACUAUAAACUUGACACCUUCCCCGUCAACGACGCCAUUUGAUUCGUGCCCAAUUGGUGUCUCAGCUGAUUCAUGUCCAGCUGGUGCUCCUUGUUUGAGGGAGUAAUCAACAAAAUUUAUAACCUAUUACACCAUAUACUAGGGUAGCAAAGAAAAAUCUACUAUAGUAUAACGACUCUAGGAUCGUUCACUGGGAAGGGUUUCCAAAUUACAAAUGAUACCAAUUCAAAGUGAAUUGGUACUUUUUCAUUUCAAGGUUAGCUCACGAAAUAAAACAAAAACUUUGAUUGGUAAAGAUUUAGAUUUAAAAUGACUACAAAGCAAGUGAUGGAAAUUACUUAGGAAGAAAAACAUUCCUUGGAGAGUCAGGUUCACUGGGGUGGUUCCUCAUGCAAAAGACAUAGCUCAGGUCAGUUGGUUCAUUUCCUCGCGUGAGAGAAUCAACAUAUAGUCAAUUCUCUAACCGGUGUUGUACAGAUACAUCCUUUAAUUAGAUUUCAGCUUUAAUUCCCUCUCACUGAUGCAACUUGCUAUGGUUCAUGCCUCUCACUAAGCCUUAACCAUUCAAGGUGAUCUUUAACCUUGGACUUCCCUUCUCAAGCUCGCAAGAGAUAACUAAUGGAUGUCUCCUUGGAGUCCAAAAGCUUACCAAGUGUUGGCAAUUCCAGAAAAUCCUACCUUCAAGUCACCUCCCAGAGGCUCACAAGGGGUAAACUAGUGCAUCUCCAUGGUUUGAGAUCACUUGCCUUACCAAGUGUUGGCCCAGGUGACUCUAAGGUGUUUUAAGUUAACUAAAAACAUAGAAAUCACUAAAGGAUUUCACUUCCUCUUCAUUCAUGGCUGAAACCAUAAAGCUUUGCAUUCUUGCAAUUGGAACCUUCCCCGGCAACCUUAGCUCCAAGGAACUAAAGGUUUAGUUACUCAUUCUCUGGGGAAAAUUCCUCAAAGAGUGCAUAACUUCGUAAGAAAUAAAAAAAUACAAAGUGAGAAGGUAAGGCAAAACAAAGGACCUGAACUUUACUUGAUUUUCCAAAACUUUACAAAAGGUCUCCUCUCUCUGAGAACAGGCUCCCGAGAGGUAUUUAUAUGAACAUAAUAUAAAACUAAUUAUUACAUGGAUAUUUUCUCUUUUUACUAACUUAAAAGCUAAGGAAUCUUGUAAUUGGUGGCUUACAAGGAGUAUUUUGGGAUUUAGACAACAAAAAUCUGAUGGAAAAUAUCUCCCAAUGUCGGUAGCAAACAUCGGGAAGCACUACGGACCAUUUCGCAAGAGAAAAUGAUGUCUGCGAGAUUUCGCAGACACUCAAAAAGGGCUGCGAAAUCACUUCGCAACAAAAGGAUAUUCUCACAGGGCUGCGAAGUUGGCUUCCAUCUUGAGGUUCUCAGCUUCCAACUUGUCGCAUUUAUUAGACAACUUCAGGAGGAAAUCCACCACACUGUACAAAAAGGCUGCGAAAUCACUUCGCAACAAAAGGGUGAUUUCGCAACACUUUGCAAAAUGCUUCCUUCAGCUUAGAGUGAUUGACUUGAAAUGGCUGUAACUUCUUCGUUUCAACUUCGAAUUGCACACCGUUUGAAGCAUUGGAUUGUUGACUUCCUGAGCUUUGAAAUGGUAUAUAUCAUGCAUCAAUUGGACUUCAUGAAGUGCUCCAAAAGUGGCUGCCACGACUGUCAUCAAGAAUAUGCUUCAUGGCAGAUUCUCUUUACUUUUUCUCCUUGCAUUCCGGAUCAACUCUUGGAAAAGGGCUUCAAAGAUUUAGUUCUUCAUGUUUCUGAGCUUCCAAUUGCUUUGCCCCAGAUUCCAAAGAACUCUCCUCAAUCUUGGAUUGCUUUGGUGAUCAAAUUACUAACAAAAACACCAAAACUUAACACAAUUUAAUUAGAAACAAUUGCAAGGGUCCUUAUCAUGCCAAUUGAGUUAAAAGGCCAAAACUACUACUCAAAAGUGUUUGAAAAGAUUAAUUACAAGCUAUCAAAUAGCACUUUUUGAGUAGUAAUCAGUAUUUUGCAUGCUACAUCAUAUUAUGGGAAGAGCGGUGAUCCUAAGAGUAAAGAACAGUGGGACAUUGAACGGUUGCAUGAUGUUCCUCAACAAAAGUAUGAGUAAGUAAACAAAUAUCGAAACUUCAUCUUAUCAUUUCACCUUUAUGCCUUAUACAGUAAAUUUUUUUAGUCAUCUUAAUUUUGAUUACUUGUGUUUUAUGCAGUGGUGAUUGUGGGAUGUUCCUGAUUAAAUGUGCAGAAUACUUAAUGCAUGAUCGGUGCCCGCAUUGAUUGGUUUAGAUAUAAAAUGGCAACUGAAUUGUUCUACUUCAAAAAUUAACCCAUGUAGUGGGUUUCAUUUUGAUUAUGUAAUAGGUUUAUAUGUUGUUGAGUGGUGACUAUUAUUUUGGAUGAAUUUGACUUGAUGCUCAAAGUUACAAUUUUUGUAAUGUAACUAUAACUAUCAACUUAACUAUAGUUAAGUUAUUUGGUAAUGCAACUCAACAAUUGUUAAGUUUGGGUGAAUAUUCUGAGUGUGAAUUUAACCACAAUUAAGUUCUUUAUUAAUGCAACUCAACCAUUGUUAAGUUCAGGUGAAAAUUCUAACUGUGAAUUUAAUUGUGCUUAAGUUCUUUGUUAAUGCAACUUAACUAAUGUUAAGUUCAGGUGAAAUUUCUGACUGUGAACAUAACUGUGGUUAAGUUCUUUGUUAAUGCAACUCAACUACUGUUAAGUUCAGGUGAAAUUUAUGACUAUGAACUUAAUUGUGGUUAAGUUAUUUGCUAAUGGAACUUAACUACUGUUAAGUUUAGGUGAAAUUUAUGACUGUGAACUUAACUGUGGUUAAGUUUUUUAUUAAUGCAACUCAACUACUAUUAAGUUCAGGUGAAAAUUUUGACUAUGAACUUAUCCACAAUUAAGUUCUUUGUUAAUGCAACUCAACUACUGUUAAGUUCAAGUGAAAAAAUUAACAAAGAACUUAACCACAAUUAAGUUCUUUAUUAAUGCAACUCAACCAAUGUUAAGUUUAGGUGAAAUUUAUGACUGUGAAUGUGGUUAAGUUCUUUGUUAAUUCAACUCAACCAUUGUUAAGUUCAGGAGAAAAUUCUAACUAUGAACUUAACUGUGGUUAAGUUAUUUGUUAAUUCAACUCAACCAUAGUUAAGUUCUUUGCUAAUGAAAUGAUCAUCAACUUAACCAUAGUUAAACUUAACCAAGUAAUUUAUAUGAUAAAACUAAAACAUUAACUUAAAAUUUCAAUCCAUCAUUCAAAAAAAUUGCUUUAAGCAUAUAUAAAAAUAAUAAUCUCACAAAUUCCUUCAUGGCCCUAUACAAAAAAAAAAAAGUGUAGAUACAUAGCUAAAUCAUCCCCAAAAAACAAAUUUUUGGGUAACAUUAUUAAAGUGACUAAUGACUAGUUGUAAAGAGAAUUCUUAGAUGUUGAUAUUGCUUUCAACAAUAUUCACACAACUAUGUUCAUCUCUAGGAUGUAAUGGGAUUGGUCGUUUGCAUAUUUUUCUAUUAUGCCUAUAAUCACCACAUCUACCACAACAUCGUGAACACUUAACAUCUUCAAUUGAAUGAAUUCUCUCCUUUCUUAGUCUUCCUACUGGUCGCCGAAUUUUUGGUGGUAGCACAACUCUACAAUAGAUGUCUUCCGGAAUGACCCAAUCUUUGUUGUUUCCAUUAGGAUAUAUAGACUUUGAGUAUGAAGAUAUAAGCGAGUUCUUCAUAUAGUAUUGAGAGCAUAGAGUAUAGCAUGACAUGUUUCCAUAUCUACAUGCAGCAAUAGCAUGUGCACAUGGAAUAUGGUCAAGAUCAAACACCUUACAUGUGCAUAAACAGGUUUGCAAAUUAACUUGAUUACUUACCCCAACAUAUUUGACAUUAAACUCCCAAGAGUUUAUAGGCUCAACCUCAUAACUUGAUGACUUAUUAAACCUUAAGCAUAACUCCAUGUUAGCCCAUGUAGUAAUCUCAAUUUUCAUUGAUAAUGCUUGUUGUUAGCGAUUUGAAAACCAUCUCUGAAGUAAGUUCCUCAACUCUUCAACCAUUCGCACAACUAGAAGAUCUCUUGCAUCUUUUAGUACAACAUUCAUGCACUCAACGAUCCCUGUAGUCAUGAUAUUAUAUCUUUUUCCGUUACUGUGUGACCGAGCCCAUUGCUCUACUCCUACAUCCACUAAAUAUUUGGUUGCUCUUAGAGAAAUCAUCUCUAACUGACCAAAUAUAGUAUCAAAAUCUGACAUUCGAUAUGCAUGGGCAACAUCAUGAAACAACUUAUGUACAUUAACAUUCUUGAACUUUGUUUUCAAGUUUUGCCCUAAAUGAUAAGUGCAUACGCCAUGGCUUGCAUGAGGAAACAACUUUUGUACUAUUUUUUCAAUGCUACCAUGUCGAUCUGAAACCACCACUAAAUCAUCUACAUGCCUAAUCACAUCAUAUAAUUUUAUAAGAAAUCACUCCCAAGAAGAAUCAUUUUCUGAAUCACCAAUUUCGAAAGCCGAUGGGUAGAUUUGAUUGUUACCAUCUUUGCUCACUGCAACAAACAAAGUCCCUAAAUAUUUUUACUUCAAAAAUAUUCCAUCAACUGCAAUUACUGGCCUUAUUAAUGUACGAAACCCAGAAAUACAUGUACCAAAUGCCAUAAAUAGAUACUUGAAUUGAUUGUCAACAUCAGUAACAAUAUCAGUUAUUGUCCCAAGAUUUUUUUGCUCUAGCAUAUAACAAUAAGAUGGUAAAGCACCAUAAGACUCUUCAGGUGAUCCCCUAAUGGAGUUAAGGGCAAUUUCUCUUGCUCUCCAUGCCUAAUCAUAACUAAUUUGAACACCGUACUUGUUUCAAAUAUCUCCUAUAAUGUCUUUGGGACGGUAUUGACGACCAACUUGAUAAGUUUGUCUCAUGCUUUCACCAACAACCAACCAACUACUUGCAUGACAAUUAUAACGAGACAUCAUGUCCAACCUGCAAGUGUGCAUAGGAUGGCAUUUCAUUACUUGAAAGAAGUUAAAACUUCCCAACUUAGUUGCACAAAAUCGCCAUUUGCAUUCAUUAUCAACACAUUGAAGUACCAAUAACUUGGUAGUAGAUUUUAUCAUUUUAAACUCAAACUUCUCUUUCAAGGCAAUAAUGUACAAUUUUUUCUACAGUUCUUUCUUACUAGAAUAAAUUUGCUUCUCUUCAAUAUGAUCAUCAUUAGUGCCAUAAUCACUAGUACCUAUCCAACUCAUGUCUUGGCUAUUAUUACUUACCUCCUCAAUCAUGGUUGGAGCAUCAUUCAUGGGACCAUCUUUUAUAUUCAUGAUGCUAUGAAUUUUCAUUAUUUGAGCUGCUUUGUUGCUUGAAUCCCUAUUUUCAAUCACUUGGACAUUGCUGGUCAGGUUGGUAUCCAACAGUCAUCAUCAAUAGCAUACCCAUUCAUGUUCCAUUCAACAACAUUAGAUCUCUCAAGUGGCUCAUAGUUGAAUUUUGUUAUGCUUUCAUCACCAACGACAUUAAGAGAUUCUAUUGAUCCAUCAUUUACAUGUUCAUUUCCAUGCAUAAACAUUGACUCUGCAUUAUUUUCAGAUCUUCUAUCCAUAGUGAUGCAUAAUGGAGCUGGUAACUUGUUCGUGUAAUUUAAACGAAUGAAAAAUUUAACAUCUCCAUCAUCUCUUAGUUGAAUUGGUGAUGUUGGUAUGUUACCACUAAAUGCAUACUUCAUUGAAAUUGAACACUCAACUGGAUCUAGUUGAAGAAUGCGAUACACAACUCUCAUUAAUUCAUGAUAUGAUAUAUUCUUCUUCAUUGUAAUGUCUUUACCUUCACUUCCUUUAAAGUGGUAUGUGUUUCCAUCUUGUACCCAAUUCCCUUUAUACAAAAGCAUUAUUCCUACUUCAUCAAUGACUGCAAAAAUAAAUAUUUCACUACUACAAAAAUAAUUUAUGGUGUCACUAUUUAUGGUGUCACUUUUAAAAUAAUGACACCAUAGGGUUUAUAAUUAAUAAAGGUGAUACAUCAUGUAAAAAAGCUUCAAUUGAGGUAGUUAGAUGAUGUUAGUUUUAUAUUUAUAUUGUCAUUUUUUGGGAAGUGACAUCAUAUAAAAUAAAAAUUUUUAAGUAUUACAACUCAAAGAGCCUACUUGAGCCCACUUUUAGAAUUAAUAAUGAGGGACAAUAUAUUAAAAGCCCAUUGUUUCCACAUGCCACCCAUAAUCCAAAAAAUCUCACUAUAGAAACCCUAUAUAUAAAACCAUAAUCUUUUUCUACCUUUUCUCUCACCCAUAGUCAACAUGCUCACAACCGACAUUCUUCACUUUGUGGACUCCCAGAUAACCCAAAAUCUCUUAGAUCUAUCAUAUUUUUUUUCUUUUAUUAAUGUCAUUAUAUUUAUUGUUUCAACAUCUUUGUAUUAUGGUUUUUGUGAACUGGGUUUUCUUGAGUUGUAGGGAAGAAAAUUUUAGGUUUAAACUUCUAGCAUAGAAGAAGAAACCUAUAGAUUAAUUGAUUUUUUAAUCUGAACCAAACACAUGGUUGUCUUCUUAAAAACAAGAAAAAAUGAAUGAUUUUUAAUAGGUAUUUGUGUGAGAAUGACCAACUUUCGUAUCAGGAUGCCUUGUUCACGCUAUGCUUUGUUCAUCUAAAAACCCAACUCUCCAAAACCCUAUGCUCUGUUCGCGCUACCUCUGUCUCACUCUCCGGUUUCCCCUCUCCCACUCUCCUCUCUUGCUAUCGGAUUGAUCAAAGAUUCUGAAAAUAUCUCGAAUAAAUUCCGAAAGUAUUUCCAAAAUUUAUUUUAGGUGGAGAUUCAUUAAGAUUUCGUUCCAUUUGUAUAUAAUAUAAGUGAUACAUGGUGGCUCUAUUGAAUUUGUAGAUAUGGUAUAGGUCGUAGCAGGAGUUUUUCAUCUUGGUCGGUUCAAAAAGCUAGGGUUUGUUUCACCUUUUUCUCAGAGGGAGAAAGGACGGAGAUACAAGAAACAAUCGCCCCCAUUCAUCCCAAAGGUAGUCCUGACCCGUAAUAUUACUUUUCUUCUUCUUCUUCUUCAAUAUGAUUAUCGUUUCAGUAAUCCAGAUAUCUCCAUUAUAAUUCCUAUAUCUUGAUGAAACAAUUCCAAUUUGAUAAUCUGGGCAGAUAUCCAUUUAAAUUCCUAUAUCUUGGUGAAACAAUUUCAAUUUGAAAAUUAAAUAAUUGUUAGAAUUCAGUUUGUCCUGAUAUUUCAUCAUAUGGUUCAGCGAGUAGCUCGGUGUCACCGAAGUCAAUUUCAAACCUAGAAUAGAAAAUAAAAAAUACCCCAGCUCAGUUUUCUUUCCUUUUAGGACGAUCAAAUUGGUGUCUUAUUUAAGUCUUUUUAAUUCAAGAAGACCACCAAACAUACCUCAAACCGGUGAAGGAAUACAAGUUUAUUAAGUUGUAAUUGCUCACGCCUCAUCACUAGCGUUGAAGAUGUUUUUUAAUUUGUCCUCCCACAAGCGCAUGAUAAUCCAAUUCCUUAAAAGACAGAAAAAAAUUUAUAUAUAUCAGCUAACCCUCAUUUUCUAUGUGUGAAGGCAAAGGGCAUGUAAGAAAGGACCUCUUUGAUUGGCACCCCCUUCCCAGCCAUUCCACGUAUGAUAUAUAGAGGAAAAAAGGCAUAAUUUUGUACCAAGGAUGGUCUUAAUCUAGCAACCAUGUAUUUAUAUUUUUUUUUCAUAUUCAAGUAAUAUAUGGGCAACGGGUUGUCCACGGCCAAUUGAUUUGUCAGGUAGUAGUGUGUAGGUCCUGGGCCUAACAAGUAAGCCAGAUGUGGACUACUACAACCCCUGUGGCUUAUAAAGGCUAAACUGGGGUUAUGUGAUGGAUUAGAAUUAAGUUAAUGAUAAGAAAGAAGAUUAUAGAAAUGAUUAUGGUCAAGUUGGAAAUGGAUUAGAAUUAAGACUAAAACUUUUGUUGGUGUUAUAGAGGUGAUUUUUCAUGGAGCUGAUCAUUUUCCGAGUUUUAGUUUCUUGCCUAGUAUUUUAAUGUUUAUGGAGAUCGAACGAGUUUUGUGUAUUCUUUAUAUGAAAUAUUAUAAGGUUACUAAAAUGGAGACUUGUUUAUUCAAUUCCUAUGCCAUUAACUUCUACUAAUUUGAUUUUUUUUUUCAAUGCUUUCCUCAAUAUCUAAAUUUUAAUUAUUGAAGUUCCCUAUUAUUGCCCACCCUUUUGGGUUUCUUUAAUACACAAAUUUUCCUAUAAAAGAGAGAUUUUAUUUGAAGUAAAUUGUAAGCUAGAGAAUAUGGAUUUAAUGAUUGGGUUCAUUCAACUUGCUUCAACUGAACUCAACCUAAAUUGUUUGCCAAACCACCCAUCUCUUAACUCAUUCUAGGUAAGGAAUGUUGUUUCUUUGGUUAUAUAUGAAAAUUUGAGUUUAAAGGCUCUUUUUCUACUUCCUUUUUAGCAUAUUUAGAACCCCCAAAGUGUUUUAUAGUGAUAGUAGGGCUUUGUUUAAAUGCAAGUCAUUAACUUUUUUACAAUUGUUAAUUUAAGGGCAUUUAAAGUUGUAUAUAACACUAAAAUAGAAUGAAUUGUUUUCAUACUGUAUAAUUUUAUUUUUAUUUUUUUUUAUGAAUUUAAGUACUUUAUAUAUUAUAAUAAUAAUUUUUUUUUUUUUUUGCAUAAAAUUUCUUAAAGAUGAACUUUUGUUUUUGAGUCAUAAAUUCAAAAACUAGGUCUAAUCAGAAUCUUCAAUUUAAUCGCAAUUUUUGGAAUGGAAAUAUUUGAUAUGAUGCUUGAAAUAUAAUUUAAAAUAAAUAAUAUAGAAGGAAAAGAAAAUUAAUAUUAUUUGUAAAGUGGUUGGCAAAAGAGAAAAGGUCAUAAAGUAUAGAAAAAAAGUAUUAUCUGUAACCUGCCAUUAACAUAUUAUUGUGUGUGCAUAAGUUGAGUUUUUUUUUUUUUUUUUUGUGGUAAUUAAUGGGCAGUCCUUGCUUGGACUGGUUUUGCUUUGUGGUAUGAUUUUAGUGUUAACUAUAGGUCUUGCUAGAAUUUAAGGUUUUUUUGUGACCAUUUGAGCGAAUUAGUUUUUUAUAUUUAUGCAUUAAUAAUUAAGAUUUUUUAUAUUUAAAUUGAAAUAGUUUAAAAUCUUACUUAACUUUAUAAAAUUGAAGUUGUGUCUUCCUAAAUUAAAUUCCUAAAAAGUUGUUUUUACUUUCCUCAUUAUUGUUGAAUCAAAAUACUUUAUUUUGAAAGCUUUCUUCACUUCUUAAUAUUCUCAUUCGUAUUAAAUUUAAUAGUUUCUCACAUAUUUUCUAGUUUUUGGAAGCCUUUGUUUUAGGGGCUUGGCUUUAUCCAUUAUUGUGUGCCAAGUCACCUCCCAUGUUCUUUAUUAUUUAUUUAUUUAUUUAGGUGGAAGUGUUUUUUAGGGAAAGAAUCACUAAUUGGUGUGGCUAUCUACAAAAGAGAUCAUGUAGUGUGCUACAAUUUGUUAUGUAGGUCAUACAUUUUAGAAGUUUUUUUUCCCUUAUUAAUCUUAUCUCAAAUAUGAAUGAAAACUUCAAUCGAUUUAGACAAAAAUAAACAAUAAUGAAAUUAUUACAAUAAUGUAUCCAUUAACUUACUAUAUUUACUAUUUUGAAAAUGUUAUUUUUAUUAACAAAAAAGGUAAAUACUUUCAACUUUGAAGUUCACAGGGUAAGAAUAUAGUUUAUAGAUUAAUGUAUAAAAAUAGAGUAAUAAGUCUUCUGGGUAGGUUGCUAUAACUAUUAUUUAAUCUUGUUAUUUUACAUGUUAUUUUCACUAGAUCUUUUUAUUAGUUUGAUUUUAGAGUUUAUAGAUAACGUUAUCAUAAGCCCAAGUUUAGUACUAUUUUAUUUCAUCAUCUUCAUAGCUUUUAUUAAGAAGUAAAAUGUGGUUGUUAGGAUAGAGUCCUUAAAAGUAUUACAUGACAUAAAAAUAAAUGGAUUAUUCUGAUUAUCUUUUCAUUAUCCUAUAUUUAUGCAUUAAUAAUGUUAAGCAUUCAUGCUUGGCAUCUCUUACGUGGUACAUAACUUGGGAAAUAUGUUAGAGGUUGUAGUGAAUAUGUUUUCAUGCCCUACAACCCCGAGUAAGUGACGAAUAUUAUACUUUAAUUUGAGGUUUUAUGAUUGAUUUAUAUUUAUAAUUAUAUGCUAUUUUUGUUUUUAAUGUUUUAGCUUUCAUUGGAUCUUGGUAGUGAUUGAGCCAAGGAAAAUGAUAGUCCACUAUCUUGACCCUAUGCAUCACAAACCAUGUGAUGACUUAAAGGAUAUCGUAAACAUGUAAGAUCUUUCUAUUAUUUUUUAUAAAAAAAAAAAAUUACAUUCACCUCAAACACAUUUUUUUAUAUUAUUUCUAUAUAUUAAAACAGAUAACAUUUAAUGUUAUGCAUUUUAAUGUUAUUUUCUUAUUUGAUUUCAGUUUGGUGAUAAAUAAAAAAAAAGACAUAUUCUCAAGUAGAAUUCAAUGAAAUUAGAGGAGAAUGAGCUACUUUUGUGCUACAACUAAUCAUUAAUCAUGUUGAUGCAUCAUGAUCACCAUGCAUGGUGAGUCCCUUAGCUACUACAUGAAUUUUUCCAUAGGUAUUGUAUAGCAUUGCUUAUUCUUUGAACAAUGUUUCUAUUUGAAAAAAAAAAUAGUUCUUAGAUUUGUUCAUUUAUGAUAACAUCGAUCCAUAUUUAUUUUCUUCAAUAAAAUCUAUAAAACUCAUUAAACUAUGAAAUGCAAGUAUACAGCCUUGGGAUGGUGUGGAAUGGAGAAUAAAAAGAAAGAAGAAGGCAACAAGAUUUUGGGUUUUUAAGUGCAACUCUUAUGUCAUACAUUGUAGGACAUAAACAUUACUUUAAUUGGUACUAAGAAUUUUAGAUUUUUAGAUGCGACUUUUAUGUCAUUUUAUAGUUAGUCGGUUUUAUGCUUAUAAAAUGGAGGUAUACAUGAAUCUUGGGAUCUUUAACAUUUCUAAAUCAUGUUUUGGUAUGUAGUCACUCUUCUUUUUUAGUUUUAAUGGGUUUGAUAUGUUAGACGUACUAUCUUUUUGUGAACAUUUGAUAUACAAAUAUUAUUAGAUGCUCAAUGUAUUAUGAGUUAUUCUAUAAACAUUACAAAAAAAUGAGUUAAAUGUAAUAUGAUUGUUAUAUUUAUGGACAAAAUAAAUAUACACAGGUUAAUCUUACUUGUUAAUUCAUAAGCAUUACAAAAAUCUACAACUAAAAGCAAUCAUGUCUUCCACAAUAAUUUACAAUGAUAUGACACCAUAACUCAAAGGUGAUGCAUUUAAUGUGACACCCUAUCAUCACUACAAAUAUAUGGUGUCACUUCUGAAUGCCUCACCAUUUAUCUGCUUUGGUGUCACUUCCAAAUACGUCACCAAUUGGUACCCUCUAUGGUGUCAAUGGAGAAGGUGACGCUAUGUUGUAGUGACACCCUAUGUUUAUGGUGACUCGUUAUAAAUGUCACCAUAUAUCUUUUUCCUUGUAGUGUUUCAAACUAUCACGUUAAUAAUAAAAUAGUAAAACAUAGGAUAUAUUUUUAUUAAGUUUCAACUAUAGACUAUUGAUUACUACUCACUAAGUACUCUUUUAUAGCUUGAAACUAACUGUUUUACACACUUUUGAGUAGUAGUUAGUACCUUUUAAUUCAAUUGGCACAUUAAGGAACCUAGUAAGGGUUACUAAUCAAUUUUUAGCAAGUUUUGGUGUUUUUGGUAGCUAUUUGAUCAUUGAAACUAGCCAAGAAUGAGGGAGAAUUUUGUGAAAUCCAUGGCAAUGCAAGCUAAAGCUCAAAUACAUGAAGAAUCCAAACUUUGGAGCACUUCAUAGCCCUUUGCCAAGCCAAUCAAAGAUGCAAGGAAGAAAACCAGAGGAAGAAAUCCAACAACCAGCAUUUUCGCAAACAAGCCAAGAAUGAGGGAGAAUUUUGUGAAAUCCAUGGCAAUGCAAGCUAAAGCUCAAAUGCAUGAAGAAUCCAAACUUUGGAGCACUUCAUAGCACUUUUCCAAGACAAUCAGAGAUGCAAGGAAGAAAACCAGAGGAAGAAAUCCAACAACCAGCAUUUUCGCAUGGUAGUGCGAAAUUUCGCACACCAUGCGAAACCACUUGAGGCAGCCAAAGAAUUUUGCAUACCAUGUGAAAUUUCGCAUGGUGUGCAAAAUCUUCCUGUGCACCAACUCUGUUAGAUUUUUAUCUCCAAAUAUUUUGUGUAACUUCCUAUUUUCUCCUUGUAAUCAACUUAUAUAUUUUCAUAUAUAUAUAUAUAUAUAUAUUAUUUAGUGUGUGUAACAUCUUUUGAUAUAGACACACAAGGAUGUAAUCAAAAGGAGGUUGUAAAAUUCCCUAUAGUAAGAAAUAUACAAAGCUUUUGCUCUGCCUUUCCUUCUCAUUUUGUUUUCACUCUUCUUUCUAGCCAAAGAACCUCUGAGGAUGAUUUCUUAAGGGAUGAGUGGCUAGGCUUUACGUUUCUUGGAGUGAUGGAAGCUAGGUGAAGGACCUGAAUGCAAAGAUGAGAGUUGUCCUUGCUUUAAAUGAAAGUAGUUGUUAACCAUUAAUGUUUUUAUUUCAAGGUUUAGCUUUAAAUCCCUUAAAGCCACCUUGAAUGGCCAAUACUUGGUAAGCUUUUUGGAUUCUAUGGAUGCUUAUUGCUAGAUCCAUGGAUGUCUAUUAGUUAUCAUUUACGAGUCAUUGGAAGGUGGUUCAAGGUGAGGGUCUUUAGUGCUUAAAGCCAUUAAUGGGAAGUAACUAUCAUUUUCCAUGUACCCUUUGAAUCAAAUCUUAAUUGCUAAAUAUAAAACCGGUUCGGGAGAUAACCAUCCUUUAUGUUAUUAUCCCCAACGUGAGGAGAAGAUCUAGAAUCUCCCCCUUUGUCUAAGGAACCCGAUCCUAGUGACCUACUACCCUAGUGUGAGGUGAUUUAGGUUUUAUAAAUUUUGUUGAUAACACCCGUCUGAGCUAGAAUUAAAUGGUGUCGCUGCCAGGGAUGGUGCCAAAGUACAUUGACAUGAUUUUUGGUGAACACUUGUGAUCUUCAUCACAAGUUUGGUGAUUUUUAUUUUACUAAUUCUUUUUUUUUUUUUUGUCUAUAUUUUAGCUUAUCUUUUAUUUAGUUUUUAGCUAACCUUAACUUUUUCCUAGAAUUGUAUUUCUUUUAUUUUCUUUGUUUUUGUUUCAGUGAUCUCUAGUUGUGCAUGCCCUAUUGGAUAAAAGAUUGAGGGAAGACUUGUGAAAAUUGAAACUCCUCGAGAAACUGAGUUGGAAGUGUGCUUAAACAUCAUGGAUGUUCCACCUGAAGACCAGAAUAGCCAACAUGGUCAAGAGGAUAAUUUCAAUGAGAGACCACAUGCAUCCACCUUGUAUGAGCGCACCUUCAUGCAUAGUGCCUCCCAUUGAGUAGAUAGUAAUUCGACCUCACAUCGUGCCACUCCUACCUACUUUCCAUGGGAUGGAAAGUGAAAAUCCCUACUUGCAUAUUAAGGAAUUCAAGGAGGUUUGUAAUACAUUCCAAGAAGGAGGAGCUUCAAUUGACUUGAUGAGGCUUAAGCUAUUUCCUUUCACCUUGAAGGAUAAGGAAAAGAUAUAGCUCAAUUCUCUAAGUCCAAGGAGUAUCCGAACUUGGACUGAUUUGCAAGCCGACUUUCUCAAGAAGUUCUUCCCUACUCAUAGGACCAAUGGUUUGAAAAGGCAAAUUUUGAAUUUCUCGAAUAAAGAGAAUGAGAAAUUCUGAGUGUUGGGAAAGGUAAAUGGAAGCUAUUAAUGCUUGUCCUCACCAUGGCUUUGAGACAUGCCUCUUAGUGAGCUAUUUUUACGAUGGUAUGUCUUCUUCAAUGAAGCAACUCCUAGAAACUAUGUGUGGAGGAGACUUCAUGAGUAAGAAUCCGAAGGAAGCCAUGGACUUUUUGAGUUAUGUGGCUGAAGUUUCAAGAGGAUGGGAUGAACCAAAUGCUAGAGAGGUGGGAAGAAUGAAGUCUCAACCUAAUGCUAAGGGUGGGAUGUAUGUUUUGAAUGAAGACAUUGACAUGAAGGCAAAGAUUGCAGCUAUGGCAAAGAAAUUGGAAGAGCUAGAAAAGAAGAAGAUACAAGAAGUGCAAGCUAUUUCUGAGACGCCAUUGCAAGCUAUGCCUUGUUCCAUUUUUCAAUCUUAUGAGCACCUGAUGGAGGAGUGUCCUACAAUUCCAGCAGUGAGAGAGGUGUUUGGAGAUCAAGCAAAUGUUAUUGGUCAAUUCAAGCCCAAUAACAAUGCUUCAUAUGGCAACACCUACAAUUCGAAUUGGAGGAACCAUCCAAAUUUCUCUUUGAAACCAAAGCCACCUCAGUACACACAACCUGCUCAAGCACCUCAGCAAUCCUCGAAUGUUGAACAAGUUAUUAUGAACCUUAGCAAGGUUGUGGGAGACUUUUUGGGAGAUCAGAAGUCCAUUAAUGCUCAAUUAAAUCAGAGAAUUGACAGUGUGGAGAGUACAUUGAACAAAAUGAUGGAUAGGAUGCAAAAUGAUCUAUCUCAAAAGAUAGACAAUGUCCAAUACACAAUCUCAAGGCUUACCAACCUCAACAAAGUGCAAGAGAAAAGAAAGUUCCCUUCUCAACCUCAUCAAAAUCCAAAGGAUAUCCAUGAUGUGGAGGCUCAAGAGGGAGAAUCUUCAAAGGUGAGGGAAGUCAAAGUAGUUAUCACCUUGAGAAGUGGUAAAGAGGUUGAUCAGCCCACAUCCAAGUCAAAGCAUGAUGAAGAAAGUAUAGCAGAAAAAGAAAACAAUGAGGAAAAUAAAGGAAAAAGAAAAGGGAAAAGUACAAAGAAAGAUGACCAUGAGUCUAAUGUGGAUGAAAAACCCGAGAGGAUAGUGAUCAAUGAAGAUAUGAUGAAGAAACACAUGCAGAAACACAUGCCUCCACCUUUCCCCCAAGCUUUGCAUGGCAAAAAUGGAACCAAUAAUGCAUCAGAAAUUUUUGAAGUGUUGAGGCAAGUGAAGGUCAAUAUCCCUUUGCUAGACAUGAUAAAAAAAAGUGUCGAAAUAUGCAAAAUUCUUAAAGGACUUGUGCACUGUAAAGAGAGGGUUGAAUGUGAACAAGAAAGCCUUCUUGACUGAGCAAGUGUCAUCAUACAGUGCAAGUCUCUAGUGAAGUACAAAGAUCUGGGCUGCCCUACCAUCUAAGUGAGUAUUGGAGGGACUUGUGUGGAGAAAUCUUUGCUGGACUUGGGAGCAAGUGUGAAUUUGCUACCCUACUCUAUCUAUAAGCAGUUGGGACUUAGAGAGUUGAAGCCAACAUCCAUCACUCUAUCUCUGGCAAAUAGAUCAGUGAAGAUUCCAAGAGGGGUGAUCAAAGAUGUCUUAGUUCAAGUUGACAAAUUCUACUAUCCAGUGGAUUUUGUUGUUCUUGAUACGGAUCCAGUUGUCAAAGAAACUAAUUAUGUUCCUAUCAUACUUGGAAGACCAUUCCUGGCUACAUCAAAUGCAAUCAUCAAUUGUAGGAAUGAGGUCAUGCAAUUCACAUUUGGCAACAUGAUAUCGGAGCUCUGAACAUCUUCCAUUUGUACAAGAAGCAUAUCCAUCCGGAAGAAGAAGAAGGCCUAGAGGAGGUGUGCAUGAUUGACACUUUAGUGGAGGAGCAUUGUGAUCAAAUAAUGCAGGAGGAUUUGGUUGAGAGUUUUGGGGAUUUUGAUGAAGGGUUACCAGAACCCUCAGAUUUACUUGCUACCCUGCUUCCUUGGAGGAGAAGAGAAGAAAUUCUACCCUUAUUCAAUGAGGAGGAGAUGCAAAGAGCUACUAAGGAGGAGCCCCCAAAGCUUAUUCUUAAGCCACUACCCACAGAGUUGAAGUAUGCAUACUUGGAAGAAGACAAGUAGUGCCCUGUUGUUAUAUCUUCAGCUCUUACCAUUCAUCAAGAGGAUUGUCUACUUGAAGUCCUUAGAAAAUGUAAGAAGGAAAUAGGGUGACAAAUUUCUAAUUUGAAAAGGAUCAACCCUUUAGUUUGCACCCAUCAUAUUUACAUAGAGAAUGAAGCUAAGCCAGUUUGUCAACCUCGGAGAAGGUUGAACCCUCACAUGCAAGAGGUGGUGCGAGUUGAAGUUCUUAAGCUACUUCAGGCCGGUAUUAUUUACCCCAUAUCAGAUAGCCCAUGGGUGAGUCCUACUCAAGUUGUGCCAAAGAAGUCUGGGAUCACGGUAGUGCAAAAUGAUAAGGGAGAAGAUAUCUCUACACACCUCACUACAGGAUGAAGGAUUUGUAUCAAUUACAAGAGGUUGAAUGCGGUGACAAGGAAUGACCAUUUCCCGUUGCCCUUUAUUGAUCAGAUGCUUGAAAGGGUCUCUAGACACCCUUUUUAUUGUUUCUUGGAUGACUACUCUGGGUACUUUCAGAUAGAAAUUGAUGUUGAAGACCAGGAGAAGACCAUUUUCAUGUGCCCAUUUGGCACCUAUGCAUACAGGAGAAUGCCUUUUGGCUUAUGCAAUGCACCUGCAACUUUCCAAAGAUGCAUGUUAAGCAUUUUCAGUGAUAUGGUGGAGCGUAUUAUGGAAGUCUUUAUGGAUGAUAUCACCAUAUAUGGAAGUACAUUUGAUGAAUGCUUGGUCAACUUAGAAGUUGUUCUAAACUGAUGCAUUGAGAAAGACUUAGUGCUUAACUGGGAGAAAUGUCAUUUCAUGGUACAACUAGGGAUUUUCAUUGGGCACAUCAUCUCCAAGCAAGGCAUUGAAGUUGACAAAGCAAAGGUUGAACUCAUUGUUAAGUUGCCAUCCCCAACAAAUGUCAAAGGAGUAAGGCAAUUCCUUGGCCAUGCCGAGUUUUAUAGGAGAUUUAUCAAGGAUUUCUCUAAGCUUUCAAGGCCUCUUUGUGAACUAUUGGUCAAGGAUGCUAAAUUUAUAUAGGAUGAUAGAUGCCAAAGGAGUUUUGAAGAAUUGAAGCUAUUUCUAACAACCGCACCAAUAGUGAGGGCUCCCAACUGGCAACUGCCCUUUGAGGUAAUGUGUGAUGCCAUUGACUUUGCUAUAGGAGCUAUUCUUAGGCAAAGAGAAGAUGGAAAACCCUAUGUGAUCUACUACGCGAGUAAGACAUUGAAUAAGGCACAAAGAAACUACACAACUACCGAGAAAUAAUUGUUAGCUAUAGUUUUUGCCUUGGAUAAGUUUCGUGCUUACUUGGUGGGGUCUUUCAUUGUGGUUUUCACUUAUCACUCUACUUUGAAGUAUCUGUUGACUAAGCAAGAUGCUAAAGCAAGGCUAAUUAGAUGGAUUCUCUUGCUUCAAGAGUUCAAUCUCCAGAUCAAGACAAGAAAUGAGUGGAGAAUGUGGUAGCAGACCACCUUUCAAGGCUAGCUAUCGCACAUAAUUCCCAUGGUUUGCCCAUUAAUGAUGGUUUUCCAGAGGAGUCUCUCAUGUUGGUGGAAAUUGCUCCUUGGUAUGCUCACAUUGCGAACUACCUAGUCACAGGAGAAGUUCCAAGUGAGUGGAAAACACAAGAUAAGAAGCACUUCUUUGCAAAAAUUCAUGUCUACUAUUGGGAAGAGUCAUUUCUACUCAAGUAUUGUGCGGAUCAGAUAAUAAGGAAGUACAUUCCUGAAGAAGAGCAACAGGGGAUCCUUAGGCAUUGCCAUGAAAAUGCAUGUGGAGGCCACUUUGCUUCUCAGAAGACAGCCAUGAGGGUAUUGCAAUUAGGUUUAUGUUGGCCAUCACUUUUCAAAGAUGCCCACACCAUGUGCAAGAGUUGUGAUCGAUGCCAGAGACUUGGGAAGUUGACACGCAAGAACAUGAUGCCUUUGAACCCCAUUUUGAUAGUUGAUCUUUUUUAUGUUUGGCGCAUUAACUUCAUGGGACCUUUCCCUAUGUCUUUUGGCUACUCUUACAUCUUGGUGAGAGUAGAUUACGUGUAUAAGUGGGUUGAGGCAGUCCCAUGCAAGCACAAUGACCAUAGAGUGGUUCUCAAGUUUCUCAAGGAGAACAUCUUCUCAAGAUUUGGGGUGCCCAAAGCCAUAAUUAGUGAUGGUGGUACUCAUUUUUGCAACAAGCCUUUUGAAACUCUCCUAGCCAAGUAUGGGGUGAAGCAUAAGGUAGCUACACCUUACCACCCUCAAACUAGUGGGCAAGUUGAGCUAGCAAACCAGGAGAUUAAAAACAUAUUGAUGAAGGUGGUGAACACGAACAGAAAAGAUUGGCCAGUCAAGCUCCUUGAUUCACUGUGGGCAUAUAGAACAACUUACAAGACCAUUCUCGGGAUGUCUCCUUAUCGCCUAGUCUAUGGCAAAGCAUGUCAUCUCCUUGUAGAAUUGGAAUACAAAGCUUGGUGGGCAAUCAAGAAGCUCAACAUGGAUUUGAGUAGAGCUGGGUUGAAGAGGCUCUUAAACCUCAAUGAAAUGGAGGAAUUGGGAAAUAAUGCCUACCUCAAUUCAAAAUUUGCAAAGAGAAAUUGAAGAGGUGGCAUGAUUAUUUGAUUUCUCGCAAGGAUUUUAAAAAGGGACAAAUAGUCUUGCUCUAUGACUCUAAGCUCCACAUCUUUCUGGGCAAGCUGAAAUCAAGGUGGAUAGAUCCUUUUACCAUUCACCAAGUGCAUUCAAAUGGAGUAGUGGAACUACUCAACUCCAACAACACUGGGAGCUUCAAAGUGAAUGACCACCGUCUCAAGCCCUUUGUAGAGCCUUUUUCUCGCGAGAAGGAGGAAUUCAUCGUCUUUGAUCCACAUCAAGCUUGACAAUACCAGUUUUCUUGAUGGACUUAGUCUUUCUAAAGACUAUUGAGUUCAUAUUUUUUUGUUUUAUUUUUAUUUAAGAGUUUUCCUGUAUUAUUACUUGUUUUGAUUUUGAUUUCUCGUUUUAAUUUUAUUUUAGUUUGAUUUAACUUAGGUUUUUUAUGAUCAAUUGCAGGGGGACUUCAAAGCAGUUGUCUGUGUCCUUAAAGAGGAAAAAUCAAGAUAAUUCACACACCCUACGAAAUUUUCACAGGCCAUGCCAAAUUCAUGGUUCAUUUCACAUGGGGUGCGAAAUUUCGCACAUCUUGCGAACCCAUUUCGCACACCCAGCGAAAAUAAAAACACCCUGCGAAAUCAUUUCAAACACUCUACGAAAUUUUCGCAGACUAUGUGAAAAUUUUCGUAGACCCAACACUAUUUCGCACGUUGUGCGAAACCAUUUCUCACACCCAAAGCCAUUUUGCACGCUGUGCGAAAACGAAAGGUCACCAUGCUCUCCAUUUUUAAACCCAAAGCCCCAACUUCUCCAUUUCGCAAACACCAAACACCCUACGAAUCCCUUAUUUUUCUUUGCCACCUUGCAACCUUGUCCCUCUCCAUUCGACAUCUCGCCCCGCUCAUCUCAUUUCGAAGACUCGCCCCUUCUGAGCGCAGACCCGAGGCUCAUCUUCCAUUUUCGACAUGGCACGGACCAAAAGAGCCCUUCCCAUCCCUUCACCGAGACGCACUCCAAGGUAGAAAGCCUCCUCUACUCAGGUGCAUAGUGAUUCUCCAUCUUAGGCCAUAGAGGCCCCGUAGAUUCCACCUUUCGAGGAAGGAGCAGCCACUGGUACUUCCUCUCCUGCUCUUCAGCACAGAUACGAGACGAGGAGACCACCUACUACACCAGGGGCGACUACUUCGCACCCUAAGAGUUCAGUACAGUGCUCUCAUACCAAGAGGGCCAGGACUUCAAGCCCAGGCAAGUCAUCUAGAGCUUCAUAGCCUGAACCUCCUAUAGAUUCUGAGGUUCCUUCGGACCUGUCACCGGAGUUUAUUGUCAGACGUCCGAUGCUCACAGCACCGCCCAUUGAGGGCAACUCAGAUUGCAGAGCGAGACCUUUCCACUCGGAGCUAUAUUUUGAUCAGGAGGCCAUGCGACAGCAGCUUGAGCUCCGAGACUCUUACGGCCUACUACAGAGGUACCACCUUGAGCACCUCAUGACUCCUUGUGAGUUCUUUUAUCCCAUAGUAGCACUAAACUUUUACCAGUCCAUGACUACUUGUGGCGUCUUGAGUCCUACUGCGAUUCACUUCACCAUUGAUGGACGUCAUGGUAUCCUCGAGGCUAGACAUAUUGUAGAGGCUCUUCAGAUUCCUUUCGAGCCAGUGGAUCCAUCUGCUUCCUACCAGUGGUCCCCAAUAUCUCAGAGGGACAUGGUCAGCAUUUUAUCCAAGGGGACCUCUACAGAUUCGAUCCCUCUAGGAAGGAGCUUCCACCUAGGAUACUCCUCGUAGAUGUGGUGCUACGCUCUAACCUCUUUCCCUUACAGCAUUCAAUACAAAGGCGAUGACUAUUUUGGACGCUUUAUUCCAUAUAUCAAAGGGCUUCUACUUUGGCCCGCACCACUUGAUUAUGACCUACCUCGUCCACUUUGAGGAAAAGUCCAUAGGAAGAAGCUUCAGAGGAAGGACACCAUUCCAUUACUAUUCCCGAGGUUACUAUGCCAAAUCUUGGAGUAUAUGGGCUUUCCUACUGAGCCUCGGCUCGAGCGUCGUCGCCUUUGUCGAGAGCGAUUCACUCUCGACAAAUGGAAUCAGUUGGCGGGCUAUUCUGCACCUCCAAGAGCCCCUCCCAUGGUAUCACCUCCAAUGCCCCCACAACCAGAGCAGGGCAAGCUCCUGGCAGAGACUACACCUCCAAUGCCCACACCUGAGGCUACUUCUGCUGCUCCGCUUACGACUCCUACUAUUCCACCAAUCACGCCUACUACAUCCGAGCCUUCCAUCACCAUAUCGGCUUCGGAGUUUCGCGCCUUUGUGCAUACCUUUCAAACACUCACCACCACACUUGCUGCUCUCUUCCAGCAGAUGGCUGAGAUGUGUGCCCAUCAGGACCAGCAGACUGCUAUGCUCUACCAAAUUCAACAGCACCUAGGACUUCUGCCUCCGCCUCAGCCUGAUGUUCCCGCAUCAUCAGAGCCUUUAGCUCCAGUUGAGGAUACUAUUCCACCUGAGGACACUACCACAGUAUAGGUCCGGAUUCCGCCACCUCAGGAUGCCACCACAGCUACACCAGAGAAUGCAUCAUCUCCACCUGAGGCUCCCACUACUUUAUCAUCGAACAUCUCUUUAUCUUAUUGUAUUUACAUAUUAUAUUACUAGAGAUUUGUCCUUGUUUUGAUACUUUAUAUUCUGGGAUUGGAUGUAUUACCUGAUCAUAUCUCAUAUUGUACUUUCUCAGAUAAUAUAUAUACAUCAUAUUUUUUUUUUUAUAUUUAACAUUUUUCUAUUUCCUCUACUUAUCACAAUUUUGUUUUUUGACUCAUAUGGUUUCCCCUAUACGACUCAAACUCCAUUUCAUUCAAGAGGUACCAUUUCCUCUCUUUAUUUUCACUUGCUCUUGAAACAUUAAGGGCAAUGUUGAGCUCGGUUGGGAGGAAAGUUGAGGAAGGAAGUUUUGUUAAUAAUGCUAGGUUAAUUUGUUAAUUUAGUUACUUUUUGCUUAAUUUUAAAAGUUUUUUUUACUCUACUUUCCAUGGUUAUUAAGGAAAAAUUCUCAAAAGGAAAUGGGAGAAAUCGAAUUCUUACCUUUUUACUUGAAUCUUAGAGUUUGUAUUAUGCUUAUUGAAGUUGAUGAAUUAUUAAAACUCCUAUGGAAUUCAACCUUAUUUCUUCCACUUUAAUCUUAUCACAGACUGUGCACAUUAGGUUCCGAUUAUAAGACGAAAAACUAUCUCACCCCCUAAACUUAGGAAAAUUUCGACUUGGUACCUUUGACUUUGUUUUAAUAGUGUUGGGACACCUUAUAAAAGGCCAAUGAGCCUUUGAAAAAAAAAAAAAAAAAGAACAAAGUGUUUCACUUGCCUUGAAACCCGAGCAAGGUCCGAGGGGUAUACGGCGAAAGUCUUUAAAACCUAGUGCCCUAAGCCUUUAUUGGUUGGGAGUCACCGACCUCAAUGCUCGUUAAAAGGGUGAAUAGGUGGAGUUUAACAUAUUGUAGGUGCUUGGGUAUUGAAUUUCAAUCUCAAAAGUCUGGGGUAAAAUCUGAGAAGUUAGUGGUCGAAAGAUCCUUAAAGCUUGAUGCCCUAAACCUUUAUUGGUUGGGAGUCAUCGAUGGAUCCCUGUUACAUGGACAUUUUAAAAAACAAUACCUUUAGCAUUGCACUCCUACAAUGAAAAAAAAUUGUGGAAAUAAAAGAAGUGUGUUCUUAGCCUAUUGGAGGUUGGUUAGUUUGCUAAGGUUUGAGAAAGAACUAGGCUGGGGGGAGAGAAUAGUUCGACAUACUAUAAUCGAAAGCUAUUAAGCUUAACACUUAGAUUUUUGUGAAAAAAAUAAGGUUUGGAUCUUUGGGAGUGAAAAUUCUUUUGUUGCUUAAAUGUUCAUAAUGCCCACUUUUUAUAAAUUGUGAUUAAGCAAGGUAUUUGAUGACUCUUGUUGAAGGUUGGGUUUUGCCUCUUUGAUGUUCCAUGAGAGAGUAUAAUCUGCAUCAUGCCACUUGAAAUUUUUUUGGAGUGAUUAGCAUGAUUUUGUAAAUUAUUUUACUGUUCAUGUUUCUUUAUCUCUCCUUCAUUGCUAAGGGACUAGCAAUAUGUCGGUUAGGGGGAGUGAUUACUACUCACUAAGUACUCUUUUAUAGCUUGAAACUAACUAUUUUAAACACUUUUGAGUAGUAGCUAAUAACUUUUAACUCAAUUGGCACAUUAAGGAACCUAGCAAGGGUUACUAAUAAGUUUUUGGCAAGUUUUGGUGUUUUUGGUAGCUAUUUGAUCAUUGAAACAAGCCAAGAAUGAGGGAGAAUUUUGUGAAAUCCAUGGUAAUGUAAGCUAAAGUUCAAAUACAUGAAGAAUCCAAACUUUGGAGCACUUCAUAGCCCUUUGCCAAGCCAAUCAGAGAUGCAAAGAAGAAAACCAGAGGAAGAAAUCCAACAACCAGCAUUUUCGCAUUGCUGUGCGAAAUUUCGCACACCAUGUGAAACCGCUUGAAGCAGCCAAAGAAUUUCGCAUACCAUGUGAAAUUUCGCAUGGUGUGCGAAAUCUUCCUGUGCAUCGACUCCGUUAGAUUUUUAUCUCUAGAUAUUUUGUGUAAUUUCCUAUUUUCUCCUUGUAAUCAACUUAGAUAUUUUCAUAUAUAUAUAUUUUUUAUAUAUUUGGUGUGUGUAACAUCUUUUGAUAUAGACACACAAGAAUGUAAUCAAAAAGAGGUUGUAAAAUUCCCCAUAGUAAGAAAUAUACGGAGCUUUUGUUCUACCUUUCCUUCUCACUUUGUUUUCACUCUUCUUUCUAACCAAAGAACCUCUGAGGAUGAUUUCUCAGGGGAUGAGUGGCUAGGUUUUACGUUUCUUGGAGUGAUGGAAGCUAGGUAAAGGACCCGAAUGCAAAGAUGAGAGUUGUCCUUGCUUUAAAUGAAAGUAGUUGUUAACCAUUAAUGGUUUUUAUUUCAAGGUUUAGCUUUAAAUCCCUUAAAAUCACCUUGAAUGUCCAAUACUUGGUAAGCUUUUCGGAUUCUAUGGAUGCUUAUUGCUAGAUCCAUGGAUGUCUAUUAGUUAUCAUUUACGAGCCAUUGGAAUGUGGUUCAAGGUGAGGGUCUUUAGUGUUUGAAGCCAUUAAUGGGAAGCAACUAUCAUUUUCCAUGAACCCUUCGAAUCAAAUCUUAAUUGCUAAAUAUAAAACCGGUUCGGGAGAUAACCAUCCUUUAUGUUAUUGUCCCCAACGUGAGGAGAAGAUCCGAAAUCUCCUCUUUUGUCUAAGGAACCCGAUCCUAGUGACCUAAAGCUCUAAGAGACCUUUUCUCAGUAGUUAACUUCACUUAUUAUUUUUUCUUAACUUAAAAUCAAUCUUUGCAACCACAAUUCCAUUUUCUUUAAAAGCUAAUUUUCAUAAGGAAAAACACCAUUUUAUUUCUUUCACUAAAGUCAAUUGUACGAUGAAACCCCAUCCUUGUGGACGAUCCUAGAGCCACUAUACUAUGUUAGCUAUGCUACCCUAGUGUGAGGUGAUUUAGGUUUUAUAAAUUUUGUUGAUAACACCCGUCUGAGUCAGAAUCAAAUGGCAUGACUGCAAUGGGGACGAAUCAACUAUGCAAUGAAUCUUAAAACAUAUAUUUUUAUUUUUAUUAAAUAACUCACUACAUAACAAUAUGUCAACAAUUCAAUCUCAGUUUUUCAGUAUAGUUAUAUAAAAACGGAGUUUUGCUUUGAAUAGAAACACAUAAACUCAACUUAUGUUAAGUUAAACCUGACAAAUAGCAAAAAUUGUUAUUCAAUGCAACAAUGCAACACUUCCCAUAAAUCAAAUAUCCAAACGAACAAUAUAUAACUACAAUGGGUAUUAAUCAUACGAGCAAUACUAAAACCGUAAUAAUUCUCUAUGCAUGUGAUUUAUUGCUUACCAUCAUAGGACCUUGCCAUAUGGAUAAAUCUUUUCAACUUCUUUUGAACAAACUUUUCACUUUUUUAGAACUAACAAUGGAGUCUCUAUUUUUUACCUACAAUGUUGAAGUGAGAUUUUGAAUUUUCAAGAAACAAAAAGAAAUAAAAUGAUAAUAUAAAAAAUAAAUUGUUGGUUGCUUACAUUUUUUUCACAUUUUCGUGACCAAGAAUGAAGAAUAGAUGAAACAAAGGUAAGAAGUUAAACUUGUUCUCUGCAAGAACAUAAUCUGCUAUAAAACAAAGGGAAAGGGAAAGUUGUCUUAAAGAGAAAAAUAAGGGGUAUUUUUGUCUCAACCAGGUCAACUUUUUUGCUUUUUGACUGGUGGGUUAUAUUUGCAAAUAUGGGGGGGGGUUGGGUUAUUUUGACCCCUUUAACCAAAUAACCCAUUAAUUUUUAUUUUACUAUUUUAUAGAUAAUAAUAAAAUAUUUUUUAAUAAAAUAAGUUAUAAAAAAAUAUAAUAAUUUAAUUAUUUAUAAAAUAUAUUUAUUUUAAUGUAAUUAAAAAAAUAUAAAAGUAAUUUAAAAAAAAAAAAAAAGUUGAACAGGGCGGGGCGAGACGAGUAUGGGAAUUUCUCAUACCUACCCUGUCCUACCUCGCCCUGUUUAAUUUUUAAAAUGAGACAAGGAUGAGAAUUAUUUUAAAUAAAUGGAAUGAGAUUGAGAUGGGGGCAACCUGUCCCAAACCCGCCUCAUUGUCAUCCCUAAUCAUUUAUGAAACUCUCUUGUCAUUAUUGCACCACAUUUCACAUGCCUAGCACAAUUCUUCCUUAUUUUAAUCGUUGUUUGGAUUUUUCAUUGCUUUUUAAACUCUUUUAUAAAUAAUUGAAAAUUGGCAUUAUUUUCUAUUUUUAAAUUAUAAAUAAACAAAAAUUACAUUAAUGAUUCAAAAUCUAUUUUGAAAAAUACUUUCUAAAAAAUAUGUUAUUUAAAUGAAUAAAAACUAUCUUUUACAAUUUAGAAGUAAAUAAUUUAAUGAUUAAAAUACUAUUUAAAAUAAACAUAUUCAUUGUUUUCUUUUCUUUUAUACUAAAAAGCAUUUAAAGGUUUAAUUUUUUUUUAAUAUUCCCAAAAUAAAAAGUUUAAAUUUUCUUUUAAUUUCUUCUUUCCUUGUUUUAAUAACUUUCUGAACAAAACUUCUAACGAUAACAUAUAUGAAAUGUUACGAAUUUGUCUAGUAAGGAAUUUUUUUUAAUGAUUUGAAUUAAUUGAAAAUUUAUCAAAAUAAGAAAAAAAAAAAAGGAUAGAGAGUUUUUAAUUUAAAAAUUCAACUAAAAUGUUUUCGUAUAACCUAAUUUUAGAAGUGGUUUGUGUCAGUACAUAGUAUAGUAAAGAUUGAAUUUUUCUUUUAUAAAAGAGUUGAAUGAUAUAAUUGCUCAUUUUAGAUUAAAACAAGUAGUACAAAAUUAUCUACACUAUGUUUGAGUUUGGUUUGAAAACAUUUUUCUAGUUUUUAUUUUUUUAUUUUUAAAAAAAAUAAAUUUUAUUUUCUAUAUUUUCUCUUUUCGAAAAUACAUUUCAGUGAAAAAAUAAAAACUAAUUUUAAAAAUGAAAAUUGAAAACCUAGUUUUGUACUAUUUUUUUUUUUUGUAUAAAAAUAAAAAAAAUUCAUUUAUUGAUUAUCCUUUUUAGUUUUUUUCAUUAGUUAUUUUAAUAAUAAACUAAAAAAAUAUAGUGUGUUUACAAUUAAACAAAGGAAUUGGUCAAUUGUGUGUGUUUUUGUAUUACUAUCUUUUACAUAAAAAAAUAAUGAAAUAACUAAAUUAUAUAUAUUUAUUACUCUUUUUAAUUUUAUUUUCUAUAUUAGUUCUUUUUUUGUGUAAUAUAAAAUUUUAAUAUAUCCAUAAUUAACAAAGUAAUGGAUUAAUUGUACACAUUUGGACCCAUUAAAAUAAAUUACUUUAUAAUUUAAAUAAAUAAAAUAAGAUAAAUUUGGAGUUAUUUCUAUUUGCUAACAUAUCUUACAUUUAUAUUUUUUAUGGUUAAAUAAAUUUUUUAUUCUUUUUUUUUUUUACUUCCAAAAAUAAAAUGAAAUAAAUAAAUGAAUUUGGGCUUAUUUCUCUUUUCUAACAUAUCUUAUAUUUAUAUUUUUUAUGGUUAAAUAAAAUUUUUAUUUUUUUCUUUAUUUCCUAAAAUAAAAUGAAAUAAAUAAAUAAAUUUGGGCUUAUUUCUAUUUUCUAACAUAUCUUAUAUUUAUAUUUUUUUUAUGAAUAAAUAAAUUUUUUUAUUCUUUUGUUCUAUAUUUCUAAAAAUAAAAUGAAAUAAAAAAAAUUGGUGAGAUAAUAGUUUUUAAAUAAUUUCUGCCUUAUUUUUAAUUACAUUUUGCAUUGAAAAUAAAAUAAAAGUGUUUUAUUUGUUUUACUUAUGUAAAAUGUCAAACCAUUGAAAACAUAGUUCAUAAACCCAUAUGGACAUAGUUUAUGCAUGUAUAUGCAAUUUAUAUCAUUGUACAAGGGUGUUAUACUAAUUAUAUAAAGCAAAUACGCUAAUUGCACAAGGGAUGUACAAGGCUACCCUUUGUAAAGGAUUUCAAUUGAUUUUGAAUAACUUUUUUUUUUUUUUUUCUGAUCAUCCAGGGACUACACCCUCUCCAACCCAUGGACGAAAAUGUUGGGAUAUAUCGACGAUAUAUCAUGUAUCAGAGGCUGACAACACGAUUGUGGAGAAAAAUCGGAUGGGGGAAAAUUCGGCAAAAUAUCGUCAAUAUAUCACUAAUUUAUCGACGCAAGGCAAUAAAUCAUCGAUUUUUUCAAUAAAUCGGCUGUAACGGGAGAAAAUCACUGAUAAAUCGUAGAUUUUUUGGCGAUUUUUUUUCUCCUCUCUAGCGUGAUCAGACAACACAAAUCACGUCUGCGUUAAUCUAACAACCCAAAUCACGCCCGCCAUGUUUGCCUACAAUGGUCAUCCAUCCAAUGCCCCAGAUUCAAUCUGGGUUUGAUCCAACGGCUAGGAUGAGAUUCGAAUAGUAAAAUCAUGAUCCAACGGUUAGAUUUCGCCCAGAUUUUGAUCCAACGACCAAACUUGUUUUUCAAUGGUAAAAUCAUCUUCCAACGGCUAUUUUGGCCCAAAUUUUUCCUAUAAAUAUCCCAUUUUGCAUCCAUUUCAUCCACCUCUGAUUUCAUUCUUCCUUUGCUCCCUCAUUACUCCAAAUUUUUCUAAGGUUACUCAAUUGUUCAAUUAUUUUAAGGUAUGCUUGUUUUAAAUUGUAAUUAAUUUUGUUUUCAAUUGUAAUUAAUUCAUGUAUUUUCAAUUAAUUGGUAUAUUUGCAAUAUGGAUAAUUUAAUGUUAUUUUUACAUUCAAUUGUAAUUAAUUUGUAUAUUUUUAUUGGAUUAAAUUAGGUUAAUUUGAUUAUUUAAUUAUAAAUGGAUAUGUUUAUUUUAGAUGAUUAUUUAAUUUUAUUUUCACAUUCAAUCUAGUUAGAAUUAGAUUCAACUAGUUAACUUAGCUUAAUUAUUUAAUUAAUCUAAUUAACAUGAACUAGUAUAUUUGAAAUAUCAAAUAUGUUCAUUUUUUAUGAUUAUUGUGAUUUAUUUUCACAUUCAAUUAUAGUUAAUUUCUAUAUUUAGUAAAUUUUUUCAUAGAAUUAAAUUUAGAUUCAAAAAAUUAACUUAUCUUAACUAUUUAAUUAAUUUAAUUAACAUGAGCUAGUAUAUUUGGACUAUCAAAUAUGUUCAUUUUUUAUGAUUACUGUAUUUAUUUUCACAUUCAAUUAUAGUUAGGUUUUAUAUUUAGUAAAUUUUUCAUAGAAUUAGAUUUAGAUUCAAAAAAUUAACUUAGGUUAAUUAUUUAAUUAAUUUAAUUAACAUGAACUAGUAUAUUUGGAAUAUCAAAUAUAUUCAUUUUUUAUGAUUAUUGUAUUUAUUUUCACAUUCAAUUAUAGUUAGUUUCUAUAUUUAGUAAAAUUUUCAUAUAAUUACAUUUAAAUUCAAAAAAUUAACUUAGCUUAAUUAUUUCAUUAAUUUAAUUAACAUGAACUAGUAUAUUUGAAAUAUCAAAUAUAUUCAUUUUUUAUGAUUAUUGUGAUUUAUUUUCACAUUCAAUUAUAGUUAAUUCCUAUAUUUAGUAAAGUUUUCAUAGAAUUAGAUUUAGAUUCAAAAAAUUAACUUAGCUAAUGAUUAUGUAAUUUUAUUUUCACAUUCAAUUAUAAUUAAUUAGUAUAUUUUGUAGAUUUCUCAUGGAUUUAAAUUUAGUAAACUAACUUAGCUAAAUUAUUUAAUUAAUUUAGCUAUUAGCAUAAAUUAGUAUAUUUUGAAUAUGCUCAUUUUACAUGAUUAUUUAAUUUUCUUUUCACAUUCCAUUGCAACAUGUUAAAUUUAAAUGUUUACUUAAUUUUUGUUUACAUUGAAAUCACUUUCAAGUAUAUUUUUUUUGCAAUAGAUUUAGCAUGGCUAGUGGAGGUGGUUCUCCCAUGCCAAGGCGAGAUCCAGCUUAGAAGUAUUGUUCACUAGUUGAAGGGAACAUAAAUGAGACAAUUUGUAAUUUAUGUGGGUUGUUGAUGACAAGUGGAGGCAUCAUGCAAUUUAAGUUCCAUUUAACGUAUAAUGACCCACAUAACAACACCAAAAAGUGUCCGAGAGUGCCUCCCAAAGUGAAAGAAGAGAUAAGAUUGAUGGUGCAUGACAAAAAUAAAGCAAAAGUAAAGAAAACUGCAGAUAUUCAAGAGAUUCAUGCUCAAUUACGUGGCACAAUGUGGACUAGUGAUACACAUUUGAUAGACGAAGAUGAUGAUGAUGAAGAUGUUGAAGAUGGAUUUGUGUAUAUCUAUUUGACAAAUAUGCACCCAAAUAAGCGGGAUGCAUAUCAAUUUGUAGUGUGUACCUCGAAAGCGACAUAAUGGGAAUGUCAAUAAUAUGAGAAUAUUGUAGGAAGCAAAUGUAAAAUGGGGAAGUCUUCACAGUCUACUGGUACACCAACGACGAUGCAAAAAUCACAAAGUAUGCGACAUUCGAACCAAUCACCCCCUAUUGCCCUUUCGCUCUACAAGUCUUCUACAGACAAAAAAAAUAUUAAAUAUAUAUUGAAGGGUGGUUCAAUUCAAGAAACGAUGGGAUGCUUAAUUAGCAAAUUCUUCAUUUAUGAGAGUGUCACACCCCAAAAAGCAAAGUAUCAUCACUUCAAGAAUAUCAUAAUUGGUGCACAACAAGUAGGGAAUUACUAAUUUUUGAAUUGUUAUAUUGUUUUAGACUUUUAGUAAGUAUAAUGUUUUGUGACAUGUUUUAAAUAUUUGUUACAUAUGAAUUGCAGGAAUGGGAAUCGAACUUUCAUCUCCAUACGAAAUAAAGAACAAGAACUUGGGAAUGGAGUAGAAAGAAAUGGAAGCUUAUGUGAACCAACAAAGAGAAAAAUGGAAGACAUAUGGGUGCACAAUAAUGUCAGAUGGAUAGACAGGGCCCAUACAAUUAAGUAUUAUUAAUUUCAUAGUUUAUUCAAAAUGGACCACGGUGUUCCUUAAGUCAAUCGAUGCAUCGAACAAUAUCAAAGACCACAAGUAUAUAUAUGAGCUAUUGAGGACUAUUAUAAAAAAAGUCGGUCAAGAAAUGGUGAUCCAAAUUGUCACAGAUAACGGGUUGGCGUUCGUGAAAGCAGGGAAACUAUUGAUGAAGAAGUUUAACUUAUAUUGGAAUUUGUGUGCGGCGCACUGCAUCGACUUACUCUUUAAAGACAUUGGUAAAAACCCUAGUAUUACAGAUAUGAUAAACAAUGCUCGCAAGAUAACCAACUUCAUUUACAACCAUGGUUGGUUACUUGCACAGAUGAGAAAGUAUUGUGGUGGAGACAUUGUUCAACUAGGAGUUACAAGGUUUGCUACUAAUUAUAUUGCUAUUGAUAGUCUUCUUAAAAAAAAAAAAAUUGUUUAUGAGUGAUGAAUGGGCACAACACAAGCUCAGUUGGACAAAAACUAGAUGAGAUUUGGAACAAUUAUUGUUUGACCAUGCGUAUUGGGACAAAGUGGCAAAAAUAGUUUCAUUAUAUGAGCCAUUAUACGUGGUGCUUCAACUUAUGAAUUCUGAAGUUGUUCCCACAAUGUCAUUUGUGUACGAGCUUAUGCUCGUGAUGAAAAAGAACCUUAUUCAUCAAGGAGCUAGAGAUUGGAUCUUCAAAAUAAUAAAAGAUCGUUGGAAGAAAACAUUAAAACAUCCACUUCAUGCAACAAGUACUUAAGUACUAUCUAUCUUUAUAAGUUUUUACUAUGUAUUUAAUUUUCUCUAACAAAAUACUAAAUCUACUUAAUUUUAUUGUAUCAUACUUCUUAAAUCCAAGAUUUCAAUAUAGGUGUGGAGUUGGUAGUAAUCCAAAACUACUGCAAGUGGUCCAUAAUGUUUUUGUAAAAUUAGACCCAACUACUGAAUCGCUUGGUCAAAUGAGGUAAAUAAAAAAUUGUUAUUUUUGUCAAUAAAACAAUAAUUUUAUUCAUCAAUUUAUUUGAACAUUUACUAAAAAAAUAUGAUAUUAACAAAUUAAAUGUUGAAUGCAUAGCUUGUAUUUUUUCAAGAUGCAAAAAGAGGAUUGGGUGAUCAAGCGGCGAUUGCACCAAGGUCAACCAUGGUGUCCGGUGAGUAUUUAUUAGAAAAAAUUGAUUAUCAUUAUUUUCAAUUCACCAUAAGUAUUUAUAUAAUUAUCAAAUUGGUUGCAACUAAAUGGUGGUUCAUGUAUGGGAAUCAAACUCCUACAUUGAGAAAGUUAACCAUCAAAGUUCUCUCACAAAUUGCGUCAUCUUUUGCCUGUGAGAAAUAUUGAAGCACAUUUGCUCUCAUCCACACAAAGCAACGAAAUCGUUUGGCUUACCCUCAACUGGAGUAAUUAGUUUUUUGUUACUAUAAUAUGAGGCUAAAGUUACGCAAUAUGGAGACAAAAAAUGAUUGAGUUGCUGAAAAAGAUUACCUUAAUCUUCUUGACAUUUCAACCGAGAUGGGUGAAGAAGAAGAUAAUCAGUUGUUCCAAUGGGUUAGGCCUAUACACUUGGAUGAUGAAGUUGGAAAUCUUGAUCCACAAAUUGCUGCUCAUGGUCAAGAAUUUGGAGUUAAUGUUGAACGUGUGUUGUCCGAUCAAGUUUACUCUAAAAUUUUUAGCAAAGAUACUGAUGAUUCAUUUUAGGCUGCAUUGAAUUCCCACCAAGAGGUUGACUCCACAAGUGUUGGCCAUAGUAGUAGACCUAGUGCUGUAGGUACUUCUGCUUCUGGUUACGAUGGUUCAAGAGGUGGUUCUGAUGAUGGAGGUGAUAAUGCGAGAUGAGAUAUUUGGGAACGUCAACAAAGUCAAUACCCAAUCAGCCAAUUUACAUGUGAAAAUGAUUUUACAUACUGGACACAAAAUGAAGACCAUGACUCUAGAAGAGCUGGUUUAGGCAUAAGAGCUAUUGGGAAGCCCUAUAGAGGAAGAGAACGAACAAUGGAACCAUAUAACGAGGAGUCACUUUCAGGGAGUUAUGAAUCUAUGAGUAUUGGGACUCAAUUUAAUGACUUCUCAAAUGAGGCUAACGUUUACCUUCCUCAUGUGAUGAGUUAUGGUCAACCUUCAAGUUCAACCGAUGAAGAGUAUGGUAUGUCACAUUGCUCCCCUUCCACACAAAUUUCAUACCAAGUUCCAUAUCAAAUGGAAUGAGGAUUUAACAUUAACACAUGGGUGAACCUUGAGUAUCCUAUCCAUGUAGAGGCAUUGGGCAAGACUCAAGAGAUAUAUGCAUGACAUGUUAGAAUUUUUAACCAAUAUUAUCGAGGCUCAUUGAGUUGGUACCAAUAUUGUCUCCAACAGCAAGAUGAGUUUCCUUCAUCUACCAAUUCCAUUGAACCACAUCGAUCCUCAUUUUGGUACUAAAGGGACAUUGCAAUGUAAUGUGUAAAAAUUAUUGAUAUUUAACUAAAUGAAGUAUUUUAUGUGACUUCAUAAUGAGUGUACAAUUACAAACUUAACAUUUCUUAUAGAUCGACAUAAUAUAAUUACAUCUAAUAUCGCAAAUUAUAUCAUACAUAUAUCAAAUUCUUCAAUAAAAUAACUUUAUAAUGUCUAUUAUACUUCUAAUUAUAUUGUUAUAAGGUUUUUCUUGCAUUUCCAUGAGUUUUUAGCAAUUUUAGGCAUACCAAUUUUUUUUCCAAAAUAUCCGUCGAUAUAUCUAUAAAAUCGAAGUACCGAUAUAUCCAUGAUUACCAAUAUUUUUAUCCUUACUCCUACCACGCAUUCUUCCAUCAUGUACUCAUCUCAUGUAUUUUAUUUAACUCACAUAUGGCAACUCGAAUACUUACCCCAAUAAUGAUGUUUGGGGAAAAUUUUUGUUUUUACGUCUUAUAAUCUUUUCUAAACCAAACCAUUAGAAACAUAGUUCACACAUCCUAUGUGGGCACAUAAUGUAUGUAUGUGGAUUGAAUUUGCACCAUUAUACAAGGAUGUUAUACUAACUAUACAAGACAAAUGUACUAACUAUACAAAGAGUACACAAGGCUACCCUUUGUGAAGAAUUUCAAUCAAUUUUGAUUAACUUUUUUUUUAAUCAUUCAAUGAUUGUGCACUCUCAUUCCUCCAUCACACACUUAUCUCAUGCAUUUUAUUUGACUCACAUAUAACAAUUCAAAUACUUAUCCCAAUAAUGAUGUUUGGGGAAAAUUUUUUGUUUUUACGUCUUCCAUCAUUUUUUAAAUCAAACCAUUGGAAACACGAUUCACAAAUCUUAUGUGGACACAUAAUUUAUGCAUGUGUAUAGAAUUGACAUCAUUGUACAAGGGUGUUAUACUAAUUGUACAAGACAAAUGUACUAAUUAUACAAAUGGUGUACAAGGCUACCAUUUGUGGAAGAUUUCAUUCGAUUUUGAGCAACUUUUUUUUUUCUUGUCAUUUAAGGAUUGCACACUCUCAUGACACAUAGUCAUCUCUUGCACUUUAUUUAAUUCACACAUGACAAUUCGAAUACUUACCCCACUAAUAAUGUUUGAAGAGAAAAAAAAAAUGUCUUCCACCAUUUUAUAAACCAAACCAAUGGAAACAUGGUUAACCUACCUAUUGGCACACAUCAAGUAAGGGGUAUAUGGAAUUUGCACUAUUGUACAAGGUAUUUACACUAAGUGUACAACGUAAAUAUACUAACUGUACAAGGGGUGUACAAGGCUAUCAUUUGUAAAGGAUUUCAACUGAUUUUAAAAAACUCACUUGCUUAUUUCCCUCGGCCAAGGAUGGAGGAUAUUCUUCACACACAUUGGUUAAUCAUACAUUCAUCUCAUGCACUUUAUUUAACACGUAUAUUGUCAUUUGAAUACCUACCCCACUAAUGAUGAUCGUGAAACAAAAUUGUACAACAAUUUUUCCCUUAUUUAAAAUUAAACCAAUGCAAACAUGAUUAACUAAUCUAGGGGUAGAUAUUCACAAGGCAAUGCAUGGAAUCUAAGUCAUUAUACAAGGGUACAUGCAAGGAGGAAAAUGUCGUUCGACACAAUAUUUCAUGGAGAAAUAUCGGUCCGACGAUAUCUCGCAAUAUAUCAGUGAUUUUCCUCGAUAUAUCGCAUGGUCAACAUGGGUCAACGAAGUCAAACGCACUACAGUGAAGUCAAAUGUGUUACAGUGCCCCUCCCCUUUUGCUUGAAAUUGCUUCUGAGGGGAUUUGAACCCUAAACCUUUUGGUUUGGGGUUCACUCCACUUGCCAUCUGGGCUAACUUGCCCUUGUAAUAUAAAGUGCACCAAACAUAUAUAUACUUAAACUCAUUAUAUAAAGAAAAUAUUAAAAGAAUAUUUUAAAGAGCAAAUUAAUUAUAAUUAUUUUAUAAUUAAAUGCAAAAUUUUCUUUUAAUUAAUUACCAAAAAUAUAAAAAUUAUAUAAUUUUCUUCAUAAUGUUUUGAAUAUCAUUAAUAAUUAAUUAAAAAUUAAAAAAUUAUAUAUAUAUAUAUAUAUAUAUAUAUAUAUAUAUAUAUAUCAUAAUUUAUUUUAUAUUGUUUAAUACAAUUGAAUUAAAUGGAUCAUAUUUUAAUAUUAAUAUAUAUUUUAAAAUUAGACAUAUUAUAAUCAAAUAUCAUAAUAUUAUAUAUAAUUUAAUAAUAAAUGUACACUUAUAAAAUUCAUAUUUUUAUCGAUGCAUACAAUAGUAUUAUCAAAUAUGAUAAAUCAUGUUAUACACAUAUCAAAAUUUUCAAUAAAAUAACUUUAAAAUGUCUAUUAUACUUCUAAUUAUAUUAUUUUGAGGUUUUCCUUACAUUUUCAUGAGUUUUUAACAAUUUUAAGUUUACCGAUAUUUUUUUCCAAAAUAUCCGUAAAAUCAAAGUACCGAUAUAUCCGUGAUUACCGAUAUUUUUAUCCUUGGGUACAUGUUACACUAACUAUACAAAACAAAUUUACUAAUUGUACAAGAGGUAUACAAGACUAUUUUUUGUUAAGGAUUUCAAAUGAUUUUAAAAAACUCUCCUGUUUUUUUCUUGUCACCCAAGGAGUACUAUACAAUCUCUCCACUCAAAUUCCCUCACCUAAGAAUUGUUUUGACUCUUAUUUUUAAAUUUCAUUAUCAAAAUUUUGUAAUUAUAUAUUUUGUUUUUAUAGUUUUAGCAAUAUUCUUUCUUUCCACUCCUUUUUUGUGAAAUUUUAUCCAAAUGAAUCUAUAUUUAAAAUUAUAAUCAUAUUUAUCAUUUGUUUUUACUUAGAUUAUCUUAAAUUCUUUUAAUAUAUUUAUACUCAUUUAUUUAAAAAAUGAAAAACUAAUUUUCUUUAAACAUGUUCUAUUACCUUUCAAAUAAAAAAUUAAAUAAGUUGGAAAGUCAAUAAAAGAAAAAUUAAAUACCACUUUCAAUAAUUUUUAAAUAAGAUUUUAUAUAACACAUUUUAUUUGAAAUUUCAUUUCCAAAGUUUCAUUAAAAAAAUUUGUGUUGACAAUUUUCUUGCUAUUAGUUAAAAUACUUUGCAAUAGUUUAUUUAGAUAAGAAAAAAUAUUAAUAUAAUAUUAAAACUUUAUAUUUUAGUUAUUUUCAAUAAAUUUAUCUUUUAAAAUUUUUUAAAAUUAAACAAAUUUAAAUUUUAAAAACUAAAGGGAAAUAUUAAAAAAAAAAAAUUAAGAGUGAAGUGAUAGUCAAUUAAAGAGGAAUAGAAGAGGAAAACGUGUAUCCACUUGCAAUGCUUAAUUGGAAUUGGAAGAAGAGUUUGAAUUUAGAAAGGGGCAAUUGUAGAGGAAAAUAUAAAAUCAUAAACUAAUAGCAAUUAAUACAAUUGUCAAUGAUAUAAUAAUUGAAUGAAAAUGGGAAUAUAAUUAUGAAAGAUUGUUAUAAAAUAUAAAUGUAGAUUGGAAAAAAAAAACUAUAAAAAGAAAACAAAAAACAAAACAAAAAGGCAUAAAUGGAUAAUGGGGAAUAGAAAAGGAAAAAGAAAAUACAAAGAAAUAGAAAUUCACACUCACUAUGUGUAGGGAUUAAUGAAGGAUAAUAUUUUUCAACUUAAUUUUUAUACUUUAUUUGGAUCUUAAGUUUAAAUGUGGGUGAUAAGAGGAUGUUGGACCAAUUUUCAGAUCCAUUUAACUUAAAGCCUAAUUCUCCAUAGCUUUUGAAAAUUUAAUUAAAAUAUUUUAAAAAAUGAUUGAUUCAAUUUCUUUUAUAUUUAAAUAGUUGAAUGUACAAGGUUUUCUACAUUUUUGUUAUGAAAGUCAUUUUAUUAUAUAAAAUUAAUCGCCAAAUUUAGAUUUGUCUUACAUAAUUAUAAUGUAGAAAAUGCUACUUAUCUUUACUUAUUUCAUAAUUUAUUUUUCCCCAUAUUGUUAUGGAAUAAAUUAGUGAAUGCCAAUAAUUCUUUUUUGUAUUAAUAAUGUAAGUUAAUUAAGUUACAAAAUAUUAUAAGAACAUACUUGCCUAAACAAAUAUCAUAAUUAAAAGUUUUUUUUUUUUUUUUUUUUUUGCAAUACUAUGAGCUUUGGGCCCAAAAAUUAUAAAUAACAGUUCACUAGCUAGAAAGAUAUAUAUCCUGCUUAAAAGUGAUGUGGCAUUAUAAAUACAAAUUUUGUGGCUAAUUUUUUUUUUUUUAAAUAUACAUUUACUACAAAUGUAUGUGAUUGUUAAAUGUCAUCCAUUUGCUAUGAACAAUAAUUUUUCACUGAAAAAUUGUUUUGCUAUGAAAUAAACUGUCAUUGCAAAAAGCCACUUCUUACCAUAAAAAUAUCUUCAUAGCUAAAAGCGUAACGGAAAAUGGAGAAAUUUGUUGCAGUGAAUUUUCCAAAAGCUUGCCGGAUCAGUUUAAUCCAAGAUCGUAUUGAAAAGGAUGAUCGAAGUGAACUGAAUUAGUCAACGGUUCAUGGCAGGACUAGGACAGGGCGGUCCGGUUUUCAAACCACCCGCAGAUAUGACGCAUAAUAUUGUUUUAGAAUCUAAAUUAGUCAACGGUUCCUACAUUUUUUACAGGACAUAGAUGUAAAAUUCACGAAUUUAAUGCUGCCUGACACAACAGGUCAACUUCCUGUGUCUUAUCUGCAUCCAAAAAAAUCAACAUUUUUAAAGAGUGUCCUUACACUAGCUACGUGGUGGACAUUGCUUCCCCACACGCAAGAUCUUCGCCAAUGAGGGGAAUGCAAGGACCGAAUUCAUUUUCAUGGUUAUUCUUUAGUGCCGAUAAACCACUAAUUCUGAAGGAUGUAAUUUUUUGUGAGAAUAAAUACUUUAUAUUUUAAAAAUUAUCAUUUUCAACUCAAGGGUUGCCACGUAUCAUCAUAAACCUAUUAAAUUCCACACGCCCGAGAUCACCAUGUGAAUGCAAUACUGCCAACUGCCACCCAACACAUGGUUGUCAUGGCUGCACUAUUGAAUAUUUCAACUAUAUGCUACAGGCGAUGAAUAGCGACAUGGAGUUCAACAAGAAAACCCGUGUCUCGUGACUUUACUAAUACUGGGUCAAAAGCAAACGCAGGAAGUAAGCUAAAAUGUGUGUUUUCGUGGAAGAAUAUUUAGAAGGAUACAUUCUUAUCAUGAUUUCAUCAUUAUAAGUUAGGUUUUCUUAUAUAAUUAAUAUUUUAAGAGAUUCAAUCUUUUGAUCGCCUCAACUCGCCCAAGAAGUGUCGGCUGGGUUUUGUUUUCACUACUAUGCAUCUGGGUCUUGUUACAGUGCCUUCGGUUCUAGGCUUCUAAUUCUUACUUUUUCAAAUUCUAGACCCAAUAAAUGAACUGUAUUCUGCAUUAUUGUGAAUCACCAAGCUUCCCAAAAGUAGCUCAAAGAUGAGAAACGACCCUGCCCAACUGGGGUUCUUCCUCUUUUUUCUCUCCCUAUGGAGACUCUUUAUAGAAAUGGCCAUGGCACAGAACACAGCAAUCCCAGUUAAUGCGGGAGUGGUCCUUGACUUUGAUACAUCACUUGGAAAGAUGGGUCUGAGCUGCAUCCCCCUGGCCCUCUCAGAUUUCUAUGCCUCUCAUGGUAACUACAAGGCUAGGCUCGUUCUGAAGACUAGAGACUCCAGAGAUGUUGGUACAACUGCAGCAGGUACUCUUAUCUCUGUUCUUCUUGCUCUCUCACAGUAGUAAUUAAGUGUUAUUUAAGUGUUAUCUGACCUAAUCUAUUAGAGUUUCUUCAUAUAAAUAUACCUUAUUUUGUUAAAACAAACACACAUUAAAUUGUUACUACCAUUAUUCUUAUGUGUAUUAAUAAUACUCUUGAGAAUGUAACUUUAUUUGAAGUUGAAUCAUAGUGUUGACCACAUCCCUCAAAACGUUGAAGAGUUCACUAAGGGCUAUGAGGUGUUAUGUCCUGGAUGUGAACGAUGUAGGUGUUGAUCAUUACAAGACCUCGGGGAGAAACAUCCACUCUAGGUAAAUCUAUGUACUUAGUUCUUUUAGAAUUAAUAGAUUUGCUCUAUGAUCACUUAAAUCCAUGAAUUUUAUACUUAUAGAGUUUCUAGUAUAUUUUAUAUGUGGUUUUCCAUGUACAUCACAUGCCCCUUGUGUGAUUGAAUUUUAUUUUGAUAUUUGAUUAUCACAUAUUCAUUACAAAAAAAUUAUAAAUGAGAAAAAAAAAAAUCAAAAUUUGGGGUUUAAAACUUAUGACUUCUUAUUUACCUCUCUCUAAGUAGUUUCAAGAAUCAAGAUAUAUAAGAAGUAUCAAAUUAUAUUAAUUCAAUUUACUAAUCCUAAUGUGAAGAAGUUUCAAUUUAUAGAUUUUGUUUUAAACCUAUAUUUCUACUUAUCCAUCUAUAUAUGCACACUCAAAUGAAAAAAUAGCAUGGGACUUUGAGGAAACAAACAAACUUCGUCUUUGGGGUGGUUAAUUGCUUACUAGUUUUGGACACAGGUUCAUCUCUAUCCAUCUUAAAAACUUCUGUUUGAAAGAAGAAUCAUCUCCACUUGAUUUGAAAGAAGAUAAAGGAAAAAGGCAAAUGCUGAAUUUUCAUUCUCUCAAGUUGUAUUUUCUGGUGGGCCUUCAACAUGAGAAUAACAAGGAAAUCAAAAGCUUUAAUUUCUUGUGACCCCUUUAAAUCUAUAGCUUCAAGAUGGAUGAAAUGAUAAAAAUAUUUUUAUAAAUUUCCUCCAAGUAGAGAAAAUGAAAACAAAGGGUUUAUUCUCCGUCCCUUCCCUUUCUUUCUCCUUUUUGUUCAAGUAUAAUGACUAAAGCAAAGCAGUGAUUUGAAUUUUUUUUUUUUUUUUAUCAGUUAAUGCUCUUACAUCUAAUGACACAUGAGACCCUUUAAAUUCCAAGACCAAGACAUUACUUGCAUUUUAUUACUGUUUUUUUUUUUUUUGGGAAUAAUUCAAAUUCAACUCUCUCCUACCAUGACUUUGCCCUAAUGGUCAUAAAUUUUGAGAGCCAAGCAUAUACCUCAUGACCUAGAAUUUUUUACUAUAUUGUUGUUGUACCUAUCACUAGAAUUUAGAGAGAGAGAGAGAACUACUCUAAUGCUUAUUAAUUAGGAUUUAGGCCCAUUGAAAUUGGAGCAUGUGUAAUGCAGGUAGAAAAAGACAAAAUUCCAAGCUGAUGUGAUGUGAAUUUCACUUAUAAUUUGUUCAAUCUUAUCUUCAAGAUAGAAAAUUGUAAGAAAAUAUUUGUCAUUCAUUUUGUACAAACAUAACCAAAAUGCAUGUGAAGCACUACUAUCAAAUGCUAGUAAAUUUGAAAUAACUUGUAGUUUGACUGUUGAAGAUGUGAACUUCUACAUGUUCCAUACUAUUGCCAACCAACACAUGAUUUCAUGGUGAAGUUGAGGAUUGGAAUUCCACUAUAUAGAAUACAGGAAAAAUACUAUUGGAUGGUAAAGCUUGAAUUAAUCUUAUGACCCUACAUAGAAGAUGUUCGAGAGAAAAGAUGUUCGAGAUUCUCCGGUGAGUUUGCAAUGAUUGAGCUUGUAGCUGUUAAAAGAAAAUUAAUUAGUUUUCAUUAGUGAGAGAAAAGAAAAAGUGUACGAUUGCAAUUGAGAGGAAAUUUCAUUAGUGAGUGAAGUAAAAAAAAAAAGUUUAUCCGAAAAGAAAAUGAAUUAUUGAUGUAAUUUUUGUGUGAAGUUGAUAGACUUCUAACCCAAAUGGCCCUAUUUUAUUAAAUGAAUUGCAGGAUGUACCUUGUUGAGCAUACAAUAAAUAGGUCGUCUUCCUCUUAAAUUAUAAUAUCAUAUCAUAUUUUAUUAUUAUAUUCGAAAAAUAUCUGAUAAACAAGAGGUUUUGUACCCUCGUUUGAUUGCUGACAGUAGAGUAUAAAUUUAUUCAUUCAUUUAAAUGUUUGUUUAUCGUUUGAACCUGCAUGCUCCUGAACUCAGCUGUAGACCUCUUACAAAAUGAAGAAGUGGAAGCCAUAAUAGGGCCCGGAUCAUCGAUGCAGGCCAACUUCAUGAUUGGUCUUGGAAGCAAAGCUCGGGUGCCCAUCAUUUCAUUUCUGCAACAAGUCCCUCUCUUUCUUCGCUUCAGAGCCAAUAUUUUAUCCGAGCUACCCUAAAUGACUCAACUCAAGUGCCGGCAAUAAGGGCAAUAGUCCAGGCCUUUGGAUGGAGAGAAGUUGUGCUUAUUUACGUGGACAACGAGUAUGGCAAUGAAGUCGUACCGUCUCUGACUAGUGCCUUGCAGGAGGUGGACACCCAUGUGACCUACCGGAGCGCCAUUCAUCCAUCGGCAACUGACGAUCAAAUCGUUAAAGAACUUUACAAGUUGAUGACGAUGUCAACUAGGGUUUUCUUUGUGCAUAUGCUUACGCCUCUUGGCUCCCAGCUUUUUACCAAAGAGCUUGUAAAGUUUUAAAAUCGGAUGGAAAAAGAAAAUCCAAGAAGAAUAUCCAACCAAUGAAAUCUCUGAGCUGAAUAUUUUUGGACUAUGGGCCUACGAUGCUGCUUCUGCACUAGCCAUGGCAGUUGAAAAACUUGGCGCGGGAAACUUCAGCUUCCAAAAGACCACCAUUUCCAGAGAUUCAACUGGUCUUGAGAGUAUUAGAGUUUCCCCAGUUGGCCCAAAUAUUCUCCAUUCACUAUUAGGUACUCGAUUCAGAGGCCUUACCGGAGAUUUUAAAAUUAUAGAUGGGCAACUACACACAUCAGCUUUCCAGAUAGUUAAUGUGAUCGGUGAAGGGGAAAGAGGGGUUGGAUUUUGGACAACAGAGAAUGGAAUUGUAAGACGAUCGAAUACUACUUCUAUGGCCAAUCUAAGAGCCAUUAUGUGGCCAGGAGAAUCUACUUCUGUUCCUAAAGGUUGGGUGUUUCCUACCAAUGGAAAGAAGUUGAAGAUAGGGGUUCCAGAGAAAAAGGGUUUUUGUGAAUUUGUAAAGGUGACGCGAGAUCCUAUCACUAAUAAAACAAAGGCCACUGGUUACUGCAUAGCUAUCUUCGAUGCCGUAAUGGCAACAUUACCAUAUGCUGUUCCUUAUGAGUACGUUCCCUUCAAGAUGCCUGAUAGAAAGGCUGCUAGUAACAAAGAUGAAUUGUUUCAAGGACAUGUUCUGGUCAGUCAUACUCUUUAGAUUCCCUAAUACAUAACAAUUUUCAUUCAACUGUAGCCAUCAACUGUCAAAUAGAGGGAAAACUGCCAUCCUUUUGCAAUGAAAUAUCUCACCGCCAAUUUUACCUUUACUUUUAUCAUGAACAGAAGUAUGACGCUCUGGUGGGAGAUUUUACUAUUCUAGCGAGCAGGUCCUUGUAUCUAGACUUUACAUUGCCUUACACCGAUUCUGGCGUAUCAAUGAUCGUGCCGAUCAUCGAUAACAGAAGUAAAAGAGCAUGGGUCUUUUUGAAGCCAUUAACUUGGGACCUUUGGGUGACAAGCGCUUGUUUCUUUGUCUUCAUUGGCUUUGUGAUUUGGACUCUUGAACAUCGAACAAAUGAAGAUUUCAGAGGGCCUCGUUCACAUCAAGUUGGCACAAUGUUCUGGUUCUCCUUCUCAACAUUGGUGUUUGCUCAGAGUAAUUACUCUUCCACCUCCUUCAAUUUUAUCUAGCAAUUUAUCUACUCUUGUAAUAUUCAAAUACAAAGCAUAUUCAGUACAUCUCAAACAAAUCGAAACUAACUUCUAGUAUAGCCUGCUUGCUUGUUUCCAUACAAUAUGCAAGUAAAUUUUAGGAUAAUUGUUAUGUUUCAGAAACUAUAUAUUUGCCUUUAUAUUGCUUUUCUGGAUUGGAUUUUCUUUUUCAUUCUUAAAUUACGUUAACAGAGGAGAGAAUUGUCAGUGACUUGGCUCGGAUCGCGGUGAUCAUAUGGUUAUUUGUGGUGCUGAUUCUUACUCAAAGUUACACAGCCAGCUUGACUUCAAUGUUAACAGUUCAACAGUUCAACAGCUUAACCCAACUAUCACUGAUAUAAAUGAGCUCAUAAAGAAGGGGGAGCGUGUAGGUUACCAAUAUGGCUCUUUCGUUUAUGAAUUCUUGAUCAAGUCGAUGAAAUUUGAUGAGUCCAAGCUUGUAAAGUAUGAGUCACCAGAAGAACUGGAUGAAUUAUUUUCAAAAGGUGGAAUUGCUGCUGCAUUUGAUGAAAUCCCUUACAUGAAGGUUUUCCUUGCAAAAUAUUGCUCCAAAUACACUGCAGUUGGACCAACAUACAAGUUUGAUGGGUUUGGAUUUGUAAGUGUUCUCUCUUAAAGUGUACAAAUUUUCAUGCAGCGGUUUCUGAUUUUUUAUCAUUUCAGGUCUUUCCAAAGGGUUCACCCCUUGUAGCGGAUGUUUCAAGGAAAGUUUUAAGCGUGACCGAGGGAGCUAAAUUGUUAGAAUUUGAGAAGGCAUGGUUUGGGCAAACAACCAGUUGUCCAGAGCUCACCAGCUCAGUUUCUUCAAACAGUAUCGGCCUUAAUAGCUUUUGGGGCCUAUUCCUCAUUGCUGGAGUCGCUUCAUUUGUAGCUCUCGUCGCAUGCAUCACCACAUUCCUUUAUGAAAAUAGAGACGCCAUAAUAAACUUGAAUCCCCCAUCUUCCAUAUGGAGAAAAAUUAAAGCCAUGGCUACACGCUUUGAUGACAAAGAUCUCAGGUCCCAUACCUUUAGAAAAAGUGAUCAACUUCCAGACAAGGGGCAUCAAAGCCAUGGAUGCAGUUACAGCCUCGCCAGCUACACCAACUUCCCUCCAAGUCCAUCAAGCCUUCUGAUCCCAACACACAGCGAUUUUGCCUUCUUUGGAGAACAAGGAACACCUUCUUCUGGACAUGGUGAUCCAGUCAGUCCAAAUCGGCCGAUGUCUCCUCACAUAUUGUUUGAAUAUGAGCUUGCUAAUUUAAAUCACGAGCAAACAAGACCGCCUGUAAUUGAAUAACUGAUCGAUUACUUCGUUUUUCUUUCCUGUGUAUUUUAUGCCGGUGGCACCAUUACCCACAACCAUGAAUUUCAAAAGAAAAAAAAUGUAGUUGUACCCCAUAGGCAUUUUAGUUAACACGGUGAUGUACAUUUAAUUUGCGGCUAAAAUUAAAAAUAAUAAAUAAAUAAAUAAUUAUUUACUACAAAUUUAUGUGAUUGUUAAAUGCCAUCUAUUUGCUAUGAACAAUAAUUCAUCACUGAGAAAUUGAUUUGUUAUGAAAUAAAAUGUUAUUGCAAAAAGCCAUUUCUUACCAUAAAAAUACCUUCUUUAGCGUUACGGAAAAUUGAGAAAUUUGUUGUAAAGAAUUUUCCGAAAAUUGAGAAAUAAUCGAAGUGGGACUGAAUGUCCAGGACUAGGACAGGGAGGUCCAGUUUUCAAACCAUCGCAGAUAUGACGCAAAACAUUAUUUUAAAAUCUAUAUUAGUCAACGGUUCCUACAAUUUUGACAGGACACGGAAGACCCAUUACUCAAGCCAUUACUUGCGCAUGCUUUUCUUUUUUUUUCUUUUUUUUUUGGCUUUUUAAAUGAAAAUCAAACUCAACCUUCCCACAUUGAUUAUUGCCUUAGAUUCCGUCAAAAUCACGAAUUUAUUGCUGCCCAACGCAACAGGUCAACUUCCUGCAUCCAAAAAAAAUCAAUAUUUUUAAAGAUUGUCCUUACACUAGCUACGUGGUUGACAUUGCUACGGAGGGAAUGUAAGGAUAGAUAUUCAUUUUCAUGGUUAUUCUUUUGUGCAGAUAAUCCAUUAAUUCUAAAUGAUGUAAUCUCUGGUGAAAAUAAAUAUUUUUUAUUUUAAAAAUUAUAAUUUUCAACUGAGUGGUAGUCACGUAUCAUCAUUAAACCUAUUAAACUCCAUUUCCACGCACCCGAGUGCAGAAGAUGAUAAGUUGACCAUGUGCCACCUAACACACAGCUGGGGAUUAUUGGAAUUCUGCUACAGGCGAUGAGUAGCUCCGUGGAGUUCAUCGUGAAAACCUCUCUCUUAUGAAUUUUAUGAGUCAAAUGCUAACGCAAGAAGGAAGCUAAAAUGUGUGUUUCCAUGGAAGAAUAUUUAUAAGGAUAUAUUCUGAUCAUGAUUUUAUCAUUAUAAGUUACACUUUCUAAUUUAAUUAAUAUUGUAAGAGAUUCUAUCUUUGACCGCCUCAACUCGCCCAAGAAGUGUUGGUUGGGUUUUGUAUUCACAACUAUCCAUCUGGGUCCUCUUGUUACAGUGCCUUCUCUUCUAGGCUUCUAAUUCUUACUUUUUCAAAUUCUAGACCCUAUAAAUGAGCUGUAUUCUGCAUUAUUGUGAAUCACCAAGCUUCCCAAAAGUAGUUCAAAGAUGAGAAACGACCUUGCCCAACAGGGGUUCGCCCUCUUCUUUCUCUCCCUAUGGGUUCUCUUCAUAGAAAUGGGCAUGGCGCAGAACACAACAAUCCCAGUUAACGUGGGAGUGGUCCUUGACUUUGAUACAUCGUUUGGAAAGAUGGGUCUGAGCUGCAUCCCCAUGGCCCUCUCAGAUUUCUAUGCCUCUCAUGGUAACUACAAGACUAGGCUCGUUCUGAAGACUAGAGACUCCAGAAGAGAUGUUGUUGGUGCAGCUGCAGCAGGUACUCCAUCCCUGUCUCUCUCGCUCUCUCACUUUCUCCUUCAUCAAUGUUUAUGAUUAAUCAUCUCGUUUGGAGCAUUGUUGAUGGAAUGAGAUUAGAAUUGCAUUAGUAUUACUGAGAAAAAUGAAAGCAAGUGAUCUUUAUCAGUCACCCCCAUUUGGUUUUCAGGAAAAAUCCCCUUACUCUUUGAGAAUUAGAAAGCAUAAUUCGAAGUAGUUCAUCAUUUGGGAAGUAAUUUUUUGAGAUACCUGCUCUGAUAAAGUGAGAAAAUUAUGAAAUUGACAUUGAAUCUUCAGCCCGUAAUUUUUUUGACAUUGAACAUUUUCUAUCUCAGCUUAGAGACCCAAAUGAAAGUUUUGAAAUAUAAAAUAUACUAGUAUACCCAAUUAAUUCUCAGCACAGCUCUUCACCAGAUGAAGAAGAUGGUUGGUCGUUUAACAAACCACAUUGUCAACUGCCGAUGGCAAAAGGUCUCCAUAAAUUGUGCCAUGGUCUUUUAACAAGGCAACUUUUCGUGACCAUAUGGCUGAUGAAGAGGUCAGCUGACAGUUCAAUGGCGGCUAAAAGUCUGUCGAAAAUUGCGGAUGGGAUUUAAAAAAAAUCAGGCAAGAAUUGGGUUUUGAGCCCAACUAGCCCAAAAAUUGACCAAAUAUCCAUAUAUCAUUCACAUUUAAACCCAAUACUCAAUUAAAGCGUAAAAAUUAAGUUAAGGAUAUUAUUCUUCAUUAAUCAGUAAAAUACCCUUAACUCGUACAUAUAGUUAGUGUAAUUUUUUUUUUUUCCCUUUUCUAUUCCCAAUUAAGUAUUACUUAUUUUUAAUUUUUUUUUUUCCUUUUAAAGAUAUUGAAUCUUUUUACUCUUAUUAUAAGUAAGGAUAAAAAAAUUUCAUAUAAAAUUUAAUGGAUAAUCAAUUAAUGAAAUUUAAUUCUUUUUAUUAUUUUCAUAUAAAAAAUAGUACUAAACAAAGUUUUCAAUUUUUCUUUUUAAAAAUAGUUUUCAUUUUUUAAUUAAAUGUUUUUUCUAAAAGAAAAUAUAAAAAAUAUAAAUCAUAUUACCAUUUUUUUAGAAAGUAUUUUUUAAAAUAGUUUUUGAACGUAAUUUUUCUUUAUUUAUAAUUUAAAAUAAAAAAUAAUGCUGAUUUUUAAUUAUUAAUAAAAAAAGUCCUAAAAAAUAAUGAAAAAUUCAAAUGGUUGAAAUAAAAUUAUUAUGAUUAUAUGAAUAAUGGUACAAUAAAUAUUGAAAAAGCUUAUGUGAAAGGUCAAUGGGUAUUUUGGUCUUUUAAUAUCUUAUAUCAUUUUUAUCAAUUAUGUAAGUUAUAUGGACCAAACCUUAAUUUUUGGGUCCAGCUGAUCCAAAACACAGUUGUCUCAAAAAUCACCCCCAUACUGUGGCUGCAGUAGGUCGUAGAGAAUAUAUAUUUGACUUUGCACUGAUAUAUAUAAAUAUUACCGUGUCUUCACGAGUUAAGGCAAAGUAGGAAGUUACCAAAGGUCAAACACGUUGCCUCUGAUCCAUGAUGAUAAGAUGUCAGUUUUUUCAUCUGAUGAACAUGAUCUGUUGUUUGAUCUACUGGAAAAGAUCCCUUUGUUAAUGUCUCAUAACAGAGUAGGAAGAUUAUUGGUAAUCUGUUGGUGAAAUUUUAUAUCUAUUUUGUUAUGUUUGCAUGUCUGAUUGCUGAGAAGGAUGUUAGAAAUUAAGAAUAUAUUAGAGUUUGCUUCUGUGUUUUUUAUUAUUUUGAACAUUUUGUGGUACUCAGCUCUAGAUCUAAUACAAAAUGAGGAAGUGCAAGCCAUCAUAGGGCCAGGGUCAUCCAUGCAGGCCAACUUCCUGAUUGUCCUGGGACAAAAAGCCCAGGUUCCCAUUAUUUCAUUUUCUGCAUCAAGCCCUUCUCUUUCUUCCCUCAGGAGUCAAUACUUUAUCCGAGCCACUCUAAAUGACUCAGCUCAAGUACCAGCAAUAAUAGCAAUUUUCCAAGCCUUUGAGUGGAGAGAAGCUGUGCUUAUUUACGUAGACAAUGAGUAUGGGGAUGGAAUUAUACCUUAUAUGACCGAUGCCUUGCAAGGGAUUGAUGUCCGUGUCACCUACCGUAGUGUAAUUUCUCCAUCAGCCACUGAUGAUCAAAUUGGUGAAGAGCUUUACAAGCUGAUGACAAUGCAAACUAGAGUUUUCAUUGUACACAUGGUUACGCCUCUCGGCUCUCGCUUUUUUACCAAAGCAGAUGAGAUUGGAAUGAUGGAAGAAGGCUAUGUUUGGAUACUAACUGAUGGGCUAACUGACCUCUUGAGUACUUUGGAUCCCUUAGUCAUUGACUCAAUGCAGGGGGUGCUGGGCAUAAAGCCUCAUGUUCCAAGAACAAAAGAGCUCGAAAAUUUCAGAGUCCGAUGGAAAAGGAAGUUCCAGCAAGAUCAUCCAAAAGAUGAGACCUCUGAGCUGAACAUUUUUGGAUUAUGGGCGUAUGACGCUGCUUCUGCACUAGCCAUGGCAGUUGAGAAAGUUGGGGCAACAAAUUUAAGCUUCCAAAAGACUAAUAUUUCCAGCAAUUCAACGGAUCUUGACACCAUUGGAGUCUCACAAAUUGGUCCAAAGCUUCUCCAGUCACUGUUAAGUACGAAAUUUAAAGGCCUCAGUGGAGAUUUUCAAAUUUUUGAUGGUCAACUACACCCCACAGCCUUUCAGAUAGUUAAUGUGAUUGGUAAAGGGGAAAGAGGGAUAGGAUUUUGGACUCCGAAAAAUGGAAUUAUAAGAAGACUGAAAUUCACAAACGCAAAUUCAAACACAUAUUCCACUUCUAAGGACAAUCUAGGAGCAAUUGUAUGGCCUGGAGAACCUACUUAUUUCCCUAAAGGUUGGGUGCUUCCAGUAAACGAGAAGAAGUUGAAAAUAGGGGUUCCAGUGAAGGAUGGUUUUAGUGAAUUUGUAAAAGUGACAUGGGAUCCUAACACUAAUGCAACAAAGGUCACUGGGUACUGCAUAGAUGUCUUUGAUGCGGUGAUGGGUUCACUACCAUAUGCUGUUCCUUACGAGUACAUUCCCUUUGGAACCCCAGACGGCAAGCCUGCCGGCAACUACAACGAUUUGAUAUAUCAAGUGUUUCUAAAGGUCAGUCAUACUCUUUACCCUUCCUAGUAUCUUCAUUUUGUUUUUAUUGGAUACACAAAAGAGCACCACCAUUAUCAACCUAUUCAAUGAAAUAUACAAGAAGAUUUCUAAUUUCCUCUGUUUUUAUUACCAACAGAAGUAUGAUGCCGUGGUGGGAGAUACUACAAUUGUAGCGAACAGGUCCAACUAUGUAGAUUUUACACUACCUUACACUGAAUCUGGCGUAUCAAUGAUCGUGCCCAUCAAAGACAACAAAAGCAAAAGCGCAUGGAUUUUCUUGAAGCCAUUGACUUGGGACCUCUGGGUGACUAGUGCGUGUUUCUUUGUUUUCAUCGGCUUUGUAAUUUGGGUUCUUGAACAUCGAAUAAAUGAAGAUUUCAGGGGCCCUCCUUCACAUCAAGUAGGCACCAUCUUCUGGUUCUCCUUCUCAACUAUGGUGUUUGCACAGAGUAAGUUCUCUUCCCUCAAAUUAACUUCAUUUGCUGAAAUGAUGUUGAUUUUCUGGUUCUUUUUUUUUUAUAGAGGAGAGAAUUGUGAGCAACUUGGCUCGGUUUGUGAUGAUCAUAUGGUUCUUUGUGGUGCUCAUCCUCACUCAAAGUUACACCGCCAGCUUGACCUCAAUGUUAACCGUCCAACAGCUCCAGCCAACCGUUACAGACAUAAAAGAGCUAAGAGCGAAAGAUGAGUAUGUAGGUUACCAACAAGGCUCUUUCGUUCUCGGAUUCUUGAAAAGGAUGAACUUUGACGAAUCCAAGUUUAGGAUCUAUAAUUCUCCAGAAGAAUUAGCUGAACUAAUCUCGAAAGGGAGUGCAAAUGGAGGUAUUGCUGCUGCCUUUGACGAGAUACCUUACAUGAAGCUGUUCAUUGCACAGCAUUGCUCGAAAUAUACCAUGGUUCAACCAACAUACAAAUUUGAUGGGUUCGGAUUUGUAAGUGAACUCUCCUCUCACAAACAAACACUCAUUCCCAAUAUAUAUGUAUCAUGUGUGAGUUUUUCUUUUUUCUUUUUCUUUUUUUCUUGAAUUUCAGGCCUUCCCAAGAGGUUCUCCUCUCGUACAGGAUGUUUCAAGGGCAGUCUUAAAGGUGACUGAGGGAGAUGAAAUGGUAAAGAUUGAAAAAGAGUGGUUUGGGAAAAAAACUAGUUGUUCAGAUGAUAAUGGAAGCUCACUUUCUUCUAACAAUAUCAGCCUUGAUAGCUUUUGGGGCCUUUUCCUCAUUGCUGGAGCCACUUCAUCUUUAGCUCUGAUCAUAGGUAUUGCCAUGUUCCUGCAUAAACAUAGAGUUGUGGUAAUGGGCGAAGAUUCAGUAUCAGAAAAGAUUAAAACCUUGGCUACACGUUUUGAUCAAAAAGACCUCAGCUCUCAUACUUUCAGAAUACCUGACCAGCCAUACAGCGGUAGCACUGAGCCUAUGGCUGCAGUUGGAGCCUCUCCAUCAGUGAUUAACUGCUUGCCAAGGCCAUCAACCCUUUCCAACCAAACCAUUAAUGAGAUUUCCCUCUCCGGAGAACAAGGGACCUUUUCUUCAGAGCACGGUGGUGGUGGGAGCUCAACCACACCUAGUAGGCAAUCAUCGCCAGUGAUAGUACCUGCUGUUGAGCUUGUUAAUUUAAAUCAAGAGAGAACAAAUAUACCUCCAACAUCACAUUAGAAAAACUGACCAUACAUAUUUUGUGUCAUACUUCAUUGUAGUAACAUUAUCAUUAUAGUUCAUAGCAUGAUAGGAUUGUAAAUCUUGCUGAUUGUUGACAGGCUGAAUUUAACUCCUGUACUUCACAUUUUCUAAUUGUCAAAUUGGUUGUUAUCUGCUUGUGUAAAUAGUUUGUUAUCAAGGAGGAAACAUCACAUAACUUAAUAUACUUACUUUUGGAAGUUCAUUUAGUUAGACUGUCAAUAGUGUUAAACAGAUCACUAUUUUUUUAUUUUUUAUUUUGCUUAUAAUUUCCUUUUCAACGAAGAUGAAAAUCUGUACAUAGAAUAGUUCUUUUGGGCAUCAACGAAUUUCAAAAACAGUUAUUUAUUGAAAUAUAUGUUUGGUAAAGUUUAGACUCAAAACAGUUUUUUUAUUUUAAAAACAAGUCAUUUUUUUCAUAAUAAAUUUAAUAUUUUUUAGACUUUUUUUAUAGAACAUUCUAAGAAACUGAAGUCCAAAUUAUUAAAAAAUAUAUUGAGUAAUAAGUUAGUAAAAUAAAAAUAAUAAUAAUGAAAAUAUAAAUUAAAACUUACAAAUAAGAUUAAUCGAAACUAGAGUUUGCCUUUGCUCAAGUACUUACAAUUAGUGACAAUCAUCCCCUAAGAUGCAACAACCACUUUCUUAUGAUAGUAAUACUUCAAAUUAUAAGAAAUGAUAAACAAUAAUUCGUACUUUCUAUAAACGCUUAGAUGCUUUCAAAAUAUUCACUUAUAACUCAUACUUAACUUGGAAUGAAUUACCACACUUAGGAAUGACUUGGAAUGGAACACCACACUUGGAAAUGACUUGAAAAAGAAUGAAAAUGUGAUGUUGUUGGAAUAAAUGAAAUGUUAUGGGGGGUCCCUUUUUGUAGGUGCAGAUAUGUCCCCUAGAAGAGAUGUUUCCGCUUAAGGGUCUCACCUAUCUAAUCACCUAUCUAAAAAAUACGUCUUAUAUCUUUUUAGACGAUGUGUGUCUUAAAUGGAAAAAGUUUUUGGAAAAAAAAUUAAAAAUUAAAAAAACCACUUUAUGUAAUUGGGCUUUUCUAGUUACAUCCAAAAGCGUGUGAGCUAGGUGAGGCCCAAGUCCACUCCCAUCUAGUUAAACCCAAGCAUGUAUGAGCCUAGGUUCAAGCCUAUAUUUUGUUUAAAGAUUUCAAAAUGGUUAUAAAGUCCUCUCCCAACUAGUAAUCUUUAAAUGUAGAGUUACUUUCUUCCAUCACAUUUUCCAUUGACACAUAGGUCACUUUUGAGUGCAAUUUUUCAUAUACUCAUAAAUGGUUUUCGACAUAUAAACAUAUUGCAUUCAUCUAAUCACAAUGAUGAAUGCAUUCCAUCAUGGCCCCACCUUAAAAUAUUUAUCAAGCGCACUCAAAGAUCAACUCAAAGUAGUCUUUAUAUCAGAGUUUAAAAACCCAUUUUCCCAACAAUUCUCCUCAUGAAUGGAAAUUGACUUGUUAUAUGCAAAUGAUAGGUAGACAUUUGAGACAAUACUAUUUGGAAAGAAGUUACAUUAGGAUAGAUAACUUGUGGCUUUGAACCUUCCUUAGUGAAAUAAUAGCGAAUUUACUAGCUAGUUAAUGAUGGCGAUGUCUUAAAUUGUUCAAAUUUUUAUACAAAUCAAGUCAAUAGUAUUCACAGAACUCCUUCAUGGAAUUCAUUUAUAUUAAUGAUUGUGUUCAUUUGGACCUAAACAACUCCUAGUUUUUCAUGAUACUCUAGAAAAUUUAAGCCUUAAAAAUUCUCGUAGAAACAAUCUUAUUUCACACUCACAUAGGUGAUUCCUAUUAAAAGUAUCCUAGCAUACUUCAUUUGGUUUUUCAAGCUAUAAGAUUCAUUAAAAGCAAAGCUUAACCUAGUUCACAUUGUAGAUAGCACUAUUUCAUGAUAGGAAUAGAUAAGAGAGAUUAUCUCUUUAGUGCUUGUCUUAGUCAUUCAUGACUUAGUUGUCCCUUUGAACUUAGAUCUUGGGAUUUCUAGUUAACUAGUUUAAGACCAUUAUAAUGACUCUUGGUCAUAGGCUUUAAUCACAUUCCCUUCGAUGAGCAUUUAUUUUGAUCUCUUGACAAAACCUUAGUAAGUUGAUCCAAAAGGUUGUCCUUUAAUUUGAUAUAAUAAAUGAAAAUUACUCCAUUUGAAAGUAAUUGUCCUACUAUAUCAUAUCUUCAAUGUAUAUGAUGAAACUUACCAUCAUAUAUGAUAUUUGUGUCAUUCUAAUAAUUGAUUGAUUAUCAUAAUGAAUUUUAUAAUAGGGACAAGUUUUGGCUAACAUGGUAUAUUCUCCUACUUCAUCAAAUUCCAUUCUGGUCUAGCAAUACAUGUUUGCUUUGAGGACUUUCAUGAUACAUAUCCUCCUCCUAUUGUGAAUACAUAUCCAUUGGUCGAUUUGGUGUCUUUUUUAUUAAAUAUCCACUUUGCAUCACUAAAUCCUUCAAGUACAAUCAAAUAUCUUAAUGUAAUGAAAUCCAUAAUUUAGAGUGUAUCUUAGGUAAUAAGAACCAUAAUUAUUUCCUUCCAUUGAUCUUUUCCUAGAUUGUUUGUAUAUCUAUUGAACUUAUUGAAUGCAUACAUAUGUUUUGUUUAGUCAUGUAUAGUUCAUGAGAUACAUUAGACUACCUAUUAUGCUGUAAAUAUUCUUAUUAAAAUAUAGUUUGACUAGUUUUUUUAGCUAAUUGUAGAUUUAUGUCUAUUGGUGUCUUUAGUGGACUAUAUUCAUAUUUAUUUUUAAGUAUUUUCUCAAUAUAAUACAAUUGAGAUGGUACUAGUCCACUAGAUAUCUUAAAGAUUUUAAUUUUUACUUCCAAAAAUUAGUAUAUUAUCCAUGUACAGACAUACUAUUACAUAACCAUUGGGUGUUCUCUCAGCAUAGACACAUUUAUCAUAUUCAUUAAUCUUGAAGUCGUGUGACAUUGAAACGUUGUCAAACUUCUCAUGUUAUUGUUUUGGUACUUAUUUUAAUCCAUUUAAAGAUUUAAAAAGCUUGCACACUUUUUUCUCUUAUAUAGGAGCAACAAACCUUUCAAGUUGUUUCAUUUAUAUCUCUUCUUAUAAUUCACUAUUUAAAAAUGUUGUCUUGACAUCCAUUCGAUGAAUUUGAAGAUUAUGUAAUGCAGUGAUCAUUGUUAAUAUUCUAAUGAAAGUUAUUUUUAUGAUUGGUGAAUAUGUAUCCACAAAUUCAAGACCUUCUCUUUAUUUAAAAUCUUUACCUAUCAAUCUAGCCUUGUAUUUUUUUAAUUGAUAUCAGCCUUUAAUGUUCUCUAAAAGAUCCAUUUACAACUUAAAGGCUUACUUCCUAGUGGAAGAUUCAACAACUCUUGUGUAUGACUUAGUAUGAUGGAUUCAAUUUCACUAUUGAUAGGUUCUUUCUAGAACAAAGCUUCUUGAGUUGAUAUUGCUUCUUUGAAUGUCUAGAUUCAUUCUCUAAAAUAUAAGUCAGAUCAAAAGACUUAAAUACUCUUAUCCUUUUAUUACCUCUAGGUUCUUCAACAUUUUGAUGACUACUAGUAGUAUGAUAUGUUCUUUUCUAAGAACUUUUUUCUAGAAUACUUUCAAAGCAAAGGUGUUCUAAAAAAAUAAGGCAUUUAUUCAUUCAAUGAUUACAUUUUCAUGAAUAUCAAGAAUGUCUAAUUUAUAUAAAAGGAACCAAUAUGCAUUACUAUUAUUGGCAUAACCAAUAAAAAUACACUCCAUUGUUUUAGGCCCUAUCUUAAUUUUUAUGGUUAUGAAUAGCUACUUUAGUUAAAGACCCACAAACUUUCAAAUAUUUAUAGGAAGGUUUUCAUAUUUUCCAUAGUUCAUAUGUAGUUACAUCGUUUUUCUUGUGUGGAAUUUUGUUAAGAAUGUAGUUUGUUGAAAAAAAUUAUUACCCCUACAAAUUCUAGGGUAAACCAUGACUUAUCACCAUAGCAUUCAUCUCCUUUAAUGUUUGAUUCUUGUGUUUAACAACACCACUUGAUUGGGGUGAAUAAGAUGCACUAAUUUGAUGAAUAAAUCCAUGUUUAGAUUAGAACUCACGAAAAGUUGCUUCAUAUUUUCCGCCUCUAUCCCUUCUUAUUAUCUUUAUUUUAUUUCUAAAUUAGCAUUUAUGAUUGGGAUUAAUGUGAAAGUUCCACAAUAAAUUUAAAUUUUUUAACUUGCCCAAAGAAUUAAAAUUCACAUAUUCUAAUUUAUCAUGCCAUAAAUUAGAAGACUCAAGCAAAUAACCAAAAGAGUUAAGUGGUGUUUGUUUUUUGGCUGAAUAGAAAAAGCUAAAAUAUUUGUCUUUUUCUAUUCAGUUAAAAGUAACUCAUUGACAUCAACCAACAUAAUUAAACUAAACUUACUAAUAACAAGUUUACUUUAAUUAUGUUGGUUAAUAUCAACAAGGAACUUUUUCCAUUCAGCCAAAAAACAAACACCACCUUAGCUUAAUUAUUAUUACUAAAAUCUUGCAAUAUAGUCAUUACAUUCAUCUUUAAAAGCCCAUUUAUGGGACACCCUUUGCCCAUAUAUAACCUAUUCUUGUUGAAUAGAAACUUAUUAUAUUUAAAAACCAUCUUGAACUCAUUUUUACUUAAUAAUGAGCUAGACACUAAAUUCUUGCAGAUAUUCAACAAAUGCAGCACAUAUUUGAGAGUGAAUUAUUUCCCAAAAUCAUUUUUACUAACCUUUCUUAUGCCUCCGACUUUAGAAGUUGAAUUACCCAUGUAUAGCUCACUUUUAUUUAUUUGCUCAUAAGAAGAAACAUCUUUGUAUUUGAGCAUACAAAUCGAAUAGCUCCUGCAUCUAUCCAUCACUCUUUAGGGUUAUGUUAGGAUAGAGCUCUUAAAAGCAUGACAUGAUGUAACAAUAAAGGAUUUAAUUCUUCAAUUUUUUUUAAUCUAUUUUAUUCAUGCAUUAUAGUAUCAGAGCAUUUAAGCCUAUCAUCUUUCACAUUGUACAUGACUUGAGUGCAUUAGGAGUCACACGAAAGGUCCAAGUCAUGGGUUCAUUACAAGUAGAUAAGUUAUUCAUAACUGGUUUAUAGACUAGCAACCUAUUUGAAAUUGUAGUGUACUACCUUUUAAUUGAUGGAAUGACUUAUCUUUAUCAUCGAGAUAAGGUUCCCAUAGUGAGGACACGAGUGUGUAUGGUGAGUCAUGACCUAUAGCGAGUGAUGACAUUAGCUAUUGGGUAUUCAUAACUUCACCAAGCUACUAUGUUGUAUGGGUUCUUACCUUAAAAGGAUACAAAGCUAGUGUUGAAUUCUUUAGUCUUCAAUGACUUUAACCUACAUAUGAGACCCUAAGUUCCCUAUGAAUUGGAUCACUAUUGAUAAAAGUUAGUAGCAAUAGGUAUACUCAAAAUAGGAACCAUAAUACCUCAUGGGUUUGAGAUAGUUACUUCAUACACUCUUGUUAUUUAAUCUUCUAAAAGGAGAAACCCUAGCCUCUAUCCCCAUCAGAUAGGAUUCCACCUCCUCACGUAACAAGAUCCAAGAAAAAAAGUCAUCACAUAGAAGAUCUAUUAGUCUUCAAGAUCCAUGUCAACUUUUCAUUGAUUGGAAUCAAUUUGUGAACAUCUAGAUCUCAAGCAUAACAUUUAUUCUCUAGGUAUAUUUUUUUAAUAUGUAUCAUGUUUUCACUACGUAGAUCUAGAGCCCCUAGGAUAAUUUUGCAUUCACCCUACAAAUCUAAGGAUAAGAAUGUAGUAAUCUAGGUUUUCCUAUAUGUUAUCCACCAUAUUAACUUCAAAUACCAUAGCAUAAAAAAGAACAAAUUUGUCACAAGAGUUCCUUGUUUCUCUUCUUUAGUCAUGUGUACUAGAUUUUUAUUAUCAUGUCCUUUGAAACAACAAUCUUUCACUUGAUGGCCUUAUUUAUUACACACAUCACUUCUGAUUAAAAAUUUUAAGACUUACCUUUCCUUCAAGUACGACAUUUACCAAAGUAUUUCCUUUUUUUUUUUCUAACACUAGGUUUCUUCUCCACCAAGUUUGCCUUGGAAUCUAUAGAAAACCUUCCCAAUUUCUUGUUAAAAGCUCAAUGUUCUUCUUCAAUCCUCAAUUUCAUAAUCAAGUCCUCAAAUCUCAUCUCCUUAUGCUCAUGCUUCAAGUAAUUUUUGAAAUCUUUCCAAAAGGGUGAUAAUUUUUUAGUUAUAACUACAACUUGGAAAGACUCACUUAUCACCAUCUUUUUUGCAUGUAUCUCAUGCAAGAUAAUUCAUAAUUCUUAGACAUAACUAUCUUGGAGUUUAUCAUUUUGAAUUCCAAAAAUCUAUCGACUAGAUAUUUCUUCAAGUGCACAUCCGUGAUUACUACUCAAAAAGUGUUAUUUGAUAGCUUAUACUUAACUCUUUUAAAUACUUUUGAGUAGUAGUUAUCACCUUUUAACCCAAUUAACAUAUUAAGGACCCUUGUAAUCAAUUCUAAUGAAAUUGUGUUAAGUUUUGGUGUUUUGAUAGCUUUUUUAUCACCAAACCAAUCCGAGAUUGAGGAGAGUUCUUUAGGAAUCCAUGGAAAAAGAGUCUGGACACACCAUUGGAGAGCGGCGGAACGUGGGCUGUAGCAAGGCUUGCUAGCUUUAGUCAAUGUUUUCCAUUCGGACAAACAUAUUCGGAUAGGAUAUGCUAUCAUCCGGAUGAAGUUGAGCUGGAUGGGUCCCUACACCUUACAUACGCAAACGGUCCCCCUUGCGCAGCAUAGCUCGGUCCACCCGGGGAAGAAUUCCGUGCGCCGACAUUUUACAUCCGGAUAUCUCACAGCUGGAUGGGAGAGGAGGACGCUUCAACUUCUCCGGAUAUACAUAUCCGGACCUUCUAAUAACGCUCACCCGGAGAGUUUUUCUCUCAGUAUACAAUGUCGCGGUGUUAUCCUGAAGCUUCCUGAUAUUUUCGACCGACAUCUUGAGAUAUUUCCGACCGACAUCUUGAGAUAUUUUCGACCGACAUUUUGGGAUAUUUUGCUUUAGAUAUUUGAUGUCUAAAUCCCUAAACUCUCCUUAUAAUCCACCUAUCAUAGGACUCCUUAGUCUUUAAGUAAGAACAAGGGGUGAAUAACCUCUUAUAUAUAGUUUGUAAUUUCCUUUACACAGAACAUCGAUCAUAUAUCAUCGAUCAUAUAUCAUAUAUAUCAUAUAUAUGAAACCGACAAACAGAGCACUUGCUCUGUUUUUCCUAUUUUUGUUUUCUCGUUAGUUUUCUUUCUAGCCAAUCAAAUUUUGAGGAUUUUUCCUCAGAGGAUGAGAGGCUAGGCUCUUUGUCUCUUGGAGUAAAGAAAGCUGGGUAAGUUUCCUCAUGCAUAAAUUGGAAGUUUUGUUGUUUUAGUUUUUAAUGAAGAGAAAGUGUGAUCCUUUAAUGAUUUCUAUGUUUUUAGUUAACUUAAAACACCUUCAAGUCACUUGAGCCAACACUUGGUAAGGCACGUGAUCUCCAUCCAUGGAGAUGCACUUGUUUAUCUCUUGCGAGCUUUUGGGAAGUGACUUGGAGGUAGGAUUUUCUAGAAUUGCCAACACUUGGUAAGCUUUUGGACUCCAAGGAGACAUCCAUUAGUUAUCUCUUGCGAGCUUGAGAAGGGAAGUCUAAAGUUAAAGAUCACCUUGAAUAGCAAAUGCUAGGUGAGAGGCACGAGCCAUUGCAAGUUGUAUCAGUGAGAGGGAAUUAGAGCUGAAAUCCAUUUAAAGGUUACAUUUGUACAACACCGGUUAGAGAAUUGAUUAUAUGUUAAUUCUCUAAUGCGAGGAAAUGAACCAAAUGACCAGAGCUCUCUUUUUGCAUAAGGAACCUCCCCUAUGAACCCAAACCUCCAAGGAAUGUUUUUCUUCAUAAGUAAUUUCCAUUACUUUCUUUUUGGUUAGUUUAAGACCAAACCCUUUUCACUCAAACAUCUUUAUGUUUUUUUUUAAAGCUAACCUUGAAAUGAAAAAGCACCAACUCAGCUUUGAAUUGGUAUCAGUUGUGAGUUGAAAACCCUUCCUAGUGAACGAUCCUAGAGCCACUAUGCUAUAGUAGCUUUGUCUUUGCUACCCUAGUUCAUGGUGUAAUAGGUUAUAAAUUUUGUUGAUUACUACCUCAAUCAAGGAGCGCCAGCUGGACAUGAAUCAGUUGAGACACCAAUUGGGAACGAAUCAAUCCUCUAUCCUAUACUUUUUCUCUAAGGACUUUCACAAUUCCUUAGUAGUAUAUAUUGUAUAUAUUGGACUAUACAUACUUUAUAGUGUGUUGUCCAAACCAAGGAUGAAAAUUUUUGUUUUUUUCAUCGAAAUUUCGGCGAUAUUUCGUGUUUCAGCCGAUGGCGAAACGAAAUAGGAGGGCGAAAUGUCGACGGCAGAAAUAUCCAAAAAUUUCGCCAAAAAUCGGAUAAAUUUCUUUGAAAUUUUGGUAAAAAAAGAAAUUUCGGCGAUUUUUUCAAAAAAUCGCCUCUAGUUGGAAAAUUUCUGAGAAAUAUCAUUUUGUUUCGGUUUAUUUUGGCAAUUUUUCUCCGAUUUUGUGAAAAAAAAAAAAUUGUACCUGUAACACUAGCAUCGAUGCUGAACGGAGGCGAUAAUGGCGGAACCAUCGGUGGUGAGGUCAAGUUACACAACCACGGAUCAAACGGUGGUGUUAGGGCUUGAAGAGUGGUUGAUUUCUUGGCAGAGAGAGAGAGAGUUGAGGUGCUGGGUUCGACGAGCAGGGUGAUGGGUCUAGCGAGCAGCGGCGAUGGGUCCGACGAGCAGCAGUGAUGAUGUUGGAGGCUUGGAGCCACUUUGGCGAGGUCGAGACAGAAGUGGCAUCACAUGUAAUUUUGUGAGGGACGCCUUGCACCUACUGCUCAUCCAACGGCUCCUAGUUUCCCCGCAUUGAUCUGACGGUUCAGAUUUGGUCUGACCUCCAACGGUCAAUUUUUUGUACAUCUGAUGGUCCAAAUUGAAGCUGGAUGUGAUCCAACGGUUAGAAUUGAACCCUAACGUCUAUGUGAUGAUCCAAUGGUUAGAUUUUGCCCAGAUUUCGAUCCAACGGCCAAUUUUGUUUUCCAACGGUAAAAUAAGAUUCCAACAGCUUUUUGGCCCAAUUUUUUUUUCUAUAAAUAGCUUAUUUUUCACCAAUUUCAUCCACAUUUCAUAUUUGAUCUCUCAUUGCUCCCAAGGUUACUCAUUUUGUUUUUAAGGUAUGUUUGUUUUAAAUUUUUAUUAUUUUGUAUUGAAGUGUUAUUAAUUAGUAUAUUAUUUAAAUCUUCAAUUUUAUUUAUUUUCUUUUCAAUUGUCAUGAAUUAGUACAUAAAUGUUUUUUUCUUUUCAUUUGUAAUUAUUGAAUUAAUUAGUACAUUUUUAAAAUCUUGAAUGAAUUAGUAGAUUUUCAUAUAAUUAAUUUAGUUUAGUUAAUUUAUUAACUUAAUUAACAAUAUUAGUAGCUUCCCAAUUUUUUCAAUUUUUUUAUAUUUUCAUUCGUAAUUAAUUAGUACAUUUGAAUUAAUUAGUACAUUUUUUAAAUCUUGAAUGAAUUAAUAGAUUUUCAUAGAAUUAAUUUAGUUUAGUUAAUUUAUUAACUUAAUUAACAAUAUUAGGAGCUUCCCAAUUUUUUCAAUUUUUUUUAUAUUUUCAUUCGUAAUUAAUUAGUACAUUUGAAUUAUUUAGUACAUUUUUUAAAUCUUGAAUGAAUUAGUAGAUUUUCAUAGAUUUUCCUAUGUACUUUAUGUUGAUGGCAUCAUUACCGACAACCAUGAAUUUCAAAAAAUUAAAAGAAAAAAAUAUGUAGUUGUACUAUAGCCAUAUGCAUUUCAGUUAACAUAAUAAUGUACAUUCAAUUUGUGUGUGUAUAAAUAGGGAAAAUUGUGAUUUCUGGUGAGAUGGACCUAAAAAUUGACCCAAUAUCCUCAUAUUGCUCAUAAUUAAUGAUAAGGAUAAGAAAUGGUGAUAGACAAAAAUACUCAAUUGACUUAUCACAUGCUCAUGCUAGUGUUUGUAGGAUCCAUCAUUUAUAGGGAUGGCAAUGAGGUGGGUUUUUUUGGAUACCCACCCUGCCCCGCCCCUAAUAGAAUGGGUUUCAAUUUUAAUUAAACAAGUUUGGGAAUUUUUUUAAAACUUAGGGCGGGUUUGGGUAUUGCCUUGUCCCAUCUCGUCCCAUCCCACCCCACCUUGCCCCAAUUACAUAUAAAUUAAUUUUGGGUUAUUUGGUUAAAGAGGUCAAAAUAACCCCCAUAUUUGCAAAUAUAAUCCACCGGUUAAAAAGCAAAACAAAAUUGUUGAUUUAGACAAAAAUGGCCUUCUUCUUUUUUUUUUCUCCAACACUUACAACUUCUCAUCUUUUGCUUCAUUUACAGAACAACUCCUCAUAUUUUCCAAAAAAAAUUCUCUCAUCAUCUUCUUCUACUUCAUUAUCUUCUUUUGAUGCACAACACGGAAAGCUCAUCUCCUCUUCCGCUUCAUUUAUAGAAUGAGUCCUCAUCUUUCAUCAUCUUCUUAUAUUUCAUUAUCUUCCUUUGAUGCACAAAACAAAAAACUCAUAUUUCCUUAAAAAUUCCUAGAAAAUUUCUCGUCUAUCCUCUCAUCCUCUAUUUCAUUCCGAAUCCUUGGAAAAAAAUUGUUAUUCUACUUUUUUCAAGUUAUCUCAUAUUGUAUCUUCAAGCAAGAAGGAAACAAUGAGUUCAUUGAAGAGUGAUAAGAGAAAAAGAUUUAAAAAAAAGUGGCGAAAAAGCAAAAAUGCCAAUUGCAAAUAGAAGAAAAAAGUAAAGCAAAGGAAAGCGAAGCUACUAAGCAAAAAUCUCAAUUACCAAUAGAAUAGGCAAGUGAUUUUGCUAAACCGGUGAAUGUAGUCUUCACAUAUGAUAAAUUAUUGAAAUUUUUAGAGAUGUUAUACAAUUAUAUUUGAGUAUGGUUAAUUUUAUUAGUUAAAUGUUUUUAAAAAUUUAGGAUUUAUUGAAUUGUAUUCAAAGUAUAAAAUUGUUAUAUUUAUUUAUUUAGUUGUCCAUUGUUAUUAGUUAUGUAUUUGAGUGAAUAAAUUUAGGUUUUUUAGCUGAUGUUUUAAAAUAUCUGGGAACUAUUAUAGUGUGUUGAAAAAUAAUAAAUUGCAUAUUAAUAUUGUUUUAGUUUUCUGUAUUAUUAUCAAUCAUGUCUUUAGAGUGAAUUAGAUAUAUUCAAUGUAAUAGCAUCUAAUUAGGGAUAAGUUUGCAAAGAAUUUAUAAAAUUUUAGGGAUUUUUGGAAAUUUUAGGGGUAUUAUACAAUGGUGUUUGAGUAGGUCUAUGUUCUUUACUUGAUACUUUUAAAAUUUUGGGAACUAUUGAAUUGAUUUCAAAAUAACAUAUGGUAUAUUUAUAAUUUUUGUAGUUAUAUAUUGUUGUCAAUUAUGUAUGUAGAGUGAAUAAAAAAUAUAUAAUGAAUUCAUGCAAUGAAAUGUGAUUAAGGAUAAGUUUUUAAAGAAUUUAUGAAAUUUUAGGAUUUUUGAACUUUUUAGGGAUGUUAUGUAAUGACAUUUGAGUAGUGUUAAAUUUGUUAGUUAAUAAUGUUUUUAAAAUUUUGGGAACUAUUGGAGUGUGUUAAUCAGUAUUGUAUAAUAUUUAUAAUUUUGUAUUAAAUCUUUACUAGCUUAAUUUUAUUUAAUUUAUAGACUACUACUCCUUCGACAUGUUUUAAAGUUAAAAUACCUGUAAAAGAGCACUUCCCAUCAAAGGCUUCAUGUCUAUCACACUUGAGUGUAAUAGAAAAUAUUAAAAAGAAGCUCAAUAAGGAACAAUUGGAGAGGUUCAAGGAUUCUUGCUUUGGACAUUUUUUGCUUAUGCCAGAACUUAAAUUUUCAGCUCAAAUUGUGCACCACAUGUUAUUAUGUCAAUGUCUUAUAAAGAAUGAUGAUGAAAUGUGGUUUUUAGUAAAUUCAAAGGGAUUAAGAUUUGGUGAAGAUGAGUUUGGAUUAAUCACUGGUUUAAGUUUUGGUCCCAUUCCUCAGCAUAAUGAAACAUCAAUGAGAAUAAGGGAUGUUUACUUUAAUAGUGAAAACAAAGUGUGUAAUGAUCAUUUGGAGAAAGUUUUUCUUUCUUUUGGUGAAGUGAAAAAAAAAAGCAAAAGAAAAAUGUUGAUAAUCUUAAAGAUGAAGACAUGGUGAAAUUAGCCUUAUUGUACUUUCUUGAGCAUGUUCUACUUGGGAAAGAAGGGAAAAAUUUAAUAGACAUGCAAUGGGUUGGUCUUGUUGAUUGUUUGGAAGUUUUUAAUAAGUAUCUAUGGGGUAGGAUUUGUUAUGAAAGAACAAUUUAUGGGCUGCAACAAGCCUUGGAGAACCGGGUGUCAAAAUACCAAGGUAAAAAGCAACAAAAGGGUAAUAUAGCAUAUGAGGCAUAUAGUUUAGUUGGAUUUCCAUAUGUCUUCCAAGUUUGGGUGUAUGAGACUAUUUUGAUUAUCAAAAUGAAAUAUGCUAAUCAUGUUGCUAAGAUUUGCCCACAGAUUUUAAAUUGGAGUGCUACUUCCACAUUGAGGUUCACUAAGCUCCAACAAAUCUUUUUGGACUCCAAUGUGAGUAAUUUUUUUACCAUAUAUUUUAAUAGUGUUGUCACUUACAUAUUUGUAUAUGUUUAUGUUUGUUAAUUAAAUUACUUAACUUGAAUUCAAUUGUUAUCUUUGUGUUCGUUGCUUAAACCUACUUUGGAGGAAUGUCAACAAAAUUAUUACAAGUAUUUGAAUAAGUUAGGGUCAGUGAAGGGUGUUUCUCCAAAAAUUUUAAGCCAACCAACAACCCCGGAACAUGAUACUAUGGGUGACCUAGAAGAUGAAGAUCACCCGGUUGAAGUUAAUGCGUAUGCUGCUGCUGGUGCUACAAUGGAAAACAAGAAGAAAAAAGAUUAUUCUAUCCUACUUUCAAUUGAGGUAACUCUACUAUCAUACAUUCAUCUAUAAAUGUCAUUUUUAAUGUUUCAAUUGUAAUAUAAAGUUCAAAAAAAAAUUCAAAUUGAAAACUUAACCUCGGUUAAGUUAAUCAUCAAUGAAACUUACCCAUAGUCAAGUGAAGGUUACUUUGACAAACAUAACAUAACUAUCAUAAGUACACAUCAAUUUUUUUUAAAUUAUGACUAUAAUUUUGGUGUACAAUGAUGUAUGAUGAAUUAAAGUUUCAUUUUUUUUAUAACAUGUGUAGAAUCUAUGGAUAGAGUUCAUGAAGCAUAUAGAAAAGUCUAAAUCAAAUUUCAAUUAUUUGAAGAAAGAACUGAAGGAAGUGAACAGAAAGAUUGACAACUUAAGACAAAUUUUAUUGGAUGUUAGUGAUAUAUUUAUUGAAUUUUAUAUUUUAUUCAAUCAAAUUAUGUAUUUUAUUUCUAUAUUUCUACUAUCUUAUUGUAUGGUGCAUAUCUUAUUUUAGGUGAAGGGGCAAAAUGAGUCAUGUGUUAUAGAUAAUACAAAAUUUCAAAAUCUGGUACAAAAGGAAAAGAUAUUGGGAUGGAUUUUAAUUCACUGGAUGACAAGUUUGAGAGUGUGAUGGAAGAUAACGAGGAUAAGAACCAUGGUCAUAUAGAUGUGAAGACCAAUACAAAAGAAAUAACGGAUAUUGUAGCUACAGAAAAACACAUAAUAGGGAUGGAGAAAGAUGAUGAUGUGAUUUUUAAUCCAAUUGUUGAUAUUCCCAUAUUAUUUGAUACCCCUACCGUACUAGGCAACUUUUUGAUUUAUGUAUUUCCAAAGCAACUAUCCCCCACUGUAUUUAAGCGAAGAUGUGAGUUGAAAAAAUCCUAUUUUUUGCAACCUCCUUUCACAGACCCUACAUAGAGAAGGAAAAUUAGAAAGGAAGGGGAAACAACAUUUGACUUUAAUCAUUUGCAAUCUAUUUAUGAGAAAGCAAGAGAAGCCUUUCAUAAGUGGUUGAGUCUUCAACAAGGGUAAUUAUCUUUACUUUAAACUUGUAAUAGUUUCUUUUUGGCAACUUCUUUGCUUAACCAUGGUUUUUUGAUAUAUUAUUACAAUAAGGUUUAAGGUUGAUAUUGGUUACUUGCAUGCGGACAAAGAAUGGUUUGAGUCACUAGUUCAGCAUGGUUCAUGGCUCAAAGACAUGGUUUGUAAAUGUUCUUAUUGUGUUUGGUUUUACUUAUUAGUAUAUUGUUAUUAUAAUGAAAUAGUAUAACUAAUGUUUUUUUUUUGUAUAUGUUGUCUAGCAUAUUGAUGUUGCUUUCUACUUUUUCCAUAAGUGGAUAAUAGAAAAGCCCCCUGCAUUUUCUCAAAAUUUUACCACCACAGAUACAAUGGUUUGGGUAUGUAUAAUUUCGUUUUACUAUUGACCCUCAUAAUACUAGUUAAAUUAUUGUAGUUUAACUAUUCUUGUUUACCUUUUCUUAUAUAGAAAAAUAUGAAAGCAAGGUGGGAGAAACAUGCUAAAAAGUGGAAUAAAUUCCAAAUGCAAGCAGAUGAUAUUCUUGUUGACUAUGUUAAUGGGCUUCACCCAAUUCCUUCCAUGAAAUGGUCUGAAGUGGACAUUGUUUAUGUCUCUAUUAAUAUUUGAAGUAUGCAUUGGGUACUGGGAGUAGUUCACCUUGCUCAGAGGAGAAUAUUUGUGUAUGACUCAUUGAUAGGCAUUAAUAGUGAUAAUUGACUAAAAGGUGCCAAAAUACCUUUAGCUAAAUUGUUACCGCAUGUUUUGUAUGUUACAUCAUAUUAUGGGAAGAGCGGUGAUCCUAAAAGUGAAGAACAGUGGGACAUUGAACGGUUGCAUGAUGUUCCUCAACAAGAGUAUGAGUAAGUUAACAAAUAUUCAAACUUCAUCUUAUCAUUUCACCUUUAUACCUUAUACAGUAAAUUUUUUUUAGUCAUCUUAAUUUUGAUUACUUGUGUUUCAUGUAGUGGUGAUUGUGGGAUGUUCCUGAUUAAAUAUGCAGAAUACUUAAUGCAUGAUCAUCCAUUAAGUUCACUGACCGGUUCCCGCAUUGAUUGGUUUAGAGAGAAAAUGGCAACUGAAUUGUCCUACUUCAAAAUUUUACCCAUGUAGUGGGUUUCAUUUUGAUUAUGUAAUAGGUUUAUAUGUUGUUGAGUGUUGACUAUUAUUUUAGAUGAAUUUGACUUGAUGCUCAAAGUUACAAUUUUUGUAAUGUAACUAUAACUUUCAACUUAACUAUAGUUAAGUUAUUUGGUAAUGCAAAUCAACAAUUGUUAAGUUCAGGUGAAUAUUCUGAGUGUGAAUUUAACCACAAUUAAGUUCUUUAUUAAUGCAACUCAACCAUUGUUAAGUUCAGGUGAAAAUUCUAAUUGUGAACUUAACUAUGGUUAAGUUCUUUAUUAAUGCAACUCAACUACUGUUAAGUUUAGGUGAAAUUUUUGAUUUUGAACUUAACUGUGGUUAAGUUAUUUGUUAAUGCAACUCAACUAUUGUUAAGUUUAGGUGAAAUUUAUGACUGUGAACUUAAUUGUGGUUAAGUUCUUUGCUAAUGGAACUCAACUACUGUUAAGUUCAAGUGAAAUUUAUGACUGUGAACUUAACUGUGGUUAAGUUCUUUGUUAAUGCAAUUGAACUACUGUUAAGUUCAGGUGAAAAUUCUGACUGUGAACUUAUCCAUAGUUAAGUUCUUUGUUAAUGCAACUCAACUACUAUUAAGUUCAGGUGAAAAAAUUAACAAAGAACUUAACCAUAAUUAAGUUCUUUAUUAAUGCAACUCAACCAUUGUUAAGUUCAGGUGAAAUUUAUGACUGUUAAUGUGGUUAAGUUCUUUGUUAAUUCAACUCAAUCAUAGUUAAGUUCUUUGUUAAUGAAAUGAUCAUCAACUUAACCAUAGUUAAACUUAACCAGGUAAUUUAUAUGAUAAAACUAAAACAUUAACUUAAAAUUUCAAUCCAUCAUUCAAAAAAAUUGCUCUAAGCAUAUAUAAAAAAAUAGGCUCAAAAAUUCUUCAUGGCCUUAUACAAAAAAAAGUGUAGAUACAUAGCUAAAUCAUCCCCAAAAAACAAAUUUUGUGGUAACAUUAUUAAAGCGAUUGAUGAACUAGUUGUAAGGAGAAUUCUUAGAUGUUGAUAUUGUUUUCAACAAUAUUGACACAACUAUAUUCAUCUCUAGGAUGUAAUGGGAUUGGUCGUUUGCAUAUUUUUCUAUUAUGCCUAUAAUCACCACAUCUACCAUAGCAUCGUGUGCCUUAACCUCUCCACUUGAAUGAAUUCUCUCCUUUCUUGGUUUUCUUGCUGGCCACCGAAUUUUUGGUGGUAGCACAACUCUACAACAGAUGUCUUCCGGAAUGACCCAAUCUUUGUUAUUUCCAGUAGGAUAUAUAGACUUUGAGUAUGAAGAUAUAAGUGAGUUCUUCAUAUAGUAUUGAGAGCAAAGAAUAUAGCAUGACAUGUUUCCAUAUCUACAUGCAGCAAUAACAUGUGCACAUGGAAUAUGGUCAAAAUCAAACAUCCUACAUGUGCAUGAACGGGUUUACAAAUUAACUUGAUUACUUACCCGAGCAUAUUUGACAUUAAACUCCCAAGAGUUGAUAGGCUCAACCUCAUAACCUGAUGACUUAUUAAACCUUAAGCACAACUCCAUGCCAGCCCAUGUAGUAAGCUCAGUUUUCAUUGACAAUGUUUGUUGUUGGCAAUUUGAAAACCAUCUCUGAAGUAAGUUUCUCAACUCUUCAACCAUUCGCACAAUUGGAAGAUCUCUUGCAGUUGAACAACUUGGGACAACAAACUUCAGCUUCCAAAAUUCUAAUAUUUUUAGAAAUUCAACCGGUCUUGGGACUACACAAGUCUCCAAAACUGGUCCAUAUCUUCUCCAAUCACUUCUAAGUACUAAAUUCAGAGGCCUCAGUGGAGAUUUUCAAAUUGUUGAUGGGUAACUACGUUCAUCAGCCUUUCAAAUAGUCAAUGUGAUCGGUAAAGGGGAAAGAGGAGUAGCACUUUGGACAACGGAGAAUGGGAUUGUAAGAAAUUCAAAUCCUACUUAUAAGGCUGAUCUAAGAACCAUCAUAUGGCCGGGAGAAUCUCCUUCGAUUCCUAAAGGUUGGGUGCUUCCCACAAACGGCAUGAAGUCCUUGAGAAUAGGAGUACCAGUGAAGGAGGGGUUUAGUGAAUUUGUAAAGGUGACACCAGAUCCUAUCACUAACAUUACAAAGGUCACUGGAUACUGCAUAGCUAUCUUCGAUGCUGUGAUGGCAGCAUUUCCAUAUUCUGUUCCUUACGAGUACAUUUCGUUCGAGACCUCUGAUGGCAAGCCUGAUGGCAAUUACAAUGAUUUGAUAUAUCAAGUAUAUCUUCAGGUUAGUUCAUGAACUCCUUAGCUUUCCAAGCAGAUAGACCUAACUCUAGCUUAACUCCAGUUAUAAAACCAACUGCAAUCCUCUCAUGUUAUUCUUUGUGUGCAUAGAAGACGAGCAAACCAGAAAUUCCAACCAAAUGCAUUUAUAGAUUGGUCCAAAAUUCUAUUGUGAACAGAAGUAUGAUGCUGUUGUGGGAGAUACUACUACCGUAGCGAACAGGUCCUUAUAUGUAGACUUUACGCUGCCUUAUACAGAAUCUGGGGUGUCAAUGAUUGUGCGCAUUAUAGAUAAAAGAAGUAAAAAUGCAUGGGUUUUCUUGAAGCCGCUGACUUGGGACCUUUGGGUGACAAGCGCUUGUUUCUUUGUCUUCAUUGGUUUUGUGAUUUGGGUUCUGGAACAUCGUAUAAAUGAAGAUUUCAGAGGGCCUUGUUCAAAUCAAGUUGGCACGAUCCUCUGGUUUUCAUUCUCGACCAUGGUGUUUGCCUAGAGUAAUUGCUCUUCCACCUCCUCGAAUAUACAUGGCAAUGAAAAAAUUACAUGAUAGUAAUUGAAAACACCGCAUAUUUCCAUGCUGUCAGAACCUUAAUAUGAUAACACUCGAAACACAACUGAAACCAACUAUUAAUAUAUGGACAUUCCAUACAAUAUGCAAGUAAAGUUCAGGAUAUAUUUUUAUGUUUCAAAAUUUAUAUUUGACUUGAUAUUGAUGUUCUGAAGCUGAUCUUCCUUUCCAUUCUUAAAUUAUGUUUAUAGAGGACAGAGUUGUGAGUAACUUGGCUCAGUUCAUGGUGAUCAUAUGGUUUUUCGUGGUCCUGAUUCUUACUCAAAGUUAUACUGCCAGCUUGACUUCAAUGUUAACAGUUCAAUAGCUGAAGCCGACUAUCACAGACAUAAAUGAGCUCAUAAAGAACGGGGAGCGUAUGGGUUACCAGAAGGGCUCUUUUGUUCAUGAAUUCUUGAAGUGGAUGAAAUUUGAUGAAACCAAGCUUGUAAUCUAUGAGUCUCCAGAAGAGCUAGAUGAAUUAUUUUCAAACAGGAGUUCAGAUGGUGGAAUUGCUGCUGCUUUUGAGGAAAUCCCUUACAUGAAGCUUUUCCUUGCAAAAUAUUGCUCUAAAUACACUGCAGUUCAACCAACUUACAAGUUCGGGUUUGGAUUUGUGAGUCUCUCUCACGUACUUGUGCAUAAGUUUUCAAACUUUGCUAAUUGGUUUCUUAUUUUGUAAAUUUUCAGGUCUUUCCAAAGCGAUCACCUCUCAUACCUGAUGUUUCAAUGCAAGUCUUAAACGUGACUGAGGGAGCUAAAAUGGUUCAAUUUGAGAAAGCAUGGUUUGGGCAGACACCCAGUUGUCCAGAGCUCACCAGCUCAGUUUCUUCAAACAGCAUCGGCCUUAAUAGCUUUUGGGGCCUAUUCCUCACUGUUGGAGUCGCUUCAUCUAUAGCUCUCAUCAUAUGCAUCACCACUUUCCUCUAUGAAAAUAGAGAUACUUUAGUACACUUGGAUCCCCCAGCUUCAGUAUGGAGAAAAAUUAAAGCCAUGGCAACACGCUUUGAUCACAAAGACCUCAGCUCGCAUACUUUCAGGAAAAGUGAAAUGGUACAUAGAAGUGGCAUCAAUGGUAUGGAUGCAGUUACAGCCUCGCCAGCUAGCUACCAACUGCCCCCCAAGUCCGUCAAGCCUUUCCAUCCAAACAGAGAGUAAUUUUGCUUUCUUCAGAGACCAAGAAACGCCUUCUUCUGAAUAUGGCGAUCCAUUCAGUCCAAAUAGGCAGACAUCUCCACAGUAGUAUUUGAUAUUAAUUAAUCUUACUAAUACAAAUCAAGUGCAAAUGAUUCCGCCUCAAGUAGCAGCUGCGAAUGACUGAUUCAUUUUCCUUUUGUAAUUUAAGCCAGUGGAACCAUUAUCCACAAAUGUGGAAUAUUUCAUGAAAAAGUAGCACUGUAGCUAUAGCAAAUUUGGUUAAAAUAUUUGAGGGUAUAUCUCAAUGAUGAACUACACCGAGAGGAGGAGAGGGGCUGAAUAGGUGUUUUUAAAUAAAUUCGAAAAGUUCUCCCAACAUAUAUAUAUAUAUAUAUAUAUAUAUAUAUAUAUAUAUAUAUAUAUAUAUUAUAUUUUCCUUUAAAUCUUUACAAUUUAUAUUGCUUUCUUCCAACAUCGAUUCAACAUUAAAGAAUAAAAUACGCAAGCAAACAACCUCCUAUAAGGCCACUAAACUAAUUUACUCCGACUUCACAGUGGAUAGAGCAAUGCAGGAUUACUUCUUAGUCCACCAAGUAAUAGUGACACCAUUGAGUCAAAAACAUAUCUCGUAGUGGAUUUGCACUCAUCUCUAUCACUAACCCAAUCUGUAUUAUAAUAUCCUCUUAAUCUCAAGUCUCCACCUCGAUAGCAAAGGACAAAAUCUCUACAUCCUUGGAGGUGGCAAAAAAUCCUCUUAAUUGCUCGCCAAUGAAUGGGGUAUGGGUUACUUUGGUAACGAUUGACCAAUUGAACUACGAAGCAUAUGUAGGGUCAAGUACACAACAUAACAUAUAUCAUACUUCCAAUUGCACUCACAUAAGGAACUCUUACCAUAUGUUUCCUUUCUUCAUCAUUCUUAGGGCAUUGAUCAAGGCUUAGGUUGUAACCCUUCUCAAUAGGGGUGUUAAUAGGUUUGCAAUUUUGCAUUCAAAACUACUCUAGAAUAUUCUUAAUAUGAGUGAUCCCUUAGGAUCUUAAGUCCGAGCACAAAAUUUGCUUCCCCAUGUCCUUCAUAUCAAACGUGGAGGACAACCAUCCUUUGGUAGCAACAAUUAUGUCCAUGUCACUUCUAGUUAAUAGAAUGUCAUUGACAUACAAAGAUAAAAUGAGGAAGUCUUUCCCUGAUCAUUUAACAUAUACACAAUGGUUCUCUAAAUAAUAUUUCAAAACCAUUAGACGUAAUUGUCUCAUGAAAUCUAAAGUACUACUAUCUAGAUGACUAUUUUAGGCCAUAAAUGGAAUGCUUGAGAUGACAUACUUUGCACUCUUGUCCCUCAACCUCAAAAUGAAUAAGUUGAUCCAUAUAGAUCUCCUCAUUUAGUUUUCCAUUGAGAAAUAUAGUCUUCACAUCUAUUUGGAAGAUCUCUAAGUUCAAAUGUUCAACUAUAGCUGGAAUAAGGCGAAUAGAUGCAAAUCUCACCACUAAGGAGAAUGUCUCUUCAUAAUAUAUAUCCUUUCUUUGGGUAUAUCCUUUCACCAUUAAAUGAGCCUUAGAUUUGUUGAUUGAACCAUUUGUCUUGUGUUUAAUUUCAAACCCAUUUAUUUCCAAUGGUCUUAUGCUCGGGUGUAAGAUCAACUAACUCCCAAAGAUAAUUCAUUGCCAUGGAAUUCAUUUCUUUCCUCAUAGUAGCCAUCCAUUAUACUGAUUUAGAUAAAGUCAAAGCUUCUUCCUAAGAAGCAGAUUUAUCAAGAUCUAACUAUGUAGACAUGUAGGUUUCCCUUUUAAUCUCAAAAUGGUGUUGGGGAAUUUGACCACAUUUGCUUCUUUGUAACUCAAGACCUUGUGAAGAUCGUCUAGUGACACAUUCCCACUAGGAAAUAAACACUCCCACUAUCUUUGGUGAUUUCAAGAUGGGCUUGUAAUUCCCUACCCUCACUCAAAUAUUGUGUUGCUUCCUCUUGCAACUCAUAGAGUUCAAGACUCUUCUUUACUUCAAUAGUAGGAAAAUCAUUUUCUAUAAAAUCAACAUUGUGUGACUCUGUUUCAGUCAACAUUGUGUGACUCUUUUUCAGUCAACAUUAUGUGACUCUAUUUCAGUCAAUCCUCUAACCCUUUAAGUAGUCAAAAUAUCUUAUAAAGACAUUCUUAUUUGCUCUAGGGUCAAACUUCUUACAUCUAUGAGAAGUGUUAUGAACAUAACCUAUACAACCCCAAGGUCAUAAAUUCUCCAAAUUUGGUUUUGCAUCAUUCCAUAGCACAUAUGGAGUUGGAGGGACUGAUUUAGAAGACACUCAGUUAAGGAUUAAGGUAGUAAUCAAAAGAGCAUCCCCCUAAAAAGAUAUUGGGAGGUUAGCUUGCACCAACUGUGGACCCGCAUUUCUCACGUGCGGUGAGACUCACUUUUAUUUGGUGAAAAAUUAGUUUUAAAAAAGUUGAAGUUGCGACUUAUUUUAUUUUUAUUUUAAAGGGAAAAUAAAACAAGAAAGAAAACACUAAAAAGUGACUCCACAAUUUUUGGAAAAAGCAUGUCUUUGAAAAACCCGAGUCUAAGUCUGGGGAUCAGGUUACUUAUUGGAAAGGUAGCUCUAGCAGGUAGCACCCCUCUAAGCCUUAUGAAGGUCUGUACUGACUAAGUUAAGGGAAUUGGGGCAAUUAAUUGGUUAAUUAUAGAUACCUAAGUAGGCUAAGUGAUUUAAAAAAUAAGCAUGUAUAACAAGAAAGUUUGAUCAUAAGAGAGAGUCAUAGUGCAUACCUAAACGACUUUUCAAGCGCUAUCAUGAAACAUAAAAGUUAGUAUAGAAACAUAUCACACAACCUGUGUUUUAUCCAAGCAAAUCAAGUAUAUACCUAAGCACACAAGAAUCACAUCAAGUAUGGAUAUAGUUAUCAGUAGCAUAUGUGUCCAUAGAAUUCUCAAGGGUAGGUGUGGAGGAGCAUACCUGGAUAGCAAGCUAGUACUCCUCUAUGGGAAACAAAGUUAGCCCAAUAACAAAUUCAAAGUAAUCUCAUAUAUGCCACAAAGAGGAGGCAUAAUCAAUCAAAUAUCAAACGAGCUAUAUUGAUCAAGAAACUAUCAUGGAUGUCGGGCCCCCACCAAAGCCCUAAUUAAUUUUGUAUGAAUUGAUUCUAUGAAUUCCAUUGUUUGGAAUCAUGAAGUUUAUUCAUGCUUGUUAAAAAUUGAGAAAAUCAAGAAAAUUAGUAAAAAAAAGUAGUGAAAAUGUGUGCCAGGAGGAAAAUGGUAGCAAAUAAUAUGUUAAAAUCUGGAUUUUAUGCCUGGAAACUCCUAAGGAAUUUUAAAGAAAACUAGAGUUAUUUUGACGGAAAAUGGUUUUGAAAUCCAGCUUUAAGAUGUAUAAGAUCACAAAAAGAAGAAAAAGAAACAUUAGGAGUAUGAUAUGUGGCAAGGUGGUUAAGUUAGAGUGAGAUCUGAGAGUGUGAUUGGGACUGCAUUGAUGGUGGUUUCAUGAGGAGUCUUCUAUAGAUUACCGAUAGGUCUGGUUUUUCAUAACCAUAACUCGAAUCAUCAACAGAAGAUUGCAGUGAAGCAGCAAAGUCCAGUUUCAGAUCUGAUUCCUUUGCUGCCACUUAUUCUGGAGUUUCAAGUCUUUGCUCAGAAGUUCAUCUCAUUAAUCCAUUUUCUCACUGUUCACUUCUGGAUUUUUUUUCUGUAGCUUUGAUUCUGUGUCUUCUUACUCAUCUCGAGCUUCAUCUCUUACCCCUUCGAUAUCUUAAUCAGUCAUUUGUAGCCUGCAUGAGGGAGUUCGCUGAUGGCCCACUUCCAUUAUUCGAAGAUGUAGCUUUUCGAAUAAAUGCACGGACUGUUGCAAUGUCUCCAAGCUGUAUGUGUGUGGUACCCCUUUUGAAUUUUAGCAAGUGCCUUAAAGCUUAUUUUCUUCUAAAGCGGGUUCCAAGGCUAAGUGGUCCAGAGGUUGGAUCAGUUCUCCCCGUAAGGAUGCAAGAGCAUGUCUUGAAGUUGUAUUUUUUACAGUUCGUACAGGUAAGAACAUGUGCAAACUAGGCAGCACCAUUUCUUUCUCUGAAGCCAAUAAGCCAUGAUCAGGCCUCUUUAAACUGAACUCGGCUCUGAUGGAUAUACUGCUGGCUUAGGACUCUCUAAUUUCUUUCCAGCUGACUGCAAUGGGACCUCUGAGACUAAAGGUUUGCUUAAAGAUUCUUUUGGACAAGAUUUUGAAGAAGCAUCAAAGCAACUUUCUUGUUCUAUACGAUUCGAAGUAUGAAUUUGAGUGGAUUGAGGAUUUGAUGGGUUCAAUCUUGCUUCAUCUGCAUGCAAAUAUCCCACACUGAUAUCAUCAGCUUGUACCUCCAACACUUGUUCCAAAGGAACUCCAGGCUCUGGGAAGUAAUGGGAAGGUGAAGACACCAAACGUUCAGAGUUCUCUCCAAGAUGAAUCUGAUGAGGAGCAACUUGUGAAUCCAAAUCCUGAUUGAUUUGUUUUGAAGAUGUAAGAUGCAAGCUAUCUUGGUAUUGUUAAUUUGGAACAUCAUUGAGCAAUUUAGAAUUGGAAUGGACAUAAGCUCCUAUAAUGCCAUGAUUGGAGUCUAAGUCAAUCGAAGCAGAUGCCAGUUGAUUCACUUCUUUUGGUGCAUCUGAUUCUAUGUCAUACUCAGGAGGGAUUGCCUUAUUAAUCUCCAUUUCUCUCGGAAGUGUUUCUUUCAAAUUCAGGAUAUUCCUAUAUGGUAUCAAAUCCAGAGACGGACAAAUAACAUUGUUGACAUCAUCAACUUCAUCAUCACAUGCAACGGCGGAAACCAAAUGUGUCACAGGAACUGAUUCAGUUACUAAAUCAUCCAAGCUUAGGUGAUCCUUAGGAUCGGGAUAAUUUGAUAACCAGAUGGAAAAUCAUCUUCACUAUAGCACCACUAGCAGCAACAGCAGUCCCAGCUACAGGUUCUGCUUGAACUGUUUCAGGUAUUGAAGAUCUUUUGGAACUAGACAAUUUUGAUUAUUGGACGAAAUAUCAUCUUCACUAUUAGCACCACUUGCAGCAACAACACCCUUACUAUUUAGUUUCCACUACUGGAUGACUUGCGAACCCAUGUAGAAGAGUCUUCCUUUAAUGUGUACAACCAAACAUUCUGAGAAAUAGUUUCCUUUAGCAUAGGCCUCAGCUGCACUCUUGUAGCAUCUUGCCAGAGAAAAACAUUCCCCGGCUUUAUCCAGCUUAGGUUCCCCACAUUUUUCCAUAUAAAUUCUACCUGCUCUUUCAUACCUCCUUUUUCCCAAGCUUAUUAUACACCUUUUGAACUUCCUGCUACUCCAUCACCAUCGUUUCUACUGCCGCUUCUCUUACUGAAGCGUUGAUCGAUAUCAAGUCUUUAAAAACAGAAAUACGGAAUUCUGGCAAACCACUGUUGGGUGAAGAAGCUGACUGCUCUUUGGCAAUUUAUUGGCAUGUCUUAAAACUCCUUAUUUAUGGAAUUCCAUCAUUUGAAAACAAAGUUGUCAACUGCCAAACUAAACGGAUAGAACAGCUUUGCAUGGUGACUUUCCAUCCUCUCCAUACCAUUAUAAUUCUUACCUGGAGAGAGUCCUCCUUUUGUAUCUGAUCAGAAAGGACAUGGAAUUUGAAGUGUUCUUUGCGCAAGAUAUUGGUCCUCUUCCAGUUGAAUCGAUAAUUCUGUAUGCAGCCUCUAUGCUUAAGGUUUUACGCCGCCAUUUUCCGAUGAAGUAAAUUGCUGCAGGCUUGUUUUGUUUUGUGCAAAUUCAACUUAUUGAGUAUCAAAGUGGAGUUAGCUUUGGACAUCGACUGCAAGCUAACUGGAUUCAAAUUCCUGUGUAUUCAUCAUUGAUUCAGCUGGUGUUACAGUAUUGUAGGAGUUUGCAGACCCUGAAGGAUCAGCAGCGUUCAUCCAUAUCUAUUACCCUGAAUAAGGGGUUACUGAUGUUGAUCAAACUGUUGUUUUAAAGGUUCGGAUGAACCACGUACUAUGCAGUGUGUCGGACAAAUAACCAUUCAGAAGUGCUGAGUCGAUUCACCAGUUGCAUAUUGUUCCCAAUAAGCCCACCAUUUAAAGCCCCAUUUGAAAAACCAUAAGUUUUCUGUUGCAAAUCGGACCUAAUUCCACUACCCCUUUGACUGCCAGUAGCUUCAGAGCCUUCAUGCUGAUGUGUACAUAUACCAUUCCUGAUGCCAUGAACAAAUUCCCCAACCUAUUUUCAAGAUGAGCAUCAUGAGCAAAGCCAGACUGUGAACACACGAUUUCAUUCAUAUGCUGAUAUAUAAAUAUUACAAUUUUAGGCACACUACUGUUGAGUCAAUACCAAACCCAACUAACACAUCUAGCUUUUUCAAAAACAAAUUCCACAAAAUACGGAUCUUCACACCUUUACAACUAAUCCUACUAUUAACAAAAGAUACAAAAGAUUUCUUAAAGUAUCUAUAAAAUUCUCAAAUUCUAACACUCCUCCUUGAGAAUUUUCUUAGAGACUCCAAGCCUUGAUCUUAGCUCUUCGAACUUGGCUUUGGAAAGUGCCUUAGUUAAUAUGUCAGCAAUCUGAUUUUCUGAGCAACAAUGCACCAGAUUGACUUCACCAUUCUUCUCAGCUUCUCUAAUAGCAUGAAACUUCACAUUUAUGUGUUUGGUUCUUCCAUGCUGCACAGGGUUUUUUGCAAUAGCAAUGGCUGACUUGUUGUCAACCCAAAUUACAGUAGCAUCUGCUUGGCUUUGCCCCAAAUCAGUCAGCAAUUUCCUUAGCCAAAUGGCUUGGUUUGCAGCUGCUGCUGCAGAAAUAUACUCAACUUCUGCUGAGGAUUGAGCCACGACCUCUUGUUUUUUUGAAUUCCAUAAAAAAACUCCACUACCAAAUGAGAAAGAAUAACCAGAAGUGCUUUUGGAAUCAUCUAAACUUCCUGCCCAGUCACUGUUUGCAUAUCCUUGGAGUUCUUUACUUUCUUUCUUAACAAACCACAAACCAUAGCCAAAAGUACCUCUAAUGUACCUUAGAACUCUCUUAGCUACCCCAAAGUGAAUUUUACUAGGUGAGUGCAUAAACCUUGAGAGUAGGCUUGCUGAGAACAUUAAAUCUGGCCUUGUAGCAGAUAAGUAGAGCAGACUACCUAUUAGGCUUCUAUAAACAGAGGCAUCUGCUUUGAUGUUAACUUCAUUAUUUGUUAAUUUCUCAUUCACAACCAAAGGAGUUGCUACAGAUUUGGAUCUUUCCAUAUGAAACUUCUUCAAAACCUUUAGAGCAUACUUAUGUUGUGAGAUGAAGAUUCCAACUUCACAUUGGUGAAUUUCGAUGCCCAAAAAAUAUUUCAUCUCACCCAAAUUGGACAUUUCAAACUCACUUUCCAUCUACACCAUGAAUUACUUCAAGAUUUUUGAAUUACAACCUAUAACUAGCAGGUCAUCUACAUACAAAGAGACAAUAAGCUGAACUUCUUCUUGAACCUUCAACACAUAUAGAGUGGCUUCACUUUCACUUCUUUUAAAUCCUUACUGCAGCAGAUAGGCAUCAAUUCUACUAUACCAAUCUCUUGAUGCUUGUUUCAAGCCAUAGAGAGCUUUGUGGAGCUUGUAAACUUUGUCUUCACAACCUGGAACUUGAAAUCCUUCUGGUUGCUCAACAUAAAUAUCUUCUUCAAGCACACCAUUUAGAAAGGCAUACUUCACAUCAAGAUGAUGAAUUUUCCAGCCCAUCUUUGCAGCUAAAGCCACCAGAAGCCUUAUAGUAUCAUGCCUAGCCACUGGAGCAAAAGUAUUUGAAAAAUCAACACCAUACUCUUGAGAAUAGCCCUUUACAACCAAUCUGGCCUUAAGUUUGUUUAUAGAACCAUCUGAGUUAUAUUUGAUUAUGAAAACCCACUUAACUCCAAUUAUCUUUUGAUUUUUAGGUCUAUCAAGCAACUCCCAAGUUCCAUUUUUCUUUAUCAUUUUUAGCUCCUCCUCCAUUGCAACUCUCCACCCAUUUUCUUUAGCAGCUUCAUCAUAACAUGUAGCCUCCUGUAAUGCUACAUCACAUCUCUCAUAUAUUUCAUCAAGUAACCUUGUUCCUCUUACUAGAACAUCAUCUAAGUUAUCAGCACCAACUUCAUCUUCAAUUUCUUUUGGAAUUUGGGGAAUGGUUACCCCAAUUUGAUCAACAUCUUCUACUUCUAUCUCAUUUUUCUCCAAGUUCCAUACUGCUGCUUCAUCAACUUUGAUGUCCCUGCUAACCAUUAUUUUUUUUGUUUUCAAAUUGAAAACUCUAUAGCCCUUGGAGGUUGAGCUAUAUCCCAGGAAGAUUCCCAUUUCAGCUUUGUAGUCCAACUUGUCUCUUUUCACAUCUGGCACAUGAGUGUAACACAAACUCCCAAAUACUUUCAAGUGCUCCACAGCUGGUUUAACUCCAUACCAAGCCUCAAAUGAAGUUUUAUUCUUCACAGCUUUGGUUGGAAGUCUUUUCAACAAAUACACAACUAUGUUAACAGCUUCUACCCAGAAACACUUGGGCAUUUUCUUUUCAAAUAGCAGACACCUUGUCAUCUCCAUAAUGGUUCUAUUCUUCCUCUCACUCACUCCAUUUUGUUGAGGGGAGUAAGUGACAGUCAACUGAUGUACAAUUCCAACUUCAACACAAAACUUGUUUGAUGUAUAUUCAAUCCCAUUAUCUGAUCUUAUUACCUUAAUGCUGCAAUUUUCUUGAUUUUCUACCAAGGCCUUGAAAUUUUGAAACACACCAGCCACUUCUGAUUUUUGCUUCAUAAAGAAAACCCAAUACAUCCUUGUUUUAUCAUCUAUGAAUAGGAUGAAAUACCUGUUUCCAUUCAAUGAGGGUGUCUUCAUUGGUCCACACACAUCAGUAUGGAUCAAUUGUAACCUUUCUGAAGCUCUCCUGACCUUGUUUACAAGAAACGACAAUCUACUUUGCUUCCCAAAUUGACAGACUUGACACACAUUUUUUUCAUCACAAAUGACAGGUAGGCCUUGUGUUAAGCCCUUCUGAUGCAAGUGUUUAAGUGCAGCAUAAUGAAAAUGGCCAAAUCUCUUGUGCCACAACACAGACUCAUCGAGAACAGUGGUAUAAGCAUGCAAAUUAGUCUCUUUCCACUUAAUUGGAAAGCUUUUGUCUCUCAUUUUUACAGUCAUCAACUUACAACCAACAUUAUCAACAACGGUGCAGGACAUUUUUUGAAAAUGCAAAGAAUAAUUCUUCUCUAGCAUUUGACCCACACUUAAUAAGCUUUGACUAAUUUCAGGCACAAACAACACAUCUGAGAUAUAUUUAAUACCUGUUGGAGUCUCAAUAGCAACAACUCCCUUGCCCUUGACAUCAACCAAAUCUCCAUCUCCAAUCUUUACUUUCAACUUAUAUGACUGAUCCAACUCCUUGAAAUUACUCAACUUAGGAGUCAUGUGGUUUGUACAACCACUGCCAAUAAGCCAAGUUUCUAUACAGCUACUCAUUGCAUGACUGGUAACAAUAAACAAUUGCUCCUGUUGCUGCUGAUUUUCACCCAUUUGUGCUUGUUGUCCUUGCUCCCCUUGCUGAUCAUUUUUAUUCUUGCAUACCUUCUCUACAUGACCAAAUUGCUUGCAUGAUCUGCAUUGUACACUAGGCCUAUACCAACAAAAAUUCUCUGAAUGACUUUGUUUCUUGUAGUGAGGAUAUGGAGGAUAUCUCUUCUUGCCACUACUUUUCCUUCCUUGGCCCUCAUUCUUCUCUUUAUCUUUCUUCUUGAUUCGUUCCCAAUUGGUGUCUCAGCUGAUUCAUGUCCUCUCAAUGGUCCCUGACAAUGGUGCCAUUUGAUUUGUGUCCAGCUGGUGUCCCUUGAUUGUGGUCCUCAGAAGAGAGUAAUCAACAAAAUUUAUAACCUAUUACACCAUGUACUAGGAUAGCCUUAGCUAGCAUAGCACAGUGGCUCUAGGGUCGUUCACUGGGAUGGGUUUUCACUCCACAAUUGAUAUUAAUCCAAAGAUGAAUUGGUGCCUUUUCAUUUCAAGGUUAGCUUUAAAAGAAAACAUAACAAUGUUUGAAUGAAAAAGGUUUGGUUUUAAACUAACCAAAAAUAGUAACUGAUUUUACUUACAAAGAAAAGUGUUUCUUGGAGUUUAGAUUAUCAGGCUCAGGUUCCUUAUACAAAAAGGAGAGUUCCGGUCACUUGUUUCUUUUCCUCGCAUUAGAGAAUUAACAUAUGACUAAUUCUCUAACCAGUGCGGUACAGAUGCUUCCCAUUAAUGGGUUCAAACACUAAAUCCCUCUCACUGAUGCACCUUGCAAUAUCUCAUGCUUCUCACCUAGCAUUUGCCAUUCAAGGUGAUCUUUAACCUUGGAUUACCUGUCAAAAGCUCGCAAGAGAUAACUAAUGGAUGUCUCCUUGGAGUCCAAAAGCUUACCAAGUGUUGGCUAUUUUAGAAAAUCCUACCUCUAAACCACCUCCCAAAGGCUUGCAAGAGAUAAACAAGUGCAUCUCAAUGGAUGGAAAUCACUUGCCUUAUCAAGUGUUGGCCUAGGUGAGUUAAAGGAGUUUUAAGUUAACUAAAAAGAUAAAAACCAUUAACAGGUCACACUUUCUCUUCAUUAAAAACUAAAACAACAAAACUUCCAAUUUAUGCAUGAGGAAACUUACCCGACUUUCUUCACUCCAAGAGACGAAAAGCCUAGCCACUCAUCCUCUGAGGAAAAAUCCUCAGAGUUUGAUUUGCUAGAAAUAAAAAUAAUGAGAAAACAAAAAUAUAUAUAUGAAAAACAGAGCAAGUGCUCUGUAAUAUAUUUUUCUUCCUUAUACAAAAGGUUCUCUCCAAGAACAAACUCUCGAGAGCUCUCCCUGAUUGUAAAGAAAAUUACAACUAUAUAUAAGAGGUUAUUCACCCCUUUGUUCUUGCUUAAAGACUAAGGAAUCCUAUGAUAGGUGGGUUACAAGGAGACUUUGGGAAUUUAGACAACAAAUAUCUAAAGCAAAAUAUCUCAAGAUGUCGGUCGGAAAUAUUAAGAAGCUUCAGGAAAACACUGCGGCACUGUAUACUGAGAGAAAAACUCUUCGGGUAAGCGCUAUCAGAGGAUCCAGAUAUGUCUGACCGGAGAAGUUGAAACGUCCUCCUCUCCCAUCCGGAUGUGAGAUAUCCGGAUGUGAAAUGUCGGUGGACGGAAUUCCGAUGUGAAAUAUCCCGCGCCGUCAGGCUAUCCGGAUAAACUCCAUCCAGAUUCCCCCGGGUGGAAUGAGCUAUGUCUCAAGGGGGACCAUCUACGUGUGCAAGGUGUAGGGACCCCUCUCCCGGAUGACACGGAGCGCGCAAGGCUAUCCGGAUCCCCUCAGGGAGAAGCACAUGACACUCGUGAACAUCACACUCGAACGAUAGCAUAUCCUAUCAGGAUAUGUUGUCCGGGUCAUUGACUUCCGCUGCCAUCCUGUCCGGAAAUAUUUUCCAUGGAUUCCAAAGAACUCUCCUCAAUCACGGAUUGCUUUGGUGAUAAAAAAGCUAUCAAAACACCAAAACUUAACACAAUUUGAUUAGAAUUGAUUGCAAGGGUCAUUAAUAUGUUAAUUGGGUUAAAAGGUGAUAAAUUCUACUCAAAAGUGUUUAUAAGAGUUAAUUACAAGCUAUGAUAUAGCACUUUUUGAGUAGUAAUCACUUCUCACCAGAUUGCUUUUUCUCUCUACCUUGAGAAGCUUUUCUUUUUUGCAGUGCAAGAAAAGCUUCUUCAUUGCUUUCUUCCUGUCUCAUUGAUCUCUUCUGUUCUUGAGCUUGAAAAGCAUGAACAAGCUCAGCCAAGGAAAUUUUGGUUAAAUCCUUUGAGUCUUCAAGUGAAGAGAUCUUGGACUCAAAUCUUUCAGGCAAGCUCACUAGAACUUUCUCUACAACCCUUUGGUCUGUUAGAUCCUCACCAAGAAGCCGGAUUUUGUUAACAACUUCCAUGAGCUUGUCUACAUAUUCUUUGAUGAACUUAUUAUCUUUCAUCCUCAAAACUUCAAAUUGCCUCUUCAGAUUCAAAAUCUGCAUUUGCCUAGUUCUGUCACUCCCCAAAUACAUCUCCUUAAGCUUGUCCCACGCGUCUUUUGGUGUUUCACAAGCCAUAAUCCUUGUGAAAAUUGGUUCUGAGACAGCAGCAUGGAUGUAAGAUAAGGCUCUUGGAGCUUUAGCUUCUUCUUCUUCAUGAGCCCUGAUUUGAUUGAGGGUUGGAUUGUUUCCCAAAGGCUGUAUUUGCCUUUCAGUUUCAACCCACUGCCACAAACCAAGACCUCUCAAGUAAGCUUUCAUCUUAACAGCCCAAACUUGAUAGUUUUCACCAUUGAAAACUAGGGUUGAAAGAGCAGACGUAUUGCUGGAAGCCAUGAGGGUUUUUAGAGAAAGCCUUGUUGGUGGUUUUUUUUUCACUCACAAGUUCUAUUAAGAUCUUUUUGGUGCUCUGAUACCAUGUGAACACACGAUUUCAUUCAUAUGCUGAUAUAUAAAUAUUACAAUUUAACACAUCUAGCUUUUUCAAAAACAAAUUCCACAAAAUACGGAUCUUCACACCUUUACAACUAAUCCUACUGUUAACAAAAGAUACAAAAGAUUUCUUAAAGUAUCUAUAAAAUUCUCAAAUUCUAACACAGACCGACAACAACAACCAGGUUUCUAGAAUUGGAGCUCAUAAAAAAAUGAAAUUGCAAUUCAUUUUUCCAGCAUUCCUCUUCUCUGAUCCGCCUCAAAGAUUUCAACUGUAUGAUGGUGAGAUGCAUUUAAUUCCCAGCUGAAGAAAAAGAACGAAAUCUGCUUAUGAUUCUAUUUAUUUAUCAAGACUAAACUGAUGAUUUCUUUGACGUACGAGUUGGAUGUUCGUAAUCCGAAUGGGUGAAUCUUCUAGCAACACUUCAAUACUAAAAAGAAGUCGGUGUGUUCUGCUCUCUUCCCACUGCAGAGAUUUCAUUUAGCAUUCCACUGAGAGUGAAUGGUUGAGAACACUAUGCUUGAAGUGCUUGGAUUAAGGACAUUUCAGCACCUUGAAUCAAGGUAGGUGGCUGCACUAGUGGCGAAUUUUCCAAAGAUAGCUUUUGUGAAAGUGGAUUCCCAUGAAGUAUGUCAUAUCCCAGGCAGCAAUGAAGAUGAUGAUCCCACUAGAAAAAAAAUUUCAACUAGGUCCAGCCAAGAGGAAACUGGAAAUAGGGGGGAACGUGUCAUUUGAAGAGCCAUCAAGACUACCAUCCGCUUGUGGAGAACUGCGCAUAUGCUGAAUCAGAUGGUGAAGAAAAAAUUAUCAUAGAAGACAUCCUUUCCCUCCAUUUCAUGCAUGAACUAAUUAAUUCCUCCAAAUAAAUGCUCAGGCCAUGACUUUGCAAAACAGCAAAGUGCCCUGACGAACAUCGCAAGAGAAAUCCAACAUGCUUUCGAGAUCACCAAGCUGGAUCAAAUAUUGCUGAAAGAGAGUGCCAAUUACAACAGCAACUGAUUUGACUUUAGGUGGAUAUGCUGACCAAUCUUAGCAACGAAGAAAAAAGUGCAUCCCAGGCUGUUUCUCAGCAAGUUUUCCUGGACAAUCUUGGCUGCAACCGAUCCUCUUUUUUUUUUUUUCUGUGUGUUUCCCCCCUGAUCCCUCAAAAACCUUUGUUCAUCUUUUUUUUUUUCCUUUUUCUCUCCUCUUUCGUACCCCAUCUUUUCUGAGAAUUUGCUGGCAAUAACUGGACCUGCUCAGUGCACAUCCUGCAAAGAGCACUAGAGGUUGCUGCUUUUGGCCACUUAAAUUUUUCCUAUAAUUCAGAUGAUGUUACUUAAGUGCCAAGAGAUGAAGAAAAUAGACCCUGAACAGCUAGAAAAUUCAAUAUCCCUUUUUGCAUCCAAAACUUUGCUUCAGGAUCCAACUUCAAAUAUUUCAAAAUACUAGAGAGGGAAUCUACGACCCAACUUCUAAGACAAUCAGAAUUUCUUGAUGGUCCAAUAGAUUCCUUAUCCUCUGCUGAAUUUAGCUUUGAAUUGUCAUUUGUUGUCUAACUCUGAUCAGAAGGUUUCUCCGAAGCAUGACCUUCAUCCACUAACAUGCUAAUUAAGUUCUGAAUAAACAGCAUGCAUCCAGAUUCUUUUUUGAACUCUGCCAUCAAAUCUUUAACAGUUUUUGUCCAUGUAAUGCAAUCAAAUCUCCCACUUCUGUGCUUCUAUAGAGCCAUGAUGACAUAUACUUUUCUAACAUCAUCCUAUCUAACCCAAUCUGAUAGUUCUUUAAGAAAAUACUGGCCAACUUUAUGCAGCCAAAUGUCUUUGGUAGAAAGUAUGUUCGUUAAACACUGGACAAGUUUGUAAGAAAGAACCAUUGGGAUGAAAGAUGCAGGCAAUCUUGAUAAGAGAAGAAGCAGAACAUCAGAUGCCAAGUGUUUGCAGUCAUGAUAUGCUGAUCUUGAAUCAGAUACAGAGCUUGCGCUGCUGUCUCUCAAUCUCUGUACCAAAGGACUAGAGUAUGCGUGAGGCAAUUCUUUCUGACACAUAAAACAGUCCUCCAACCUUGCGGUUGUCUCUGGAAGAAUUACUUAUUGAUGAGCCCAUCCAUCAUAUAAGACUACAUGGUCCUGUGCUGACACUUGAUGCCAGUCAUAGCCUAGAUAAGGUCUCUGCUGAAAAUUACCAAAAGUCUCAGUAUCCAUCUUCAUUCGCAUAGAGAACCUAUUCUGUCCAUUCCUAGUCCCGCGGGUAUGAGAAUUACAAGAAAUCAUGUCAAAGAACUUCUUAUUAUAAGUAGAUUUAGCAUCUGAUUGGGUACUAGUCCAUAACCCUCUGUGUCACCCAAGCCUUGACCAAGUGCAUUGUCUUCGAUCCUUUUCUUUUCAUCCCUUUGCUUUGCCUUUCCUAGAUAACCCCAAACUUCAUCCCUUUUAAACCUUUCAUUCAUCGCCAUAAAAUUGAAUUCUUCAGUGAACUACACAGUAGACUUCUGAGGCUGUUGAGCAGAGGCUGGCAAUGGCAAUAAUGGUGCUUGAAAUGCUGGAGUAGACAUUGUGCUCAAAGUAUUAGGAGAUGUUGAUGUUGAAGCAACCUUAUCCAUCUGAUCAGGGUAUACUUUCUGUGAGAAAGAAAGUAUGGAUGACAUGGGCUGUGAUAAUUGAUCAUGAGUUAAUAAAGUUGAUGGUAGAGUUAGAAGGAGGCCAGAGGUGGAACCCCCAAUUGCGGAUGCAGAAUGAUGCAGGGGAUGGAUAGGAGGCACCGAUACCAGAUCAGAAACUAUUUUACCAGUAAUUGGAGCUUCAGUUCCAGACUCCUCCAUGAAUAAACAGAAAAUUCAGGAAUUUUCUAUAUUCUAUGAACCAGAACUGACAUAUGAAAAAUACAAAAUCGGAUCAACCAUUCAUCACUAAUUUCUACAGCAUUUGAUUUCAUUGAUGGCCAUCAUUUCUUUGUUUUCGAAAGCCAUCUUCAUUGCAUCAGUCUCAAAACCAGUUCUCAAACCGGAUCCAUGUAUCAGUGGAUACUCAUCCGUAAAACUGACUGCAUAACUAAAACCGGCAAACCUCUAUCAAACAAUUGGGAACAAAUUGGGGACCUUCAUCGUAUAUAAAACUCCAAAUGCUUCCUCAAAAUUGGUAAUGGAGAAAUAUGGGCAGAAUCAGGUGGAGAAUCGGAGGGAUUGCAUCUCAAAGUUUUCACACAACUUUAAUUUCCAGUCUUCAGGGACUUACAAGAGACAGUAUACUAAAUAACCAGAAAAUGGCAUAAAAAAUUUGGACAGUUAGAUAUGGGAAUUCCAUCCAAACUCAUCGUCCGAAUGUAAGCAAUUCUGCUGGGAUCAUCCCUAGCAAAACCAUGUCACAAGGAAUUGUCUCAUUUGCACAGAUCUUCACCACUUCGCCAGCUUGUAUCUUUUUUCAUUUUUUUUUUUCUGAAAGUGACCAGCAUAAAGCACUAUAGCCUCACGAUUGUUCUCCACUUCAUUAUUCUAAAUUAGUCUAAGAUGCCUGCCAAUCUACAGAAAAUCACGAUGGUAUUCAACUUCCCAUUCCUUCUCUCAGCGAUCUCAAUUUCCUUCGAAGUCCGGUAUGUGCCUUUCAGCUAUUACAUGAACACCAGUAUACUGAGUAGGCUUCAAAACUGCUCUCUGGCCAACAGCAUUCAAAGUCAUUCAUAUCUUGACUAUCUGAUUCAUAGUCCACAUGAAGAGAACAACAAGUGACCAAAUGAUACCAGUUUGUCAUUAAAUUCAUCGUCAGCCUUAUUUAUCAAUAAUCUGGUCAGUCUUGGUAUCAUCAAUCUCAACAUGUGCGCCACCAGCCUCUCUUACACUUUUAAUGGAACUCCCUCCCCUGCCAAUAACACGCCCAAUCUUGUCAAAUGGGCACAAAACUCUUAUAAUUAACUCCUGAUCGUGAUGCUCCAUAACCAGAAACUACAGGUAGGUUGGAUGAAUAAAAUGGCCCUAUACUGUCCAUGUCUGAAUAACCCCGAAGUUCUGGUACAUGUGUAGCAGCUAAGACAAGAGGAACAGAUCUAGCAGACACAAUAGAGUCUGCACUAAGAUAGAAUCCACCAGAAAUCCAGAAAACGUCCUUUACCAGUUCUCUUUCUUUUCUUUGUUCUGUCAUUCUUCAGCUCUCGAACUCCUCCAUAUGGCCAGAAUGCGCUCAUAUAUACAUUCUCAUACUUCCAAUUCACCAUUUAAAUAAUUCAACGACCAAAAAGCUCAAUAAUCCAAGAGGAUUACAUCAGCAACAUCACCCUUACAUGAAACCCAGAUCGCACAGCGGAACACACUGACCCAGGAGAAUACCCAGUAGAUAUGCAAACUGUCCUGCAGUAAGGAAGGGGUGCCAGAGAAACAGGAAAAUAUGCAAAUAGAAAGAAAGAAACGAAAAAACAGAGAAAAGAUAGGCAUAGUGUAAAUCAUCAAACAAAGCCACAUUCCAUAACUUCGUCAAUGGGCUUAAAAAUAGGCUUCAAUAGCUGAGAGCAAUGGCUUGAUUUUAAAAUCAUCCAAUUCAAGAACGAGCCACUCAUCAAUUGAAGGGAGCAGUUAUAAAAUCAAAACAAAAUAUGUAAAGAAAAAGAACUCUGAUUCAUCAUAACAACCAAGUGACCAUAAACAUCCACAUCAAGUAACAAAAAUAAAUCUUUAGAGACAGCCAAGGAAUGAGGUGAAAUCGAAAUUAAAUGACAAUAUAGUAAAUAUUUGGAAGCAUACCUGCACGAUCUCCCCUCCAAUUGCUUGGCUUCGGGCUACUGCCCCUUUCUUAGAGUAGGAAAUCUUCUCUAAGACUGGAAUCUGUCCACCUAUCUCCUGUUCUUCCUCUCUCCCCACCGUUCUCAAUGUGUGCUGCCAAUUCCCUUUUUUCUCCAUGCAUGCUAUCCGUACUCCUUUUCAAAAACCUCCCCCCUUUUCUUCCCUCCAAUCUUUUCUUUUAUUCUAUCUCCAUUUUUCCAAAAGGAAACUUUCCUUUCUCCUGACUCAUGCCCAAUUGGUGUCUCAGCUGAUUUGUGUUCAGCUAGUGCUCCUUGAUUGAGGAAGUGAUCAACAAAAUUUAUACCUAUAACACCAUAUACUAGGGUAGCAAAUAAAAAGCUACUAUAGUAUAGUGGCUCUAGGGUCGUUCACUGGGAAUGACUAAUCAAGCAAUCAAGGAUACCAAUUCCAAGUGAAUUGGUCUUGUUUCAUUUCACGGUUAGUUUAAGAAAUAAAACACAAACUUUGAUUGGUAAAGGUUGAGACUUAAACUAACUAACUUAACAGAAGUUUGGAAUAAUUUAGGAAGAAAAGCAUUCCUUGGAGAUUUAGGUUCACUGGGGUGGUUCCUCAUGCAAAAGACAUAGCUCCGGUCAGAUGGUUCAUUUCCUCGCGUUAGAGAUUCAACUUAUAGUCAAUUCUCUAACCGGUGAUGUACAGAGACUCCUUCAAUUAGAUUUCACUUUAAUUCUCUCACUGAUGCAACUUGCAAUGGUUCAUGCCUCUCACAAGCACCUACCAUUCAAGGUGAUCUUUAACCUUGGACUUCCCUUCACAAACUCGCAAGAGAUAACUAAUGGAUGUCUCCUAGGAGUCCAAAAGCUUACCAAGUGUUGGUAAUUCUAGAAAAUCCUACCUUGAAGUCACCUACCAGAGGCUCGCAAGGGGUAAACUAGUGCAUUUCCAUGGUUGGAAAUCACUUGCCUUACCAAGUGUUGGCCCAGGUGACUCCAAGGUGUUUUAAGUUAACUAAAAACAUUGAAAUCACUAAAGGAUUUCACUUCCUCUUCAUUACUAGCUAAAACCACAGAGCUUUGCAUUCUUGCACUUGGAACCUUCCCCGGUAACCUUAGCUCCAAGGAAUUGGAGGUUUAGUUACUCAUUCUCUAGGGAAAACUCCUAAGAGAAUUCAUAACUUAGAAAUAAAAUGAAAAUACAAAGUGAGAAGGUAAGGCAGUAGAAAGAAAAGACCUUUACUUGCUUCCCAAAUGGUUACAGAAGGAACUCCUCUCUGAGAACAGGCUCCCGAGAGGUAUAUAUAUCAAACCAAUAUAAAACUAAUUGUUACACUGAUAUUUGGUCUUUUUACUAACUUAAAAACUAAGGAAUCAUGUAAUUGGUGGUUUACAAGGAGUAUUUUGGGAUUUAGACAACAAAAAUCUAAUGGAAAAUAUCUCCCAAUGUCGGUAGCAAGCUUCGGGAGGCUUCAGGAGCCAUUUCGCAGGAGAAAAGUGGUGUCUGCGAAAUUUCGUAGACACCCAAGAGGGCUGCGAAAUUAUUUCGCAAGACCGAGCUAUCUUCAUAGGGCUGCGAAGUUGGCUUCCACCUUGAGGUUUCCAGCUCCCUUCUCGCGGCAUGGUUCGUGCAUCGUCAGAAGGAGAAACACCUUACUAUACAAAAGUGCUGCGAAAUUCUCGCAACAAAAGGCUGAUUCCGCAACACUUUAGAGUGACUGGCUUGUAAUGGCUGCAACUUCUUCGUUUCAACUCCAAAUUGCACACCAUUUGAAGCAUUGGAUUGUUGACUUCCUGAGCUUUGAAAUGAUAUAUAGCUUGCAUCAUUUGGACUUCAGAAAGUGCUCCAAAAGUGGCUGCUACGACUGUCAUCAAGAAUAUGCUCCAUGACUGAUCCUCUUUGCUUUUUCUCCUUGCAAUCCGGAUUCACUCUUGGCAAUUGAAUUCUAAGCUUUGCCCAUGAUUCCUCAUAGCUCUCCUCAUUCUUAACUUGCUUUGGUGAUCAAAAUACUAACAAAAACACCAAAACUUACACAAAGUGAUCAAAAUUGCUUUAAAGGAUCCUUAACAUGCCAAUUGAGUUAAAAGGCCUAAACUACUACUCAAAAGUGUUAAAAAGGAUUAAUUAAAGGCUAUCAAAUAGCACUUUUUGAGUAGUAAUCAUCUCCUACCAAAAAAAAUAUGCCAUUUUCAUUUCUCCAAAAUUCUGGUGAUCUUCCUUCCAAGUAGAUGGCAACUUGUUUCCUCAUGCCUAAAAAGCCAAGAAAUAUGAUUUAGAAAACUUAUAAUAAAAUAAAAUAAAAUUAAAAUAAAAUCAAAAUAAUAAAGAAAGUCAUACAAGCCACAUAAGUCAUGUAGGUCAUGCAAUAAUGUAAGUCAUAUAAGAAGUGAGUCUAAAAGUUCCUAAGUGGGCCUAAGUGUCCUAGAUGGGCCUAAAGUGGUGCCUAAUGGGCCAAGUGUGCCUAAGUGUCUAAGUGGGCCUAAGGUGGUGUCUAAGUCUAAAUUAAGGCUACCAAGGGUACAAUGAGGGGUCAGAUAAAUCCUUCAACUAAAGUCUUCGAGGUGGCUCAAAAAAAGGUAAGUAGUAUGAGUAGCAAUGGGCCAUCAAAGAACUAUUGUGGAGCACUGGAAGUGAACUUAAAGACAUGUGCUAAAGGGACAAAAUUGAGGGUCUACACCAACAUUGACUUAACCAUAUCUAGUAAAGAAUGAUUUCUUCUUUCCGUUAUACUAUUUUGUUGUGAAGUGUUAAGAAUUGUUAACAAUCUACAUAUCCCUUUCUCUUCACAUAGUUUCUGAAACUGAUAUGACACGUAUUACUGACCUUUGUCAGUUUGAAGAAUAUUUAAAUUAUGAUUCUCAACCUCUACCAAAAAACACUUGAAACAAUUCAAUGCUUCAAAGUGAUGAAGCAUUAAUGAAUGUGAGAAAAUAAGAGGAGUCAUGGCGUACCUUUACAUUCAUAGGUCCAUAGAUAUCUUAAUAGACUAACUCUAAAGGGUAAGAGGCCCUAGGUGCCUUUCCAAAAGGCUUCUUAUAGGCUAUUCUUGCUUGACAAGACUCACACAUAGGUAAACUAACAUUGGCAAGAGACCCUAGAAGACAUUCUCUAGCUAGUCUAGUCAUUCUUUUUUUACUUAUGUGUUCUAAUAUAGAAUGUCAAUUCAAAGAAUCAACUGUAUUACCAUAAGCUACAUAAGAAGAUGAAGAAUCCAAAUUCAACAUGAAUAUACCAUUAGAUAAAAAAAUCUUGUCCAUAUAGGGCCUUAUUUAAAUAGAAUUCAACUUUUAUCCUAAUAAAAUGAAAUUUAAAACCUAAUUCAAGUAGUGUUAUUACUAAAAGUAGAUUAUAAUGGACACUAAGUGUAUGUAACACAUCAUGAAGAAGUAAUGUAUGCCUCGUUUGAGUUGGUAUGUUCCAACCCCUAAAACAUUUACCCUUGAUUCGUUACCUAGAGUAACAUAGUGUCUUCCAAUAGGUAUCCUUUCUUAAUCUUUGAAUCCCACUUGAUCCCUUGUAGUGUUAUUAUUUAAAUAGAAUUCAACUUUUAUCUUAAUAAAAUGAAAUUUAAAACCUAAUUCAAGUAGUGUUAUUACUGAAAGUAUAUUAUAAUGGACACUAAGUGUAUAUAACACAUCAUGAAGAAGUAAUGUAUGCCUCGUUUGAGUUGGUAUGUUCCAACCCCUUAAACAUCUACCCUUGAUUCGUUACCUAGAGUAACACAGUGUCUUCCAAUAGGUAUCCUUUUGUAAUCUUUGAAUCCCAAUUGAUCCCCUGUUAUAUGAUUUAUUGUUUUUGAGUCUAUCAUUCACCCAAGAAGAGAAUGAAAAAUUAAUACAUGUGUACACGCAUAUGAAAAGAGACUAUUAAGAUUUGGGUAUACCUUCUUUGGCUCAAUGCACUCAUGAGCAAAGUAGCCUAACUUGCUAUAGUUGUAGCAUUUCAUUUUGGCCAUAUCCUUGUCUGCAUCUCACUUACUUCUCUAGUUUUUUUUUUUUUUUUUUUCCUUUUGUUGGCCCUAGAUUUCCUAUUGUACCACCAUGUUUUCCUUAUCCCUUAUGUUUAAACUUAUUAGCCUAUUGUUGCCCCACAUGAGUGGCAAUUGUGGUGUGUUGCACCCCUAAACGCUCCAUUUUCAAUUCAAUGUGGUGAGAAAUAUCAGUAAAAGUUUUAAUAUUCUCUUUGUCUGUGAGCACAAGUUUCCCUUAUGAUUCAAGCAAAGGGCAUAUAACAACUGUGACUUGCUACUUGUUAGUCAGGUUAUUACUGACUGCAUUUAAGUCACAAAUUAUAGCUAAAAUUUCCCUCAAAUGUUCAACCAUGGUGUGUUUAGGGUCCAUAAUAUAUUGCUCAGAUUUCAAAGUGAGCACUCACAACCUAGUCAUAAAAUGUUAAAUAAUAACCAAUCUUCAACUUAUUCUACAUGUCUUAGGUAAUGGGGCAAUUCUCAAACUCCCAUUUUAAGUCAUUAUGCAUGCUACGAAACACAGUGAAACAUGCACAAAGGUCUCUUUUAACCUAAUAAUAAUAAGCUUCCAUAUCAUAGUAGCAGUGGGCUAGAUUCCUUUCUUCAAGUUGGACCAUGAUAUUAGUUAAGGUCUCUAAGACCUCUUGUUCAUUUAACAGGUAUUGGAUUUUUCUAUGCCACAUAUCAUAAUUAUUAUCAUCUAAUUUUUUUCCUUUUGUCAAAUUAACAAUGUUUUUAGUAACCUUUUCACUAUAUUUAUUAUAUAGGACACAUUAGCAUACAUUUCUCAAUUUCAACUUAGUCUAUGAUAUUCUUGUUAACAUAAUGAGAUCGAAAAUUUUGUAAUGCUCAUUACUCUCAUUAAAUGUGCACUAGAUCAUUAUAACUAAUUUAAAUUUUUUUUUUUAAAAGAUACCAAUAUUCCUUAAAAAACACUAUUAGCCUAAUGGUUUUUCUAAUCUCAUUUUAAUAAUAACAAAUCAUAGUUAGUUUGCUAAUGAGUUAAAAUUAAGAUAAGUUUUAGGUAAUAAUUAUAAAAAAAAAAAAUCAAAUAGAAAAUCAAUAUAAUCAUCAAGGGAUCAAUGAAGAGCAAGACUGAGUGUGCAUGAAGGUCAUUCAAGCUUAGAAAUCCUAUGUAAGAUGUUCACUUGGGUGCAUUUAGGGGUUUAGAUUUAUCCAUGCAUUGUUUUCAUACUGGGUUUUAAGCUUUAAAAGUAAAAUUUUUAUAAACUUGAGUUUUAAUUCAAAACCAUAGGCAAAAACCUCUCAACUAGUUUUUAUAAAAGUGUUUAAAGUUGUUGUCUAAGUGUUAGAAAGAAUUGAAAUUGAAAAAGAUAGGUUUUCGAGAAAAAAAAAUGGUCAAUCAAUCAAGAGCUAUCUCAACGACUCAAUUGAUUAGGAAACCGAUUGACCAAUUACCCUUUUAUGGUCAAGGCUUAGUCAACAAGCACAACAAAUCUUCUCUCUCUUCUAGAAGGGUUUCUUUGUUGAUCAAGAAAAACAUUUUCCCAACCGAGGUCUAGUCAAGCCCCUAAUGGUCACCUGCCAAACAUUUAAUACCCAACGACUAGUUAAUCGAUCAAUCGGAGCUCGAUCGGGAAAGGCUUGUUGGAGCACUUUUUGGUGUCCAAGGUUGAAAACUUAUAAAUUGAGAGCUCUCAUUCUUUUAUUGCAUAGAGAACACUUGCAUUAAACUUCUUGCCUACUAGUUUCUCACAUUCAAUGCUUUCUUUCUUUCUUUCUUGAUGCAUUAAAUCUCUCACUUGCAAACCCAUCUAGUGCACCCUUGUUGUUCAUCCUAAUUGCCUUUUAUUUCCUCAUUAAUUGUGCUAGGAUUGAGUGAUCUUAAACUCUCAUUUAUUGAAGUAAGGUUGAGUGUUAAGCUUCAAGUUUGAGGAUAAGACUUGAAUGAUUGCUUAUAGUACCCAUUGGAGCCAAGGAAUCCAAUUGUAAAAACUUGGGAGCUAAGUUGAAGCUUCAAAUUAGUGGAAUCCUCAUUUAGGAGGAACUUGAGGAGAGUGACAUAGGCGAAAUUGACCGAGCCACUAUAAAAUCAGUGUUUGCAACCUCUCUAUGUCUUUAUCUCUUUAUUUAUUUUUAUUUUUUUUUGUUAUUGCUUGAGAAUAAUUGUCCAAAAAGUUUUUAAAACCCAAUUCUCCCCCCUCUUGGGUGUUUUUAUUAAGUUAAUUAGCCUAUAUAUAAGUUCAAUUUAAAUAGUAUUGGACAAAAAAAAAAAUUCACAUAAACAAUUCAUAUGCAAAUAAACAUUGUAUACAUUAAAAAAAAAAAAGUAAUCCAUAAAUUCAAUAACCUUAUUACCAAAAUUCUUUUAAUGAAUAGUGUAGCACCUUGAGUUGAAGUGCACUUUGUAGUAGCAUGUUUAGGCCUAUAUUUUUGGAUUAAACUUGUGCUUUUGGGCAAUCCAUUUUUUUGUGUUUGCAUGUUUGAGCCCACAAAUUUGGAUUGGACAUGCACUCUUGGAUAACCCAUUUUUGUAUUUGCAUGCUUAAGCCUACACUUUUGGAUUGAACAUGUGCUUCUAGGCAGUCUAUUUUUGUGUUUGCCUACUUAGGCCUAUACUUUUAGAUUGAACCUACGCUUUUGAAUAACCUUUUUAUUAUUAUUAUAAAAAAAAUAAAAACUCUUCAAUUAAUGGACACAAAUAUUUAUUUAUUUCAAAUAAAUAAAUACAAAUAGAGACAAAAACAAGCUUGAUCUAGCUAUGAUACCAAUAUAAGAUAAAAAAUUAAAACUAUAAUCCAAAAAACAUACUUAUGGAAGAUCUUUGUAGCUUGAAUUAUACUCUCUAAUAUUGAUAAUUGCUUUAGUGAGGUUGUUGUGAUUGUGAUUAGAUCGGUCCAACGAAAAACUAGCUAUUCUGCCUAUGCAGUUAACUAUGCUUCACAUCUUUUCUCUAUCCUCUACUAACAUUAGUUAUGCCCAGUCCAAACAACCUUGGAUAUGUAGGUUUGGAUGUCACAACUCUUUUAUAGGAGUCCAGGAUAUAUACCUCCAGUCAGUCUCCUUGCAUUAACAAACAAAGAAAAAGAAAAUACCCAUAUUCCUUUUCUCAUACUCUCUCUCUCUCUUUCUCUUUAAGUAUAAUUAAUUAAUCUAACAUACGAUAUACGAUCAAUGCCCUACCAAGACCAAGCCAAGUGAAUAUUAUUUCCAGUUUCUUUUCUCUGAAUGGAACUCAAAUUCAACACUUGGAUCUCAGACCAUGAUAUUUUAGGGAGAAUUCCUAUUAAGGGUGGGCUGGGAAAACAUAUGACCGAGAAGGGUGGGUAUAUUUAAUAAUUCUUAUGAAGGGUAGGGUGGAAUUAUGAUAAUUCUUUCAAAGGCUUUAUUUUGUUUAAAUGCCAAGACUACCCUUAACAAGUGAAAAGCCAGCAAACAAAAAAAAAUCUUCUUUUAACCCGGCUGUAGCUUAUCGAUGUUGAAGAAGAAAAGGGAAAGAGGAAAAAAUUCCAGCACUUCAGGUUAUGAUCUGAACUGUCUCCACAAAGCUUGUAUUUUUGUGUGAAUCUAGCAAGAAAUCCAUUAAAGGUAAGAUUUUAAAAAAAAAAAUGCACAAAAAAAAAUCUUCUUUUAACCCAACUGUAGCUUAUCGGUAUUGAAGAAGAAAAGGGAAAGAGGAAAAAACUCCAGCACUCCAGGUUAUGAUCUGAACCGUCUCCACAAAGUUUGUAUUUUUGUGUGAAUCUAGCAAGAAAUCCAUUAAAGGUAAGAUUUAAAGAAAAAAAAUGCCAAAAAAACAAAAAUACAUUAGUUUAUGCAAAUAAAUAAAUAAUUUAAAAUUUGGAUUGAAGGAAAGAACUAUUAAUAAUUUUAACAAUGUAGAUCUGAAAUAUUGAAGGAGGUUUUGAGAAAGAAAUUACAUUUUUUUUGUGUAAAAUGUUAUUAAAUUUUUUUUUGAAUUUUUUUAUAUUAUUUUGGUCAUAUUGAAGAUGUGUUUUUAUUUUUAAUUUAUUUUCCGAGUGGGUUGUUUGAUAUGAUUAUUAUUGAUUUCCAUUGAAAAGGUUUGCACUUUAAUUUUGUUGUUGAGACUUGUUUGGUAUGGCAGAAUAAAAAAUUUUCUCAGUUGUUUCAAGCUUAUUUGGGUAUUUAUUAACAUAUUUGGAUUUUCAUUGAAAAUUAAAAAUUAUAAUCAAUUGAAACAUAUUUUAUAUAAUAAAGAACAAUAUUUGUUGUAUAUUAGACAUGUAUAUUAGACAAUUGUCCAGUUUCAUAAGAAAUUUGAAAUUUUCAAAAUUUUACCUUAUUGUAAUGUAUCGUAAUGUUAUUGUAUUUAUAUUAUAAUCGUAGUAUAUUUUUAUUGUACAUUUAUAUUUUUAUAUAAAAAAUUAAUUUUAUAGAUUUUUUUUUUUAUAUAUCAUUGGAUUACCAUGAAUAACUUUAUGUAUUAAAAUUAUAAUAGUGUAUUUUUAUUGUCUUUUUAUAAUUUUGGUUUGCAAGGAUGCUUUAUGAUAGGAAUAUAACAUGAUAGCCUAGAAAUACUAGUUCAGUAAAAAAAAAUGAAUUCAAUAAUUUAUCAUUUUGGUAUAUUGUAAUGUAUUGUAAUGUUAAUAUUUUUUUAUUGUAACUAUAUUGCAUUUGUAUUGUACUUAUACUUUAUGAUUGUCAAGAAAGAAGAUGUACUUUUCAAUAGGUAAAUGGACUUGAAAAAUCAGGGUAAAUUGGUCUAAUAAAAAUAUAAGACCUUCAUAAGAAUUAUCAAAUCUACCCACCCUUUUCAGUAAUUUUUUUCCCCAGCCUACCCUUAGGGGUAAUUCUCCCAUUUUAUCGAAAGUUCAUGAGUUUCAUAGACCGUAUGCUUCAUCAUCUGGACUAUCCAAUACAAUAUUACAUGAAUUCAAAGAUAAUGAACCCUCAAUUCCAUGCUUAUAUAUAGACGUCAACUUGUGUUAUGUAGAAAUAUUAAUAUUCCAAGUUGAUAUGUUUACACUAGGCUUUUGAGUUUUGAGUUUUGAGUUUUGAGUUUUGACUGGCUCUGCCUGAAAUGCAGGAAAUGCAGGGAAAUAUUUGCUUUCAUGAUUGUACAUUUGGUACAAAAAUAACCUCGACCUCUGCCAAAUAUUGCCAUCAAGAGCUGGAAAUGUUGAAAUUUCCUACCAGCUAAUAUGUGGUUCUCAUGCCAGAAGCUGGAGAUAGAGAUUCAUAGCGAUUCAACCCUAUAUUAUACAACAGCUAAGCACCUCCACUAGUUAUGAAGAUUGAAGAAAAAGUCAAUUUUUGACGCGACAAGGAAGCUAUGACAUGAGUUUCCAUGAAGGAUACCUAUGAUUUUUCGUUGUAAGCUACUCUUUGUCUCUUAAUUAUCAAGGAAACAAUAGCUAAUACUUUAUCAUAUCAUACUGUAUUCUUUUGAAGUCAAUGGUACAAGGAAAAAAAAAUGCAAAACUUAGAGUCUCAGCGUCAACAAUAAAGUUUCAACUCUCUUUUAAGUGCUGACUUUUCACUGCAAUUAAAUAAAAUGAAAGAGAAAAGAAAAUUGAUAAACUAAAAGUAUAAACUAUAGUGUUAUAUAUAUAUUUGUGAAUAAUCAGACACACUUAAAAUAUAAUGUUAAAAGAAAAUUUACAAUUUAAAAAUUAUUGUUACUUUUUAAAAAAAAAGUCUACUAAUUUUAAUGUAUUAUUUCUUGCUAAAAAGUUAAUUGAUCUACUUCAAAUAUGUUUAUAAGAAAAAAAAAAUCGGCAUUAUUUACUUAUAAUUUGCUUGGCAAGUGGGUGGAAUAUAUACUUUCUUGCAAAGGCUUAAUUAAAAUGACAAGACUAUUGUUUAAUCGCCUGUUAGGUUUGGUUUGAUGGGAUUGACUGCGACUUUCUUCAGAAAUUUGUUGUGAAAGGAGCAUCAUCUUCUAUAUGGUUUGUAGCAUGAGAAAUCAUGACCAGUUAUACACUUUCCACUCCUAUGGACCACGCUAAAUAUGACAUGCAAGUUAUAUGGAUAUUUGGUGCAAUCGUUAUGGACUCGGAACAUCCCCAAUAAGAACUUUUCAAAGUUGCAACUUUACAUGGUUAAUCUAAAUUUAUAAAUCAUGAAGUAGUUGAAAUAUUUAGAGUUUUAGAAUCGUUUUGGGAAAAAUGAAAAGAAGAAAAUGAUUAUCCUUUAAUAUUUGACAAGAAUUAGAGUUUCUUUUUUAUGUGAAAUAUAUCGGAAUAAAUCUAAACUCCAAUUAAAUUUGAAUGAAGAUGAAAGUUGCAAUUUUUAAAGUUUCUUUUAUAUAUAUAUAUAUAUAUAUAUAUAUAUAUAUAUAUAUGUUUGAAUUUGAUUUAUGUCAAAAUAAAGUUUAACAUUAUCGAGUGUUUAGACAAUUUAUUUUUUAUUAAUGUGUAAAUACUAUUAAAUGUUGAGUUGCAUGUUUUUAUUAAUGUUUGCAUACUAUUAAGUAUUAAUUAAUUCUAUUUCUUUUUACACAUUAAAAAUAUUUAUAAAAAUAAUUAUUAUGUUUCGUUUUAUUUUACAUAAUUAAGAUAAAAUAUUUAAAAAUUAACUAAGAAAUUAGUCAUUGAAUAAUAAUUAAGAUUUUGGAUAUUUUAAAAUCAAUUAAAAAUUGCUAAUUGAAUAAUAAUUAGGAUUUUUAAUUGUGUUUGAUAGCUAAGAAAAUAUUAAAAUGUUUUUAGGUGAAGUUUCAUUAAUAACUCUUUAAUUUAUAUAUGGUAUUCCUCAAAUUAAUGAAUUUGUAAUUAAAAAGAUGAGGUUCUUCACUUGGUAACAUUGAUAUUAAGAAUAAUGAUUAUACCUUGGAUAUAAAGUGGUUGAAUCAACUACCAUGAUCCUACUUGCAUAGUCUAAGGGCUAAAUAUAAAAGGUAUGCUAACCUUGCCAUAGGGUUAAAUAAGACAAGACCAAUUUGAGAGGGUUUUUGCCCGGUAAUAAUAUCAUAACCAAUCCAAUAUAAGCUUAAUUCUUAUAAUACUAGGAUAUCUUACCAAAGACAUGUAGUCCUAAGAGUUCUACAUUUUGCUAAAUUCAUAUGGUUUACUUUAUUGUGAAUGCUCAAUUAUUAAUACAUGUUUAACUUCUUUAUAACAAUCAUGUAAUAUAAUCCAAUCACUCUCAUGCUUACCAGUAAUAAAUUGGUUAAGCUUAACUACAUGGAUUGAAAAAUAAAUCUAAACAUAGUUCUCACAUAAGAGGAGUUAAAAUGGGUGGUAACUUAAAAUUUUACUCCAAAUGCCUCCAAUAAACUAUCCUUACUAGAAGAGAGAGAUGCUUAUCAUAGAUGACAUAAGGUAGAUCAAAAGGCUAAGUGUAUCAUACUCGGGUCUUUAGAUAACAUGUUGGAAUAGCAAUAUGUGUCUCAUGCCAUGACUUAUGAUAUUCUCUUCAUUUUACAAGAGAUCUUUGAUGACAAGGGUAAGUCAACUAGAAUAGUUGCUUUAAACACUAUCAUGCAUCAACAUUAGGAUGAUAAAAGGAACUCUCAUUAAAAAUCAUAUGGUAUAUAUGAUUAGGCUCUUUAAUGAGAUAAAGAUCCUUGUAGCUAAGAUUGAUAGAAAAACCAAGGUUAAUUUGAUCUUAGAGACCUUGUCAAAUUCCUUUGAAAAUUUUGAGUUCAACUAUUCUAUUUAUGAGUGAUUGUGAAACUUGUCAGAGCUUAUGAGGGAGCUUGAGAUGGAUGGCCGAGAGGAUUCUAAAAGAUAAAAAGUAAUUACUUUAAAACUUGUUCAAAAUUUUGAGGUAUAAAAAAUUUUACUUUCUCAAAUUUUAAAAUUUAUGAAAGUAAGUUUUAAAGGCAUAAAUUAAAUUUAUAUAAAAUGUAAGAAGUUUUUGUUUGAAAUAAUUGGUUAAAAGGGAUGAAAUACUCCUUUUGUGAAUUCAUCAAUUAUUAUGUUUUUGUUUGAAAAGUAACGCAUUUUUAAUAUAAAUGUCAUUUACUAUUUCAAGUAUUUACAAUAUAUUUUAAAAGUAAUUGUCACUUUUACAAAAAAAUAAUGACAUUUUUGUCAAAAUGAGGUCAAAAAGGAUAAAAGGUUAAAUUUUCAAAAUUGAAUUUUCAAUGAACUUUUUAAUCAAAUAACCUUUUUUGUUUUUAAAAAUAAAAAUAGAAAAUAUAUCCAAAUAAACAAUGAAUUUUUUUACCUUUGCUCCACCAACUGAAUUAUGUUCUCGCCUUUGUUAUAUCAUAACGUUGCCAUUUGACCUACACUCAAAAUUGGUUCUCGCAUGUGCUUAUCUUUAAGAGCAUCCUUACUCUUGUUUGUUAUUUUUUAUUUAAUUCAAAAUUUUAUUCUUGGUCCACUAAGUAAAAUAUAUUGAAAGAUCCAUUAAAAAUGUGACUUACUCUAUACUUAUUGUAGCAUUAUUAUUUUGAUUUAGAUAUGAUUCCAUUUAUUUUUUUAAAAAUAUAAACCAUAAAAAGAAAUUGUACGAUAGUCGGCAGAUAGGAGUGACUUUCUUCCAUCUAAAGGAGCAUAAAAGUUCCAAGCAUUGACGGUGUACUCAAGAAGUAUUCCUUUGUAUUGACCAGUUAGUCGGGUCCUUUCUGCUAACGUUGUGUGGUGUGGUCUUUCUUGGAUGCUGCCGAUUCCUACUUUUCAAGUUCUAAAUACUAUAAAUAAUAUCAUUAUUCUCCCAAACAUUAUGAAUCCCAAAGCCUCCCAUAAAACUUCAGAAUGAGAAACAACCUUACCCAACUCCCUUUAUUUCUCCUCUGCUGUCUGUCUUUAUGGAUUUUCUUCAUAGAGAUGGCCAUGUCACAGAACACAACAAUACCAGUUAAAGUGGGAGUGGUUCUUGACAUGGAUACAUGGCUGGGUAAGAUGGGUUUGAGCUGCAUCACCAUGGCCCUCUCAGACUUCUAUGCCUCUCAUGGGCACUACAAGACUAGGCUGGUUCUGGAAAUCAGAGAUUCCAAAAGAGAUGUUAUGGGUGCAGCUGCAGCAGGUACUCUCGUUUCAUAAAACUUAGAAUACAUUUAGAAAACAAUUGCAUUAUAGAGACAUAUAGAAGCAAAAGUUUAAACUUGCCCUCUUAUUUUCAAACAAUUAGAUAUUUUUAUUGCCCUUUUAGAUGAGCAAUUGAUUAUUAACAGAACUUUUAUCAUUUUUAAUCACAACUUGCCACAGAAAUACGAGAUUAGAAAAAUUGAUAAAUGGUGUAAAUGUUAAGCGUUUAACUAAUAGAUCGAAUUGGAUGAAAGAAAAUUAUAUUCCUUCUUCUGCCAUAUCACCAUUUCCAACCUCAUAUCAAAGUUCAAGUUCUUCCUAAUUAACAUGGUAAAAUUGUAGUGAAGACAUUAAAUAAGAAAAGUUUUUGAGGAAAAAGAGUCAUGAAGUUGAACCAAGAUUAGCAUGCCCAUCAAAGAUGGCAAAAAGUCUCGUUAAAUUGUAGCACGUGUUUUCAACUAAGCAACAUUUCUUGCCUCGGAAGAUGUUUCUUUGUUAACCACACGAUGCUUCAAAGAUGAAAAAAGUCUUCAUAAAUUUGAUUUCCUCCUUGUUUUAAAAGUCACUCUAAUAUUGUGGUCAUGUUCCAAAACCGAUGCCUAUGAUCUAUGUUAUUGAGAAAUAAUGUGAUGCAGAAGUAUAUAAAAAAGAUUGAUAAUUUGAUAUAAUAAGAAGAUUGAUAGUUUGUUUACAAAUUCCAGUAUCCAUCGGACCAAGGGGAUGUAUUUUCCAUUUUUGUACCUUGUUUGAUUGUUGAUAAUAUAGUAGAAAUUGAAUGAAACUUCAGAAUUAUUAUAUUUUAAUUAUUGUGAAAUUCAGCUCUAGAUUUAUUACAAAAUGAGGAAGUUCAAGCCAUCAUAGGACCAGCAUCCUCCAUGCAGGCCAACUUUGUGAUUGGUCUCGGAGACAAGGCUCAUGUGCCCAUCAUUUCAUUUUCUGCAACUAGUCCUUCUCUUUCUUCACUCCGGAGUCGAUAUUUUGUCCGAGCCACACUGAAUGACUCAGCACAAGUACCAGCUAUAAGGGCAAUUGUCCAAGCCUUUGGGUGGAGACAAGUUGUGCUCAUUUACUUUGACAACGAGUACGGAAAUGGAGUUAUACCGUAUCUUACUGAUGCCUUGCAAGAGAUUCACACCCGUAUCUCCUACAGGAGCGUCAUUCAUCCAUUAGCCACAGAUGAUCAAAUCCUCGAAGAGCUUCACAAGUUGAUGACAAUGCCAACCAGAGUUUUCAUCGUACACAUGUUUACACCUAUAGGCCCACGACUUUUUGCCAGAGCGAACGAGAUUGGAAUGAUGGAAGAAGGUUAUGUAUGGAUUCUAACUGAUGGGUUAACUGAUAUCUUGAGUACUUUGGAUCCAUCUGUCAUUGAUUCAAUGCAAGGAGUGUUGGGGGUGAAGCCUCAUGUUCCAAGAUCGAAAGAGCUUGAAAGUUUUAAAAUCAGAUGGAAAAGGGAAAUCCAACAAGAAUAUCCGACCAAUGAAAGCUUUGAGCUGAACAUUUUUGGACUCUGGGCUUAUGAUGCCGCUUCUGGGUUAGCCAUGGCAGUUGAAAAACUUGGGGCAACAAACUUCAGCUUCCAAAAGUCUCAUAUUUCCAGAAAUUCAACCGAUCUUGAUACUGUAGGAGUCUCCCUAAUUGGUCCAAAACUCCUCCAGUCACUAUUAAAUACUAGAUUUAGAGGCCUCAGUGGGGAUUUUCAAAUUGUUAACAGACAACUACACUCAUCAGCUUUUCAGGUAGUCAAUGUGAUAGGCAAGGGGGAAAGAGGGGUAGGAUUUUGGACACCAGAGAAUGGAACUGUAAGAAAGUUGGAUUCUACUUCCAAGCCCAAUCUAGGAACAAUCGUAUGGCCAGGAGAAUCUCCCUCCGUCCCUAAAGGUUGGGUCCUUCCAACCAAUGAGAAGAAAUUGAGAAUAGGAGUACCAGUCGGCCAAGGUUAUAGUGAAUUUGUAAAGGUGACGCGAGAUCCUAGCAGUAACACAACGGAGGUCACUGGAUUUUCCAUAGCAGUCUUCGAUGCAGCGAUGGCAGCAUUACCAUAUGUUGUUCCUUAUGAGUACAUUCCCUUCGAGGGGCCUGAUGGCAAUCAAGCCGGUGAUUACAACGAUUUGAUAUAUCAAGUAUAUCUCCAGGUCAGUUGAACUCUUUACCUUUCCUAGCACAUAGAGACAACUCUUGGUUGGCUUCAAUUAUAAUGAAUUUUGUCAAACUAAAAAGCUAUUGCAGUUCCCCGUUGUUGGCUUUUGAGUACAUAGGAAACAACCAAACUUGCAGCAAAUUUUCCUGCAGUGCAUAACAGAAUGGCCCCAUUGUUUAUUGUUAACAGAAGUAUGAUGCUGUGGUGGGAGAUACUACUAUUCUAGCGAACAGGUCCUUGUAUGUAGACUUUACACUACCUUACACAGAUUCUGGGUUGUCAAUGGUCGUGCCCACUAUAGAUAAAAGAAAAAAAAAUGCAUGGGUUUUCUUGAAGCCACUUACUUGGGACCUUUGGGUGACAAGCUUUUGUUUCUUCGUAUUCACUGGCUUUGUGAUUUGGGUUCUUGAACAUCGAGUAAAUAAAGACUUCAGAGGGCCUCGUUCACAUCAAGUUGGCACUAUCUUCUGGUUUUCAUUCUCAACAUUGGUGUUUACUCAGAGUAAUUUCUCUUCCACCUCCUUGAAUUUUAUCUAGCAAUUUAUGUACUUAUGUAAUAUUCAAAUACAAAGCAUAGUGAGUGCAUCUCAAACACAAUCGAAACUAACUUCUAGUAUAUAUGGCCUGCUUGCUUGUUUCCCAUGACUGUAACCUCUAUUAAUAUAUGGACAUUCCAUACAAUAUGCAAGUAAAUUUCAAGAUAAUUUCUAUGUUUCAAGAAUUAUAUAUAUUUGACUUUAUAUUGAUUUUCUGGAUUGGAUUUUCUUUUUCUUUCUUAAAUUAUGUUAACAGAGGAGAGAAUUGUCAGCAACUUGGCUCGGAUCGUGAUGAUCAUAUGGUUUUUUGUGGUGCUGAUUCUUACUCAAAGUUACACAGCCAGCUUGGCUUCAAUGUUAACAGUUCAACAACUCAACCCGACUAUCACCGAUAUAAAUGAGCUCAUAAAGAAGGGGGAGCCUGUAGGUUGCCAAAAUGACUCUUUCGUUUGUGAAUUCUUGAUCGAGUCGAUGAAAUUUGAUGAGUCCAAGCUUGUAAAGUACGAGUCCCCAGAAGAACUGGAUGAAUUAUUUUCAAACAAGAGUUCAAAAGGUGGAAUUGCUGCUGCAUUUGAUGAAAUCCCUUACAUGAAGAUUUUCCUUGCAAAAUAUUGCUCCAAAUACACAGCAGUCGGACCAACAUACAAGUUUGAUGGGUUUGGAUUUGUAAGCGUUCUUUCUUAAAGUGUACAGAUUUUCAUUUAGUGGUUUCUGAUUUUUGAUCAUUUUUCAGGUGUUUCCAAAGGGUUCACCCCUUGUAACUGAUGUUUCAAGGGAAGUCUUAAACGUGACAGAGGGAGCUAAAAUGCUACAAUUCGAGAAGGCAUGGUUUGGGCAAACACCCAGUUGUCCAGAGCUCACCAGCUCAGUUUCUUCAAACAGCAUCGGCCUUAAUAGCUUCUGGGGCCUAUUCCUCAUUGCUGGAGUCGCUUCAUUCGUAGCUCUCAUCACAUGCAUCACCAUGUUCCUUUAUGAAAAUAGAGAUACCUUAAUAAACUUGAAUCCCCCAUCUUCCAUAUGGGGAAAAAUUAAAGCCAUGGCAACACGCUUUGAAGACAAAGAUCUCAGGUCCCAUACCUUUAGAAAUAGUGAUCAACUUCCAGACAAGCAACAUCAAGGCCAUGGAUGUAGUUAUAGCCUCGCCAGCUACACCAACUGCCCUCCAAGUCCAUCAAGCCUUUUGAUCCCAACACACAACAAUUUUACUUUCUUCGGUGAACAAGGAACGCCUUCUUCUGGACAUGUUGAUCCGGUCAGUUCAAAUCAGCCGAUGCAUCCACAUAUAUUGUUUGAAUAUGAGCUUGCUAAUAUAAAUCAUGAGCAAACAAGAUGUCAUGCCCCGUGACCCGCUCCAAGGGCAUGACGAUCAUUUCACAUGUCAAGCCCGAAAGCUCAAAGUGUAAAUUGAACAUUAUCGAGAAUAAUUCUAGAAGCUUCUCUUAGCCUCACAUGUAAAGCACCAGCUCACCAACUCCACACCAAAUGCAGUUGUAACAGAGAAUUGGGUUGUACACUCUCAUAUAUAAAUAUAUGUAAAAAAAGAUAAGAGGUUUAUUCUAGGCAAUAUUUUUUUCAUUAUGUUCUUCUCUGCCCCUCUAUUUUCUCUCUCAAAAACUCCUGUGAUUCAAUCCUUUUUUUUUUUUAAUUCAAUCAUGGUAUCAGAGCUCCAUGAGACUUACGUCACCCCUCCUACCAUGUCCACCACUACAACUCCAACCAUAACUACGAAUCCAGCAAUGGCGUCUUCCUUUUUUAUUAAUCUCAACUUCACUCUGUCGAUCAAGUUGGAAAGAGGUAAUUACCUUAUUUGGAAGUCACAAAUUCUUCCUAUUCUUAGAGGUCAUGGUCCUGAUGGUUUUGUUACAGGAAUGAAACCUUGCCCGAAUGAGUUUAUCAACGUUGCAGGUGAUUCAUUUGGCCUUAAUCAAAUGGUAAAUCCAAAGUAUUUUUAUAGGCAAAGACAAGAUCAGUUGAUCCUUGGGUGGAUGAUUGCUUCAAUGUCAGAAGGUGUUGUUGGUCAGAUUGUAGGCUGUACCACUUCUUAGCAAGUCUGAGCAGCUCUGGAGCAUCUUUUUGCCUCACCUUUGAAGGCAAGAUUACUUCAGUUGUGAAUAGAAAUGCAGACAACCAAGAAAGGCUCUCUCUCAAUGAUUGAUUACAUUAGCAAAAUCAAGUCUAUUGUAGAUAAUCUAAUAGCAUCUAGAGCACCUCUUACUGAUGAAAAUAUUAUAAUGAAUUUGUAGACUGAUGUUAGAGUAGAAUAUGAUCCAGUAUUUGUCAUUAUUACAACACGACCGGAACUCUUCACUCUAUCAGAAGUCUGUGCACUGUUGCAGAAUCAUGAAACCAGUAUUAAGCAACUGAAUUCUUGCACACAAAUUGUCUCCAAAAUGUCUGCUAAUUUUACAGUAGGUGGUUCUUCCAAGGAUGGUCGUGGUUGUAGAAAUACUCAUGGGAAUGACAGGGCACAUACUAGAGGUCAUAACAGUUUUCAUUGCAGUCAGUAUUUUGGUCUAGGGCUUGGUGGUUAUGGUAGAGGUAAUGGAUUGCUCCCAACUUGCCAAGUUUGUGGUCGACAAGGACACAUUGCUAUAAACUGUUACCAUAGAUUUGAUCGGGCUUUUCAAUCUCCCCCAAGUAAUUCCUUAACUUUUAUGGUUGCCCUUCCUAAUACAAUAGCAGAUCCUUCUUGGUACUUUGAUAGUGGUGCAUCAACCCAUGUGACCAAUAAUCCAGACAACUUGAGCUUCAAAUCUUACUAUAAUGGUCAUGAUAAGGUUACUGUGGGCAAUGAUCAAGGUUUGUGCAUUCAAAAUGUUGGUUAUUCUUCCCUACCUUUUUUUCUCAAAACCUUGCAUCUCAUAAAUAUUUUGCAGCCCAAAAAUUACUAAAAAUCUCUUGAGGAUUUCUAGGUUCACUAUAGAUAAUAAUGUUUAUGUUGAGUUUCACUAAAAUCAUUGCUUUGUGAAAGACAAGAGCUCAGGGAAUGUUUUGUUCCAAUGAUCAAUUAAAGAUGGCCUUUAUUGUCUGAUACCACCUCAGAAUCCUCUAUUCCAUUGUUUCCAGUUCUACCACAGUCACUCCAAGGGAUACUUCAUUUUUUUGCCCAUGUUUCCUCUGCUGAUAAUCACACUUUUAGUCCAGUUUUAUAGUCUCUUAAAUAUAAUAAACUUGAGGUUUGGCACCAAAGGUUGGGCAAAAUGAAAACUUAUCCCCAAGUUUGUACUCAAGCCUGUUUUGAAGUCUUGUAUCUUUUCUUUACACAAUGAAAACUUAUCUCCAAGUUUUUGUAAUUCUUGUUAGUUUAGCAAAAACCAUGCUCUUCUUUUUUUCCUAGCUCUAACUACAACCAUGGCACCUCUUCAAUUGGUUCACACUGAUUUGUGGGGGCCUUCUCCUGUCAAGUCCAGUGUUGGUUUUCUCUAUUAUAUUUAUUUUAUCGAUGACUAUACUUGGUUUACCUGGAUUUAUCCAUUGAAAGCUAAAUCUAAUGCUCUAAAUGUAUUUUUUCUUUUCAAAGUGUUUUGUGGAAAUUCAAUUCGGCUUGUGUAUUAAAGCCUUACAAUCCAACUGGGGUAGGGAGUACAGACCUUUUCUUCCUAUUCUUAUUAAACAUGGAAUUCAUUUUCGCCAUCCUUGCCCACAUGUGCACCAACAACAUGGUCAUGUUGAGCAUAAACAUCGACGUGUAGUUGAGUGUGGUCUCACUUUAUUAGCACAGACACAGUUACCUCUCUAUUUCUAGUGGGAAGCUAUUCAUAUUGCUACCUUUCUUAUCAACAAGUUGCCCACUCCUGUCCUCCAUAUCUCCAUAUAAAAAACUCUUUGGCACCCUUCUUGAUUAUGCUAUCCUCAAAACUUUUUAUUGCACUUGUUUUCCUAACAUUCAUGCUUAUAACACCCUUAAGUUUGCUUUUCACACUAAGUGUGUAUUCAUUGGGUAUAUUGAUGUUCAUAAGGGGUACAAAUGUCUUGAUUCUUUUGGUUGUGUUUAUAUUACCCGCCAUGUUGUGUUUAAUGAAAUGGACACUACAAGAAAACAUGUUUUUCCCAAUGAAAAUUUAGGGACAAAUUAAAAAUUUAUCUUUAAAACUAAUUUUUCCAGACGAAAUUCUAGAUAUUGUCACUAACACCAAUUUCUUGACAACUUUUCAUGAUGAAAUUGAAAUUUUUGUCACCAAAAUUUGUGGUGGGAAAAUUUGAGAUGGAGAUCCAUCCUCAUGCAUACUCCAAUUCCUAUUUUAGGCAUUGUGAUUUUAUUUCAUGUUUUAACUCUUAAUUUUCAUUUUGAUUUAAUAUAUAAUUAUCUUUUCUUUACCACAUUAUAAUUAUUUUAAUUUAUGAAAAUGAUAUGCGGAAUCCCUAAAGUAUAUAUGUAUAUUAUUUGAGAGUUUUAAUUUUAAUUUUGAUUUUAACUUUAAUCUUAGUUUAGAUCUUAAUUAUAGUAUUAGUUUAAAUAAAAAUUUUAAUCUUAGUUUAAAUUUCCAUUUUAAUGUUAAUUUUUGUAAUUUUAAUUCUAGUUUUAAUUUUUAACUUGAACUUUAGUUUUAACUUUGCCUUUAAUUUUAAUCUUAGUUUUGACCGGAUUUUCAAUCCUCAUCUUAGGCUUAAUUUUAAUUUUAAUAUUAAUUUUCAUUAUAAUUAUAAUCGUUUUUUUUUUAAAAUCAUUUUGACAUUAAUAUUAGUUUUGACUUUAAUUUUGAUUCUAAUUUCAAUUUUAAUUUUAUUUUUAAUCUUGACUCUAAUUUGGUUUUGAUCUUGAUUUUGAUUUUAAUAUUUGAGAUGAAAAGAAAAAUUGAAUUGUACCAUUAAACAUACAAAUUGGAGAAUGGAAGUUUUAAUAAAAACAAACAAAGUACAACUUUAGUUUAAUGUUGAGUUUAAUUUUUACGUUCAUUUUAGUAAUUUUAAUAUGGUUUUAAUCUUUAACUUUAACUUUAGUCUUAAUUUUGACUUUAAUUAAAGUUUACCUUAGCUUCAACCCUAAUCUUGGUCUUAACUUUAAUUUUAAUCUUAGUUUUUAUUAUAAUUAUAUUUUUCAUUUUCAAUUUUAACAUUGAUCCUAAUUUUGACUUUAAUUUUGAUUUUAAUUCUAAUUUUUGUCUUAUCACUUUGAUCUUAAUUUCAAUUUUAAUUUUAAUAUUUAACUUUAAAGUUAGUUUUAAUUUUGACCUUAAUUAAAGUUUGUAAGUUUGAACCAUUGGUUUGACCAUAGUUGAGCCACGAUCUAACCAACAAAUUAUGUCUUAACUUUUUUUACUCAAUGAUCAGUCCAACUCUAGAAAUAUUGGAGAUUAUCAUUUCCAAUGAAUUUAUGUUUUUUUAUUUCAUUAGGCUAUAAUUGAAUAAAAGUGAUGUUUAAGGACCUCAUAAUAAUAUUAUAUAUAUAGUAUGAUUAUUUUGAUUUCAAUUUAAUUUAAUUUUGAUUCUAAAUUUUUAUUUUAUUUUUACUUCUAAUUUCAAUCUUAAUUUUAAUUUUGAUUUUGAGUUAAUCUUAAUUUCAAUUUCAAUUUUAAUUUUUGUUCUAGUUCUAGUUUGUUAUUUUAGGUUUUAGUUUUAUUUUGUAACUCUGAUUUUAGUUCCAAUUUUAAUUUUGAAUUUUAAAUUUUAAUAGUAAUCUUAGUUUUAAUUUUAAUUUAAUCAUAAUUUUUCUUUUUAAUCUUAACUUCAAUUUUUAUCUUAACAUUUAUUUUUAAUAUAAAUUUUUGCUUCUCUAAUUUUACCCUCUACAUUAUCUUAUUCUAAUAAUAAUAGUAGAAAAUUGAAAUGAUGGGAGAAAACUCGAGGUGCAUCUAAUGCAUCGAAUAGUUGUUUAGUUAUCUUGCUGUGUUGAAUGGAGCUAAAAUGAUGAAAUGGGAGGCUUGAAUGACAUGCAAGGGGGAGGGGGGUUGUUUUCCUUUUCCCUUUUGAAAGAAUACACCAUUUCAUCUCUGAUUCACUUAACAACAACUACUACUCUCACACUUACCCUAUACCCAUGAAAACUCACUUCAUUCACCCACCUCUUAUCCAGACAUAGGGGGACAUUGUUGGGAUUUUAUUUCUCCUACAUCUUCGGUAAUAAACCGAAGACGUGAUUGGAAUGUGGUCCACAUCAUUCCAUCAAUUUAGGAACGAGGAUUCAUGCUCCAAACCACGUUCGCAUCACUACCGCAUGUUCUGUGCACGUUCCAGGUAGGCUCAAUGAUGGAGAGAGUCUUUUAAAACGAGGCAGAACACUAACGGGAGGGUACCCUAAGCCUGCAAUCUCUUUUCAGUUUUCAAAAACACCAUCUAAGUGGAGAUUGUGAAGGUUUAGAAGCACCUGAAACCCAAAAUUAGCAAAACCCUUUUUAACCUGUAGAAUGGCAAUGGCGGGAGGUAUGUUUUCCGAUCAAUUUAUAAUUCCGUUUAUGAUCUAAUUGCUAUUUAAUGUUUUUUUAUAGCAUGUUUAGAAAUAAAGAUUCAGUUGGUAUCAAAGCCUUGUAUACCUUUGCCUUGUUCAUUUUACAAUUUACAUUUUUCAAUCCAGUGAGUUUUGGUAUUUUGGAGGUUUUGGUUUUAGAAGUUUUUGAUGAAAAAUAUUGUUAGAAAUCAUUAGGAGAUGAGAUUUCUAACAUUUUGGUGUUUUAAAUCAUCAAUUUGGUGUUUGGAAUGCCUAGAAACCGUCGGGUUUCAUUUCGGGUUGCAGAUGGGUCAAACAGACCCGACUGAAGGUAGGGGACGACUACAAGGGGUUAUCGUUUUGACUGUCAAUAAGACUUAAAUAAGUAAACAAGUGAUCAGAAAAUGGGCAGUAACCCAGAUGGUCACAACCUUGUUUACCUUCAUUGAUUGCACAGGUUCGAGUCCUCCUAGCAGUAACCUAUAAACUUAUUUUUAUUUAGUGAAUGUAAUAAUAAUAAUAAAAAAAUCAUAAAAUUUAAUGUUUUUUAAAAUAUGUUAAUUUAUGGAUAUUUUAUGUGAUAGAUUAUUUAUUUUUGCUAGUUGAAUGCAUAUUUUUAUUUUAAUGGUUUAUUGUGCAUACAACAUUAAAUUAAAUAAUUUGCACAUUAAAUUUAUUCUUAAAGGCUUUUAUGGUUUUAAUUUUAGAUAUUAAUGUGCUUAUAAUUUAUACAAUUUCAGAAAUUUUGCACAUUGAUAUUGAGUUUUGUGUAAAAAAAAAAAAAAUUGCUUAUGGUUUCAUGCAAUUUAUAUAAGUUUUCUUGUGAAUUAAUUUAAUGUCAAGUGAUCCAUAUAAUUUUAAUUAAUUAAGAAGUAGCCACAGCAUCUUUAAUUAUGCAAAAUUAUAUAUUAAUUGUUUUGGGAUCACAUAUUGGAAAAUGACAUUAUGGGUAAUUAAUUAUAUUUGAUAUAAUAAAAUUUUAUCCCACAAGAAUUUUUUAUUAUAUUUGUGUUAUUAAUUAGGGUAGAAUAUCAGAUUAUAUUUCUUAAUUACCCACAGGAAUUAGGAAAUAAAACACAAUUUGAUAGUUUUAUCAUAAGGUUUUACAUGGAUCUAAUUGAAUUAGAACUUUAGCCCACAUGCAAGUUUUAUGUCACUAGAUUCAUAAUUUUUUAACAUGAGUUACAUUGGUAAAACAUGAUAUUUGUUUAUUAGUCUCAAAUUUGAAUUAUAAGCAUGUAUGUUUAAUUUUUGUGCAGUCAUGCAACUUGCGAAUUUCUCUAAUAUAAAAUGUGACAUUCCCAAAUUGAAAAGUGAUAACUAUAAGGUUUGGAAUGAGAGAAUUCUCCUUCAUUUAGGGUGCAUGGACAUUGAUUAUGCUAUCAGGAAAGACAAACCAACCAUUAUUGACACUAGCACUACAGCAGAAAAGGCUCUUUAUGAACAAUGGGAGCGAUCAAAUCGCCUUAGUCUGAUGUUCAUAAAGACCAAAAUCUCUUAUGGUAUUCGUGGUUCUGUGGAUCAACAUGACAAUGUCAAGGCAUUACUGAAGGCUAUUGAUGAACAAUUUGUGACUUCAGAUAAGGCACUUGCUAGCACCCUGAUAAUGAAGUUUUCAUCUUUAAGGCUCACUAAUGUGAAUGGUGUGCGAGAGCACAUAAUGCAAAUGAGGGAUAUUGCGGCACAAUUGAAAACACUUGAGGUUGAAAUUUCUGACUCCUUCCUUGUGCACUUCAUUUUAAACACUCUUCCACAACAAUAUGGACCCUUCAAAAUCUCCUACAACACACACAGAGAUAAGUGGUCAAUUAAUGAGCUUCUGACCAUGUGUGUUCAAGAGGAGGGAAGGUUGAAAAUGGAAUUGGGUGAGAAUGCAUUAAUGACAAUGGAAGGAAAGGAUCAAAAUCAGGCCAAAAAGAAAGGGAAAGGUAAAAUACCGCCCCAAGGUGGAAUCAAGAAGUUCAAUAAGUGCUUCUUCUACAAGAAAAAGGGGCACAUGAAAAAGGGUUGCACCAAAUUCCAGAAAUGGCUUGAGAAGAAAGGUAAACCAAUCUCAUUUUUUUGUUAUGAAUCUAAUAUGGUUGAUGUUAUUUAUAACACAUGGUGGAUUUAUUCUGGUUCUACAAUCCAUGUUUCGAAUACCUUGCAGGGUAUGCAAAACCUAAGGAAGCCAAUGCCAAGUGAGCAAUGCAUUUAUUCAGGAAACAAGAUGCGUUCACAUGUGGAGGCUGUUGGAACAUGCAAUUUAGUUUUAAGUAGUGGUUUUAUUUUAAAUUUAGAAAAGACAUUUUAUGUUCCAAGUUUCUCUAGGAAUUUGAUUUCAGUUUCAAGAAUUGUACCUUUGGGUUAUUCCUUUAGUUUUUAUGAGACAUCUUUCAGUUUGUUUUAUAAAUCUAAUCUUGUUGGAAAUGGUACAUUGUCUAAUGGUCUUUUCUCUAUCGAUUUGCAAAAUGAUACCACUAAUAAUACUAUGCAUGUUCACAUUGGUACAAAACGAUGUGUUAUGAAUGAAGAUUCCUUUAUGCUGUGGCAUCGGAGAUUGGGACAUAUCUCCAUACAGAGAAUUAAGAGAUUAGUAAAUGAUGGAGUACUUAACACUUUAGAUUUUACUGAUUUUCACACUUGUAUGGACUGCAUUAAGGGAAAGCAGACCAACAAGUCUAAGAAGGGUGCCAAGAGGAGCAUAGACAUAUUAGAGAUCAUACAUUCAGAUAUUUGUUGUCCAGACAUGGACGCGCAUGGUCCGAAAUACUUCAUCUCCUUCAUAGACGAUUACUCACGAUACAUGUAUAUCUACUUGCUUCAUAACAAGAAUGAAACAUUGGGUGCCUUUAAAGUUUUUAAGGCUGAAGUAGAAAAACAAUGCGGAAAGCAAAUAAAGAUUGUGAGAACAGAUAGAGGUGGAGAACAUUAUGGUAGAUACACCGAGGAUGGACAAGCACCUGGUCCCUUUGCGAAGUUUCUUCAAGAGCAUGGGAUAGUUGCUCAAUACACAAUGCCUAGGUUCCCCAGACCAGAACGGUGUGGCUGAAAGAAGAAACCGAACAUUAAUGGACAUGGUUAGGAGUAUGCGUAGCAACUCCAAGCUUCCUGAAUCCUUGUGGACUGAAGCUCUUAAAACGGUAGUGUAUAUAUUGAACUGAGUUCCAACAAAGGUUGUCCCCAAGACGCCAUUUGAAUUUUGCAAAGGUUGGAAACCAAGUUUGUGACAUAUACACGUUUGGGGAUGCCCAUCUGAAGUAAGAGUUCACAACCCACAAGAGAAGAAACUAGACCCAAGGACCAUUAGUGCGUAUUUCAUUGGAUAUGCCGAAAGGUCUAAAGGGUAUAGAUUUUACUGUCCAUCUCACAGUACUAGAAUUGUGGAGUUAAGAAAUGCUAAGUUUCUUGAUAAUGACUUGAUUAGUGGGAGUGAUCGAUUUCAGGACAUUGUUUCUAAAAAAGAUCAUAUAGAUGCUCAACCAUCCACUUCAAGUGAUAGCUUGAUUGUCAUUCAGAAUGCCCCUCAAGUUCAAAUGGGUGAUAGACAACCAAUCAUUGAAGCUCCACAAAUUGCUAAUGACAAUCCAGUAGAUCAAGUUGUUCAAGAUUCGCCAGAAAUUGUUGAACAACCUGUUGAGCAACGUGAUCCUCAGGAAAAUGUUGAUUCAAUAUUAAGAAGAUCUACAAGAGUGAGAAAACUAGCAAUACCUAGUGAUUAUGUUGUGUAUCUGCAAAAAUUGGACUAUGACAUUAGAGUCGAAAAUGAUCCUAAAACAUUUUUACAAGCCAUAAGUUGCAAAGAGUCUAAUUUAUGGUAUGAUGCUAUGAAAGAUGAGAUGAAUUCUAUGGCAUCUAAUGAAGUCUGGAAUCUUGUUGAGUUGCCUGAUGGUUCAAAAGCCAUUGAAUGUAAAUGGGUCUUCAAGACAAAGAAAGAUUCAUUGGGCAACAUUGAAAGAUAUAAAGCGAGACUCGUUGCUAAAGGAUUAACUCAAAAUAAAGGAAUUGACUACAAGGAGACUUUUUCUCCUGUAUCUAAGAAAGAUUCUCUUCGUGUCAUUAUGACAUUAGUUGCACAUUUUGACUUAGAGUUGCAACAAAUGGAUGUGAAAACGGCAUUUCUCAAUGAAAAUCUAGAGGAAAAGAUUUACAUGAAACAACUAGAAGGAUUUUCCUCUAGUGGUGGUGAGCAUUUGGUAUGCAAGCUUAAGAAAUCCAUAUAUGGAUUGAAACAAGCAUCCCAUUAGUGGUAUUUGAAGUUUCAUGAUGUUAUCUCUUCAUUUGGUUUCGUGGAGAACAUUAUGGAUCAAUAUAUAUAUCAAAAAGUCAGUGGGAGUAAGAUAUGUUUCCUUGUUCUGUAUGUGGAUGACAUUUUACUUGCAACCAAUAAUAAGGGUUUGCUACAUGGGGUGAAACAGUUUCUAUCUAAAAACUAUGAUAUGAAGGAUAUGGGUGAUGCAACUUAUGUUAUUGGCAUUAAGAUACAGAGAGACAGAUUUUGAGGCCUUUUAGGUUUGUCUCAAGAGACCUAUAUCAACAAGGUUUUAGAAAGAUUUCGGAUGAAAGAUUGUUCACCAAGUAUAGCUCCCAUUGUGAAGGGCGAUAGGUUCAAUUUGGACCAGUGCCCGAAGAAUGAUCUUGAGCGGGAACAAAUGAAGAACAUUCCUUAUGCUUCUGAUGUUGGAAGCUUGAUGUAUGUUCAGGUCUGCACAAGACCUGACAUUGCAUUUACUGUUGGGAUGUUAGGGAGAUAUCAGAGUAAUCCAGGUAUGGACCAUUGGAAAGCUACAAAAAAGGUGAUGAGAUACCUUCAAGGGACCAAAGACUACAUGCUUAUGUAUAGACGGACUGAUAAUUUGGAAGUGAUUGGCUACUUUGAUUCGGACUACGCUGGUUGCAUUGAUUCGCGAAAAUCAACUUCAGGAUAUGUCUUUAUGCUAGCCGGUGGAGCUGUUUCUUGGAGAAGUGCAAAGCAAACUUUGAUUGCAACUUCCACUAUGGAGGCUGAGUUCGUGUCUUGUUUUGAGGCUUCCUAGCAUGGUGUAUGGUUAAAGAGCUUCAUUUCUGGGCUUAGAGCUGUGGAUUCAAUUUCUUGGCCAUUAAAGAUAUAUUGUGACAAUUCAGCUGUAGUUUUUAUGGCUACGAACAAUAAAAGUAGCAGUCAAAACAAGCACAUCGACAUCAAGUAUUUAGCCCUAAGAGAACGUGUUAAAGAGAAAACAGUGGUUAUUGAACACGUUAGCACUGAAUUGAUGAUUGUUGAUCCUUUGACUAAAGGCAUGCCACCGUUGAAACUUAGGGAUCAUGUAGAUAGAUUGGGACUUGGUUCCUUUGUGUGAUUUUCGUUGUAAGAACGAAUGUUAUUUUCAAUGAAACUCUAUUUGUGAUGUUUUCUCAUAUUUGAUUUUCUUUGUGUACACUUUUAUUCAUUUAUUGAGAAAUAUCAUUAAUAUUUGGACAUAGAAUAAACAUAAGGUUUAUUCAUUAAGCCAGAUGGACUAGUGUUUAAGAAACAUGAUGCAUUGUGAUACAUGGAAGAUAAUACUCAAUAUUAGAGGACCUAUCGCCAUGAAUCAUGUAUUUUGUUUCUUGCUAUGAUGAAUGAUGGAAUAUAUGGACCAAGUGGGAGAAUGUUGGGAUUUUAUUUCUCCUACAUCUUUGGUAAUAAACCGAAGACGUGAUUGGAAUGUGGUCCGCAUCAUUCUAUCAAUUUAGGAACGAGGAUUCAUGCUCCAAACCAUGUUCGCAUCACUACCCCAUGUUCUGUGCACGUUCCAGGUAGACUCAGUGAUGGAGAGAGUCUUUUAAAACGAGGCAGAACACUAACGGGAGGGUACCCUAAGCCUGCAAUCUCUUUUCAGUUUUCAAAAACACCAUCUAAGUGGAGAUUGCGAAGGUUUAGAAGCACCUGAAACCCGAAAUUAGCAAAACCCAUUUUAACCUAUAGAAUGGUAAUGGUGGGAGGUAUGUUUUCCGAUCAGUUUAUAAUUUCGUUUAUGAUCUAAUUUCUAUUUAAUGUUUUUUUAUAGCAUGUUUAGAAAUAAAGAUUACAAACAUAGCCCCCCACAACUCACUCCACCACUACCAUCAACAACCUCAACCCACAACUCCCUUUCUCAAGGUCUUCAUCAACGUAUCGGGUAACCAUUCUGCAACUUUGCAUCCCUGUUGCAGAAACAAAAACCACUUUGAAACCCAUUGUGUACGAUGGGUUUGAUUUUUUAAUAUAAUGCAUUGCACUUUGCUUUCAUGUACAUGUAUGGAAGUUGAUUUUUUUUAAUGUCAUAUAUUAUGCCUUCAUGAUAUUAUAGAUCAUGGUUUCAUGUGGGUUUUAACCUUUUAUUUCCAUAUAUUAUGGGUUAGUGUGGGCUUGAUUUUUGUAAUGGUAUAAUAUGGGUUUUGGUUUUAUAACACCAUGUAAUGCAAUUUCAUUGGUUUGACGUUAUUUUUUUGUUAGAUAAAUAAAAUGUAUAGUGGAGGUUGGGUUAUGGAGUUUGAUUCUGUAAUACUUAACAGGUGAGAUUUUGUAAUAAUGAAUAAGAGAAGUGGCUUUCAAGUGAUAGUGAAAGCGAAAAUGGUUAAAAACUCUUGUAAGCUAUCUUUUAUUUAUUUUAUUAUAUGUCAAAAACUAAAAUUUAAUCUAGUUACAUAUCUUUAAUUUUUUUUUUUUUCAUUUAAUAACACUUGUUAUUCAUUUCUUACUUUUUUUUUUUUUAUGUUGCUCAUUGAUUACAGAUGGCUCCUAAACAAAAAAAGCCAACUCCUCAUCUGACUCCUUCACCCAUAAUGGCACCCACAACACCUCUUUCCAUUAACGCUCCAAUGCCCACAUUUGAUGAGGGCACUAGCAACUUUAAGAAAUUUCCCACACUUAUAACUUCAAGCUAUUAUAAUUUUGUAAGGUGUUUUAUCAACUUCCUUUAAUUUUUAUGUGAUUAUGGUUGCUUUAUUGAUUACUACCCAAAAAGUGCUAUUUUGCGCUUUUAAUUUAUUAUGUUUUAAGCACUUUUGUGUAGUAGUUCUCCAUUUUUAUUCCAAUUGGCAUGUUAAGGACCUAGCAAUGACUUCUAAUCAUAUUUGUGGCUAGUUUUAGUGUUUUGACAGCUUUUUGGAUCAUUAAGACAAGCCAAGUAAAGGAGAGAAGCAAAGAGGAAAACAAAGUGAAGAAAACAGAGGAUAGCAGCUGCAGUCUUCCUUCGCACUUUUGGAGAACUUACAGAAGUCCAUUUUCUACAUGCUAUAUACCAUUUUAAAGCUCAGGAAGUCAAGAAUCCAACGCUUCAAACCGUGUACUAUUUGAAGCUGAAAUGAGGAAGAUAUGGCCUUUGGAAGACAACUGCAUCAAGCAAGUGCGAAUUUCGCACAGCAGCCCAAGCAAGUGCGAAUUUCGCACCACCAGCCAUGCAAGUGCGAAUUUCUCACCAGCCCAUGUGUCUUUGGUGUGAAAUCUCCUCUGUUCUGCCGACUCCACAUGAGAUCUUUUCUUUUGUAUUUUUUUAUGAAAAUUCCUUUCUUAUCCCUAUAAUUAGCCAAUCACAGGCUUUGCUUUUGUAAAGGCUAUAAGAGGGGUGGAAAUCAUCUCUCGAAACACACUAACAUAUUGUAUAUUUUACACUUAGUGAAAUUUUCCUCUGGGGAAAAAACAGAGUUCUCUUUGCUUUCCUUUUCUCUUUUCUAUUUUCUUUUUCUUGGAAGCCAAACAACCUCUAAGGAUGUUUUCCCAGAGGAUGAGAGGCUAAACCUUUGGUUUCUUGGAGUGAAAGAAGCUAGGUGAAAAUUCCAGAUGCUAAAAUGGAAAACUCUCGUGCAUUAAAUAUAGAUAGUUGGAGUUCAUAAAUGGCUUUUAAAUCUAAAGUUUUGCUUUAAAUCCCUUAGAAUCACUUUGAAUGGGCCAAUACAUGAUAAGCUUUAGGUCUCUGUGGAUACUUAUUGCUAGAUCCACAUCAGACCAUUAGUUAUCAUGUACGAGCCAUUGGAAAGUGGCUCAAGGUGAAGACCCAUAGUGUCUAAAGCCAUUAAUGGAACUUGACUACCAUUUCUAUGGACUUUUUAUGGAUUAAAUCUUCAUUGUUAAACCUAUACCGAUUCGGGAAACAACAAUCCUUUAUGUUGUUGUCCCCAAUACGAGAAGAAAAAUCCGGAAUUUCCCACUUUGCAUUCUGAACUUGAUUGUAGCAACCUUUAGCUCCGAGAGACUUUCUUUUUUCCAUUUUUACCUAGUUUAUGUUAGUUUAGUUCCAAACACCACUUUCAAAACAAAUUUUAUUUUCUUUUAAACUUUAAGUUUUUGACAAAGGAAAUCAUCAGAUUCAAUUUCUAAUCUUGAGUCUAUCACUGGUAGAAUGAAAACCCAUCCCAAAGUUUGACCCUAGAACUGCUAUACUAUAGUAGCUUUGCUAUGCUAGUAUGAGGUCAUAGGAUUUAUAAAUAUUUUUUAUUAAAAUACCCGACUGGGCACGAAUCAAAAUGGCACCAUUGUCGGGGAUGGUGCCACGAUACAGUGAUACAACUUUUUAGAGGCUACUUGUGAUUUCCAUCACAAGUUUGGUGAAUUCCUUUUUCACUAACUUCAUUUUCUUUCUUUUAAUUGUAGAAUUCCUUUUGUUAAGUUUAUUUUCAUUUUCUUUCUAACCUUAACUUUCUUCUAGCUUUCUUUUGUUUUUGUUGUCUUUGUUUUGUUUUCAGGUAAGUAGUAACUUGUGCAUGCCCUAUUGGAUUCGGGACCAAGAGGGAAGAUUAGUAAGGAUUGAGAAUCCUCAAGACACGGAGUUGGAUAUUUGUGUAAACAUCAUGGACCCUCCACAAGAGGAUCAGAAUUCUCAACACGGUCAAGGGGGUAAUCCAAAUGCAUAUCUAUCCAUGAGGGAUAGGAUGCACCCACCAAGGAUGAGUGCACCCUCAUGCAUCGUACCUCCUCUUGAGCAGCUGAUUAUAAGGCCCCAUAUUGUGCCCCUCCUACCAAAUUUCCAUGGAAUGGAGAGUGAGAACCCAUAUGCCCACAUCAAGGAGUUUGAGGAGGUGUGCAAUACUUUUAGAGAGAAAGGAGCUUCAAUAAACUUGAUGAGACUCAAGUUAUUCCCUUUUACUUUGAAGGACAAGUAAAAAAUAUGGCUUAACUCCUUAAGGCUGAGGAGCAUAAGGAAUUGGGUUGAUCUUCAGGCCGAAUUUUUGAAGAAAUUUUUCCCCACCCAUAGGACCAAUGGGUUGAAGAGACAAAUCUCAAACUUUUCUGCAAAAGAAAAUGAGAAGUUCUAUGAAUGUUGGGAAAGGUAUAUGGAGGCCAUCAAUGCUUGUCCUCAUCAUGGCUUUGAUACAUGGCUCUUGGUGAGCUAUUUUUAUGAUGGGAUGUCUUCCUCCAUGAAGCAAAUUCUUGAAACCAUGUGUGGGGGAGAUUUUAUGAGUAAGAAUCCGGAAGAAGCCAUGGACUUUUUAAGUUAUGUAUCUGAGGUAUCAAGAGGAUGGGAUGAGCCCAACUCAAGAGAAAUGGGAAGGAUGAAAGCUCCUGUAAAUCCAAAGGGUGGAAUAUACAUGUUAAGUGAAGACAUGGACAUGAAAGCUAAGGUGGCAACAAUGGCAAGGAGGUUGGAAGAACUUGAGUUGAAAAAAAUGCAUGAAGUCCAAGCCAUUUUCGAGACACAAGCCCAUGUCAUGCCAUGCACCAUUUUCCAAUCAUGUGAUCAUGUGGUAGAUGAGUGCCCAACCAUCCCAGCUGUGAGGGAGAUGUUAGGUGAUCAAGCCAAUGUUGUGGGGCAAUUUAGGCCCAACAACAAUGCACCUUAUGGAAACACCUAUAAUUCAAGUUGGAGAAACCAUCCAAAUUUUUCUUGAAAACCAAGGCCACCUCCAUACCAACCACAAGCCCAAACCCAAGCACCUCAACAAACCUCUUCAGUGGAGCAAGCCAUUGUGAACCUAAGUAAAGUCAUGGGUGACUUUGUAGGUGAACAAAAGGCAAUCAACUCCCAAUUGCACCAAAAGAUUGAAAAUGUUGAGAGUUCUCAAAUUAAGAGAAUGGAUGGAAUGCAAAAUGAUCUAUCUCAGAAGAUAGAUAAUAUUCAAUACUCCAUCUCUAGGCUUACCAACCUCAACACAGUAAAUGAGAAAGGAAAGUUUCCCUCUCAACCAAGCCCAAAUCCCAAGGGUGUUCAUGAAGUUGAAACCCAAGAUGGGGAGUCUUCAAAGUUAAGGGAGGUCAAAGCUGUGAUCACCUUGAGGAGUGGGAAGGAGGUUGAUCAACCCUUGCCUAAGGUGAGGCAAGAUGAAGAACUCAUGUCAAAGAGAACCUUGGUUAAAGAGAGCAAUAACCAAGAAGAGAAGAGUGGGAAAAAAAAUGCAUCCAAAUCAAGCAUUGAAGAAGAGCCAAGGAUAGUGAUUAAAGAGGAUAUGAUGAAGAAACAUAUGCCUCCCCCUUUUCCUCAAGCUUUACAUGGAAAGAAGGGAAUUAAGAAUUCAUCAGAAAUUCUUUAAGUUUUGAGACAAGUGAAGGUGAAUAUACCCUUACUUGAUAUGAUCAAGCAAGUCCCCACAUAUGCAAAAUUUUUAAAGGACUUGUGCACAGUCAAGAGAGGGUUACAUGUGACAAAGAAGGCAUUCCUCACUGAGCAAGUAAGUGUCAUCAUUCAGAGUAAGUCUCCAAUUAAGUACAAAGAUCCGGGAUGUCCCACCAUUUCAGUCAACAUUGGAGGGACACAUGUGGAGAAGGCUUUACUAGACUUGGGGGCAAGUGUGAAUUUGCUCCCAUACUCUAUGUUCAAGCAACUAGGACUUGGAGGAUUGAAGCCCACAGCCAUAACUCUCUCCUUAGCUGAUAGGUCAGUCAAAAUCCCAAGGGGGGUGAUAGAGGAUGUUCUAGUUCAAGUGGACAAAUUCUACUAUCCCGUGGAUUUUGUUAUGCUUGAUACUGAUCCCACUGUUAAAGAAGCAAAUUAUGUGCCAAUCAUCCUUGGGAGACCUUUCCUAGCUACCUCCAAUGCCAUCAUCAAUUGUAGGAAUGGGGUGAUGCAGCUCACAUUUGGAAACAUGACCUUGGAAUUAAACAUAUUCCACCUAUGCAAGAGGCAUCUUCACCCAGAAGAGAAGGAAGGAUUGGAGGAGGUGUGCUUGAUCAACACUUUGGUUGAAGAGCAUUGUGACAAGAAUUUAGAAGAGAGCUUGAACGAAAGCUUUGGAGUGCUUGAAGAAGGGUUACCUAAACCCUCUGAUGUGUUAGCCAUCUGUAGACCCUCAAUUUUGUCCCUCGACACUGGCAUUUAUCCUUCGGGUGUCACAUCCACCCAUCGUUCGCAUAUGGCACCACUAGAGCCUCUUUUGGGCUUAGUCGGUGUCCGAGCCUCGUGUGGGUUUGUCUAUGGUCCAUUGUGGUGCAUAUGUGGUUCAUUUUGGAGGGUCACCAUGGCCAUUUUCCUAGUCGUUCACAUCAUGCUAUAGGAAGGAAGUGGGGUCAUCCCGAUGUUUUAGCUUAGUUGGAGUUUAUAGGGGCAUGUUGAGGUUCGGAGCACUCGGGCUUGUUUUGAUCGUAUCUCCCUCAUCCAAACUCAGAAUUAAGAACCGUUUCUUUUUAUGGAUUCCUUAUUCUUCCAAGAACAUUCUGUAAAAUUUUCAAAAUUUUUUGCAACCGGUCGGCUGGUUGGCAGCCGGUUCAGCCGGUUCAUCGAGUCAGUUGGUGUAGAACACUGAUUUUUGGUAAUUUUUUUGAUCAUAUCUCCCUCUUCCGAACUUGGAAUCAUGCACCGUUUUUUUAAUGGAUUCCUUACUCUACUAGGAACAUUCUGUCAAAUUUUCAGAAUUUUUUUCCAUCGGUUCGACCAGUUGGCAUCCGGUUCAGCCGGUUCAGCCAGUUCAUUGAGUCAGCUGAGGUAAAACACUAAUUCUAGUAAUUUUGAGGCCCAAAUCCUACAUGGCUCAGGCCCGUAAGCUCCAGAUUGGUUUUAAACAAUGUUGUGGGUCCAUUUUGGGCCUUGGUUUGGGUUCCUUGUAGCCCACCACGAAUCCAUAUGGAUUCUUGGUGGUGAAACAAGUUGAAAACUGAAGGAGUGAGCUGGCCUCAUAAGUUUAAGAGAAGUAAUGAGGGGUGUGGUUCCCAUGCUGAUGAAGGGGAUUUCGGUGCUGAAGGGGGAGGAAUCCAGGAGGCUUAAAUGCUAAGAGGGGUAUGAGUAUAAAAGGUGAGAGGAUAGGAGAGCAAAGGAGGGAGGGGACACUUUGGAGAGGGGAAAUUUUGCUGGUGAGAAAAACAAAAGGUUAGUAGCAUCUUCUGAGUUAAGAGCGUGGGGGAAAGCUUCAGCACUGUGGUUUUUUGAAGAGGAGAGUGACAGCGUCUCAGUUUUGGAAGUCAUCAUCUGCAAACACGGAUCAUAUUUGGUGGAGAUUCUGAGGUAAGCAUGCUGAAUUUUCUUUACUUACAGUUUAUCUUUCUCGUCUUCAUAUGCUUUUUCUCCUUCCUCAUCAUCUUUUCUUCCCUUUGAUAUGAAGAUUGUAUUGCUUGGGUGUGGAUAAUAAAGGCCACACAUGAUUUUUUUUGAUUGGUUAUUAAUCAUUUAGGGACUUUCUGAUCGAAUUUGAGAUUUUUUAUCAACCGGCUGAACCAGUUGGGAACCGGUUCAACCGGUUCAGCACCAUAGCUGGCAGCCUCUGUCAGCCAUGAGGAACACCUGCCUUUCUUUGUCUGGUUCUCACUCAUCUGGGCUCAAAAUUGAGAACCAUUUCUUUUGUUUGCUUUCUUAAUCACUUAGGAACUUUUUGAUCGAAUUUGGGAUUUUUUACCAACCGGCUGAACCGGUUCAACCGGUUCAGCACCAUAGCUGGCAGCCUCUAUCAGCCAUGAGGAACACCUGCCUUUCUUUGUCUGGUUCUCACUCAUCCAGGCUCGGAAUUGAGAACCGUUUCUUUUGUUUGCUUCCUUAAUCACUUAGGAACUUUCAGACUAAAUUUGGGAUUUUUUAUCAACCGGUUGAACUAGUUGGGAACCGGUUCAACUGGUUCAGCACCAUAGUUGGCAGCCUCUGUCAGCCAUGAGGAACACCUGCCUUUCUUUGUCUGAUUCUCACUCAUCCGGGCUCGGGAUUGAGUGUCGUUUAUUUUGUUUGAAUCCUCACUCAUUUAGGAGUUUUCUAGAAAAAUUUGGGAAUUUUUCUCAAUAGGUUGUACCAGUUGAGAACUAGUUCAACCUGUUCUGCUGGAGGACUUUAGGUAGCCCUCGAUUUUGGCAUUUUUCGAGCCCUUAUCCAUGGGGGCUCAAACCCAUUUGCUAUAGGGCACUUGUGAGCCAUCUUGAAGGUUUAAGUCAGUGUUUGAUUUCAGUUUGUAUGGGCAAUUUUGAAGUUAUGGGUGGUAUGGUCUAGAUGAGUCUAGUUCGAUUUGUAUGACAUUUGGGGAGUCCCUUACCUCAUUUCAACCAGCUAUCUUCCUUUUUGGCACAAGCUUUGAUGCUUGAUUUUGAAUACAUGUCACGUGACUGACUCACCCUCUGCUGUAGUGCUUGGCUAGGGACCACAAGUACGCAUCGUUGGCUUUGGUUGUUGAAUUCAUAUGCAUGCAUGGUGCUUAAUCUUGAAUGUUUUUUAUGUGUUUAUCUGUGUUUGGCUGACCUUUUAUGCAACGCUUGGCUAGGGACCACAGGUACGCACCCAUUGUUUUGUUUGGUUGAAUUCAUAUGCAUGCCAAAUACCAAUUAGGAUUGUGUGAUUCAUGACAUCUAUUUAGCCUAGGGUUUCAUUUGACCUUUGACCCAUAUGCUCCCACAUACCCAAUUCAUUAGUAGAGACCAAGUUUCAGGCCUAGAGGGGUGCUACCUCGCAUGAGGUACCUUCCCAACGGGUAACCUGAUCCCCGGACCCAGAAUCUAGUUUUCGUAGACCGCUUUUUCCAUACUGGGGUCAUUAGGGGUUUUUGUUCUUACUUAAUUUUCCCCAUUUUAAAAACAAAAAUAAAAAGUAAGUGGCGACUCCAAACAACACCGUUCCUCAUCGGGGGCGGGUUUUUCAAAACUGGAAAACACCAACUUUUCCAUUUUCCUUCUUUUCUUUUAAAAGCGAGUCGCGUCAGUCCGAUGGAUCGGGUGACGGUCCACACCAUCAUGUCUCCUUGGAGGAGACGGGAAGAGAUCUUACCAUUGUUCAAUAAGGAGGACUCACAAGGGGCAGCUACGAAGAACACUCCAAAACUGGUUUUGAAGCCACUUCCUAUUGAUUUGAAGUAUGCAUAUUUGGAGGAAGAUGAGAAGUGUCCAGUGGUGGUUUCUUCAACUCUCACAAGUGAUCAAGAGGACAGUCUUUUGGGAGUCCUCAGAAAAUGCAAAAAAAUCGUUGGAUGCCAAAUUUCUGAUUUGAAAGAGAUUAACCCUUUGGUAUGCACCCACCAUAUCUACAUGGAGGAAGAUGCAAAACCGGUGAGGCAGCCCCAGAGGAGGUUGAAUCCUCACAUACAAGAGGUGGUAAGGGGUGAAGUUUUGAAGCUACUUCAAGCAGGGAUCAUAUAUCCCAUUUCAGAUAGCUUGUGGGUGAGCCCCACCCAAGUAGUCCCAAAGAAAUCUGGAAUUACUGUGAUCCAGAAUGAGAAAGGGGAGGAAGUAUCUACACGUCUUACCUCAGGAUGGAGGGUGUGUAUAGACUACAGGAGGUUGAAUUCAGUGACUAGGAAGGACCAUUUCCCAUUGCCUUUCAUGGACCAAGUCCUUGAGAGAGUCUUAGGGCAUCCUUUCUACUAUUUUUUGGAUGGUUACUUGGGGUACUUCCAAAUAGAGAUUGAUUUGGAAGAUCAAGAAAAGACAACCUUCACUUGCCCCUUUGGUACUUUUGCCUAUAGGAGGAUGCCCUUUGGUCUAUGUAAUGUACCUGCAACUUUCCAAAGAUGUAUGCUAAGCAUCUUCAGUGAUAUGGUGGAGUGCAUCAUGGAAGUCUUCAUGGAUGACAUCACUGUAUAUGGAGGUUCUUAUGAGUGUUUGUUGCAUUUAGAAGCUGUUCUCCAAAGAUGUAUUGAGAAAGACCUAAUGCUAAAUUGGGAGAAGUGCCAUUUUAUGGUACAACAAGGAAUUGUCUUAGGACAUAUAAUCUCCAAGAAUGGCAUUGAGGUAGAUAAGGCCAAGGUGGAGCUAAUUCUUAAGUUGCCACCUCCCACAAAUGUUAAAGGAAUUAGGCAAUUCCUAGGACAUGCCGGGUUCUAUAGGAGGUUCAUUAAGGAUUUCUAAAAAAUCUCAAAACCUCUUUAUGAACUCUUGGUAAAGGAUGCCAAGUUUGUGUGGGAUGAGAAAUGUCAGAAGAGUUUUGAGGAACUGAAGCAAUUCCUCACAACUGCACCAAUAGUGAGAGCCCCAAAUUGGAAAUUACCUUUUGAGGUAAUGUGUGAUGCAAGUGAUCUUGCUAUGGGGGCUGUUUUGGGGCAAAGAGAAGAUGGAAAGCCCUAUGUGAUUUAUUAUGCAAGCAAAACUUUGAAUGAGGCUCAAAGGAACUACACAACUACUGAGAAGGAGUUGUUGGCAGUAGUUUUUGCCUUGGAUAAGUUUCGUGCCUAUUUGGUAGGGUCCUUUAUAGUGGUGUUCACUGACCAUUCCGCUUUGAAGUACUUGCUAACCAAGCAAGAUGCCAAGGCAAGAUUGAUAAGAUGGAUCCUUUUGCUUCAAGAAUUCAAUCUCCAAAUCCAGGAUGAAAAGGGAGUAGAAAAUGUGGUAGCUGACCACUUGUCAAGACUUGUGAUAGCACAUGACUCACAUGGUCUACCUAUCAAUGAUGAAUUCCCUGAGGAGUCUCUCAUGUCAAUAGAGGUAGCUCCAUGGUAUUCUCACAUUGCAAAUUACUUGGUUACUAGAGAAGUUCCAAGUGAGUGGAGUGCCCAAGACAAGAAGCAUUUCUUUGCUAAGAUCCAUGCCUAUUAUUGGGAGAAGUCUUUUCUCUUCAAAUAUUAUGCGGAUCAAAUCAUAAGGAAAUGUGUUCCUGAACAAGAGCAAUCAAGAAUUCUAUCCCAUUGUCAUGAUAGUGCAUGUGGAGGUCAUUUUGCUUCCCAGAAAACAACCAUGAGAGUGGUCCAAUCAGGUUUUUGGUGGCCCUCUCUUUUUAAGGACGCCCAUGCUAUGUGCAAGGGAUGUGAUCGGUGUCAAAGGCUAGGGAAGCUAACACGCCAGAAUAUGAUGCCCUUGAACCCCAUCUUGAUAGUGGAUGUCUUUGAUGUUUGGGGGAUAGACUUCAUGGGACCAUUUCCAAUGUCAUUUGGACACUCCUACAUUUUGGUGGGAGUGGAUUAUGUCUCUAAGUGGGUAGAAGCAAUCCCAUGUAGGAGCAAUGAUCAUAAGGUGGUUCUCAAAUUUCUCAAGGAGAACAUCUUUUCAAGAUUUGGAGUGCCUAAGGCCAUUAUCAGUGAUGGAGGAACCCACUUUUGCAACAAGCCUUUUGAGACUCUUCUAGCAAAUAUGGGGUCAAGCACAAGGUAGCUACACCUUAUCACCCUUAAAAAAGUGGCCAAGUUGAGUUAGACAACCGGGAGAUCAAGAAUAUAUUGAUGAAGGUGGUGAAUGUGAAUAGGAAGGAUUGGUCUAUUAAGCUCUUGGAUUCAUUAUGGGCUUAUAGGACCGCUUAUAAGACCAUUCUUGGAAUGUCUCCUUAUCGCCUUGUUUAUGGCAAAGCGUGCCAUCUCCCAGUGGAGGUUGAAUAUAAAGCAUGGUGGGCAAUCAAGAAGCUCAACAUGGACUUGACAAGAGCCGGGUUAAAGAGAUGUUUGGAUUUGAAUGAAUUGGAGGAAAUGAGGAAUGAUGCUUACCUCAAUUCAAAGAUUGCAAAAGAGAGGUUGAAGAAAUGGCAUGAUCAGAUGGUAAAUCAGAAGAAUUUUACCAAGGGACAAAGAGUCUUGCUUUAUGACUCUAAACUUCAUCUUUUUCCGGGAAAAUUGAAAUCAAGGUGGACGGGUCCUUUCAUAAUUCAUGACGUGAAAUCAAAUGGAGUAGUGGAACUACUCAACACCAAUAGCAUUCGAACUUUCAAAGUGAAUGGGCAUUGUCUCAAGCCUUAUAUGGAAUCAUUUUCCCGAGACAAGGAGGAAUUCAUCCUCCUUGAUCCACCUCUCACAUGAAAACACUCAGUUCAUGGUUGAACUUAGUCUCUUCAAAGACUAAAAAGUUCAUCCUCUUUUUGUUCCCUUUUGCGUUAAUUUUAGUUUAAUCUAGUGUUUUUUCUUGUGUAUAUGCAUGUUUUGAUUUUUAUUUUUGCCUCUAAUUUCAUUCUAACGUGGUUUGAUUUGGUUUUUGUGUUAACAUGCAGGUAGGAAAGCUUGAAGAAUGAAAACAAAGGAAAACAAGGGAAAACAGGGGAGAAAAGCCAAGACACAACAAAAUUCGCACCACCCAAUUCUCUGGUGCGAAUUUCACACCACCCUACCCCUUUGUGCGAAAUCACUUUUGUGAGCAUUUUCCAAAAGCAUGCUCUCGGUCCCUACCCAAAAUCUCAGUGCGAAAAUGCACAGGAAUGCGAACCUUGUGCGAAAUUGCCUUUAUGACCAUUUUCCAAAAAAAAGCAUGCUCUCUAUCUUGGAGAACCACAGGAAUGCGAAAAUUUCGCACUUCACUAUUCACCUUGUGCGAAAUUCGCACUUGUUCUUUAAAAGCCAAUUUCUCUUUUUAAAUUCUAAGCUUGUUCUUCUUCAAUCCUCUCAACACCUCUUUUCCGAUCACUUCUUUCCAUCCACAAGGUCCUCUCCUUCAUAUCCUUGCGCUUUUCUUUUCUUUUUCUUUCUUUUUUCUUUCUUUUUUUUUUUUUUUUUUUUUUGAUUUUUUUUUUAUUACGAUUUUUUUUUUUUUUUUUUUUUUUUUGCGCAUGCUCUGAUCAUCAAUAAAUCAAACUCCAAUGGAAAAAUAUAAGGAAUGAACAAACUCUCUCUGACCACUGAUGGAUACAUGAACCCCAACCCCUGAGAUAACCUCUCAAACUAAAAUCUCCGAAUCAAUGUCAAAUGAUGGAAUGAAUAGAGUGAUAUGACAGCCCUCCUUGCACUAAGACGUGAAGAAUCAUCAACCCAAGGAAGAGAAUAGAUAAGAUGAAGCAAAUAAUGAUAGGGACAAGAAAGAGAAUGAAUAUGUAGUGAUAAUAAAAUAGAACAAAUAGGGUGAUAAGAGGAUGGUAACAAAAUGAGAAGAUAGACCUAUAAGUCUAAAGCUCAUGAGACUUUCCUAGCAAAGCAUACAUAUACAUCAAAGGGCCCCAACCCGGGUAUAGAAAUGGUAAUCAAAGCUAUAAGAAAGAAAUAAGGCUAUAACAUACCAUGCGAAGCUCAAUGGGCUAGCAAUGGUCUAAUAUAUAGAGGUGAUAAAGUAUGAGGCUAACCGAAAUGGUGGCCACCCAUCCUGCGACCACGGUCUCAAACAUAAUACUUCUUCAGCUGAUCCACAUUGGUAGGCUCUGAAAAUUGGUUUCCAUCUAAGUCUGUCAACCAUGCAGCCCCUUCUGGAGUCAACUCUCGGAUGACAAGUGGUGUACUCCAAGUAAGUCCCUAGGGUCUCCUGGAAUAGAUGAAUCUCCAUAAUCAUAACUGGGCUAACAUCGUCCUCAAACACAUCAUCAACAUAAGUGGAAUUCCCCAACAUAAAUAAAUCGAAUCUCUCCUGAACUUUCAACAAUGAAUAUCUCAAGCAUAUCAAGAGAGUGAACCAUCUCUGGCUAAUCUGUGCUAGUCAUCCAACUAUCAUCCAACACAUAUAUCUCAGGCUCAUCAUGAAGAAAACCAUGUCAAUCAAAGCUCCCAUCUGAGAAAAACUAACGUCCUCUAUAAGAACUCUCAUCUGAUAAACUUUGACUCAUAAUCCGCUAAACUCAUCAUAUGUACGAAAGUCACCCUCAACAAUGUCACUGGCUAACUGGGUGGUGGGGGUGGGUGGUAAUGAAUCAUACGACAUCUCACCCUGAACUGGAUACUAUCUAUCUCACUGUCCAUCAAUCAUCUGGCUCAAACCUGCUAAUGCAUCUUGAAUAGAGUCAUAGUGACUGUAAGUCGAUCAACUGUAUCAUGCUAAGGAUCCAUACCUGACUGCUUUGAAACCUUGACCAAUCUAUCUCCAACUCGGAUAUAAGAAGUUAAAUCUAAACUGAAACGAAUAACCCUCCUAUAAGGUACAAAGACGCGGAAAGAGAAAUGACAUGAAGGAAGCUUAGAAGAGGUGGAAACACACUAAUCACAAUGCAGAAAGGUGGCCCAACUGAGACUCAAACAUGUACCAAUCUCUGAGCACACCAAAAGGAGAUCAUGAAGAGGAUAACUGAACCCAAUUGUGACCAAGGCAACUUUGAAAGUCCACAAAUGCACCCACGUGUAGGAGUGAAAUCUUAAUUGGAUCUAGGCUAACCUACAAGGUUAAGGUGGCUCUAUAAGAUAAGAUGGGUGGGUUAAAGGAUCCCUAGCAGAAGCGAUCGUACCCUCCGGCGGUACGCAACCCUCUGCACGCCUCCAAGGAGACGGGGUGCUUCCAUGCAAGGUGGUCAUCACCUCCACACAUGCACUUCCUCGCGUUCCCAGGGGGUUUCUUAAUGGUGAAGGCUCUCCCAUCUCUCAACACUCAAGGAUAAUCUAAAGUGCACAAUGAAGGAUGUGGGUGCAUCCGAAAAACCUAAGGUCUAAAGUGAGAUAGUGAAUGAAGACAAGCAAUCAUACGAACAUGCAAGAGCAAGGGUUGUCAUGCAACAAGCAGUCAUGUGAAGCAGAUAAAUAUCAAACAAUCAAAGUCCUAUCUAGCAUAUGUGAGAGUGAAUCAUGCUAAAGUGAGCAAACAGCCACCAUGGCAGCCCAUCUCAAAAGCUUCAUUCCAUAGUCGCGACCAUCACUAUUCACAACAGCCCAUGCCUUCCAUUUUCAGCUUUUUCUCCUCCUUUCACCAUCAAAAACCCUUCAUUUCUUCACUCAACACUCCAAAUCCAUCCCUAAACCCAACCCAACCUUGAUUUUUCACAAUCAAAACCUCAAGCAUAGGUUUCAAAGCCUCGGUUUCUUCAUAAGAAACCCAUUGCCACCGGCUAUGGGAGCUUCAAAAUUCUCCAUUCUCUUCUUGUAAAGCUCCCAUUUCCAAGCUUAGCCACCAUGAAAAACUCCUUUCCUACCUCAGCCAGCAUUUCCCACCCUCAAAAACCAAAACUUUUGGCCAUUUGAAAGAAUCCAAUUUCGCAUUUGCACGGGUGAAUAGUGCAUUGUGCGAAAUUCGCACUACCUAUCCCCUUGUGCGAAAUUCGCACAACACCUUCCUCUUGUGCGAAUUUUGCACCACCCUUCCCUUAUGCGAAUUUUUCAAGCUUCUUCAUCCCUACCUUUCCCAAUCCCAAGCCUCUAAGCCUCAUUUCUUUGUUCCCUCAUGGCUAAGACCCGAGGAGGCUCUACCUCAACUCCCUAGAGUAGUCAUAGAGCUACCCCUGUGCGGGCCCCGCUAGAUGCACCCCCACAUUUACCUAAUUCUACCCCCCAGCGUAGAUACCAUACGAGGAAAGCAGCUGCCACGCCUGUGGCCCCUACUCAGAUUCCAGCUAGGAGUCCUCCUACAAAGAAGGCCAAGACUUCAGAGCUAGGAGAGUCCUCCAGAGCACCUCGAGAUUCACAGUCUCAGCCUCCUCCCAUCAGGCGUCCUAUCCUCGCCAGCUCGCCCAUUGAGGGCAACUCCAAUUGCCGAUCGAGAGCAUUCCAUGUCGAGGCAUAUUUUGAUCACUCUGUUUUGCGACAGCAGCCUGAGUUGGGGGAUUCAUACCACCUACUUGAGAGGUACCAUCUUGUACCCUUUAUGACUCCACUACAAUUCUUUUAUCCUCGAGUAGCUUUAGACUUUUACCAGUCUAUGACUACUCGUGGCGUCCCGGUACCCGCCUCGAUCAUUUUUACCAUUGAUGGACGCCAGGGUAUUUUGGGGGCUAGACAGAUUGUCAAGGCUUUCCAUAUCCCUUAUGCACCAGCAUAUCCAACUGCAUUUAGACCCUGGCCCCACUUUCUGAGUGGGACAUGGUUCGUAUACUAUCUCGAGGGACAUCUUCAGACAGGAUCAUUAUGAGGAAGGAGUUUCCCCCUGGGAUGCUUCUAGUUAAUGUGGUGCUUCGCGCCAAUCUUUUUCCUCUUCAGCAUAAAGUGCAGAGGCGAGGGGCCAUUCUAGAGGCAUUAUUCCGUAUCUCUGAGGGCUACUACUUUGGCCUCCAUCAUUUGAUUAUGGCCGCCCUCCUCCAUUUUGAGGAGAAGGUGCAUAAGAGGCGUCUUACGAGGGCAGACACCAUUCUUUUACUUUUCCCUCGGCUUCUAUGCCAUGUUCUGGCACAUAUGGGCUUCCCUACAGACCCUCAUUCUGAGACCCACCGCCAUUGUCGAGAGAGCUUAUCUCUUGACCAAUGGAAUCAGGUAUUUCUCCAUCAGCAUUCCCCAGAACUUCCCGAGCCAAGGGAAAUUCCUCCACAGCCCUUACCAUCUAUAUAUGCUCCGUCCACUUUAGCUCCCUCGGAGCCCGUACCAGAGGCAGCAUCGUCUGAUGCCCCACCUACUGUUCCUCCUACCUUAGAGCCGCCCAUUACUAUCCCUGGUGCAGAGUAUCGUGACUUGCUCGCUUCUUUCCAGACUCUGACCACUACUCAGACGGCCAUUAUGGAGCGGAUGGACCACUUCCAGCUUCAGCAGGACCAACAGACUCUCAUUCUCCGUGAGAUUCAGCAGCACCUCAGUCUUUUGCCACCAACUCCACCUGUUGCUCCUGUGCUCUCAGAGCCUUCUGCUCCAGUUGAUGAUGCUACACCUGUAGCGGUACCUUCCACAGUUGCAGCUGAGGACCCCUCCUAUCCACCAGAGGAGCCUACUACUUGAUCAUACGAUCACUCCUCUCCCUUUUUUAUUUGUAUCUAUAUUCUACGUUUUUGGAUGUGUUAUAUAUUUUGGACUACUUUUAUACUAGGAUUGAAUGUAUUCCUUGUUUAUCUUGUAUAUUGUACUAUCUCAGUUUAUAUAGACAUCUUCCUUUUUAUGUAUUUUAGCUAUUCCUUUUUAUUUCCUCUAAUCAUCACUCUUAUGAUUUUUCUUUUCUUAUGCAACAUGUGGUUUCUCCUGUUCAUUCAAAUUCCCUUACUAUCAGGAGGUAUCACUUCCUCCCUUUUAUUAUCACUUGCUUUCGGAACAUUGGGGACAAUGUUCAUCCUAGUUGGGGGGAGAGUUGAGGAAGUAAUUUUUUGGAUUUUUGGUUAAGUUAUUUUGCUAACAAAUUUUUACAAACUCUCUUUGUUUCUCAAAGAUAAAUUCUCAAAAGUAAAUGGGAGAAAUUAAAUUCUUAUCUUAUUGUCAUAGUCUCAGAGUUUGUAUUAUGCUUAUUAAAGUUGAUAAAUUGUUGAAGCUCCUUUUGAUUUCAAUCUUAAGUCUUCCACUCUAAUCUUUUCACACACUAAACACAUUAGAUUCCAGUUAUAAGCCCCUAAACUUAGGAAAUUUUUUACUUGGUGCCUUUGACCUCAUUCUAUUAGUGUUGUGACACCUUAUAAAAGGCCAAUGUGUCUUAUGAAAAAUUUUGCUUCACUUGCUUUGAAACCCGAGCAAGGUCCGAGGGGUAUAUGGUGAAAAUCUUUGAAGCCUGGUGCCCUAAGCCUUUAUUGGUUGGGAGUCACCGACCUCACUGCUCGUUACAUGGGUGGAUGGGUGGAGUUUAUUAAAAAAAAAAAAGGAGGUGCGUUCUUAGCCUUUUAUAUGGGGGUUAGUGUUGCUAAAGUUAGAGAAAAACCUUAGUUGGGGGGAGAAUAUAGUUUGACAUACUAUAACUGGAAACUAAGCACCUUCACACUUAGAUUUUUGUGGAAAAUUAAGAGUUGGUCCUUUGGGAGUAGAAAUUAUUUUGAUACUCAAAUUUGCAUAAUGCCCACUCUUUGUAUGUUGUGAUAGGUAAGUUAUUUGAUGACUCUUGUUGAUGAUUGAGUUUUAUAUCCUUGACUUACCAUGUGAGAGUUUGAUCCAAUCAUGCGACUUGAUUAUUUUUAGGAGUGAUCAGCAUGAUUUUGUAAAUUAUUAUAUCAUCUAUUUUUCUUUCUUUCUUUUUCUCUCCUUCAUUGCUCAGGGACUAGCAAUGUGUCAGUUGGGGGGAGUGAUUACUACCCAAAAAGUGCUAUUUUGCGCUUUUAAUUCAUUAUGUUUUAAGCACUUUUGUUUAGUAGUUCUCCAUUUUCAUUCCAAUUGGCAUGUUAAGGACCUACCAAUGACUUCUAAUCAUAUUUGUGGCUAGUUUUAGUGUUUUGACAGCUUUUUGGAUCAUUAAGACAAUCCAAGUAAAGGAGAGAAGCAAAGAGGAAAACAAAGUGAAGAAAAUAGAGAACAGCAGCUGCAGUCUUCCUUCGCAUUUUUGGAGCACUUCCCGAAGUCCAUUUUCUACAUGCUAUAUACCAUUUCAAAGCUCAGGAAGUCAAGAAUCCAACGCUUCAAACCGUGUAUGAUUUGAAGCUGAAAUGAGGAAGAUAUGGCCUUCGGUAGACAACUGCAUCAAGCAAGUGCGAAUUUCGUACAGCAGCCCAAGCAAGUGCAAAUUUCGCACCACCAGCCAUGCAAGUGCGAAUUUCGCACCAGCCCAUGCGUCUUUGGUGCGAAAUCUCCUCUGUUCUGCCAACUCCACAUGAAAUCUUUUCUUUUGAGGACAAUGCUCAGUUAGGUUGGGGGGUAUGAGGAAGGAAGUAUUCUAAAUCUUUUUGGUAUUGCAAUUAUAUUGGUUAAUUAGUUGUAGUUUUUACUUUUUACUCUUGUUACUCUAUUCUCCAUGAAUUUUGAGGAAAAUUUUCAAAUUAAACCAAGAGAAAUUGAACUGUUGCUUUUUCACUUGACUUAGAGUAUGGAUUAUGCUUACUAAAGUGGUUCAAUUGUUGAAACUUCUACUGAAAUUAAAUUGAGUUCUUCCACUUUAAGCUAUUCACACACUGUGCACAUUAGUUUCCGAUUAUAAGAUGAAAAGCUAUUUCCCUCUUGACUUAGGAUAAUUUUGGGACUUGGUAUAUUUGACCUCAUUUGAUAAAAAUUGAAACACCCUGCAAAAGGCCAAUGAGCCUUUGAAAUAAAGAAAGUUGUUUGCUUGCCUUGAAACCCGAGCAAGGUCUGAGGGGUAUAUGGUGAAAACCUUUAAAGCCUGGUGCCCUAAGCCUUAAUUGGUUGGGAGUCACCGACCUCAAUGCUCGUUAUAAGGGUGAAUAGGUAGAGUUAGCAUAUGGUAGAUGCUUGGGUAUUAGAAUCUCAUUCUUAAAAGUCCGGGGAAAAAUCCGAGGAGUUAGUGGUUGAAAGAUCCUUAAAACUUGGUGCCCUAAACCUUAAUUGGUUGGGAGUCAUCGAUGGACCCCCAUUACAUGGACAAGUCAGAAAGAGUACCCCAUAAAGCUACCUUGAAAAAAAAAAAAAAAAAAAAGGUGUUUUCUUUUCUUAUUGAUUUUGGUCAGUUUGCUAAAGUGUUGAAAAGAGAUAGGUUGGGGGGAGAGACUAGUUUAGCAUAUUAUUCUCGGAAGCUAAGGAACCAAUACACAUAGAUUUUUGUGGAAGAUUAAAGUUUGGUUCUUAGAAAGGAGAAAUGAUUUUAAAACUUCAGUUUGCAUAAUGCACUCCCUUGAUUGACAGUGUUUAACAUAGGUGUUAUGACUCUUGUUGAGAUUUGGGUUUGUAUUUCUUUAAUGAUUCAUGUGAGAAUUAGAUCAUCAUGCCACUUGAGAAUUAUUUUCCUUUAGCAUGAUGUUUUAAAUUUUAGAUUAGUUUGUUAUUUAUUUUCUUUUUUCUCUCCUUUAUUGCUAAGGGACUAGCAAUAUGUCGGUUGGGGGGAGUGAUUAUUACUCAAAAAGUGCUAUUUGAUAGCCUAUAAUUAAUCCUUUUAAACACUUUUGAGUAGUAGUUUGGGCCUUUUAACUCAAUUGGCAUGUUAAGGAUCCUUUAAAGCAAUUUUGAUCACUUUGUGUAAGUUUUGGUGUUUUUGUUAGUAUUUUGAUCACCAAAGCAAGUCAAGAAUGAGGAGAGCUAUGAGGAAUCUUGGGCAAAGCUUAGAAUUCAUUUGCCAAGAGUGAAUCCGGAUUGCAAGGAGAAAAAGCAAAGAGAAUCUGCCAUAAAGCCUAUUCUUGAUGACAGUCGUAGCAGCCACUUUUGGAGCACUUUUUGAAGUCCAAAUGAUGCAUUCUAUAUACCAUUUCAAAGCUCAGGAAGUCAACAAUCCAAUGCUUCAAAUGGUGUGCAAUUCGAGUUGAAACGAAAAAGUUGUAUCCAUUACAAGCCAGUCACUCCGAGCUGAAGGAAGCAUUUUGCAAAGUGUUGCGAAAUCACCCUUUUGUUGCGAAGUGAUUUCGCGGCACUUUUGUACAGUAAAGUGUUUCUCCUUCUGACGAUACACGAACCAUGCCGCGAGAAGGGAGCUGGGAACCUCAAGGUGGAAGCCAACUUCGCAACCCUGUGAAGAUAGCUCGGUGUUGCGAAAUAAUUUCGCAGCCCUCUUGGGUGUCUGCGAAAUUUCGCAGACACCAUUUUACUCCUGCGAAAUGGUUCCUGAAGCCUUCCGAAGCUUGCUACCGACAUUGGGAGAUAUUUUCCAUUAGAUUUUUGUUGUCUAAAUCCCAAAAUACUCCUUGUAAACCACCAAUUACAUGAUUCCUUAGUUUUUAAGUUAGUAAAAAGACUAAAUAUCUUUGUAACAAUUAGUUUUAUAUUGGUUUGAUAUAUAUACCUCUCGGGAGCCUGUUCUCAGAGAGGAGUUCCUUCUGUAAAAGUUUGGUAAGCAAGUAAAGGUCUUUUCUUUCUACUGCCUUACCUUCUCACUUUGUAUUUUCAUUUUAUUUCUAAGUUAUGAAUUCUCUGAGGAAUUUUCCCUAGAGAAUGAGUAACUAAACUUCUAAUUCCUUGGAGCUAAUGUUGCCAGGGAAGGUUCCAAGUGCAAGAAUGCAAAGCUCUGUGGUUUUAGCUAGUAAUGAAGAGGAAGUGAAAUCCUUUGGUGAUUUCUAUGUUUUUAGUUAACUUAAAACACCUUAGAGUCACCUGGGCCAACACUUGGUAAGGCAAGUGAUUUCCAACCAUGGAAAUGCACUAGUUUACCCCUUGCGAGCCUUUGGGAUGUGACUUUAGGGUAGGAUUUUCUAGAAUAGCCAACACUUGAUAAGCUUUUGGACUCCUAGGAGACAUCCAUUAGUUAUCUCUUGCGAGCUUUUGACGGGUAAUCCAAGGUUAAAGAUCACCUUGAAUGGCUAAGGCUUAGUGAGAGGCUUAAACCAUUGCAAGUUGCAUCAGUGAGAGAAUUAAAGUGAAAUCUAAUUGAAGGAGCAUCUGUACAACACCGGUUAGAGAAUUAACUAUAUGUUAAUUCUCUAAUGCGAGGAAAAGAAGCAAGUGACCGAAACUCUCCUUUUUGUGUGAGGAAUCUGAGCCUAGUAAUCUGAAACUCCAAGAAACACUUUUCUUCAUAAGUAAUUCCCAUUACUUUCUUUUUAGUUAGUUUAAAACCGAAUCUUUUUUUUCAUUCAAACAUCUUUAUGUUUUCUUUUAAAGCUAACCUUGAAAUGAAAAGGCACCAAUUCAACUUUGAAUUAAUAUCAUUUGUGAAGUGAAAACCCAUCCCAGUGAACGAUCCUAGAGCCACUAUGCUAUAGUAGCUUUGUCUUUGCUACCCUAGUAUAUGGUGUAAUAGGUUAUAAAAUUUUGUUGAUUACUCCCUCAAUCAAGGAGCACCAGUUCGACACGAAUCAGCUGAGACACCAAUUAGGCACGAAUCAAAUGGCGCCGUUGCCGGGGAUCGAACCCCGAAUCAGAUGGUGCCAUUGCCACUGCCACUGCUAGGGACGAAUCAUGAGACAUUGUGGAAAUGUCACCAUGACAACCUGUUUACUAUGUGAUGAGAAGUUUAGAACUUUCCUUAGCAUUUUCCAUACCCUAAAAGUUUAAUUUGGUUAUUGGUGUUUGAAAUUUCAAUCUUCUUAAAUUAAUUAAUAUCAAGUCAAUUUUGAAAAAUGUCUCAAAAAUAAGGGAUACCAUGCUAAAAUUUCUAUAGAAAUAUUAACCUAAUAACAUGUUAUUACAAUUUCCCUUGAUUAAAAUUAAGCUUAGAAAUUUCCUUGGUAGCUUCCAUGCACUAAAAUUUAAUUUUCAUAUUAACAUGUUGAAAUUCUAAUGUUCUUAAAUUAAUUAAUUACAAGUCAAAACUAGGAAAUGUCUUAAAAUAAGGGAGAUUAUGUCAAAAGUCUUAUAGAAUUUUUAACUUAGCCAUUUGUUAUUAUAACUUUCUUUACUUAAAAUUAAGUUAAUUUGAGAUUAUUGAUACUUGUAAAGUAUUAUUAUGUAUAUAUAUGCUCGAUUUUUGUUUCAACUUUUAUGUUUAUUGUGUGAUGUCAAGUUUGGACUCUUCCUAGGUAUUAUCCUUGAAAUAAAUUUUAGUUUGGUUAUUGAUAAUUUUAAAUUUCUUUGUUAUUAAAUUGAUUAUAUAGUAUAUAAAAUUUUAGAAAAGGUUAAGAAAUAAAUAAGGUUUUCUACAUUCUUAAAUCAAAAACAUUGUAGGUAAAAUUUGGGAAAUGACUAAAAAAAUAUAAGGGUUUAUACAAAAACUUAAAUAAUAUAACUUUUUUUUAUAACUUUCCUUGCAUAAGAUUAAAUUGGGAUUCUUUGCUUUUGAAGCGUUAUCUUUUAGUAUGUAUACUAGAUUCUCAUUUAAAUUUUAAUAUUAUCCUUCGGUACUUAAACUAACAUUUAGUGUUGGUAUUGACCAAUCUGAAAUUUUAAUUUUAUCACAUUGAGUGUAUAACUAAUAAAAUUUUGGAAAUGACUAAGAAAUAAAAGGGACUAUGCUGAAAUUUUAUAGGAAUUUUCAUUUUCUAAUUUGCUAUAGUUAUGACUACUUUUCUUGCUUAAAAUUAAUUUUGGGUUUAUGACUCCUUCCAAAGUGUUACAAUGUUAGCAUAUAAAUAUUGUAUUCUUGUUUGAAACUUUAUUCUAUUUAUGGUGUAAUGAAAAUUUUAGGCCCUUAGAAAUUUCCUUGCACACUAAACUUUAAUUAGUCAUUGACUAAUUUGAGAUUUCAAUGGCAAAUUGAUUAUGUAGUUGAUAAAAACUAAAAAAAAAAUGUCUAAAAAAUAUGAGAGAUCAUACCAAAAUUUUGAUAGAAAUUUUAAUUUAUUAAACUAUCUUAUUUGGUUCUUUUUUAUUUUUGUUUUGUUUCAUUUUUCAUUUUUUAUCUUUAUUUUUUGCAUUUAUAGGAGAAAAUGUUGGAGCUCCAACGCCAACCAAUAGUAGAUGGAGCUAUGGCCAUGACUAAGGUAGAAAUUUGUGAGAAUGUUUUAGGGCAAUGAUCAAGAUAUGUUAACAGCCUUGGUUUUGGCCCUAAACCAACUUCUGCUUUCAAAUCUAGACAAUUAUCUUCUCAAUGCGAGGUAGAGUUAGAGUAUAGACUUUCUAAGACUCAAGCGCUUGUGGAAGCUCAACAACAACAGCUUGAUACCCAACAAGAGCAAAUUGACCACUUGAAGGCCUUAUUGCAGCAACGAGAUCAAUAACAUCAACAACAAUUUGAAGAAAUCUUGUGUCAUCUAAGAUCAAGCCAAGGGUCCUUAUGAUGUCUCCUUUAUGUUACACAUUUGAUGGAUCCUCAUCCUUCUUUACUCAUGUUGACUAGUUUUGUAACUAAGAUUUUAUUAAACUAAUACUUUGUUUUAUUAUGUAGUUAUAACAUAUAUAUUUUGAUGUUAUGAUCACUAAGUAUGGUUUGUUUUAUAUUAUCAAUGAAAUUAUGUAGUAUAUAUUUUUAUUUUUGAAAGCAUGUUUUAAAAUGAAAAUUUUCAUUAUAUUAUUUUCAUCAAGUUUAGAUGGCAACAAAAAAAUAUAUAAUUAUAAUAUGAAAAAUAAAAAUUGUAAAUAUCUUUCCUGAUGAAAGAAUUUAAUCCCUAAAGAUAUUUCUCGAUGAAAUUUUUUUGUUACAAUAGAUUUUCAUAUCAGCUAUAACAAAUUUAUAAUUCAUCAACAAUAUGUUUUAGGGACAAAAUUAUUUUGUUAGUAAAAAGAUUUGUUAACAAAAUAAAUUUGUUAGCAAAGACUUUUGGGUAAAAUUUUGUCUUGUUCAUUGCUAAAAAAAACGUAAUUUUGUCUUGUUCAUUGAUAAAGAAACGUAAUUUUUCCAACAAAAUAUUUCAUUAGGAAAAAUCUUCAAUAACAAAUUUUUAUUUUAUCUAGGAAAAAUUUUUGUUACGAAAUGAGACUUUUGUUGGGAGUAAUAAUGAGCAUAGGGAGACGAAAUUAUUUUGUUAGAAAAAAUAUUUAUCAACAAAAAUAAUUUCGUCAUUAUUAAUUAUUGACAACUUUUGAGACAAAUUUUGUAUUUUUAGAGAUAAAAAAUAUUACUUUUACUGAUGAAAUAUUUUGUUGGGAAAAACCUUCAAUGACGAAAUUUUAUUUUAUCAAGAAAAACUUUGGGCGAUGAAGUGGGGAAUUUCGUUAGGAUACUUUGAGCGAUGGGUCUAGGGUGACGAAGAUGACACAAAAUAGUUUUUGUUGGGAAACGUUUUUAUAAACAAAAUUAAAACUUUUAGUGACAAAAUAUUUUAUAACUAAAAGCCUAUUUUCUUGUAGUGAGAGUUACCUUUUUCCUCUAAUUCUUAGUUUUAGCAUUGUCAUAUCAAUGUGUCUACUAUUUUCCCUUCUUCUCUUUACUUGUACUUUCCCCACCCACUUCCCAUACUACUCUUGAGUCUCUUUCUCCAGGCUCUUCCUUGAUUGAUCGUGGUGCAAGCCAGGUUUCCCCAAUUUCCACUACAUAUUCACCUUGUCUUCCUACUUCCUAUGUAUCUUCUAGCCUAGCUUUCCCCUCUCACACCCCAUUUUUUCUUACAAAUUCUCUCUCGCUUCCUCCAUCCCUUGUGUCAUCAAGUUUUCAUCUAAUUCCCAUCCUAUGCAAACUCGUUCCAAGUCAAGCAUAUUUAAACCCAAACUUUCCUAUCUCACUACCCCUUCAUGUUUUUUCCUUUUCACCUAAACCUUCUUAUUUUUCCAAGGUCUUAUCUAAUCCUCUAUGGAAGCAAGCUAUCUAGUUAGAAUUUGAUGCCUUAACUUAGAACCAAACUUGGUCUCUUGUUCCUUAACCUCCUCAAAAGAAAGUCAUUGGGAGUAAGUGGGUUUUUAAGUUGAAGCUUAAUCCAGAUGGUUCUAUCAAGUGCCACAAGGCAAGGCUUAUGGCAAAGGGGUUUCAUCAAACACCUAGGGUUGACUUCUCUACCACUUUUGGCUCUAUCAUCAAGCCUUCUACCAUUCGCAUUAUCUUAAGCCUUGUUAUUACUUGUGGUUGGGACAUUUAACAAUUGGAUGUCAACAAUGUUUUCCUUCAUGAGUGUCUCUAUAAGUAUGUUUUUAUGCAAUCUGAAGGGUUUGUUGAUGUCACCAAGCCCACCCAUGUUUGUCAACUUCAGAAAGCCUUAUAUGGCCUUAAACAGGCCCUAAUGCUUGGUAUGAAUGAUUGUGGAAUUGUCUUCUUCUAUUUGGUUUUCGAAACUCCCAAGCUAGCACAUCUUUGUUCAUUCUUCACAAGGACUCUUUUUUGUUUAUGUUAAUAACAUUCUUGUCAUUAGCAAUCAUCCCUCUGUCAUCAACACCUUCAUUGAUCAUCUAUGUCAACAGUUCUCUUUGAAAUGGUUUGGCUCCCUCCAUUAUUUUCUUAGUAUCCAAGCUCUUUAAACAUCUUCUGACCUUCAGUUAUGUCAAUCCUGAUACAUCCAUGAUCUGUAGCAAUGCACUAAAAUGUUUGGUGCCAAGCUUACUUCCACUCCAGCCAGCCCCAAAUAGAAAUUGAGUUAUACUAAUAGGGCUACUUUUGAUAAUCCUACUAUUUAUCAUAGUACAAUCGGUGCUCUCCAAUAUGUCACCAUCACCAAGCCUAAACUUUCCUAUAUUGUCAAUAAACUUAAUCAAUAUCUCCAACAACUUACUUUGUUCCACUGGCAAGCUUUCAAACGUGUAUUGCAUUAUCUGAAAGGCACUUCCACUUUUGGUUUCUUCUUUCACCCAACUCCUUCUCUUGAUCUCAUUACCUAUUAAAUGCUGAUUAGGGGAGUGAUACUAAUGAUCAACGUUUCAUUGGUGGCUACUCCAUAUUUUUUUUGUGCUAAUUUGAUUUCAUGGGCUUCCAAAAACCAAAGUGUUGUAGCUUGUUCAAGCAUUGCUUCUGAAUAUAGAGCUUUAGCUCAAAUAAUAGUAAAAGUCACUUAGUUGCGAGCCUUGUUACAUGAGUUGGGCAUAUCACUGCCACAAAGUGUAGUUGUCUGGUGUGACAAUCUUGGAGCAACAACUCUAGUUGAGAAUCUCAUGCAUCAUUAUCGGACAAAACAUAUAGAGAUUAAUGUCCACUUCAAUAGGAAAAUGUGGCUCAUAAAGAACUUGAGGUGAUAUUUGUACUCAUUAUUAAUUAGAUUGUUGAUGUGCUCACAAAACCAAUUUCACAAACUUGAUUUAAAAUACUAAGGUCAAAGCAUAUUGUGUGUGAUUGACAGUUGAGCUUAUGGGGAAAUGUUAAGAAUAAUUCUAGAAGCUUCUCUUAGCCUCACAUGUAAAGCACCAGCUCACCAGUUCCAUGCCAAAUGCAAUUACAACAGAAAAAAUUGGGUUGCACACUCUCAUAUACAAAUAUAUGUAAAAGAAAUAAAAGGUUUAUUCUGGGCAUUAUUUUUUUCAUUUUGUCCUUCUCUACACACUACUUUCUGUUUUCUCUCUCAAAAACUCUUCUUUUUUUUAUCUUUUUUUUUUUUUAAUUCAAUCAAACAUUCAUCUUGUAAUUGGAAGUUACCAAUUGCCAAAUUCCUAUUCAAAGUAGUGGAACAAAAUUGUAUGAUCUUUAAAUCUCAAAUUUAAAGCUAACACACCAACUGAAGUGUUAUUAUCCAAACAACUUCAAACUUAAACAAUUCAAAAAGUCAUUAAAUUCUAACAUUUAAACAAUGCCCAAAAAAUAAGGUUUAAACCAAAAGUCUUAAUAAUGUCAAAAUAUCAUCCUAACCAUCAUUCUUCGCCUUAAUUGAAAGUGUCGAAAAAAUUGUUAGCGAAAGAGAAUGAGCUCAAAGCCUAAUAAGGAAUGUUAAUACAGUUUCAUGGAUAAAAUAUUUUCAAUUAUGAUUGUUAAUAGGAGAUAUAAUAUAUAAUCAUUUUUGUAAAAAAAAUUUAGUUCAAACAUGCUAAUACAUUCAAAACUUCUCAACCAAACAUUUUCAUAUUUAUGUCAAAACAAUUUCAUAUCAAUUCCAAAAUAAAUGCAUUCAAAAUAUUUUUACUUUGGUUAUAAUCAGAUAUCAAAUGAUGCACAGUUAGGUAGGACUUUACAAAUUGGUGACUAGCCUCACAUUUGUUCCUUUUAAUGGGUGGCUAGUAACCUCUAACCAAACCCAUAGAGGCUAAGGUCCAAAUCAAUUAUAUUAUCCACCACAAAAUGUAAAGGUUAACUAUAAUAUCUCGUUGACAAUGGUCAAAAAGUCAACUUUUCUAUCUUAUUAACUAGGACAAAAAGGUCAACUAUUACACCCAUUUGACUAUGGUGAAAUAAACUAGAGCCAAAUACUUUAUUUUAUUUAUUCAAACUUACAAAAACAUAUGUUUUUUUUUUCAAAAUUUGCAUUAAUUUCCCUUAUCUCAAAGAAGCACUCAAAGACCUUAAAGAAUUUCAUCCUAAAGAACCUAUUUCACACCUAACAAAAAUAAAUAAAUAAAUAAAUAACUAUAUAUUACUAUUGAUUAUUUAUCUAAAUUUAUAGGUUUGAGAAUCCUAAUAAUUUCUUAUGUUAUAUCACCUAUAUUAUUUUUAACUUCCUAAUCAAUAAAAAUUUAAUAAGUGAGUUUCCAAAGUUUUUUAAAAGUUGUGUUCUUUCCAAAAGUUUGUUUCUAAAAAUCUUCCAUGUUUACUUAUUUGCUUAAACUAAAUUUCCCCAAAACUUAUUCCUUCUAGUGAAACAAAUAUCUUUUCCUAUUAUUAUUGCUAUCGUAUUUUAUUGUCUUUCUAAACAUUUUAGAAUCACAAACAUCUUAAGCAUUUUGGAUGUAAAACACAACUAAUUCUAAAUUUCUUUCCAUUAUAUAUAUAUAUAUAUAUAUAUAUAUAUAUAUAUAUAUAUAUACAAAACAUGGAAUUUGCCUUCUUUUUUAUUUUUUGUCUUUGGCACAUAGUACCAUUCUAACUUACCCUUUCUACAAUCACAAGCAAUGUCAUUUUUUUCCCUCCACAAAGUCAAUAUCAAAGCAUUUUUCUUUUUCUUUUUUUCUUUUUUUUUUGUCACACUCUAUUGCAAGCAAACUUGUGAUUUUUUUUUCCCACUAUGGAGGCAUGUACUACCACAAAACCUUUUUUUUCUUUUUUCUUUUUUCUUUUUUCUUAUUUUCAACUCUCAAAACCCUCAACCUCCAUACUCAUGGGUAUUAUUUAUUUAUUUAUUUAUUAUUUUUCACAUCUGAAAUUAUAAUUUUUUCUAUUUAUUUAUUUAUUUAACUAGAACUAUUCAUUUGAAUAAUACAAAAUUUUCAAUCUCCAUUAAUAAAUCGAACUAUGUUAAUAAAUUCUCAAUCUUUCUAAAAAUUAAUUUAACAAACCCUAAUUUAGAUUGAGAUCUUCUAAAGAAUAUCUAAAAUAUCCAAAACUAAUUAACAAAUAUAAAAUACUAAUCUAAGGGUUAAAAUCUUACCUAGAAAAUUAAUCUUCAAAUCCUAAACCCCAAAAUCUUCAACCCUACAUUGCCCUACAUUCUCCAAUCUCUCUGAUCUCCAUGUAAAAGGGUUUUUUUUUAAUAAAGAGAACAAGAAAAACAUAAUUUAUAUCUAGGGCUUUUAAGCACAAAAUGACCUUUCUACCCUUAUUAAAUUAAUUUUAUUUAUUUAUUUAUUUUUAAAUUACGUUUUUUACCCUUAAAUUGGGUUUGGCGCCACACAAGACCACUUUUAAUUGAAUAAUUGAUUGAUCAAUUCAUUUUCCUAUGUACUUUAUGUUGAUGGCAUCAUUACCCCCGACCAUGAACUUCAAAAAAUUAAAAGAACAAAAUAUGUAGUUGUACUAUAGCCAUAUGCAUUUUAGUUACCACAAUAAUGUACAUUCAAUUUGUGUUUAUAUAAAUAGGGAGAAUUGUGCAUUCAGGUGAGAUGGACUUGAAAAUUGACCCAAUAUCCUCAUAUUGCUCAUAAUUAAUGAUAAGGAUAAGAAAUGGUGAUAGACAAAAAUACUCAUUUGACUUAUCACAUGCUCAUGCUAGUGUUUGUAGGAUCCAUCAUUUAUAAGGAUGGUAAUGAGGUGGGUUUUUUUGGAUACCCGCCCCACCCCGCCCCUAAUAGAAUGGGUUUCAAUUUUAAUUAAACGGGUUUGGGACAGGUUUGGGAAUUUUUUUAAAACUUGGGGCGGGUUUGGAUAUUGCCUUGUCACAUCCCGUCCCGUCCCACCCCACCUCACCUCAAUUAUAUAUAAAUUAAUUUUGGGUUAUUUGGUUAAAGAGGUCAAAAUAACCCUCAUAUUUGCAAAUAUAUCCCAUCGGUUAAAAAGCAAAACAAAAUUGUUGAUUGAGACAAAAAUGCCCUUCUUCUUUUUUCUCUCCAACACUUACAAUUUCUCAUCUUUUACUUCAUUUACAGAAUGACUUUUCAUAUUUUCCAAAAAAAUUCUCUCAUCAUCAUCUUCUACUUCAUUAUCUUCCUUUGGUGCACAAAACGGAAAGCUCAUUUCCUCUUCCGCUUCAUUUACAAAACGAGUCCUCAUCUUUCAUCAUCUUCUUCUAUUUCAUUAUCUUCAUUUGAUGCACAAAAUGAAAAUCUCAUCUUUCCUUCAAAAACCCUAGAAAAUUUCUCGUUUAUCCUCUCAUCCUCUAUUUCAUUCUAAAUCCUUGGAAAAAUUGUUAUUCUACUUUUUUCAAGUUAUCUCAUAUUGUAUCUUCAAGCACGAAGGAAACAACGAGUUCAUUGAAGAGUGAUAAGAGAAAAAGAUUAAAAAAAAGUGGCGAAAAAGCAAAAAUGUCAAUUGCAAACAGAAGAAAAAAGUGAAGCAAAGGAAAGCGAAGCUACUAAACAAAAAUCCCAAUUACCAACAGAAGAGGCAAGGGAUUCUACUAAACCGGUGAGUGUAGUCUUCACAUUUGAUAAAUUAUUGAAAUUUUUGGAGAUGUUAUACAAUUAUAUUUGAGUAUGGUUAAGUUUAUUAGUUAAAUGUUUUUAGAAAUUUAGGAUUUAUUGAAUUGUAUUCAAAGUAUAAAAUUGUUAUAUUUAUAAAAAAAAAAUGUAGUUAUCCAUUGUUACCAAUUAUGUAUUUGAGUGAAUAAAUUUAGGUUUGUUAGAUGAUGUUUGAAAAUAUUUGGGAACUAUUACAGUGUGUUGAAAAAUAAUAAAUUGCAUAUUAAUAUUGUUUUAGUUUUCUGUAUUAUUAUCAAUCAUGUGUUUAGAGUGAAUUAGAUAUAUUCAAUGUAAUACCAUCUAAUUAGGGAUAAGUUUGCAGAGAAUUCAUGAAAUUUUAGGGAUUUUUAGAAAUUUUAGGGGUAUUAUACAAUGGUAUUUGAGUAGGUCUAUGUUCUUUACUUGAUACUUUUGAAAUUUUGGGAACUAUUGAAUUGAUUUCAAAAUAACAUAUGGUAUAUUUAUAAUUUUUGUAGUUAUAUAUUGUUGUCAAUUAUGUAUGUAGAGUGAAUAAAAAAUAUAUAAUGAUUUCAUGCAAUAACAUGUGAUUAAGGAUAAGUUUUUAAAGAAUUUAUGAAAUUUUAGGAUUUUUGAACUUUUUAGGGAUGUUAUGUAAUGACAUUUGAGUAGUGUUAAAUUUGUUAGUUAAUAAUGUUUUUAAAAUUUUGGGAACUACUAGAGUGUGUUAAUCAGUUAUUGUAUAAUAGUUAUAAUUUUGUAUUAAAUCUUUACUAACUUAAUUUUAUUUAAUUUGUAGACUACUACUUCCCCGACAUGUUUUAAAGUUAAAAUACCUAUAAAAGAGCACUUCCCAUCAAAUGAUGCAUGUCUAUCACACCUGAGUGUAAUAGAAAAUAUUAAAAAGAAGCUCAAUAAGGAAGAAUUGGAGAGGUUCAAGUAUUCUUGCUUUGGACAUUUUUUGCUUAUGCCAAAACUUAAAUUUUCAGCUCAAAUUGUGCACCACAUGUUAUUACGUCAAUGUCUUAUAAAGAAGGAUGAUGAAAUGUGGUUUUUAGUAAAUUCAAAGGGAUUAAGAUUUGGUGAAAAUGAGUUUAGAUUAAUCAUUGGUUUAAGUUUUGGUCCCAUUCCUCAGCAUAAUGAAACAUCAAUGAGAAUAAGGGAUGUUUACUUUAAUAGUGAAAACAAAGUGUGUAAUGAUCAUUUGGAGAAAGUUUUUCUUUCUUUUGGUGAAGUGAAAACAAAAAAAUAAAACGCAAAAGAAAAAUGUUGAUAAUCUUAAAGAUGAAGACAUGGUGAAAUUAGCCUUAUUGUACUUUCUUGAUCAUGUUCUACUUGGGAAAGAAGGGAAAAAUUUAAUAGAUAUGCAAUGGGUUGGUCUUGUUGAUUGUUUGGAAGUUUUUAAUAAGUAUCCAUGGGGUGGGAUUUUUUAUGAAAGAACAAUUUAUGGGCUACAACGAGCCUUGGAGAACAGGGUGUCAAAAUACCAAGGUAAAAAGCAACAAAAGGGUAAUAUAGCACAUGAGGCAUAUAGUCUAGUUGGAUUUCCGUGUCUUCCAAGUUUGGGUGUAUGAGACUAUUUCGAUUAUCGGAAUGAAAUAUACUAAUCAUUUAGCUAAGAGUUGCCCACAGAUUUUAAAUUGGAGUGCUACUUCCACACCGAGGUUCACUGAGCUCCAACAAAUCUUUUUUGACUCCAAUGUGAGUAAUUUUUUUACCAUAUAUUUUGAUAGUGUUGUCACUUACAUAUUUGUAUAUGUCUAUGUUUGUUAAUUAAAUUACUUAACUUGACUUCAAUAGUUAUCUUUGUGUUCGCUGCUUAAACCUACUCUGGAGGAAUGUCAACAAGAUUAUUACAAGUAUUUGAAUAAGUUAGGAUCAGUAAAUGGUGUUCUUCCAAAAAAAUUUACGCCAACCAACAACCCCAGAACAUGAUACUAUGGGUGACCUAAAAGAUAAAGAUCACCCAGUUGAAGCUAAUGCAUAUGCUGCUACUGCUGUUACAAUGGAAAACAAGAAGAAAAAUUAUUAUUCUAUCCCACCUUCAAUUGAGGUAACUUCACUAUCAUACAUUCAUCUAUAAAUGUCAUUUUUAAUGUUUCAAUUGUAAUACAAAGUUCAAACAAAAAUUCAAAUGGAAAACUUAACCUCGGUUAAGUUAAUUAUCAAUGAAACUUACCCAUAGUCAAAUGAAGGUUACUUUGAUAAACAAAACAUAACUAUCAUAAGUACACAUCAAUUUUUUUAAAUUAUGACUAUAAUUUUUGUAUACUAUGAUGUAUGAGGAAUUAAAGUUUCAUUUGUUUAUAACAUGUGUAGAAUCUAUGGAUAGAGUUUAUGAAGCAUAUAGAAAAGUCUGAAUCAAAUUUCAAUUAUUUGAAUAAAGAACUAAAGGAAUUGAAUAGAAGAUUGACAACUUAAGACAACUUUUAUUGGAUGUUAGUGAUAUAUUUAUUGAAUUUUAUAUUUUAUUCAAUCAAAUUAUGUAUUUUAUUUAUAUAUUACUACUAUCUUAUUGUAUGGUACAUAUCUUAUUUUAGGUGAAGAGGGAAAAUGAGUCAUGUGCUACAGAUAAUACAAAAUUUUCAAAAUUUGGUACAAAAGGAAAAGAUAUUGGUAUGGAUUUUAAUUCAUGGGAUGACAAGUUUGAGAGUGUGAUAGAAGAUAAGGAGGAUGAGAACCAUGACCAUAUAGAUGUGAAGACUAAUACAAAAGAAAUAACAGAUAUUGUAGCUGCAGAAAAACACAUAAUAGGGAUGGAGAAAGAUGAUGAUAUGAUUUUUAAUCUAAUUGUUGAUAUUGCCAAAUUAUUUGAUACCCCUACCGUAUCAGGCAACUUUUUAGUUUUUGUAUUUCCAAAGCAACCUUAGAAAAAUUUGGAGUAAUGAGGGAGCAAAUGAAGAAUGAAAUCAGAGGUGGAUGAAAUGGAUGCAAAAUGGGAUAUUUAUAGGAAAAUUUUGGGCCAAAAUAGCCAUUGGAAGAUGAUUUUACCAUUGAAAAACAAUUUUGGCUGUUGGAUCAAAAUCUGGGCGAAAUCUGACGGUUGGAUCGUGAUUUUAGUUAGAAUUAGAUUCAACUAGUUAACUUAGCUUAAUUAUUUAAGUAAUUUAAUUAACAUGAACUAGUAUAUUUGAAAUAUCAAAUAUAUUCAUUUUUUAUUAUUAUUGUGAUUUAUUUUCACAUUCAAUUAUAGUUAAUUUCUAUAUUUAGUAAAUUUUUUCAUAGAAUUAGAUUUAGAUUCAAAAAAUUAACUUAUCUUAACUAUUUAAUUAAUUUAAUUAACAUAAGCUAGUAAAUUUGGAAUAUCAAAUAUGUUCAUUUUUUAUGAUUACUAUAUUUAUUUUCACAUUCAAUUAUAGUUAGUUUUUAUAUUUAGUAAAUUUUUCAUAAAAUUAAAUUUAGAUUCAAAAAAUUAACUUAGCUUAAUUAUUUAAUUAACCUGAACUAGUAUAUUUGGAAUAUCAAAUAAGUUCAUUUUUUAUGAUUAUUGUAUUUAUUUUCACAUUCAAUUAUAGUUGGUUUCUAUAUUUAGUAAAUUUUUCAUAUAAUUACAUUUAAAUUCAAAACAUUAACUUAGCUUAAUUAUUUAAUUAAUUUAAUUAAUCUGAACUAGUAUAUUUGGAAUAUCAAAUAUGUUCAUUUUUUAUGAUUAUUGUGAUUUAUUUUCACAUUCAAUUAUAGUUAAUUUCUAUAUUUAGUAAAUUUUUUUAUAGAAUUAGAUUUAGAUUCAAAAAAUUAACCUAGCUAAUGAUUAUGUUUUCACAUUCAAUUAUAAUUAAUUAGUAUAUUUUGUAGAUUUCUCAUAGAUUUAGAUUUAGUAAACUAACUUAGCUAAAUUAUUUAAUUAAUUUAGCUAUUAGCAUAAAUUAGUAUAUUUUGAAUAUGCUCAUUUUACAUGAUUAUUUAAUUUUCUUUUCACAUUCCAUUGCAACAUGUUAAAUUUAAAUGUUUACUUAAUUUUUGUUUACAUUGAAAUCACUUUCAAGUAUAUGUUUUUUGAAAUAGAUUUAGCAUGGCUAGUGGAGGUGGUUCUCCCAUGCCAGGGCGAGAUCUAGCUUGGAAGUAUUAUUCACUAGUUGAGGGGAACAUAAAUAGGACAAUUUGUAAUUUAUGUGGGUUGUUGUUGAAAAGUGGAGGCAUCAUGCGAUUUAAGUUCCAUUUAACGUAUAACGACCCGCAUAACAACACCAAAAAGUGUCCAAGAGUGCCUCCCGAAGUGAAAGAAGAGAUAAGAUUGAUGGUGCACGACAAAAAUAAAGCAAAAGUAAAGAAAACUGCAGAUAUUCAAGAGAUUUGUGCUCAAUUACGUGGCACAAUGUGGGCUAGUGAUACACAUUUGAUAGACGAAGAUGUUGAAGAUGAAGUUGUAUAUAUGUAUUUGACAAAUAUGCACCCAAAUAAGCGGGAUGCAUAUCAAUCUGUAGUGUGUGCCUCGAAAGUGACAUAAUGGGAAUGUCAACAAUAUGAGAAUAUUAUAGGAAGCAAACGUAAAACGAGGGAGUCUUCACGGUCUACUGGUACACCAGACAAUGCAAAAAUCAGAAAGUAUGCGACAUUCGAACCAAUCACCCCCUGUUGCCCUUUCGUUCUACAAGUCUUCUACAGACAAAAAAAUAUUAAAGAUAUAUUGAAGGGUGGUUCAAUUCAAGAAACAAUGGGUUGUUUAAUUAGCAAAUUCUUCAUUUAUAAGAGCGUCGCAUCCCAAAAAGCAAAGUAUCAUCACUUCAAGAAUAUCAUUAUUGGUGCACAACAAGUAGGAAAUUACUAAUUUUUGAAUUGUUAUAUUGUUUUAGACUUUUAGUAAGUAUAGUAUUUUGUGACAUGUUUUAAAUAUUUGUUAUAUAUGAAUUGCAGGAAUGGGAAUCGAACCUUCAUCUCCAUACGAAAUAAAGAACAAGAACUUGGGAAUGGAGUAGAAAGAAAUGGAAGCUUAUGUGAACCAACAAAGAGAAAAAUGGAAGACAUAUGGGUGCACAAUAAUGUCAGAUGGAUGCAUAGGGCCCACAAAAUUAAGUAUUAUUAAUUUCAUAGUUUAUUCAAAAUGGACCACGGUGUUCCUUAAGUCAAUCGAUGCAUCGAACAAUAUCAAAGACCACAAGUAUAUAUACAAUCUAUUGAGGACUAUUAUCAAAGAAGGCGGUCAAGAAAUGGUGAUCCAAAUUGUCACAGAUAACGGGUCAGCGUUCGUGACAGCAGCUAAACUAUUGAUGAAGAAGUUUAACUUAUAUUGGAAUUUGUGUGCGGCGCACUACAUCGACUUAAUCUUUAAAGACAUUGGUAAAAAACCUAGUGUUACAGAUAUGAUAAACAAUGCUCGCAAGAUAACCAACUUCAUUUACAACCAUGGUUGGUUACUUGCACAAAUGAGAAAGUAUUGUGGUGGAGACAUUGUUCAACUAGGAAUUACAAGGUUUGCUACCAAUUAUAUUGCUAUUGACGGUCUUCUAAAAAAAAUGGCUGAUUUGAAAAAAAAAAUUAUUUAUGAGUGAUGAAUGGGCACAACACAAGCUCGGUUGGACAAAAACUAGACGAGAUUUGGAGCAAUUAUUGUUUGACAAUGCAUAUUGGGACAAAGUGGCAAAAAUAGUUUCAUUAUAUGAGCCGUUAUAUGUGGUGCUUCAACUUAUGAAUUCUGAAGUUGUUUCCACAAUGUCAUUUGUGUACGAGUUUAUGCUCGUGAUGAAAAAGAACCUUAUUCAUCAAGGAGCUAGAGAUUGGAUCUUCAAAAUAAUAAAAGAUCGUUAGAAGAAAACAUUAAAACAUCCACUUCAUGCAACAGGUACUUAAGUACUAUCUAUCUUUAUAAUUUUUUUUACUAUGUAUUUAAUUUUCUCUAACAAAAUACUAAAUCUACUUAAUUUUAUUGUAUCAUACUUCUUAAAUCCAAGAUUUCAAUAUAGGCAUGGAGUUGGUAGUAAUUCAGAACUACUUCAAGUGGUCCAUAAUGUUUUUGCAAAAUUAGACCCAACUACUGAAUCGUUUGGUCAAUUUGGAAGUAAGGUAAAUAAAAAAUAUUAUUUUUGUCAAUAAAACAAUAAUUUUAUUCAUCAAUUUAUUUGAACAUUUACUAACAAAUAUGAUAUUAACAAAUUAAAUGUUGAAUGCAUAGCUUGUAUUUUUUCAAGAUGCAAAAAGAGAAUUCGAUGAUCAAGCGGCGAUUGUACCAAGGUCAACCAUGGUGCCCGGUGAGUAUUUAUAGGAAAAAAUUGAUUAUCAUUAUUUUCAAUUCACCACAUAAGUAUUUAUAUAAUUAUCAAAUUGGUUGCAAAUAACUGGUGGUUCAUAUAUGGGAAUCAAACUCCUACAUUGAGAAAGUUAACCAUCAAAGUUCUCUCACAAACCGCGUCAUCUUUUGCCUGUGAGAGAAAUUGGAGCACAUUCACUCUCAUCCACACAAAGCAACAAAAUCGUUUGGCUUACCCUCAACUGGAGUAAUUAGUUUUUUGUUACUAUAAUAUGAGGCUAAAGUUACACAAUAUGGAGACAAAAAAUGAUCGAGUUGUUGAAAUAGAUUACCUUAAUCUUCUUGACAUUUCAACCGAGGUGGGUGAAGAAGAAGAUAAUCAGUUGUUCCAAUGGGUUAGGCCUAUACACUUGGAUGAUGAAGUUGGAAAUCCUGAUCCACGAAUUGCCGCUCAUGCUUGAGAAUUUGGAGUUAAUAUUGAACGUGUGUUAUCCGAUCAAGUUCACUUUAAAAGUUUUAGCAAAGAUACUGAUGAUUCAUUUUAGGCUACAUUGAAUUCCCACCAAGAGGUUGACUCCACAAGUGUUGGCCAUAGUAGUAGACCUAGUGCUAUAGGUACUUCUGCUUCUGGUUACGAUGGUUCAAGAGGUGGAAUUGAUGAUGGAGGUGAUAAUGCGAGAGGAGAUAUUUGGGAACGUCAACAAAGUCAAUAUCCAAUCAGCCAAUUUACAUGUGAAAAUGAUUUCACACACUAGACCCAGGAUGAAGACCAUGGCUCUAGAAGAGUUGGUUCAAGCAUAAGAGCUAUUGGGAAGCCCUAUAAAGGAAGAGAACGAACAGUGAAACCAUAUAGCGAGGAGUUACUUUCAGGUAGUUAUGAAUCUAUGAGUAUAGGGACUCAAUUUAAUGACUUCUCAAAUGAGGCUAACGUCUACCCUUCUCAUGUGAUGAGUUAUGGUCAAUCUUCAAGUUCAAUCGAUGAAGAGUAUGGUAUGUCACGUUGCUCCCCUUCCGCACAAAUUUCAUACCAAGUUCUAUAUCAAAUGGAAAGAGGAUUUGAAAUUAAAACAUGGGGAACCUUGAGUAUCCUAUCCAUGUAGAGGCAGUGGGCAAGACUCAAGAGAUAUAUGCAUGACAUGUUAGAAUUUUUAACUAAUAUUAUCGAGGCUCAUUGAGUUGGUACCAAUAUUGUCUCCAACAGCAAGAUGGGUUUCCUUCAUCUACCAAUUCCAUUGAACCACAUUGAUCCUCAUUUUGGUACGUACUAAAGGGACAUUGCAAUGUAAUGUGUAAAAAUUAUUGAUAUUUAAUUAAAUGAAGUAUUUUAUGUGACUUCAUAAUGAGUGUACAAUUACAAACUUAACGUUUCUUAUAGAUCGACAUAAUAUAAUUACAUCUAAUAUCGCAAAUUAUAUCACACAUAUAUCAAAUUCUUAAAUAAAACAACUUUAUAAUGUCUAUUAUACUUUUAAUUAUAUUGUUAUGAGAUUUUUCUUACAUUUUCAUGAGUUUUUAGCAAUUUUAGGCCUACCAAAUUUUUUUUUUUCCAAUAUAUCUGUAAAAUCGAAGUACCGAUAUAUCCGUGAUUACCAAUAUUUUUAUCCUUACUCCUACCACGCUCUCAUCUCAUGUAUUUUAUUUAACUCACAUUUGACAACUCGAAUACUUACCCCAAUAAUGAUGUUUGGGGAAAAAAAAUUUCAUCUUAUAAUCUUUUUUAAACCAAACCAUUGGAAACAUAGUUCACACAUCAUAUGUGGGCACAUAAUGUAUGCAUGUAGAUUGAAUUUGCACCAUUAUAUAAGGAUGUUAUAUUAACUAUACAAGGCCAAUGUACUAAUUGUACAAAUGGUACACAAGGCUACCCUUUGUGAAGAAUUUCAAUCAAUUUUGAUUAACUUUGUUUUUAAUCAUUCAAUGAUUGUACACUCUAAUUCCUCCAUCACACACUUUUCUCAUGCACUUUAUUUGACUCGCAUAUAGCAAUUCAAAUACUUACCCCAAUAAUGAUGUUUGGGAAAAAAAAUUGUUUUUACGUCUUCCAUCAUUUUCUAAAUCAAACCAUUGAAAACAUGAUUAACAAAUCUUAUGUGGACACAUAAUUUAUGCAUGUGUAUAGAAUUGACAUCACUGUACAAGAGUGUUAUACUAAUUGUACAAGACAAAUGUACUAACUAUACAAAGGGUGUACAAGGCUACCCUUUGUGGAAGAUUUCAUUCGAUUUUGAGCAACUUUUUUUCUGGUCAUCUAAGGACUACACACUCUCAUAACACAUAUUCCUCUAUCAUACAGUCAUCUCUUGCCCUUUAUUUAAUUCACACAUGACAAUUUGAAUACUUACCCCACUAAUAAUGUUUGAAAAGAAAAAAAAAAUUGUUUUCCACUGUUUUAUAAACCAAACCAAACCAAACCAAUGUAAACAUGGUUAACCUACCUAUUGGCACACAUCGAGUAGGGGGUGUAUGGAAUUUGCGCUACUAUACAUGGUAUUUACACUAAGUGUACAACGUAAAUAUACUAACUAUACAAGGGGUGUACAAGGCUAUCAUUUGUAAAGGAUUUCAACUUAUUUUAAAAAGCUCACUUGCUUAUUUCCCUCAGCCAAGGAUGGAGGAUAUUCUUCACAGACAUUGGUUAAUCAUACAUUCAUCUCAUGCACUUUAUUUAACACGUAUAUGGUCAUUUGAAUACCUACCCCACUAAUGAUGAUAGUGAAACAAAAUUGUACAACAAUUUUUCCCUUAUUUAAAACUAAACCAAUGCAAACAUGGUUAACUAAUCUAGAGGCAGAUAUUCACAAGGCAGUGCAUGGAAUCUGAGUCAUUAUACAAGGAUAAAUAUUACACUAAUUGUACAAAAUAAAUUUACUAAUUGUACAAGAGGUAUACAAUACUGUUUUUUGUUAAAUAUUUCAAAUGAUUUUAAAAAACUCUCUUGUUUUUUUCUUGUCACCCAAGGACUAUACAAUUUCUCCACUCAAAUUCCCUCGCCUAAGAAUUGUUUUGACUCUUAUUUUUAAAUUUCAUUAUCAAAAUUUUGUAAUUAUAUAUUUUGUUUUUGUAGUUUUAGCAAUAUUCUUUCUUUCCACUCUUUUUUUGUGAAAUUUUAUCCAAAUGAAUCUAUAUUUAAAAUUAUAAUCAUAUUUAUCAUUUGUUUUUACUAAGAUUAUCUUAAAUUCUUUUAAUAUAUUAAUUUAUACUCAUUUAUUUAAAAAAUGAAAAACUAAUUUUAAACAUGUUCUAUUACCUUUCAAAUAAAAAAUUAAAUAAGUUGGAAAGUCAAUAAAAGAAAAAUUAAAUACCACUUUCAAUCAUUUUUAAAUAAGAUUUUAUAUGACACAUUUUAUUUGAAAUUUAAUUUCUAAAGUUUCAUUAAAAAAAUUUGUGUUGACAAUUUUCUUGCUAUUAGUUAAAAUACUUUUCAAUAGUUUAUUUAGAUAAGAAAAAUUAUAAUAUAAUAUUAAAACUUCACAUUUUAGUUAUUUUCAAUAAAUUUAUCUUUAAAAAAUUUUUAAAAUAAAAAAAUUAAAAUUUUAAAAACUAAGGGAAAUAUUAAAAAAAAAAUUAAGAGUGAAGUGAUAGUCAAUUAAAGAGGAAUAGAAGAGGAAAAUGUGUAUCCACUUACAAUGCUUAAUUGGAAUUGGAAGAAGGGUUUGAAUUUAGAAAGGGGCAAUUGUAGAGGAAAAUAUAAAAUCAUAAACUAAUAGCAAUUAAUACAAUUGUUAAUGAUAUAAUAAUUGAAUGAAAAUGGGAAUAUAAUUAUGAAAGAUUGUUAUAAAAUAUAAAUGUAGAUUGGAAAAAAAAAACUAUAAAAAGAAAACAAAAAACUAAACAAAAAAGCAUAAAUGGAUAAUAGGGAAUAGAAAAGGAAAAAAGAAAACACAAAGAAAUAGAAAUUCACACUCAUGUGUAGAGAUUAAUGAAGGAUAAUAUUAUACUUUAUUUGGAUCUUAAGUUUAAAUGUGGGUGAUAAGAGGAUGUUGGACCGAUUUUCAGAUCCAUUUAACUUAAAAGUCUAAUUCUCCAUAGCUUUUGAAAAUUUAAUUAAAAUAUUUUUAAAAAUGAUUGAUUCAAUUUUUUUUAUAUUUAAAUAGUUGAAUGUACAAGGUUUUCUAUAUGAAAGUCAUUUUAUUAUAUAAAAUUAAUCACCAAAUUUAGAUUUGUCUUACAUAAUUAUAAUGUAGAAAAUGCUACUUAUCUUUACUUGUUUCAUAAUUUAUUUUUCCCCAUAUUAUUAUGGAAUAAAUUAGUGAAUGCCAGUAAUUCUUUUUUGUAUUAAUAAUGUAAGUUAAUUAAGUUACAAAAUAUUAUAGGAAAGUACUUGCCUAAACAAAUAUCAUAAUUAAAAGUUAGUUUUUUUUUUUUUUUGCAAUAAUAUAAGCUUUGGGCCCAAAAAUUAUAAAUAACAGUUCACUAGCUAGAAAGAUAUAUCCUGCUUAAAAGUGAUGUGGCAUUAUAAAUACAAAUUUUGUGGCUAAUUUUUUCUUUUUUAAAUAUACAUUUACUACAAAUGUAUGUGAUUGUUAAAUGUCAUCCAUUUGCUAUGAACAAUAAUUUUUCACUGAAAAAUUGUUUUGCUAUGAAAUAAACUGUCAUUGCAAAAAGCCACUUCCUACCAUAAAAAUAUCUUCAUAGCUAAAAGCGUAAUGGCAAAUGGAGAAAUUUGUUGCAGUGAAUUUUCCAAAAGCUUGCCGGAUCAGUUUAAUCCAAGAUCGUAUUGAAAAGGAUGAUCGAAGUGGAACUAAGAAGUACCUUCUGGUUCAUGGCAGGACUAGGACAGGGCGGUCCGGUUUUCAAACCAUCCGCAGAUAUGACGCAUAAUAUUGUUUUGGAAUCUAUAUUAGUCAACGGUUCCUACAUUUUUUACAGGACAUAGAUGUAAAAUUCACGAAUUUGAUGCUGCCUGACACAACAGGUCAACUUCCUGUGUCUUAUCUGCAUCCAAAAAAGUCAACAUUUUUAAAGAGUGUCCUUACACUAGCUACGUGGUGGACAUUGCUUCCCCACACGCAAGAUCUUCGCCAAUGGAGGGAAUGCAAGGACUGAAGGAUGUAAUUUUUUGUGAGAAUAAAUACUUUUUAUUUUAAAAAUUAUCAUUUUCAAUUCAAGGGUUGCCACGUAUCAUCAUAAACCUAUUAAAUUCCACACGCCCGAGAUCACCAUGUGAAUACAAUACUGCCAACUGCCACCUAACACAUGGUUGUCAUGGCUGCACUAUUGAAUAUCUCAACUAUAUGCUACAGGCGAUGAAUAGCGACAUGGAGUUCAACAAGAAAACCCGUGUCUCGUGACUUUACUAAUACUGGGUCAAAUGCAAACGCAGGAAGUAAGCUAAAAUGUGUGUUUUCGUGGAAGAAUAUUUAGAAGGAUACAUUCUUAUCAUGAUUUCAUCAUUAUAAGUUAGGUUUUCUUAUGUAAUUAAUAUUUUAAGAGAUUCAAUCUUUUGAUCGCCUCAACUCGCCCAAGAAGUGUUGGCUGGGUUUUGUAUUCACUACUAUGCAUCUGGGUCUUGUUACAGUGCCUUCGGUUCUAGGCUUCUAAUUCUUACUUUUUCAAAUUCUAGACCCAAUAAAUGAACUGUAUUCUGCAUUAUUGUGAAUCACCAAGCUUCCCAAAAGUAGCUCAAAGAUGAGAAACGACCCUGCCCAACUGGGGUUCUUCCUCUUUUUUCUCUCCCUAUGGAGACUCUUUAUAGAAAUGACCAUGGCACAGAACACAGCAAUCCCAGUUAACGCGGGAGUGGUCCUUGACUUUGAUACAUCGCUUGGAAAGAUGGGUCUGAGCUGCAUCCCUCUGGCCCUCUCAGAUUUCUAUGCCUCUCAUGGUAACUACAAGACUAGGCUCGUUCUGAAGACUAGAGACUCCAGAAGAGAUGUUGUUGGUACAACUGCAUCAGGUACUCUUAUCUCUGUUCUUCUCGCUCUCUCACAGUAGUAAUUAAGUGUUAUGUAAGUGUUAUCUGACCUAAUCUAUUAGAGUUUCUUCAUAUAAAUAUACCUUAUUAUGUUAAAACAAACACACAUUAAAUUGUUACUGCCAUUAUAUUCUUAUGUGUAUUAAUAAUACUCUUGAGAAUGUAACUCUUAUUUGAAGUCGAAUCAUAGUGUUGACCACAUCCCUCAAAAUGUUGAAGAGUUCACUAAGGGCUAUGAGGUGCUAUGUCCUGGAUGUGAACGAUGUAGGUGUUGAUCAUUACAAGACCUCUGGGAGAAACAUCCACUCUAGGUAAAUCUAUGUACUUAGUUCUUUUAGAAUUAAUAGAUUUGCUCAUGAUCACUUAAAUCCAUGAAUUUUAUACUUAUAGAGUUUCUAGUAUAAAUGAGAAAAAAAAAAUCAAAAUUUGGGGUUUAAAACUUAUGACUUCUUCUUUAGCUCUGUCUAAGUAGUUUCAAGAAUCAAGAUAUAUAAGUUUCAAAUUAUAUUAAUUCAAUUUACUAAUCCAAAUGUGAAAAAGUUUCAAUUUAUAGAUUUUGUUUUAAACCUAUAUUUCUACUUAUCCAUCUAUAUAUGCCCACUCAAAUGAAAAAAUAGCAUGGGACUUCGAGGAAACAAACAAACUUCCUCUUUGGGGUGGUUAAUUGCUCACUGGUUUUGGACACAGGUUCAUCUCUAUCCAUCUUAAAAACUUCUGUUUGAAAGAAGAAUCAUCUCCACUUGAUUUGAAAGAAGAUAAAGGAAUAAGGCAAAUGCUGAAUUUUCAUUCUCUCAAGUUGUAUUUUCUGGUGGGCCUUCAACAUGAGAAUAACAAGGAAAUCACAAGCUUUAAUUUCUUGUGACCCCUUUAAAUCUAUAGCUUCAAGAUGGAUGAAAUGAUAAAAAAAAUUUGAUAAAUUUCCUCCAAGUAGAGAAAAUGAAAACAAAGGGUUUAUUCUCCGUCUCUUCCCUUUCUUUCUCCUUUUUGUUCUAGUAUGAUGACUAAAGCAAAGCAUUGAUUUGAAAUUAUUAUUUUUUUUUUUAUCAGUUAAUGCUCUUACAUCUAAUGACACAUGAGACCCUUUAAAUUCCAAGACCAAGACAUUACUUGCAUUUUAUUAUUGUUUUUUUUUGGGGGGAGGGGGGGAGGAAUAAUUCAAAUUCAACUCUCUCCUACCAUGACUUUACCCUAAUGGUCAUAAAUUUUGAGAACCAUGCAUAUACCUCAUGACCUAGAAUUUUUUUACUAUAUUGUUGUUGUACCUAUCACUAGAAUUUAGAAAGAGAGAGAGAGAGAGAGAGAACUACUCUUAUUUGAUGCUUAUUAAUUAGGAUUUAGGCCCACUGAAAUUGGAGCAUGAGUAAUGCAGGUAGAAAAAGACAAAAUUCCAAGCUGAUGUGAAUUUCACAUAUAAUUUGUUCAAUCUUAUCUUCAAGAUAGAAAAUUGCAAGAAAAUAUUAGUCAUUCAUUUGGUACAAACAUAACCAAAAUGCAUGUGAAGCACUACUAUCAAAUACUGGUAAAUUUGAAAUAACUUGUAGUUGACUGUCGAAGAUGUGAACUUCUACAUGUUCCAUACUAUUGCCAACCAACACAUGAUUUCAUGGUGAAGUUGAGGAUUGGAACUCCACUAUAUAGAAUACAGGAAAAAUACUAUUGGAUGGUAAAGCUUGAAUUAAUCUUAUGACCCUACAUAGAAGAUGUUCGGGAUUCUCCAAUGAGUUUGCAAUGAUUGAGCUUGUAGCUAUUAAAACAAAAUAAAUUAGUUUUCAUUAGUGAGUGAAAAGAAAAAAUGUACGAUUGUAAUUGAGAGGAAAUUUCAUUAGUGAGUGAAAAAUAAAAUAAAAAAAAAUGUGCAACUAAUAUAUAGAAGAGUGAGAGCUUUCAUUAUUAUAAUCUUUUUAUCUUCGUUUAGUUAGUAAAUUUUAAAAUGUUGGUGUAUUCGAUGAAUGUAAAGAUUAUAUUAGUAGCCAAAGUACAUUAAAUUAUUUUUUUUCUUAUUUCAGUUCGUAUGUGUGGAGGUGUAAAAACUGAAGGUAGAGUUAAUUUUUGUGUGUAGGAAAAAGCUAUCAUAUGUGUUGCCACAAAGCUUUAUACAAAGAAUUUUGGUUUAAUAUAUUAUCAAAAUUAUCUCUCGCAAUCUAAAAAUGUCAAUUGAUGUUGAUAGACCCCCCUACCAAACCUUUACUGGUAGUGACAAAACUCAACAUUUAAUUUCUUAUUUCACAGAAAGUCUUGGAUGAUAUAAAUUUUACAAAUCUAAAUCAUUUGAUAAGGGUAUAAAUAUAUGAGAUUAAUAUAUAAAUAUAUGUGUGUGUGAGUAUAUGCAUCAAUGUGAUAUGAUCUAAUUAAUUAUGUCUCUUAACAAUCUGCUUUUGAAUUCAAUAGGAUUAAGUUCUUAGGAAUUUACAAAUAAUGUCAAAUCCACGUACAACUUGGGUUGUUAUGGGUUAUAAAAUAAAAAGAGUAAAUGAAAUAAUUAUUUUAAAACCAUAAAAUAUAAAUUAUAUAACAAAGUAAGAAGUUAAAAACUACAUAUCUCUCAAGCCACACACGUUCAAUGGCAAGAGGGAUGCCAAGAAGUUAGAUAACUUCUUGUGGCACAUGGAGCGCUACUUUGAGGCUAUCGCAUUGAUGGAUGAAGCCACUAAGGUACGCACCGCAACCCUCUACCUCACUGAUAAUGCUACUCUAUGGUGGCGUCAAAAGUUUGCCGACAUAUAAAAAGGGACGUGCACCAUAAACACAUGAGAUGCCUUUAAGUGAAAAAUCAAAAGGCAAUUCUACCCUGAAGAUGUGGCUUACCUAGCAAGGAAGAAUAUAAAGCGUCUCAAGCACACGGGCUUGAUUCAUGAGUAUGCCAAAGAGUUCUCUACGUUUAUGCUUGAGAUACCUAACAUGUCCGAGGAGGAGCUAUUAUUCAACUUCAUGGACAACUUGCAAAGUUGGGUCGAGCAAGAGUUGAGCAAACAUGGUGUCCAAGACCUAGCCACGGCCAUGGCGAUAGCAGAGUCCUUGGUGGAUUAUAGAAGGGGAGACUUCUCCAAGCCCAAGCCAUAAUCCAAGGGUAAUUAUGCUAAAGGUGGGGGAGACAAGGGAUCAAAGAGGUACACCCCUAAGGAAUGAUCAAGUAAGACCUCUAGUGGCAAGGAUAGUAAGGGCAAAGACAAACCAAAGGAGUUCACACCCAGGACCAAUUACUUCCUGUGUGAUAGGCCACACUUGGUGCGGGACUGCCCCAAGAGGAAAGCCCUAAAUGCUAUGAUCGAGGAAAAGAAGAAGGAGAGUGAUGCUAAGGUGGGAUCGUUGCAACUCCUAAACUCCUUUAAGGCCAAGCCAAUGCCCUAAGACGCCCCAAAGCAAAGGGCUAAUGUAUGUAGAGGCCCUUGUGAAUGGGAAGGCCACCAAGGCCCUGGUGGACACUAGUGCCACUCAUAACUUUGUCUCAGAGGAUGAGGCAAAGAUGCUAGAGCUCCAAGCAUCCAAGGAAAGAGGUUGUAUCAAGGCAAUCAAUUCAGCUGUAAAGCCAUCACACGGAGUAGCUCACGGGGUGACUAUGCACAUCGACUCAUGGAAAGGAAGGGUCGACUUCACAGUGGCACCUAUGGACGAAUUCAAGAUGGUACUAGGGAUGGACUUCCUACAAAAGGUCAAGGUUGUGCCAAUACCUUUCGUACUCUCAAUGGCUAUCCUAGAGGAGGAAAAGCCAUGCAUGGUCCCUACGGCCACUAAAGGUACGCCCAAGACCCCUAUGUUAUCAACUAUGCAAGUUAAGAAGGGGUUAAAGAGGAAAGAGGUGACCUACCUCGCCACCCUGAAAGAAGAAAGGGAUAAUGGGUCGGGAGAACCCAUGCCUAAGGAAAUUGAGGGAGUCCUUGAUGAGUUCAAGGACGUGAUGCCACCUGAGUUGCCCAAAAAACUUCCUCUUAGGAGAGAGGAAUACCACAAGAUUGAGCUAGAGUCGAGAACAAAGUCCCCUGCUAUGGGGCCAUACCGGAUGGCACCGCCUGAGCUGGAGGAGCUAAGGAAACAACUUAAGGAGUUGUUGGAUACAUGGUUCAUCCAACCAUCCAAGGCUCCCUAUGGCGCGCUGGUUUUGCUUCAAAAUAAGCAGGAUGGGUCCCUACGAAUGUGCAUAGACUACCAGGCACUCAACAAAGUGAUAGUAAAGGACAAGUACCCUAUUCCGCUCAUCGCUGACUUGUUCGAUCAACUUGGAAGGGUGAGAUACUUCACAAAGCUAGACUUGAGGUCAGGCUACUACCAAGUAAGGAUUGCGAAAGGGGAUGAGCCCGAAAACCACAUGUGUGACCAGGUACGACUCAUACGAAUUCUUAAUGAUGCCCUUCGGUCUCACCAAUGCCCCAGCAACGUUCUGCAUACUCAUGAAUAAGAUCUUCCACCCAUAUCUAGACAAGUUCAUGGUGGUAUACUUGGAUGACAUAGUCAUCUAUAGUGACACCCUAAAGGAGCACGUAAAGCAUUUAAGGAAGGUCUUUAAAAUUCUAAGGCAGAACGAGCUAUAUGUAAAGAAGGAAAAAUGCUCAUUUUCUAGGAAAUAGGUGAGCUUCCUAGGACAUCGCAUCAAGGAUGGAAAACGGAUGAUGGAUGAUAACAAGGUGAAAGCCAUCCAAGAAUGAGAUCCAUCAACCAAGGUACCUCAGAUCAGAUCUUUCCUUGGUCUAGCUAAUUACUACAGACAGUUCAUCAAGGGUUAUUCGGCAAGGGUAGCUCCACUCACUGACCUUCUUAAGAAGAAUAAGGCAUGGGAAUGGAAUGAAAGGUGCCAACAAGCAGUUGAGGAUCUGAAGAAGACUGUGACUGAGGAACCGGUGUUGGCCCUACCCGACUACACCAAGGUUUUUGAGGUACACACGAAUACCUCAGACUUCGUUAUAGGGGGUGUCAUUAUGCAAGAUAGGCAUCCAAUCACCUACAAGAGCCGCAAGCUAAAUGACAUGGAGAGGCGCACGGUGUAGGAAAAGGAAAUGACUGCCAUCGUCCAUUGCUUGCGCACCUGGAGGCACUAUCUUCUAGGGUCUCACUUUCUAAUGAAGACCAACAAUGUUGCCACUAGCUACUUCCAACCACAAAAUAAGUUAAGUCCUAAGCAAGCUAGGUGGCAAGACUUCCUGGCCGAGUUCGACUAUAUGCUGGAGUAUAAGCCAGGAAAUGCUAAUCACGUGGCCAACACCCUCAGCCGUAAGGCAAAGCUAGCAUCCAUGACAAGCCAACCCCAAGGAGAUAUAUUGGAUCUUCUAAGGGAGGGACUGCAACACGAUCCAGUGGCUAAGAGCCUUAUCACCCGACUCAUGAAAGGAAAACUAAGCGGUUUUGGGUGGAAGACAACCUACUCUUCACCAAGGGGAGACGACUCUACAUGCCUAAGUGGGAGAACAUAAGGCGGAAUCUGAUAAAGGAGUGUCAUGACACCAAGUGGGUUGGGCACCCAGGGCAACGAUGCACUAGGGUACUACUCGAGUCGGCUUACUACUGGCCUCAAAUAAGGGAUGAAGUUGAGGCCUAUGUGAGGACUUGUCUUGUAUGCCAACAAGACAAGGUGGAGCAACGACAACCUAGAGGCCUGUUGGAACCACUACCAAUAGCGGAGCAGCAGUGGGACAGUGUCACCAUGGACUUCAUCAUCGGGAUACCCAAAUCGGAGGACAAUGGCUCUAUUAUAGUGGUAGUGGACAAGUUCUCUAAGUAUGCGACCUUCAUAGCAACCCCGACUGAUUGCACUGCAGAAGAGACAACAAAGCUAUUCUUAAAGCAUGUGGUCAAGUAUUGAGGGUUGCCUAAGUACAUCAUCAGUGAUCAUGAUCCACGUUUCACUGGAAAGUUUUGGACGGAGCUCUUUAAGCUUAUGGGUUCGGAGUUCCACUUCUCCACAAGCUUUCACCCACAGACAGAUGGGCAAACUGAGAGGGAGAACGCCCUGCUGGAGCUAUACUUGAGGCACUUUGUGAGUGCCAACCAGAAGGAUUGGACUAAGUUGCUAGAUAUAGCCCAGUUCUCAUACAACUUGCAAAAGAGUGAAGCAACCAACAAGAGCCCGUUCGAGCUAGCCACAGGGAAGCAACCCUUAACUCCUCACACGCUAACUAUAGGCUAUACAGGGAGAAGUCCAACGGCUUUCAAGUUCGCAAAGGGAUGACACAAGCAAGCUGACAUAGCACGCUCAAACUUGGACAAGGCAAUUAAGAAAAUGAAGAAGUGGGCUGACAAGAAGCGACGUCACACGAAGUACAAAGUCGGAGAGAUGGUGCUUGUCAAGCUCAUUCCUCAACAAUUCAAAUCCCUAAGAUCGGUGCAUAAGGGCCUUGUGAGGAGGUAUGAAGGACCCUUCCCCAUACUUGGGAAGGUCGGCAAGGUGUCCUACAAAGUUGAGUUACUGUCAAGGUUAAAGAUUCAUCAUGUCUUCCACAUAAGUUACUCGAAACCAUAUCACGAAGACAAGGAUGAUCCAAGCCGAGGGUUUUCUAAGAGGGCACCUACAACGGUCGUGACCUCCUAUGACAAGGAGGUAGAAUACAUCAUCACAAAUCGAGUCAUCAAGAGACGAGGUGUGCCUCCUACUACGGAGUACUUAGUGAAAUGGAAGGGACUACCAGAGAACGAGGCUAGCUGGGAGCCAAUAGAUGCAUUAUGGCAGUUCCAGGAGCCGAUUGAUCAGUUCCGGGCAGAAGGCGCAACGAGGACAUUGGCGGCUUAAGUGGGGGAAAGUGUCACAAGAUGUUUCAAAUGAGCCUCCCCAUGGGUUUAUAUAGAGCCCAAGAAGCUUCUGGAGAUUCCUACACUUAGCCACUAGUGGGAAGAGUGUGGAAGGUUCUAGAAAUACCUAGAGAAGUCCACACCUCUCUACACUAUGGUAAAAGACAUGGGAGGAGUCCAGGGCUUUCUAGAGAAUUCUAAAAGCCUCUUGUACAUAGACUUGUACAUAGAAUGGUGUAGGAUGUUCUAGAAUAUUCUUGAAUUGUAAAGAACCGUCCAAGGUUCUAGAGAGUUCCAUUGGUGCCUAUAAAUAGGUGGGGGCCUCAUUUGGCUAAGGCACCAAACAAGUGAGCUUCCAAACAUUGUAAAGUUUCCUUCAAAAGCAAUAAAGCUUCCAUUCUUUAAGAGUUGCUUACUACAUCUUCUAAAACUUCCGACUUGUGAGCAUCUUAGCCUAACAAGCUAAGCAUUGGGGAGUAAGGCUGACUUAGCAAGAUCAAGCAUCUUGACUUGUCUAAGUGCCACACGAGCUUAGGAAAAGACUAAGUCUGUGACACCGUGCUCUCAUCUCCACUCAUCAUCCUCCAUAGUUGGUCGUGUAGUUGUUGUUCCCCUGCAUAUUCUCUCACCCAUUCCCGUUUUUUCUCCCCUAAUUUGGUAUCUUCUCCACUCAACCUCGACAGUUGGGUCGGGUUUCUGUUUUAUCCCUCUUUUGCUGAGUUUCCCGAUAUUUUCCUCUCUUCUCCAUACUCGGCUCUUCUUCGGGUACUUGUGUUUUCCUCUCAUCUCCAUCGAUUGUCAUUUUCAGGUGCUUUCAGUUGUCUUCAUGUAUUGUUGGAUGUUUUCGUGUUGUUGGGUGUUUUCGGGUGAGAUAUUGUAGUAGUUUCGGGUGGCAACUUUUCGAGUUCUAUCUUUUCUUCGUAUCCCCUCUAUUUAUGUCCAUAUUUAAUUUUCAUAUUUGGGGUUUUUUUGAGUUUUGAAGUAAAGAGUGCAAUACUCCCGCUCCCUCCUCUCCUCUCCAUAACCCUUGUAUUUUCUUCAUAUUUUAUAUUUUGUUUAAGAGGUAUAAGGGGUGGUUUCGGGUUCUAAAUUUUGUGGUUUGAAGACCCGAAUUGAAGACAUAGCUAGAAGAAGAAGAAGAAGAAGACGUGUAGUAAUAAGAGAAAGAAAACUAAAAAGGACACAAUUUUUUGUUAAUCAAAAGGCGGUUGUAUCAUAAUUAUUUGCCAAGUUAUAUAUUAAGGAAAAAAAAUGUGAGUAUUGAUAAUGUGUUUUACAAUAUUGUAUCCAUUAUAUUUCAUGUUUUUUGUUAGAUUUAUGGGUUGAUCAUAUUAAUGAAAAAUAAUGUGGUUAGAUCCAUAAUUGGAGAUUGAAAAUAAUUUAUAUGCUAAUUUUGUGACCAUUUAAAAUGUACUAAAAUUUGGGGAGGAUUUUGUAGUGGUGGUGAAAGUAUGUUUGAUUUAUUAUAUCUGAAAUCAUAUUAUAAAAAUUGACUUAAAUGAUUUAAUUUAAUUUUUAGGAGCGAAUGCAUUGUUGUUGAAGUUGUUAGAAAUCCAAAGAGGCCUAUCGAAGCUUAGAUACAUUACUAGUAAGGAAAAAUAGAAAUAUGUAAAAGAAUAUGUUUUUUAAUGUAUUUUUUGUGGUUGUUAUAGUUGAAUUUGUUUGAAAUUGUUUUGUAGUAAUGAUCAAUUGGUCAUGAUCAAAGAGAAGGAUAAAGGAGUUAAGAUAAAUGAUGAUGUAAGGAGUAAUAUUGUUGUGUCUAAUUUAAUUACAUUUUAAAAUUAGAAUUUAAAGUAUGUGACCAAUUAAUGUAGUUGAGGAAAAAAUUGGGCAAGAAGUGGAAUGCACUUUCAAAAGUAGAAAAAGAAGAUUUCAUGGCAAAGUCCAAAGAAAGUUCUUCCAAAGGUAAUUUUUUUUGUAAUGAAUAUUUAAUUUCAUUACUUAUGUAUUUGUUGGAAAUUAUAUUAAUGUAAACAUGUUUGAUGUUUGUGUAUCUUUUCAGUUAUAUCUUCAGACUCGAUGCUCACUCGAGCGAGUGAUUAGAGUUAUUGAAGAAUUAGAACCAAAGCAAAGAGCAGCCAUAGAAGAAAUAGGAUUUGGUAGCCUCUUGCAACUUUGAUGUAGGAAAAUUGAUCAUGGUUUAUGUCUUUGGUUGAUAAAUAGUUUCAACCCGAACAGUUAUAUGUUAGAGUUGUAUAAUACUUUCAUCAAAUUAUCCUCCAUUGAUGUUGAAUUUAUUAUGGGAUUGAGGGUAAGAGGGUUGAAGAUUGGCAUGAACAAAGAUGUUAACCAUAAGAAUGAUUUAUGUAAAAAAUAUUGUGAUAAAAAGGGGCGAUUGCCAUUAGUGAUGUUAGAAAAUCAAAUUAGGGAGGAUAAAGAAGGUGGAAACGAUUUCAAAGUUCAUUUUGUAUUAUUUGUGUUGGGUGCAUUAUUGUGCCCAACAAUGAAGCUUUUUGUGAAACAUUCUUUCUUACAUCUUGUGGAAGACAUCAAUUCAAUAAAGAAGAUGAAUUGGGUUGAAUUUGUGUUGUCUUAUCUUGUGCACGGGAUUGAAGAGUUUAAGAUGAAACAACGAAGUGGGGUUUGCGGUUGCUUAUUGUUUUUAAUGGUAAUGUCCUUGUAAUUAAUUUACAUCAUAGUGAAUUUCAAAUUUCUUAUAAUAAAAUGUGUUAACUAACUAUAUAUCUAUGUUAAAUAUAAUCGUAGUUAUUCUACCACGAGCAUAUAUUGUUCGAAGAGAAAUUUCUACCAUUAUAUACUCAACCUUGUCCUCGGAUUACUACUUGGGGAGAUGAUGAAGUACUUGACAUGAAACAAAAAUUGAAAAACCUCGGUGAAUAUGCAAAUGACAAUGUAAGUUAUAGUUUCAAAAGUCGUUUAAUAUUGGUUUAAGUUUUUAGUGAUUUUUAAUCUUAUAUGUGUUAUAUUUUGAUGAAUAUAUUGUAGGUCAAAAUAUGGGUGAUACAAAAUGAGAUAAGGGAUUGCAUUGAUGGAAAUGCGAUGACAAUGGAGAGGGAGAAUGAGGAGGAUGAGAAAUUCGAAAUCAAUCCAAAGAAAGAUGUUAUUAAACGAGUAGGUUUUACAAUAUUCAUCGUGAGUAUCAAUAUUAGUAGUGAACCCUUAUAUUAUGAUGUUAUUAAUGAAGUUCCUAUAUAUCACUAGGUUGACAGUGGGAGCUUAAUGGAGAUGGAUAAAACCUUUCAACAAUUAAAGACACAUCUAAUUGAUUUGUGUCAUGGUGCAAGUAGUAGUAGUUGUGAAAAAGUUUUGACUGAAUUUGAGGAGAAAUAUACUACAUUGAAAGGUCUCUUCAUUGGGUCAAGCGGAAAACCUUUGAGAAUGCACGAGGAGGGAACGAAGAAUGACAUUUUCUCAUGCGAGAGAAGUUUGGAAGAUAAGGACAAUAAGAAAGGAAAUGAACAUUAUGUUCACACUUUGUCAAUUGAGAAGUUAUGUACUGAGGACUUUAAUAGAAAGAAUGAAGAUGCAUGUGCUACAUCAAUUAAAGUACAUAUCAUUCCGGACGAAAAUGUAGAUAUUUUACCACUUCCAAUCAAAAGGAGUAGAAGAGAUUAUGGAAAGGUAUGUAUCAUAUAAAAGAAAAAAUUAUUUUCCUUACAACUACUUAACCAUUACAUAGUAAAUAGAUGUAUAUUAAUGGUAUUUUCCAUAUUAGGAACCAUUACGAGCACUAUGUGGUUAUCCCAAUCAUGUCAUGAAAACACGUACAUCAAGGGAGAGGAAACCAAGUAAAUUCAAGGUCUCCCCAUUUGUACACAAUUUAAGGAAAAUGGGAAAACGUCAAGCAUCAGAGGUAUAAUACAAAUAGUUUAAUAUCAUGAUCUUAUUUUUUAUACUCAACAUAUAUAGCUAAUAAUUAUGUCUUGUUUUCAAUUUAGUCAAUCCCCAUGUCCAUUUGUGAAGACGUGGUGGAUGCUCAAUCAUUCAAUGUACUUCAAUCUCUUGUUGCUGAUUAUGUUUUCAAUAAAACAUUGUCAAAAAGGUUUGUAGUGUCUAGAACAUUCAUAGAUGUGUUGUUACAAUUUUAGCCUUCAUAUGCUUCCAAUUUAGUCAAGAAUGUUUUAACAUAUUAUUAUUUUAGUGAGCUUCUUGUUGACUUUGAUCAUGAACAUGGAGUUCGUGGAGAUUUUGAGUGCUUAUGUCCUAGAGAAAAUUUGAUGGAUGUUGUAAGUACCUACUUCAUUUAUACUAAACGCGUGCUAAAUUAAUUAAAUAAAUUUAUUGAAGUUAUUGUUUAACAACAAGUAAUAAAUCUAGAAGCCUCAAAGCUAAAUUAUUUUGAAAGGCAAUUCAUAAGCAUACGAAGUAUAAGAUGCUAUCUUCCCAUGACAUUUUCAAUAAGCUCAUAUUUCUCUUGUUGUUUACUUACGUAUUAAGUACAAUAUACUAAUGUUCGUAUUAUGUUUAAUUACUAGCAAAUGAUUUUGUGCGGGAGUCUUUAUCAUUUUUUUUAUAGAAAAACAUCCAUCGUGAGUAAGUACAUUAGCAAAUUGGAUGAUUGCAAGAAGUUUAGUAAUUAUUUGUAAUGUUUAAUUGCAUAUAUGAAAUUUGGAGUAGAUAUUGUUUUCACCUAUAAUAUAGUAGAUAUUUUGUGCCCCAACUCAUAUAUAUUGUUUUUCUAACUUUACAGCUAUUUAUUCUAAUGCAUGAUGAUUGCACCGGUCAUUGGUAUCUAUACGUCAUUGACUUAAAAAACUCUCAUAUCCAAAUUUUGGAUUCAUUGCAAUCGAAGAGUCGAGACGAGUUCCGGUUUAAGAGUGUCAAAACAGUGGUAUGCUUUCAGCUUUUUAUUUUCCUUUUAACUUGUUUUUUUUUUCUCUUCCAUAUUUAUUAACACUAAAGGGGUGUCCAAAUGAAUCUCAGAAAAAUCAAAUUCUGAAAAUAAUUAAAAAUUAGAAAGUGUACGAAGAAUGUGAGGAAUCCUCACAUUCUUCGUACCCUCCCUAUUCUCCAUUUCUUUGAAAAUUUUAAAGAAUUUUGGGACUUUAUAUGACUAGGACAUUGUUUAAAUAAGUUCAUUACACUUAAGGGUGUUUAAAUAAUGCCAAAAAAAAUAAAAAAAUAAAACUCCAAAAAUACUUAAAAAUUAGAAAGGGUAUGAAGAAUUUGAAGAUUCCCAAUUCUUUUCCUCUUUUAAAUUUAAAAAAUUUUGGAAAAAUGAGUUCAUUACACUUAAGAGGUGUUUAAAUGAUGCAAAAAAAAAAACUCCAAAAAUACUUAAAAAUUAGAAAGGAUACGAAGAAUUUGAAGAUUCUCAAUUCUCUUCCUCUUUAAAAUUUAAAAAAUUUUGAAAAAAUCAAAAUGAUUAAAAAAUCAACGAGAGAUUUAAAAUUCCAUAUUUUUACUAAUUAUUAUAAUUUUUUUUAUUUUCAAUAUUUCAACCAAUAUUUUAUAUAAUUAAAUUUAAAUUAUAAAAAUUAUUUUAUUAAUACAAUUGUCAAGUACAUAACUAACUUAGUGUUUGAACAAUGUAUACUUAUUUAAAUUUAUUUUAAUUUUUUUAUUUUUUAUAAAUAUCUAAUUAGACUUACAAUUCAUUGAAAUUAUUCAGUUUUUUUACUUCAUAAACCAAUUAUAUUGCUUUUUCGCAUUUUCAAUAUUCACCCAAUUUUUUUCACAAAUAAUUUUAAUUGAAAAUAAAAUAAAUUAAUUGACUUUGAAUUUAUAAAUUAUGUCAUUGAAUUUUUUUUUACAAUAUUUAGUUUAUUUUAAAUUUAAUUUUUUUUCCUUCACCUCUUUGGUUCAUCAAUUUACAUUAAAAAAUAAAAUAAAUUCUAAUUUCUUUUCUUUUAAAAAUUUAUAUUUUCACAAAUUAUUCAAUAUUUUUCAAUUUUUAUAAAAUAAAUCUUCAGAUUAUAUAAUUGGAUGUUGUAAAGAGUUAAAAAAAUUUGUGUUGCAUUAGAUUAUUUUUUUCUUGGCAGAGGUGACCGGUUUGUAACCUAUAUAGCAAGUUUUUUUUUUCUUUUUUAUUCAACAACCCUCACAUGGGGCAAGUUGCAAUUGGUGCAAAAUUGGGGGUAUGGUACCGAAAAGCAUAUUUCGGUACCCUAGCAUAACCCUUCCUUGCAUCCUGCAGGGUCCUCCUUCUCAGCUUGACUGCAGAGUCGUCCCACUUCCAGCUGGCCUCUGGUUUCAAAAUUCAAAUUCUAAGUCCUAUAAAUAAUCUCUUAAUUUCUCUCCAUUAUUAUGACUACCAUAGCUUCCAACAAGUUCAAAGAUGAGAAGGAACCUUACCCAACUCCUUAUCUCUCUCAUGUUCUUUCUCUUUCCCCCGAUUUUUUUCAUAGAAAAGGGCAUGGCACAGAACACAACAAUCCCAGUUAAAGUGGGAGUGGUUCUGGACUUGGAUACAUGGAUUGGGAAGAUGGGGUUGAGCUGCAUCUCGAUGGCCCUCUCAGACUUCUAUGCCUCUCAUGGCCACUACAAAACCAGGGUGGUUACAAAAAUCAGAGACUCCAAAAGAGAUGUUGGUGCAGCUGCAGCAGGUACUAUCCCUUAAAUCUUCUCCUUCAAGUGUUAAACUCAUCAGCUUACAAAACCAGGGUUUCGAUGAAGUUCGCUGACCUUAUCCUCUCUGAGAACUAAUAAACCUAAUUGGGAGCAGUUUAACUAGCAUACUAAAAGAUAUUUGCUUUGAAUAUUCUCUUAGAAAAGCAACAAGAAUUCUCUAAAAUAUUGCGUUUAUUUUUAUGUUAUCUUAUUAUUUAUAUUUAAUAUUUUUAUAAUUAAAUCAAAAAAAUUAUUAAUUUACAAUCCAAUAAUCGAACCAAUGGUUCAACCAAAUAUUAUAAAUAUAUAAUUUAUAUAUUAUUAAAAUUAAAAAUAAUUAUAAAAUUUUAAUAUCUAUUUAUAUAUAUAUAAAUUAAAAAUAAUAAUAUUUAUUUUUUACCUUUGAUAUUAUCAAAUUUAAAUUAUAAAAAAAUAUAAAUAUAUUAAUAUUUUAAAUUUAUUAAAUGAGUGGUUAUUAGUAUUAUCCUAUCCAUGAUAAGAUGGUCCAUGACUCAUAUCCCGGCCCCAAUUCUAAGAAUUUUGGAUUUUUCAACGACUCCAUCCACAUUCAGCAAAUCAAUAUCUUUCAUCCGUGUCAAUCAUAAUUGUCCAAAACGGAGCCAGGCCUUAACAUUGAGCUGGACUUCCACCCCUCAACUGUGGAUUGAGCUUUGGCCAACCCAAAACCGAUGGCCUGGUUCACCGACCCAAUGGUCCAACUGUCGGUCUGUCUGCUUCAAAGUCAGCUCAGCGUAUACUCCACUCCAAAGGCUGGACCAAGCUCCGAAUACGAUUUAAUAUUAUCUGGUCCGGUUUUUAAAACAUCAUCUAUAUCAACUUAGAGUGAUCCAAAAAAAUUGAAAAUUUAGAAUGUGCAACAUAUAUUACACUUGUGAUUUAAGAAAAUAUCUGGACGACUACAAAAGAGUCUCCAUUAAUUGUGCCGUGUUUAUUUACUGUUUUAUUUUUUUAACUUGGUAACUAUCUUGGGGGAGUGACCAAGAGGUUUUCUUAUUCACCACGUAAUAUUUAAGGGCUAGCAAACAAUGUUAAAAAACUAUAAGGGUGCCGAUUUUGACAUUAUUUAUGAACAUAACUCUUAAACAAUAAGAAAUAUUAAUUAGUGGGAUUAUGUUAGUGGUGAUUGUUUGUUUUCAUGUGCUGAUUUAUAGAUUUUAACUUUUUUAAUAAGGUUUUUAUUAAUAAAUUAUAAUAAUUAACUAUAUUAUAAUUUUGGUAAAUUAUUUUAGAAAAUAAGCUAACCUAUAAUUGAGAUAAAUUUAAAAUUUUAAAUAAUUUAAAUAAAUCUUAAUUGGGAUUAAAUGAAUUAUUGAUGUAAUUUUUGUGUGAAGUUGAUAGACUUCUAACCCAAAUGGCCCUAUUUUAUUAAAUGAAUGGCAGGAUGUACCUUGUUGAGCAUACAAUAAAUGGGUGGUCUUCCUCUUAAAUUAUAAUAUCAUAUCAUAAUUCAUUUUCAUAUUCUAAAAAUAUCUGAUAAACAAGGUUUUGUACCCUCGUUUGAUUGCUGACGGUAGAGUAGAAAUUUAUUCAUUCAUUUAAAUGCUUGUUUAUCGUUUGAACCUGCAUGCUCCUGAACUCAGUUGUAGACCUCUUACAAAAUGAAGAAGUGGAAGCCAUAAUAGGGCCCGGAUCAUCGAUGCAGGCCAACUUCAUGAUUGGUCUUGGAAGCAAAGCUCGGGUGCCCAUCAUUUCAUUUUCUGCAACAAGUCCUUCUCUUUCUUCGCUCCAGAGUCAAUAUUUUGUCCGAGCCACCCUAAAUGACUCAGCUCAAGUACCAGCAAUAAGGACAAUAGUCCAGGCCUUUGGAUGGAGAGAAGUUGUGCUUAUUUACGUGGACAACGAGUAUGGCAAUGAAGUCGUACCGUCUCUGACUAGUGCCUUGCAGGAGGUGGACACCCAUGUGACCUACCGGAGCGCCAUUCAUCCAUCGGCAACUGACGAUCAAAUCGUUAAAGAACUUUACAAGUUGAUGACGAUGUCAACUAGGGUUUUCAUUGUGCAUAUGCUUACGCCUCUUGGCUCCCAGCUUUUUACCAAAGCAAAUGAGGCUGGAAUGAUGGAAGAAGGCUAUGUUUGGAUACUAACUGAUGGGAUAACUGACUUCUUGAGUACUUUGGACGCUUCAGCCAUUGAUUCGAUGCAAGGGGUGUUGGGCGUCAAGCCCCAUGUUCCAAGAACCAAAGAGCUUGAAAGUUUUAAAAUCAGAUGGAAAAAGAAAAUCCAAGAAGAAUAUCCAACCAAUGAAAUCUCUGAGCUGAAUAUUUUUGGACUAUGGGCCUACGAUGCUGCUUCUGCACUAGCCAUGGCAGUUGAAAAACUUGGCGCGGGAAACUUCAGCUUCCAAAAGACCACCAUUUCCAGAGAUUCAACCAGUCUUGAGAGUAUUAGAGUUUCCCCAAUUGGCCCAAAUAUUCUCCAUUCACUAUUAGGUACUCGAUUCAGAGGCCUUACCGGAGAUUUUCAAAUUAUAGAUGGGCAACUACACACAUCAGCUUUCCAGAUAGUUAAUGUGAUCGGUGAAGGGGAAAGAGGGGUUGGAUUUUGGACAACAGAGAAUGGAAUUGUAAGACGAUCGAAUACUACUUCUAAGGCCAAUCUAAGAGCCAUUAUGUGGCCAGGAGAAUCUACUUCUGUUCCUAAAGGUUGGGUGUUUCCUACCAAUGGAAAGAAGUUGAAGAUAGGGGUUCCAGAGAAAAAGGGUUUUUGUGAAUUUGUAAAGGUGACGCGAGAUCCUAUCACUAAUAAAACAAAGGCCACUGGUUACUCCAUAGCUAUCUUCGAUGCCGUAAUGGCAACAUUACCAUAUGCUGUUCCUUAUGAGUACGUUCCCUUAAAGAUACGUGAUAGAAAGGCUGCUGGUAACAAAGAUGAAUUGUUUCAAGGACAUGUUCAGGUCAGUCAUACUCUUUAGAUUCCCUAAUACAUAACAAUUUUCAUUCAACUGUAGCCAUCAACUGUCAAAUAGAGGGAAAACUGUCAUCCUUUUGCAAUGAAAUAUCUCACGUACCGCCAAUUUUACCUUUACUUUUAUCAUGUACAGAAGUGUGACGCUCUGGUGGGAGAUAUUACUAUUCUAGCGAGCAGGUCCUUGUAUGUAGACUUUACACUGCCUUACACCGAGUCUGGCGUAUCAAUGAUCGUGCCGAUCAUCGAUAACAGAAGUAAAAGUGUUGGGUUUCCCUUCUUUGUGGGACUCUUAAAUUUACUAAAUAUGGUUUUUCUAUUUUUGGCCAACACCUUGGUUAGCACAUGACUCUUGGUAUAUUCAAGAUUGGUUUGAAGUCUUCAAGGAAAGAAAAAAAAAAACUACAAGCCUUUUGUCUUUUCCUUUGGUUCAUUAUCUUGGUCGGCAAGAAGACUUUUGGGAUACCUUUUUGGUUCAAACAAACAAAAAGAAAAUUCAGCCUUCUUCUUCUCCAUUUUUUGGUGCUACACAAUCAGCAAGUUUGUUCUUCAAGUGGGUAACGUUCCUUCACUUGAUAUUUGGGGUUUCUUGCGGUUUGUUCUUGGAGAUUUGGUUUACUUUUGUGAGGUAUUUUCCUCUUGUAAUUUACACCUUGGUGUGUUUGUAAGGCUUAUGCCUUUUGACCACUUUGUAAACUCUUUUGGUGAUAGUGGAAGAAACUGACCUACCGGUUGUCGUGNNNNNNNNNNNNNNNNNNNNNNNNNNNNNNNNNNNNNNNNNNNNNNNNNNNNNNNNNNNNNNNNNNNNNNNNNNNNNNNNNNNNNNNNNNNNNNNNNNNNCACAGUUAGUAACUCCACACCUGAUGGAGUGGUAACAAUGAGUCAAGUUACUAGCAGCCUGUUGAAUGAAGAGACAAGAAGAAAAUCAUCAGGUUCUUCUCACUCCGAGGCACUUGUGAUAGAAAAUCGAGGGAGAGGCAGGAGUAAGAGUAAGGCUUCGCACAACCGUGAUAAAUCUAGAGGUCGUUCAAGCUCGAUUUCAAAGAAAGAUGUUGAGUGCUAUUAUUGUCACAAGAAAGGGCAUAUGAAGCGGGAGUGCAGAAAACUCAAGUUCAAGGAGCAGAACAAAGAGAAAAAUUCAGAGAAAAAGCAAAAUGAUACAGCUGUAGUUACCGAUGGUGAACUCAUGAUUAUUCGUGAUGAUGUUAGCGUUAAUUUGAUUGGCCAAGAGACGGAUUGGGUAAUUGAUUCUGGAGCUUCAUUUCAUGUUACUUCGCGGGCUGAUUUCUUUACUUCUUACUCGCAAGGUGAUUUUGGGAAUGUCCGUAUGGGAAAUGAAGAUGUGUCAAAAAUUGUUGGCAUGGGUGACAUUUGCUUGGAAACAAAUACUGGAUGCAAAUUGUUGCUUAGAGAUGUGAGGCAUGUACCGGAUAUUCGGCUCAAUUUAAUCUCUACUGGAAAGUUAGAUGAUGAGGGCUACAACAACAAUUUCAGUGAUGGAAAAUGGAAGCUCUCUAAAGGUUCUCUAGUGGUAGCAAAAGGAAAGAAGACUUGUUCUCUUUACACCGUGCAAGCAAAAAUCUGCAAGUGUGUUGUGAAUACCUUAGAGAAUGACUCAUCCACCGAUUUAUGGCAUAGAAGGCUUGGACAUAUGAGUGAGAAAGGAUUGCAAGUUUUAUCUAAGAAAGAGCUUCUAGCGGGGAUAAAAGGUACGCCUUUGAAAACAUGUGUUCAUUGUUUCCAUGGUAAACAAAAUAGAAUAUCAUUCCGUAGAAACAUUGCAUCUAGAAAAUCUCAUGUUCUAGAUUUGAUACAUUUUGAUGUAUGUGGUCCUUUGAAAGUUAGGACACUUGGUGGUGCUCUAUACUUUGUCACUUUUAUUGAUGAUCACUCUAGAAAAGUUUAGGCUUAUACACUGAAAACUAAAGAUCAAGUUCUAGAUGUGUUUAAGCAUUUUCAAGCCAAGGUUGAAAGAGAAACUGGUAGACAGUUGAAAUGUGUCCGCUCGGAUAAUGGUGGUGAAUAUAUUGGACCAUUUGAUCAGUAUUGCACUAAUCAUGGCAUCAGGCACGAAAAGACAGUAAAAAAGACACCUCAACAGAACGGGGUUGCAGAGAGAAUGAAUCGCACCAUUCUUGAGAGAGUCAGAUGUUUGCUCUCACAUUCUAAAUUGCCAAGAUCUUUUUGGGGUGAGGCAAUGAGGACAGCAGUUGAUCUUAUCAAUUUGUCUCCUUCAGUUCCGUUGAAUGGUGAUGUGCCAGAGAAAGUUUGGACAGGGAAGGAAGUCUCCUAUGAUCACUUGAGGGUAUUCGGCUGCAGAGCUUUUGUUCAUAUUCCAAAAGAUGAGAGGUCCAAGCUUGAUCCAAAAGCAAAGCAGUGCAUAUUUAUUGGCUAUGGGCAUGAAGAAUUUGGCUACAGGUUGUAUGAUCCAGUUGAUAAGAAAGUUGUCAGAAGCCGAGAUGUUGUUUUCUUGGAAGAUCAGACUAUUGAAGACAUUGACAAGCUUGAGUCAGCUGAGUCUAGUACUAAUGAUCUUGUUGAUUUAGAUCCUCUUAAUCCACCUGUUGUUCAUGAUAUUGAUGAGGAAGUGCAGACACCUCAUGAUGAUGCAGCGGAAGAUGAUGUUGAGCCAGAGAUUGAGGGGGAACAGUCACCCCAAGAGCCACUACCACAGACACCGUUGAGGAGAUCUACCAGAGAAAAACAGCCAUCCAGAAAAUAUUCUUCAAAUGAGUAUGUGAUGAUAUCAGAUCAGGGGGAGCCAGAGACUUAUCAAGAAGUCUUGAAGCAUGAGAACAAAACUGAAUGGCUCAAGGCAAUGAAAGAGGAAAUGAAGUCUUUGCAUGAGAAUCACACCUAUGAUUUGGUGAAGCCGCCUAAAGGGAAGAAAAUUUUGAAAAAUAAAUGGGUCUUCAGACGAAAGAAUGAUGGGAACAGUUCUCAACCGAGAUUCAAGGCACGACUUGUUGUGAAAGGUUUUGAUCAGAGGAAGGGAGUUGAUUUUGAUGAGAUCUUCUCACCAGUUGUGAAGAUGUCCUCCAUUCGAACUGUACUUGGUAUAGCUGCGAGUAUGAAUUUAGAAGUUGAGCAGCUUGAUGUGAAGACCGCAUUUUUGCAUGGUGACUUAGAAGAGGAAAUUUAUAUGGAGCAACCUGAGGGCUUCAUAGAUAAGGGUAAUGAUCAGUUAGUUUGCAAAUUGAAGAAGAGUUUGUAUGGAUUGAAGCAAGCACCGAGGCAGUGGUACAGAAAAUUCGAUUCUUUCAUGACUGAGCAUGGGUAUUCAAGAACCACUUCAGACCAUUGUGUGUUUGUGAAGAAAUAUACAGAUGGUAAUUUUAUUAUUCUCUUGCUUUACGUUGAUGAUAUGCUUAUUGUGGGCCAAGACAUGAGCAAGAUUAGCAAGUUGAAGUCAGAGUUGAGCAAGUCCUUUGCCAUGAAGGAUUUGGGUCCAGCAAAGCAAAUUCUUGGGAUAAGAAUUGUUCGCAACAGAUCACAUGGGCUGAUUUGGUUAUCUCAAGAGAAUUAUGUUAAAAAGGUUCUUGAGAGGUUCAAUAUGGACAAAGCAAAGCCUGUUAAUUGUCCACUUGCAGGCCACUUCAAACUUAGCUCAAGUCAAUGUCCUACAAGUGAUGAAGAGAAAAAUGAGAUGCAGAAAAUUCCCUAUGCUUCAGCAAUUGGUUCUUUGAUGUAUGCCAUGGUUUGUACUCGACCGGAUAUUGCUCACGCAGUUGGGGUUGUUAGUCGAUUUAUAUCUAAUCCGGGGAAAGAACACUGGGCAGCAGUGAAAUGGAUUCUGAGGUAUCUUCAGGGCACUUCAAAGAUGAGUUUGUGUUUUGGUAAAGGCGAGCCUAUUCUUGAUGGGUUCACAGAUUCUGAUAUGGCUGGUGAUGUUGAUAGUCGAAAAUCUACUUCUGGUUAUUUGAUUACUUUUGCAGGGGGAGCAGUGACAUGGCAAUCAAGAUUACAGAAAUGUGUUGCUCUCUCCACCACAGAAGCUGAGUUCAUCGCCAUUACAGAAGCCUGCAAAGAAUUAUUGUGGUUGAAGAAAUUCUUACAAGAGUUGGGUUUGAAACAAGAAAGGUAUGUCCUUCAUUGUGAUAGUCAAAGUGCAAUCCACUUGAGUAAGAAUUCUUCAUUUCAUUCGAGGUCGAAACACAUUGAUGUUAGAUAUCAUUGGAUUCGUGAUGUCUUGAAUGAUAAGUUGUUGCAACUUGAAAAAGUUCACACUGAUGAUAACACUUCGGAUAUGUUGACUAAGGCAUUGACUAAGGACAAGCAUGAGAAGUGUCGACUAUUGGCGGGAAUGGUCGAAUCCUCCACAUAAGUCGGGAGGGGGAGAAUUGUUGGGUUUCCCUUCUUUGUGGGACUCUUAAAUUUACUAAAUAUGGUUUUUCUAUUUUUGGCCAACACCUUGGUUAGCACAUGACUCUUGGUAUAUUCAAGAUUGGUUUGAAGUCUUCAAGGAAAGAAAAAAAAAACUACAAGCCUUUUGUCUUUUCCUUUGGUUCAUUAUCUUGGUCGGCAAGAAGACUUUUGGGAUACCUUUUUGGUUCAAACAAACAAAAAGAAAAUUCAGCCUUCUUCUUCUCCAUUUUUUGGUGCUACACAAUCAGCAAGUUUGUUCUUCAAGUGGGUAACGUUCCUUCACUUGAUAUUUGGGGUUUCUUGCGGUUUGUUCUUGGAGAUUUGGUUUACUUUUGUGAGGUAUUUUCCUCUUGUAAUUUACACCUUGGUGUGUUUGUAAGGCUUAUGCCUUUUGACCACUUUGUAAACUCUUUUGGUGAUAGUGGAAGAAACUGACCUACCGGUUGUCGUGGACGUACCUCAAGUUAUUUGAGGGAACCACGUAAAUCUUGUGUGCUCAUUUAUUUUCUGUUAUUCUAUUUAUAUUGCUUCCAUUGAUUUACACUUGUGGGAAAGCCUAGUUUUUUUUCAACAAAAAGAGCAUGGGUCUUUUUGAAGCCAUUAACUUGGGACCUUUGGGUGACAAGCGCUUGUUUCUUUGUCUUCAUUGGCUUGGUGAUUUGGACUCUUGAACAUCGAAUAAAUGAAGAUUUCAGAGGGCCUCGUUCACAUCAAGUUGGCACAAUCUUCUGGUUCUCCUUCUCAACAUUGGUGUUUGCUCAGAGUAAUUACUCUUCCACCUCCUUCAAUUUUAUCUAGCAAUUUAUCUACUCUUGUAAUAUUCAAAUACAAAGCAUAUUCAGUACAUCUCAAACAAAUCGAAACUAACUUCUAGGAUAGCCUACUUACUUGUUUCCCAUGAUUAACCUCUAUUAUAUGGACAUUCCAUACAAUAUGCAAGUAAAUUUUAGGAUAAUUGUUAUGUUUCAGAAACUAUAUAUUUGCCUUUAUAUUGCUUUUCUGGAUUGGAUUUUCUUUUUCAUUCUUAAAUUACGUUAACAGAGGAGAGAAUUGUCAGCAACUUGGCUCGGAUCGUGGUGAUCAUAUUGUUUUUUGUGGUGCUGAUUCUUACUCAAACUUACACAGCCAGCUUGACUUCAAUGUUAACAGUUCAACAGCUCAACCCAACUAUCACUGAUAUAAAUGAGCUCAUAAAGAAGGGGGAGCGUGUAGGUUACCAAUAUGGCUCUUUCGUUUAUGAAUUCUUGAUCAAGUCGAUGAAAUUUGAUGAGUCCAAUCUUGUAAAGUAUGAGUCACCAGAAGAACUGGAUGAAUUAUUUUCAAAAGGUGGAAUUACUGCUGCAUUUGAUGAAAUCCCUUACAUGAAGAUUUUCCUUGCAAAAUAUUGCUCCAAAUACACUGCAGUUGGACCAACAUACAAGUUUGAUGGGUUUGGAUUUGUAAGUGUUCUCUCUUAAAGUGUACAAAUUUUCAUGCAGUGGUUUCUGAUUUUUGAUCAUUUCAGGUCUUUCGAAAGGGUUCACCCCUUGUAGCGGAUGUUUCAAGGAAAGUUUUAAGCGUGACCGAGGGAGCUAAAUUGUUAGAAUUUGAGAAGGCAUGGUUUGGGCAAACAACCAGUUGUCCAGAGCUCACCAGCUCAGUUUCUUCAAACAGUAUCGGCCUUAAUAGCUUUUGGGGCCUAUUCCUUAUUGCUGGAGUCGCUUCAUUUGUAGCUCUCGUUGCAUGCAUCACCACAUUCCUUUAUGAAAAUAGAAACGCCUUAAUAAACUUGAAUCCCCCAUCUUCCUUAUGGAGAAAAAUUAAAGCCAUGGCUACACGCUUUGAUGACAAAGAUCCCAGGUCUCAUACCUUUAGAAAAAGUGAUCAACUUCCAGACAAGGGGCAUCAAAGCCAUGGAUGCAGUUACAGCCUCGCCAGCUACACCAACUUCCCUCCAAGUCCAUCAAGCCUUCUGAUCCCAACACACAGCGAUUUUGCCUUCUUUGGAGAACAAGGAACACCUUCUUCUGGACAUGGUGAUCCAGUCUGUCCAAAUCGGCCGAUGUCUCCUCACAUAUUGUUUGAAUAUGAGCUUGCUAAUUUAAAUCACGAGCAAACAAGACCGCCUGUAAUUGAAUAACUGAUCGAUUACUUCGUUUUUCUUUCCUGUGUAUUUUAUGCCGGUGGCACCAUUACCCACAACCAUGAAUUUCAAAAGAAAAAAAAUGUAGUUGUACCCCAUAGGCAUUUUAGUUAACACGGUGAUGUACAUUCAAUUUGCGGCUAAAAUUAAAAAUAAUAAAUAAAUAAAUAAUUAUUUACUACAAAUUUAUGUGAUUGUUAAAUGCCAUCUAUUUGCUAUGAACAAUAAUUCAUCACUAAUAAAUUGAUUUGUUAUGAAAUAAAAUGUUAUUGCAAAAAGUAAUUUCUUACCAUAAAAAUACUUCUUAGCUAAAAGCGUUACGGAAAAUUGAGAAAUUUGUUGUAAUGAAUUUUCCGAAAGCUUGCCGGAUUGAAAAGGAGAAUCCAAGUGGGACUGAACGUACCUUCCGGUUCAAGGCAGGACUAGGACAGGGAGGUCUAGUUUUCAAACCAUCGUAGAUAUGACGCAAAACAUUGAUUUAAAAUUUAGGGAGAAUUACCAUUAAGGGUAGGCUAGGGGAAAAAAUGAUCAGGAAGGGUGGGUAUAUUUGAUAAUUAUUGUGAAGGGUAGGAUGAAAUUAUGAUAAUUCCUCCAAAGGUCUUAUUUUGUUUAAAUGCCAAGAUUACCCUUAAUAAGUGAAAAGCAAUAGCAAAGUGAAAAGUAACAACAAAGUAAAAAGAGUUUUCUUUAACCUACCUUCAGCUUGUCGGUGGUGUUGUAAAAGAAAAAAGGGAAAGAGGAAAAAGGUUUAACACUUCAGGUCAUGAUCUAAAAUCGUUUACACAAAGUUUGUUUUUUUUUUUUGUGUGAAUCUAGCAAGAAAUCCAUUAAAGGUGAGUUUUUUUUUAAAUGCCAAAAAAAAAAAAUCAGUUUAUGGAAAAAAUAAAUAAUUAAAAAUCAGAUUGAAAGAAUGAAAAGUUAAUAAUUUUAACAUUGUAGAUGUAAGAUAUUAGAUCUGAAAUAUUGAAUGAGGUUUUGAGAAAGAAAUUACAUUUUUUGUAUAAAAUGUUAUUUAAAUUUAUUAUUUUGAAUUUUUUUAUAUUAUUUUGGUCAUAUUGAAGAUGUGUUUUUAUUUUUAAUUUAUUUUUCGGGUUGUUUGAUAUGAUUAUUAUUGAUUUCCAUUGAAAAGGUUUGCACUUUAGUUUUAUUGUUGAGACUUAUUUGAUAUGGCAGAAGAAAAAAAUUUCUUAGUUGUUUCUUGGUUGUUUGGAACCAUUUUAUUUGGGUAUUUAUGAACAUAUUUGAAUUUUCAUUGAAAACUCAAAAUUGUAAUCAAUUGACACAUAUUUUGUAUAAUAAAGAACAAUAUAUGUUGUAUAUUAGACAUAUAUGCCAAAAAAACCCACAACUGCCCAAUUUCAUAAGAAAUUUGAAAUUUUAAAAAUUUUAUCUUAUCGUAAUGUAUCGUAAUGUUAUUAUAUUUAUAUUGUAAUUGUAGUGUAUUUUUAUUGUAUAUUUAUAUUUUUAUAUAAAAAAAAAACCCAUAAUUGCCUAGUUUCAUAAAAAAUUUCAAAUUUUCAAAAUUUUACCUUAUCAUAAUGUAUCGUAAUGUUAUUGUAUUUAUAUUAUAAUUGUAGUGUAUUUUUAUUGUACAUUUAUAUUUUUAUAUAAAAAAUUAAUUUUAUAGAUUUUUUUUUUUUAUACGUUUGGAUUACCAUCAACAACUUCAUGUAUUGAAAUUACAAUAAUGUAUUUUUAUUGUCUUUUUAUAAUUUUGGCUUGCAACGAUAUUUUAUGAUAGGAAUACAACAUGAUAGCCUAGAAACGUUAGUUCAGUAAAAAACGAAUUCAAUAUUUUGUUAUUUUGAUACAUUGUAAUAUGUCGUAAUGUUAAUAUUUUUUCAUUGUAACUAUAUUGUAUUUGUAUUGUACUUAUACUUUAUAAUUGUCCGAAAAGAAGAUGUACUUCUCAAUUGGUAAAUAGACAUGAGAAAUUCAAAAUAAAUUGGUCUAAUAAAAAUACGAGGCCUUCAUAAGAAUUAUCAAAUGUACCAACCCUUUUCAAUAAUUUUUUUUUCCAACCUGGGUAAUUCUCCCUAAAAUCUAUAUCAGUCAAAGGUUCCUACAAUUUUGACAGGACACGGAAGAUCCAUUACUCAAGCCAUUACUUGAGCAUGCUUUUUUUUUUUUUAAUCAUUGCCUUAGAUUCCGUCAAAAUCACGAAUUCAUUGCUGCCUAUCGCAGCAGGUCAACUUCCUGUAUCUUAUCUGCAUUAAAAAAAAAUGAAUAUUUUGAAAGAUUGUCCUUAUACUAGCUACGUGGUUGACAUUGCUUCCCCACACACAAGAUCUUCGCCGACGGAGGGAAUGUGAGGACAGAUAUUCAUUUUCAUGGUUAUUCUUUUGUGCAGAUAAUCCAUUAAUUCUAAAUGAUGUAAUUUCUGGUGAAAAUAAAUAUUUUUUAUUUUAAAAAUUAUCAUUUUCAACUGAAUGGUAGUCACAUAUCAUCAUUAAACCUAUUAAACUCCAUUUCCACGCACCCGAGUGCAGAAGAUGAUAAGUUGACCAUGUGGAUACAGUUGUGCCAAGUGCCACCUAACACACAGCUGGGGAUUAUUGGAAUUCUGCUACAGGCGAUGAGUAGCUCCGUGGAGUUCAUCGUGAAAACCUCUCUCUUAUGAAUUUUAUGAGUCAAAUGCUAACGCAAGAAGGAAGCUAAAAUGUGUGUUUCCAUGGAAGAAUAUUUAUAAGGAUAUAUUCUGAUCAUGAUUUCAUCAUUAUAAGUUACGCUUUCUAAUUUAAUUAAUAUUGUAAGAGAUUCUAUCUUUGACCGCCUCAACUCGCCCAAGAAGUGUUGGUUGGGGUCCUCUUGUUACAGUGCCUUCUCUUCUAGGCUUCUAAUUCUUACUUUUUCAAAUUCUAGACCCUAUAAAUGAGCUGUAUUCUGCAUUAUUGUGAAUCACCAAGCUUCCCAAAAGUAGUUCAAAGAUGAGAAACGACCUUGCCCAACAGGGGUUCUCCCUCUUCUUUCUCUCCCUAUGGGUUCUCUUCAUAGAAAUGGGCAUGGCGCAGAACACAACAAUCCCAGUUAACGUGGGAGUGGUCCUUGACUUUGAUACAUCGUUUGGAAAGAUGGGUCUGAGCUGCAUCCCCAUGGCCCUCUCAGAUUUCUAUGCCUCUCAUGGUAACUACAAGACUAGGCUCGUUCUGAAGACUAGAGACUCCAGAAGAGAUGUUGUUGGUGCAGCUGCAGCAGGUACUCCAUCCCUGUCUCUCUCGCUCUCUCACUUUCUCCUUCAUCAAUGUUUAUGAUUAAUCAUCUCGUUUGGAGCAUUGUUGAUGGAAUGAGAUUAGAAUUGCAUUAGUAUUACUGAGAAAAAUGAAAGCAAGUGAUCUUUAUCAGUCACCCCCAUUUGGUUUUCAGGAAAAAUCCCCUUACUCUUUGAGAAUUAGAAAGCAUAAUUCGAAGUAGUUCAUCAUUUGGGAAGUAAUUUUUUGAGAUACCUGCUCUGAUAAAGUGAGAAAAUUAUGAUAUUGACAUUGAAUCUUCAGCCCGUAAUUUUUUUGACAUUGAACAUUUUCUAUCUCAGCUUAGAGACCCAAAUGAAAGUUUUGAAAUAUAAAAUAUACUAGUAUGCCCAAUUAAUUCUCAGCACAGCUCUUCACCAGAUGAAGAAGAUAGUUGGUCGUUUAACAAACCACAUUGUCAACUGCCGAUGGCAAAAGGUCUCCAUAAAUUGUGCCAUGGUCUUUUAACGAGGCAACUUUUCUUGACCAUAUGGCUGAUGAAGAGGUCAGCUGACAGUUCAAUGGCGGCUAAAAGUCUCUCGAAAAUUGCGGAUGGGAUUUAAAAAAAAUCAGGCAAGAAUUGGGUUUUGGGCCCAACUAGCCCAAAAAUUGACCAAAGAUCCAUAUAUCAUUCACAUUUAAACCCAAUACUCAAUUAAAGCCUAAAAAUUAAGUUAAUGAUAUUAUUCUUCAUUAAUCAGUAAAAUACACUUAACUCGUACAUAUAGUUAGUGUAAAUUUUUUUUUUUUCCUUUUUCUAUUCCCAAUUAAGUAUUACUCAUUUUUAUUUUUUUUUUUCCUUUUAAAGAUAUUGAAUCUUUUUACUCUUAUUAUAAGUAAGGAUAAAAAAAUUUCAUAUAAAAUUUAAUGGAUAAUCAAUUAAUGAAAUUUAAUUCUUUUUAUUAUUUUCAUAUAAAAAAUAGUACUAAACAAAGUUUUCAAUUUUUCUUUUUAAAAAUAGUUUUCAUUUUUUAAUUAAAUGUUUUUUUCUAAAAGAAAAUAUAAAAAAUAUAAAUCAUAUUACCAUUUUUUUAGAAAGUAUUUUUUAAAAUAGUUUUUGAACGUAAUUUUUCUUUAUUUAUAAUUUAAAAUAAAAAAUAAUGUUGAUUUUUAAUUAUUAAUAAAAAAAAGUCCUAAAAAAUAAUGAAAAAUUCAAAUGGUUGAAAUAAAAUUAUUAUGGUUGUAUGAAUAAUGGUACAAUAAAUAUUGAAAAAGCUUAUGUGAAAGGUCAAUGGGUAUUUUGGUCUUUUAAUAUCUUAUAUCAUUUUUAUCAAUUAUAUAAAUUAUAUGGAUCAAACCUUAAUUUUUGGGUCUACCUGAUCCAAAACACAGUUGUCUCAAAAAUCACCCCCAUACUGUGGCUGCAGUAGGUCGUAAAGAAUAUAUAUUUGACUUUGCACUGAUAUAUAUAAAUAUUACCGUGUCUUCAUGAGUUAAGGCAAAGUAGGAAGUUACCAAAGGUCAAACACGUUGCCUCUGAUCCAUGAUGAUAAGAUGUCAGUUUUUUCAUCUGAUGAACAUGAUCUGUUGUUUGAUCUACUGGAAAAGAUCCCUUUGUUAAUGUCUCAUAACAGAGUAGGAAGAUUAUUGGUAAUCUGUUGGUGAAAUUUUAUAUCUAUUUUGUUAUGUUUGCAUGUCUGAUUGCUGAGAAGGAUGUUAGAAAUUAAGAAUAUAUUAGAGUUUGCUUCUGUGUUUUUUAUUAUUUUGAACAUUUUGNNNNNNNNNNNNNNNNNNNNNNNNNNNNNNNNNNNNNNNNNNNNNNNNNNNNNNNNNNNNNNNNNNNNNNNNNNNNNNNNNNNNNNNNNNNNNNNNNNNNNNNNNNNNNNNNNNNNNNNNNNNNNNNNNNNNNNNNNNNNNNNNNNNNNNNNNNNNNNNNNNNNNNNNNNNNNNNNNNNNNNNNNNNNNNNNNNNNNNNNNNNNNNNNNNNNNNNNNNNNNNNNNNNNNNNNGAUUUCUAAUUUCCUCUGUUUUUAUUACCAACAGAAGUAUGAUGCCGUGGUGGGAGAUACUACAAUUGUAGCGAACAGGUCCAACUAUGUAGAUUUUACACUACCUUACACUGAAUCCGGCGUAUCAAUGAUCGUGCCCAUCAAAGACAACAAAAGCAAAAGAGCAUGGAUUUUCUUGAAGCCAUUGACUUGGGGCCUCUGGGUGACUAGUGCGUGUUUCUUUGUUUUCAUCGGCUUUGUAAUUUGGGUUCUUGAACAUCGAAUAAAUGAAGAUUUCAGGGGCCCUCCUUCACAUCAAGCAGGCACCAUCUUCUGGUUCUCCUUCUCAACUAUGGUGUUUGCACAGAGUAAGUUCUCUUCCCUCAAAUUAACUUCAUUUGCUGAAAUGAUGUUGAUUUUCUGGUUCUAUUUUUAUAGAGGAGAGAAUUGUGAGCAACUUGGCUCGGUUUGUGAUGAUCAUAUGGUUCUUUGUGGUGCUCAUCCUCACUCAAAGUUACACCGCCAGCUUGACCUCAAUGUUAACCGUCCAACAGCUCCAGCCAACCGUUACAGACAUAAAAGAGCUAAGAGCGAAAGGGGAGUAUGUAGGUUACCAACAAGGCUCUUUCGUUCUCGGAUUCUUGAAAAGGAUGAACUUUGACGAAUCCAAGUUUAGGAUCUAUAAUUCUUCAGAAAAAUUAGCUGAACUACUCUCGAAAGGGAGUGCAAAUGGAGGUAUUGCUGCUGCCUUUGACGAGAUACCUUACAUGAAGCUCUUCAUUGCACAGCAUUG